This 475545-nucleotide long non-coding RNA is filed under the name Setaria viridis. Its description in RNAcentral is "long non-coding RNA (SVIR_LNC010747)". The record is from RNAcentral. Lineage: Eukaryota; Viridiplantae; Streptophyta; Magnoliopsida; Poales; Poaceae.
GGAAACGGACGAAUAUCUGAACAAGCGCUUCCCAGGUUUUCUAUCUCGUCAAGGAGGUAAAAACGUCAUCCUGCUUUUGAUGCCUGAAUCUCGGGACAAGAUUCUUUUUAAGAGGGUAGGCUGUAACGACCGACCCCUAAACCUUCCCAGUUAGUCUUGAUCAGAGCCCUUGAUCCUAGUCAUCUACCUUGCUUUUUCCCGCGCCGAGUGCUCAGCCUUCCGCCUGGUUCCGACCCCGGAAGACCCGACCCCUUCCCGUUUCGCUCCUCUCCCGACCCCGACGAUCUCAGCCCACCGUCGGAUCCUGCUAAGCAUCCUCAAACGUCCGUUCUAUCCACCGGUGGACCCGCAAAAUCUUUUCCCAGAUCCUCCGCGACAGUCGCAGUCGAGUUGCAUGCCCGCUUCAGAGUCUCCCUACCGCGUGGCUCGUCUUCUCCGACGCCCCCUGCUUAGUUUUGUCUCUGGCAAGCGACCAAGUGGGUUCUCGCGCCCCCUUCCCCAAUGGUAGCGGAAGCCCCUCUGCACCCUUUCUGCAGUUCCUCGCCUCCCGCGCCCAUCAUCACGCCGCCAGAUCCCGGCCCCAGAGCCCGAUGUCGCCCGUCUUUUCCGUCCCUUCAGCCACAGUCGCGCCGCCUGGUCUCCGCUACACGAUGAUUCCUCCAUCGCCAACCCCGACCGCGGCCGCGACAGCUCCUUUUCCCCCGCUCUGUCAGAAGCCGCCCGACAAUCUGUUGUUCCGCGCUCUCGCCCGCGCCCGCGGCUGCCUGUCCUCUCACCUGUGCGCCCUCGAUUCUAGCGCCGUUAAACCGGUCGCUUCUAUCAAAUCUUCCGCACGGCGACGCCCGCUUUCCGCCAAAUCUCAAUCACCAGUCUACCCGCUCCUACGCCGCCCUGACGGCAGAGCACUCCAUUGCCUCUCCCCGGCCUUCGAGCCGCUUCCCUUCUCUCUCUCCCGCGCCGCUUCCUUUCCUCUGUUCCAGCGGCUAUAAAAGGAAUGCCCCAGUCGCCGGAGUUCCCUCCCCCAGUGUUGCCUUAGCCUUUCUCUCGUUCCCUGCUCAAGCUCCUAGAGCCGCACACCAAGUUCUUGAGGAGCUCUCCUCUCAGCUUUCUCCCUUGGUUUUCUCCGAGCCACCCCGCAGCUUGCUCCUCCGUGCUGCGUAAAAGCUCUCUUGUGAUCUGCAAGAAGCACCGCCGCCGCCAUAGCUUUCCCAGUCGUAGCCCUUGUUCGAAGCUUUAGUCCCUCCGCCCAAGUCUGCUUCUUCCCGACCCCAAGCUUUCCUUUCAGGAAGAAGGUGAGUUGCCGACCACAGUCCGCCUCGCCCGACCCCUCCUAUCCGCCCGACCCCGGCUCCGUCUCGCCCGACCCCGUCUGUUCCGCCGACCCUUAUCCGCCUCGCCCGAGGGCUCGGCUGUGAUCUUUUCUUAAACCCGAGGGUGUAUGUGUAAAACUUAGGAACCCUUCAGCGCUUGCGUCUGAGGAUCCCUAGUUUUCCCACAUCCUCUAGUUCAAGGAUCGGAUCAUAAGUUCCUCUCCGACCCUUACCUCUUGAUCAUCAUCAGCUCUCUUGAACCACCAUAACCUCCUGCUCUCUGUCACGAGUUUCUGGGCUCAGGCGAGCCAGGGUUGCUGUUGAAAUAACUGUCUAGGCUAACCCUUGCAUUGCAUUCGUGUAGAGCUGCACCUCGCCGACGGCUUCUACGAGCUACACCCGGCGCCAGAAGAAGAAGCUGUAGCCGAGCUCCUGCCCUCCGAAGCCGAAGUCGCCACCGAAGUCGAGCAGUUCCCGUCCUCCUUGCUCGAAGGCAAGCCCCGGUUGCAUGAGAAUCCUACGUGUUUUGCCAGACUUGCGCAUGCCUUCUGUAACAUGCUUGUGCAUUUACGUAUAGGAGUUGUGUGAAACCCUAGAUGCAUGACUUAGUCGCCUUGCUUAACUAGGAGACGGUAAAAGUCGAGUGAUCUCCUGUCACUCGCGAGUUGUAGGAGUUGGAUGUCUAUCUUUCUGUUACAACUAUAAGGACGAUGGACGGGGCAGGGUUUUGGGUAACUCUUUGGUGGAUGGAUGAUCGCCCCGUCUGUCUAUGAAAACUUGCUAAGGCCCGACAGUGGUGGUGUUCGUGAUCAAGUGUUUGAAAGUACUAGCCUCAUACUUAGUAUGGGAUGAGGAAGCCUAGUACCGGAUUGAACCUAGACGUGAGCGGUCGCCCCAUUGUUCUUGGAACGGAGUUUCCCCUGCUGGUUGUCGCAUGUGGUGGCAAGCGUGGUCACAGAACGGCAGAGGCCGGGUCUAUGGAACCUUGCACCAAAGGAAAUGGGCCCGACACGGGUUGGGGGAUUGAUGGGGAAGGCUGACACAGGAAGCGACCACCGGGUGCGCGGAUGUCGUGAGGCUAGGUUCACCAUGCAUGGUUAAAGAACUCGAAUCGAUUCGUCUGCCUCUCACAGUUUGAGAUUGCUUGAUCGCUAUGUCACCCUGAGUAACCAAGGAAUCUAAUGAUGACAUGUUUGUUGAGAUAUCUAUGCCUCUUGUUUGGCUCUAUGAAUGCUUAGAAUAGGUUGCACCACCUAGACUGGCAAAUGAACCUAGAACCGAAGCUAAAACUGGAAAAUAGGGUUACUUAGUGCUUUUGGCAAACAAACCCCUCAGCCAAAAAGUCCUGCAUGUCUAGAAGGAGGAGUAGUUUUACUCCUAUCGGUUAAGUCUUGUUGAGCUUAGUAGCUCAGCCUUGUUGUGGCUCCUUUUUUUCAGGUGGAGUUGCUGCUCCCGACCCCUCUCUUGCUGGUGCUUGGCCGCCCCAGCUCCCGCCGGGCUGGACGGUCGAGUGGGAUCCUUCCUCGGACGGCGAGGAAAGGAACCAGUGAUGUCCCGGUCGGCCUCACCAGGGACGUCCGACCCCGACGAAGUCUUCCGCUAGUGUUUUCUCUGUUGUUUCUCCUGAACCGUGUAAAACCCUGAUGUUGGAUUUUAUGGCCGAACCAAAUGGGUAAACUUGUUUAACUCAGUGGACUCGUUGUAUUCUCUGGAACCACUCACCUUCGUGUGAGUUGCUGAACUCGAUCCUGUUUAAGUGGUUAAAUCGGAUGAAAUCCGACGGCACUUCGUGUUAACCUGGUUUAGGCAGGAGUGUCGCAUGUUAGGCGACUUAACCCUGUCUAAUCUAGCUAAUCCGAAGUGGAUCCGCCACACCAAGGUGAUGUGCUCGUACCUUGGUGGUUGAGCAAUGUCGGGAGAUAUCCAUCUUGUCGUGGUUAAGGACCGAGUUGAUGUGUCAUCUUGCCUAAUUCAACCAUCAUGCAACCACUCAACCGUUGUAUGGGCAACGACUUAGCAUAAAUACCACUAGCUGAACUGUUAGUCUUCAGGGGUGCUGGUGAGCAAUGGGGGCCCAUGGAAAAGGAGUAAGAUCUUGGUGACUUAGGUCCCGGUUACGGUCUCGUGGAUGAGCCGUGAACCCCUUGGGUGCUCCCGUGAGGGCUAGCCAGUCUUAGCUAAGGUGGGUAAUGGCUUUGUUAGGAUCCGUACCGGCACUAAGGUGAUCGUACUGCGGUACCCUACUUGUGGUAAAAGUGUACAACCUCUGCAGAGUUAAAACCUAUCCGGGUAUCCAUGUCCACAGCAUUGGACGAGUUACGGAUUGGUCACAUAUCUAGCACUUGGGCAUGGAUGUCGCGCGCGCGCGUGUGUGUGUGUUGGAUUUUGGAAGUGUCCGGCAGUUGUGCCGUGGGCUAUGGCGGAUGAGGAGUCCGAUAGCAAUAAAAACUUGGAUCCUUUGUGUAGGAUCAACCCCACUUAAUGUUUCGGUUACUAAAGAAAAGCUUUACGAAAACUUGUUUGAAAACGAGCCCAUGCAUGUGUUGAAAAUCUAGCCUUAUUGCAAAUAAACCCUAGCCUAUCCUUGAUAUAUCCUGUGCAUAUACUUGCUUGUAUCCCCCUCCGUGGAUGGGGUUGGACUUGUUGAGUACGUUCGUACUCACCCUUGCUUCGUUACUACAGAGGAAGACCCGGACUUCAUCGCCGAAGACCUUGAGUAGAGGUUGUGUCCGCACCCAACGCUGCCUGUGGUGCCGGCCUUUCCAAGAUGCUUCUGCUGCCGUGUAGUCCCGAGUGCUGUCUUUUGGCAGUCGCUUGGUUAGCCGUUGUUGUUUAUUUACUUCUUAUCGCUGCGUGGCUUUCACGCCCACUCCCUCGGGAGUUGUACGGUAACUGAAUUAUCUGUUGAAUAAAUGUGUUAUCAGCCUCCUGGGACCGAUAUUUGUAUCACAUUUAGUCUCUACUUAUGUGGGGACGCUUCAGGUGGUAUCAGAGCCGUCGUUGGCUGUAGGACGCGACCUUAGGACCGGAUUAGCCCUUUUGACCAAAAUAAAAGAUUUAUAAAAUUUCUGCCUACCUCUGCUCUAUUACAAAACUAAUUUGUGCCCCGGUACCUUGCCAGAUGGAAGAAGGGUUGUGGACCCACAGCCGUUGCACGGAAGAACCCGAUUUCCCCAAGUUGUUGCUUGUUUGCCUGAAGCGCCUUGGCAUCCAAGAGCCCCUAGAAUAUUCCAGCAGAGAAUACGAGCACUACGGUAUCCCUCAGUGUGAAGUAAUCAUCCACAUUGGAAGGAGUGCUCGCUACCCCAACAUUGAGCCACUCCAAGUAUCAGCUAUGGGAUUCAGGCACCGGGACACCUACCCAGUAGCAGCUCGAAAAGCUCUCGGCUACCUAUGUCAGAUGUACGAGGUGCACCUCGAACCCACAUCUAUGAGGUACUUUCCGCCGGCCGAAAAGGACCAUCCGGGUUGGAGAGCCCGAAUGAGAGCUUUGGAUGAACACGGACGGCGUGAAGAGGACGCCACCGUAUAUCAUAUGGCCACUUAUCUCGUCAGCUUGGGUAGACCCUAUGAUCAGCAGGCCGCAAAGCUGAGGCAACAAGUUCGCCAUGUCGAGAGGGCAGAGAUUCACAUAAGGAUGCUCCAAGCAAUGCUAAGGGAAGCUAGAGCACAAGUGGCAGCUGCCCGAAGUGCAGAGAGUGCAGCUAUGGAAGCCCUUAAGCAAGCUCAGGAUUGGCAUCUCCAAGAGCUCAAGGAGGCGCAUCUCAGAGGGAUUUCCAUAAGACGGAUGGUCACCUCGGAAGCCGAAGGGCCUCCUUGCUCCAAAGGGAAUCCUCUCGCCCUCGAGUACUACAAGUGUCAUGGUCUCAAAAUUCCACCGGUUGCCCCCUUCCUCGAUACUUCCAGAAGAGGCAUUGAGCUCACGGUGGGAGAAGCCGCAGAUCCCCCUCUCGGGUGCGGAGCAUGGAACAAGGAUGAUGAGUCAUCCCUCCUCAUCCCGUUAGAAGACCACUCAAUCCAGGGAGAAGACUCACCCCGUGAGUAGUGUACCAGCCCAGAGUUGCCAAGGGAAUGAAGCCGUCAUGGUCCGCAGUUUAGAGUUGUACCCCCCUUCAGUUGUGUUGUUGUAACCGGUCGUGUAGUACGUGUUUUGGCCCUACCCUAGCAAUGUUGUACCCUCCCCCCCCCCCCCCGUGGCAAAAUAAAUAAAAUCGCUUGUGUUUGUUGCUUGUUAGUCAGUGUUUGUCGACAGGAGGUGGAUUCUAUCUCUUUAAAAAUACGAAAUAACCACUUUAAAGAUCACUAAAAUCCAAAUCCCACUCUCAUAAAGUCCCACUCAAUCUGUAGAUGCCACCCAAGCGUGCCACCAGGACUUCCCCAAGUCAGGCCCAUGCCACCCCCAGUGCUGAGAGGCAGCCAGAAAGGCAAGAACCGCCUCUGGCAGUGCUUCCUGAGGAACAGGAAGUGAGCUAGCCAGAAGGAAGGGGAGAAAGCCAAGUGGGAACAUAGCAGCCACCACCCCCACCAGUUAUUGAUCUGGUUCAAGUGAUGAACAACCAGACCCUUCUGCUGGAAGCUCUGGCCAACGCCGUCACCCGCCAGAGGUCCCGCGGGCAGAACAUGAAUGAGAAGUUGACGGACUUCCUCCAGACCAAGCCACCCACUUUUGGUGGGUCCGUCAACCCUCUGGACGUAGAUGACUGGCUGCGCGUCAUCCAGAGGAAGCUGGAACCAUUUGGUUGCGAGGGCAGGGACAAGGUUCUCUUGGCUGCCCACCAGCUCACCGGAACUGCCCUAGCCUGGUGGGAGAAUUACUGCUCUGCCGCCCAGGAUGCCUCCACUAUCACCUGGGAUGAGUUCGUGACAGAAUUCCGUCGCUACCAUAUCCCCGCAGCCACCAUGAAGCGCAAGGCGGAUGAGUUCCGCGAACUUCGCCAAGGAAAUAGAUCUGUGGAGGAGUACACCUUCCAGUUCAUGGAGCUGGCCCGUUAUGCUCCAGAGGAGGAGGACAAGGAUGAGAAGAAGCAGGACAUGUUCAAGAAGGGCUUGAACGCGGAACUGAGGACCCUGCUCACUCCUCAGAUCUACCCCGACUUCAACACCUUGAUGAACAUGGCCAUCUUGACUGAGAGGGCCAAAGCAGAAGAGCAGAGGGACAACAAGAGCCGGUUCCUGGAGAGCAAGACGCACCAGCAGGACCGAUUCCAGAAGCCAAGGAGCUUCGGUCACCCCUUGCCCAGAUCCCAAGCUCCCAUGCAUUAUCGGACUCAGUCCCAAGCACCCGGUUCCUACCAGACCGCUGCCCCGUUCAGGAGCCAGAACCCUGCCAAGGUCCCACAGAGCAGCGCCAGCCAAGUCAUUGGCAACAGUAGGGCAUGCUUCAACUACAGAGAGCCAGGGCAUUUCAUCGCCAACUGCCCCUAUGCCAACAAGCCAGCAGCAUCAGCCUUCUCCAACUCUGUAGCUGGGCCCAGGGCCGCAUUGUCAGGAGCCAACCGUGUGCCAGUCCACAACAACAACAACCCCGGCAACAACAACAGCCAGCAGAUGAGGCCGCCCCAGCCAUCAUUCGGACGAGCUCGCGUCAACCACAUCGGCGCGCAAGAACCUCGCGAAGCUCAGGGCGUGGUACUCGGUGAGUUUCUAGUCAGCUCAGUCUUGGCAACAGUACUUUUUGAUUCUGGAGCAUCACAUUCCUUCAUAUCCUCAAGUUUUGUGGAAGAACACCAUAUACCUACAGUACUACUAAAGUUACCCCUAUUAACCCGGACUCCUGGAGCCGACAUUCAGUGUCGACUAGGUUGUUCCCGGGUAAGGAUCAAUUUAAGUGGGGUAGAAUUUCUAGCGGAUCUAGCGGUACUUAAGUCUAAGGGGAUAGAUGUGAUUCUCGGAAUGGACUGGUUGAGCCUGCAUGACGGACAUAUAGGGUGUGCCGAUAAGGUAGUGCACCUGACCAAUCGGGAUGGUGUGCAAGUGACCUAUCACACUCGAGGAAGUGGUCCAGACCCCAUGGUGUUUAGCAUGGAGACCAAGACCAUAGAAGAAGUCCCAGUAGUGAGCGAAUACCCGGAUGUCUUUCUCGAGGAGCUACCUGGAAUGCCCCAAGAUAGGGACAUAGAGUUCGUAAUUGACCUUAUCCCCAGAACCUCUCCUAUAGCCAAGAGACCCUAUAGGAUGGCAGCCUCAGAGUUAGCCGAACUGAAGAAACAGUUGGGAGAAUUGCAGCAGAGUGGCUUUAUCAGGCCUAGCUCAUCCCCGUGGGGAGCCCCUGUACUUUUUGUCCAGAAGAAAGACGGGAGUAUGAGGAUGUGCGUAGAUUAUCGCGCACUAAAUGAGGUUACCAUUAAGAACAAGUACCCCCUCCCCAGGAUAGAUGAUCUAUUCGACCAACUGAAAGGAGCCAAGUAUUUCUCCAAGAUAGAUUUAAGGUCAGGGUACCAUCAGCUCAAGAUCAAGGAGAGCGACAUCCCGAAGACGGUCUUUGUCACCCAUUAUGGUCAGUUUGAGUUUACCGUAAUGUCUUUUGGAUUGACCAAUGCACCUGCUUACUUCAUGAACCUCAUGAACAAGGUGUUUAUGGAUGAGUUAGAUAAGUUUGUCGUAGUCUUUAUUGACGACAUACUUAUUUACUCCAAGAGUGCUCAAGAGCAUGAACAGCAUAUACGGGUGGUAUUAGAAAGAUUGAGAGCCCACCGACUCUAUGCUAAAUUCAGCAAGUGUGAAUUUUGGCUUGCGAAAGUGGCAUUCCUUGGUCAUAUCCUGAUCGCAGAAGUAGUAGCAGUUGAUCCUAAGAAAGUUGAAGCCGUCUCCAACUGGCAACAACCCACCAAUGUUAGUGAAAUCAGGAGUUUUCUGGGUUUAGCUGGGUAUUACCGGAGAUUUAUUGAGGGAUUUUCCAAGAUAGCCUGGCCCAUGACAGAGCUGCUCAGGAAGGAUAAGAAGUUCACCUGGACCGAGUCAUGUGAACGGAGCUUCCAAGAGCUGAAGAAGAGGUUGACGACAGCCCCAGUAUUAACCUUGCCUGACAUCCUGCGAGACUUCGUCAUCUACUGUGAUGCAUCCCGACAAGGAUUAGGAUGUGUCCUCAUGCAAGAUGGGAAGGUUGUGGCAUAUGCUUCCCGACAACUUAAGCCCCAUGAGCAGAACUACCCAACCCAUGACUUAGAGUUUGCAGCCGUAGUGCAUGCCCUCAAGAUCUGGAGACAUUAUCUGAUUGGGAAUAAGUGUGAAAUCUACACCGGCCAUAAGAGCUUAAAGUACAUUUUCACCCAGCCCGAUCUAAAUUUAAGGCAAAGGAGGUGGUUAGAACUGGUAAAGGACUACAACCUAGAAAUCCACUACCACCCCGGCAAGGCUAAUGUUGUGGUUGACGCCUUAAGCCGGAAAUCCUAUGGACCGCCCGGACCCGAGAAUGCCCGCCUACAAGAGGAAAUAGCUCGGUUAAAUGUGCACAUAGCUCCCCAGAAUACUAGCCGCAAGCUAAGUGUCCAGCCCACCUUGGAGGAUAAAAUCCGAGAAGCCCAGAGUUCGGAUCAGGACUUAGUAAAAAUCCACAAGCAGACCGGAGAAAAUAAAGCCCCGAAUUUCAGGGUGGACGGCAAAGGGACCCUCUGGUACAAGGAUAGAAUUUGUGUCCCCAAGGACGGAGAGUUCAGGCAGACCAUCAUGGAUGAAGCCCAUAACUCGGCAUACUCCAUUCACCCCGGAUCCACCAAGAUGUAUAUGGACUUAAAGCAGAAGUAUUGGUGGCAUGGAAUGAAGGCAGACAUAGCUCAGUUUGUCGCCCAUUGUGAUACUUGCCAAAGGGUUAAGGCCGAGCAUCAGAAGCCAGCCGGCUUGCUAUAACCAUUGCCUAUCCCGGUUUGGAAGUGGGAUGAGAUUGGCAUGGACUUUGUAGUAGGCUUGCCCAGAACUCAGAAGGGAAAUGACUCCAUAUGGGUAAUAGUGGACCGACUCACUAAAGUCGCUCACUACCUACCCGUACGGACCACUUAUGGUGGAGAGAAACUAGCUCGACUCUACGUCGACAACAUAGUGAAGCUGCAUGGUGUGCCCAGCCGGAUCGUCUCGGACAGAGGAACUCAGUUCACCUCUAUGUUUUGGAGAAGUUUGCAUAAAGCCAUGGGCACCAAAUCGGAUUUUAGCUCAGCCUACCACCCCCAGACUGACGGCCAAAUGGAGAGGGUGAACCAAAUCAUGGAAGAUAUGUUGAGAGCGUGUGUCCUCACCUAUGGCAAGGAUUGGGAACAAAGUUUACCCUAUGCAGAGUUCUCAUACAACAAUAGCUAUCAAGCCAGCCUAGGCAUGUCGCCAUUUGAGGCCCUUUAUGGUAGAAAGUGCCGGACCCCUUUGACGUGGUCAGAAGUAGGAGAACGCUCCCUAGUCGGACCCGCUUUCAUCAAGGAAGUUGAAGACCGUGUGGCAGAAAUCCGAGAGAAGCUAAAGGCCGCACAGUCCAGACAGAAGAGCUACUCGGACAAGAGGAGACGGGAAUUAUGCUUCAAUGAGGGAGAUUUUAUCUACCUCAAGGUCUCCCCGAUUCGGGGUACUCGAAGGUUUCAAGUACAAGGAAAACUAGCGCCUCGGUAUAUCGGACCUUACCAGGUGUUAAAAAGAGUUGGAGCCGUAGCUUACCGUAUCCAACUGUCUGAGGAAAUGUCGGAUAUACACCCGGUAUUCCAUGUCUCCCAGCUGAGAAAAUGUUUGAGAGUACCAGAGGAACAAGUACCGGUGGAGACAAUAGACCUACAAAAGGACCUUCGGUAUCAAGAAGUGCCCGUCAAGAUUUUGGACACCAUCACCAGAAGGACAAGAAAUACAACAGUCCGGAUUUGCAGAGUACAAUGGAGUAGACAUGGCGAAGAAGAAGCCACGUGGGAACGCGAGGACGCGUUAAAGAAGGAAUUUCCCCACCUUUUCAGGACUCAGUCGAAUCUCGAGGAUGAGAUUCAACUUAAGUGGGGUAGGUUUGUAACAUCCGCGAAAAUCACCAACUAAAAUCACCCGUUAAAAAUCGCUUUCAAAAUCUUUUUACCGCUGAGCUCCCGGAUAUCGAAAACUUUCCCCGGCGAUUUCGCCAUCCCGGCACCUAAGCCGACAGCCAUCAUCUUUACCCGUGCCCAUAAAUCUCACCGCGUGCAGUCGUCAGACCACCACGCGCGUGCUCCGACCGCGUGCCGCAAUCGUCGCCGGUUCCCCUUCUUUCUUUCUCUGUUUCCUCCCUCUUUCUUUCUUUUUCCUCUUCCUUCUCCUUUCUUUUUCUUCUUCCUCCUCCUCCUUCUCUCUCCUCCUCUCUUCUUCUUCCUGGCGCCACUCCUCCCGGUUCCUAGCGCCAUUUCCUUUGGAUGCCCCCCCACCGGCGCAUUUACUCCUCCCGGCGCCCACGUCUCCCUGGCGCCACGCCGCCCAGCCGCCUCGGGCCGCGCCCCGCCGCCCGGCCGACCCCGCCGACACCACCUCCAGCCCCGCUCCGUGCUGGCCGACCCCACUGACCCCAACUCCGGCCCCACUCCACACCGCCUGACCCCGCCGACCCCUUCCCGCGCCCCUCUUGUGCCGGCCCCACCUCCGUCCCCGCUCCACGCCGCCCGCCGCCAGCCCCUACCUCUCCUCCGGUGCCGCCCGCCGCACGCCACCGUUGACGUGCCGCCCUCCCCACGACGCCCUCCUCCGGUGCCCGAGCCCCUACCACCGGCCCGGCCUGCCUGGCCCCCACCCCCACGCUGCACACCGCCGGCCGCCCGGUCUCCCACCGCCAGCCGCCCCUCGUCGGCCUAUAAAAAGGGCCGCUCGCCCGGCCUCCCUUGCCAGUCCACCACCACCCAGCUCGCCACCCCAACCUACACCACUCGCCAAGCACCGCCGCCACCAGUACCUCCACCGCCCGAGCGCCAACCGCCGCCGCCUCCACCGAACCACCGCCGGCCGCCCCUUCCCUAUCCGAAGCUCCAAGGUAUCGGGCAAAAUGGAGCCCCCACGGCCUCCUCUAGCCUCUCCCGCCGCCUCCCCUCGCCGCCGGCGAGCCUGGGCCACCGCCCCAGGCCGGCCGCCCCUCCCUCCCAUCUCCUCUAUUCCGGUAUAGAGAGAAGGGAAGAAGAAACCCCUACUUUCCGAUCUAACCCCAAGGAAUCUGUUAUUCGCGAAACAGUCCUUCGACCACUCUCAUAAACCUAUUCACGGAUAAGCCCCUCCACCUCCAAAAGUAUUUACAAAUAGGUCCCUGGUUUAUUAUAAAUCAGUCCUAAACCUCCGUUUAAGCCCCUAAUUCAUGUUUAACCCGUCAUUUCAUGCUGCAGAGUUAAAACCUAUCCGGGUAGCCGUGUCCACGGCAUUGGACGAGUUACGGCUUGGUCACAUAACUAGCACUUGGGCAUGGAUGUCGCGCGCGCGCGUGUGUGUGUGUGUUGGAUUUUGGAAGUGUCCGGCAGUUGUGCCGUGGGCUAUGGCGGAUGGGGAGUCCGAUAGCAAUAAAAACUUGGAUCCUUUGUGUAGGAUCAACCCCACUUAAUGUUUCAGUUACUAAAGAAAGCUUUACGAAAACUUGUUUGAAAACGAGCCCAUGCAUGUGGUUAAAAUCUAGCCUUAUUGCAAAUAAACCCUAGCCUAUCCUUGAUAUAUCCUGUGCAUAUACUUGCUUGUAUCCCCCUUCGUGGAUGGGGUUGGACUUGUUGAGUACGUUCGUACUUACCCUUGCUUCGUUACUACAAAGGAAGACACGGACUUCAUCGCUGAAGACCUUGAGUAGAGGUUGUGUCCGCACCCAAUGCUGCAUGUGGUGCCGGCCUUUCCAAGAUGCUUCUACUGCCGUGUAGUCCCGAGUGCUGUCUUUUGGUAGUCGCUUGGUUAGCCGCUGUUGUUUAUUUACUUCUUAUCACUGUGUGGCUUUCACGCCCACUCCCUCGGGAGUUGUACGGUAACUGAAUUAUCUGUCGAAUAAAUGUGUUAUCAGCCUCCUGGGACUGAUAUUUGUAUCACAUUUAGUCUCUACUUAUGUGGGGACGCUUCAUUCAGGUUCAUGAAGCGUCUGAAUCCAGUUAUCUUCAAGUCCUACAGAAGUUGAGGAACUAGUACGUUCAGCACGUUUCGUGGCAAUCCGAGUGGAAAUAUUCGCCUGAAGGCGAGACCUCAGCUGCAUAUAAAAGACCAUGGAAACACGAAGAGCUGGGAAAAUGCAGGAAAUGAAGAAAUUGAAUCAAACCUAAUCAGAAAGAUGCUCCGACUCGUCGCGGGUUAGCUGACCACCCCUCGUCUUGAAGAAGUUCAUCAUAAUAUUCUUUGCGAUGUUUUUUGGAAGCACAGGCAUAUACUUAGGAGGAAGCUUUUCCAAGAAUGCGAACAUCGUUCUUGCUCAGUGAUUUCUCUAAGGAAGGAGCAUCUUCAGGGAACAAUGAGCACGUAGAAUGUGCAAGGGCUCGGACACCGACGACAGCACUAAGCUCAGCUUACAUUUUCCCAGUUUUGCACAGCAGUUCUGCGUAGAUGCUAACCCACUCAUAGAAUUGAAGAAUGGAGCAAGACCUAACUUCGAAUAAAGGGGAGACAAAUUGAAAAACUCCAGGGCUCAAACUAUAUGAUCACAAAGACCCUCGGCACCUUUAAUGUGGCAAGCACGAUAGCGAGAGAGAUCAUUUCUAGCCUUCUCCAAGUCGUCACCCUUAGCCGACAGAUCUUUUGAUAGAGCCUCAAUGUUCUUCUUCAUAGUGUCACAAGAUGAGAGGGUACAAUUCAGCUCCUCGCCUACAGUUUUCAUCCCAUAUUGAGCUUUGGCGACUUCUUCAUCAGAUUUAACUUUACCAACGAUUAGCUGCUCGUUGAGGGUUGUCUCCAAAGCCAACUAGGAUUCCAACUCAGCAACACAGGUUUGGAGCAUGGCAACUUCAACAGAUGAAGUUGGACUUUCCUUGUCUUUGGCAAUCUUGCAAGAGAUACAUCGAGCAACAACGAAAUUCUUCAGAGCAAGAUCCCCGCAGGCCUCAACCAUCGUUUCCAAAUCAAGAUUACCAAUCCGUCUUCCUCAUGAGGGAAGCAAAAACUAUCACCAGCCCCGGAAAGAAACUGUCGUUCGUGACCAUCACUCCGAAGGGUCAAGAAAUCAAUGAUUUUACCACCAAUAAGCUUAGCAUCCUUCGGCGCACUGAUAUGAAGAGUGGCCUCUUUCAGGUCCUCUAGAGUGACCAAGUAACCACUGCUGUCAAGCUCCUCUUCAUCUUCAAAAUCAUUGUUGCCUGAGGUAGCCGUCGAAGGGGUUGCAGAGUGACGAGUCCUCGAAGUAGACAACGAAGCAGACAAAUUCGAAGAAGUAGCAGAAUCUUUCUUCGCGCCGCAAGGUCUAAGAUCAACAGAUUUGGAUGGAGCGUGUUCAGCUGUAGAAAAAUCAAUAUUCACUUCUUCUUUCUCAUCAGUCUCUGGCUGGAGGGGGCUCAGUGGAACAAGAAGAGACUCUAUGGCAGAAGAUGCUCUAGCAUCGACUGACGGAGUAGAAGGAUCGUCGAGAAUCAAGAAAUCAAUGGUGACGCAAGGAACAUGAUUUAGACAGGUUCGGGCCGCUAGAUCGCGUAAUACCCUAUGUCCUGUGUAUUUGUUUGUAUUGAUCUUGGAUGAACUGGAGUUGUUCUCUUUGAGGGGGGUCCCUGCCCGCCCUUAUAUGCACGGGAGGGCAGGGUUACAAGUCCGAGUCCUAGUCGAGUACAAUUACAGAGUUCUACUCGGUUAUGGCCCGAGUAGUUUUCCAUACACAUACUUGACUAGUCCGAGUGGGAUACGCCUAUCCCCUUGUCUUGAUCAUAUCCGAGUACGUCCCUUAGUGGGCCGUCCAGGGUUUACCCGUGGGCCUGGGAUGCAUGCCCAACAAGCCCCCGAGUACUUUGUAGUCGUGCACCACAGUCUCGAGUAUUGUGGGCACUAUCCGAGUAGUUCGUCGUAGAGGUAUUAGUGUCCGAAGUGCUCGAGUAUUGUCGUGUGGCUGGAAGGUACUCUUCUUGCUCCUUUGAGUUGCUUCUGUUCCAAGAAUUUUUAUAUGGUAGUGCGAUGACAAUCGUACUCCAUAUGGAGUAGCCCCCGAGCCUUAGGUUGAGUCGAAGAGUCAGGCUUAGAGUCAAUCCUGCUUCUUGGCUAUUUUACCCUCAGAAAUCUGAAAAACAAAAUUCUAACCAUCGGGUACGGUACCCGCAGCCCCCGAGCACUUAGGCGAUUUUUGUCGUUGCAGUGGUCAAAAACCCAUUGAAAAGAGUAGCCGUUGGGUAUUUAAGGCAAUUAAUCUGAUUAAAAUCCAUCCGUUGCGUCACUGACGCUUGGAAUCCGAAGGUGGCGGAGAAAUAACUGGAGGGCCCCCUUUUGGUUAGGUUUACACCCCACUGCAGCAGAUCUCUUUCUCUUCUUCCUCCACCUUUCCGUUCCUAUUUCCUCCGCCGUGAUUCUCUAGUGCCACCGCCGCCGUUGCAACUCCUCUGAGAGAGGUUCGAGGUUGAGUGCACUUUGCUGCGACUGAAGCCGGUGGAUGCGCACCAAGAAGAUGGGGAAGAAACUCGAGAAGGUCCAAGGCAAGGCUCCAACGGCGGGCAAGGUGAAGUCCAGGAAGGGGAAGGAACUGGUGCUGCCGGCGCCGAAGGUGGGGCCGACGAACUAGACUGGGCCACCACCACCUGGAGCGACGUGGCAACAUUCGGUGAUGAAGGAGGAGGCCGUCCAGGCGCUAGUCGACGCCAAGCUUCUACAGAUGAAGGAGGUGCUCGAGUGGCACCCUACUUUUGCGAAUACGUGGCAGUUCGAGGAACACCCCAAUGAGAUAGUGAUGCUUGCGCACUUUGUGGAGAGGGGGUUGGUGGUGCCCACCUCUAACUUCUUCAGAGGUAUCCUCGAGUACUAUAAGCUUCAACUUGUUCACUUGAACCCAAAUGGUGUACUGCAUAUGUCAAUUUUCGUACACCUGUGCGAAGUUUACUUGGGAGUUCCUCCGAGCCUUGAGCUGUUUAGGAAAUUGUUUCGCUGUAAACCUCAGCCUAGUGCACUUAGGACGGAGGUCUUUGGAGGCGCCGGGUUCCAACUCAGGAACUCAGGCGCGUAUAUUGAAUAUAACUUGACUGACUCCCAUGGGGAGUGGAAGAAAAGGUGGUUCUAUAUCAGUAACCAUAAUCCUCGCUUGCCGGUGGUUACUGGCCAUGCGCCAAAGCACGCAGAGAACUGGGUGAGCGAACCUAAAGAUACCCCAGAGCUUGACCAUUUGCUGCACCAGAUUACCGAGUUGAAAGCACUCAGUCUGACUGGGAUUAACGUGGCGGCCAGUUUUCUCAAGAGAAGGGUUCAGCCUCUUCAAAAAUGGGAUCACUCAGGGGGUGAGUACUCGGGAUUUAACGACCCGUCGUGUAUGUCCGCUGAGGAUAUAUCCGACGAUGAUGUGGAGGCACUGCUGGCCAAGUUCUUCAGAAACUAUCAAGGAGUACCAGUUAUACCUGCAGCUCUUCGGCAGUAUGAUGCUUGGUAUGAGCCAGAAGUGGUAUGUCCUUGCACUUGACUUGUACUAUGUGAACUUUUGAACCCUUGUUGUGAGUGUCGACUUAUUUUUGUAGUCCCGAGUUCUUGCUGGCUACUUGGCGCAGUCGGAACAAGAAGAAACUAUUAUUGAGGAAUCAGAGGAUGAGCCCUCUCCUCCCGUGAAGAAAUGCAGAGUAGUCCGCAAGAGGUCUGCUGCUAAGUCUGCUUCAACUUCUCCUCCUGAGAAGUCUCAGGGUGCCAAGGUAUGUGGCCGUGUAUUUACUCGUAGCUGAUGGAUUUGAACUUGUAAUCUUGUAAUCACUUUGUCUCUCUCAAAAGGUUGACGAUGCUACACUUGGUGGUGAUGAGGCUUCUUCUAAGGAAGUACUCGUGACCGACCCGGGCAUCGGUAUUGCAUCUGUUGAGAAGGUGCCAGAGGAGGUGCCGCCAGCAAAUGCUGGAGUAGCCCCGUGCUGAUAGCCCAAACUCCAUCGGCUACUACACUGCCGGUCCCUGAUCAGGCAGUCCUGGGUUUGCCUGCUAGUGGAGCAGAUGUCGCAAAGGAAAUGUCGCCAAUAGUUGCUACUGGUUCUUUGUUGUCCAAUGUGAUUACUAGUAGUGAGCUUUCUUUCCCGACUGGUUUUGUUAGUCUGAGUUUUAUUGUAGUCUUGACUCUGUGUUUCCCAGGUCUUGGCGAGAAGACAGCGCCAGCAGCUGUUCUUGUGGCACCGAGUACUCGGCCGCCUGUUGCCAAGAAGAAACGUGUGCGAUUUCUGCCACGCUCAACUCGGUGAGUUUGUUUAUCCUUGGUGUGUAUCUUCAACUUGUCUUGAAUUCGUGGAAUGACUUUGUACUUUGAUGUAGGGAUGCGGAGGAGACUAUCCCUGUGGAGGCAGGAGUAGAGCCGUGUCCCCCGACUACUCUCUCUGCUCCCUUGGAGGAUUUGAUUGUCGAGGAAAUGCCCGGAGUUGACGCUGGUCGCCUUGGAGCUACCAUGUCUAUGCUUCAAGAGGUGAUCCGCUCGGUGGAGGAUCCCUCCGCUGCUUCGGGUUCUGGGAAUGCAUCUUUGUCGACAUCUACUGGUGGAGCUCUGGCUGUAGUGGAUGUGGAGAAAUCCAAAGAACCAACUGCUCCAGGUAUGUAUUCGUAGUCCUGGUAUUGUAGUCGUAGCAUUGAGGUGACUGAUGUUAAUCUCUUUAGGUGCUGCUUUGGGUGCGGCUCCUCAUCUUGCGAAGAGUACUCAAAGUCCAGUACUCAGCCUUCCGUCUGAGUCAAAGUUCCAGAGAGCUGUCGAUGUUUUUCAAAGCUUCCAGGUGUGUUUUCUUUGCUUGUCUAACAGAUUAAGUAAUUUAAGGGACUUGACCGAUCGUGUUGCUUUGUAGGAGUUGUAUGACCAGACGCAAAGGAACACUCGGGCCCUUCAGGAACGAAACCAUCAAUUGGAGCAAGAGUGUGCCCGACUUACAGAAUCCUUGAGGGUUCAUGAAGCUGGAGCGAAAUCCUUUGCUGUGGAGCGGUCAGAUCAUGAAGUCUUGCAGCAGAAGCUGGAGAGCCGCUACAAGUCUUUGAAUAAAAAGUAUCAAGGUGAGUACUUUGCAUCUUCCGAGUACGUCCGACUGUAGUCGGUUGUGUUUGAACUUGGCCAUUUUUGCAGAGCUUAAGAGGCAAGAGACUGUUGCGAGUAGCCAACUCCUUGACUGGAGAAACGCGCACGACCGAGUGACGAAUGAAGCAGAACAUCUUCGGGCCGCGCUGACAGAAGCACAUGCUGCUUGCGAGCAUUACCGAGACAGGAAGAUUCAGAAUGGGGUGAUGCUUGCUAUGGCCAUGGUGGCAUGCAGAGAUCAUGUCCAGUCCAUAGGAAGACUUCGGGGCGAACUCCAAGAGUUAACUAUUGCUGCCCAAGACUUGGUGAACGCCAUUUCCCCCUUGGAAGAGGACGCAAGACCUCAAUCGCUAGUCGAGCGCUUGAAGUCUGCUCCGGGUAAGGUGGCAGGCCUCUGCAAGGCUGUUUGCAAACAAGUCCUUGCUGUGGUAAAGUCAUACUACUCGAGGGCAGAUUUGUGGCGGCUGGUGACGGCGUUGCUCGCAACUGCAUAGAAGAAGCUUAUGCGCAGUACCUUGAGGAGGCGGAGCCAAUCGCAUCCAAGAUGUCUGAAUUUGUAUCUCCACAGGAGCCUUGAACUUUUAUGUACUCUUGUAGACCUUCGAGUACCUUGAACGAAAUUGCCUGAGAGUUGAACGCUUCUCCAUACUUUGUUGUUUGAAGUGGGUCUGACCCGUCAUGAGUAAGGAGCGUUGUACUCUGCCUCACCCGGCCCAAGGUCGAGUGGUCAGACACGGCCGACCCUUUAAGGAUGAAAUUCCGCUUUGCCCGACCCUUGGUCCCAGGGUCGGAUGCGCCCGACCCCUUGUUCUAAGGCUUCAUAUCGCCCGACACCUGGCUUAGAGGGUCGGACUUAUCCAAGCCCCCAGGACAAGGAUGCAUUUCGAGCGCAGGCCAUGCUUGGCUGGAGUAGUUCUAAGUUUUGAGUAGUCGCGAUGCUGUCGAGUACUCUGCUUUUUGGAGGUGCAUGGGUGUACUGUACUAUUUUGUCCUUUGUGGCGUGAAUGCUUUCACGUGGGUAGAGUCAGAGGUCAUCAGACUCAUCGAUCAUGGACGCGUAGUAACUCCUAGGUGGUUGGUAGUUGUAGCGCUUGGCUAUAAAUAGAUCCCCCUGGAGGCCGACCCAAAUCAAGCUUCUGAGUAGCAAUGGAUUGCCUUCGGUUGCUGUUGUUUGAGUGUAGAGAGCCUUCAAAGAGUACACCGGUGCUAGAAGAUUACUCGUAUAAUGAGACCACCUUCCCUCCACAGACUCUAGCGCUCGUAGGGAUAGCCGCGAUGCUAGAAGAAUCCUCGUAGGAGGUUUCAUCGUGCGCCUCAUCUUGUAGCUCGUGAUCCAGUGGAGUACACGCUGGAACUCACGGGUGAUGGGUGAUGAGUGCCGCGGUUUUUAUCCCGCUCACUUAGAGGUGGAGGUGUGGCUGUAGAGUGGGUUGGCUCGGCAAGGCUAGCAAAAGAGCAGCCUUGGUUCCCUCUUGGCGCGGAGCGCGGGAUUCAUCAUUGCCGCUAUCAAGGCAGCGGCGGUGCAGGAGUACCUGGCGUUCCCUUGGGUAGAGGACCUAGAUAUGGCUAUGUUUUGCGCAGCUUCCUUGCGUGUAGGUCCCACCUAUUGUAGUCGGCAGAUCUGAGUGGCCUUGUGAUAUUGUAAAACCCUGAGGCUUAAAUGCACCCCGCCAGUAGGCAGUUGCUUGUAGUCCUUUUGUAUUUCGAGUACCUUUACUCGUAUGUAAAUUGUUUCGGGCUUGAGUAAAGAAUUACUCUACCGCUAAGGCUUUGUACCAGGGCAGUAAUGCCUGUUGAGUUGAUAGUCUUGUGUCAAGAAUAGUGUACCUUGAAGUCAGUAGUCGAGUUGGUGGCUCGAGUAGGUGACAUGAGUUUUUGCUUUGAAGCAAUUAUUCGGGUGCUGCUACGGGUAGUAGCGACAAAGGUGUUCUAUAUUCCAAGAGUUUGGUACUUGUUCUCCUGAGAGCUCUUGUAGUCUGUAAGAUCCGAGUUCUGUAAUCUUUGAUACGAUGUAAGGACCCUCCCAUGGUGAAUUGAGUUUAUGCAACCCUGACGUGUCUUGGAUUCGUUUGAGGACCAUGUCGCCCAAGUUGAAAGAUCUUUCUUUGACGUUGCGGUCAUGGUAACGCCUUAACCCGUCAAGGUAUUUGGCAGAGUGCACUAGCGUUGCGCAUCUUGCUUCUUCUAGACUGUCUAGAUCUGUUCGCCUUGUUUCUUCUACUAGUUCUUCAUUGUAUUGUUCAACUGAGGGAGAUCACCACAUGAUGUCGGCGGGUAAUAUAGCUUCUGAGCCAUACACGAGGAAAUAGGGUGAGAGCCCAGUAGUCUUGCAUGGUUGGGUUCGUAGUCCCCAUAGAGCAUUGGGUAAUUCCUUGAGCCAUUUUUGCCUCCUUUGGUGUUGCUGACGUCAUGUAGUCGUUUCUUGAGAGCUUCGAGUAUCAUGCCAUUGGCACACUCGACUUGUCCAUUGGCUCGCGGGUGAGCGACCGAGACAUAGCGAACGUCGAUUCCUCUAUUCUUGCAGUAUUCCUAGAAGUCGUGAUUGUUGAAGUUUGACCCUAGGUCGGUGAUGAUCCUAUUUGGAAAACCGUAACGGUUUACGAUUUCAUCCAAGAAGUCGAGGACUCGGUCCGCCUUGGGGCAAGUGAAUGGUUUGACCUUGAUCCACUUGGUGAAUUUGUCGAUUGCCACGAGUACUCGGUUGAAUCCUCCUGGCGCAGUUGGUAAUGGCCCUAUCAUGUCGAGCCCCCAGCAGGCAAAUGGCCAUGUUGGAGGUAUUGUGACUAGCUUGUAGGCCGGUACAUACUGCUAUUUAGUAAAGAAUUGACAUCCCUUGCACUUCCGAACUAACUGUUUGGCGUCAGCUAGAGUCAUUGGCCAGUAGAAACUUGCUCUGAAAGCCUUGCCGACUAUUGUUCGUGAAGAUGCGUGGUUGCCGCAGACUCCCUUGUGAAUUUCUUCUAGGAUUUCUUGGCCAUCUUCACGGGUAACACACUUCAUGAGUACCCCUGAUGAUGCGCUUUUCCUGUAGAGCUUUUCUCCGACGAGAACGUAAUUUUUUACUCGCUGGGAGAUUUGUUCGGCUUGAUUUUUGUCAGAGGGUAGCUUGUGAUCCUUGAUGUAGUCGAUGAAGGGUGUCCUCUAGUCGACUUCUAUCAUCAUGAUUUCUUGCAUGACGUCAGUAGUCUGGACUGCUGGCGGUGUAACUUGUUCAGCUAUGGACGGCUUGUGCAGUUCGUGCACAAAAAUUCCUGCUGGAACCUCUGCACGAGUUGAGCCCAUUUUUGAUAAGACGUCAGCGGCUACGUUGUUGUCACGGGCGACAUGAUGAAAUUCCAAGCCUGAGAAUUUGUUUUCCAGUUUGCGGACUUCUUUGCAGUAAGCGUCCAUAUUGUGCUGGUUUCAAUCCCACUCAUCAUUGACUUGGUUUAUAAUGACUAGUGAGUCGCCAUACACCAGUAGCAUUUUGAUGCCGAGGGAGAUUGCAAGGCGAAGGCCGUGUAGCAGUGCUUCGUACUCGGUUUCAUUGUUUGAUGCCUCCCAGAAGAUUUGCAGUACGUAUUUGAGUUGAUCUCCCUUUGGGGAGUUGAGGAGUACGCCUGCACCGGCCCCUUCGAGUUUGAGGGAUCCAUCGAAAUACAUUACCCAGUGUUCUGGCCGCUCGACUGGUGUUGGUACUUGAUUUUCAGUCCAUUCAGCCACGAAGUCGACCAAAGCUUAGGAUUUGAUUGCUGUCCUUGGCUUGAAAUCCAAGGUUAGAGCUCCAAGUUCAACUGCCCAUUUGGAUAUUCUCCCCGUGGCGUCUCUGUUGUGGAGAAUUUUACCGAGCGGGAAGUCAGAGAUGAUUGUAAUGUUGUGUUCUUGGAAAUAAUGGUGCAGUUUUCGGGAGGUGAGCAGGAUUGCGUAUAAGAGUUUUUGUAUCGGUGAGUACCGAGUUUUGGAGUCCGAGAGUACUUCACUGACGAAGUAUACAGGUCGUUGGACCUUGUAAGCGUGGCCUGGUUCAGACCGUUCGACUACUAUUGCCGUUCUGAUGACAUGAGUAGUAGCUGAUAUGUAUAGGAGCAAGUCUUCAUUUGGAGAUGGAGCAGUGAGUACAGGAGGCUUUGACAGAAAAUCUUUGAGUUGCGUCAGUGCUUUGUCUGCCUCUUCUGUCCAUUUGAACUUGUCCUGGCAUUUGAGAAGCUUAAAGAAGGGUAGUCCCCAUUCUCCAAGUCUCAAGAUGAACCGAUUGAGAGCGGCCAUGCAGCCUAUGAGUUUCUGCACAUCCUUGAUGCUAGCUAGUGCUUGCAUGUUUGUGAUGGUAGAUAUUUUUUCCGGGUUGGCCUCAAUGCUGCGAUGGCUAAUGAUGAACCCGAGUAACUUGCCGGAAGGUACUCCAAAGACGCACUUAGUAGGAUUGAGUUUCCAUCGGAAAGCUCUUAGACUAGAGAAAGUUUCCUCCAGAUCGGCGAUGAGUUCCUCCUGGUUUCUUGUUUUGACGACUACGUCAUCGACAUAAGCUUCGACAUUGCGGUGAAGUUGCUUUUCGAAGCACAUCUGUAUAGCUCGUUGAUAGGUUGCUCCUGCAUUCUUUGGUCCGAAGGACAUUAUUUUGUAGCAAAAAGCUCCGAAAGGUGUGAUGAAAGCUGUUUUUGCUUGAUCUUCUUCCUUGAGGCUUAUCUGAUGAUAGCCGGAGUAGUAUUCAAGAAAACAUAGUAAAGCGCACCCAGCAGUGGAGUCGACCACUUGGUUGAUCCUGGGUAGUCCGAAGGAAACUAACGAGCGCGGAUUCCUAUUUAGGAUCUAGCCCUGUUCCGAUCAGGGCUGUCUUGGAAGGGUCGCCUGUGUGGAGAUCAACUGCUUUGAAGUCUUUCUCACUUGCGGGCUUUACUUUCGUGGACCCCGACUUGUUUUCUAGGAUCUCGAGUUCAGUUGGAUGAAGUUUCUUUGAAGUUGUGAAGACUUGUUGCAUGGGGCUAGGUGCUUGAGAAGACGGGGCGAUUUCCACAGCUUCGGUGUUGCAUUCGUAGGAUCGUCGUAGAUCUCCCCGUAGCGUUAGUUCUCCCUUGGGGCCUGGCAUUUUGAGUACCAAGUAAACGUAGUGUGGUAUGGCCAUGAACUUGGCGAGUGCUGGCCUUCCGAGUAUGGCAUGUAAGAUGUCUCGAAGUCGGCGACUUCAAAUCUGAUGUACUCGGUACGGUAGUGUUCCUUAGUUCCAAAGGUGACUGGGAGGACGACUUGUCCUAGUGGUAUAGCUGCGUUUCCAGGUACGAUGCCGUAGAAGGGUGAAUCUGUUGGAGUAAGCAUUUCUGUAACGUCGAGGCACAUCUUCCUCAAUGUUUUGGCGAAAAUGACGUUGAGUCCACUUCCGCCGUCGAUGAGUACUUUAGUUAGCUUCAAUCCGGCCACCACGGGGUCGAGUACUAGAGGGAAUCGGCCUGGUUCGGAGAACUUGGUCCAUUGGUCCUUCCUGCUGAAAGAUAUGGACACCUCUGACCACUUUAGUGGUGUUGGAUCUGUUGGUUCGAUGGCCAUGAUUUCCCUAAGUACGAGUUUGCUGGCUCGCUUGGAUGCGGUGCCUGGGAUUCCGCUAAAGAUGACGUUGACUGUUUUUGAGGCGGUCUGGAAGUCGCCUUCUUCUUCAUCAUCAUUGUGGACUUUGUUCUUGCCCUUAUCCUUUUUCUUGGUGUACUCUUCAGGGGGUAGUGGUGUGGGUAAGUCUUGCAUUGCUCGGCGCAUGCUGUAGCAGUCUAUUGCCGAGUGUUUGCUAGUCGGGUGCCAUGGGCACUGCUUUUUGUGUAGUUCGAUGAAGGUCGGUCCUUCAUCAUUUUUGCGGGAUCCCUUUUUCCCGGAGUUGGUCAUGGCAGCAACAGUGUUGUCGGGCUUCCUUUUACGGUUGUGAUUACUCGAAAAGUUAUUUUGAGUAUCAUUAUGUCAAGUUCUAUCUUGGUCAUUGUUAUUGGUGUUGUUACGUCCACGAUUGCGGUGGGAGCCGAACCGUUCUCGUUCCUUGUCUUCUUUGUCCGCCCACUGUUGCACCAUGACUUUGAGGUCUUUGACAUUAGCUGGUCGUCGUUGACUGAAGUCUUGGUAUGUUCGUUGAUCGUAGAGUCCAUUCUGGAAGCACUCGAUGACGUCUGUUUCUGAAAUGUCAACUAUGGUUGCCUUCUUUUCAAAGAAUCGUCGUAAGUAGUCGCGCAAGGUUUCACCUUCCUUUUGCUUAAUUUGGCUCAAGUCAAUCUUGAUGCCUGGUCUAGCCAUGGAGCCGGCGUAGUUGUUGGUAAAAGCUUUUGUCCAAUCUGCCCAAGAGUCGAUUGACUUGGGUUUGAGGGACUCGAGCCAUGUCAGCUGUGCGGGUUCCAUGCAUAUGGGAAAGUGGAUGACUUUGGUAUCGUUAUUGCCCCCAGCUGCCUGGACUGCCAAAGAGUUCGUAGCCAUUGAAUAGGGUCUUGCUUGCCAUCAUACUUGGUGAUUCCUGUUGGCUUGAACUUCUUAGGUAGUCUUGUCUUCAUUACCCAAUUUGUGAAACCAGGAAAGUGGUUGUAGUUGUCAACUUCUCACUCGCGCUGACUGUUGAGUAUUUCUCGUAGAUCACUGAAGUUUGACACUUCGUGGUUCUUCCGAGUAGGGCGAAUACUUUUUACCGAGUUGGUGCAGCUGGCUUCCCCGACGUCCUUCUGGUGUAUUGGGGCAUUUUGUUUACUCAGACCUUGGCUGUGUUGCCUUGGCUGAUUCACGACUUCGUUGUCAUUUCUCUAAGCAUCAUUGUUGUUGGCUACAGCACCUCUGCUGUCUUCUUGAUGAGCUGCGAUGCGAGGAACAGAUGGGAUUGGUGAUUCUUUAUCGAGUAGCUUGUAAGCUUGCUCCGCGAGUUGUGCGAUUAGUCCAUUGCCGCGCUGCACAAGCUGAGUUGUGGCUUCAUUGUCCCUGUCUUGAGGCAUUAACAUUGUUAAAAGAUUGAUAGAAGCGAUUGCUGCAAGUGGAGUGGUAUGUUCCUGAGCCUGAACUGCGUCGAAAGCUCUUUCAAAGUUUGUGAUGGGAAUAUUUGUAGCCAUCGACUGCCGUCGCUCGGCUCAAGUAGCAUUGUGCAUCCUUCUUUGGUUCCUUUGAUCGGAGGUUUCAUUUUGCGGGGCGUCAGCUGUAGACUCGUCUUCUGAGAUGUUGUCAAGUUGUGCUAAUCAACUGGGGGUUCUGUUCUGGCUAGUACUCGGGUUGUUAUUUUGAGUAAUAACAAAGACUUCUCUGUCUGGGUAGUAGCUUCCGGAGCUUGAUGUGGCAAUCUCUGUGGAACUUUCCUCGCGGUUGGAAGUGAGUGGGACACCCUCUUGAUAUGGGAGGUUGUCUAUAUGAGCGACAAGGCAUGACUCGUAGUCGCGGGCAAGAAGAGAUGGUCUCAAACCUGGCCAAUGUACGAAUCUGCCUUGUUAUGUUGAAGUUAUUACCAGUCCUUGGGCUGGACCAGACAAUGGUAUCUCUGGGAGAUAGACCGAGUCGGGGUCAUCGUCUUCGUCGUCCCCGAGUUCAGGUUGAAUUCGAGUAAGGAAACUCUGGUGGGCUUCAGCUGCAUUGCGGAGUCCGUUUAGAAACCGUUUUGGGGUCGAAGUUGGUUUGAGAAACGACUGGGACCAACUAGUCCAAACCAAAGUCGAGUCCGACGCGUAGUUGAACUCAAAGUUGUCAACUUUGAAAUCUUGGUUUUCUCUGAUCAAAUCCUCCUAUUCCUUCUCCUGACCGUUGAUGAUCUGGGGCCGGAAUGAACCAGCACCAUCGGCGAUGCAGAGCCAGGAUCCAAAAACGAAGGUUGCGCCCGCUUCGAUGGUGAAGAAGGGCUUGAUGAUGACCAUUGCCAUUGUUUUCGUGCUGAGAAACUCGACGAGUGCCCCUACCUGGCGCGCCAGCUGUCGGUGUUUUAGACCGGCAACCCGCCUAGGGGGUACCCUAGGUGGUCUUUUAUGCGGUAAGGAUCAUCGAGAAUCAAGGAAUCAAUGGUGAUGCAUGGAACAUGAUUUAGACAGGUUCGGGCCGCUAGAUCACGUAAUACCCUACGUCAUGUGUAUUUGUUUGUAUUGAUCUUGGAUGAACUGGAGUUGUUCUCUUUGAGGGGGGUCCCUGCCCGCCCUUAUAUGCACGGGAGGGCAGGGUUACAAGUCCGAGUCCUAGUCGAGUACAAUUACAGAGUUCUACUCGGUUAUGGCCCGAGUAGUUUUCCAUACACAUACUUGACUAGUCCGAGUGGGAUACGCCUAUCCCCUUGUCUUGAUCAUAUCCGAGUAUGUCCCUUAGUGGGCCAUCCAGGGUUUACCCGUGGGCCUGGGAUGCAUGCCCGACAGAACUUGACAAAGGGGCUAGGCAAGAACAGCACCAUCGCCAGAACGAGGACUGGAAUGCCCAGUUUCUUCAUCACCACUAACCUCAGGUACAGCUUUGUCAGUACGAGCUCUUUCCGGCGUGCGAGCAGGUUUGGAACAAGGGCGGCGUCCCCUAUUUGUGCGUUCAAGAUGUUGCGUCACCCCAGGCUUAUCUUGAGCUGACAAAGGUGUAGUCUUAGCAGGGGCUGCGGCCUUGACCGCCUCGCAGCUUUUUGCUCCAAAUGCAAAAUAUUCCUCUUCCUCGCCUUGCGAAUAGGAGCAUGAAUCUUAAAGAAGGAGAAAAUAUGAUUCCCCCGAGAUCCACCAAGCUUUUCUUGCACUUCCUUGCACUCCGAAGGGGACUCUGCCCCAAGAAUGAAAUAACCUCAUUCCUCAGCCUUGAUGGCAUUUACCUCUGGAAAAAACGAAGAAGGGAUCAAUAAGCAACAAAAUGUCACAAAAAGGAAUUAGAACCCAAAAGUAAAUGAAGGAACUCACUGUCUCGGGUGAAUCUGAAGAACUUCAUCCAGUCUUUACAAGGGAUAGGCCAUCGACUUUGGCCCAAUCAGUCAUAGGGAUCUCCCAGCCACCUCGGAUAGGCCACACACCAACCAUAUGCUAUUCUUCAACAAUGUCACGACUACUGUACUUGCGAGCAAACAGACGAAGCAUAGAGAUAAAUUCAUCCCCUUCGAAGCAUGGAGGAAGAUCAAUUUUGUACUCCUCAUGGAGGGCAGGAAUUGUCUUGGUAACAAGAAGAUGAGGCUUGGCAUCAUCUUGCGCCUCCACUUCGUGAUACAGCCAGUGUUGGUGCCAGUCAUUAGGCCAUUUGUUACGAUAGGAAGCAACAGGGGCCAAUACACCAGUGCGAUAAACGAAGUUGAGACAUCCAAAUUGAGCCUCUUUUUCACUAACAACAACAUUUCCAUCCUCCAAAAGAUACUUCGGUUGAUGGUAGACCUUGUGGGCAGCAGCAAACCCUUUGGCCGAAGCCUUGAUUUUGGUAGUCCUACAUAUCUAGAUAUAAAUCGACACGCAAACGAGUGUGUUCGGUGUCAACUAAUGCAAGUAGAUAUCGAACAGACGAAGUAUGUCCAUGAUGACGGGAUCCAAUUCGAAGCGGAGUCCGGCAAUUAGAAGAUCCCAGAAAAUGACAACCUUGUUGUACUCAGGUUUAGGAAUAAUCUCAAAACUAGGAGCCCUAGUAGAAAUGACCACCCUCUUGUCUUUCAGCAUAACAAUGCUUUUGGGAGUCAUUCGGCUCUGACCGAAGAUGAUGGUCUUGCGUAUCGCGUGGUCUUCAUCUUCGUCGCCCGAAGGACGCUUACGCUUUGGAAACAUAAGGAGCACUCCACGAACUGGUUUCUAGAUGAAGAACUAAAGAAGUUACCAAAACAAUGGAUGAAGGGGGCUUCGGACCUCUGGCAGUGAAAGCGAUAGCGGUAAAAUUAAAUGGCCUGGGCACGCAUGGGGGUGUUUAUAUAGGCAUGGUGGAAGGAAAUAGUCAGGAGGGUAAAAAGUCCUAAAUGAUAUUUAAUAACAUCAUUAAAAAUAGUAAAUAAAGGGUAUUAAAGUAAAAUCCUUAAUGGGCUAAUCUUGGGGAGUUCCUGUGGCGGAUCCACUUCGGAUUUGCUUGGUUAAACGUGAUUAAGCCGCAUGAUACGCGACACUCACGCCUAAACCAAGUAAAUACGAAGUGCCAUCGGAUUUCAUCCGAUUUAACCACUUGAACAGGACCGCAUAGCAAACCCACACGAAGGUGAGCGGUUCCAGAUAAUACAACAAGUCUACCGAGUUAACAAAUUAACCAAUUAGUUUGACCAGAAAACCACAUCAGAGUCUUACAAGGUUCAGAAGAAAAACAACAGAAGCUAAACAACUAGAGGAAGCUAACUCGUUGGGGUCGGACAUCCCUGGUGAGGCCAACCGGGACAUCAGUGAUCCCGCUCCUCGCCGUCCGAGGAGGGAUCCCACUCAACCGUCCAACUCGGAGGGAGUUGGGGCGGCCAAGUGCCAGCAGAGGGAGGCUCAGAGACAGCAACAUCACCUGAAAAAGAAGAGCCACAACAAGGCUGAGCUACUAAGCUCAACAAGACUUAACCGACAGGGAGUACGCUACUCCACUUCUUCUAGACAUGCAAGGCUUUUUGGCUGAGGGGUUUGUUUGCCAAAAGCGCUAGGUGUAUCCCUACUUCAAGUUUUAGCUCAGGUUCUAAGUUCAUUAUCCAGUCUAAGUUAGCAACUUAUUCUAAGCAACCAUAGAACCAACCAAGGGUAUAUACAUAUCAUCACAAACCAUGUCAUCAUCAGAUUCCUUUAUUACUCAGGGUGACAUAGCGAUCAAGCGAUCUCAAACUGUGAGAGACAGACGAAUCAAUUCGAGUUUCUUAACCAUGCAUGGCGAACCUAAUCUCAUGACAUCCGCGCACCACAAGGGUCGCUUCCUAUGUCGGCCGUCCCCAUCAAUUCCCAGGCGCGCGUCACUUCCCUUGGCAUGCAAUGCUCCACAGUCCCGGUCUCUACCGUAUUGUGACCGCACUUGCACCCACAUGAUGCACCAUGGGAACCUCGUUCCAGGGACAGCAGGGGUAUAAGCCACGCCCUAGUUCAAUCAGGUACUAGGCUUCCCCAUCCCAUACUAGGUAUGAGAUUAGUACUUUCAAACACUUGAUCACGAACACCACAACUGUCGGGCCUUAGAAGUUUCAUAGACAGACGGGGCGAUCAACCGACCACCAAAGAGUUACCCAAAACCCUGCCCCGUCCAUCGUCCUUAUAGUUGUAACAGAAGAGAAACAACCAACUCCUACAACUCGCGAGUGACAGGAAAUCACUCGGCUUUUACCGUUUCCUAUUUAAGCAAGCAUCUACCCGGUCCAACAGCUAGUGUUCAGGACAAGGGAGCUAAGUUAUGCAUCUAGGGUUCCAAACAACUCCUAUACGUAAAUGCACAAGCAUGUUAAAGAAGGCAUGCGCAAGUUUGGUAAAACGUAGGGAAUUCAUGCAUCCGGGGCUUGCCUUCGAGCAAGGAGGAGGGAAACUGCUCGUCUGCUUGGGCAGCUUCGGCUUCUGAAGGCAGAAGCUCGGCUACACCUUCUUCUUCUGGCGCCGAGUGCAGCUCGUAGAAGCUGUCGGCGAGACGCAGCUCUACACGAAUGCAAUGCAUUGGUUAGCAUUUAGACGGUUAUUUCAACAGUAACACUUGCAAGUUUGAGCCCAGAAACUUGCGACAAGUUACAGGAGGGUGGGGAGGUUCAAUGGAGUUGAUGGAGAUCAAGAUAUAAGGGUCAGAUGGGGAGGAACUUAUGAUUUGACCCUUAAUCUAGAGGAAUAGAUGUGCUAGGGGUCCUCAGACGUAACGCCGAAAAGUCCCCAAGUUUUAUACAUACACCCUCGGUUCAAGAAAAAGAUACAGCCGAGCCCUCGGGCGAGGUGGAGAAGGGUCGGCGGAACAGACAGGGUCGGGAGAGACGGAACCGGGGUCGGGCGGAUAGGAGGGGUCGGACGAGGCGAACAAGGGUCGGCAGCUUACCUUCGUCUUACAGAGGAGACUUGGGUGGAAGGACUAAGGGGCUUGGGACAGCGGUGAGGAUGUCCGGUGGUAUUCCGGCGGUGGCGGUGCUUCUUGUGGAUCACGAGCAAGCUCUUGAGCAGCACUGAAAGCAGUGGCUGGUGGAUUGGGGGAAGGUGGUGUUUGCACGGAGAGGAGAGUUCCUCAGACUUAGGUGGUGGCGUUGUGAGCACGAACAGGGAGCAAGCGAGAGGGCAGCGAUGGCAAAGGGGAACUCCGGCGGGGCUCCGGCAUUCCAUUUUAUAGCUGCGCGGAAGAGGGAAGGGGGAGCAGCGCGAAGGCCGGGGAAGAAGCGAUGGAGUGCUCUGCCGGGGUGGCGAUUGAGCGACGAGGGCGGUGGAGCAGGACUUCGGGGAUGACACCGGCGGUCAUUGGGCACUGACGUCAGGGCGACGCAAGCGCGGUUUUGCCGGUGGUUGAGAUUUGGUGGAGGUGGGCGUCGUCGUGCGGUGGAUCUGAUGGAAGUGACCAGGAAAACGGCGCUAGAAACGAGGGCGCACAGGUGAGAAGACAGCGGCUGCGGUCGCGCGGGCGACGCGGAGCAAUAGAUUGUCGGGGCGGAGCUUCUGACAAGGCGGAAAAGGAGUUGUCGCUGCCGCGAUCUGGGUUGGCGGAGGAGGAAUCAUCGCGUAGCGAGGACCGGGGCGGCGCGAGUGUGGAGAGGUGACGGAAAAGACGGGCGGCAUCGGGCUCUGUAGCCGGGAUCUGGCAAUGUGAUGAUGGGCGCGGGCGGUGAGGUGCUACAGAAAGGGUAGCAGAGGAGCUUCUGCCGCAAUUGGGGAAGGGGGCGCGAGAAUCCAUCUGGUCGUGGCCGGCGACGAGGCAGAGCGGUGGGCGUCGGAGGAGUUGAGCCACGCGGCUGGGGAACUCUGAAGCGGGCAUGCAACUCGAGUGCGCCUGUCGCCGGAGAUCUCGGGGAAAGAUCUCGUGGGCCCACCGGUCAGUCUCGGUGGUCCACGGCUCAAAUUGAAGGGCGACGUUGUGGGAUGACUUAGAAAGAUCCGACGGUGGGUUGGGGGUCGGUGGGGUCGGAACUGGGGGAAAACACGGCGAGGGGUCGGAUCGAAGGGGUCGGGAGAUCUGAAGGUUGAGCAAACAGGCUUGGCAAACUGAGAUAGGUGAUCAGGGACUCGGAUUAAGAUUAACGCGAAGGAUUUUUAUCCAGGGCCGUUACAGCCUACCCCCCUUAAGAAUAAUCUCGUCCCGAGAUUCGGAUGUAGAAGUAACCGGUGGGGGUGUGUGGCCCUUACCUCCUUGGCUGGAAAGAAAACCGGGGAAGUGCUUGUUCAAGUACUCUUCUGUUUCCCACGUUGCUUCGUCCUCCGUGUGGUUUCUCCAGAGGAUCUUGUACAUUUUGACUACUUGGCAUCGGGUGCGCCUCUCCUUCUGGUCAAGGACCUUGGCCGGGUACUCUGCAUAGGUUAGGUCAGGCUCGAUUUGAAGCUGCUCCUGUUCUAAGAUCUCGGUUGGGACUUGGACACAUUUCUUCAGUUGAGACACAUGGAAAACGUCAUGUAUGGCCGAUAGCUGUUCUGGGAGUUGGAUCCGAUAGGCAACGGGUCCACAAAUUUCCACAACCUCAUAUGGGCCAAUGUAACGGGGAGCCAAUUUCCCUUUCACUCCAAACCAUUGCACUCCUUUGAUUGGAGAAACUCGAAGAUACACAUGAUCACCAAUGUCAAACUGCAGGGGCCUUCUUCGCCUGUCGGAGUAACUCUUUUAUCGGGAUUGGGCAGCCUUGAGAUUUGCUUGAAUUACCUUCACUUGCUCUUCGGCUUCUACCACUAAGUCAGGGCCAUAAACUUGUCUCUCUCCCGCUUGGGACCAGUUCAAUGGUGUCCGGCAUCUCCGUCCGUACAAUGCUUCAAACGGUGCCAUCUUCAAACUGGCUUGGUAGCUAUUGUUGUAGGAGAACUCCGCCAAUGGCAGGCACUUGUCCCAGUUUCUGUCAUAGUGGAUGACACAAGCUCUUAACAUGUCUUCAAGGAUCUGAUUGACUCUUUCGGUUUGACCGUCAGUUUGAGGAUGAUAGGUUGAGCUACGGAUGAGUUUGGUGCCCAUGGAUGCUUGUAGCUGUUCCCAAAAUCGUGCUACAAACUGAAUUCCUCGAUCAGAGAUGAUGGUCUUAGGCACACCGUGUAGGGAAACUAUGCGGUCGAGGUACAACUCUGCAUACUGCUUGACCGUGUGGGUGGUGUGGACCGGAAGGAAGUGGGCGGUCUUGGUCAGACGGUCCACUAUAACCCAAAUGGAAUCAUGUCGCUGCGAUGAAAGAGGCAAUCCAACAAUGAAAUCCAUGCUGACGUCUUCCCAUUUCCAAGAGGGAAUAGGUAGGGGCUGUAAAGUACCUACUACCUUUAGAUGACUAGCCUUGACGCGUACCGGGCAAUUUCCUGUUUCAUUCCGCUCCACCAGAAAGUUUGGCGUAGAUCAUGGUACAUCUUAUUGCUACCUGGGUGGAUUGAGAACUUGGAGAGAUGAGCCUCAUCUAGGAUCUGCUUCCUCAAGUUGGGGUCGGCUGGUACAACCAGUCGGUUUCCGUAAUAUACUUUUCCAGUUUCAUCCUGCCGAAACUGCUUAUAUCCUUCAUCUUUCAAGGAAAUCUUCCUGGUGAUCCACUGUACUUCCUCAUCCUCCACUUGUGCUAACCUUAUUUGGUCUUCUAAAACAGACUCAAGGGCGAUGUGGCCGAGGGUUCCAUGGGAAACAAUUUCCAAACUGAGUUUUCCCAUCUCAUGACACAAAGUUUCGUUGAAGGUUGUUGCCAACUAGCAGUUGCAACAGGGCUUGCGGCUAAGAGCAUCGGCCACCACGUUGGCCUUGCCGGGGUGAUAGUGCACUUCCAACUCAUAGUCCUUUAUCAACUCUAACCAUCUUCUUUGGCGCAUGUUGAGGUCGGCUUGGGUGAAGAUAUACUUGAGGCUCUUGUGGUCGGUGUAGAUGUUGCAGCGGGUGCCCAUCAGAUAAUGUCUCCAUAUCCUUAAGGCAUGGAUCACUGCUGCCAACUCAAGAUCGUGGGUCGGGUAGUUCAGCUCGUGAGGUCAUAACGCCCGUGAGGCAUAGGCAAUGACUCGGUUGUCUUGCAUAAGAACACACCCAAGUCCAGUGCCGGAGGCGUCACAGUACACGUCAAAUGACCUAGAGGGGUCGGGUUGGGCCAAAACUGGGGCUGUGGUCAGCAAGCGCUUUAAGAUUUUGAAGGCUUCUUUACAUUUGUCGUUCUACACAAAUUUGACCUCUUUCUUCAACAGCUCUGUUGGCUUAGCUAUCUUGGAGAAGUCCGGUAUGAAACGCCGAUAGUAGCCUGCCAGUCCAAGGAAACUUCGGAUCUGGUGCACUGAGGCAGGAGGCUUCCAGUCCAUAAUUUCCUGUACCUUGCUGGGGUCGACGGCUAUGCCAUUCUUAGAGAUAGUGUGUCCCAAAAACUUGACACUAUCUAACUAGAAUUCACAUUUGGAGAACUUGGCAUAGAGCUGAUGGUCUCUCAGCCGUUGGAGAACUACGCGAAGAUGGUUGGCAUAUUCUUCUUCGCUCUUCGAGUACACCAAGAUAUCAUCAAUGAACACCACUACAAACUUGUCCAACUCGGGCAUGAACACCGAGUUCAUGAGGUACAUGAAGUGUGCGGGUGCAUUGGUGAGUCCAAAAGACAUGACCAGGUACUCGUAGAGUCCAUAUCUUGUGGAGAAGGCAGUCUUAGAAUGUCACAGGGUUGGAUCUUGAUUUGGUGAUAACCUGAACGAAGAUCAAUCUUGGAGAACACUCUAGCUCCAGCUAACUGAUCAAACAAGAUAUCAAUGCGGGGGAGUGGGUACUUGUUCUUGAUAGUCACCGCAUUGAGAGGUCGGUAGUCUACACACAUGCGUAGAUUGCCAUCCUUCUUCUUUACAAAUAGGGCCGGGCAACCCCAAGGUGAUGCACUGGGUCGGAUGAAACCUUUUUCCAACAGAUCAUGCAACUGGGUCUUCAACUCGGCCAGCUCAGUUGGUGGCAUCCGAUAGGGUCUUUUGGAGAUGGAGGCGGUGCCGAGGAUCAACUCUAUGGCAAACUCCACGUCUCUAUCAGGCGGCAUGCCGGGCAAGUCCUCUGGGAACACAUCAGGGUACUCAGAGACAACAGGGAGGCUUUCUAGCCGGGCUUGCGAUAGAGGGUACGCACAGGGAAGUGCGGACUUAGGAGGUUUCAAGGACAGGGUAGAACUGCCAUGAAAGGGCGAGUUGAUGUGGAGGGUUCGGGCCGCUAGGUCUAGAAGCACUUGGUGUCUGGUCAUCCAAUCCAUUCCAAGGAUGAUAUCUAUUCCUUCCAGGUCAAGGAUGAUAAGAUUUUCCUUAAAAAGGUUUUGGCCUAGCUGAAUAGGCACAUUGACACUCAUCCUAUCAGAUGUGAUUAUUCCACCCGGGGUGGAUAUUCUAAAAGACCCUCUGGUUUGGCAUUCUUGUAACCCACACUUGUCAUGGGUCUUUCUCCCGAUAAAACUAUGUGAAGCUCCUGAGUCAAACAAAACCAAAGCUGAAAAACUGUGAAUCAGAAAGGUACCCGUCAUUAUCGGCGCACCUUCAGGAAGCUCUGCUGCGUGGGUGAAGUUCAGUUGACCCUGGCGAACUUGCACCUUGGGCCUCUUCCCCUUGUUAAGCGUUGCACUGCCCUGCACUGGGCGCGAGCUCUAAUUUCUGGGGCAGUCCUUGGCGAAAUGCCCCACAUCGCCGCAGGCAAAGCAGCGGUUACCCGUUGCAGGGCGUGGGAGUGGCGGCAGGGUUGGCCGGGGCGCCUGUGGUUGGAAACCAGGAAAACGGGGCGCUGCUGCUGGCGGGGAUCGGGCAAUCCACCUUCCCAACUGCUGGGGUUGGCUGGGCGCCUGGGGUGGAACCAUUCUGAAACGCUGCGCAGGUGGGCUGGGCGUUGGCAGUGGGGCUUUCCUCUUCCUCUCGGCUGCCAGAGCCUUCAUGCAGUCCUCUUGUCAGAUGGCCAGGUUGACCAACUCAUUGUACGUAUCCACCCUUAUCGGGUUUAACCUUUCUCUGAGCUCUAAGCUCAGCCCUCGGCGGAAUCUGUCCCGCUUCUUCUCGUCGGUGUCCGCGUGAUAUCCAGCAUAACGACACAGAUCGUUGAAGGCUUGAGCGUAGUGUAACACAUCUCGGUUUCCUUGGUGAAGAGCCAGGAAUUCAUUGAGCUUGCGCUCCAGGAGACCCUCCGGAAUGUGGUGCGCUCUGAACGCGGUCUUGAACUUGUUCCAGCUGAUGACAUGGUCUGCUGGCAACAUGGCGUGGUAGUGAUCCCACCAUAGCCGGGCGGAACCACGUAACUGCUGGGCUGCAAACCAGGCCUUAUUGUGGUCGGGGCACUAGGCGGUGAGAAGCUCGAACUUGGAUUCGAUGGUGCGAACCCAGGCGUCUGCAUCGAGCGGGUCUUGGGUCUUCUGGAACAAUGGGGGCUGCGUCCCCAAGAAGUCUUCAUAACGAGCAACAUGAGGUUGCUGCUGAGCCCUUCCACCAUGGGGCUGCUGCUGUUGUUGCCCUUGUACCAGAUGUCUCAGCAGCUCGGUCUGAGCCGCUAAGAUUGCCUCUAGUGGAGACGGGGGUGGAGGUGGGGGAAGAUCCUGUCUUUGCUCGCUGCUGCCGGGCACAGAGCCAGAUCUGGUGCGAUGCGUCAUCUACAAGAGUUAACGUUCCAUUAAAUUCAUAAUCUUAGAAGUACUCCAACAGAGGGGAACGCACAAGUUAAAUUCUCCAAUGCAACUCUUGCCGAUAAUGCAACACACAUCCCCAUAAGGGAGAUACACUCUUCCCAUUGUCAUCCUAGUUUAGCAUUUAUCUUAGCCCUGCACACGACUUUGGGCGAGCCAUACCCAGACUUCCAGGAAUUCCCUUACAUCUGAACUUAAGCCAAGGGGUCGGGCUAGACGAGCAUCCCGAGAAAAGGGGUCGGCAAAACGAUCCACACAAAAAGGGGUCUGGCGAGGCGGAGAACUGCCUUGAAGGGUCGGGCGCAUCCGAUCUCGCGACCCGGGGUCGACCAAACUUGAACAGACCCACAGAAAACGGCGUGUGUGGUAACAGCACAAACUCACAUGGUCUAACAUUCCAACGUUUUGCAAAGAGUCAAAGGUCAAACUCAGGAUCUGAUUUCAUUGGGAUCUUUUUACAAAGGUGUUCUAAAACACAAGGAGUACUCGACUCAAGGCUAACCUAUUACAGGACUAUCCAAAAUUUAGGCUGCCGAGGAGUACAACAAAAGAAUGGGUUCCCUGCAACUCUCCUUCUACGAGGGAACACUGUGAGUGGGAGAAGGGGCGUCGUCCUCUUCAAUGUCCAUGCUGGACACUUCCUCAACCUUCUCAGGGUCUUCUUGAGCUUCCAGCUGCAUCUGGAGGGCAUGCAUGUCAUCGAGCUCGGCGUGAUGCUCGUCCAGGUGAGCAUUAGCAACCACCAGAUCCAUUUCUACUUCCAUCUUUUCCUCUGAUAGCUCGAUCAUGCCAUCCACCAAGUCGGCUACUUCUCCCUCUAGCUCAGAGAUUCGGUCCUGCAUGUCGUGGACUUGAAUGCCUCGUUGGAUGAGCUGAUAUGUUUGGCCCACCAUGUCUCUUCUGGCGGCCUGGAGGUGUCCUUGGGUAUCCGUGGCGAUCCGAGCAAGGAUAGUCAUGGCUCGUCCUUGGAGCUCAAUCAGUCGAUAUAGGGCUGACAUGCACCGGAUAUUGGUGGAGAUGGUGACCAUUGAGUAGGAGGUGGCCAACACCUCGAUGUUGCUGAUGCGGUCGAGCCACGCCGGGUCCAACCGGUUCCUGGCAGGGAACAGGCGCAUGGGGUCUAGGGUGACCUCCAGCGGGUGCAGCUGACAGAAUUGAGUGAGGAGCUGAAGAGCAGCUGACUCCCAGGUGUCUUCCAAUGUAAGGCCGUAUGCUGAGAUUCCAAACGGGGGCCAGUCGGGCCGCACAGGAGGGGGAGGUACUACUGCCUGCACAUUGCAUGUUUGGACGCCUCGCUCCAGGUACAACCAUUCCGCAUACAAAGGUGGAGACUGGUACCCGAACCACUUCAAGGUGUCCCACAAGAUAGCGGGAAAGCCCUCGAAGUGCAGACACGUCGAAUGGGAGGUGCCAUCUGCGCCAUACAGGACAUGUCCGGGGGCGGCCAUCUGGAACCAAGAACCAAAACAACGUGAGAUGAACUCCAAAGGUCAGGGGUCGGACAGAAAAAGCAUCCGGAUUUUAACCGAAAACAAGCUGGAAGAAACUAGAAAUCCUUAGAACCGAAGAAGAGCUUUUCCAAGCAAGGUUGCUUUUGAGGAGGGUGGCUUUACCGAUUCUUAGCUUAUGUCGCAUGCACGGCCUACCUCGUUCUCAACCAAAACAACUGCCAAAGCUUGAUCUUACGCAGUUAGUGCCGGUGGAAAGGCAACCCGUACGUCUCUCCCUAUAAUAACUAGUCGGUUCUAGCAACGUUUCCUAAGCGAUCGCGGUUAGUGCACCUGCAGAAAACACAACCACAUGAACCUUUCGUGCCAGCACCCACGAAAGCGUCCCCAAACAUUACCGUUCACUAUAGGAACGGCAUCCAUGCGUUCAAGGCUGCAUGGACAGCACCCAACCGUGGAAAUAGGUCCCCUUUGAAUGGAACCGUAUAACCCUUCGCAUACUCAUGAUGCGGAACUAGCACACGUAUAAUAGACGUGGCGAACAACCGUGAUGAUAGGCUCGUUGGAAUCGAACCAUACCAACCUUCGUAUGGAUUACAUACGGAACCUGCGCACGUAUGAUACACGUGGGCGAAACAACCGCGAUGAUAGGAUCCUUUGAAUAGAACUCCCUAUCAACCCUCGCAUACUCGUGAUGCGGAACUCAGCACACGUAUGAUAAACAUGGCGAAGUGCUGGAAGGGUUAGCAAGAUCACCAAAUAAUUAUUAGCCACCUAAAACAACCCCAAAAUCCCCUAGGGCCCCUCGUACUAAAGUCAUCCUUAACGAUCGUACGAGAUAUUUUUCAAAGAGUUUCUUGCAAGUUUUAUCUUUUAAAGAAGUGUGUUAGGGCCUGUUGUGUUCUCUGUCUUGCUAAACCGGCUCUGAUACCAGCUGUGGCGGAUCCACUUCGGAUUUGCUUGGUUAAACGUGAUUAAGCCGCAUGAUACGCGACACUCACGCCUAAACCAAGUAAAUACGAAGUGCCGUCGGAUUUCAUCUGAUUUAACCACUUGUACAGGACCGCAUAGCAAACCCACACGAAGGUGAGCGGUUCCAGAGAAUACAACAAGUCUACCGAGUUAACAAAUUAACCAUUUAGUUUGACCAGAAAACCACGUCAGAGUCUUACAAGGUUCAGAAGAAAAACAACAGAAGGUAAACAACUAGUGGAAGCUAACUCGUCAGGGUCGAACAUCCCUGGUGAGGCCAACCGGGACAUCAGUGAUCCCGCUCCUCGCCGUCCGAGGAGGGAUCCCACUCAACCGUCCAACCCGGAGGGAGUUGGGGCGGCCAAGUGCUAGCAGAGGGAGGCUCAGAGACAGCAACAUCACCUGAAAAAGAAGAGCCACAACAAGGCUGAGCUACUAAGCUCAACAAGACUUAACCGACAGGGAGUACGCUACUCCACUUCUUCUAGACAUGCAAGGCUUUUUGGCUGAGGGGUUUGUUUGCCAAAAGCGCUAGGUGUAUCCCUACUUAAAGUUUUAGCUCAGGUUCUAAGUUCAUUAUCCAGUCUAAGUUAGCAACUUAUUCUAAGCAACCAUAGAACCAACCAAGGGUAUAUACAUAUCAUCACAAACCAUGUCAUCAUCAGAUUCCUUUAUUACUCAGGGUGACAUAGCGAUCAAGCAAUCUCAAACUAUGAGAGGCAGACAAAUCGAUUCGAGUUUCUUAACCAUGCAUGGCGAACCUAAUCUCACGACAUCCGCGCACCACAAGGGUCGCUUCCUGUGUCGGCCGUCCCCAUCAAUUCCCAGGCGCGCGUCAGGUCCAAACUUCCCUUGGCAUGCAAUGCUCCACAGUCCCGGUCUCUACCGUACUGUGACCGCACUUGCACCCACAUGAUGCACCAUGGGAACCUCGUUCCAGGGACAGCAGGGGUAUAAGCCACGCCCUAGUUCAAUCAGGUACUAGGCUUCCCCAUCCCAUACUAGGUAUGAGAUUAGUACUUUCAAACACUUGAUCACGAACACCACCACUAUUGGGCCUUAGAAGUUUCAUAGACAGACGGGGCGAUCAACCGACCACCAAAGAGUUACCCAAAACCCUGCCCCGUCCAUCGUCCUUAUAGUUGUAACAGAAGAGAAACAACCAACUCCUACAACUCGCGAGUGACAGGAAAUCACUCGGCUUUUACCGUUUCCUAUUUAAGCAAGCAUCUACCUGGUCCAAUAGCUAGUGUUAAGGACAAGGGAGCUAAGUUAUGCAUCUAGGGUUCCAAACAACUCCUAUACGUAAAUGCACAAGCAUGUUAAAGAAGGCAUGCACAAGUUUGGUAAAACGUAGGGAAUUCAUGCAUCCGGGGCUUGCCUUCGAGCAAGGAGGAGGGAAACUGCUCGUCUGCUUGGGCAGCUUCGGCUUCUGAAGGCAGGAGCUCGGCUACACCUUCUUCUUCUGGCGCCGGGUGCAGCUCGUAGAAGCCGUCGGCGAGACGCAGCUCUACACGAAUGCAAUGCAUUGGUUAGCAUUUAGACGGUUAUUUCAACAACAACACUUGCAAGUUUGAGCCCAGAAACUUGCGGCAAGUUACAGGAGGGUGGAGAGGUUCAAUGGAGUUGAUGGAGAUCAAGAUAUAAGGGUCGGAUGGGGAGGAACUUAUGAUCUGACCCUUAAUCUAGAGGAAUAGAUGUGCUACGGGUCCUCAGACGUAACGCCGAAAAGUCCCCAAGUUUUAUACAUACACCCUCGGUUCAAGAAAAAGAUACAGCCGAGCCCUCGGGCGAGGCGGAGAAGGGUCAGCGGAACAGACAGGGUCGGGCAAGACGAACCGGGGUCGGGCGGAUAGGAGGGGUCGGACGAGGCGAACAAGGGUCGGCAGCUUACCUUCGUCUUACAGAGGAGACUUGGGCGGAAGGACUAAGGGGCUUGGGACAGCGGCGAGGAUGUCCGGUGGUAUUUCGGCGGCGGUGGUGCUUCUUGUGGAUCACGAGCAAGCUCUUGAGCAACACUGAAAGCAGUGGCUGGUGGAUUGGGGGAAGGUGGUGUUUGCGCGGAGAGGAGAGUUCCUCAGACUUAGGUGGUGGCGCUGUGAGCACGAACAGUGAGCAAGCGAGAGGGCAGCGAUGGCAAAGGGGAACUCUGGCGGGGCUCCGGCAUUCCAUUUUAAAGCUGCGCGGAAGAGGGAAGGGGGAGCGGCGCGAAGGCCGGGGAAGAAGCGAUGGAGUGCUCUGCCGGGGCGGCGAUUGAGCGACGAGGGCGGUGGAGCAGGACUUCGGGGAUGACACCGGCGGUCAUUGGGCACUGACGUCAGGGCGACGUAGGCGUGGGUUUGCCGGUGGUUGAGAUUUGGCGGAGGUGGGCGUCGUUGUGCGGUGGAUCUGAUGGAAGUGACCGGGAAAACGGCGCUAGAAACGAGGGUGCACAGGUGAGAAGACAGGCGACUGCGGUCGCGCGGGCGAGCGCGGAGCAACAGAUUGUCGGGGCGGAGCUUCUGACAAGGCGGAAAAGGAGCUGUCGCUGCCACGGUCUGGGUUGGUGGAGGAGGAAUCGUCGCGUAGCGAGGACCGGGGCGGUGCGACUGUGGAGAGGUGACGGAAAAGACGGGCGGCAUCGGGCUCUGCAGUCGGGAUCUGGCGAUGUGAUGAUGGGUGCGGGCGGCGAGGUGCUGUAGAAAGGGUAGCAGAGGAGCUUCUGCCGCAAUUGGGGAAGGGGGCGCGAGAAUCCAUCCGGUCGUGGCCGGCGACAAGGCGGAGCGGCGGGCGUCGGAGGAGUUGAGCCACGCGGCUGGGGAACUCUGAAGCGGGCAUGCAACUCGAGUGCGCCUGUCGCGGGAGAUCUGGGGGAAAGAUCUCGUGGGCCCACCGGUCAGUCUCGGUGGUCCACGGCUCAAAUUGAAGGGCGACGUUGUGGGAUGACUUAGAAAGAUCCGACGGUGGGUUUGGGGUCAGCGGGGUCGGAACUGGGGGAAAACACGGCGAGGGGGCGGAUCGAAGGGGUCGGGAGAUCUGGAGGUUGAGCAAACAUGCUUAGCAAACUGAGACAGGUGAUCAGGGACUCGGAUUAAGAUUAACGCGAAGGAUUUUUAUCCGGGACCGUUACAGUUCCGAAGGAUGGUUGCACCAUGUUUUUAGGAUCGUCAGCUCAGCCCAUCAAGAGAGAAGAUGGCCCUCGCUCACGAGGGGCUACUGUUGGGGAAACCACCUUCAGAAUCCCCUUUCGGAGGGAGAAGUCCUCUCAUCACUAAGUAUGAUGGCUUGCUUGAUUGUGGCGAACUCUAAGUGCUGGGAAGAGGAGAACGGAAACGAGGGACCUUAGGAGUACGAGAGCCUUCGGGGUACGACGGUGGCGGGACAGCCCUCAGGACUCUAGGAGCGAAAGUUGCUGCGAUCGGCUCAUCCUCGACGCGAGCUAUCAGAAGGCGGAGGAGCAGAGCGAUCCUACGAAGAGCACCUCGACCUCCGAAGCAGGGUGAACGUCGAAGGGCCACGUUGUCCGUCACGUGAGGUGAAGAAGCCAUACAAGGAGCUAGCUGGAGAAGUCCGUACGAGGACCGUAUUUCCCGUUGUACCCUGCAAUAUCUGGGAAUCCGACCGUUGAGUAACGGUAAAUUGUAAUUAUGUUUUGUGGCAGUUGAUCUUCCUAUAAAUAGUGGAACCACUGUAACUGAUAGGGGGACUGGUCCGAAGCAAAUAAAAGUUAAUGCUAUUUGUUGUUCCUCUUUGCAUCUUUUAUUUAUUGUUUUAGUGAUUUCAUCUCUGGACCGUUAGAAGAAGAAUAGGAUAUACACUUGGUCCUCUUCUCCCGACGAAGGGGGCCUCACCUCUUUGGAGGAAAAACUUUUAGGCUGUUGUGACGAAGUCCCAUUGGAACCGUUUUCCAGCAACACGUUCCAUGUUCGAAGGGAGGAACUGAAGAAAUAAAAGGAGGGAAAAGAAUUUUGAAUGGCUGCGGGCAGUCGCGUGGGGAGAAAGCAGGCCGAGCUGGGGAAGGUGGUGCGAUGGAUUUCAACCAAUUCCCAGCCGCAGCACCAGUGCGGUUCCAUUCAGCCUUCACGCAAGCGCUUGCGUAGCGAUAGACAUGACAGCACCCGAGUAUUAAAAGGGAUUAUUUUAAUUUCUUUCUUUUUCGUGAGAGCGGGCAUGACAGGAGCCAUGCACAGAUGCACGCGACGUCGCUAUCCCAUCUGUGCAAUUUUGUCGAUUUACUGAGGCUUUUUUUCUCUUUUGGAAACCGUUUUUUAAUUUUCUAGUUUGGUUGGAUGUGCUUUUCGUUGCCCUUUCUGAGAUAGCGACCACGAAGGCAUCACGAAUAUACCAUGGGUUGUUUCUUCUCUCUUCUUCUUUAUGCAAAGAAAUAGAUAGGAUUGGGUCCAUUUGCCACGGGAUGAACUUCGUCAUGUAGCAUCUGCACACGCUAUAGCCAUCCAAGUGUUUUGGGUGGAGUUAUCUCGAACGUGGGGGCACGAACUGCUUUGUGACGUUGAAUGGAUUUGGUUGGAGCGAAUUGGCGACACGAUCGAUCCAGCCUAAACGGUGUAAAAGACAUUGGAAUUUUGUCAGACAUUUUGUCAUACAAAUCCGGCCCACGCCAUGAGUUUGUUUGUGCAAAUCAAACUAUGAAGGUUUGAUGCUUUUAACUCGAGAAAUGCCGAUUUUACUAUAUUCCCUAAAUUGGUAAUAUUUAUCUUUAUUUCUAUGCUCUAAUGAUAUAAUAUUUUAUAAAUACUUAGUGAUGAAAGCGACUAGAGGGAGAGGACUGUCCUGAUACUGUCGUGUCGAUAGCUAGCUCACCUUAUCGGUCUCGUUCGCUUGACACCUUUGUAAACGAACUGAGGGUCUAAAGUUUAAUCCUGAUUAAAGUUGAAGGAUCCAUCAGUCGGAGCAUGACCCUAAGUUGCAAACCUGCAGUUAAAUUCCCAACACCAAGUUUGAGUUGAUUCGGUUGGAACGCAAUGGGACUUCGCCUGAAGGAAUUGGGAAGGUGAUGGACUCGGAAUCAGGAGGCGGAGGUCAGGAUGGACACGGUGCGAUAUAGGCGAGAGUCCCCUCCAGCAGGGCACGUCGUCUGAUCUCAGCUUCGGGUCCUUCCUACUCAUUGCUGCUGGCCACCUCGUGGGUUGCACCCAGCGGCAUGGGUCUAGAGGCGUGCCUUAACCUUAGCGGACCAGCACUGCCACGCACGUUGAUCUGGGCUAGAAGCCAUGCCUACGCUAAGGGGUGCUUAGGAGAUAUGGGCUAAAUUUUAGCCUCUGUCGUAUCGGAUGUUUGAACACUAAUUAGGAGUAUUAAAUAUAGGUUAAUUAUAAAAUUAAUUACACAACCCCUAGGCUAAAUCGCGAGACGAAUCUAUUAAUCCUAAUUAGUCCAUGAUUUGAUAAUGUAAUGCUACAGUAACCAUUCGCUAAUGAUGGAUUAGUUAGGCUUAAUAGAUUUGUCUCGCGAUUUAGCCCAGGGGUUCUGCUAUUAGUUUUAUAAUUAGCUCAUGUUUAGUCCUCCUAAUUAGCAUCCGAAGAACAUCCGAUGUGACAAGACUAAACUUUAGCCCCUGCUAUCCAAACACCCCCUAAGGCGGCAACGUUGGCGCUUCGGCGGGAUUGUGCCCAUGCGUUGCGAUCUCAUCCGCACAUGCCUACCUCCAUUGUGGCGACACUGCGCCCAUGCGUCGCAAUCUCAUCCCGCACAUGCCGCUGCGCAGGGCAUAUGCCGAGCUCCAAGCUGCAGGUCAUCCUAUUAUUGGGCGAUGAAGGUUCUAUUUCAGCUGUGGGAGGUCGAGGCCACGACAGAUUUGCACAGAAUUCAGAUACGGGGAAAAGUAUCGAAGGAGGGAUUAGGAGAAGGGGGAAAUAGAUGGUAAAGUUCAAGUUCAUGUCCCUCACGAACUCUAUUUCUUCCCGUGGCUGGCCGUCGCAACGUAGCCAAGCAGCCUAUGGACACAGGCGGACAAGAGUUGCCUGCAAUUAGCACUAUGGGCCCACUUGUCAAUGAGAUUAGGUUGGAUAAAAAAACAAGGUAGAAGCAUUGUUCAGGGGGUGUUUGGAUCCAUGGACUAAUUUUUAAUUCGGGUCACAUCGAAUGUUUGAUACGAAUUAUAAGGACUAAACGUGAACUAAUUGUAUAAGCCGUGGCUAAUUUGCAAGACAAAUCUAUUAAGACUAAUUCAUCUAUGAUUAGCACAUAUUUACUGUAGCAUCACAGGGUCAAAUCAUGGACUAAUUAGGUUUAAUAGAUUCAUCUCAUGAAUUAGCCUUCAUUUAUGCAAUUGGUUUUAACUAUAUUUAAUUAUUAUUCCUCAUUAGCAUCUAAACAUUGGAUGUGACAGGGUUAGUCCAUAUCUCCAAACGGGCCUUAGUUUAAUAAUAGAUAAGACUUGUCAGUCUGUAUAAAAUUUUAUAUCACAUUAGAGCGACAAAAGUUGACUUCCCGAAGUUUGACACAAAGUUAGAGCAGCACGCACGUGUCUAAAAUCAUAAUAACUAAAAAUUUAUAUUUAUAAAACGAAGGAAUAUGGGCAUAUUCAAUAACAAAAAACUUAACACAUGCCACAAGAAUUUUAUUUGACAUCUAGCUUUAGAAAACGUUGAACAUAACAAUUUAUAUAUUCAUAGUUUAACUAUGAAUCAUACAUACUCUUAUAUGCAUAUGAAAGCUUCAAACAGUUUAUGACUAAACAUAUGAAAACCAAAAAAAUUAUUGGGCAACUAUACUUUUGACAGAGAAGAAAGAAUUUUUUUCAAAAAAAUAAAUGUUUAGAUUUUGCAGCCGACUUGGCAAGCGAUAGAGGAGUGGUGGGAUUGGUGCGUGCGUGGACGAACAGUGUACACAAACGAGAUCACGGGGCCUGGAGGGUGGAGGCGGAAUCUAUUCCCGUUCACACUGAGCUUGCGUGGUCGGCACGAGUGGCCCAUGGGCCAAGUCAUUCAGUCGCCUUUCGCUCUUGUCGUUUCUUUCGUUCAUUUUGAUCCCAAACAUUUUUUUUGUUUUUUGAGCAAAUGUUAAUUCCAAACCUUGGAAGGCCGGGCAAAACAAGGAAUUUUUUCCAAUCUACUUGUGGCCUGACCGCCUGAAUUCCGGAUCCGACGAACGCAAAAGAUUCUGCUGAUUUUGGAUUCAGUCCUGAGAUGUUGAAGGUUCUGCGAGCUGGGAUUUGUUAUGCCUUCGGCCUUUGCGUCCACGGGAAUAACGUUAUUCGUUCGAAAUUCGUGGUAAAGCUGCUUGGUACGAAACAGGUGUAGGAUCGUAUGAUCCUUGUUCUCGCCACGCUUCUUGUGUCCUUUACCUCCCGCAGCCGGUGGUGACGAGGUGUCCGUGCCAUGCCACAAGUCACCGCCAUCCACCAGGUGGGUUCGGUGAAUCUCGGAAUCACACUGCAGUAUCCUUAAUUCGAAGUUUCGGACCCCAGUUCCUAUUUAGACCAACCCAUCGGAAAUCAAAAACAUCUUUCCCACGACGCAGGAUGGAUUAUUGCGCCUUAUAUAGAUACUCGACAUGUUCGGCUGAACCUAUAAGCCGGCUGAAAAGCUGAAACGGCUGAUUUAUUGUGAGAGAAAAAUAUUGUUUCGACUAAACUUAUCAGCUGGCUGUAAAGCUGAAACGGCUGAUUUAUUGUGAGAGAAAAAUAUUAUUCGGUGGCUGAUACGCCGGCUGAUAAACCCAAACGGUUGAGGAUGUCCACGUGCAACGCCGCUGGGAGCACGCAUCGUGUCGGUCGCAGGUGCCGAGUGUUGAAUCUGGAAUUAACGGACAGAAUUUGCCCCAGCCGCUGGAAACAAGAACUGUUUGACGAAACACGGAGGAUUUGUGGCAGGCGCCCAGCCCUGGCUCUUUUACACUCUACUUCUGUAGCAUCAAUCAAUUCGGAAAGCGGCAGGCAAGUGGAGGGGACCUCACUCCAUCCAGGAACCGUUGGUUCGUAGCAAGCAACAGGCACACCAUUUUCUUUUUUGCGGGUAAGCAACAGGCACACCAUUGACGGGUGAACAACCAGCUCAGCGCGAAUUGAAUCUUGAACAGUACUAAAAGAAAGCGUAGCACCGACCUGACGAUAGUUUAAACAUUUAAUUAGAAGUAGCAGUACCUCAUUCUGCCUGAGUAGCCUUUGUUAACCAACAACUACAAGGUGAACGGCGACGGCGAUGUCAGCUGGUUACCGGCUACUAGCUACCAAAUGCUCCGGCGACCUGGACCACCAAUCACAACCCGCAGGUUGCCGCCGACCGCCAGGGGCUUGCGCGCCGGUCCGUCAGCGGUGCGCCGUGACGAGGGUCUCGAUGAAGCGCAGCCCGUCGAACCGCGGCGCGAACCUCUCAUCCGCCGCCGCGGCGCCGCGGCGCCUCCUGCUGCCGGCGUCCUCCUCCCUUGGCGCCGAGGACCCCUGUACCGGAAGAAUGCCAUCUCGCCAGGUCAGCCACACAGAUCGAUGGGGGACUAAAGAACCGAUGUCCGACGAGCUAGCGAGCGAGAGCGUACCGUGGUGGAGGAGCACGCGGCUGACGCGGCGGCGGUGGCCGCGGCGGAUACGGCGGCAGCGGCGGCACUCCACCUCAUCGCGCGACCGGGGGGGAGGACGACGGCCGGACCGGAUGAGGAGGACUCGACGGGGGCGGCGCCGCCGCCGCUGGGAUCUCACCACGGAACAGUGGGCUACUGGCUAUGGGUAGUCGGGCCUGCCGAGCCGCGAUGGCCGCGGGCGUAUUUAUGUGCGCCCUCGUCGGAACCGUGCGGGGGCGAUUCCGUCGGAUUUGAGAGCGGCCCGGCGUCGCGUCCGCCGCCGCCCGUGUGCUCCUUCAGACGGCGCGGUGGGGCCCCUUGCUGGUCUCGAAUCCCGAAGCUGGGGCCCGCCACGUCGUUGGGCGGUGGCGUCGGGAAGCCGCGCAACGCAAACCCCAACACCACACCACCCCCGCAGGCGCAGAGAUCGAGAGAGAGACGCAGCGGGAAGGCGACAGCGACGAGGAUGCUCUGGAACGCAGGCCUGGCGGUCCACGGGCCGACGCAAGGGAACGUGCGCCGCAGUGCGGUUCGUGUCCGGCCGGCGACCAGUGUCUUCGAUGCAAACUGAAUGAAAGGGUAAAAUCGUAAAAUUCAAAACCACACGGUUAGGCUCCGUCUGGAUCCUGGCUGAAGUUUAGUGCUAAAGAUCACCUAACAAAAUUUUAUAGGCCGUUCGCUUCAGCUUACCAGCCACCAAACAGUGUUUUUCUCUCACAACAAAUCAGCCGUUUCAGCUUUUCAGUCGGCUUAGGGCAGUCCCAAUGGGACAUUGAUGAUAGUUUCUAUCCCUCUUAAUUAUCAUGCCAACUAAGCAAUUUGCUGAUGUGGCAGUAGAUUUAUUAUGGAGAGAGAGAAACCAUUUCUUAGAGAGGAAACCAAGUCCUCACGCGCACCAAUGAGCCAAGAAACCAGCGAAUCUGCAUUGAGGAGACCCAAGUAGUUUCUUCUUACUUAUUGCCGGAUCCUUUGCGCUUGCACCGCUACUACCUAUCACUCGAGCUCCUUUACAUGAUGCACAGAGGAUCUGGUACUAGAAGAGAGAAUGAUUGGUUGGAUUUUUGUUUAGACUCUAGAUAAAAAAGUUGCAUUGUGAAGGAUGAUUUCUUGAUACAAUAUCCUAGACUAUGGAAACUAGGUUGGUUUCUCCCAUUGGGACUGCCCUUAUAAGUCCAGCGGAACAGGCUCUUAGCUGGAUCUCUCUCCCCGACAAAUCCAACAAGCCAGCAGUGGCGUUGGAGGCCGCGGGCCCCCUCCCUGCCAUCCCGACGAGGGCGCCCGCAUCCCCGAAGUUUCGGCAACCGGCGGACUGGCAGGUUGGAGCAGGGCGAGUCGUGGCCGGGCAAGCAGCGGCAAGAGCAAGGUCCGGUGCGCCCGGGCAAGCCGCGGCGGCGUUGCCUCCCCUCGACCGUCUUCCCUCAACGUGCAGCGGCGCCUCCCUCGGGCGUGCGGUGGCACCUCCCCCCGUCGUGCGGUGGCGCCACCCCCAUCUGCCUUCCUCCAACAUGCGGUGGCCCUUCUGUUGCUGUCGCCUGGUCGCCCAGUAUCUCGCGCUCGAUCCACUCCUCUCUCUGGACCGCGUCUAGCCACAUGCAAGUGACGCGACCUCGGGUAGCUCCGGCCCCGGCAGUGAGGGUGACCGGCGCGAGCUGCUUCGACAUGGGUGGCGGCCCUCGGUGAGGGCGCCCACGGCCGCGUUCGGUGAGGAAAGGGCUGGAGCUGCGCGAGUAGAGGGGCAACCAUUGUUCGUCGUCUGCGGCGCUGGCGGCGUCUGAGUCGUAGCCCAGGGAACGGCAAGCCCGGCGGCGCGCGACUGCGGUGGUGGUGUGCGGCGCGCUGGCGGCGGCGUGGGGGUAGUGUGGAAGCGGAUCGGAAUCGGAUGGGGAUAGGCUGGUGGGUGAAUGAAUGAGGGGUAUUUUGGUCUUACGCUGGUUUAGCUGCGGGUUUAAAUCUUUAGCUACAUAUAAACUUUAGUUGGAUCCUGUUUGAAUUCAAAAUGGCUAAAUUUAGAGCCCGUUCGGCAGCGCUGCUGGCUUCAGCUGCAAGCGGCGGUAGAAGCAGCUAGCCACUAAUGCUAGCUGCUGCUUGGGUUAUUGAGGCUGGUUUUCGUACUACUGCGCUGCUACAUUUCAAAUUUAAAUUUGUAACGGUAAAAGAAUCUAAAAAAUUCAAAUUUUUUGGCGCAAACUUAACCAACUUCAUCGAAGGUACUAACGUACAGAAUAAGCCACACAAUUUCUUACAUACAACAUACAACACAAACAUACACAACAUACGCAUACAUCUACAUCAAAGAGAUUCCUGCCGCGAUCUAAUCUCGUACACUAGCCAUAUCAGGAGUAUCAUUUGCUGCGACCCAUGCUGACACCCCAUAGUCCGGAGUUCGCGCCAUGUUCGAACCUGCAGUACUUGCAUCGGCAAGGUCCAACAAAUAAUUAUGGAGUGUGAAGCAAGCAAUAACGAUCUUCGUUUGCCUCUCUCGAUCAUAUAAUGGAACUUGCCGCAAAAUAUGCCACCUGGAUUUGAGCACGCCAAAUGCUCGUUCGACAACAUUGCGAAGACUGGAGUGGUGGAAGUUGAAUUUCUCCUCCAAAUUGUCAACCGCUCUUCUGCUGAAUUCCUCCAAAUGGUACCUAGUAUUUCGAUACGACCCCAGAUAGCCUUCACGAACUACGUACCCCGAGUCCACUAAAUAAUAUCUUCCUACAGAAAAUCAAAAAUAUUCACCAUUAGUGCACCAAUUUUUGCAAUUGCUGCGUGAUGUGCGUAAUUAGGCAAGUACCAUACCUGGAGGUGGAUGCGAGUAGUUCGGUGUCUCCAUACACUCCCACAACACCGACAUGUCAUGACUAGACCCUGCCCUCCCCGCUCCUACGUACGUGAAUCGCAUGUCCAUAUCCACUAUCGCUAACACAUUAAAGCUUGUCCACCCUUUUCUGUUAAUGAAAUCCAAACGGGACUCACGCCCGACCUGUACGGGAACGUGGGUUCCAUCUAGAGCACCUAUACACCCAUCAAAGAACGGUGCAUAUUGGUUCAGCCUAUGAUUAACCUUGGAGUAUGCAAGAUCCUUUGGAGCGAUUACCGUUUGGGCAAAUGAAAACAUUACAUCUGCCACAUGCGCCAUCUUCCUACUAACUGUGUCCAAACUCCGCUCAAAUCUAUCUCUAAUUUGACGAUAAGCCUGUUGUGUCGCACAAGCCCACACGAACAUACCUAAAGCCUCAAUAGAUUCUACCCCUUGUGACAAUUGCAACCCAUGAUUCUUAACCAAAAUGUCAUGCAACUGAAGGAACGCGUCGGGAUACAUACGAAAAUUGUCGAAGCACCUCCAGCUUUCCCGCAUAUUGAGCUCAACCCAUUGCCGUCCGGUCAUGCGUGGCAACUCCACUGGCGGGUUCACCACAGGAGGUGGCCUUCUGUUCACCUCCACAUAUGUGGCUACAGCUGCUGCUACACUCGCCAGCUGGUACACGAUAGAGCUGGAAUCACUGCCGGUGUCACUGUUUGAUUCCUCAGCACUACUCAUACUUGAAUGAACCUGUGCAUGCACAAGCGGAGGGGCAUCAACCAACACAGCCUACAUAUUUCUAGUUGCACCACAUUUUAUAGAUGCAUUUGUUUCAAACCUGUCAAGCGCCCUUCCUUUCCUUCAGGUUCACCAGUCAAGUAACCAAUCCUCCUCCUCGGACGUCUAUUGAGAGCCUCCAAUGGCCUCCCCACCUUACUUCAAGUUCACCAUCCCCACCUUCCUUCAGGUUCACCAGAAUAAAACCAAUCCUCCUCCUAGUUCGCCUGCUGAGGGCCUCCAAUGGCCUAACCACCUUCCUGUCAAAGGACGUAGACAACAGACAUCAAAAUUCUAGAUCACUAUUAAGACAAGCGUUGUGACACAAGUUAAAAAAAGUGGUCAUGAACUACUGAUCAUGGGUGACAUUGAACUUGAAAAAAAUUUAACUUGCACUACAACACAAUGUUCAUGGCACAGGACACGUUACAUAAUCAAACAUUAUUGUUUCAACCCAUAAGGAAACAUUAUCGUUUCAACUCAUUAGUACACAUUACUAGAAUAAACAAAGUCAUGCCACAAUAACUCUACUUGUUCUCCCUAUCCCAGUUGAAUUAGAUCCAAUUCAGUCGGCCCUCUUUCGUUUUUAUCUUCGUGAAGGCCCUCCGAUACAUUGCGUUCCUACAUAAAUAAAGUGCCUGACAGUACAACUCAGACCCCUCCUGUAGACCAUCUUCUUCUAUAAGCAGCAUUGCAUGGUCCAGUUCCUCCUGUUCACGGUCGCCACGUUUCUGGCUCCUCGUUGCCACAGUUUCAGAAAGGUCCCUGACAUAGUCCUCCAAGUAGCCACUUUUCUUUUUCGGAGGACUGUCAACAGAGAUUUCCCAGGAUGGCCUUUUGGACAAGUUAUGAGGACUACUAGCAGCCAUGGGGUCCUGGUACAAGUCCUGUGCAUUGGCCUCAGUCACCACGCUAGGUGUCGCCUCACGAAUACCUCCUGCCGUCAACAAGGUGCCCCUGUCUUGGGCGUCAUGGCCAUACAACGUAUACAAUUCAUCGAGGAACGGGGGUGGCUUAACAAAACUCGGCUGGGAACUCGGCUGGGCAGCACCAGCUCUGAUUUCCUGCAAUGACGAACAAUACAUGUCAGUAACAAAAAUAUGUUGCUACAAAUAAGAUGAGGAAUAAGUUACGGAACUAUCAAAGGACGUACCCCUUCAUCAUCAUCCCAAAAGCUGGAAUCAGCAGCAACGCCACAAGUUUGUUUGUCACGGCCUAAACUAGAUUGGGAUUGCAAGUCCUUCCAGCUCUGGAAUGCUCUCCGCAGGGCGUUCAGCUUAUUCUGCAGCUGCUUGCUGCCCAAAUUCAGACCAGUCUGUUGUUUGAAGCUGCGGUACACAUGCUGCCAUCCCAACUUAGUGAGGCACCUGUUGCUCCAAUUGAAUUGGUUCUUCUCAGCAAUGCACAGGUCCAGCAAUAUUUUCAUCGUGGCCUCAUCCCCAUUGGCACGGUUGCAAGCCAUCUGAGUACACAGUAGCUGCAAUUAUAUUGCACCGAAGUACGGAUAACGAGAAGGCAUACAAGUACACAAUUUCAGUAGUAAUGGAUAUAUUACUUGCCUUAGCAGAUGUCUUGGCACGUUUGUGGCGGAAAUUGUACAGACAGACCGGUGGGGGAGAGCAUGACGAAGUGGAUGACAAUGCCAGUGUGGGCACCGUUGCUAGUUCGUUGCGGUUGGGCUGCUACUAGGCUUGUAGCAGAUGCCUGGAAAGGUGAUAAAAACAAAAAUAGGCACAUCACUUUAGUUGACUGUGUUGUAGAAAAGUUUGCACAUUUAAGCUGAAGAACAUGCUGGAAGCACAAUGCACACAGGUGAUAACAUCAUGACCAUGGACAGAACCAGGUAAACAGAGAUUAGAUGCUCAUGGUUUGUAGUAUAAGCAAACAUGUCAUGUAUGUCUAUUUGUCAUGGUAACCCAGUUAUGAGGUCAUACAUGUAUGGCAAAUUUUUAGUAGUUCAACAUCACAGUACAAAAAUGGAGCAUGUCUGCCCACGAUCCGCCGCCGUCGCUCCCGCCACUUGCCCACGCCUACGCUCUCGCCUGCUCUCCGCCGCCGUUGGUCCCAGAUCUCGCCCGCUCUCCGCCGCCGUCGCUCCCGCCGCUCGCCUGCUCCCGCGCUCUCGCCCGCUCUCGCCCAGCCGAAAAAAGCCCAACCAGCUGGUUUCAGCGCUGCCGAACGGCUGUUCGUACGAAAGAGAAAAAAGCCCAACCAGCUGGUUUCAGCGCUGCCGAACGACUGUUCGAACAAAAGAGAUGCUUGCAUGUACUCCAUCCGUUCCAGUGUAGGUGCAAUUUUUAGGAUUGAAGGUGCAAACUAGGGGGGUGUUUGGAUACGAGGUGCUAAACUUUAGCAAGGUCACAUCGAAUAUUCGGAUGCUAAUUAGAAGAACUAAACAUGAGCUAAUUACAAAACUAAUUGCACGGAUGGAGUCUAAUUCGCGAUACGAAUCUAUUAAGGCUAAUUAAUCCAUCAUUAGCAAAUGGUUACUGUAGCAUCACGUUGUCAAAUCAUGGACUAAUUAGGCUUAAUAGAUUCAUCUCGCGAAUUAGACUCCAUCUGUGCAAUUAGUUUUGUAAUUAGACUAUAUUUAAUACUCCUAAUUAGUAUCCAAACAUCCGAUGUGAUAGGUGCUAAAGUUUAGCACGGUGUUCCCAAACACCCCCUAGUAUUGAUAGCAAAGUAUAUUAUUACCUUUAUCCGAAGGUAAGGCUAAUCCCAGUGGGGGUUUCAUUGAGGUUUCAUGCACAUUAAAUACAGUGACACAUCAGCAUAUGUGAUGACAUGGCAUGAUAGUUAUGAAGUGAGAGAGGGAAGGAGUUUCAUCAAGAUGAAACUGUGUAUACACUGUUUCCAAGACUAUGAAACUUGCAUUGGGGGCUAUAGAGUUUCAUUUCAUCUAACCCUAUCCAAUCACAUACCUCACAAUUAAAUAUCAUGGCCAUCCUAUGAAAUCGUGAAAUGAAACUAUACACUGGAACUCUCUGUUUCAUUCACGAGAAUACAUCUUAUAGGAUGAUGUGGCAUUCUUGGAAACAGUGCCACGCCACACUAGCCUAAUAGACAUAUCUGCAAAUAGCGGUAUUCAUUGCAUCGGUACAAUGUGGAAUGCAACCAUGCGCCACGUUACACUCUCGAAUGUCCCAGAAUUUAGAAAAAAAAUCACACUUAGGACUAUUACAUGGAGGAUAGCACUGUUACACGGAGGACAGUGACAUCAUUACACAAAGAUCCCCACUAUAUAAGCAUUCCAAAUCAACCAAAUGAAAGACAUCCACUCUAGCCUGCCAUCCACUUCAUCAUCAUGAGUCAUGGCUAUUGAUUUAAACAUAGAACCUGACGAAGGAGUUGGGCAUCCAUUACCUGAUCCAUUACCUGAUCUAAAUGUAACGUAGAACCACUAGAUGAGAAAAAAGAUGAAAUCUAUCAUCUCCAAGAAGAUGGAUUUCAUUCGAUGGCUAUUAAUCUAAACAUAAUACCAGAUGAAUUACAACAAGCUCAGUCUCAGGAGGCCAUCUGCACACCAUCCAUGGAGGCCGAGGCGCCCCUCAAAUCGGUCACCUUGACGCCGCCCGCCUCCACCUCCAUGCUGGACUCUUCAUCCACGGAGUCGGGGACCUCAAGUCGCCAUUGGCAUCCACUCUCAUCCGACCCAUCCAUUUGAUACAAUGGCUGCGCGCACAAUCCACUCUCCACAGCUACGGCUGCCAGGCUUCAUGACGACAUCGUCGUCCCCUCCACCAUUGCCACUUAUCUUGGAGACCCCAUGACACCGGCGGAUCCAGGUGCGACGCCUUCGGCACCUGGCGUCGCCAGCCAUGAAAGGGAGGUGGAGGAGCGAUGGAUGGAUAAGGGGCACGGGGGGCACUCGCGGAUGGAGGGAGUGCUAAGUGGUGAGGAUAGGAUUUGGAAGACUGGAACACAAGAAGCAGGAGAGGGGAGGGAGGUGCUGAGGUGUUGACGGAGCUAGGUCGCUGGAUGUGGGGCAGCAGGCGGUGGCGAUACAGAGCGGUGCGGGAGGAUGGACUGCAGAAGAUUGGAGAAACGAGCUAUGCAGAAAUGAGCAGAGCGGUGGUGUGUCCCAGAGUUCAGAGCGUUCAGCGAAAAGCUGAAACGGCUGAUUUGUUGUGAGAGAAAAACACUGUUUGAUGGCUGAUAAGCCAGCCGAAUAAGCUGAAGCGAAUAGGCCGCCAGGCUUCCAGCGGUCCAGCCUUUCAGGCCAAGGCUCGGUGCUUCAGUUUUUUUUAACAAAUGGGCCCACGUAUACUGUGCACAUGCUGGCAUAUUGGGACUCGUACCUAUUGGUGCGUUUAUUCUGGGUAAAUUUUUGAAUUUGAUAAGUUUAGUUAAAUAAAGUCUUAGAUCAGUCUCAAUAGAAUAGAAUGUUUUAUAGAAGUUUUAUGAGUAUUAAUUCUAUGUUAUAUCAGUAAUUUUCCUAAUUGGGUAAGCUUAUUAUGAGGAAAGAGAGGAGGAGCAGUUUCAUGAGAUAAGAGAAGUUUCAUCUAUAUGACACCCACCGGACUUAGUUCUUAAUUUUGGUAACUAUGCAAUAGAAAUAGAAAUGUACACUAAAACUAGCCUUAGGGCUGAUUGGUUGGGUGUGUAGCUUGGGCCUGGCUAGGGACCGGAGCCGGCUGUGCGCAUGCAACUGGGUAUGAUUGGUUGCUGGGGUAAUUCGGCUAGACUGGAUGGACUGUGUCAUGGGCUCCAUUACUUACGCAGAGCUAAUUUAUUCACCCAAGGAUUUCAUUUCCAUUUCUCUCCAGAGCCAGGACACGAGGCCUCCAUUGCACACGUAGAGCUAGGACUGCAGGCGCUCCCACGCAACCAAACAUCCAGACGCUGCAUCCGUUAGGCCUGGUUGGGCCAGAUGUGCGCAACCAAUCUCUGUUAUUUGCCUGGAUGGUGUACUGUAAGGGUCAGUUUCGUGUUUUUUUUUCUUCAGCUUGUCCAGGUAAAACAGCUCCGGCUCCUUAAGUACUUCAAGAGUCAAGAGUGAAGUUAUUUUUAACCAAACUACUUGGUAGGACUUCAGCUAGAGCCGCAAGAGAAGCCGGAGCCGGAGCUCUACCAUAUCCUAAGUUUAUUAUUUAAACAUAAAUGGAUUUUGACUGACUUGUUAGUGUGUAUGGUCUGAGAACUGAAAUGGGCUUGGGCCUGGCCCGGUCUUUGUGUGCGCACGGCACAACACUUAAAAAGGCUACGGAAUAACCGAUAUGUACACACAAAUUCGUCUUUUGGUAGAAACUAUAGAUGGAAGCUGCAGAAAUGACACCCCUGUCCAUAUAUAGGUGCUUGUCCAUAGCUGCAAAAAUUAUACAAAUUGGCGGACACCUAAGUUCUGCCCCUUAUACAUCGAUACUCCUCGUUCCACAUAAGCAUGAAACAUCCGAAGUCCGAAACGUAAUACCUCUUACAUGAAAGCAAAUUGAUAAAAAUUGGAGCAAACAUACGUGAGUGAAACUAAAUCUGAUGAUCUAUAGUUCGUCCCGUUGUAUUUAGAGCAAUAUUGCCGUUCAACUCCAUGCACGGUGUAAACACCAUAGUAGAAAUGAUUUGUUUUCCCCAACAAAGAAAUGACUACUCCAAUAUUCCUGAAUUAGCACAAAGAAUGAUAUUAAUGGGAAGUAAUUCUAAUUGAAUAAGAUCAGCGCAAAAGUUUAAUACUCUUUUUGGAUGUUUAGCCCAGUGGGUAAAGCCUGCAAGGAAUCACUGGAAUCAGUAGGUGCAAAAAGAAGAAAAUAGGGGGCUUACCUCGAAGGCACAAUAAUAUAACAAUUUGGUAAAUAAUGUUGAAUAAAGUGCUUACACAGACAACCAUCAUGUUACAAUUUGAAUUGAAAUUUCAAAGAUAGAAAUUGAUCAUUGAUAAUAUAAAUAUGUAAGCAAAAGGAAGUUUAAGAAAGAAGUAAAAUAGGUUCAUCAAUAACAUGGCAGGUUGUACAAUCUUCGUCGUUCAUCACUUGACUAACAUCUCAGCAACUAAUACCAACCCGAAAUAAGAGUAAAUUACAUCCACCAUACAAUAAAUUGCAUGAUUGUAUCACUUUGGUCCAACAAGUUGUAAAAUAUACAAAUUGAUGCAUGGAGUUGUCAAAUGUGUUAUCGAGUGUAUUUCUUGAUGGUUAGGGAGAAGCUAUCGAGGAUGAAGGACAUGGCCAACGAGAAUGGAGUUAGUUGGCCCAACCGCAUAUUUCUGGGGAGUCGGUUAGUCACAUUGAGGGCUGCAAUCUUGUCGCUGGUUCCGAGGGCGCACGCAAUGAGGCGGUGCUCCGCCUGCAUGCUUCCGACGCUGCGCGCGAAGAGCCAUGCUCCACCUCCAAGGUCGACGGUGCGCAAUGGAGAAAAUCAGUUCAUCGGCAAGCACACGAUGGCAUUAAAGGGACUGUGACAUCUUAGGAGGGAGGGUUGAAUCGGAUGUUCGAAAAUUUAAGGCUCUAGGCAUAUAUAAAAAUCUAUUUUAAUUUCUAUCUAUAUGUGCACUAGGUUUUUCUAUGUGUUGCUAUCUCUACCGUAAAAGAGUUUUGCACCAUAGGUUCCAAUCCUAUAAACUACAUAUGACAAUUCUAGGAAAGGUAAACGCCGAAUGUAAGUGCAAUAAGAAAUGCGGAAGGUCAAUGAGGUAGAGGAGACAAACUCCGGGCGUGGUGACACGGCGAUUUUUACCAAGGUAUCGGAAAGCAAAGCUAUCCACUAGUCCUCGUUGUUGGAGCCAUUCUCAAAGGGAAUGCCCACACAAGGGCAUAAACUCCUUGGUCAAGUAACUCCGUAGGAUAGCCGACGGAUCUUCCCUUCGCGUAAGUGGGUCUCUGCCUAGCCUCUCCCGGAUGCUCCUUGCCGCUGUUCACUUGAUAGAGCUUUGGCAAAAACGCCAAGGGCCUCUCCUCCCUAUCACAAGCAAUGGAGGUCACUUCACCGUUACAAAGUUCCGCAUUUACAACUCUUGGUGCGAGCAAGCACCGAUACAAAGGAGAUGUCCAAACCUCGCCUAACUCCCUAAAGCAAUGCGCUAAAAGGCCUAAAGUAGCACUAACUAAGACCAAGACUUAUGUAAUUACCUUAAUCUUCUCUUUACCACUUUGGUGGAUAGAGCACUUGUGUGUACGUAAGAACCAACCCUAUAAUUUAUGCAAGAUCUAACACGCUUGAAAUGGCCGGGCAAAGGGGUAUUUAUAGCCUCAAGCUAAGAAACUAGCUGCUAUGUAGCCAUUGUAACUUUCUGCGUAUGACCGACUCAUACGUUGCCCUGGUAACUAUUACCACCGUAUGAAUCAAUGAAGCCCAAAUUAUACUUCGAAACUUCCAGAGUUAUUUUUUAGCCGAUGCUGAGCCGAGCCAACGAUCACCGACUGAUUCGGUAAUGGCCACUGUUCCCACCGUAUGAAUCGGUGGUAACAGUGCAUGAGCCUAUCUUGAUCCUGGCUGUGGUCACCGAUUGAAUCGGUGAUGGUUACUGUUACCAUCGAAUGAGUUGGUGGAAUGUGUCGUUGCACAUUUUUCAGCAGGAUUCAUUUCAAAUCUUCACAUGUCUUUGUCUCGACUUCAUUACCAUCAUUUUUAAGUCUUAGAAUAAGAUCAUCUCUGGAUUUUUAUUAUCAUUUGGAUGCUCAAAAGUUCUUCUAAGUCUUUUUCUUGUUAUUUUGAUGGUUUUGUAAUUUAUUUGGGACCUAUAAAAUACCCACAAAGGUACAUCUUGCAAACACGUUAGUCCCAAUGGCUAUGUUGUGAUUAAUCUCCAAAAUCGUUAGGACCAUUUUCCUUGCAGGCACAACCGCGAUGGCCUGGUGGUGGUUCUCCGCUCGCUUACCGGCAUGCUGCUGUGAUGUGUCCUUGCAUUCACCGCCGCGGCACCCCUUCACGACCUCGACUUGUUCAUCGCCGAUGCUGAGUACUAGGAUGGGACGCAGAAGGGACUAAUUUGUGUGCUGCCUUGAUAGCGAUCUCAAUUGUGAAGCAAGAGGGAGAAGAGUAGAAGACCAUGAAAUCCACCUCCAUGUUAAAAGCAUAGCGAUCCUUUCCUGGAUGCAGUUGCAGCCUUGCAGCUGCAGGCAGGUGCAAGCAAUUGAUGCCCUCUUCCAUGACACAGCUGAGCGCUGCCUAUUCCCUGCGCCCUGUCCUCUUGCAAGUCUGCACCCUGUCCAAGCCUGCACACCAUCUCAUCUCCCAGACGCAGUUGAAUCCUAGAUUAGUCAGGACAUUGUUUCGGGAGAACAAAACGGACUAAUCGUCCAUACUCAUGAUUAGCUUUCAGGGAGAGAACUUUCAGGGAGAGAACUUUCUCCAGCAAAAUGGAUGGGAAUUUGUUGGAGGAAGAACUAGCGCGAAGGCGUUUGUCUGAUUCGAUCGAGAAAAUCAUCUCGUCUCCCGGGAGGCCGAAGAAGGUAUAUCGGGAGGCGACUCAUCUUGAGGGAAGAAUCUGGUGUGGUUCUGAUUCAGAGAUCGAUGAAGACUUGGGCGACGUCGAAAGUCCUCCGCAGAUAUGCUCUUCUGUGAUUGCAGGUCAAAUUAUACCUACUGAACAGGCACAGACCGGCAAAUCUGGGGAGCAACGACGAACAGAAAAGCUGCAAGCGAAGGGGUGUUGGCCGUGGGAUAAAAAUAAAGGAUGGAAGGGUCCUUUGCCCAAGCCUAGAUCUUCUCCUCUGAGAACGCUUGGAGAUUUUUUGAAGCCUAAACUCGAUGAAGCCCAUCAGCGAUUGUCUACCUCGCCGGCGUUGACGAUUUCUUGUCCUGUGCAGAUCUCAGAUCCCAAAAACACAGAAAGUUCAAAAUUCAAACGAGCUGGCUAUUGGGCUCACUGGUCCAGUCUUGGGCCGAAGGGAUAUUUGGUCACUACGUAAUCCUGGUUUGGCAUCCCUACAACGGCGGCUAUCACGAAGACCUAGCAACACGCGAUCUUACGCGCAGGCGCUAAUGGCUGGCGGCAUGGCGGCGACUGGUGGGGGAUCCGGUGGAGCUGGGAGCGGCGGCAGCGAUCAACGGGAGGGGCGCAACUACGGCGUCCAGUUUCGCGCGCAUCUCGCACGGUGGUGGCCGUGCUCCAAGAGGUCAGGGCCGGGGUCGUGGACAACGUGGCGAACACGAUCGGGGAGGACGAGGUGAUGGACACAAAGGCCGUGGACAUCAAGUUGGGCACGCUGGUGGCGCUCAUCCUGGAACUGGUUCUCACCGUGGUGAAGAUAAAGGACCAGCAGGCAGCCACAACAUGCAACGUACAGAAAAGGGUGAGAGCUCGGAGUCCUUGACAGGGAAGCACAAGGGUCCACAACCAGCCGGGGAACCGGAUCCAAAGAAGAAGAAGUUUGUGCUAUGCUGUGAGAUUUGCGAAGCAGAGCACUUCACUAAUCAGUGCCCGUUAUUACACGGUCCCAAACCGGAAGCAACUUACUGUGGUCUUGCACGGGAUGGUCUUGGCUUCUUCCACAUACCAUGCUUUCAGUACCGGAUCCAAACCUCCCUUUGUACCGGUUAUGCAACUAAUAUUGCUAAGUCAGUACUAAAAGGGUCCUUUUAGUAUCGGUCCAAAUAAUCGGUACUAAAUAACUAGCCAAUUUAGUAUCGGUUGGUCUCCCCAACCGGUACUAAAUUAUUUUUUCUUUUCUGUUUCUUUUCUCAUUUUCUUUUUUAUUUAUUUAUUCUAUAUUAGUAUUUCGUAUUUAUUUCCUUUACAUAUACUAGUUCAAAUAAGCAAUAUAUAUAAAGUUGUAUUUGAUCUAUAAUAUUACAUUUGAGAUAAUAUUAUAUAUGGACAUAUUGUGCAUACACAUAUAUGAAUAAUAUUGCAUUGCAUCAACUCUCCAAGUUCAACAUUUGGAUCAACUAUUUUGAAACCGAGUCCUGAUGAUGAUGCAGAUUUGAUCCAUCAUUAUGGAACUCUCCCGCUAGAUUUACUACCUCGUCCAGAAGAAAUCCACUAAAUUGUUCUUAAAUCGCCCUGAUUUUUUUCCGUCUCGAGGAAUUCUUCCUUCAUGUGCACAAUCUAUGUCAUCAGCAAAAGUUAUUAUAUUAAAUCAAUGGAUCUGCACAAUUAGAACUAAUUUAUUGUUAAGAAAUUUAUAUACGUACUCUGAAUUCGUGGUCAGUUAUACGCUUGGGACGUACAAAACCAUGGAUGAACUCACAUACGUAGUAUCCACAUAAAUUAUUCCCCGAAUUCUGUCUCAAACACUAUAUAUAUGGCAAAAGAAAUUAUGAAAUAUUUGUUGUGUUCAAGGAAGUGACACGAGAUGUGCAAAUUCAAUACAUACCAGGAAUUUGGAGUUGAUAUGAAGUUGCUCCUUGAAUUCACCUGAGUGAUGUUGAUGGAAGCGAGCCCAUGCUAUGUUGAACAUGUCUAUGAGGUCGGUGUAUUGAUUUAUUGGUCUCCUCAGAGAGUUCAGGAUAUAGACCAUGCUUCGAUCAAUCACGAUAACAAGGAGUAUCCAGUGGAAGCUAUACAUAUAUACAUAGUGAAAAACUAUUUAGUCUUAUUUUUAACUGCUAGUUCGAAAAAUAAAAGAGAUGGAAAACACGCUCACUUGAAGUUGUAUGGCAGAAGUAUGUACUUCUUGUAAUGUUGCUUGUCCAAGAAAUUAUAUAUAUUCUUCAAGGUCCGAUUUAGUUUAUCUCUUACAUUUCCCUCAUUUAUAACAUUCGGGUCCAUGAAGCCGACAUCAUACAAUCCUAUCCUCCGGCAAGCUUGAAUCUCUAUCCUGCAUGAUACAAAAUAGAAUAGGAGAUAAGACAUCGCACAAUAACUAGAGUAGAGAUUUUGAAGUUAGAGCAAAUUAAACACUUACAGAACCCAAGAACUAAUGAGUGAUUUGUCAAGUGCGUCUUGAUUUUAAAGGAAAUAAAGUUCCUCGAGCAGCACAUUUAUAACGGCAUCACCACAGAAAUAAUGCUGAUCUUGAUAUUGAAAAAAUAAUGCAAUAACUGAUGAAAAAUUGCUAUUAUAUUUAUUUAGUACGUAGUAAAUCAAAUAACGUUCAUAAAAUUGCAAAAAGAAGUUUGUUAUCUUGAUAUUGAUUAGAUUUACACAAUAAAAAUAUUAGAUGCACUUAAAUAUCAAAGAUAGUAAAAUUAGUAAUAUUAAGUUAGUAAUGGGUUAUAAAUUCUCAUAAUACUUAUGUUAACUUAACAAUUAGAAAAAAUAAAUAUUUUGACCAUGCAAAAAUCUAGAAAAAUAGUGCCUACAGUGCUAUUAACAUGUUUACCAUAACUUAGUCAUGUACUUGUUAAAUUGUAUGUAAAUUUAUUGUUUAAUAUAUAAUGGUGCUAAAAAAAUCAAAAUAAUUAAUAUUUUAACCAUGCAAAAAUUAGUUCUUGUUUAAUAACUCCAUAGAACGUUAUUACAUUACUUUGUCACUUGAUCGUAAAACUUUGUCACUUGACCACAAUACAUUACAUAUCAUUACAAUGUGUUGUUACAUUAAUUUAUCACUUGACCACAAAACAUAACAUAUAGUUCUAAUACAUUACACAUCAUCAUCUAAUGGAAUGUUAAUAACCUUCCUCUUGAUGAACGUCCCUUGGUUGUGAUCGUGGCGUAUGGAGCAUCCUCUUUGGUUAAUAGGAUGCUUGGGCCAAGCUCGAUUGAAAAUGGAGAAAGAUCAUCGAACUGAUCAUAGACUUCUGAAAUAUCAGUUUUGUCCUCAACUCCAGUGAUUUUUAUUUUCCCUGGAAGAACUAUGUGGCGCUUUGGCUGGUCAUUUGACUUAUUAGCACCCUUCUGUUUUGGUUUGCUUGAUGUCGGCUAGGCACCCCCGAGCCCACAAGAAGACUUGUACGAACCCACUCAAGGAAACGUACCCGAAACCUACUCGGACAUGAAUACUACUCUGCAGAGCGCGUAGGCUUCAUGGACUUCCCGAAGACUAGUCGGGUCCAAAGGAAAGUACUCUACCGAGUUAGAGUAGGACUCUGUAAUGUACUCGACUAGGACUCCUACCCUAUAACCGCUGCUCCGCCAACUAUAUAAGGGCGGGCAGGGAUCUCCUCUAGACAACGAAGAACAAGAUCAAUACAACCAACACACAGGACGUAGGGUAUUACGCGAUCUAGCGGCCCGAACCUAUCUAAAUCGUGUUCCUUGCAUCACCAUCGACUCCUUGAUUCUUGACGACACCUGCUGCACAAAAGACCACCUUGGGUACUCCCUAGGCGGGUUGCCAGUCUAAACACCGACAGCUGGCGCGCCAGGUAGGGGAAGUCGCCGAGUUUCUCCGCGCGAGAUCGAUGGCACCAGUCAUCAUCAAGCCUGCUUCCUCCUUUGAGGUGAGCGCGACCUUCGUAUUCGGCUCUUGGCUUUGCAUCGCUGACGGUGCUGGAUCCUUUCAACGUUGCAUCAUCGAUAGCCAGGAAAAGAAGCGUCUCGAUGAAAACUUUAUUCAUCAAGAAAUAGAGAAUCUCAUCAAAAAAAUCCAAAAUUUCAAUGCCAACAACAUUGAGUUCGACUACGGCACAGGCUGAUGUCCAAGUCAUCCCGCAAGUCGACUUCAGCUCGAAGUCAAUUCCCGCACGAAGUCCGCAACACAGCUGUGGUCCACCAAGAUUUCCUUACUCGAGUCCAAUCCGAACUAGAGUCAGCUAAGGACUACGACUUCGAUUCAGACUCCGUCCAAGAGAUCCCUCUGUCAGGACCAGCUCAAGGCUUGGUAAUUAUUUCAACUUCGUAAGGCAGAUUCGUUUAUUGGCCUCAGAUGAAGCCAUCAUUCUUUGCCCAAGAUUACGAGUCACGCCUUGUCGCUUACAUAGACAACAUCCCAUAUUAAGAGGGUAUCCCGCUUACUUCAACCCGCGAAGAAGGAAGCACUACGGAGAUUGCAACAUCAAGCUCUGGAAGCUACUACAUGGACAGAAAAAUCUUCGUCAUCAUGUUACCAAAUAACGACGUGGGUGCCAGCCACCAAAAAACUCCUUGACGGGUUGCACAACUCGACGACUUUUUGCAAGACGAAUCGUCAGCCAACACCCCGCAAGAUGAAACCUCUAAACAAAGAAUCAAAGAAGGGCACGCAAUGCUGCCCGAGCAGAUCGUCGCUGACUACUAGCUACAAACAUUCCUAUUGUGAAUCUCGAAAGAGAAUUUGAUGCAGUGCAAACUCGAGAACACAACACUCCACUCGCAGCAAUUGCCUCGAUCAAUCUCAUAUCAACUCUCAUACCUCAUGACAGAGACAACAAGUUAACAGCACAACUCACGGAAAGGGGCAACGGGUUAAUAGCACAACUCGUAGAACAAGCUUACAAACUACUUGAUAAGGAAUCGCCAAUCUCAUCCAUCCCUCGCAACUCGGCCCACCAGGAUGGCAACAGAGGUGUUGCAGUCUAUGGUGGCAAUCGUGAGGCUCCAAGAAACAGUAACGAAGUAGUCAACCAGCGGAGGCAACAUAGCCAAAGGCAAAAUAGAGCUGAACGCGAGGCCCCAAGGCGAAACAAGGACACAAGGGAGGCUACCUGCACCAAUUCUGCAAAGAGCCCUCCCCACCGCAGAGCCGAUCGCGAAGCCUCAAUCUUUAGCGACCUAAGAGAGGUAAUUAAUAACAACCAUCGCCGCGAACGCGAAUGCGAAACCAAUGACUAUGAUCACUUCCCCGCCUUCACCACACAAGUAAUGAAGACUAAACUACCCGAGAAGUUCAAGCCGACGGGGAUCACCAAGUAUGAUGGUAAGCAAGAUCCAGUCCAAUGGCUACGAUGCUACUCACUAGCAGCUCAAGCAGCUGGGGGUAAUGAUGAUACAAAGGUUAUUCACUUCCCCAUAUGCAUGGAACCCGCACCAUUAACAUGGCUCGAGUCACUCAAGCCCAAGUCGAUCGAUUCCUGGGAAGACUUGACGAAGGCUUUCACUAAUAAUUAUGGGAGCUCCAUGUCUCGCCCAGGCAACAAAAUUGACCUAAGCCAAGUCAAACAGAAAGAAGGUGAGACACUUCGUGACUACCUGCGCCGUUUCUUUGAAAAAAAGGCUACAAUAUUUGACAUUUCAGAAGCAGACAACAUCGAGUGCUUCCAAAAUGGCCUCUAUGAUCAUCGAACAUACCAAGACUUUGGCAGACAUUGUCCAGCCACCAUCAAAGAUCUCAAAAUCAUGGUGCAAUAAUGGGCAGAUAAAGAAGACAAAGAGUGUGAGAGAUUCGGCUCUCAUCACAACCGCGGUCGCGAAAACAAUAACAACAAUCAUGAACAAGACAGAAAUUGCAAAAAUGAUACUCGAAACAACUACUCGGGUAAUCAGAACCACAAGCGCAAACUUGACAACACUGUCGCGGCUAUGUCCAACUCAGGCAAGAAAGGGUCACACAAACGCAAUGAUGGGCCCUCCUUCACUGAGUUACUCAAGAAGCAAUGCCCGUGGCAUCCAAACAGCAAACACUUGGCGAUCGACUGCUACAACAUGUGCCGAGUAAUGCAAGAAUUACCCGCACCACCCCCUCCCGAAGACAUUGGUCAGAAAAAGGAUAAAGGUAAAGGCAAGGUCAACAAAGUUGAUGAGGGCGAAGGCGAGUUCCAAACUGCCUCUAAAACGGUCAACAUCAUUUUCGGUGGAAUCCCAGGUACCACAUCCAAGCGGUCCAAUAAGCUAGUACUUAGAGAGAUUAUGGCUAUCGAGCCAGUAGCUCCUACACCACUUUAAUGGUCUAAGGUACCCAGAACUUUCAGCAGAAAGGACCAAUGGACAAGUUUCUCAGAACCAGGCCGAUUCCUUCUGGUACUCGAUCCUGUCAUCGCAGGCUCAAGACUUACCAAAGUACUCAUCGAUGGCGGAAGCGGACUCAACCUUAUUUUCGCCAAGACACUAAGGAAAAUGUGCCUCGACGUCACAGACAUGCUUACUCCAACGGACUCACCAUUUUACGGAAUUAUCCCAGGCAAUGCUGCCAUACCUUUAGGACAAGUUGUCCUACCAGUCACUUUCGGCACCAAGGAACAUUACCGACCGAGUACAUCAGGUUUGAGGUUUCCAACUUUGAAACUUCUUACCAUGCCAUACUCGGAAGACCAGCCCUAGCAAAGUUUAUGGCUAUACCACACUACGUCUACCUGGUACUCAAGAUGCUAUGACCUAAGGGUGAGUUAACACUACGUGGAGACUUGAGGUGAUUGUACGAGUGCGACACGAAAGCUGUCGAACUCGUAGCGAGUUCUCAAGCACCCAAUCCCAUGCAACAAGUCUUCACAGCAUCAAAGAAACUCAACCCCACAGAACUCGAGAUCUCAGGAAACAAGACGAGAUCAACUAAGGUGAAACCAGCAAGCGAGAAGGACUUCAAACCCGUCGAUCUACAAACUGGUGACUCAUCCAAGACAGCCCUGAUUGGAACAAGACUAGACCCUAAAUAGGAAAGCGUGCUCAUCAGUUUCCUUUGGGCUAACCAUGAUAUCUUCACUUGGAAGGCCUCUGAUAUGCCUGGUGUGCCCAAGGAGCUGAUUGAGCAUUCAUUAAAUGUCGAUCCCAAAGCUACCCCAUAAAGACAAUGACUACGAAGGUUCACCCAAGACAGAAGAGAUGCAAUAAAAAAAGAGCUGGCCAAACUACUUGCAGUAGGGUUUAUCAAAGAAGUUUUCCACCCUGAUUGGUUAGCCAACCCUGUACUCAUUCGCAAGAAGAACAAUGAGUGGAGGAUGUGCGUCGACUAUACAGACAUCAACAAGCAUUGCCCAAAGGACCCCUUGGACUACCUAGGAUCGACCAAGUAGUCGACUCCACAACUAGGUGUGCAUUGCUCUGCUUUCUUGACUGCUACUCAGGCUACCAUCAAAUAGCCCUCAAAGAAGAAGAUCAAGCCAAAACAGCUUUCAUCACCCUGUUUGGAGCAUUUUGCUACAAAACAAUGUCUUUUGGGCUAAAAAAAUGCUGGUGCGACCUAUCAACGUGCCAUCCAGAUGUGUUUCGAGAAACAACUACACCGCAACAUAGAAGCUUAUGUAGACGACGUGGUCAUUAAAACAAGAUAUCCAGAUGAUCUAGUCGCUGACUUAGAAGAAACAUUCGCAAGCCUACGAGCAUUCUGGUUGAAACUCAACCCUACGAAAUGCGUUUUCGGUGUACCCUCAGGAAAAUUACUCAGAUUCAUCAUUAGCCAUCAUGGCAUUGAGGCCAACCCAGAGAAAAUUUUUGCCAUAAAAAAUAUGCAAGCUCCAGCUGGCAUCAAGGAUAUGCAGAAGCUUACAUGCUGCAUGGCAGCCCUCAAUUGAUUUAUCUCAAGACUUGGAGAACACGGAUUACCCUUCUUCAAGUUAUUGAAAUAGCAAGACAAGUUCCAAUGGACAGAGGAGGUAGACAAAGCCUUGACACAGCUCAAGGACUUCUUGUCAAAACCACCAAUCCUCACAGCUCCAUCUCCAAGCGAGGACUUGCUCCUAUACAUAGCUGCUACUACUCAUGUUAUCAGCACAACAGUAGUAGUCGAAAGGUCUGAACCAGGCCACGUCUACAAAGUCCAGAGACCCAUCUACUUCGUCAGUGAAGUACUCUCGGACUCCAAAACUCAAUACCCACCAGUGGGAAACUACUCUACACAAUCCUGCUUACUUCACGGAAACUACAUCACUACUUUAAAGAAUACAGCAUAUCCGUCAUCACCGACUUCCCGCUCGGUGAAAUCCUUCAUAACAGGGAUGCAACGGGUAGAAUCUCCAAGUGGGUAGUAGAACUCGGAGCUCUAUCUCUAGAUUUCAAACCCAGAAAAACUAUCAAAUCCCAAGCUCUGGUCAACUUCAUAGUGGAGCGGAGGGAAAACCAAGUACCAACACCAGUUGAAAAGCCAGAGCAUUGGGUUAUGUACUUCGACAGUUCCCUCAAGCUUGAAGGCGCCGGUGCAAGAGUACUCUUAAUCUCUCGAAAAGGUGAACAACUCGAAUACGUUCUCCAGAUCUUUUGGGAAGUCUCGAACAAUGAAGCUGAGUACAAAGCACUUUUACAUGGCCUUCGUCUUCCAAUAUCACUCGGUAUCAAACGACUAUUGGUAUAUGGUGACUCGCUAGUUGUCAUUAACCAAGUCAAUGAUGAGUGGGAUCGCAACAAGGAAAAAAUGGACGCCUACUGCAAGGAAGUCCGCAAGCUAGAGAAUAAGUUCUCAAGCCUUAAGUUUCACCAUGACAUUCGCGACAUCAACGUAGCUGCUGAUGUGUUAUAAAAAAUAGGCUCAACCCGUGCAGAAGUUCCAGCAAGUAUUUUUGUACACGAGCUUCGCAAACCUUCCAUACCAGAACAAGCUAUUCCAGCAACUACCAACACAAAACCUCCAGAACCCAACCGAGAGAUCAUGAUGAUCGAAGUUGACUGGAGAUCACCGUUCAUCGACUAUAUCAAAGAACAAAAGCUAGCCUCCGAUAAGGACCAAGCUGAACAAGUCUCGCAGCGAGGUAAGAGCUAUGUUCUAGUUGGAGAUAAGCUCUAUAGAAGGGGUGCAUCUUCAGGAAUACUCAUGAAAUGUGUCACCCAAGAAGAAGGUCAAGAAAUCCUGGAAGAAAUACACAAAGGAAUAUGUAGUAAUCAUGCCUCUUCAUGAACGAUCAUAGGAAAAACUUUCAGAGCAGGCUUCUACAAGCCCAUGGCACUGGCCGACGCAAAACAACAAGUCUGUAGAUGCUAAGGCUGCCAAUUAUUCGCCAAGCAACAACAUGUCCCCGCCUACAAGCUUAGUACAAUACCUCCAACAUGGCCCUUUGCAUGCUAGGGGCUUGACAUGAUUGGUCCACUCCCAACUGAACUAGGAGGGUUCAAUCGAGUACUCGUAGCCAUCGACAAGUUCACCAAGUGGAUUAUAGUCAAACCCGUCACUUGCCCCAAGGCCGACCGAGUCCUCGACUUCCUGGAUGAGAUCGUAUAUCGCUACGGUUUCCCCAACAGAAUCAUCACUGAUUUGGGAUCCAACUUCAACAAUCACGACUUUUGGGAAUACUGUGAGAAUAGCGGAAUUGAUGUACGAUACGUCUCUGUCGCUCGCCUAAGGGCCAAUGGCCAAGUCGAGCGUGCCAACAGCAUGUUACUCGAAGCUCUCAAGAAAAGACUGCAUGACAUCAGCAACACAAAAGGAGGCAAAUGGCUCAAAGAACUACCCAAUGUUCUUUUGGGACUACGCACUCAACCAUGCUGGGCACUCUCCCUACUUUCUCAUAUAUGGGUCAAAGGCCAUCCUCCCUGUAGACGUCAUGUGGCAAUCUCCCGUAGUUGAGCAGUAUGACGAAGGAAUAUCAGAGGAAACAAGGCGCCUAGACCUAGACAGUCUGGAAGAAAUAAGAUGUGCAGCACUUGUUCAGUCAUCCAGAUAUCUCGAUGCGCUACAACGCUAUCACGACCGUAAUGUCAAGGAGCGUUCCUUUAAUGUGGGUGACAUGGUCCUCAAACGCAUUCAAGACAUAUCAGGGCUGCACAAACUCAACUCGCCAUGAGAAGGUCCCUACGUCAUAUCCAAGGUCACAUGGCCUGGAUCGUACCGACUACAGGAACUCUCAGGCGAAGAAAUACCAAACUCUUAGAAUAUAGAGCAUCUAUGUCGCUACUACCCAUAGCAGACUACAAGACAUAUACUCGGGUCUUCACCCAUUUAUUAAACAACAAAGAUCUUUGACAAACACUAUCCUUGCCUCCGCUCGGCUAUUCACAGCCACUCGAGCUCUUCAGCUCUGCGAGCCCCAGCGCUCCGCCUUCGACUUGAUUCCAUCAAGUCUAUUUGAGUUAUCACAACUCGUCGACUAUUCACAGCCACUCGAGCUCUUUAGCUCUAUGAGCCCCAGCGCUCCGCUCUCGACUUGUUUGCAUCAAGUCUCUUCGAGUUAUCACAACUCGACGACUAUUCACAGCCACUCAAGCUCUUCAACUCUACAAGUUUCAAUGCUCUCUUGCCGACUCGUCUCUACAAGACUAAGCGGCUUCACAAAGCCACGACUCAAGUCAUUCCACUUACUGGGCGCUCUAUGAUAACAAGCCACGGCUACAGCGCUAGUCAUUCGUUCUUCUAAGGCACAAGACUGCCACAACCAUCAGUCAAGGAGUACUCAAACUCACUUCAUACUUGCAUUUUUCGCGUUAACGAAACUCCGCAGGAUUACAAUCGACUACCCAAUGAAGUCAGGGUAUACAAAAUACAACACAAUAGCACAAUAAUGACUGCAAGAAACUAAUGGCAGUUAGAACAGAAGUCCCAAGCUUUUACUAUAUCACAAGGAUACACGAGCCUAGCAACUGCCUGACUACCAAGGUGCAAGCAGUGUCAAAAGGCAGGGCCUGCACACGAGGAAGCUGCGCAAUAGGCAGUUGUACCCUGAUCCCUCCCCCUGACAACCGGAAGCCAGGUACUCCUUCACCGUCGCUCCCUCGACGGCGACAGGAUGAAUACCCGAUGCAGGAUCAGGAAGAAAAGCACCAGGAAGAUGAAGUGCACUCCCCAAAGCUACUCCCUGGACAACUUUAGUGCACAGGUCCUUACCACAUGCUACACCUCCACCUCUAAUCAGGGAGCUGGAUAAAGACCGCAGAGCUCAUCAUCCUUCACCCACGAGUUCCAGCGUGGACUGAGUUGGAUCGCAAUUUGCAAGAUGAGGCACACAACAAACCCUCCUACGAGGAUUCUUCUAGCAUCGCGGCUAUCCCUACGAGCGUCAGAGUCUAUGGAGGGAAGGUAGCUCUAAUCUACGAGGAAUCUUCUUGCACCGAGGCGCUCAUUGGAAGCUCUCUACUAUCAAACAACAUUAACCUGAAGCAAGCCAUCGCUAUACUGAAGGGCAUGACCCUAGUCGAGUACCUAGGGGCUCAUUUAUAGCCGAAGGGCUGCAACUGCCUACUACUCGCAAUUCCAGCCUGCUCGUGACGAUUAGCACAAGACAUUGACAAGGGUCAGACAGACGACUUAACUCCACGCAUGUGACCACACUGAGCAUAACGGAAAAAAGUGAACAGUGUACCCGUGCACCCUCUUAAGUACAAAGCAAUAAUUGCUACAGUACCCUCACCAGCAACUCCAAUAAUUGAAGACCACACCAGAUACUAUGACUACUCGAUUACUUGGAUAUUGUUUUCCCAACUACGAGAUCAACCAACAAAGAUCAUCGAUUAUAUCAGAAUUUAAAUUUCUCAAAGCAAGAUUUACAUGACUGAGUUUGAGUACAGCCACAAGUGUUCAGCAAAAAAUACAACACGAGUUCAAAUGACUAGGGUUCUUCCAAAGAUAUGAACUCGGUCAUCCUUGCCGCAAUGGGCUCAGGCUCCUCAAGAUACUGCACAUAGGCAUCCUCUGUGCAGUCCCAGGCAAUUCCGUCUCCAGCCGCCGACAAGUUUGCCCUCGGGUAAUACGACUUGACCACUACAAGGACUUGCUUGCAGACAGUCUUACAUAGUCCAGCAACUCUACCUGGGGCAGCUCUUAGUCUCUCGACUAGAGAGCGAGGCUCAGCAUCAUCUUCGGGUGGAACAAUGGCGUUGACUGCGUCUUGAGCAGCACUAGUCAACUCUUAGAGAUCACUUUCCAGCCUCUCCACAGCUCUAGCAUGGCCUCUACAGGACAUCAUAGCCAACGCCAGCAUCACUCCCAUCCGAUCCUUUCUAUCCUUCUCACACUCAUAAGCCGCCUGAGCUUCAGCUAGUGAUGCCCUAAGACGGACAACCUCAUUGGCUACCUGGUCGUGGGCAUUUCUCCAGUCAAGUAGUUGGCUACUCGCAGCGGCCUCCUUGCCUUUGAGCUUCGCGUCAAGCAACACACUAAUCAGAGAAGAAUCUAUGACUAUGAUUAAACAUACUCAACAACUAUGAGUACUCACCCUGAUAUCUUUGAUUCAAAGAUCUAUAGCGAUUCUCCAGCCACUCCUGAAGGACUUCAUGAUCAUUCCUUUCAAUAGCAAAAGAUUUAGUGGCCUCCUUAUGAACUAGCAAGGAAUCUGUAAGACGGCGACAUUCUUGCUCCAAUUGCACUACCCGCUGUUCGGCUACACUAUGCUCCUGAAGAGCUCGAGUAUUUUUCUGGGCCUUAUCAUACAGAUCGUACAACAACACAACACAAUCAUCAAAGCUUGUCAAAAUAUAAUUAAUCAAAGAAAAUGGGUUAUACACACCUGAAAGCUCUGGAUAGCUCUCUUGAUCUCUGACUCUGGUGGCAGCUCGAGUAUCGGACCCCCAGUGCUCUUGGCAACUCAAGGCUCUGGCUCUUUACUCACAACAUACCCUGACAAGAAAAAUCAAGGUUAGCUACUGGGUACAAGGGAACUCCCCUUCAAAAAACAUCUCUACUCCAGUAACAUACCUAUUGCGCCAAAUUCGCCUACUCCUAUCGCAACAACCGGUGCCAAGGCCUGAACACCAGUCGCGCUCACAGUCAACGCAACUUUAGCCGUUGUAGGCAGCACACCUUCAGAACUCUCGGGGACUGUAGGACCUUCCACUGAGCAGAUGACCUCCUGCAGCAUAUUCAUGGUAGCACCCAAGAGACUUGCGUCUUCGAUCUUAGGUGCAUCACCCUCCAUAAUUAAGUCAACUAUGGGCCCAGAAAAGGUAGUCAACGGACCAGCCUCAACCUCAGCCCCCACCUCGACGGGAAUAAUGUCUUCGGCAUCCCUUGAUCGAUCAAGUCACAUGAUUAUCAUCCAGCUACAGAGUACAAAAAUCAUGAAAAGAAAAUACUACACAAGUCCUUACUGGGCUGAUCCCGACGGCAGACGAACACACCUCUUUUCGACUACCACCGACUAGUUACUCGGUACUGGCUCCACAGGGGCCACGGGAGGAAAGUCCUCCACAUUCUCACCAAGUUCUGAAAGAACCAAGGUUGAGACUACGUACGCACGACUAUCAGAACAAACCGCGUACUCACCACUGGUAAUAUCCUCAGGCAACGAGGCAUCAACAACCACUUCCGGUGUCUUCACAGCAACCGCCACCUCAGAAGCCGUGGCCUCAUCACCUACUGGGUUAGUAGCCUUCCUAGGGGCUUCCAGCUCGGAGGCUCCCAGCUCGGGGGCUGCUGACCCUAAGUUUGACGGCUCCUCCUCCAUGAGCAGCCCUUCCAUAGCCGCGACACUCGCAGCCGCAUCUCUGGAAAUCAUGACUACUUCAGCAGAAGUAGCCUCAUCAUCACCAAAAGUCAAGUCGGCGGCCUUUUCAACACACAGACUAACAUCAUCAGUGUUCUACAAGCAAUAUGACUAAGUCAACAAGAAACUCAAAGUACUCAAACAAUUACAACGCACGUACCUUGGUACCUCACGACUCAUCGGGAGUCAAGUCUGAAGCAGUCGCAGCAUACUGUGUAGCGGGUUUCUUCCGCACUACUUGGUGUUUCUUAGUCGGAGGAGUGGAAGGAGAAUCUUCAUUAUUACCAUCAGCUACCUCCUUAUCCUUAUACGGCGUGGGCAAAAAACCAAGCACCACCCAGGACUACAAACCACAAUACAACAUUGUUACUCGGAAAGUACUACUUGUCAAAUUAACCGACUAUAUAUUUGACUACACAAAAUGAACAUAGAAAAGCAAAAAUACCUUUGCUGACCCAUACCAACCGUUCAACUACCGGAGGACUCUUGGGAGUACUGACACUCCUUGAUACGUCUUCAGGGCACAUACGUGACGGGUCAUCAAAACCCGUGUACUCGAAGCCCCAGUGAGCAUGCUGCUGCAGGGGCUGAACUCUGUGCUGGGCACGCUGCUGCAGGGGCUGAGCUCUGUGCUUAAGGAAACUAGCGGCUACAUUGAUCCCAGUUAACCCCAAAGAUCUCAACUCGGAAAUCUACGACAACAAGUCGGUGAUCUCAUGGGUAUCCUCAGGCUUAGUCACCCAGUUGUCCGCAUGUUUUGGAGCAUGGCCGGUGACUACUGGCAAGAUAGGAUCAUGGUUGCCAAUAUAAACCACCUCUUCUUCCAAUCACCAUGGGAAUCGGGCAAAUCGUACUCAAGAUAUGCACCCGAGUUUCUCAACUGAAACCUAGCUCCUCCAAAGACUUUUGUCCUAGUCGUGCUGGGUUGUGGUUUACACCAAAACAAUUUCCUAAACAAAUCCAGACAAGGCAAAACACCCAAGUACACUUCGCAUAGGUGUACAAAGAUAGCCAUAUGCAGCACACCAUUCGGAUUCAAAUGGACUAGCUGAAGAUUAUAAUACUCGAGAAUACCUCUGAAGAAGUCAGAGGUAGGCACUGCCAGGCUUCUCUCGACAAAGUGAGCCAGCAUCACCGCCUCCUUGGGGUGUUCUUCGAAUUGCCAUGCAUUUCCAUAUGCAGGCCUCCACUCAAGCUCAACCUUUGGUUGGAGAAACUUUGCAUGAACCAAGGCCUGAACCGCCAGCUUUUUCAUCACAGAGUGGUGCCAGGUGACCCCAGGAGGCGGUGGCGCAGUAUGGUUCAUUGGAUCACACUUGGGCGCGGGCAACUCGGGCUCUUUACCCUUCUUGGAUCUGGAUCACAACUUGCUGGUGGUCGUGGUCUCCCCCUGGAUCUUCUCAGGUUUCUUGCCCAUCUUCUUGGUACGCAUCAACUAAUCUUGAGGAAUAAAGGGAGAGAAAAAGGCCGUAGCGAUUCCUCUUCAAAAGAUUGGGCGGGGCAACAAUGGCAGCGGCGGCGCAAACAGGAGCAGCGGCGCUAGGGUUGCAAAAAGGGCGCAAAUUGCAGAUCUACUACAGGCAUGCCAAUAAUUAGCACUGGGCCCCCUAUUAUAUCAACAACAUUUCCGGAUUCCACCCGUUAAUCAAGCAAUGGUCAGAUACGACUAAGAUUCACCACCAUUUAGUGUCCAACAGCUACUCUGACCAAGAAAUUGAUCCUUCAUCAACUACAAGUAGUCAUCAAAUUGCUCGGGGGCUGCGUAUACCGUACCCGUUGGAUAAAGUUUUCUUUUUCUGAAGACUAAGAUAAGUCAAAGAGAAAUUACAAGUUUGACCCUCAGCCUGAUUCUUCGAGACAGACUACUCAAAGCAAACAUCGGGAACUGCUAAGAGUACCUUCCAGUCACGCGACAGCUCCGGUACUCGAAGGUUGGCUACAUCGAGAAGUACUCGAGAAGCACGAGGAGGAACUCGGGUGACAUCUUCAAACACUCGGAGCUGUUCCUCUUGACUACAAAGUACUUGGGGGCUUGUCAGCUUGGCACCCUCGGGCCCACAAGAAGACUUGUACGGACCCAAUCAAGGAAACGUACCCGAAACCUACUCGGACAUGAAUACUACUCUACAGGGCGCGUAGGCUUCAUGGACUUCCGGAAGACUAGUCGUGUCCAAAGGAAACUACUCUACCGAGUUAGAGUAAGACUCUGUAAUGUACUCGACUAGGAUUCCUGCCCUGUAACCCUGCUCCCCCGACUAUAUAAGGGCGGGCAGGAACCCUCUCCAGACAAUGAAGAACAAGAUCAAUACAACCAACACACAGGACGUAGGGUAUUACGCGAUCCAGUAGCCUGAACUUGUCUAAAUCGUGUUCCUUGCAUCACCAUCGACUCCUUGAUUCUCGACGACACUUGCUGCACAAAAGACCACCUUGGGUACUCCCAAGGUGUCGGGGGGAAAUAUUAACGACUCCUCCCAAGCCCAUGGAGACGACAAAACGUAAAGGCCCAGGCCCACCUGAGGUAACAAGGCCAGCGCUGGCCCAACACGGGGAGCAAGGAUCACGCUCCGCCUCGCCUGACCCAGCGUCCUAGGGUUAGGCAUCCCCGACCCCCGCGAAACCAAGCUCCGCCUCGCCCCACCGCAGGACCGGGGUCGGGGGCAUCCGACCCCCCGCCGCAGACCUCCGCUUCGCCCGACCCCAUGCAUAAAGGGUCGGGCUGGCCCGGGCCUACCAGACAAGUAUCCGCCUCGGGCGCGGAUCUCAUGGGUCCCCCUGUCGAUCCCACCAUAAAUGCGCCGCAAAGCUGUCAGAAGAAAGGAUCUCCGCGGGGUCAGCCGAAGGAGCCGAAGGCGGGACGGGAUCUGCGCCCUCUCCCGUGUCCGGCGGCGGCACCACUCCAUCAGUUGCCGCCGCGGGAGCCACCUCCACGGUGGGACCUGCGACCUCACCAGGGACCCCGCUGCUCUCCACAGGUGGGGCCGCGGUGCGCCCCGCAGGGGCAAACAACACCCGCAGCGCCUUCUUGGGCGCCAGCUACGGGACGAGGCCUCGAGGGGCGGCAUUGCAAAACAGUCAACAGAGAUCAGCGAAAACAAACACAACGCAUGGAAGGGAAUGAGGUUCGCAAAGGAAUUCAACUCACGUUCCCCCAGCGCAAGGACGGCGUGCGCGCUUCGCCUCCGAGCCGGACGUCAACCCCGGGGCGACCGGCAGCGGCCGCUUGUCACCGCUCCUCUGCUCCUGGGCUGCGGGCGCAGGGGCGGGGGCGGGCUCCGUCGAGCCCUGGGGAGCGGGCUCCGUUGACCCCUUGAGGGUGGGCUCCGCCGACCCCUGGGGAGCGCUCCGCACCAACCCUUGGGGGGGUGCUCCGCGCCGCCCCCUGGGAAGCACCUCGCGCCGACCCCUGAGGGGCGCUCUGCGCCGACCCCAGAACUUUGCGGGAUCAAGCCCCGGGUGGACGAUCCGUCCGCUUCAUCCCUCACGGCCGUUUGGGAGCGCGUCUCCCGAAUAACGAGCGCGCCCGACCGGGGGGAAUGAACAAACUCCUCCUCCUCGUCGUCAUCCUCCUCAUCCUUCUCGUCAUCGUCAUCGUCAUCGUCGUCGUCCGACACGACCUGUCCUCGCCGCUGCUACUAGAACUCCUUAGCGGCCUUCUUCUUCUUCUUCGCUGUCUCCUUGUCCUUGCGGCGCUUCUGCUUCUCAGCAAGGAGACGGUUCUGAAGCCGCCGCUCGGCGUCCUCCGGCACCGGCGGGCACGAGUCCACGACCCGGGUCAAGCUACCCUGCAGACACAAAAAGGCCCCGCGUCAGAGCGGCGAACCAAGAAACACGAAAAAAGAAGGUUCACGCACAAAUUCCUUGCCAGGUCGACGAAGUCCUCGUCCGGGUGCAUCGGAGGGUGCCCGGGCACCGGGUAGUUGGCGCCCUUGUCCUCCAGCGCCUCCCGAAUCUGCCGCCGGAUCUCGGAGGCGGCGAGCGCACCCAUCGUGAGGGCGGUGCCGUCGGUCGGCGCACCGGGGGCCAUCUCGGCAAGCGAGCAGACCCGGAGCAUCAGCGGCGCCACCCGCCGGGCGUGGUACACCCCGAUAACUUCGGCUCCGGUCAACCCCCGGCCCUUCAGGUGCUCGAUGGCCUGCGCAGGUCAUGGAUCCGUUUCUUCUCCUUGUCAAUUGGGCCAUACGCCCACACCUCCGGUGCUGCCUCGAUGAUGCGGCCGGUGAACGCCGGCAAGGGGGAGUCGGAGUAGUUCUUCACGUAGAACCACUGCUGGUGCCACCCCUAGUGGGACGCUGCGGUCUUCAUCGCCAUGUACUCCCUGGCACGGGUAUGACGGAGGUGGAUUCCGGUGCACCCUAUCGGCACCGGGGGCGACCGCUGCUGGCUCCCCAUCUUCCCCGCCUUCUGGUACAGGCUAACGGUGAAGAAGUAUUUCCACAGCGAGAAGUUAGGCUCGAUGCCCAGGAACCCCUCGCACAACAUGACGGACGCCGCGAUAUGAUGAAUCCCGUUGGGGUUGAGGUGCUGCAGCUCAAGCCCGUAUUAAUGCAGAAGCCCGCGGAAGAAGAGGCUCGGCGGAGUCGCAAAACCUCUCUCGUGGAAGUGGGCGAAGGAGACGACAUAGCCGGCAGGCGGCGUCGGCGCCUGCUCCAUCCCCGGAAGCUCCCAUUCGCCCGCCUCCGUCCUCUCGCAGAGGAGACCCCUCCUCACUAGGUCCUCGGCGCGCGAGGGGCCGAAGUGGGAAAGCGCCCAAGAUCCCAUCGCUGGAGAGAAAGAGGAUCGAUGAGGGAUGAGGGGAAAGGGUGCGGCGCGGGGCGGAGGAAGAUGAAGCGGGUGCAGGAGAGCUAAGGGCGCGCGAGGAGGCAAAAAAGCUUGAAAGCAGACAGCGGGCGGAACCGGCGAGGUGAGGUUUCCAUUUUAUAGGAAAGGCGAGGAAGGAGCGGAACAGACGCCCUCGUCACCAUAAAUGCGGCGCCAAGUACGCUCCACCACGCCUGCCUCUUUUUUGGAAACCGUGUGCACGGCCGGCAGCAGAAACAAUUUUCCUCCCUCGAUUCGCGAGUCGGUGCCCUCCACCGCUUCACCUCCCAGGGUUACGCGCGCGACAUCCCCCACGAUCGGCCCAAGGCACUGCUCCCUCCGCAUCCAGCCCAAGACACGACCUCCAUCCACGUCCAGCCCAAGGCCCACCAAAAGGUAAGAAAGGGAUACGGGGCUGAAAACGCCCCCACGGCCCAUUACGGUCGAGGAGUUCGAAGGUUGGCCCACCAUGGGUUCGACAACCGCUCCAGGUUGCCCCCGAUCGAGGGGUGAGAAGAGACAGGUCCGCAAGCGACCAUCACCCAGGCGCGCGAUAGCCCAGGGCGUCUCAAUCUCACGUUCGAGUCCAAACCGGCAUUACAGUUCAUGGUUUUUCCCUGAAGGAAGGCAACGAGCCCCCGGAUCCAAACGAACGGAUUCGGGAACUAUAUGAACUGGCCGAUCGGAACCUCGGGCACGCCACCAGCUUGGCCCAAGCCGGACCCCCCCGAACGGGGACUGGGGCCCCACUCGAAUUUGCCCGAUAGCAGGUCAAUGAGCACCACGGUUUGUCCGACGAGGAUAGCGUGGCACGGCUCGCCCCCUCCAUCCCAACGAACGGACGCUUGAGGGGUAACGCACAAAAGUCGACCCAGCCUCCCGACCGGUCCCCUGCAACACGCAGGGGCUCGGGGGCUGGCCUCGCAUCCUAAGGCCACGCGGGUGGUCUCGACUUAAGGCUCGCGAGCGAAAGGGGCCGACGAGAAGUCCUCCCGCGCCGAGUUGCUCACAGGGUGCGUCACCUAAUUAACCCCCUCGGUCGAGCCACCCAAGCAACACCUCCCGUCCUGGAUCAACCACGAAGACUCCUCAUUGGCGAUGACAACAGCCUCUAGAGGAGCGUCCCUGCUCCACCACAGGCUUGGGGGCUACUGUCGGGGGGAAAUAUUAACGACUCCUCCCAAGCCCAUGGAGACGACAAAACGUAAAGGCCCAGGCCCACCUGAGGUAACAAGGCCAGCGCUGGCCCAACACGGGGAGCAAGGAUCAUGCUCUGCCUCGCCCGACCCGGCGUCCUAGGGUCAGGCGUCCCCGACCCCCGCGAAACCAACCUCUGCCUCGCCCGACCGCAGGACCGGGGUCGGAGUAUCCGACCCCCCGCCGCAGACCUCCGCUUCACCUGACCCCAAGCAUAAAGGGUCGGGCUGGCCCAGGCCCACCAAACAAGUAUCCGCCUCGGGCUCGGAUCUCAUGGGUCCCCUGUCGAUCCACCAUAAAUGCGCCGCAAAGCUGUCAGAAGAAAGGAUCUCCACGCCUCCACGCAACCCAUCGCAGGUACCCAUGCACGGCCGCACGGUACCUGCUACAGUGGCUGCAACCUUCUCUGAUUGGCCACAGGGCACUCAUUAGCUGCACCGCCUAGGGCAGGAAGAAGUCUCGCCUGCUCUCGUGCCCCGCGCGCCCAGCGGCAGGGAUGCGACGUCCGCCCUCCGCAAGCCAUCAGCAGGACGGCAAGAUCCGCCGCCUCCCCCAGCGGACACGGGGGUCACGACAAAAUGCCAUCAUCGCGUCCGGCGGCUACAGUCGCCGAUGAGGCCGUCGAUAGGAUGCAGCGGCCGCCACCCCAUUCCGGCUAACGCGCCAGUAGAAGCCGAAGGCCGGCGAGGACGCCGGCGACCUGGGGACUUGUUUCCCCCCCUUUUUGCAUUAUUCUUUUUACUGCUCCACACACUCGGUCUCACUUGUAACACCGGUGGCCUCCUCAUACUAUAAAAGAGGAAUCAGGGGCCGGAGACAAGGGAGAAAGAACGCACAACUCAAGACACCAUAACACUCCCUAGACAACAGAACGCACGAGCGCACCCUGCUAGAGCGUUAGGGCACAUCCAAGGGACUUGGGACCAGUUCCCUCUCUCGCACUCCUGUAACCCCUACUACAGAACCCUGCGUGGGCAACACGAGCAGCUCCCGAUACUGGACGUAGGGCAUUCCCGUGCCCGAACCAGUCUAAACCCGUGUCUCCCACGCCACCAUCCGAAGCCUUACGUGCAUAAAAGAAAUUUACUAGUCUAAGUCUUGACUCGCUAAUCUUGACAACGACACUAGGUGGGUUGCCGGUCUAAAACACCGACACUUGACAUGUCCUUCACAUUAAAAAACUUGAGUCACAUCAUUGGUUAGGAUGAAUGGUUCGUCUCUCUAUCCAAUCUUGUUGAGGUCCACCAUUGUCAUUCCAUAGUUGUUUGUCAUUACGCCUUCUCCAGUAAGUUCCACCCAUUGGCACCGAAACAGAGGGAUUUUCAGAGGGAUAUUCAAAGGUCCAUAGUUGAGUUCCAUAUCUCCUCAAUGACACCAUAGUAUAUGUAUUUUUUUUCCAUUUUUGUCUAUUGCCUCUGUACGGGCACCACUAUUUUGGUUUGUGCUCUUUUGGUCUUGGGCUGUCGUGUAAAAUGUGUACCCAUUUAUGUCGUAUCCUUGGAAUGUCAAUAUUGAGAUAGAUGGACCCCUAGCCAACCCUGCUAGGUGCUCUUCAAUCGUGUCAUCACCCAUCAGUUAUUACCGCAACCAAGAGGCGAAAGUGUCAAUAUGAUGACGUGUAAUCUAGGCCUCAAUCUUCCCCUGGUUUGAGGACCGCACAAUGGUCUUGUGCUCCUCCAAGUAUGGAGUCACUAGGGAUGAUUGUUGCAGGACCGUGAAGUGUGCUUUACGAAAUGUACUCUCAUCAAUGUCCAUUCGAGCUUUCCUCCCUAGUAUGACCUUUCCCUUGAGUCUCCCCUCAUGGCGUGAUACAAGGACUCCAAUCAAACACAGGUCAUCAAUAAAGUCAACAUAAAACUCAAUGACCUCCUCUUUUCCAUAGCCCUUUGCGAUAAUUUCUUUUGGACGGGCACAAUUACGAACAUAGUUCUUCAGAACGGCCCUAAACCUCUUGAAAGGGAACACAUUAUGUAGAAAUACAGGACCGAGAACAAAAAUCUCUUCAACAAGGUGGAUUAGAAGGUGGGUCAUGAUAUUAAAGAAGGAAGGUGGAAAGACCAUCACAAAGCUGACAAGGCAUUGCUCUACGUCAUUCUGCAGCUUUAGUAGGUUGUUUAGAUGGAUUACCUUAUGAGAAAUCAUGUUGAGAAAUGCACAUAGCUUCACGAUUUCCAUUCUCAGAUUCUCUGGUAGAAUACUCCUCAGUGCAACAGGCAGCAAUUGUGUCAUCAGGACAUGGAGUCAUAGGCCUUUAGAUUUUUGAAUUUCUUCUCUUUAAUAUUUAUUAUUCCCUAUGUAUUUGAGGAGUAGCCUGAUGGGACAUUAAUACUAUUCAAGCACUCAAACAUGCAUUCCUUCUCUUCCUUGCUGAGAGUGUAACUAGCAGGAUGCAAGUAAUGUCCAUCAUCUCUCUUUCAGAUGUAGGCCAUCUCAUUGUUUCAUAUAUUUCAGGUCCAAACGUGCUUCAAUUGUAUCCUUUGUCUUUCCAUAUGUACCGAGGAAGCCAAGCACAUUCACGCAAAGAUUUUUCAUCAGGUGCAUCACAUUGAUUGCAUUACGGACAUCAAGGAAUUCCUAAUAAGGUAGCUCCCAAAAUAUAGACUUCUUCUUCCACAUGGUUGCAUGUCCGUCCACGACAUUCGGAACAGGUUGGCUAUCAGAGCCCUUGCCUAAGACUAUCCUCACAUCCUUUAUCAUAGAAAAUACACAUUUACUAUUACGGUGAACGGACUCAGUAUGUUUUUCUUCCUCCCCUUCAAAAUGCUUCCCUUUCUUUCUUAACGGGUGCUUAGCAUGAAAUAAUCAACGAUGGCUUGUAUAUAUGACCUUCCUACAGUGUUUCAAAUAUAUGCUGUAAGUAUCAUCUAAGCAGUGCGUGUAGGCUCGAUAUCCCUUGUUUGUCUGUCCGGACAUAUUACCAAGCGCCGGCCAAUCAUUGAUGGUUACGAACAACAAUGCUCAUAGAUUAAAAGUCUCCUUUUUAUCCUCAUCCCACACAUGUACACCUUCUUCCUUCCAUAAUUGUAAAAGUUCAUCAACCAAUGGUCUUAGGUAAACAUCAAUAUGGUUGCCAAGUUGUUUUGGACCUUGGAUAAUUACCGGCAUCAUAAUGAACUUCCUUUUCAUGCACAUCCAGGGCCAGAAGGUUGAACAUACAUAAGAUCACAAGCCAAGUGCUAUGACCACCACUGAACUCACCGAAUGGAUUGAAUCCAUCUGUACUUAAACCAAACCGUAUGUUCCUUGCAUCCUUUUCAAACUCGGAAAAUUCUCUAUCAAGUGUUCUCCACUGGGACCCAUCAGCGGGGUGUCUGAUCAUUUCAUCUUGCUUACGUUCUUCUUUGUGCCAACACAUCAACUUUGCAUAUGCCUUAUUUUUGAACUAACACUUCAAGCGUGGUACUACAGGGAAAUACCACAUUACCUUCGUAGGAACUUUCUUCUUGCUGGCCUGCCCCUCAACAUCACCAAGAUCAUCUUGCCUAAUCUUAUAACGCAGCGCUUCACACACAGGACAAGCAUCCAAUUUCUCAUAUUCCUCAUAGCGAGAGAGGAUACAGUCAUUGGGACACGCAUGUAUCUUUUGUACCUCCAGACCUAGAGGGCAAACAACCUGUUGAUGCCAGAUUUUGACACGUGUGUGAUCGGCGUCAGGGGAAGAAGAAAUCAGAAGAAACGGCGAGACACAGGGAUGGCGGUUGGAAAUCGGCCGAUUGGUGCUACAGUUAUGGAUCGGCCGAUUGACCUUUGGAGUUACGCCUCGCCCGACCCCUGAGGACUGGGAUCGGAUACGCCCAACCCUCCAAGGGAGGAUCUCCGCCUCGUCCGACCUUAGAUCCCAGGGUCGGAGUAGUCUGAGCCCUCGACAUGUGGGUCCUAAUCGGUUGUCCCUUGCCAAUGAGGUGAAUAGAAAUCGGCCGAUUAGGAGGCUGGAAUAAUUGGGCCGGUGUGGGCCUAAAGAGGAUUGUGAAGAUGAAGAGGGAAUCAGGCCAUGAAGAGCGUGAUAAUCGACCUAGUACAAAUCGUACUUGUAAAUAUUUGUUUUCUAUUUAAAUUUAGGGAUAGAGUUCUAAUCGGAUAAGAAGUCAUUUGUAACGGGCUAUAAAUAGCCACCCUUGUAGAUCUGUAAUCAUCAUCAACUCAAUACAACAAACUACUAUUUCCUCAUACUUACUUUCAAGUCGGCGACUUCGCCAAUACUUUUCUCUUUUUCACGAGUUCGUACGGGUUGGCGGGGCUGCAUCAACUUGACCUCCGGCCAAUCUUGUAAGUUCCACUUAUCGAAUAAUUUCUAAGCUUUAACUUCGGGCGCAUCGCUGUUGUUUCGUUUAGAUUUAUUCAUCAGUUAUCGAUAUUUACUAGAAUUUUAGGUUUUACCUGUUGUUCUGGUUUUAUCACUAGUUAUCCAGCUAGGAAUCGGCAAUUUCGGCUUUUCUUGGGUUUCGUCAUUUGAUCUAUUUAUUUCACGCAUAGCUGAUUAGAUCUGUUCCUAGUGUUGUUACUGUAGCGUUGUUUAGAUUACUCCAGUGGUUUUCUUUAUCAACGUCGCCUUGUAAUCGGUCGCAUUGUAACCGAUUUCCUCAUUAUAGCAAAUCGGCCGAUUCGCUGAUAAGCUUUCUCGAGAUCGGAACUUUAGCCGAUCGCUACCUCUGGGAUUUGACACGUUUCUCUCCUUGCCAAUCAACAGGUCAGAUUGGCUGGCACGCCGCGCGAACUGCACCAGGGCGAUCACCCGAACAGGAGCUAAGCAGAUUCUCCCAGGUCGUGUGUCCGACGCUGGGGAUUUGAUUAGUCGAUUUCUAGCGCCAACACACUUUUGGCACGCCUAGUGGGACCAGUACAACUGCCACUAUGUCGAAAGCUGCUGAAGUCUCGGAAGAUAACGUCAUCGAAGUGACAGAAGCAGACCUCAGGGACGACCAGAGGGAGGAAUUAGAGAAGCAGACGGCAUACUACCGGAAGACAUGUCCGCAAUCCUUCAGUCACACCAGGAGCGGAGAAACUAUCAAAAAGAUUCCAUUUCCAACUCCCCGCCAGAUCACAAUCACCGAGGACUCGGAUAAGAUGUCUGAGAGGGAUCAACAAUCUGUCUAUCAAGCUUUCAUCGAUCAAUCCCCGGUGAUUUCUAAUACUGUAUACAAUGCCGUCAUCAGCUCCUUAGCUAGUGGCGUAUCUCAAGGGUACUAGGGGCCGGCAUAUGCUCCGCCAAUUAUGGCUCCGAACAAGAGUUAUUCAAAUACACCUUAUUCGGCUUCUCAGCCGACCCAAAUUCCAGUUGGAGGUUCUAGCACUUCCUCAUCAUCGAUCCCUAUGGGGUUUAAUGGCGCGCAAUAUCUCCAGCCGCGUCCCAUUCAGUUGUCCUCCGCGCAGUUUCCUCCGUUGAAUCCAGCGCCUUGGGGGGCACCAUCAGUGAUGGCCGCCCAGGAUCAACCGGCCAACCAUGGAAGUCCUCAACUCCAGGCAUCUUUCCAGGCGGCCGCUAGGCCAAUCAUGCUGCAAUAUCAGCCUGUCGCACCGGAGAUGAGCAGGGCGGCAGAAUCAACGGAAGUACUUUGGGGCGUUGUGCCGCUCGUACUGUAUGACGAAGCAGGCGGCUCACUCAAACAGCCGACCCUGACUACGCAGCCGGCUAUGACACAUCAGACGCCGCACGCUUUCACUCGUCAUCAAGUCAUCCCGCCGCCAACAUACCAGCACGUACCAGUUCUCCAGCCGACGGUACACCAGCAACAGCCGGACUGGUCGGCACGCUUAGCAGAGGUGAUUCAAGAACAAUUCGGCUUAAAACCGAAGGUGCAGACCUACACAUACAGGACACCGUACCCGCCUACAUACGACUCACUGCCGUUUCCCCAUCGGUAUAAAGUUCCUGAUUUCACUAAGUUUUCGGGACUGGACGACACCUCAACUGUGGAACACGUGAACAGAUUCAUCAUCCAAUGCGGGGAAGCAGCGGCACAGGAUGCUCUACGGGUGCGCCUUUUCUCGUCAUCCCUGUCUGGGUCAGCCUUUCAGUGGUUCACUACAUUACCGCCCAACUCGAUAAUUACGUGGGCUGAUCUGGAAAGGCAGUUUCACAAGUAUUUCUACGCCGGGAUACAUGAGAUGAAGCUGUCCAAUUUAACCAGCCUUAGGCAGAGAAGCGACGAGCUGAUAUCCUCAUAUGUACAGAGGUUCAGGGAGAUUAGGAAUAAGUGCUACUCCCUGGCCCUGACUGAUGCACAGUUGGCCGAUAUAGCCUUCCAAGGUCUCCUACCUCAUAUCAAAGAAAAAUACGCCUCACAGGAGUUUGAGAGCUUAAGCCAAAUCGUCCACCGAUUGUCUGGUCAAGAAGUACGCCCUUUCGAUCCACGGAGGAACUUCCAGAAGAAGGUGACGUACUUAGAAGAGGUUGAAACCGAAGAAGACGCAGAAAUCGGCCUUGCGGAAUGGGUUAAAGGGAAGAAGCCGAUAUCAUGUCCGUUCGGAAAGAAGGAGUCGAAAACGUUCGGAUUCGACAUAUCAAAGGCCGAUAAAAUCUUCGACCUCCUCCUCCAGGAAGGACAGAUCAAGCUCUCGUCGUACCAUACGAUUCCUUCUGCCGAACAGCUGAAGAAGAUAAAAUAUUGCAAGUGGCAUAACGCUACCUGCAAAGAUACAAACGAAUGCAAAAUUUUCCAGCAGCAGAUACAGUCGGCCAUCGAGCAAGGCAGACUUAAAUUUGAAGUUCCAACGAAACCGGCCAAGCCGAUGAAGAUCGACCAGCACCCCUUCCCCACCAACAUGGUUGAUACGGGGAGGAAUUCGCUCCAAACCAAGGUCCUGACGUCCGAAUCGGCUAAACAAAGUGGCGCUGUGGACCCCAGAAAUCAAGCAACACCCGAAGACGUCAAGGGAAAACGGCGGAUGGAAGAUGAUGACGAUGGAAUGGGAGAACCACGUAAGCCCAUUACUUCCCAAUUUCUGCUCAAUAAGUAUCAGCGGCAACAUGAACGCUCGAGAUCCUGGGAAGAGGAGAUGCGGCGCAUGAAGAUCACUGGUGAUGUCCGUUCUUCAUCCACUGUUGGGAAAGCAACCUCAGGUUGCCAUCGGCCGAUAAUUGCCCUGAGUGCAACGGCCCGUAUCGUAACAAUCGGCCGUUCAGAAGGUCUCGCUCCAGAGAUGGGAAAUCAGAGCCGAUCAGCAGGAACUGGCAUGACCAAGAAGACCGGCGCCCUCCAGUACGUGAUCGGUUGGGGGGCAGAAGUGACCGAUAUGACCGGUCGGAAGGUAGGCGCGAGCGAAAUGAUAGGCCGGGGGGCAGAUUUGAUCGACAUGACCGGCCAGAAAACAAGGUUAGCGUCCACAGUCGACUUGAAGAAAUGGCUGAUGCUCGGGUAUCAGACGAGAGUCCUUUAGGACGUGAACCAGAAUGGGAACGCGCCAGGCCACAGACCAAACCAGUAAACCCCAGGUGGUGCCCUGAUGGAUUCACCAAAUCUCAAAAAAGAAGAAUCCAACAUCUCUGCCAGUGGGAACAGCAGGAAGAAGAACAACGGCAUACGAUGGAUGAGAAAAACGGCAAGUCUCAGGUCUAGCGCCCCAAAAAAGGUGACAGGGGAAACGACGAAUCGGCAGCCGACAUCGGCAUGGUUUUCAUACUGCCGAUGGAGUUCAUGACUCCUGCCGACCGACAGAACAUGUCGGCAAUAGAAGAGCAGAUGGCACAAUUGGCUUUAGAACCAAUGACAGCCACGUUCGAGAAGCCCGAAGAUGACAAACGACAACACCUGAAGGCGUUGUUUCUUAAAGGGCAUGUCAACGGCCGACCCAUCACCAGAUUACUGGUAGACGGAGGAGCUGCAGUUAACAUCAUGCCAUAAGCCAUGUUCCAGAAGCUAGGGAAAUGCGAUGACGACCUGACCAGGACAGAUAUGAUGCUCAAGGACUUCGAAGACAACGUAUCCCCCGCUCGUGGCGCUCUCUGCGUCGACCUCACCAUCGGCAGUAAGACCCUUCCUACUACUUUCUUUAUCAUUAAUGGCAAGGGGUCCUACAACAUGCUACUCGGCCGAGACUGGAUACAUGCAAAUUGUUGUAUCCCGUCUACAAUGCAUCAAUGCCUCGUGCAAUGGGUUGGCGACAAUAUCGAGGUGGUCACCGCCGAUUCCGCAUACAGCGUCGCGGCAGCCGACACGCAGCAGUGGAGCUGCGAGAUCGUCAAGUGCAUAUCCGGGAGAAUAUGGGACACUGAUUUCUUGAAGGUGUCCGAUUUUGGCCUGCAGCUGAUCCAAGCAGUCGGCUCCGAAGACUCAGACUAAAUGGAUCAGUUCGCCCGAGAAGAUGGGAAGCUGGGACACGGAUUCACGUCGGCCGAUUCAUUAGAAAUGAUAGACUUAGGCGAUGGCACCAAACCAAGGCCGACAUAUAUUAGUGCAAAUUUGGAUCCGGAAUACAAAUGUAAAUUGACAAAUUUAUUAAGAGAAUUUAAGGAUUGCUUUUGCUUGGGAAUACCAUGAGAUGCCCGGAUUAGACCGAUCUAUUGUUGAGCAUCGGUUACCCAUAAAGCCGGGGUAUCGACCAUAUCAACAGCCUGCACGGCGGUGUAAUCCUAAAAUCCUACCAGACAUAAAUGCUGAAAUAACGCGGCUAAUCGAAGCAAAAUUUAUUCGGCAAUGUCGUUAUGCCGAAUGGAUCUCCAACAUUGUACCAGUAUACAAGAAGAACGGAAAGCUACGCGUAUGCGUCGAUUUCAGGAACCUCAAUCAGGCCACACCAAUGGACGGAUACCCCAUGCCGACGGCCGAUGUGCUGAUAGAUGUCGUCGCAGGACACAAGGUUAUUAGUUUCAUGGAUAGAAACGCUGGGUACAAUCAGAUACUAAUGGCCGAAGAGGACAUAUCCAAAACGGCCUUCAAAUGCCCGGGUCACCUUGGUUUAUUCGAGUGGGUGGUAAUGACUUUCGGUUUGAAGAACGCUGGCGCUACGUAUUAGAGAGCCAUGAAUUACAUAUUUCACAAACUUAUCGGCAUACUAGUAGAAAUCUACAUCGACGACGUCGUAGUCAAAUCAAAAGGACAUCAGGAGCACCUAGCCGAUUUGCGACAGGUAUUGGAAUGCACUAAGAAACAUGGGCUGAAGAUGAACCCGAGUAAGUGUGCCUUCGGCGUAUCCGCCGGACAAUUCUUAGGAUUCAUGGUGCAUGAGCGGGGAAUAGAGAUCAACCGGAAGACCAUAGCGGCAAUCAAUAAAGUCGUGGCCCCGCAGAAUAAAACUGAGUUGCAAUCUCUAAUCGGCAAGGUGAAUUUCAUCAGAAGAUUCAUAUCUAAUCUGUCUGGGCGAAUCCAAGCCUUCACACCAUUAUUAAAAUUGAAGCCCGACCAGGAGUUCAUAUGGGGGGAAGAGCAACGCAAGGCAUUAGAAGAUAUCAAGCAGUACUUGGUCUCACCACCAGUAUUGGUCCCACCUCAAACUGGUAAGCCGUUUAAACUAUACUUAUCAGCUGAUGAACGAGCUAUUGGGUCGGCUCUGGUCCAGGAGUUCGAGGGAAAGGAACGAGUAAUUUAUUAUGUCAGUAGAAGACUUCUGGACGUCGAAACAAGGUAUCCUCCAGUAGAACGGUUAUGCCUAUGCCUUUACUUCUCAUGCACCAAACUCAGGCACUAUUUGCUAUCGGCAGAAUGUGUGGUCGUAUGCAAAGAUGACAUGGUAAAGUACAUGCUGUCAUUGCCGAUCUUGAAAGGAUGAAUCGGAAAAUGGGUUUUAGCUUUGUCGGAGUUUGAUCUUUGAUAUGAAUCGGCAAAGGCCAUUAAGGGUCAGGUCAUGGCCGAUUUCGUUGCCCAGCACUGUGGACCAGAGGCCACCUUCAUGGAACCAGUACCUUGGACCUUAUACUUUGAUGGAUCAUCAUGUGGGGCCGGAUCAGGAAUCGGCAUCGUCCUCAUAUCGCCUCGGGGGGCAAGCUAUGAUUUCUCUCUGCCGAUAGAAGCAUCCGCCACUAACAAUCAAGUAGAGUACCGAGCUAUACUGAAGGGGUUACAAUUAUUAAGGGAAGUCAAGGCUAAUUCUAUCGAAAUUUUUAGGGAUUCCAUGCUUAUCGUGGAUCAAUUAACAGGGAGGUACGAAUGCAAGGACGAUGUGUUGAGGAUUUAUUACGAAGAUUGCCUGCAGCUUCUGAAAGAAUUCAAGUCUGCAGUUAUUGAGCACAUCCCAAGGAAUCACAACGAGGAUGCCAACAAGCUCGCCCAACAUGCAUCUGGGUAUCGGCCGAUUCAAGGCGCUAUGGCUCUAGAGCUCGCGGCCAAUGACUGGCGAAAGGAGAUUGCCGAUUACCUGAAAGAUCCAUCUAAGAAAGUGGAUCGGCGUGUACGAUUUCAUGCUACCAAAUAUGUGUUACUGGAAGACGACUUGUUCUACCGAACAAUUGAUGGCGUCCUACUCAAGUGUCUAGGAACGGAGGAGGCUAAGACUCUGAUGGGAGAAAUCCACGAAGGAGUGUGUGGAGCCCACCAGUUGGCACAUAAGAUGAAAUAGAUGAUUAGGAAUAAUGGGUACUACUGGCCGACAAUCCUCGAAGAUUGCUUCAAAUAUUAUAAAGGAUGCCAGGAUUGUCAGAAAUAUGGGAAUGUCCAACAUGCGCCCGCAUCGGCCAUGAAUCCCAUUAUCAAACCAUGGCCAUUCAGAGGUUGGGGAAUAGACCUCAUCGGCCAAAUCUAUCCUCCGUCAAGCAAAGGGCACAAAUUCAUUCUGGUGGCCACUGAUUAUUUCACCAAAUGGGUGGAGGCAAUUCCGCUAAAGGCUGUAACAUCGGCCGCUAUGGUUGACUUUGUAAGGGACCAUAUCGUUUACCGUUUCGGCAUUCCCCAGACUAUCACGACCGAUCAAGGAACGAUGUUUACAUCAGGAAAAUUCGAGGAGUUCACAGCCGAUAUGGGAAUCAAAUUGUUAAACUCCUCUCCGUACUAUGCCCAAGCUAAUGGCCAGGCCAAAUCUUCCAACAAAGGGAUAAUUAAGUUAAUCAAGAGGAAGAUAGAGGAACAGCCGAAAAAAUGGCAUUUAUGUCUGACUGAAGCCCUAUGGGCAUACAGGAUGGCUUGCCAUGGGGCCACCAAGAUAUCCCCUUAUCAGUUGGUGUACGGUCACGAGGCGGUACUACCAUGGGAGUUGAGGGUAGGGUCGAGACGCACUUCGCUCCAGGACCAGUUGGUGGCCGACGACUACUCCUCACUCAUGAAAAGUGAACUUGAUGACUUGGCUGGCCAACGAUUGAGAGCUUUGAUAAGUAUUGAAGAAAACAAGAAGAAAGUGGCUAGAUGGUAUGAUAAGAAGGUCAAAGUCAAACAAUUCUCUCCGGGAGACCUGGUAUGGAAGUUAGUGUUGCCGAUCGGGUCGAAAGAUCCUAAAUUCGGUAAAUGGUCCCCUACGUGGGAAGGGCCAUAUAAAAUCGGCCGAUGUGCUCCAGGAAACGCUUAUAUUCUGGAAACGAUCGAAGGAGAAGAGUUUACUAGGGCUCUGAACGGAAGAUACUUGAAAAGGUACUACCCUAGUAUAUGGGUUGGAGCAUAAGGAUCAACCACGAUGAACAAGAACACAGCCGAUACAAAAGGAAUCGUCGGGAGAAAAAACAUAAUCGUCCAAAUCGGCCGAUAUAUUUUAUUCGGUACGGACGAUGGGUUACACGGCCGACACGGUACAAGUCACCCUUAGAAUAAAAAAAUAAUUAGCCACGCCUCUUUUUAAGCUCUCUCUCUCAACCCGACCUAGUUCUAUCAGAAGGCGGAUGUGCCAUUCUUCUAUCUCUUUCAUUGCGGCCUCCGCUUCAACUUGACGGGGGAGAGGAUGACUCCGGUCCAUUGCCGGACGUGAUGUUCCUGCUGUUGCGUCUUCAAGGAUGAUUUGACAAGGAAGCACGUGACUUCUGUCGGCUUGAGGUCGCCGGUGGUCGUUGCCGUCAAGGAAAUCCCAGAUCCGUCGGAUGUCAGUAGGGACGUGCUCUUUGAGUUCGUCACGAUGGGCCCUGAUUAAAUCCUUGUCUUCUUGUGACAACGGUUCGUCGGAGUACACGAGUCCGAUGGCUCGUUCGAGCUCAGGACUAAGGCGCCGCGGCUGGGAAAAGCAACAAUAUACAUAUGGCCGCCGAAGAUGUGAUUCUCUUCAGAGGAAUUAAACUGAGAAAGAGAAUGAAGGCAGAUCUUUUACCUGAUUAACAGAGGAAUAGGAAGAGGAUGAAGAAGACAUGACUGAAAAGCGCGCCGACGAAAACAAGUUAGGGAAGAUGAAGCCGAGCUAGACGGGUACUCUCAAAACGGGGACCUAGGCCGGUGUUUAUAAGAAGAGAAGGCGUGGAUGUUUGGUAAGACGCGUCCCAUCAGAAGUAAAAAGGGUAAUAAAUAAGGGGGCACCACGAAGGAUGGUCAAAGGAGGUAUUAAUGUUCGUACAAGACUACUAGUGCUUUUACAGGUCGCCCAGAAGGGCGUUGAUAGCCGCAAUCGCUCGACGCCGAAUCUGAUCGGCCGAAUCCAGGACCCGUUGGUCAUCCUCCGCCGAUCCAGGGACUUCUGACAUGUGGCGGUGGAGUUUGAGAGCUUCGUGAGCCAGGUGCUGCCUCUCCCAUUUCAGAUCGACGAUGACGGAAGGAAGUUCCUAAAGCCUCUUCUCUUCGGCGGUUAUUGCUUUGGUCACCUGCUCCAUCUCCUUGGCAAGCUCUGCUCUUCGGCGUUUGAGGCGAUCUAUCGUGCCGACGAUUCCCGGGCGAGAGUCUUCCAGAAAGUGGAUCCGUUGAUGCACCUCUUGAGCUUGACGCUUGUACGUGUCUUCUUCUUCACGAGUCUUGGUCAACUUGGCGUGAUCGGCCAUGUGACGCAGGGCCCUGAAGACCGGAAUCCUCAUUGACUCGAUAUACGCAGCCGGCGCCAAGGCUUCUUCUGCUUCUUCUGGUACUCGCCCGCUGACGUCACCAAAAAGCUGCCGAAUCGGCGAGGCAUCUUCUACUAAUCGGCCGAUGUCCUCUUGAAGAAGAGACCAUAUGCUUGCAAGUUUGGCACGAAUGUCAUCAGGAACGGAGCUCAAAGUGACCUGACGGGAGGCGACUUCCUCGUCAUCGGAGAGUGUGACCGCGAACGAAAAAAGACUGUUGUUGGGGGUGUCCUGUUCCUAGAAAAUAGUAAAUCAAAAAGAAAACAAAUCAGCCGAUGGUGACAGCGAAUCGGCCGAUUAAGGGUGGGAAAUCUUUUACCUCCUUAAAACGGAUUUCUUCAAGCUGUGUUUAAGGGACUGUUACCCUCAACUCUGGGACUGGAGCCAUUGGCUCGUCUGAAGAAGAGGACUCAACAACGAUCGGCGCUCUGCUCGGGCCAGCUUCUUGAGGAAUGACCGACGGUUGGUUAGGCAAGACGCUUAGCGUGCCAGUGACCUGUGCCAAAUUUGUUAAGAACAUCAUCCAAGUACUAGAAGAACGGGUUGAAGGAUGGUAUACCUCGACAGGAGGAAGCACUGGCGUUUUGUCGAUCACUUGGGCUACUGCCGGUUGCUGGGGACCCACAAGGGUAAUCUAAGCAGUCUGAUAUAAAAGAAGUUAGUAUAAAGAUGGCGAUUGGGAAGAUCAGACAACAAGUUUACCUGCAUGGCUUCCACUAGUAAUGAUGCAGCGGCUGCUCCGGCUUCUAUGGCAACUUGAAUGUCUACUUCCUCAGCAGUCGGAAGGGGUGGCGCGGCCGAAGUUUCUGCCGAUGUAAUCGUGGGAGGAUCGGCCGAUUCUAUACGAGUGCGUACUCGGCGACUGGUUUUCUUGAUAACCUUCUUCUGCGCCUGCUUUGCUCGACCGACAAUAACGUCCACGAAAGGGGCAUGGUAGCCGAUAAGGGGGAAGGUGGUAUAUGGAUAACGGUCUUCUAUCGGCCGGCCACUCCGGCUGCGUUUUGGGGGAACGCGGUUUUCGGACUGAGACAACAGCAAGAGUUAGUAUAUAUGUUUAACAACAUUAAUAAGGAAUGAAAAUCGGCCGGGGAAAAAUACCUCGGCAUUCGGAUCGAUGUUGGCUGGAUCCAGGAGGUUGCAGUAUAUUGAUGCAGAAGUGCAGAACAGAUACUGUUUCCAUUUGGCCCACCAUAGCUUGAAUGGUUGAACGGUAAAGGGGGCUACUAUCCACUCAUUCAAGUCUAUGGUGCUGGAGUCUGGGAUCCGGUCUCGCAGCCGAUUGUAGUCGAGGCCCUUGGUGAGUUCAUCUCUGAACUUUGCUCGGCCGGCAAAGUACGCCUGAAUCGGCAAUUGACCCAUGCCGAACUGCCGUGCCGCAACGGAGGGGUUGUAGAACUCAUACGUAGGAGCAUCUUUCCCCGAGAAAGAAGUUGGCUGGUAACAUUCCUGGUUUAAUUAAUUCGUCUGUGAGAUCUUCGUCGAAUCAGCCAGUAGUCGAGUCAAAGCAAGAAGGGAGCUCAAAGAUUGGGUCAUCUCUCUGAUAAGGGAACCAGACGGUUGCGUCUUCACUAAAGCCGUUGUAGAAACACCGGAAGUAUUCGGCCACUUUGGUAGCAGAGUACGAGCAACCGGAGAAGGCUGAUGCCGCUUCACCGAAGGAUGUACAUCGGCGUCGGACAGUGGGAUUCUCUGCCAAUUCAAUGUUGGGGAAUGUCAUGUGCUCCACUCGUUGCUGAGAAAUCUUGCUCAUGUACAGGUUAAGACAUAAGUUAAUAAACAACCAGGGUCCACCUGGGUUUCCAAUCGGCUCCCCUUGGGAUAAUUUGACACCGAUUUGGUGAAGCAUGUGGUAGGCUGCUCCCAGUAGGUGCUUUCCAAGGGGAACGGAGGUCCCUAUCGAUAAUGCCUCGGCCAGAGCUUGAGUGUUGGUGGAUGGACCAGCUUCUCUCCCACAGAAGAAAUGUUUCUCUAACCACAUCAUCAAGAAGGCCGUGUGCUCUCUGUUCUCGACUGAUCCGGCCCUUCUGUUGCAUCUGAUGAACCCCUUCCAUCCGCCGAUUCCCCUUGUGUCCAGCCGAUGAGAUGUCGUGGCUAAAAGGCGAAAAGGGGUGUCCGGGGAGGAAAUGUCCAGGCCGGUCAGCAAGACUACAUCAGCCAGAGUGGGGGUCAUGGGUCCGUGUCCAAAAAGGAAUGCAUUGAGAGCAUCGGACCAGAAGUAAGAAGCUGCCAUCACUAAUGGCUCGUUCCGUUCCAUUUGGGACAAGGAUAGAUCGAUGCACUGGCCGAUUUUGAGCUCGUCCCAUUGGACCUUCUUAGAGGCGGCUAUCCGCUAGUACCAUUCCCUCCAGCCGGGAGUUUCAUUCGGCCAUGACCUAAAGGUACCCGACCAAUGAUCUAGGUCCAUAGUUGAUUGCUUGAAAGGGAUCCUAUGGGUUUCCAAAUUGAUUAAGUCGGUUGGAUCUGGGUUUCCUAUGGGACCAAGGCAGAUAAGGCUGGGAGUUUCUGUGAGGCGUAUGGUAAUGUGAUGCCUAACCACCUAAAAAAGGAAAAAGUUGGUGCGGGAGUAAGAAAUAGAUCUAAAGUAAAUGCAUUACUGAUAGGGAAAGUUUCGGUAAUGACCUCCGGGAUGAAGCUCCUCGUAAUCGGCGGGAUCGUCGGUGCAGCUGCAGAUGAUGAAGCCGCCAAUGGGAUUUCGGUUGAAGCCCCAACUUUCACUGACAGAGUUCCUUCUCCCGUCGAUGGAGCCACCGCUGUUGCUGCUGGAACCUCCACCGAAGGCGCCAUCUCCGGAGUUUCGGGCGCUGGUGAAGUGGUGGAGGUUGCCGCCAUUGGAGAAGUGGGGAGGAAUGGAAGGAAGGAGGCACCGGAGAAAACUGGAGAACUAAGGAAAGCGCCUGAGGAAGAAGAAGACCGGUGCGUUAAAGGAGGAAGACGUGAGGUCGUACGGGGAGUACGGGGCGUACUGAUAUUUAAAGGUGGUCUGAGAAGGGGUAAAAGUGUAAUUUUUACCGUGCCGGCGUUUCGAUUGUUUCGGGAGGAGUGGUUGUCGUGGGCGCCCGUUUUGAAAAAAUUGCAAUCAUCAGGCUGGAGACCGCGAAACGGAAGGAUAUUUUCAAUGCGCUCGUUUCGGAAGGGAAUUUGAAAGGAAUUUCGAAGUAAAGACUAUGUUUUACUCCGAAACUGGGGGGCAUGUGUUGAGGCUAGAUUUUGACACGUGUGUGAUCGGCGUCAGGGGAAGAAGAAAUCAGAAUAAACGGUGAGACACAGGGAUGGCGGUUGGAAAUCGGCCGAUUGGUGCUACAGUUAUGGAUCGGCCGAUUGACCUUUGGAGUUCCGCCUCGCCCGACCCCUGAGGACUGGGAUCGGAUGCGCCCAACCCUCCAAGGGAGGAUCUCCGCCUCGUCCGACCUUAGAUCCCAGGGUCGGAAUAGUCUGAGCCCUCGACACGUGGGUCCUAAUCGGUUGUCCCUUGCCGAUGAGGUGAAUAGAAAUCGGCCGAUUAGGAAGCUGGAAUAAUUGGGCCAGUGUGGGCCUAAAGAGGAUUGUGAAGACGAAGAGGGAAUCAGCCCAUGAAGAGCAUGAUAAUCGACCUAGUACGAAUCGUACUUGUAAAUAUUCGUUUUCUGUUUAAAUUUAGGGAUAGAGUUCUAAUCGGAUAAGAAGUCGUUUGUAACGGGCUAUAAAUAGCCACCCUUGUAGAUCUGUAAUCAUCAUCAACUCAAUACAACAAACUACUAUUUCCUCAUACUUACUUUCAAGUCGGCGACUUCGCCAAUACUUUUCUCUUUUUCACGAGUUCGUACGGGUUGGCGGGGCUGCAUCAACUUGACCUCCAACCGAUCUUGUAAGUUCCGCUUAUCGAAUAAUUUCUAAGCUUUAACUUCGGGCGCAUCGCUGUUGUUUCGUUUAGAUUUAUUCAUCAGUUAUCGAUAUUUACUAGAAUUUUAGGUUUUACCUGUUGUUCUGGUUUUAUCACUAGUUAUCCAGCUAGGAAUCGACAAUUUCGGCUUUUCUUGUGUUUCAUCAUUUGAUCUAUUUAUUUCAUGCAUAGCCGAUUAGAUCUGUUCCUAGUGUUGUUACUGUAGCGUUGUUUAGAUUACUCCGGUGGUUUUCUUUAUCAACGUCGCCUGGUAAUCGGUCGCAUUGUAACCGAUUUCCUCAUUAUAGCAAAUCGGCUGAUUCGCUGAUAAGCUUUCUCGAGAUCGGAACUUUAGCCGAUCGCUACCUCUGGGAUUUGACACGUUUCUCUCCUUGCCAAUCAAUAGGUCAGAUUGGCUGGCACGCCGCGCAAACCGCACCAGGGCGAUCACCCGAACAGGAGCUAAGCAGAUUCUCCCGGGUCGUGUGUCUGACGCUGGGGAUUUGAUCAGUCGAUUUCUAGCACCAACACAACCUUUUUUGCUUCAUACGUUAAGCAAGGCAAUUCGUUCCCUCGGGAAGCAUGUUCUUUAUGACUUUCAUUAACUCAUCAAAACUCUUGUUAGGAACUCCAUUUUUUAUUUUCCAUUGCAGCAUUUCCAGUGUGGUACCUAACUUUUUGUGCCCCUGUUUGCAAUCUGGGUGCAACAAUUUCUUAUGAUCAUCUAACAUACGCUCAAACUUCUUUGACUCCUUCACAUUCUCGCAGUCUUCCUUUGCAUCUCACAACACCUGACCUAAACCAUCGGUAGGACCUUCUUCUACAACCAUCUCUUCUUUAGCCUCGCCCAUUGGAGCAUCUACAAAGGCACCUCCUUGAGUCCAGUCAAGAAUGUAGUUACCAUCUUCUUCUUCAUCAUUAUCUUCUAUCAUAAGUCAUUUUUCCCCAUGCUUGGUCCAAAAACAAAAUAGUUAGGCAUGAAUCCCGAACUGUAUAUAUGGGCGUGAAUAGUCUUUCUUGAUGAGUAAUCCUUCUCAUUUUUGCAAAUUCGGCAUGGACAACAAAUGAAACCAAACGACAGCUUGUUGGACUCUGCCAGAUCGAGAAAACCACGCAAGCCAUUAAUGUAGUCUAUGGAGUGUUUGUCCGCGUUGUACAUCCAUUGUCGAUCCAUCUACAAAAUAUUACCGAACCAAAGAUAUAUGAUCAUCCAUAGAAUUGUACAUGAAAUAUAACAAACAUGAUACAAAUACCAUUAAACUCAAAUGUUGCUGAAAGUUUAGAGAGAAAUACACAAAUUUAAAUUUUAGACCCAAAUAACAUGAUACACUACGACAAACUCAAAUGUUGCUGAAAGUUUAGAUAGAAAUACACAAAUUUAAAUUUCAGACCCAAACAACAUGAUACACUAUGACAAACCAUCCACUGAGUACUAUCUAGGAGGAUUUUAAGCAUCCUUGGGUAGUGAAGACGAAUGUUUCACUGACCCAGCCUCAUCUUGUGGUUUAUUUGUGCCUCCUGCGAUGGUAGUACUCAGUGGACCUGAAACACCCAGGACUGGCGUGGAGCAUAACAACCACCCGCUGCAAUAGCAUCUUCAUGACAUCUUUCCAAAUAAUGAGGCAUUACUCUCUCCCACGUGCUCAUUUUCUUCGGGUUAUCAUGAGGGUCAACUAUGGUUUUCCCCUUGCCACGAGAGGAAUGACGAUCACCCCCACUGUCGCCACUACCUCCAGCAGCAGUAGCCAUCUCUCUGUACUACAAUUUAUUUAGAUCAUAUUUGCAAAUAACUAAACUAUGAAUAAAUUAUAUUUUUCCCCAUAAUUUAUUUAGCUCAACAUAACAUAUAAAUGAAAAGUUUCUCCAUUGUAGCUUAUUCUAAAAAUAACUAAUUACGUACCUCUAUUUCAUUUUAUUAUCUCUAUGUACCACAAUUUAUCUCGCUCAUAUUUGCAAAUGACUAAAAUAUGAACAAAUUAUUUUUCUCCAUAAUUUAUUUAGCCCAUAUUUGUAAAGGACUAAGCUAUGAAAUUAUUCCUCUAACCUCAUAUCAAAAUCUUUGACUAAUACAAAAUAUAGCAUCCAAAAAAUUGUAGCUUAUUCUAAAAUCACAAAUAUGAGCUCUAAAUAACACAUGGAUAUAAAUGAAAAAUUUCUCCAUUGUAUCUUAUUCUAAAAAUCACAAAUUACUCUAGCUCUAAAGCAUAAAACUUAGUAUACUGACCAUGUAUCAAGGGAGGAUGAAGUUUCUAACCUUUAGAACACUUGAAUGAGUGAAAUCCUCACGAAAUGGUCAAAAAUCCGGCAGCACCUCCCCUAUUUCGCCAUGAAUGGAUGCAGCCCGAGUUAGAGGAAAUGGCUCGGGCAGGAGGAAGAAGAUGCUUGAUUUAUAGGAGGGAAGUUAGUACCGGUUGGGAGCUCCAACCGGUACUAAAGGUCACCCAUUAGUAUCGGGUGGAGGCACUAAAGGUCCUCAAGCACAUUAGUACCAGGUGGAGGCUCCUCCCGAUACUAAUGGGUGGCCUUUAGUACCGGUUGGAGCCCCCAACCGGUACUAAAAGGGGUCACGAGGGGAUCCUAGGGAACUAGUCGUUAGAUCUGGUACUAAUACUCAUAUUAGUACCGGGUCAAAAACCAACCGGUACUAAGCUUCGGGACCAAUACCGAGUUUUCCAGUAGUGUACCGUAUACUUCAACGGCCAAAGCUCGUUGUAAGGUGUCGGCAACUGCUCUCAUCAAAAUCAGUGAAGGCAAUGUACCGGCAGAGCUCGUCAAGAGCGAACUAGCUCGAGCAGUUCCGAUAAAAUGGGAUUGGGUAGUACAAGAGCAUGGAAAAAAUACAUUCAUUGUGCCAUACCUGUGCCAGGUGGAGCUGCAAAGAAUGAUUAGUAUGAAGCGUCUCCGAACUGAUAACAAUGAAGGGUGAUGCUAUUUGAAGAGUGGAAUAAUGAGAUCAAGCCGAAGCAGAAACUACAGAAGGUAUGGGUUCAUGUAUAUGGCAUUCCAUAUGAGAUUAGAUCCUUUUUACCUCUUUGGGCUGUGGGGUCAAUUCUCGGAGCAAAUCAGAAGGUUCAUAUGAGAUCGAUGAAGAAAACAGGGGUGAUACGACUUAUGGUUGCAGUUCUUGAUGCAAAUUGCAUUCCAGAUGGCGCUGAUAUAGUGGAAGAUGACUGCCUUUAUGAGAUUUUCUUUAAGGUUGAUCAUGUGGUCGCUGAUAACAGUGGGGAACCGGAUGAAUUUAAUGAGGAUGAUGACGUAGAACGGGAGAAUCAAAACAAUCAAAAGGAUCAUGAGAUGGAGGAUGCUGAAAAAGCCCACAAUAAUGGUUCUGAUGCUUCUGGUUUAGAGGCACCACCUUCCAAUUUACAACCUGAUCAAGCACCAAAAUCUGGUGCACCAAAUGCAUUUGAAAAGCAGGUGGUGGAACAAACACUUGACUUAGCAGUAGACAUCGAUGAGCUGAGUGCCAAAGUACUGGCUGAGAGUGAUGAAGAUAACGUGUCACUGUCGGCAAUGAUGGAUUCAGUUCAUGACCUGCAGCCAAUUCAUGACAAAGAGCAAUACAUAGGCGGGAUUUCCCCUGUGGCAAUGCAACUGGAAAAAACAAAGAUGUCAGAAACUGCUACUAAGGAAUCUGGUGCUAAUUCAGAGAAGCAGGUGUUGGGUUCCGUUGAGAGUGCGGGGGGAGGGACAACAGCUAGCACUCAUUCCAUGCUUCAUGGCUACGUGCAGUACAAAACUGCUGUGAGCGACACGAUGGGAACCGUUCAUCUCGGGACCGGCCCCGGCUGGAGGCAAGCCUCCUGCGCACAACAAUGAUGCGCGCCAUUCAUUAGGUGGGGGUGCACAGCUAAACCAGGAAGAUGGUGCCCAGGAGGGAUCUAGGAGAUCAGCUAUACAACUUACACAGUGAUGCAUGUGGAAUCGAAAGCGUAGGUGGUCAGGGAAAUAGAAAUAACAGAUCAAGUGGAUACCUCGGGUACUGUUUGCAAGUCACAAUUCCAUGGGAUUCCUAGACGCAUGUUGCAGGCAUUAUCCAAAAAAAAAAAUGGAAUACGGGCUAACCUUACAAAUGAGGCAAUGGCAAAAGAGCUCCAGGAUCUUGAUAAUGUCAUUGGCAUGGAGAUGAUCAAUACUGCAAGCACCGGAAGUGGUGAGUUUGAGAAGAGGUCAUGAAGUACUAGAACAAUUACCAACGAAGAUGCAAAAAUAAUGGAGAAAGCAAUGAAUCUGGUAGCCAAGAAAAAUGCUCUUGAUCCAGGUAACUGCAUAUCUUUCCCAUCUAUUUCAGAUUAUAAUAUUGUCACUAGAAUUGCAAACCUAGGUGUUCCUAUGGGUAGAGAUAAUAGUGUUACGUCUUCUGUUACCUCUCUCAAAAAUAUAGAAAUUCAUAGGCUAAAGGUGUCAGCUAAAAAUAAUGCUGAUAACAAUAAAUCUUCCUCUCCUAAGAUUAACCUGGAUGGGGAAGAAGAGGACCUGUUAGAUGCACGACUCAACCAUCUUUGUGGGAAUGAUGAGUGUGCACGAGGGACUCGAUCACAUCUGUAGUGAUUUAGUAGCGACACCUCGCAAGAAAAAAAAAUCCAACUCUAGGAAAAAGCCUAAGGUGGGUUUGACAUAAAAAAAACCUAUCGCACCAUCAAAGCUAAGUUUCAAAUGAAAGGGGUCUUCUGGAAUAGUAGAGGUCUUGGAGACUUGGCUAAACAUGGGUACUUGGAAGAUUUGGUUAAAGAGGAGCAAAUUGAUUUUAUUGCUCUCAUGGAAACGGGUUGGGAUCAAUUCCCAAAUGGGACCCUUCAAAAAUUAUGUGGUGGCAAAGAAUUUAUUUGGCAGUACAUGGCACCACAUGGUCGGGUCUAGGGGAAUCCUUCUUGGAGUCGACCUAAUAGUGUUCGAUAUUGGGUCCAUAUAUGAACGGGACUUUUAUAUUAAGUUCACACUUUGAAAUAAACAUGAUGACUUUAAGUUGUCAUUGUUUGCAGUUUAUGGUCAUGCUCAAAAAGAACAUAAGGAAAAUUUCCUGUUAGAAAUGGCACACAUAUGUGGUAAAGAAUCGCUAAUAUAUAUAAUUGGUGGGGAUUUUAACAUCAUACGUUGUCCUCAAGAUAAAAAUAAGGACAAUUUUGAUGCAAAGUGGCCAAACCUUUUUACAUGGUCAUUCAGACUCUUGAUCUUAGAGAGAUAGAAAUGUCUGGUCGUAGAUAUACUUGGGCGAGUAGUGGGGAUGAUCCAAUGUUUGAGAAAUUGGAUUGAGUUUUAGUUAGUACGGAGUGAGAACUACAUGCCAAAGAUAGAAGUAACUCAGAUCACAUACUCUUAUUACUAAACAUGGGUGCGUCUUCUCACAAUAGACAACACCAAUGCUUAAAUUUGACUUGGUUCCUAAUAAAUGGCUAUUUUUAAACCAAGAAACCACUUCGAUGGAAAGAUGGCAGAAUAAAAUAAAAUCUCUUUGGCAAUUUCUAAGGGGUUAGGCCAAAAAUAUAGCUGGCCACAAUAGAAAAGAAAAGAAAAAAUGGAUGAUUGAUGAUCUGGAUAAAAAAAAAUUGAAAACAGGGUGCUCUCAUAUCAAAGAGUUAAAUUUAAAACAAUAUCUCAAUGAACGAUUAGUUCACUUAUUGAGAGAGGAAGAAAUCAAAUGGUAUGAGAGAGCUAAAACUAACAACCUCUUGGAAGGUGAUGAUAGCACCCAAUAUUACCAUUUGGUUGCUAAUGGAAACUAUAGGAAACAACGCCUCUUCAAAUUAGAACAGGAAGAAUGUGUAAUUAAGGGUGAUACUGAAUUGAAAGCUUAUAUCACAAACUAUUAUAAGGGGUUGUUCGGGCCACCGGAGGAUAAUAAUUUUACCAUGUUGGAAAACCAGAACAAUGAUAUAUCUCAAGUCACGGAGGAGGAAAAUAAUUUCCUCACAGCUCCAUUUACAGAGAAGGAGGUGAAAGAGGUAGUGUUCCAAAUGGAGCAUAAUAAAUCUCCUGGAGCUGAUGGUUUCCCAGUAGAAUUUUAUCAAGUUUUCUAGAAAAUCAUAAAAACAGAUCUCAUGGCGCUAUUCACGGAAUUUUAUGAAGAGCGUCUCCCUCUGUAUAGUCUCCAUUUCGGAGUAAUUCCUCUUCUCCCAAAAAUAAAAGAGGCUGUCAAAAUUCAACAAUAUAGACCCAUUUGCUUACUGAAUGUGAGUUUCAAAAUUUACACUAAGGUAGCUACUAACAGACUCAUGGGAGUGGCUAAUAAAGUGAUUCGACCCACCCAAAUGGCAUUUAUGUCUGAUCGAAAUAUUAUGGAAGGAGUAGUGAUAUUACACGAAACUAUCCAUGAACUACACACCAAAAAACUUAAUGGUGUAAUUCUCAAAAUUUAUUUUGAAAAGGCCUAUGAUAAAGUGAAAUGACCUUUUAUACAACAAACCCUUAGAAUGAAGGGAUUUUGCUUGUGAUGGUGUGCAUGGGUUCAAAAUUUUGUUUCGGGAGGAGGUGUGGGUAUCAAAAUUAAUGAUGACAUCGGGCACUACUUUCAAAUAAAAAAAAGGCUCUUAGGCAAGGAGAUCCCAUAUCACCUAUUCUCUUUAAUAUUGUGGCAAACAUGCUCUCUCUCUUUAUAAAGUGGGCAAAAGAAGAUGGCCAAGUUGAAGGAGUGAUUCUACACUUGGUGGAAGAUGGACUAUCUAUUUUGCAGUAUGCAGAUGACACAAUUAUUUUCAUGGAGAAUGACUUAGAGCAAGCUAAGAAUAUGAAACUCUUGCUUUGCAUCUUUGAACAAUUAUCGGGUCUAAAAAUCAGCUUCCACAAGUGAGAUAUUUUUCUAUGGAUAAGCUAAACAGUACGGACAUGAAUAUACUAAACUGUUUGGUUGUGGUCUAGGCACAUACCCCUUUAGGUAUCUAGGAAUCCCGAUGCAUUAUAAUAAACUUGGUAAUACGGAUUGGAAUAUCAUCGAGGAGAGAUUCAAACACAAAUUAAGUACGUGGAAGGCUAAACAUUUAUCUUAUGAAGGACGGUUGGUUUUACUAAAUUCCAUCUGAAGUAGCCUUCAUAUGUUCAUGAUAUCCUUCUUUGAAAUCUCUAAAGGAGACCUAAAAAGAUUGGACUUUUAUCGAUCCAGGUUCUUUUGCAAAGGCAAUAAUGGUAAACAAAAAUAUUGCCUAGCUAAAUGGGACAUUUUGUGCCGUCCUAAAGAUAAGGGGGUUUGGAAUAACAAAUCUCUUGAUCAAAAAGAAAUGUCUACUCAGCAAAUGGCUAUUUAAAUUGCUUAAUGAGGAUGGCAUAUGGCAAACAUUACUUAGAAAUAUCUAAGUUCAAAGUGCCUUUCUCAUGUUACAAUUAAACCUGGUGACUCGCAUUUCUGGAAAGGUUUGUUAAAGGUUAGGGAUAAUUUUCUAGGUUGUGCAACAUUCAAGAUAAAGGUUCUGGGAGGAUAUUUGGGUUGGCUAUAAAUCACUAAAAGAGCAGUUUCUGAUCCUACACAAUACAGUAUACUAUCCUCAUGCUACUGUGGCAAAUGUGAUGAACCAAACGCCAUGGAAUAUCUCUUUUAGAAGAGUAUUAGUUGGGGAUAAACUGACAGCCUGGCAUAACCUUGUAUCUAAAAUAGUUCCUUACCAUCUUUCGGUUGGAAGGGAUAAUUUUACUUGGAACUUGCAUAGAAAUGACAAUUUUACAGGUAAAUCUAUGUACCAGUAUCUCAUAAAUCAGGAUACCCCUUUCAACUGUAAGUUUAUUUGGAAGCUAAAGUCCCCUCUAAAAGUAAGAUAUUUUUUUUUACCUCCAACAUGGUGUUAUCUUAACAAAAGAUAACUUAUCUAAGAGAAACUGGUCUGGGAGUCAAAAAUGUUUCUUCUGUGAUCAUAAUGAAACAAUUAAGCAUCUCUUUUUUAAGUGUCAACAUGCUAAGAUAAUUUGAAGAGUUGUCAAUAUAGCUAUUAGGUUAACUCCACCAAAGUCAAUAGCACAUAUGCUUGGAAAUUGCUUCAUGGGCAUAAGAAACAAGGAUAAAAGUUUGAUUUUUAUUGGGGUUGCAGCUCUUAUGUGGGCGAUCUAGUGUCUGCGUAAUGAUUUGGUUUUUGAGAAAAAAUGGUUUACCUCUUUUACGUAGGCUGUUUUCAGGGGAGCUUACUGGCUGCGAUUUUGGUCCCUAUUACAGCGUAGGGACACAAAGGAGACUGUUCGUUUGGCAAGCAAGGCAUUGGAGGUCGUUGCCUUGGAUAUUUUUGCAAAAAAUGUAUGGAGAAGCAAUAAUAGACUUUGCUUUUAAUUUCUUACUACCAUUUGUAAUCUACCCAUUUUAUUUGUAAUCAGUCUGUGAGCUGAGAAUAUUGUUAAAAUUUGGCUGUAUGCGGUCGGAGAGGCCGGAAUAUUAUCCUUUUUCUAAAAAAAUACUCAUGAGUAAGACUGCCUGGUGCAUAUCACUACGGUUCUACUUUUAUCAUGUCUUCGGUUGCCAUAGGAACCUUGUCGCAGGUGCAGAUCACAGGACAUAGAUGAACAACCUCCGAGUAAAGGAAUGCAAAAUUGUAUUUUUGAGAGCCUCCCGCUUCCCACAGACAUACAUUGGCAUGCUACUGUAGCAAAGUACAAUCAGUGAUGUACAUAUGACUGUAUAUGCACACAUUUGACAACUUCAUGCAUCAAUUUGCAUGUUUUGCAACUUGUUGGACCAAAGUGAUACAACCAUACAAGUUGUUGUAUGGUGGGUGAAAUUUACUCCUGAAAUAAUGGGUAAUGUGGCUAUGAGAUUAACUUAUAUGUGCCUAAUCUAUUUGAAUGGAAAAUUUUGACAUCAUGACAAAACAAAGGAAGGAAAAUCAUGCCAUCUCCAUUUCAACGGGCUCCUACGCCAUUACUCCAUCAGGUACUUGAACCAAUGUUUGAGGAUGACAAUUCGAUUAGAGGUGAGUGUCAGGAUCUGAGAGAUCUAGAUGGGAAUUUCAGAGAACAAAGAGGAAUCGAGCCAAGAACAAGAGGAAAACGAAGAUGAACUGAAGAACAGACAUAACAAAUAGAAGCAACAGCAGCAAAAUUGUGGAUGAUAACUUGGAUUCAAUUACAUAUAGACGCGAGAAUCAGCGAUAAACUACUGGUACUGCUACAUCUAAGAGAUACUUAGGGUUCUUCUUGUUCGAUAAUAUCUUAUAGACUAGGGCCUCUGAGCUAAAUAGCAUGCUCAGGGUGAAGUAAAAGUAAAAGAUAGUUUUAUCUGACGGUAACUGUUCCACGUCCGCCAAUGGAGGUAAAUGAGCUACUGGCCGAGUGAAUGGAUGACUGCCGACGGAUGGGAAAUGGAUGUUAUCGCCAAAGUCGACAAGUUGUUUAAGUUGGCGCCGAUAUGCUGUGCUCCUUGCUCUGAAUCAGAAAUACACUCUGCAUUGCUCUUGUUCCUCACAAUUGCCCCUCUUUGAGAUCCUUGUCCUCAACGAUGAAAUGAAGGAAAUACCUUGCGAAUGAAUGAUGCAUCUUCCCAGGUUGCUUCAGUUUCUGGCAUAUUCAUCCAAUGAAUCAACCACUGGACAACAUGCUCAUUGUUUCAAGGAAUUAGCCUUCUGUCAAGUAUUGCAACUGGAGCUACUUUGAUUGUUCCCUUGGAGUCAAUUAAUGGCAGCUCUGGACUUAGUACUGCAUUAUUUCCAACAUGCUUUUUCAGUUGACUCACAUGGAAUACAUUGUGAAGUUGACAACCUUCAGGGAGGAGCAAUCUAUAAGCAGCUUUGACAAUCCCUUCGAGGACUAUGAAAGGACCAUAGAACUUAGAAUGCAAUUUCAGAGACUUGUGUGCACUGAGUGAGGUGUGGCUGGAUUUUCAAGUACACCAUAUCACCAAUUGUGAAUUCCCUAUCAGUCCUAUGUUUGUCUGCUUGGUACUUUGUUCUUGCUUGUGCUUUUUGGAGGUUGUUUCCGAUUCACCACUUUUGAGUCAUCAAUUAAUGCAAUUGCAUGGUCCAUUUGUCUUUUUGGAGGUAAAGACCUGAUGGUAAUUGUUCCACAUCCACCAAUGGAGGUAAAUGAGCUAGUGGCCGAGUGAAUGGAUGACUGCCGACAGAUGGGAAAUGGAUGUCAUCGCCGAAGUCGAUGAGUCGUUUAAGUUGGCGCCGAUAUGCAUUGCUCUUGUUCCUGACAUGAGGUAAUCAGAGAAUAUGUACUACAACUCCAUAGUGGUCGAGGAUGGCUGCUGUGAUGGAUAACUGUUACGUCCUGUAUUUUGGUGGAUUGUAUUUUUUUGCGCUGAUGCGUGGAAUAGUUGACGUGCCCUAGGGAGGCACCCCUGGCCGCCUUAUAUAGGCUAACAACCUAGGGUUAUAAGUCGGUUUGAAUCUAAUCUAGUCGGUUGUUACAUGGAAAGUAAUCUGAGUCAGAUUACAACACGUAUCCUGCAAUAUCCAAGCUGAUUUGAAUCACCCGGCCCCCUUGAAUUGUACUUCAAGUAUCUUCAUGUCCUUGGCCCACACGUUCUGAUCAGGCGGGCCCCGAGCAAUGUGUAGGAGAAUAGGAACACGAGGACAUCACAGCGAAGCUUGGAAUUUGGUUGGUUGAAGCUGUGAUGAUGUCUUAGUGAUGGAGAGGCUGCGCAGUGCUCAAAAAGAAGAAAAUCUGAGCAAACGCAGAGCGAAGUCGAGUGCUGAGUUAAUGGAUGUCGAGCAUCCAGCAUGUUGAAUCGAAGAACAUAGAGGGUGUGGCAAGAAAAAGAACAUGGAGAUUGAAGCGAAGAACAUGGAGAGUAGCCCCCGAGCAUUGAAGCGAUUAGUAUAAUCGGUCCAAUGGUCAAAAAAGAAAAAAUUGAUCCUAGAAGCAUGUCCUAGUGCCCGAGCACAAGGAUAGGUGAAGCUACGGAGGCACGCUGACCAGAAGUAGGCGCCCAGCCCCCGAGCGUAAGUGCAAGGACUGGCGGAGCCACGAAGGCACACCGACCCGAAAUAGGCGCCCAGCCCCUGAGGAUAAGGACUAGUGGAGCCACAGAGGCACGCCGACCUGAAAUAGGCACCCAGCCCUCGAGGACGAGGAUUGGUAGAGCCGUAGAGACACACCGACCUGAAAUAGGCGCUCAGCCCCCGAGGACGAGGACUAGCGGAGCUGCAGAGGCAUGCCGACCUGAAAUAGGCACCCAGCCCCCGAGCGUUAGGGCGAGGACUAGCGGAGCCACGAGGCACGUCGUGAAAAACAUAACAGAAAACCUGCAAGCUCCGCUCGGGGCGUGCGGUGCAACAACGAAAAAGCCGUAGAUUCCAUCGCUAGGGUUACACCGUCAAAUCCUUCAAAAGCUCAAGGGGCGUAGAUCCAUUUUUAUUUUCACUAGCCACACUCAUGAUGCUGCCACCGUAGUCCAUGGAGCACAUCGCCACCGCAUCCGUGAACCCUAGGCCACGACGCUGCAGUUUCCAAUCUGCUAGCACGCACUUCACCGCCGCCACCCGAGCCGUCGCGCCGCCGUAUGCAAACCAAGAGCCUCGCGGUUAUUAGAUCCAAAUCCCAGGGAGUAGAAACCGAAGAAAUGGUAGCGGGGAAUGCUCCGGAUCCAUCCACAUACUGGAUGAAAUCUGUGAUGACGGAGGAGCACAUCCAAGCGCUCGUCGACCGGGACCUCCUCGGGCACAAGGCGCUACUCGACUGGAAGGCGACCGCCGGGCAAGAGUUCGCCAGCAAUGACAAGACGGAGACGGUGGUAUUUGCAUUAUUCAACACGUAUUUGGGAUCCCUUGCGGGGACUUCUUCCGCGGAUUGCUGCACUACUACAAGUUUGAGCUGGUACACUUGAAUUCCAACUCCGUUCUUGAUAUCGCGGUUUUUAUCCAUCUGUGCGAGGCGUACCUCAGAAUCCCCCUUCCCACUUCGAUCUAUGGAAGUAUUUGGAUCAGUUCAAACCUGUAUCGACUAAAGGGAAGCCACGAGUGAUUGGGGGAUGUGGGUUUUCGCUACGGAUGAAGAAAGUGCAAGAGUACUUUGACCUCCAGUUGAAGGAAUCCAACAAGGACUGGCACAAGGAAUGGUUUAAGAUCGCCAAUCAAAAGCUCGAGCUCCCGCCGCGCACCAGAUACGCUCCACUUGCUAUGCCCGAGUGGUCAAACCAGCUGGCCUCAGAGGAGCAAGUGCAAGUGAAGCAGCUGCUGGAGAAGAUUGCCAACCUGAAGGUGCGUGAACUCACAGCCGAGGCUGUAAGUAUCAAUUUCUAUCGGAGAUUGACACAGACGAUCAAGAACAGGGUCCAUCCGAUGUAUGAGUAUACAGGGCCACUAGACCUGACCUGGGAGGUCCAGCGAAAGGUGACCAAGGAAGAAGUCGCCAAUCGGAUAAGCGAGUUUUUUGGUGGUAUCAUCAAGAACAAGAGCUGCCCCAAAGCAUAUUCCCUCAAGAGGCCGGCCGAAUAGGUAUAAUCUUAACUGCAUUGUUUUUGGCAUUCUCGUUGUGCUUUUGUGUUGUCUUUGACUAUUCUUGUUGAUUGACCAGAAUGACGAAUUUGAGUUCUUUUGCUCGGUGCCACUUCCUGAAGGGGCUGAGCAAUAGCGACCCAAGGUCCGCCCGACUACCAAGUCUGAUGAGCCGCCUGCCGGCCUUGAUUGGGAAUCGGACUCCUCCAUCGGGUUGGACGAGGACAUGCCAGAAGAGGUCGGCUAGGCCGAGGACUAUGAACCAGUGGGACGCCGAACACGGCAGGUCGUGAAGAAGCUUCAGACCUACAAAAAGCCAAGCACCAAGAGAAGCCAAGCACCAAGAGGAAGAAGAUGGCCGGUAAGAAAGAGGAGACUGCCCCGAGCGCAGCCUCCGCGACCAAGUCAGCUAGCGAAGCGCACGAAGAAUCGGACACGCCGAGCCCGGCCGCCAAGAAGAAGUCCGAGCACCUUGAGACGACCACGACCGACGCAGAACGGAUCAAGGAGACGUUGAAGGCAAAGAUCCGCGGGGGGUCUAGCAGAGAUGUGUUGGUGCCACCACCGCCCUUGCGUCCCAAGUUCCGAGUGAAGCAGAGCACCAUGUAAGUGCGAUCUGGUUAUAUUGUCUAUCUUGUGGUUGUUUUGCUGCCUGUCUUUCUUAAAUUGCUUCUUGCACUAACAAUGCAGGAAUGUCGUGCUAGAUAAUGAAUUUGGUACGCAGCUGACUAGUUGCACGACCCAUGCCGAAGGGGCGAGCGGCCACAACGUUGAACAGUACUCGCUUCCGAAGGUCGGCAGGGAUCAAGAUAAUCGUAUGGAGGUGAAGUGCACCUCUCGCUGGUGCAGCUUGUGUUUCCGAUUGCUGCAGAACACCUUGGGGCCACCCACGAUGAUGUUGACUUCAUGGUUUGGUCGCUGGAACUCCCCGUUCUGGUCGGCGCCGGCCCGGUGGGCAUCUGGGUUUGGCUGGUCGCAGCGCUCUUCUCUGGGCUGAUCAUUGAAGUCGUCGCGUCGGUGGUUGUCACGGACAUCGCGGUCAUCAUAGCGGUGGUCGUCGUUAUCGUCAUGGCGGUGGUCGCAGUCGUCGUGAUAGUAGUCGUCGCGGUGACAGUCGCUGCGGUCAUCACGGUCAUCGCGUCGGCGGUUGUCAUGACAAUUGUCAUCCCUGUGGUAGUUGUUGCAGCAAGGUUGCUUGUACUCCACGGGGGCGCCGAGCUCUUUCUUGAGGACUGAGCAAUCCCAUAGAUUGUGACGUACAUCCUUAUGGAAGGGGCACGGAGCAUUCAAGGUGUCAUCAAACUCUUCCUGGAGGAAGGUGGUCGGCCUGGCGGGUCAGCUUCAGCAGUGAGGAUAAUAGGGGCCCUUUUUUGAAGUCGGGAGGACUCCAGUCCUGCUUGGUGCUCCUCAUGGGCCGGCAGUUCGUAGUUGUCGUUCUGGCGAUGCUUGCCGCCCUAGAACUAUACUUGCACUACCUCCUCUGUGUUGGCUUGGUGUUGAUGAUCUGCAUCAUCUGCCCGACCAUUUUUGGGGCAGCCUCAUACAGCUUGCAGAACAUGGUGCGGUUCAUCAGGCUGGAGCGGAAGUACCAAAUGAUGUCGCGGUCCUCGACGCUGGCCAGCCUGUUGUGGUUCUUGAAGAAGCGGUUCAUGUACUCUCGGAGGGUUUCUUUCUUCUGCUUGCAGACUUGCCUAAGGUUCUCCGUGUUUCUAGGUCAGCUGUAGGUAGCCUGGUAGUUUUGGGUGAAAGCUCUAGCGACCUGACCCUAAGAGUCGAUGCUGCUCAGCGGGAGGUUUUCUAGCCAUAGGAGAGGGGUGGGACCCAUCACCAUCGGGAAAUAGGCGGCCAUCUAGUCGUAGGUGCCAUUGGAGGCUUUCACCGCGGUGCUAUACGUCUUGAGCCAUAUGGUGGGGUCAGAGUAGCCAUCGUACUUUUCGUUGAUGACCGGCUUGAACGAGGACGGCCAUUGAAUGGCCCUGAGGUGGGAAGUGAAGGUGGCAAAACCGUCGAUCGCCAUGUCGUCGUCGUCUUUGAGGUUGUACACGACGGGUGGUGCCCCAGGGCGUCCAUCGUUGUUGCGCAUAGAUGGGACAUAGGCAUCUUCAAGGGAAACGUACAUGCGGUCGUAAUUGGCACAACGACGCAUCUCCUCUUCUUGGCAUCGGCGGUCCUCCCGUUCUGUGUCACGGUUUGGUCCAGGGGCACCGUAGUCAUGGUCAUACUCAGCGCGACGGCGAAGCUUAGCCUUUUCCUGCUCUUGGUAGCGGUUGUUGAGGUCGGCAUGGAGGUCGCGGCAGUCGCGUAGCUCUUCACGAAGCUCACGUUGGCGACCUUGUCUGCCAUGGUCCUCGCCAUCGCCUCUCCUGCCACAGCGGCAGUUGUCGUGGUUGUCGUUGUUGGCGAGUGGGUCGGCGGGUUGCUCCACUUCCUCUUGACGGAUGGACUCUAGCCGACCUCCCACGCGGUUGUCGUGGUCACCUCGGUGGUGACCAGAUCUGCUAUGCCCGGAUCAGCUUCGAGAGUGCUGGGUAGAUGUGGAUCGGGAGUAUGUUGACCAGCUGUGGGCCCGCUCUUCGAUCUGGACGUUGGCGACGCGGAUACGUGCCCGGAUCCGUCGGAGUGGCUCCAAGUCUGGAAGGUUUUCCAGGUUGGCGAAGGCAGCCCCUAGGUUAGCCUGGGGUGUGGUGAAGACGUUGUGGCCGGCCCCCUCGAGGUCGGCUUGUAGAUUGCGGGCGCGCAUAGGGCGUCUGCGUCUGCCCCAAGCACCGUCAUGGUCGGCAUUGUCACCAUCAUUGGUGAGCGAUGGGUUGGCAUCGCGUUGGUCACCUACUGCUUCAGCUCCCGCAUUAGCAGCAGGUUGUUGGUGCUGCGGGGCAUCGGCUUUCUCCCGUUGGUGCCGUACUGCACGGUCCUGGUUCUUGGCGUUGCGACCUGCUUCCUGAGAAGAGGUUUCGCCAUCCCUGGGUGGAUCGUCAGCAAAGACCACGAAGGCUUCAGGAUCUGGCGUGGUGGAGUUGCCCUCAUCAUUGCUUCCGUAGGGGUUCGGAGUCAGGACGAUGCAGGAGACCUGGAACUCGCCACAGUCCAGAAACUGGGCGGGUCUGGGUGGGUCUUCAGAUUGGAUCUAAAAAGACCGUGCGAGUUUCGCGGAAUACACGGUAGCUGAGUUUCUCAGACCAAAGGGGACGUGGGAAGGACCCUGUGCCGACCUUGUUGAGAGUAGCGCCGCCUCAGAGAGAUCGAUGCACUCAACAAUUGUGUUGCUGAUGCGAUCUAACUCCGCGAUCAGGUCGCAGGGCGUGGGUGGGCGGGUUGCGGCAAGGAUGUUGGGAAUCCUCUCGAAGAGGGAGAGAUCACCGACCUGCUGUGCAUGCGGAAUGAUGAUCCUCGGGUGAAGACCUUGCUCCAUCAAAGUAGAUCCGACGGAUGCUGAGCUGGCAGCGGACGCCAAUUCGACGAAGAAGGUGGUGGAGUCAGAGUCCACCAGCAUGCUCCCGAAGUGAAGCUGGAUCGUAUUGGCGAGAAAGUCCUACAUGCUCUUGGGGAAGAUGACGCUGGGGCGGGAUGCCAUCGAGCUCGCUGGGGAGGAUCUCACAAUCUCCUACCUGGUGCGACAACUGUCGGAUUUAGUAGCCCGGCAGUUUACUAGGGGGUUUCCCAAGUGGUUGAUUUGUAGGCAGGGAGGAUUGCGAAACUCUAAGGUGAUCAUGAGAACACGAGGGUUUAGAUAGGUUCGGACCUUCAGAGAGUAAUACCCUACGUCCUGUAUUUUGGUGAAUUGUAUUGCUUUGCGCUGAUGUGUGGAAUAGUUGACGUGCCCUAGGGAGGCGCCCCUAGCCGCCUUAUACAGGCUGACGACCUAGGGUUACAAGUCGGUUUGAAUCUAAUCUAGUCUGUUGUUACAAGGAAAGUAAUUUGAGUCGGAUUACAACACGUAUCCCGCAAUAUCUGGGCUGAUUUGAAUCGCCCGGCCUCCUUGACUUGUACUCCAAGUAUCCUCAUAUCCUUGGCCCACACGUUCUGGUUAGACAGGCCCACUUGUCAGGACCGGCUAGUAUCCUGGUCAGUGGGGACCCAUGGGGUACCCAUAUCCCUCAAUUAUAUUGACCAAUGGUUGACCUUUAUACCCAAACUAGUCGUGUAACGGCUCGAGGGAUGUGUACCACGUGCCCGUCGACUAAAAAGUUUUUUCUUUGGGUUUUCAAGGCAAAAAGAUACGUGAAAUUACAAGAUUGACCCUUAGUCUGAUUUCUUUGAUUCAAACUUCCAUAUAUGAUUCAAGAUUGGAGAUUCAGAACCAAGUUAAAAGUAGCUUGAGCACAUUCUAGCCGCAUGGCAGUAUUCGAGUGCAUUCGAACUCAAUCUGAUGGAAUACUCAAAGGAGCAGCACAAACUAGUCGGACACGUCUACAGAAGUACUCGGGACUGCUACAUUUGACUAAAAAGUACUCGAGGGCUUGUCGGCCAUACAUCUAUGAGUCCACCAGAAGGCUUGGACAGUCCUAUAAUAUGAGGUUGUACACCGAGACGUGUCAGACAUGGAGAUUACGGUGCAGGACGGCAUGAUCCACGUGGAGGACAAGAACUAGUUGAGGAUUAGGAAACUACUCGUAGCAAUUAGUGUAGGACUCUCUAGUUGAAUCCGACUAGCACUCUUGUAAAGCAACCGACCUGUAACCCUGCCCCCGAUAAUAUAAGGCGAGGCAGGGACCCCCUCUAAACGACUUCAAUCAAUACAACGCAACCAACACAAAGGACGUAGGGUAUUACGCGACAUAAGCGGCCCGAACCUAUCUAAAUCGUGUGUUCAAGUUCACCAUCGAGUUCCUGAUCUCGGCGAGUCCCACGCAUAAAACACUACCUCGGGUACCCCUCGGUAGGUUGCCGGGUCUAAACACCAGCAGUACUAAAGGCCUCCUCUAGGACUAGCCGUUCAACCAUGUACUAAAGUUCACAUUAGUACCAAGUCCACUUGCAACCGGUACUAAUGCAGUGAACGAAAGGUCGAUCUCCGGUAGUGUACCACAAUACCACACAUAAAAAAGUUAUGAUAAAUACUUUCUUUUCCAACAAAAAUUAAAAAAGACUUAUCAUCUACCUCUCUACUUCGAAAAGAUUAAUGGGAAAUGGUUCUUUCUAAGUGUGCGUUUCCCACGUGGGCACACCUGCACACUCAACGCUACCUACACAUUGAACAACUAUGAUCGUUACCUCCCAGUAUCUACUAAUUCAUUUGGGAAGGGUUCUCAUACAAUGGUUUUCACCGGUGAAGUUGAAGGAAAUGAAGCAAAAAGAAGAAGCUUUACACUAGUUCAUUUUUGUCUAGUUUUGUGAAACGUUACGUGACUUGUUUUACCCACAACAGCUGAAGUUGAAACGAAUACGAUAUCUCAAACAAGCCUUGAGAAUUAGAGAAAGGAUAAUGAUGGUGUGAAUGCAUGCAAAGUAAUUUUAAAAAGCCAUAGUGUUUGAACUAGACAUUCAAACUAUUUAUAUUCUAAGGUAGGCAAUUUGGGCAAAGUAUUCAAGUAUUUUCGUUUGGUUAGUCUGGCAGUUUCAGUUUCGAAAUAGGCAAUGUCGAUGAAAUUUUUGCAUGCCAAACUAUAAGCAUAUGGAUCUUAUUUGUCGAUAAAAUGUAUAUAAGGAUUAUAAUGAUGGAACGGAUUUGUAAUCAAAUACGUCAAGAAAAUACAAGAAUUUAGAGGUUACUAGCAGAGUCCAAAGUUAAUAAUUAUUCAAAAGCAAACUACAAGAACACACGAAACCUGAGAACAAGAUAUAUGAAGUUUACGAACGAGAAAGUGUGCAAAGCGGAAUAAAUUUCAUAAAAUUAGUAAUGUAUAGAAAUAUUGUGAGUAUAUUGGCUUACUUCUCUUCCUGCUAUGGUGAAGGCAGCUAACUCCCUCCAAAUUUCUUCUCUAUAUCCACGGCCUAUGGUUAGGAUUUAAGAAGAGCUGAAAUACUCCUUGCAUAAAAAAGUAAAGAAGAGCUGAAAUAAACAGGUCCUAAAUCGCUUUACAUCCUACAGCUCUCUUCACAACGCCAACAAUUGGUGUAAAUUAAGUUAAAUAUUGUUGCAGUGUCUCUUCUACGAUGGCAGUAAAUUUCACUAGGUCGUGACAAAUCAUCAAUCUUGCUUAUUUUCUUUGUUAGCAUAUCCUUCUGACAUUCCACGUCUCAUCACGUUGUAUCCAUUCUUUAGUCAUUCUAGUACAAAGAAAUACGAGACAACCUUUUGAAUCAAAUUGACAAAAAACGCACACAGAAUACAGGUCUCAUAUUACCCAUCGAUAAGAAUAAGUACUAACAGGAUCUCUGCAACCCUUUGUCAAAUGCAGUCUGCAUGAACAGUUCAUCUGGGACAUGGUCUGUUUUCACAAAAAUUAAUCACUACGAUGAGACCACAGAAUUUGAAAUCAGUGGCAAGAAACUGCAGAACUAAGGUAUGCAACGCCGCCCCCCCCCCCCCCCCCCCCCCCCCCCCCCCAUUUCAUGUCUCGGGCAUAUAUGGAAUGGAAUCCAAUUUACAGACCUACAUAUAAAUACAGGAGGCAAGCAUAUUAUACAAACGUACAGAAGUGCCUUUCCAUCUGCCGCCUUUCCCACUGGCAACGCUGACUCCGAUGCAGCUGUGACACGCGCUUCCAUGUUUUUCUUCAGACCCACUUCUGCAUACAUUGAACAGCUGUCUUGACAAAACAUACAAAGCAAAGACAUAGUACUGAUUAAACUCAUGUGCAUCCAUAGUAAAGUUCGCAGGGUUCAGUGGAGCAUACCUAGUACAUUGUGCUUGUUGGUAUCGGCUCAUCAGAAUCUUGUGAUUCUGAUCCACAAUACCGAACAUCAUGAUCACUUCCACCUGUACCACGGUGGCCAUUGUCUCCAGGGCUAUCACCGAAGCCGUCCCCGCCCUCUAUCUGAUCCUUUGAACUCCCAGAACUGCCAUUUUGUGUGAAGCCUUGGACAAGAUCUGGCCUAGGUUCUACACCAACUCGCCUCAAAUGUAGCUGGCAAUGUUUCAAUAAUUAUUCUUCAUGAAGCCCCUAACAAUGAAAAGGAAACAAAAGAUGUGUCCACAAUACCUGAAGGUACAGAUUAACUUCAUCUGGACGGGACAGGAAGGGAAAAUCGCCACCAGUCUUCAGUACAGCACGCCUUGCACCAGGAUACCUUUCAUUCAACUGGUCCUUCAACUGCUGGGGAACAGCAGAGUAGUCGUUUGUCUGUGCAAAGAUAUGCACUGCACAGCAUUAGCAUAUAAGAAGUAUUGGAGUGUCACAGCUCACAGGUCAUGAAUUAUGGUAAGAGCUAAUUUUGGAAGUCAUUAAUACGGAAUCAAAACUAAAGAUGUUUAUCUCCCAACCUACUCAUACAUGUUCAGAUUUGAUUUCCGAAUCCAAUGUUAACCAUAUACACAGCCUUGGCUCUAGCUGUCUUGCAGCCAAUAGAUGGAAUGGAGAACUAAGAAAAGCCCCAUGUGAACCUUAAUGUAUGAGGUUUCUGCUAGUCAGUUAAAUUUUAGAUAACUUACAUCCAUUAUAGUGAUGAGUGAAUCAGGUAGCAUCAAUGACCCAACUGAUGAAACAUUAACAUUUAACAUCAACCUUGAUGAAAGGUCAUCUCUUGACAAUGUCUCGACCUGGAAUGGAGAAGAUGUUAUCAAAUGAGAAGGCAGGUAGAACAGAGAAUAUCAAUGAAGAAAAAAAAAAGAGAAAGGGUUGUUAUCCUCAAAUCAGUCAUCUAACUACAAAUAUUUAACCAUAUAUCACAUCAAGUUUGAUUGCUCAUACCUAUAACAUAUAAAAAUCAUUUAAAAAGUUCUGUUAAUGCAAAAACAUCUAAUGAUGUUUUUAAGUGUGAUACAAACCUGACCCACAACAAAAUCUACUGAGUCUGCAAUGAAUGGUUCAUGGGGACCAUCUCGGAUUCCUGUCAAGAGGUACCGCUUCAGCAAAAAAGAAGGGGUCCAAUUAACACUGCAAUAGAAAGAAGAUUGUUGGAUAGAGUUAUUCAGUAGUUAAUAUACAUGUAUAAAUAGAUUUUAUAUUGUUAAAGUUUGAACAUAUUUUUCCCAAACAGAAAAAUCUGAACACAUGCUAUCACCUAAUGUUAAGAAAAGUUUUUUAUAGAAAACUAAUUUAAGUUGAUCUGAGAAACCGAGUUUCUUAGUUGCAUCAUGUUUAUUCUUCACAUGUUACAUCAUGUGUUUCAUUGAAAAUCAUUCAGCUUCAAGUCAAGCCAUUAUAGCCACCAUGUUCUGCUCACAGCUGCUACACUUAAAGUCAUCUAAGCUACAGCAACGGUGACAUCACUAAUUGUUGAAGGUCAGAUGCUUGGUUUAGCUCAGUACUGUUGCAAAUAACAUAUCUUCAUGUCUCAUUAGCUGUGUUUUUCUAAACCAAAUCGCUAAAGGAGAUGCAGCUGCAUUGCGAACUGCACAAAACAUGGAAUAUUUAACAAAUCAACUGUCAAACCAUUGAUAUCAUACUGUGUUAUAUUAUAAUUUGAUUUGCAAAACAGGUGCCAGAUUUCUUCACAGCAGCUUAAAAAUAAGAACGGAACAUAAAAACUGCAUAAUAGACACAAGUUUUCUUUAAGCAUAGAAACUGAGUUUUAAAGUUACAUUUGUGUUCCACAGAACGCAACAAACAUGGCCUAAAAAUUUGUUUGUAGCAAAAACGUAUUCUCCAGCAGAACAAGACACCAUUAUUCCUGGUUUCAAUAAGAUGAAUUUGAAGUGACUUGAUGUAAGGAAACUCGGUUAACUUUCUGGUUAGCUUAUACGGAAUCACAGAAAUUGGUACAUCAUCAGAUUUUGGUGAAGCCUUGUGAGACUUAAAAUCGUUAAUUUUUUAAAAAAAGGAUAGUUUCUAUCCCAUCAGUGAUAAAUUACAAUGAAAACAUAAUCCUUGUGUUUUUUUAAGUAAAACAUAAGCCUUGUGUUAGCAAGCAACAUAUGCUAAUGCCUUUGAAACAACGUGAUUUAAAUGAAAGGAGGCGUCAGAUGCGUACACAGCAUAUGACUACUUUGUAAUACAUAAUCACAGUCUUGAAAGAAGGCUUUCCAAAAGAUUAUACAUACACUGGAGACCAUGGCAUGGCAGCAGCAAACUUGUGUGUCUCAAGAAAAGUAUUUGAUAGGACCAAGGACUUCACUCUCCUGGGACGGUGUUGAGCAAAUAUUUGUGCCAAAAAUCCACCAAGAGAUGUACCAUAAAUAUGAACCUGCACUCUCAGACGGUCAGCAUAACCUAUUCACAAUUGAAAUGAAAUACUUUAGGAUUCAGUUUUGUAAAAACAAGACUUCUGGGGCAUAUUUACAAGGACUAAACUACAGACUAGCCCUACUGUACUUGUUUUCUCGAGAAAGAAUAUACUUACAACAACAACAACAACAACAUAGCCUUUCAGUCCCAAGCAAGUUUGAGAAAGAAUAUAAUUAAACAAUAAUAAACAAUUUUGCACCGAUUUCACAUUAUAUCUUGGUUAUAAAUUUGUCUACAUCCUGACGGAAAGUUGAAUAAAACUGAAAAAACAAAUUUAUUUUUUUUCAAAUGCAAAGUAGGGAGUGAAAAAUGUAUUUAAUUGUAAGAAAAUGGGUGCUAGAAACCAAAAUGGCAAUGCCUUAUUAACCUAAUAGUCUUGUUAGAACAUGAAUGCAGAAGAAAAACUGGGUAUGUUUCCUUACAUGAUGGAUGUUCAUGGAAUCCAAGAAUUUUUCAAAUGAAUGAAUCCAUUCAUGGUGAUUCCAAACUUGCGGAACGUCGAUAGAUAUCACUCGAUAACCCUGUAAGAAAAUUGGAAAAAGAAUCUAAAAGUAGCUCCACAUGUAAUCAACUAAUUACACCACAGGCUACAGGGAUAAAUUGGUAGUAAAAUUUGAACAAGGUAUGCCCAAAUGAAAUUUGACAGACUUAAUGAUACUACCCCAAUUUAGCUGUCUCCAAACAGGAAUAUGAUUUAGGUAGCCAUUUAACACAGGCACACAUGAAUUUCCUAAUUUCAGAUAACUGAAAUAAGAAUAGAGCAAGAUGGAGGGAAACAUCCAUUUCUGAAUGUAUGUACCUUCAUACAGAGGGACAUAAUCUGUUUAUAGUACACAUCAGCUGUCCCUGCAAUUCCUGGGAUGCAGACAAGAGAAGGUACAACCUUGGGCCCAAAGUCGUAGUACCUCCACAGUUUUUGUCCAAUCUACAAAUUUUCCAAUGAAAGGAUCAGAAACUAGGAAAAAAAAUGGAACAAAAUAAACAUUAAACACGAACCACUAAAGCAUUUUUUUUCUUUCAGAACGCACAUUUUUUGCACAGCAAAACUUUGGUGAGUUGACAAAGAUAUGCACAAGCUCCAGACUGGAAAACUCAGGGGUAAUCAAAGAUUGAUGUUUACCAUGCAUAUCUGUUACUGGAUAUGGACAUAGGGCAAAAACAAAUAAAUCCACAACUAUGCACACAGUUAAUGCAAGCAAACAAUGAAAAAACAGUUGCAUCCUAAGGUAAGACCAAAUUUGAUCAGCAGCUCCUAUUGUAAAUAAACUUAUAUCCUAAUCACCAAAUAAGUUGAUUGAGCAUACUAGAGAGAUGGAGUGGCCAGUAAACUUGAGAAAUUUGAGCUAAUCCUUACAAGAGUCGACCAAGCCACCAAGUGGGUACUUGUGAAGCUAUAGAAUGAUUGGAUCAUGAUCAGACAACAACCACCCGGCAGUGGGCAGAAAUUUCCAUUAUGAUGCGAAUAAACGCAAAAUUAACCAUAAAUAUUGCAAUCUCUGUUAGAGUAUCAUCAGAUUGGGGUAAAGCCACUGUCUUAGCAUCACAACGAUAACGCCAAAAUCACAGCAAAUGCGCCUGCCAAACACUAAAUCCACACCAACCAUCGCGCUCUGUCGUCGAGCAUAGAGAGCUCUUCACACUGAAUUCGCUUCAAAUCCAUCCCAAAUCAGACAACGAUCAAGCUGCGAACCAAGCGGCACAGGCUGACGCCGAGUACCCCAUACCCCCAAAAACCCGGACGCGCGAGGGGUAAGAGACUCAAGUGAGAUGGGGCAUGGGAGGGAGGGAGUCAGGGGAGCGCGCGAACUCACGGAGAUCUUGUGGAGCGGGACGAUGGACUUGAAGUAGACGUAGUCCCCCGGAGCCGCCGCGCCGCCAGUAACGCCCUUCAUCUCUCGCUACGCCGGCGUUGCGGCAGCGGCGAGUGGGGAGAUCAGGAAGGGGGAGGAGACGGCCUGGAUCGCGUCAGAGUGACCCACGCGGGCGGACAGCCAGAAGAGGAGUCUUUUACCUGUGUGCCAAAGUUGGGUCUAAACUCCGUACCUCUAAAAAGUUUGUCGACACCUGUAUGCCUAAGUGCAACUUGGUUUGUCCCUCCAUGCCAUUCCGACCCUAUUCCAUUCGGUUUUGACCGUUUGAGAGCUCUUACAAGCGGAUCCAGGCAGCAAAAAUGUCCAUUGUACCCUUUGUUUUAAAAGCCUGCACGCGUCCAUGAUCAGGUCCACGGCCGCCGUGAGGGCCACGAACGCCACCGCAUCCUCGGCACACCCGAUGUGCGCCACCCCGACCUCCUGUCGGCUUGCUGCACCGGCCCUCGCCCUGGACAGCGGCGGACAUGACGAACCCGCGGUAGUUCCCCAGGGGCCAGUUGCUGAAGUCGCCGCUGCCCCACGGGCUGCACCCCGGCGUGCCGCUCCAGCUAAGCGGCUGCGUGGCGGUGAGGUCGAUGGCGAACUUGCCGCCCUUGGAUGACGGGAUGGAGGAAUCGGCGAGGGGGACGGCGUGGUCGACGCCGGGGAGGAAGAGGUCGAAGCGGUAGCCCAGGCUGUCGGACGCGUCGGCGCUGCCGCGCUCGCGCCAGCACUCGAGGCGCGCCCAGGGCUCCCAGGCGCCAUCGCCAACGAGGCGGAGGAUGAGCCACGCACUCGGGUUGGAGCGGCUCACGCGGUCCGUCCCCGGUGACGGCACGAAGGGCGUGACCAUGGACGCCAUCGCUACAGGGGAGCCCGACAGGUCGUGCACCGUCACGGACCAUCCCUUGCGCUCCUUCCCCGACGCCCCCUCCCGCUCCGGCUGCAUCCCCGGCCUCCGCAGAUCGCUGUUGCUGCGGCACCCAAACUUGCAGGUGAACAUUAGCUGCUUCAUGCUGCCCCGCACCUGCAGCACCUGCGGGCUGCACUCCGGCUCACCGUCAAACUCGAACACGAACCGCGGGUCGGGCUCCGCCUGGACGGUGAGGCUGAGCUCCGCCGCCGCGGGGCUGCCCUUGCCGCCUCUCUUCCCGAUGGAGAUCCAGCCGCUGUGCAGCACCGCGGGCUUGGCCUCGGCGCCCAUGAGGUCGAGCAGGAUGGUAGCCUUCCCGAGCAGCCGCCCGGAGCUGACCCUGCAGGUGCUCCCCUUCUGGCCGGUGUAGACCGCGACCUUCAGGCACGCCUCCCCACGCGAGGAGAAGAGCGACGAAACGGCUUCUCGUUGAACCACUCCAGGUCGGCCUUGGACAGAUGGAACGUAGCGGCGAGCGCCCCGGACGCCGGCGCCUGCUCGCCGCCGUCGAAGGGCACGAGCGGCGUCGGGACGAGCUGAGCCGGCAUCUUUCCUAGCCGGAUCUUGCAAUGGCACGGCGACGAGGAUAGGUGGACGCCCGCGCCGGCGCCGGCGGCCAGCGGCGCCACCGGCAUUCUGAGCGCGAGGUUGCCGACUAGCACCCGCACGAACGGGCAUGGGUCCAUGGCCAACGGUGCUGCUCCUGCUGUCACACCUCCCGAAAUCCCCGCGAACUUGGCCUGAUCCGCUAGGAUUGACAACGGCGGGCGCAAUGUGGGUGUGUCGUCGUGAGCGAGGGAGAUAAGAGGGGGAGGAGUUGAGCGGGGGGUGCCAGGGGGAGUCGUGGAGACCACGGGAGCGAGGUGUAGCCGCCGCCGCGGGCCCCGGCAGUGGAGGGCGCGGUGCCUUGCGCCAUCGGGAUGGGAUUGCCGGAUUAGGAUUGGCGGCGAGGCGAGUGCGAGCGGUGGAGGGUUGGUCAACACGGCCUCCGCUAAUAUGUCUUAGAGACAAAGGGUACAAUGAAUAUUUUCGCUACCUGGUCCCGCUUGUAAGAGCUCUCAAACGGUCAAAACCGAAUGGAAUAGGGACAGAAUGGCAUGGAGAGACAAACAAAGUUGCACUUGAGCAUACAGGUGUCGACGAACUUUUUAGGGGCAUGAAGGUUAGAUCCAACUUUCAUAGUGGCUGUAAAACUCUCCUAGAAGAGGGGUUUCACCGCUUCACCUGCCUGACGUUGGGCCCGGACUGUGGUGGGACUCACUUCCCAGGAGCGGACUGUUUUGGUAACUGGAGGAGCGAAGGUCCACCCCCGUCCGUCGUGGACGACGUGGACGGAGGUGGCACGAAUGAUUGCGGACCGGCCGGGACAGCUCACCCACGCGGCGUGUUGGCUCUCGCUGCCCGCUGGUGUGCGGGCCCGAUGCGGCUCUUGCCUGGCGGCACCCAACUGGUGGGCCACGGAAGUGCUUGACGCCACGGGAGCCUGGACAACGGGUGCAUGUAGCAUGUUUUUUCGGUCUAAUCUAAUCCAGCACGGGCGCUAGGCCGCUAGGCGCUAGCUUCGAUCUAUAGAUCCUGUUGCCAUCUAGAUGGAUCACCGGAAGCAAAUCGCUCUUGGAUCUGCUUUGCGAGGGAACGGGUGCGGCUACUCGAUCAGCGAGGCGCGUUGCAGCCGGGCUGCCGGCAACCAUAGCGCGAUUGGGUUGGUUUGUUGCACGCUCCCAGCCUCCACCGCAUCACCGAGCCUGGUUCGCUCCGGCCAGGCUGACGAGUUGAUUGGUUGCCUUGACAUUUAACUGACGCUGCACCUCUACUCUCCUUCCCGCACACCUCGCGUGCUCCUAUGAGCCUGACCCGGCAGAAACGAGCAUUUUGGCUUUUGGGCUUGUUUAGUUCCCAAUUUGAGAGUGGCAAAAUUGGUAUUUUGCCAUAAAUGCGUAAUUGUAGCGUUUCGUUUGUAUUUGUGAAUUAUUAUCCAAAUAUUUCGUUUGUAGCGUUUCGUUUGUAUUUGUCCAAAUAUUGUCCAAAUAUUGACUAAUUAGUACCUGAAUUCUAACUUUGACACUAUGCAAAAAGAAGAUUCCCCAUCACAUCAAACUUGCGGUACAUGCAUGGAGUACUGAAUGUAGACGAAAUCAAAAACUAAUUGCACAGUUUUGUUUUUUACUUUGCGAGACGAAUCUUUUGAGCCUAAUUAGUCAAUAUUUGGACAAUAAUUCACAAAUACAAAAUAAACGCUACAGUGUUGCUACAGUACUUUUGGCACUCCAAAGUUGGGCAGCUAAACAAAGCCUAAACAUAACCUUUCUCCGUAUUUCUGGAGCCGCUGAUGAGGGAAUCUUGCGCCGUGCGCGACAAGCUUAGAACGCUGCUGCACCCAUCCAAUCACAUGUUGCCUGCAUGCUUGAGAGCCUGGUUCAGCUCAAACCAGCCAACCAAUCAGGACCUUGUUUAGUUGCCCAAAGUUUGGAGGUGCAAAUUCACUGUGCUAGCACUGUAGCACACUGUAGCGUUUCGUUUGUAUUUGUGAAUUAUUGUCCAAAUAUUGACUAAUUAGGCUCAAAAGAUUCAUCUCGCAAAGUACAACAAAACUGUACAAUUAGUUUUUAAUUUCAUCUACAUUUAGUACUCCAUGCAUGUACCACAAGUUUGAUGUGAUGGGGAAUCUUCUUUUUGCAUAGUGUCAAAGUUGGGAGUUUUGGAGCAACUAAACAUGGCCCAGGCCCAUUGCUUCCAACUUUCUACCGCAGCAACGUGUAGCAGCGCACGGGCUGUGCUAGCUGGCCCGUCCACCGAGGCCCUGACCGGCUGACCCUGAGCAAGAUUGAGGAAGAAAGAGAAAUGGCUAAGGGGGUGUUUGAAUACAAGGUACUAAACUUUAGAAGGGUCACAUCGGAUGUUCGGAUGCUAAUUAGGAGGACUAAACAUGAGCUAAUUAUAAAACUAACUGCAGAACCCCUAUACUAAUUCACGAGACGAAUCUAUUAAACCUAAUUAAUCCAUCAUUAUCAAAUGGUUACUGUAGCACCACAUUGUCAAAUUAUGGACUAAUUAGACUUAAUAGAUUCGUCUCGCGAAUUAGACUCCAUCUGUGCAAUUAGUUUUAUAAUUAGAUUAUAUUUAAUACUUCUAAUUAGUAUCUAAACAUCCAACGUGACAUGUCCUAAAUUUUAGGAUGCCGGAUCCAAACAGGCCCUAAGAUAGGUGUAACAUAGUGGAGCAAACUUUUCAUGUGGUGCUAAGGGGUAUUUGUUUCUUUAAUCCUUCCUAAAAUUUCUGUCACAUCGAAUGUUUACAUACUAAUUAGGAGUAUUAAAUAUAGACUAAUUACAAAACCAAUUACACAGAUGGAGACUAAUUUGCGAGACGAAUCUAUUAAGCCUAAUUAGUUCAUGAUUUGACAAUGUGAUGCUACAGUAAAUAUGUGCUAAUGAUGGAUUAAUUAGGCUUAAUAAAUUCGUCUCGUGAAUUAGCCUCCAUCUAUGUAAUUAGUUUUAUAAUUAGCUUAUAUUUAGUCCUCCUAAUUAACCUCCGAAUAUUCGAUGUGACAUAAAUUUUAUGAGGUCCAAAGGUCCAGACACCCCUUAAGUUAUAACCAAUGAUGUAGCUAGGGGUAUUCAUGUGUACCCAUGAUUCUACGUAAUUGUUUUGAUACAUAUAUCAUGUAGUACUAAUAUAGCUAUAAAACAAGAAUACUACUUGUUGGUUUUACAUUCUAAAAGGAGUUUCUACGAGGAUCUAGCGAGUUUUCAGCCCACAGCUCAAUGGUGGGAUCUAGUGAGUUUUCGAUUGGUAGGAUGGAGACGACAUUCAGGGUCCGACUACAGCUUUCCAAGUUGCGCCUUAGCAACCGAUACACCACAUCCAAUGGCUGUCGCGAUCUUGUGGAGCGCGUCACCCGACCACUAGGGCACUCGUCCUGCAAGCAAUCGAAGAACUAGCAAGAAUAAGUAUAACAAGUACUGAAUUUACUAGAUGAAGGUGAAGGUUUCAAACUCAAUCUCAAUAAUGAUGGGGUUCCAAAGACAAGAAGAUGGGUGGCUGAUCCAGCACGCGUGUUUACAAGCAAGUAUUGAGAGCUAAACCUGAUCUAAACAAAACCCAAUUGUUCUUGGUGGCGGCUAAGGGGUAUAUGAAGGUGGGAGGAUGACCACCAGGUUGUUGGGGUCAUGCUCCAACCCUAGGACGCGUCCCUAAUGGACCCGACUUGAUACACGGCCCAAAUUAAAGUGACGCAACACCUUUGGAUAGAAAACCUCUCGGUAGUAAUUCGAUCAUUGCGGCCGCCUUCGACUAGAUAUGGACUUGAGUCCAAAUCCAUAUGAAAAUAGAUUUCAUAAUGAAUCUGUGAAGUACUUAAACGCCCCAAUCCGAAUCUGUAUGCGAUUGUGGUGUCCUCACAAGUUGGUGCUAUCCUGCAGUCCGAAUCCAGCCUGAGCGAGUCCUUUUCCCUUUCGAUCUUCUCCCUAGUUCCUAACCAAAAUAAGAGUGCACGUGUCUCCAUGGUCUAAAUAUAAUUGACAGGAACUCAAGAGUGAACUUACUUGAUGAUUAAAUUGAUGAGCAUGAGCGUGAGUAAUAGGACCAGAAACUGGUACUUGUGUCGGCAUUGAAAUGGUACUCGUGUCGGCGUAGAUGUAUCGUUGGUGUUGAUGUCCUCAUCAGAGGUGCUGCCCGAUUUUUUUUUCAUUUUCAUGAGGAUUCACUCAUCCAAAGUGUUGUAAAGGUUAGCUAUUUCAUCCUCCCUUCAUUUAUUAUUAUUAUGCUUUAUUUUAUACUUUAGAGAUAGAGAAAAAUGAGUUUUUUAGAAUGAGGGAGAAUGGAGAGUAUUUUUAUUUAUACAUGUUUUUGAGCUAGAAUUUGAUGGAUAGCUUACUUGUUAUAUAUAAUUCGUAUUAGGUAAAAAACUUGAUCAAUAUUAGGUAUGGGAAAACUAUAGAGUAAAUAUGUUUUUAAUAUUUAGUCAUUGCAAUAAAAUUAAGAUAAAUAAAUUGUAGGUGUAAGAAAUAGAAUUUGGUCAUUGCUACAAUUUUUCAUGUCACUAUAAUUUAACUAUAAUUGUAUUUAUUUAACCAAUAAUUUAUUUAUCUCAUGUUCAUUGCAAGGACUAAAUAUUAUAAAUACAUUUACUCUAUUUUCCCCUACCUAAUAUUGAUCAAGUUCUUUAUCUAAUACGAAGCCCUAUGUUUAUUUUUCACGUAAUACGAUGCAGAUGGACCGGCAAUGGAUGUACCACCUCUGCUCCUCCAAUCCCAGAGAACAGUAUCUACACAUGGCAUGAAUGUGCUUACACUAUGCUCUGGUAUUGGAGGAGCGGAGGUGGCUCUCCAUAGACUUGGAGGAACAUUCUAAAGCGUUGGUUCCUCCGUUUCUCCAAUACCAGAGAACAGUGUCUACACAUGGCAUGAAUGUGCUUACACUAUUCUCUGGUACUGGAGGAGCGGAGGUGGCUCUCCAUACACUUCGUAGAAGAUUGAGUCAUGUGUAGAGGUGGCUUGGAGGGCGAACAUUCUACUAUGUUGUACCAUUAUUUUAGGAUAAUUGACUAUGUGAAGUCCACUAUGGAGCGUCUAUAAUCUUUAGUGUAUAUGUAUCUUUAUUGUCUUGUUCCAAAAUUCUAACAUUUUUCUUUUGUCGACCUAGUGAAUGAUAUGAAUGUUGAUUGGUGUAAUUUUCAUGUGAAUUGUUUUUAUCUUUAUGAAGGUUGAUUGGUGUAAAUUAUCAAUAUUGAUCAAGUUCAUUAUCUAAUACGAAGACCUAUGUUCAUUUCUCAUGUAAUACGAUGCAGAUGGACCGACAAUGGAUGUAUAACGCGGACAGACGGACCAAGAAGUUUGUUGAUGGCUUGCAUUAUUUUCUAAAAAUGGCCAAAGCCAACAAGCCUGAGAAGGGAUUUAUAUUUGUCCAUGCUUCCAAUGCAGUAACAAGAAGGACUAGUCUUCCUGGGGCACUGUUCUCAGCCACUUGUUUAGAUACGAUUUCAUGCCUAACUAGUUGGUUUGGACCAAGCACGGUAAAAUAGGGGUUAUAAUGGAAGACGGCAAAGAAGAGAAGGAUGAUAACAAUAUUUCGGACUGGACUGCAGGCCAAGCUUUUGCAGAUACUACAAUGGGAGAGGCUGAUGAAUAAGAGUUUGUAGAAGACAACCCUAUUGAUGAUCUUGGUCAGGUGCUUCGGGAUGCACGGAAAGACUGCGAAACUGAGAAGGAAUCAAAAAAGUUGCAACGCAUGAUAGAUGAUCACAAAAAAUUGUUGUAUCCAGAUUGCAUGCAGAGACAUAAAAAACUGGGUACCACACUAGAAAUGUUGCAAUGGAAGCUAAAAAAUAGUGUGUCCGAUAAGGCAUUUUAGGGGAUAUUGAAAAUUGUAAAGAACAUGCUUCUCGAGAAUAAUGAAUUGCCGUCCAUAACAUAUGAAGCUAAACAGGUUGUUUGCCAUCUAAGAUUGGAGGUUCAGAAGAUACACGCAUGCCCUAAUGACUAUAUCCUCUAUCGUGGUGAUGAAUACGAGAAAUUAGAUGCUUAUCCUGUGUGCGGAGUGCUGCGGUAUAAGAUCAGGCGAGAUGAUCCUGGUGAUGUUGAGGGGCAACCUCCCAAGAAGAGAGUUCCCAUGAAGGUGAUGUGGUAUUUUUCUAUAAUACUACGUUUGAAGUGUUUGUUCAGAAACAAGGCGAAUGCUAAGUUGAUGCGAUGGCACAAAGAAGAACGUAAGUAAAAUGAGAUGCUGAGACACCUCGCCGAUGGGGUCUAGUGGAGAUCAAUUGAUAGAGCAUUCUCAGACUUUGAAAGUGAUGCAAGGAACAUAAGGUUUGGUUCAAGUACCGAUGGAUUCAAUCCAUUCGGUGAGUUGAGUAGUGGUCAUAGUACUUGGCCUGUGACCCUAUGUAUGUUCAACCUUCCUCCUUGGCUGUGCAUGAAGCGGAAGCUCAUUAUGAUGCUGGUGCUUAUCCAAUGCCUAAAACAACCCGGCAACGAUAUUGACGUGUACCUAAGACCGUUGGUUGAUGAACUUUUAUUGCUCUGGGAGGAAGAAGGUGUACGUGUGUGGGAUGAAUAUAAACAAGAGAGCUUUGAUCUAUGAGCAUUGUUCUUUGUAACUGUUGGCGCUAAAAAUAUGCCGAUAGCCUUCAACAUCGGACACACGACCCGGGAGAAUCUGCUUAACUCCAGUUCGGGUGAUCACCCUGGUGCGAUUUGCGCGGCAUGCCAGUCAAUCUGACCUAUUGAUUGACAAGGAAAGAAACAUAUUAAAUUCCAGGGGCCUCGAUCGGCUAAAAUCUUGAUCUGUCUCGAAAAGCGUAUCAACGAAUCGGCCAAUUUGCUAUGAAGAUGACCAGCUAUAGAACAGGCAAUAAUCACGUAGUGAUUAUGAAGAAACUACCAGAGUAGGCUAAAUAACGCUACAAAUGCAACACUUGAAAUAGAUCUAAUCAGCUGUAUGAUUAUAAAUGAGAAUAACAAUAAUAAAGCCGACAGCCCAAAUCUCAAGCUGGAUAACUGGUGAUAAAACUAGAACAAUAGAUAAAACUUAUAAUUCUAGUAAAUAUCGAUAACUGGUGAAUAAAUCUAAAUGAAACAACAGCGAUACGCCCGAAGUUAAAGCUUAGAUAUUACUCGAUAAACGGAACUUAUAGAAUCGACCGGAGAUCGUGUCGAUGCAGCGCUGCCAACCUGUAUGAACUCGUGAAAGAAAAAGAAGUAUUGGCGAAGACGCCGACUUGAAAGUAAAGUAUGAUGAAAAAGUAGAUUGUUUGUAUUGAUUGAUGUGUUUUUUUACAAAUCCCUAAAGGUGGCUAUUUAUAGCCUAUUACAACUGAUUUCCUAACCAACUAGGAUCUAUCUCUAAUUUUAAACAAAAACAAAUAUUUACAAUCACAACUCGUAUCGGAGUUGGUUAUCAUACUCCCACGGGCCAAUCUUUCUCUAUCUUCUUUUUCUAGCCCACUUUAAGCCCAUAUUGGCCCAAACGCCCCAGCCUUCCAACCGGCCGACCUCCACCAACUCCGCCUGCCAAUCGCUCGAAACACUAUAGCGCCAAUCGGCCGAUUCCCAACUGUAGCACCAAUCGGCCGAUUCCCAAUCGUAACCUUUUAAUCUGCCUCAUCGGUCAACCCUUUCCUCUCUUGACGCCGAUCCAAAAUGUGUCAAAAUCUGGCGUCAACACAUGCCCCCCAGUUUCGGAGUAAAACAUGACUUUUACUUUGAAAUUGUUUUUUAACCUCUUUUCUAAAACAGACACGGCAAAAGCCUCCUUCUGUUUCGCGGUCUUCUACCUAAUGAUUGCAAUCUUUUUGAACUGGGUGCCUAAGACAACCGCUCCCCCGAAAUUUGUGUAGACGACGUGGUAAAAAUCCCGCAUUUACCCCUUCUCUCGGACCAUCUUUAAAUACUAGCGUUCCCUGUCGCUUCUUCUCCACAUGCUCAGUAACUUCCUCCCCGGCGAAUCACUUUCCAUCUUCUCCUAGCGCCCUUUUGGCUUCCAAUCGCAUUCUCUGGCGAUCCUUCUUUCGUUUGCAUCCCGCUUCAUCCCCUCAAUGGCGGCACCAUCGGCAACUCUACCAGCAACGGAAGCUCCGCCGGCAGCUCCAUCAGCGACGGUAGUUCCAUCGGCGAUCCCAUCAGCAACGAUGAGCUUUAUUCUAGAGGUAAACAUCCGAAACAUCAGCAAUUACCUAUGGAUUUGAGCCAGUGGUCAGGCACUUUUAGAUCUUGGCUGAAUGAAACCCCCGGCUGGAAAGAGUGGUACCAAAGAAUGGCCAACUCCAAGAGAGUUCAAUGGGAUGAAUUAAAAAUCGGCCAGUGCAUCAAUCUAUCUUUGUCCCAGAUGGAGAAGAAUGAACCAUUGGUGAUAGCAGCCUCCUACUUCUGGUCUGACGCGCUUAAUGCUUUUCUCUUCGGGCACGGACCCAUGACCCCAACUCUGACGGAUGUUCUGAUGCUGACGGACCUCGAUAUUUUCUCCCCUGAUACACCCUUUAAUUAUCUGAUCAACCCAACUCAUCGGCUAGAGACGAAAGGAAUCGGUGAGUGGAAGGGGUAUAUCAAUAAAAACAUGAGGACCGGGACGAUUUUAGAGAGGGAAUACGCAACCUUCUUGAUGAUGUGGCUAGAGAAGCACCUUUUUAGUGGCAGAGUAGUCGGCCCUUCUUCCAACACACAAGCUCUGGCCAAAGCCCUGUUAAGAGGAGCAGCCAUCCGUCUUGGGAAGCAUCUGCUAGGAUCGGCCUACCACAUGAUGCACCAGAUUGGUGUCAAACUGUCAAAGGGAGAGCCGAUUUGUAAUCCUGGUGGUCCCUGGUGGUUCAUCACCCUCUAGCUCAACUUGUACAUGAGCAAGGUCUUCCAGCAGCAGAUAGAGACCAAGACAUUCCCUAACAUUGAGUCAGAGGAAAACCCCACAGUACGACGACGGUGCACCUCUUUCAGCGAAGCGGCAUCACCUUUCCCUGGUUGCCAGUUCACUGCCACCCAGACAGUCGAGUAUUUCAGAUGCUUCUACAACGGCUUUAGUGAAGAAACCACAAAUUGGUAUCCAUACCAGAGAACAGAGCCACUCUUUGAGCUUCUCUUCUGCUAUGACUCGACGUCCAACUCAACGAUCUCACGGACGCCUUGAUCAAACCAGGGAUCUUACCAGCAAACUUCUUCUCCGGGAAGGAUUCCCCAACUUAUGAGUUUUACAACCCAUUAGUUGCAGCACGGCAGUUCGGCCUCGGUCAGCUGCCGAUUCAGGUUUACUUUGCCGGUCGCGCAAAAUUCUGGGAUGAGCUCACCAAGGGCCUUGAUUACAAUCGGCUGUGCAACCUAGUGCCAGACUCCAGUACCAUUGAUCUAAACAAUUGGGUAGUGGCUCCUUUUGCUGUUCAAUAAUUCAAAUUAUGGUGGGCAGAAUGAAAGCAACAUCUCUUUUGUGUAUCUCCUGUAACAUAUUGCAAUUAUCUGGAUCCUAACAACAUCGAUCCAAACGCAGCGGUACUGCUCUUUUCUCAGCUGAUUUUGAUGUCAUUUCCUUUUAUGCUACAAAUUUGCCGCUAACUCUUAUUUUCUUUUACAGUCCGAAAGUUGACUUCCUCCAACGCGCAGCCGGAGUGGUAGGCCGAUAGAGAAUCGCUACCCAUACACACCAUUCCCACUCAUCGGCUAUCAUGCCCCAACCAUCGAAGACAUCACCACAGGCCGAUCGAAACAGACGUCGAAGAAAACCUCCUCAAAAAAGACGAGUCGCCGAGUGCGCGCUCGUAUAGAAUCGGCCGAUCAGUCGGCGAAGGCAUCAGCUGAAUCCUUAGCUGCGCCGAAUCUGCCAAUUAUCGAGGAAGUCGAUCCCCAGGCUGCUACAGAAGCUGGAGCGGCUGCUGCAUCAUUGUUGGUAGAAGCUGUUCAGGUAACUUCGUAUACCCCACAUUCUUCUAAGUAGCCUUUCGAUGUUAAUUUCUUCCUUCUGUUAGGCCGCGCAAAUCGCCCCAGUGCAAUCUCCACAGCAAUCAGUCACCAUGCAGGCAGAGACCGAGGCGCCAGCGAUUCCUCCCUUUGAGGUAGAGAAUAUCUGUUUAACCCCAAUUUCUUAAUGCUUAACCAAAAUCUAACCAAUUUUUGAUGCAGACCCCUCUGGACACAUCAAUUGUACCCUUCUAUCGGCCAUCAGCCGGACGACCCGCGGAGGUAUAGCAGUCAUUACUUGUCAUCAGACUUAAUUACUUGCCUCAUACUUAUAGAGAUCCGUUUCUUAAUCCUUUCCAGGAAGCCGGCCCAAGCACAACGCCAAUAAUCGUCGAAUCCUCUUCCUCCGAUGAACCAGUCGCGCCAAUUCCCGAGAUGAGGGUAGCACUCCCACCGGCGCAAGCAGAAGAAAUCCGCUUUAAAGAGGUAAGACACUUAUUUAUUCUUUCUUAGGAGCAAGAUACCCCCAACAAUAGUAUUUUCUCUUUCGCGGUUGCACUUUUUGAUGAUGAAGAGGUUGCCUCACGUCAAAUCGCGCUGAGCUCAAUCCCUGAUGACGUUCGCGCCAAGCUUGAGAGCAUACGGACCCUCCUCCAAGAUGAUAUCAGCCGACUAGUGGAACACACCUCACCGAUUUGGUAGCUUUUUAGCAACAUUAGAGGCCGAGUUCCCGAAGAGGCAGAAGAGGCUUUGGCACCCGCCGCAUACAUCGAGUCAAUGCGGGUACCGGUGUUCAGGGCUCUACGCCACAUGGCUGAUCGUGCCAAGUUAGCAAAAGCUCGCGAAGAGGAGGACUCCUAUAAGCAUCGAGCUCAAGAAGUGCACCAAAGAAUCAGCUUCCUUGAAAGCUCUCGCCCAGAUAUCGUCAGUGCCAUAGACCGCCUCAAACGGUGAAGGGUAGAGCUCGCCAAAGAGAUGGAGCAGGUGACCAAGGCCAUAGCCGCCAAAGAAAAGAAACUUCAAGACCUCCCCUCCGUCAUCGCCGAUUUGAAGUAGGAGAGGCAAAACUUGGCCCACGAAGCAAUCAAACUUCAUCGUCACAUGCCAGAAGUCCCGGGAUCGGCUGACGAUGGCUAGAAGACUUUAGAUUCGGCCGAUCAAGUUAGGCAGCGUGCGAUUGCAACUAUUAAUGCCCUCCUUGGGUGAAUUGUAAAAGCACUAAAUACUCUGUAAAAACAUUAAUGUAUUUUUGCCGUUGACGUGCGGAUUCAAACUUGGACUGUCCUCUAUGGUAGCCUUUUUAUUUAAUGAUCCUUUAUUCUGAUAGGACGCGUCUUACCAACCCCUCAUCCUUUUCCUUCUAUAAAACCUUGUAUCAUUUCCAAAGGCAUUCACAUCGCCCGUCUUCUCCUCCUCUAGUAGUUUGAUCUCCAUACCCUUCAAACUAGAUGCCGAGAUGUCUUAUUCCUCUUCUUCCUUCUCCGUCAAUCAGGUACAAAACCUUCCUUCGUUCCUCCGUCUGACAUUUCAAUCAAUCUGACGAUGAGUAGUUGUUCGCUGCUUUUCAGCAGAGACGCCUUAGUCCUGACCUGGAACAAGCGAUCAAGGUUAUGUGUUCCGACAAACCGCUAUCACAGGCGGACAGAGAUCUGAUCAGGACUCAUCACGAAGAACUCAAAGAUCAUAUCCCCGUUGAUGUUUAGAAGAUCCUGGACCAUAUGGACGCCAACUGCUUCAGGCGGCCGCCAACUAAAAGGAGUCAUCCGCUUCCUCGCUAGGUCGCCCUUGAGGAUGCCGCGAUGGGGACAUCCCAACCGCCUCUUGACAGGAGCCACCCACUUCCUCGUCAAGUUGAGGUCGAAACCGCCAUGGCGGAUCUGGAGGAGAAGAGCACCCGCCUCUUGAUAGAAUUAGGUCGGAUCAAGAGAGAGAGAGAGAGAUUAAGAAAAAGCAUGGUCAAUAAAUGUGUUGGUACUUUUGUUCUAAGGGCGACUUGUACCGUGUGGGCCAUGUACCCUAUUGCUUGUACCGAAUAAUAAAUUGGCCAAACUAAUCAAAUGUUUCGUCCUUAAGGCAAUGUUAUCUUUGCAUCGGCUAUAUAAACAAGAGCCAAUAGGAGUUGGCCACGUCGUCCUGAUGCACCCUAUUGUCAGUCAUGCAUCCACCCAUAUACUGGGAUAGUAUCUCUUCAGAUACCUUCCGUUCAAGGCUCUUGUGAAUUCCUCUCCUUCGAUAGUUUCUAGUAUAUACGCGUUUCCCAGAGCGCAUCGGCCGAUUCUAUACGGCCCUUCCCAAGUAGGUGACCAUUUACCGAAUUUGGGAUCCUUAGACCGUAUCGGCAGCACCAAUUUUCAUACCAAAUCUCCUUGGGAGAAUUGUUUGACCUUGACCUUCUUGUCGUACCGCCUGGGCACCCUUUUCUUGUUUUCUUCAAUGUUGAUCAGAGCCCUCAAUCACUGACCUGCCAAAUCAUCGAGCUCCCCCUUCAUGAGGAGGGAAUAAUCAUCGACCGUCAACUGAUCCUGCAGUGAUGUGUGCCUGGACCCCGUUCUUAAUUCCCAAGGCAAUACUUCCUCAUGACCAUAUACCAACUGAUAAGGAGAUAUUUUAGUGGCCCCGUGGCAGGCCAUCCUGUAAGCCCAUAAAGAUUCAGUUAACGAUAGGUGCCACUUCUUGGGUUGUUCUUCUAUCUUCCUUUUGAUCAACUUGAUUAUCCCCUUAUUGGACGAUUCGGCUUGACCGUUAGCUUGAGCAUAAUAUGGAGAAGAAUUCAACAGUCUAAUUCCUAUAUCGGCGGUGGACUCUUCGAACUCUCCUGAAGUGAACAUUGUCCCUUGAUCAGUUGUGAUGGUUUGAGGGAUACCGAACCGAUAAACAAUAGGGUCUCUCACGAAAUCGACCAUAGCGACCGAUGUCACGACCUUCAAUGGAACUGUCUCCACCCACUUGGUAAAAUAGUCAGUGGCCACUACUAUAAACUUGUGUCCCUUGCUUGAUGGAGGAUAAAUCUGUCCGAUGAGGUCUAUUCCCCAACCUCUAAACGGCCAUGGCUUGAUUAUCGGAUCCAUAGCCGAGGCUGGUGCACGCUGCACGUUAGCAAACUUCUGACAAUCUUGACACCCUUUAUAAUAUUUGAAGCAAUCUUCGAGUAUCGUCGGCCAAUAAUACCCAUUGUUUCUAAUCAUCCACUUCAUUUUGCUGGCCGAUUGGUGGGCUCCGCACACCCCUUCGUGAAUUUCUCCCAUCAGGACCUUUGCUUCUUCCGUUCCCAGGCAUUUGAGCAGAACUCCAACAAUUGUCCGGUAAAACAAAUCAUCUUCGAGCAGCACAUAUUUCAUGGCCUGAAAGCGUAUUCGCCGGUCUACUUUCUUGGACGGAUCUUUCAAGUAAUCGGCGAUCUCCUUUCGCCCAUCAUCAGCCGCAAGUUCCAGAGUCAUGGCGCCUUGAAUCGGCCGAUACCCGGACGCGUGUUGGGCAAGCCUAUUGGCCUCUUCAUUGUAAUUUUUGGGAAUAUGCUCAAUAAUCGCAGUCUUGAAUUCCUUUAAAAGUUGGAGGCAAUCUUCAUAGUAAAUCCUCAAGACAUCAUCUUUGCAUUCAGAUCUCCCCGUUAAUUGAUCCACAAUGAGCAUGGAAUCCCCAAAAAUUUCCACCGCAUCAGCUUUGAUCUCUCUCAACAAUUGAAUACCUUUUAGGAAGGCUUGGUAUUCUACCUGAUUAUUGGUCGCGGAUGCUUCUAUUGGCAGAGAGUGUUGGUGUUUUAGACCGGCAACCCGCCUAGGGGGUACCCUAGGUGGUCUUUUAUGCGGUAAGGGUCGUCGAGAAUCAAGGAAUCAAUGGUGACGCAAGGAACACGAUUUAGACAGGUUCGGGCCGCUAGAUCGCGUAAUACCCUACGUCCUGUGUGUUGGUUUGUAUUGAUGUAUGUUCUGGUCCUGAGGACGAUGUGUUGAGGGGGGUCCCUGCCCGGCCUUAUAUACACGGGAGGGCAGGGUUACAAGUUUGAGUCCUAGUCGGGUACUAUUACAGAGUUCUACUCAGUACUGGCCCCAGUAGUUUUUUCAUAAACAUACAAGACUAGUUCGAGAAGGAUACGCCCAUCCUCGUUCUGAUCUUGUCCGAGUACAUCCCUUGGUGGGCCGUCCAAGGUGUACUCGUGGACCUAGGGAGUAUGCCCGACAAGCCCCCGAGUACUUUGUAGUCGUGCGCCACAGUUUUGGGCACUGCGGGCGCUAUCCGAGUAGUUUAGUCGUAGAGAUUGUAGACUGAAGUGCCCGAGUACUGUCGCGUGGCUGGAAGGUACUCUUUCUGCUCCUUGUUUCCAUCCUGAGUAAUUUUAUAUGGUGGUGCGAUGUCAAUCGCACUCCAUAUGGAGUAGCCCCCGAGCCUUAGGUUGAGUCGAAGAGUCAGGCAUAGGGUCAAACCAGCUUUUGUCCAUUUUACCCUUGGAGAUCUUGGGAAAAGAAAAAACUGACCAACAGGUAUGGUACCCGUAGCCCUCGAGCACUUAGGCGAGCUUUGUCGUUGAAGUGGUCAGCAGCCCGUUGAAUAGAGUAGCCGUUGGGUGUUUAAGGCGAUUAAUACACGAUUAAUCUGUCCGUUGCGCAACUGACACGUGGAAACCAGAGCUGGCGGAGAUAAAACUGGAAGGCCCCCUUUCGGUUGCUGUUACGACGUACGGUAAUCAGAUCCCUUUUUCCUCCUCCUCUGCGUGCGAGCCCCUUCCAACUUGAGGUUGAUUCUGUUGAAUGCGCACCAAGAAAAUGGGCAAGAAACCCGAGAAGAUCCAGGGCAAGGCUCCGGCGACAGGCAAGGUCAAAUCCAAGAAAGGGAAGGAGUUGGUGCUGCCGGCGCCGAAGGUGGGGCCGAUAAACCAAACUACGCCACCGCCACCUGGGGCAACUUGGCAACACUCGGUGAUGAAGGAGGAAGCUGUCCAAGCGCUAGUCGAUGCAAAGCUCCUUCAGCUGAAGGAGAUUCUUGAGUGGCGCCCUGCGUUUCCCAAUGUGUGGCAGUUUGAGGAACAUCCUACCGAGAUGGUGAUGCUUGCACAUUUGUGGAAAGGGGGUUGGCGGUGCCAACCUCCGACUUCUUCAAAGGUAUUCUUGAGUAUUAUAAACUUCAGCUCGUCCAUUUGAAUCCCAAUGGUGUACUGCACAUGUCUAUUUUUGUACACCUUUGCGAAGUUUAUCUGGGAGUACCUCCAAGUCUCGAGUUGUUUAGGAAACUGUUCCGUUGUAAGCCUCAGCCGAGUGCCCAGCGGACGGAAGUUUUUUGAGGCGCCGGGUUCCAACUUAGGAACUCGGGCGCGUAUAUUGAGUAUAAUCUGACCGACUCCCAUGGGGAGUGGAAGAAAAGGUGGAUCUACAUCGGGAACCAUGAACCCCGCUUGCCUGUGGUGACUGGUCAUGCGCCUAAGCAUGCAGAGAGCUGGGUGAGCGAGCUCGAGGACACCCCUGAGCUCGAUCACCUCAUGCAGCAGAUCACCGAGUUGAAGGCACUCCGUUUGAUUGGGAUCAACGUGGCGGCCACCUUCCUGAAGAGAAGGGUCCAGCCGCUCCAACAACGUGCUCACUCGGGAAGUGAGUACGUAGGUCUGAAGGAUCCAUCGUGUAUGUCCGAUGAGGACAUAUCCGAUGAUGAUGUAGAGGCGCUGCUGGCUAAGUUUUUUAGGAACUAUCAUGGAGUACCAGUAAUCCCUGCAGCCCUUCGUACGAGCUAGAAGUGGUAAGUGUUUUCCUCCUGACUUGUUCUUCUUUGACUUGUGAUUCUUGUUGCUGAUACCGAUUUGUUGUUUGAAGUCUCGAGUUCUUGCCGGCUACUUAGCGCAGUCAGAAGAGGAGUCGGAGGCUGUCGUCGAGGAAUCAGAGGACAAGCCUUCCCCUCCUGUUAAGAGACGCAGAGUAGUCCGCAAGAUGUCUGUGGCUAUAUCUGCUUCAACCCUUGAGAAGUCUCGGGGUACCAAGGUAUGUAGUCGGUAACUUGUCUGUUACUGAUGGAUUUGAACUCGCUAUUGAUGUGGCGAAUCUUGUUUUGGUUUGUGAAGGCUGUAGAUACGGUGCUUGGUGAAGAUACGGCUGUUUCUGAAGAAAUGGCCGUGACCGUCCCAAAAGUCGGUGAUGUGGCUGUUGACAUGGUGCCGGAGAGGGUACCAUCAACAGAGACUGGGGUAGCCCCCGAGUUAACCGCGUCAACUCCAUCGAACACCAUGCCACCUAUUGCUGACCAGGCGGUCCUGGGGCUGCCUGCUGGAGUAGCGGGUACAGCGAAGGAGGUGUCGCCAGUACUCGCUACUGGUACCUUGCUGUCCAAUGAGAUCGCCAGUGGUAAGCAUUAUCCCUUCCGAUUGUAUUCAUUUGAGUAGUACUGUAGUCUUAACUUCGGUUUUGUAGGUCUUGGCGAGAAGACAACGUCGGACGGUAUUCCCGCGGUGCCUAGUACUCGGCCGCCUGUCGCCGAGAAGAAGUGUGUGCGACUACCGCCACGUUCAACCCGGUGAGCUUUCUUGUCUUGUUGAAUGACGUUGGGUUGUCUUGAAAUCAUGUAGUGACACUUUUUGGUGCAGAGAUGCAGAGGAGACUAUCCCUGUAGAGACAGGGGUAGUACCGGAUCCCUCGACUACAAUAUCUGUUCCUUUGGAGGACUUGACUGUUGAAGAGGUACCCGAGGUUGACGCCGGCCGUCUUGGAGCUACUAUGUCGAUGCUUCAAGACGUGAUUCGCUCGGUGGAGAUUCCCGCUGCUGCAUCAGGCUCGGGAAGUGCUGGCCUAUCAUCAUCUUCUGGCGGAGCGCUAGCCGUAGUUAAAAAAUCCAAACAAGCGACUGCUCCAGGUAAGUGCAAGUAGUCUUUUUAUUGUAGUCAUAGUCGGUAGCUGACAUGGUAAAUGUUGUAGGUGCUACUCUGGGUACGAUUCCUCAUCUUGUGGAGAGCACCCAAAGGCCAGUACUUAGCCUGCCUUCUGACUUGGAGUUCCAGAGGGCGAUCGAUGUUUUCCAGGGCUUCCAGGUAGAUGUCCUUUUUAAGUUUGUUGCAUGACCUGAGUAGUUGUGAGGCUUGAAACUCACCAUACCAUACUUGAAUAUUUUCAAGAAAGAAGCCAUCAGUUAGAGCAGGAAUGUGCCCGAUUGAUAGAAGCUCUUCGGGUUCAUGAAGUCGGGGCAAAGUCCUUUGUCGUGGAACGCGCGGAUCACGCAGUUCUGCAGGAAAAACUGGAGAGCCGCUACAAGUCCUUGAACAAGAAGUAUCAAGGUAAGUAUUCCGACUACUCUGGUUGUGUCCAGCUAUAGUUGGCUGUGGCCUGAGUUCUUUGUUUUGUAGAGCUCAAGAAGCAGGAAGCGGCUGCAAGGAGCCAAGUCAUCAACUGGAGAAACGCUCAUGACCGAGUGGCAGAUGAAGCCGAACAUCUUCGGGCCACGCUUACGGAAGCACAGGCUUCUUGCGAGCAUCAGCGGGAUCGAAAGAUGCAGAAUGGCGUGAUGCUUGCCAUGUCUAUGGUGGCAUGCAGAGAUCAUGCCCAGACCUUGGGAAGACUUCGGGGCGAACUCCGAGAGCUGUCUGGAGCGGCCGAAGACUUGGUGAAUGCCAUAGCCCCCGUGGAGGAAGGCGCAGGGCCGCAAUCACUAGUCGAGUGACUAAGAGCUGCCCCGGGCAAAGUAGCGGGACUUUGCAAGACUGUUUGCAAAUAGGUUCUUGCAGUGGUGAAGUCCUACUACCCGAGGGUAGACUUGGUGGUAGCUGGUGAUGGCGUGGCUCGAACUGCACAGAGGAAGCAUAUGCGCAGUACCUCGUGGAGGCGGAGCCUAUUGCAUCCAAGAUGUCGGAGUUUGUCUCCUUAGAAGAGCUUUGAGCUUCUGAUGUACUCUUGUAUUUGUGUCGAGUACAUUGAUACUUUUGAAUAUCAAGCCUUUAGAUUUGUUGUCUGAAGUUUGUUAUCUUGUGAAGAGUAGUUUUACUCUAUCUUAUCCAACCCCGAAGUGCUGGAGUCGGCUGGGUCCGACCCUCUAGGGAGGAGAUUCGUCUCGCCCGACCUUGAGUCUUGGGGUUGGCUAAGCCUGAUCCCUUCGUGGGUGAAAAACUCUGCCUCGCCCGACCCUGAGUUUGGGGUCGGAGUAGUCGAAGCCCCCGAGAUGUAGGCCAUGCUAGGCUUGUAGUAGUCCCGGGUGUCAAGUAGUCGUAAUGCUGUUGAGUGCUCGACUUUUGAGGGACACGGGUGUACUGUACUCCUUUGUCCUUUGUGGAUGCACGGGUGUACUGCACUCUUUUGUCCGUUGUGGCAUAAGUGCGGUCACAUGGGUAGAGUCAAGAGUCAUCAGACUCAUUGAUUACGGGUGCAUAGUAACUCUUGAGCAGGUGGUAGUUGUGGCCUUCGGCUAUAAAUAGGGCCACCUGGUGAGCGAACCAACUCAAGCUCCUGAGUAGCGAUGGAUUGCCUUCGGUUGCUUCUAUUUGAGUGUAGAGAGCCAUCAAAGAGUGCCCCGGUGCUAGAAGAUUCCUCGUAGAUUGAGGCCACCUUCCCUCCAAAGACUCCUGCGCUCGUAGGGAUAGCCACGAUGCUAGAAGAAUCCUCAUAGGAAGUUUCAUUGCAUGCCUCAUCUUGCAGCUCGUGAUCUAGUGGGGUACGCGCUGGAACUCGCGAGUGAUGGGUGAUGAGUGCCGCGGUCUUUAUCCCGCUCUGAGAGAGGUGGAGGUGCGGCCAUAGAGUAGAUGGGCUCCGCAAGGCUAGCAAAAGAGCAGCCUUGGUUCCCUCUAGGCGCGUCGUGCCGGAUUUGGCGUUGCCGCUGUCAAGGCGGUGGCGAUGCUGGAGUUCCUGGCGUUGCCUUGGGUAGGGUACCUGGGCAUGGCUGCGUUUUGCGCAGCUUCCUUGCGUGUGGGCCCUUCUUGUGGUCGGCAGACCUGAGUGGCCUUGUGAUAUAGUAAAAGCCUGAGGCUUAAAUGCAGCCCGCCAGUAGGCAGUUGCUUGUAGUCUUUGUGUAUGCCAAGUACUUGUACUCGUAUGUAACUUGAUGUACUCUUGUUUCAGUAAAGAUUGAUACGAAGAUUUUGUAUCAGAGCAAUGAUCCUUGUUGUGCUUGAAAGCUCAUGUCGAAGCUGAGACAUCUUGAAGUCGGUAGUCGGGCGGUUGGUCCGAGUAGUUGCCUUGAGGCGAUUUCUCGGGUGCUGCUAUGGGUAAUACCGACAGAGAUGUUCGAUAUUCCAAGAAUUUGGCACUUGUUCCCUGAGGCGAUAUGAGGACGAUGCCGAUUCCUGAUCCGGCCCCACAUGAAGAACCGUCGAAGUAUAGAGUCCAUGGAACUGGUUCAACGACAGCGACCUCCGGUCCACAAUGCUGAGACACAAAAUCGGCCAUUACUUGACCCUUGAUAGCUUUGGCCGAUUCGUACCUUAGGUCAAACUCUGACAGAGCUAGGAUCCACUUUCCAAUCCGUCCUUUCAAAAUUCGCAAUGAUAGCAUGUAUUUUAUUACGUCAUCCUUGCAUACGACUAUGCACUCUGCCGAUAACAGGUAGUGCCUGAGCUUGGUGCAUGAGAAAUACAGACACAGGCACAUCCGUUCUACCGGGGAAUAUCUUGUUUUGGCGUCCAGGAGUCUUCUGCUGACGUAAUAUAUUACCAGUUCUUUUCCUUCGAACGCCUGUACCAGCGCCGAUCCAAUAGCCCGUUCAUUGGCCGAUAAGUAUAGUCUGAACGGCUUGUUAGCCUGUGGCGGGACUAAUACAAGUGGCGAAAUCAGAUAUUGCUUGAUGUCUUCCAAUGCUUUUCGCUGUUCUUCUCCCCACACAAAUUUCUGAUCGGGUUUCAACUUCAAGAAAGGAGUGAAAGCUUGAAUACGCUCGAACAAGUUGGAUAUGAAUCUUCUGAUAAAGUUGACCUUGCCGAUUAGGGACUGCACCUCAGUUUUAUUCUGUGGGGCUACAACCUUGUUGAUGGCAGCUAUGAUCUUCCGGUUGACCUCUAUCCCGCACUCAUGGACCAUGAAUCCUAGGAAUUGUCCAGCCGACACACCGAAUGCACACUUGUUCGGGUUCAUUUUCAACCCAUGUUUCCUUGUGCACUCCAACAGUUCUCGCAAAUCGGCCAGAUGUUCCUGAUGUCCUUUUGACUUGACCACGAUGUCAUCGAUGUAGAUUUCCACCAGUACACCAAUAAGCUUGUGAAAAAUAUAAUUCAUAGCCCGUUGAUAUGUAGCGUCGGCGUUCUUUAAUCCAAAGGUCAUUACUACCCACUCGAAUAAACCGUGGUGGCCCGAACACCUGAAAGCCAUCUUCAAGAUAUCUUCUUCGGCCAUUAAUAUUUGAUUAUACCUAGCAUUACCGUCCAUGAAACUGAUGAUUUUAUGUCCUGCGGCGGCGUCUAUCAAAACAUCGGCUGUCGGCAUUGGAGAUCCAUCCAUCGGCGUAGCCUGAUUUAGGUUCCUGAAGUUGAUGCAUAUGCGCAACUUUCCGUUUUUCUUGUAUACGGGUACAAUAUUAGAAAUCCACUCAGCGUAACGGCACUGCCGAAUAAAUCUCGCUUCAAUCAAUCUUGUAAUCUCGACCUUUAUAUCAGGUAGAAUUUUAGGGUUGCAUCAUCGUGUAGGCUGCUGAUACGGCCAAUACCAUGGUUUUAUAGGCAACCGGUAUUCGACAAUGGACCGGUCUAGACCAGGCAUCUCACAGUAUUCCCAAUCAAAACAAUCUUUAAAUUAUUUUAAUAAACUUGUCAAUUUACACUUGUACUCGGGUCUAAGCUAGCACUAAUAUACGUCGGUCUUGGCUUGCUACCAUCUCCUAAAUCCACCAUCUCCAAUGAAUCAGCCGACGUAAAUCCGUGCCCAAGCUUCCCAUCUUCCCGGAUGAACUGAUCCAUCUAAUUUGAAUCUUCAGAGCCGACUGCUCGGAUCGGCUGUAGGCCAAAAUCGGACACUUUUAGGAAGUCGGUGUCCCAGGUUCUACCGGAUAUGCACUUGACGUGUUCGCUGCUCCACUGUUGUGCAUUGGCCGCACCAACACUGUAGGCGGAAUCGGCGGUGACUAUCUCGAUGUUGUUGUCGACCCACUGCACGAGGCAUUGGUGCAUUGUAGAUGGGAUGCAACAAUUCGCGUGUAUCCAAUCGCGACCGAGCAACAUGUAGUAGGAUCCCUUGCCAUUAAUAAUAAAGAAAGUAGUGGUAAGGGUCUUACUGCCGAUGGUGAGGUCGACGCAGAGCGCCCCGCGGGCGGGAGACACGUUGCCUUCGAAGUCCUUGAGCAUCAUGUCCGUUUUGGUCAGAUCUUCAUCACUUUUGCCCAAUUUUCGGAACAUGACAUACGGCAUGAUGUUGAUUGCAGCACCUCCAUCUACUUGUAGCCUGGUGACAGGUCGUCCGUUGAUGUGUCCUUUGAGGAAUAGGGCUUUGAGGUGUUGCCAUUUUUCGUCCUCGGGUUUCUCAAAAGUGGCUGUCAUUAGCUCCAGAGCCAAUUGCACCAUCUGCUCCUGCAUCCUUGUCGUAUCAUCUCGAUCGACGGGAGCCAUGAACUCCAUCGUCAAGAUAAACACCAUGCUGACAUCAGCUGCCGAUUCCUGAUUGUCGCCUUCCUCAUUGUUGUUUCUUUGGGGCGCCAGACUAGAGACCUAUCAUAUUUCUUAUCCGCCAUCUGUCUCUGCUCUUCUUCUUGUUGUUCCCAUUGGCGUAGACACUGGAUCCUUCUUUUUUGGGAUUUGGUCAAUCCAUCAGGGCACCACCUGGGGUUCACCGGUUUGGCCGGCGGUUUGACAUGCUCCCAGUCUUGUUCUCAUCCUAGGAGGUUUUUAUCUAACACCUUGGCAUCGGCCAUCUCUUCUAGCUGAUCAUGUGUGCUGGCUCUGCCCCCCAGUCGCUUGUGCUGGUCAAUCCUGCCCCCCUGCCGAUCGUACUGUUCAGCUCUUCCCCUUGGCCGAUCAUACCGGUCAACUCUGCCCCCCAGCCGAUCACGCACUGAAAGGUGCCGAUCUUCUUGUUCGCACCACUUUCUGCUGAUUGGCUCUGAUCCUCUAUCUCUGGAACGCGACCUCUUGAAUGGGCGAUUGUCGCGAUAUGGACCGCUGCACUCGGGGCAAUUAUCGACUGAUGGUAACCUGAGAUUAUUUUCCCAGCAGUGGAUGAAAAAAGGGCAUCACUAGUGAUGUUCGUGUCGAUGCAUCAUCUCCUCGCGGUGUCUCGAGUUCUCCUAUCGCUGUUUAUAUUUGUUGAGCACGAAUUGGGAAGUGAUAGGUCUGCGUGAUCUUUCUGAUCCUUCGUCUUCGUCGUCGAGCCGUCUUUUCCCUUUGACAUCCUCAGCCAUGGCCUGAUUUCUGGGGUCCAUGGCGCCGCUCCUCUUAGCCGAUUCCGACGUCAGCACCUUGGUUUGGAGUGCGUUCCUCCCCGUGUCAACCAUGUAAGUAGGGAAAGGAUGCUGAUCAAUCUUUGGCUUUGCAGGCUUUGUCGGGACCUCGAACUUGAGUCUGCCUUGCUCGAUGGACAAUUGUAUUUGCUGUCAGAAGAUCUUGCAUUCGUUUGUAUCGUGAGACGUGGCGUUGUGCCAUUUGCAAUACUUCACCUUCUUGAGCUGUUCGGCCGAAGGGAUAGUGUGGUAAGGUGAAAGCUUGAUCUGCCCCUCUUGGAGAAGUAAGUCGAAAAUUUUGUCGGCCUUUGACGUGUCAAAACCGAACGCUUCUGGGUUUUUCUUCCCGAAAGAACAUGAUAUCGGCUUCUUCCCUUUGACCCAUUCUGCUAGGCCGAUUUUCGCUUCCUCCUCAGAUUCAGAUCCCUCCAAGUACGCCACCUUUUUCUGAAAAUUUCUCCGCUAAUCAAAAGGGCGUACUUCUUGACCAGCCAAUCGGUGAACGAUUUGACUCAAGCUUUCGAAUUCCUGGGAGGCGUACUUCUCUUUGAUGUGUGGCAGGAGUCCUUGGAAAGCGAUAUCAUCUAGCUGAGCGUCAGUCAGGACCAGGGAGUAGCAUUUGUUUCUGACCUCUCUGAACCUCUGCACGUAAUUGGUUACUGGCUCGUUGCUCCUAUGCUUGAGGCUGGUCAAAUCUGAGAGCUUCAUCUCGUGGACUCCCGUGUAGAAGUAUUUGUGGAAUUGUUUUUCCAGAUUGGCCCAAGUAACAAUGGAAUUAGCCGGUAGUGUAGUGAACCAUUGGAAAGCUGACCCGGAUAGGGACGAUGAGAACAGGCGCACCCGCAGAGUGUCUUGUGUGGUGGCCUCCCCGCACUGGAUGAUGAAUCUAUUUACGUGCUCCACGGUUGAGGUGUCAUCCAGCUUCGAAAACUUGGUGAAGUCGAAAACUUUGUACCGAUGGGGAAACGGCAGCAGAUCGUAGGCAGGUGGGUAUGGGGUCUUGUACGUAUAGCUCUGUACCUUCGGUUUCAACCUGAAUUGAUCUUGAAUCACCUCUGCUAUCCUUGCUGUCCAAUCCACUUGCUGCUUAUGAACGACUGGUUGAGGGAUCGGCACAUGUUGAUGGAUCGGGUGAUGGAUCAAAGCAUGUGGUGGUUUUUGCGGCAGCGUGGCCGGCUGAGUAGUUGACAGUUGGCGGCGUAGCGAAUCUGCCGUCCCAUCGUAUAGCAUCAUUGGCGCCGCGUUUCUGAGUGUUUCUGCGGUAUCUGCCCCCCUGCCAAUUUCUGACAAGGCCGGUUGAUAUUGUGGGACCGUCGGCCGGAUAGCCGAUUGGAAUGGUGCUUGGAUCGGAGAGCCUCCGUAACCGGCUGAUUGGUCCAAACCAACCGCUGUUGCUGGUGCCCCCCAAGGCACUGAGUUUGAGGGCUGUGAUUGCACGGAGGGAAUCUGGGCAGGCUGAGGCGGCGCUUGUGAUUGAAAGCAUGGUGCACCGUUGUAUCCUGAAGGCAUUGAAGUGUUAUAUCCACCAUGUUGUGUUGGUAUCGGCUGAGGAGCCGAGUGAGAUGUGCCUGGUAAGCUUCUGACUGGAGCUACAAUAGGCGGGGCAUAUGCUGGCCCCUGAUAUCCCUGAGCUACUCCGCUGACCAGGGAACUGAUGACGGCAUUGUAUACCGUGUUGGUCAUCACUGAGGAUUGGUCGAUGAAAGCCUGAUAAACGGACUGUUGAAUCAUAUCGGACAUCUUGCUCGAGUCUUGAGCGAUGGUGUUCUGGCGGGGAGUUGGAAGAGGAGCUUUCUUGAUGGUCUCCCCGAUUCUGGUACGACUAAAAGAUUGCAGGCAUGUCUUCUUGUAGUCUUCUAGGUGUCUUGCUAGUUCUUCUUUCUGGUCGUCCUUGAGAUUUGCCUCCGUGACCUCGAUGACAUUGUCUUUAGAGAUUUUGGCAGCCUUUGACAUGUUGGAUGUUGAGGUGGUCCCACCGGGCGUGCCAAAAGUGUGUUGGCGCUAAAAAUCGGCCGAUGGCCUUUAGCGUCAGACACACGAGCCGGGAGAAUCUGCUUAACUCCUGUUCGGGUAAUUGCCCUGGUGCGGUUCGCGCGGCGUGCCAGUUAAUCUGACCUGUUGAUUAACAAGGAAAGAAACAUAUUAAAUUCCAGGGGCCUCGAUCGGCUAAAAUUCCGAUCUGUCUCGAAAAGCGUAUCAGCGAAUCGGCCGAUUUGCUAUGAAGAUGACCAGCUAUAUAAUAGCCGAUAAUCACGUAGCGAUUAUGAAGAAACUACCAGAGUAUGCUAAAUAACGCUACAAAUGCAACACUUGAGAUAGAUCUAAUCGGCUGUAUGAUUAUAAAUGAGAAUAACAAUAAUAAAGCCGACAGUCCAAAUCUCAAGCUGGAUAACUGGUGAUAAAACUAGAACAAUAGAUAAAACCUAUAAUUCUAGUAAAUAUCGAUAACUGGUGAAUAAAUCUAAACAAAAUAACAGCGAUACGCCCGAAGUUAAAGUUUAGAUAUUACUCGAUAAAUGGAACCUACAGAAUCGGCCGGAGAUCGUGUCGAUGCAGUCCUGCCAACCCGUACGAACUCGUGAAAGAAAAAGAAGUAUUGGCGAAAUCACCGAAUUUGAAAGUAAAGUACGAUGAAAAAGUAGAUUGUUUGUAUUGAUUGAUGUGUUUUUUUACAAAUCCCUAAAGAUGGCUAUUUAUAGCCUAUUACAACUGAUUUCCUAACCAACUAGGAUCUAUCUCUAAUUUUAAACAAAAAUAAAUAUUUACAAUCACAACUCGUAUCGGAGUUGGUUAUCAUACUCCCACGGGCCAAUCUUUCUCUAUCUUCUUUUUCUAGCCCACCUUAAGCCCAUAUUGGCCAAAACGCCCCAGCCUUCCAACCGGCCGACCUUCACCAACUCCGUCUGCCAAUCGCUCGAAACACUGUAGCGCCAAUCGGCCGAUUCCCAAUCGUAACCUUUUAAUCUGCCUCAUCGGUCAACCCUUUCCUCUCUUGAUGCCGAUCCAAAAUGUGUGUCAAAAUCUGGUGUGAACAGUAACCAUCAAUGAUUGGCCUACGCUGAGUAACCUUUCAGGACAGACAAACAAGGGGUAUCGAACAUGCACCCACUGUUUAGACGAUACAGACAGCAUGUAUUUGAAACAUUGUAGGAAGGUCGUGUAUAUGGGCUAUCGUUGAUUUCUUCAUGCUUAUCACCUAUUAAGAAAGAAAGAGAAGCAUUCCGAACAACGAUGUGAGAAAGCAUGUAUUUGAGAUUAUUAAGGAUGUGGGGGUAGUCUAUGGAAAGGGUCUUGGUAGCGAACCUAUUCCGAACAACGAUAACGGACGUGCACCCAUGUGGAAGAAGAAGUCUAUAUUUUGGGAGCUACCUUAUUGGGAAAUCCUAGAGGUCUGCAAUGCAAUAGACGUGAUGCACCUGAUGAAAAAUCGUUGCAUGAAUGUGCUACGCUUCAUGGGUUGUUAUGGGAACUCAAAAGAUACAUUGGAAGCACAACAGGAUUUGAAACGUAUGAAGCAAUGAGAUGACGUACAUCCGGAAACGAGAGAUAAAGGACAACACUACUUACAUCCUGCCAGUUACACUCUUAGCAAGGAAGAGAAGGAUAUCAUUUUUGAAUGCACGAAUAUUAUCAAGGUUUUGUCUGGGUACUCCUCGAAUAUAAAGGGAAUAAUAAAUAUGAAAGAAAAGAAGUUCACAAAUCUAAAGGCUCAUAACUGCCAUAUAUUGAUGACUCAGUUGCUUCCAGUUGCACUGAGGGAUAUUCUAUCAGAGAAUGUACGAUUGGCGCUCGUAAAGCUAUGCGCGUUUCUCAAUGCAAUUUUGCAGAAGGAAAUCAAUCCAACCAAGCUACUAAAGCUAUAGAACGAUAUGGUACAAUGUUUUGUCAGCUUUGAGUUGCUAUUUCCACCAUCCUUCUUCAAUAUUAUGAAGCACCUCCUAGUUUACCUAGUCAAAGAGAUUACUAUUCUUGGUCCAGUAUCCCUGCAUAAUAUCUGGCCUUUCAAGAGGUUCAUGUCAGUCUAAAAAACUAUGUUUUUAAUCAUGCACGUCCAGAAGGAAGUGUCGCCGAGGGAUAUGGAAUAGAGAAGGUCAUUAAGUUUUGUGUUGAUUUUAUGGACUCAAUUAAUUCGAUUGGGGUUCCAACAUCACGCCACGAGGGGAGGCUACGGGGAACAGGCACCCUUGGAAGGAAAUCAAGUUUGAGCAAUGAUAGUGAUUUGUUCCAUAAAGCACACUUCAUGGUUCUGCAACAAUCAUCCUUUGUGGCUCUGUAUAUCGAGGAACAGAAACAUAUUCUAUUUUCCUAAUACCCAACGAAAUUUGAUGCCUAGAUUAUAUGUCAUCACAUGGAUACUUUUCCCUCUUGGUUGCAUCAACACCUUAUGGGUAACUCCAUGAUUCACGAACAACUCGCUUGGUUAGCUAGGGGACCUUCUAACACAAUCGUCAAAUUCCAAGGUUACAAGAUAAAUGGUUACACAUUUUACACAAGAGCUCAAGAUUAAAAAAACACCAACCAAAAUAGUGGUGUUCGUAUAGAUGUCAUACACAGCAACAGGAGCAACAACUCAUAUUAUGGUUUCAUAGAGGAGAUCUGGGAACUCGAAUACAGACCACCGAACAUCCCUCUGUUUCGUUGCCAAUAGGUGAAGCUAACUGGAGGUGGCGUAACGAAAGAUCAGUAUGGAAUGACAAUAGUGGACUUGACCAAGACUAGAUACAAUGAUGAACCAUUCGUUCUUGCUAAUGAUAUGCAUCAGGUUUUCUAUGUGAAGGACAUGUCUAGCAAACCUAAGAAAAAUUCAAAAGAUAAAGAAAAACCAUAGAAGCCAAAGCGCCACAUAGUUCUUCCAGGUAAAAGAAAAAUCUUGGGAAUCGAGGACAAAAUAGACCAGUCAAAUGAUUAUGAUCAGUUUGAUGGCAUGCCUCCAUUCGCUGUCGAAGUUGACCUAAGCAUCAUGCUAACCAAAGAAGAGGUUCUGUAUUUACGCCGCGAUCAUGACCAAGGAACUUUCAUCAGGAAGUUUUAUAACGUUACAUUGUAAUGCACUAAAUAUGGUGCACCUUUAUGUAAUGCUCUAUGGCCAUCAGAACCUUUGAAUUAUAUUGCAAUGUUCUAUGGAGAACCUUUAUUCGAUCAAUAUAAAUAAUGUUAACUCAACCACAUACAUCAAUUGCAUUUUUGGGCAUUGAUAUUAUUUAAUUGAAGAGUUUGCUGACGAUAGUGAUGCAUUAAAAUAAUUGUUUUAGAAACUUAAUCAACUAGUAUUGAAUUAUUGACUUAUUCAAACAAUUUUUAGAUAUACUUGCUAAUUUAAUAUAUUUUUGCAUGUUCAAAAUAUGUAAAAUUUUUAUUUUUCUUUAACAACACCAGUGCGAAACAACUUAAAACAUAUAUAAAUUAAAACUACAAAACUAUUAGGAAAAUGAAAGGGGGUGCCUUUAAUCCCAGUUGCAAAUUCCAACCAGGACUAAAGGGUGCUUUUUCAUCUCCCGCGCGAAAAACACCAUUUAGUCCCGGUUGGAAUUUGCAACCGGGACUAAAGCCCCCUAGUCCCGGGUUGAAUUUGCAACUGGGACUAGGGGAUUAUAACGUCCGCCCCUUCUCCCCCACCUCGUCUCCUCCUUAGUCCUUCACUUUGCCGCCUCGUCUCACUUGUCUCGCCGGCGCCCUCUCCCAGCCUCCCCUUGCGUGCCGCCAGACACCGCCGUCCAACGAUCCGUUGCCGCAUUUUGCUUCCACGCCCCGAAUCCGCGGCCGCCCUUUCACCUCCACGCGCUGGACCCCCGGCGGCGCGAUCCCGGCCCACCGUCUGCCAUCUGCCCCCCGGCCGUCCGCCUACCCCGCCAUCCCACCGUCCGCCAGUACGAGCCCUCCCCCCUCCCAAACAGGGCUUGUUGACGCAAGUACCAUUUUUUAGUGUUUUUAAUGUUUAAUUUGUAUAAAAUACAUUUAAUCCUUAAAAAACUAGUAUGAACUAUUUUAAAUACUUAGAAAAAUUGUAAAAAUUAAUAGUUUAAAUACUUAGGAAAAUUGUACAAAUUAGUUUAAAUACUUAGAGAAAUUAGUACAAAUUAGUUUAAAUACUUAUAGAAAAAUUGUACAAAUUAGUUUAAAUACUUAGAAACAAUGUAUAUUUCACAAGUUUCUUUUAAUUGUAUAUACAUGUCAUUAGUGUGAUAUUGAUUUUUGGAACUCGGUGGUAGUUAAUGUGAACAAAAGGUCACUUAGAAAAUGAACAGUCAUGCUUUUGGCUUUUUCGGCUUCAAUGUCCAAAUAUUAGGUAUUUUAUGAAUUUAUGGUCGAUCAAAGUUCUAGUAUGUAACAUGAUUUCACUUGUAGUUAUCUGAGGGCUUACUGUGAGAAAUCUUAUUAGAGGCAUUUCAAUGCCCAGUAUCUUGUAUUUUAAAUUUCAAAAGAAUGUAAGACAAUUUUAAUGUUUGGAUGGAAGCAACGGUAUAUUUCACAAGUAUCUUAUUAGAGGCUUACUGUGAAGAUUAAUCCAUCCUCAUUAAUGGGUCUCAAUUAUCUCAUGUGUAUUUUCGGAGUUAUGAGCCCGGCAGUCCACCUAGUGGUUACCUAAGUGGUUGAUUUGUAGGCGAGAGCGGUCACAAGAGCAAAAACUCGAUGGUGAUCACAAAAACUUGAAGGGGACACAAGGGUUUUAGACAGGUUCAGGCCUCGAAAGAGUAAUACCCUACGUCUUGUAUGUUGGUGGAUUGUAUUGCUCAAUGAUUCGAUGUCGGGUUUCAUUGCCCUUAGAGGGUGUUCUUGGCCGCCUUAUAUAGUCUGAUGACCAAGAGUUACAAGUUGGUUCGAAUCUAAUCUACUCAUUAUUACAUGGAAGGUAAUCUAAGUCGGAUUACCAUACGCAUCCCACAGUAUCCAAGUAGAUUUGGACAGUCUAGUUGCCUUACUGUGUACUCCAAGUAACUUCAUGUCCUUGGCCCUCACGCCCUGGUCGGGCGAGCCCACUUGUCAGGUCCGACCAAUAUUAUGGUCGGUGGGGACCCAUGGGGUACCCAUAUCCCUCAUGUAUAUUUCACAAGUUUCUUUUAUUUCAUGGUUGUUCUAUGAUUUCAUGUUUAUACAUCAAUUGUACUACUUGAUACAAUUUUUAAUUUAAUGUAUCUAUAAUUACAUUGUGUUUAACUAAUGUCAUUAUUAGUUGAGAUGAGAGACGAAGAGGAUGGAAGGUAUCCAAUGGAGCAGAUUAUUGCUAGCGGUAGUGGCUCCAACAUUCCAAGAACCUACACCAAGGAUGAGGGUAGCUAGGUGGACAUGUUCCUCAACAUGUCCGGUGAUGGCAAUGAUGAGCCUGAGCAUGACGUUGAUGACAAUGCGGAACAAAACUUGCCGUGAUGGAAGGUUCUGGCAAGGUAUAUAUCAUUUUCAUUAUUUUACCCCAUCUAUAAUUUCAUAUUCAUUAUUACUAUGUACUAAUUAACGAAUCUUGAACUUUUAACCCUAUGGAUCGAUGAAGCGAAAUAAGCCACGAGGUCGUACAAAGAUAAUGGAGGGAAGACUUCACAUCACUAAAGUGAUAGAAGAGGGCUAGCCAAUUGCUCCCGAAAAAGUGGCUAGAAAGUUCGUGAGUCAAUGCGGGGCUAUUGUAAGGGACAACGUGCCCAUCAGCAUUCGAGAAUGGAAGGGUAAAAAAGAUGAUCCAUACGUGCUCCCGCAGACAUAGAAAGAUAUGUUGUGGGAAGAUGUCAAGGAACACUUCACACUUCCUGAUAGUGUUGAAGAAAAAGUUGUGAAAGACUGGACACUGAAAAAAAUGGCAACCCAAUUCCAGACCUUCAAGAAAAAUCUGGAUGCCAACUUUAUCAAGAAGGGCCAAACUCUAGAUUUUAAUGACCGGCCAAAGUUAAGGGAUCACUCGAACUCAUUUCUGGAAUACAAGAUGAAUGAAGGUAGUGGGAACAAGGUUCAUGUCAACUCAACCAAUGCCUAGAGGGAGUACCAUCAUCGUUUAGGGUGAGGUGGUUACAUCAGUUCAAUUCCCAAAUGGAGAAAGAUGGAACAAAACCUAUUCGAUCGAGGUAUCAUACUAGCAAUUAUUGACUGGCCCGAUCGAUCGAAGAAUUGGUAUUACGCUCACGGAGGCAACCUGAGCCAUGAGGAUGGGACACUUACAUUCAAUGAAACAAUACGUCAGAAGGCUCUAAGGCUUAUCCAAAACAUUGAAGAUGCUAAAGUGGGAAAGUUGAAGGUUGAUAGAGAUAACAAGGAGCUGACUUUGGUGCUCGGGAAUCCCGAACACCUAGGAUGUUGCUGAGGCUUUGGGGUCGUUCCGUGGAAGUUUGCAUUCGUAGGGACAUCAACAUGUACAGAAGCCGGAAGAGAAGAAAGGAGACGCAAGAGGAGAGCUCGUGGUGCAUGUUAGAAGCUAAAGUGCAUGCACAAGAAGUAAGAAUGCAUAAAGAAAUUAAUCCGCGAGUGGCCCUAGUAGUUACUGAGAUGGCCCAAUCUGGAGCACUUCCGGAUCCCAACGUUGUCGUGAGCCCUUCUCAAUGCCGAAGUAGUUGUGCUUCCAUAGGGGUCCCCGAUGAGAACAUACCAAGAUUACCCAUAGUUGCGCAGGACAACCAACGGUACCCUAUGGAUGACAUCACUCAGUGCACCUCAUGUGAGCUGUACAAACCAUUUGGCAACCUCACAAUUAAGGUAUACAUAUAUAUAAUUAUGUAAUUAUCUCAAUUGAUCCACGCCUCGGGGGUUUAAUAACUUCUUUAUUUUCUCCUAUAUGUACAGGUGGCGUACGGAAGUGCUUUACCAAUCCUGCCAGGGCAGACAAGCCAUGGGAUGGAGAUUCCACCUGGCUACUCCAGCGUUGGUCUAGAGCAGAUUUUUGAUAGUAAUUAUGAAUGUCUAGAGCUCGACCUCCCGGGAGGUGACGGUGAAAGCACACUAGGAGAUGCACUUCACGGUAUCAUUCUAUGGCGCAAAUGCUACAUCAUCAUCCCCGGUAAGGAGGCAUCAUUGCUCUCCAUAGAUCCCUCGCAACCGCCAUCUCCUCAGAACUCAAGACCGUCAUCUCUAGAACAUCCACCUCCAAGACUGUCAUCACUACCGGGUGUGGCGGAUCCACCUCGGAUUAGCCUAAUUAAGGCACUGUUAAGUCGCCUAACAUGCGACACUCGGCCUUAAUCAUGCUAACUAGAGAUGCCGUCGGAUUUCCUCCGAUUUAGCCACUUUGACAGGACCGAGUUUAGCAAAACCCACACGAAGGUGAGUGGUUCCAGAGAAUACAACAGGUCCAACAGUAGAUUACAAGUUGUUACACACUUAGUAAAAAUCAGAGUUUUAACAAGUUCGGAAGAAAAACAACAGAAGGUAAAAACAAGCGGAAGCUACUUCAUCGGGGUCGGACAUCCCUGGUGAGGCCAGCCGGGACGUCAGUGAUCCCUCUCCUCACCGUCGGAGGAGGGAUCCCACUCGACUGUCCAACCCGGAGGGAGUUGGGGCGGCCAAGUGCCAACAGAAAAAGGCUCGGGAGUAGCGACUUCACCUGAAAAAGAAAAGCCACCACAAGGCUGAGCUACUAAGCUCAACAAGACUUAACCGGUCGGGGGUAAACUACUCCACCACUUCUAGACAUGCAAGGCUCUUUGGCUGAGGGGGGUUUGUUUGCCAAAAGCACUAUGUAGAUCCUUAUAUUCAAGGUUUUAGCUCAGAUUCUAAGUUCAUUAUCCGGUCUAAGUUAGCAACUUACUCUAAGCAAACAUAGAACCAACCAAAGGGUAUAUAACAUCAUCAAGACCAUGUCAUCAUUAGAUUCCUUUAUUACUCAGUGUAGCAUAGCGAUCAAGUAGUCUCAAACUGUGAGAGGCAGACGAAUCGAUUCGAGUUCUUUAACCAUGCAUGGUGAACCCAACCUCACGACAUCCGCGCACCACCGAGGGUCGCUUCCUGUGUCGGCCUUCCCCAUCAAUUCCCUAACCCGUGUCGGGCCUAUUUCUUUUGGUGCAAUGUUCCACACACCCGGUCUCUGCCGUUCUGUGACCACACUUGCCACCACUGUCGGGCCUUAACAAGUUUCAUAGACAGACGGGGCGAUCAGUCGACCACCAAAGAGUUAACCAAAACCCUGCCCCGUCCAUCGUCCUUAUAGUUGUAACAGAAGAGAAAUAAUCGACUCCUACAACUCGCGAGUGACAGGAGAUCACUCGACUUUUACCGCUUCCUAUUUAAGCAUUGCCACUACUCGAAUCCAACAGACUAGUAUUCAGAUCAAGUGAUCUAAGUCAUGCAUCUAUGGUUGCAAACAACUCCUAUAUGUAAAUGCACAAAUAUGCUGAAGAAGGCAUGCGCAAGUUUGGGAAACUGGGUUCAUGCUCCGGGGCUUGCCUUCAAGCGAGGAGGAGGGGAACUGAUCUUCUGCUGGGGUGGCUUCGGCUUCUGGAAGCGGGAGCUCGGCUACAGCUUCGUCUUCUGGCGCCGGGUACAGCUCGUAGGCGCCGUCGGUGAGAUGCAACUCUACACGAAUGCAAAUGCAGGGGGUUAGCACUUAGACGAUUAUUUCAACAGCAACACUUGCGAGUUUUGGCACAGAAACUUUGUAGCAAGGCUACGGAAAAAGUGAGGAAGUUCACUUUAGUUGGAGGAGAACAAGGUAAAAGGGUCGGAUGGAAAGAAACUUAUGAUCUGACCCUUAGGCUAGAGGAAUAGCUGUGUUGGGGGUCCUCAGACUUAACGCAGAGAAGUCCCCGAUUUUCAAACAUAUAUCCUCGGGUCAAGGAAAAGGAUACAGCCGAGCCCUCGGGCGAGGCGGAGAAAGGGUCGGCGAAACAGACAGGGUCGGGAGAGACGGAGAAAGGGGUCGGUUGAACGGAUAGGGUCGAGCGAGACGGAAAAGGGGUCGGGCGGACAGACAGGGUCGGACGAGGCGGAAAAAGGGGUCGGGCGGACAGACAGGGUCGGACGAGGCGGAAAAGGGUCCGACGAACAGAAGGGGUCGGACGAGGCGGAAAAGGGUCGGACAAACAGAAGGGGUCGGACGAGGCGGAAAAGGGUCAGCAGCUUACCUUCGGUUCACAGGUGAAGCUUGGGGUCGGGAAGGAGCAGACUUGGGCGGAAGGAUGGAAGCACUAAGACUUGGGCAGGCGACGAUGUCCGGCGGUGCUCUGGCGGCGGCGGUGCUUCUUGUGGACUACAAGCAAGCUCUUGCGCAACGCGGGGGAGCAAGCGGCUGGGCGGAUUGGGGAAAGCGGUGUUGAGUGGAGAGGAGAGCUCCUCAGGAACUUAGGCAGUAGUGCUUUGAGCACGAAGCAGAGAAACGACGGUAACGUAGCGAUGGCGAAUGGGACUCCGGUGGGACUCUGGCGUUCCCUUUUAUAGCUGCGCGGGAAGAGAGAGGGUUGGAGCAGCACGAAGAUCGGGAAGAAGCGAUGGAGUGCGCUGCGACGGCGGUGAUUGAGCAGCGGGGCGGCAGAGCAGGACUUCGGGGAUGACACCGUCGGCCAUUGGGCACCAGAGACAGGGCGGCGCAGGCGCGGUUUUGCUGGUGGUUUAGAUUUGGUGGAGGCGAGCGUCGUCGUGCGGCGGAUCUGAUGGAUGUGACCGGGGGAACGGCUCUAGAAGCGAGGUUGCUUAGGUGAGAAGACAGGUGGGCUGCGGCUGCACGGGCGAGCGUGAAAUAGCAGUCUGUCGAGGCGCAGCUCUGACAAGGCGGGAAAGAAACUGUCACGGCCGGGGUCGGGAUAUGCGACGGAGGAAUCGUCGCAUAGCGCAGUCCGGGGCGGUGCGACUGUGGAGGGGCGGCGGAAAAACCGGGAGGCCUCGGGCCUUGCAGCAGGGGGUCCGGCGAGGUGAUGAUGGGCGCGAGCCGCGAAGCGCUGCAGAAAGGGUAGCAGAGGGCUUCUGCUGCGAUUGGGGAAGGGGGUGCGGGAAUCCAUCCAGUCGCGGCCGACGACGGGGCGGAGUGGCGUGGGUUGGAAGAGUUGAGCCACACGGCGGAGAAGCUUUGAAGCGGGCAUGCCACUUGAGUGCGUCUGUCUCGGGAGAUCUGGGGGAAAGAUUUUGCAGGUCCACCGGUCAGUCUUGGUUUGUCCUCUGCUCGAGAUUGAAAGAAGGCACUGUUGGGAAGACUUCGAAAGAUCCGGAGGUAUGGGUUGGGGUCGGCAAGGGUCGGAGCUGGGAACCAGCGGAAAUGGGUCGAAUACUCAGGGGUCGGGAUCGGACUGGAGGUUGAGCACUUAAACUCGGGAAAGCUGAGAUAGGGGAUUAGGGACUCGGAUUAAGAUUAACUCGAGAGAUUUGGGGUCGGUCGUCACAGCCUACCCCCCUUAAAAAGAAUCUCGUCCCGAGAUUCGAGUGUAAGAGUAACCAGUGGGGGUGUGCAGUCCUUACCUCCUUGGCUGGAAUGAAAACCUUGGAAGCGCUUAUUCAGAUACUCUUCGGUCUCCUAGGUUGCUUCAUCCUCGGUGUGGUUAUUCCAUAGGAUCUUGUACAUUUUCACCACUUGGCGUCGGGUGCGCCUCUCCUUAUGAUCAAGAACUUUGGCCGGGUACUCAGCAUAGGUCAAGUCGGGUUCGAUUUGAAGUUGCUCUUGCUCUAAGAUCUCGGCUGGGACUUGGACACAUUUCUUUAGUUGAGAUACAUGGAAAACAUCAUGUAUGGCUGAGAGCUGUUCUGGGAGUCGGAUCCGGUAAGCAACUGGUCCACAAAUUUCCAUAAUCUCAUAUGGGCCAAUGUAACGGGGAGCCAAUUUCCCUUUUACUCCAAACUGUUGCACUCCUUUGGUCGCGGAGACUCAAAGAUACACAUGAUCACCAAUGUCAAACUGCAGGGGUCUUCUUCUCCUGUCGGAGUAACUCUUCUGUCGAGAUUGGGCAGCCUUGAGAUUUGCUUGAAUUACCUUCACUUGCUCUUCAGCUUCUACCACUAUAUCAGGACCAUAGGUUUGUCUUUCUCCAGCUUGUGACCAAUUCAAAGGUGUCCGACAUCUCCGGCCAUAUAAGGCUUCAAACGGUGCCAACUUCAAGCUAGCCUGGUAGCUAUUGUUAUAGGAGAACUCUGCCAAUGGUAAGCAUUUAUCCCAAUUUUUGUCAUAAUGGAUGACACAAGCUCUCAACAUGUCUUCAAGAAUCUGAUUAACUCUUUCGGUUUGACCAUCGGUUUGAGGAUGAUAGGUUGAGCUACGGAUGAGCUUGGUGCCCAUUGAUGCUUGUAGCUGUUCCCAAAAGCGUUCUACAAACUGAACUCCUCGAUUAGAGAUGAUCGUCCUAGGCACACCGUGCAAGGAAACAAUGCGGUCAAGAUACAACUCCGCAUACUUCUUGGCCGUGUAGGUGGUGUGGACAGGAAGGAAGUGGGCAGACUUGGUCAGGCGGUUCACAAUUACCCAGAUGGAGUCAUGUCGCUGCGAGGUAAGGGGUAGUCCAACAAUGAAGUCCAUGCUGAUGUCUUCCCAUUUCCAAGAGGGAAUAGGUAGGGGCUGCAGGGUACCUGCUACCUUUAGAUGGCUGGCCUUGACGCGUUGGCAGGUGUCACACUCUGAAACAUACCGUGCAAUUUCUAGCUUCAUUCCGCUCCACCAGAAGACUUGAUGGAGAUCAUGAUACAUCUUAUUGCUGCCAGGAUGGAUUGAGAACUUGGAGAGAUGAGCUUCAUGUAGGAUUUGCUUCCUAAGGUUGGGGUCGGAUGGUACAACAUGUCGGCUUCCAUAAUACACCUUCCCAGUCUCAUCCUGUCGGAAUUGCUUAUACCCUUCAUCCUUUAAUGAAAUCUUCCUUGUGAUCUACCUUACUUCCUCAUCCUCUAAUUGUGCUGACCCAAUUUGGUCUUCCAAAAUAGACUCAAGAGAUAUGUGGCCGAGGGUUCCAGGGGAAACAAUUUCCAAAUUGAGUUUUCCCAUCUCAUGACACAGAGUCUCGGUGAAGGUUGUUGCCGACAAACAGUUACAAAAGGCCUUGCGGCUAAGAGCAUCGGCCACCACGUUGGCCUUGCCGGGGUAAUAGUGCACUUCCAAAUCAUAGUCCUUUAUCAACUCCAACCAUCUUCUUUGGCGCAUGUGGAGAUCGGCUUGAGUGAAGAUGUACUUGAGGCUCUUGUGGUCGGUGUAGAUGUUGCAGUGAGUGCCCAUCAGAUAGUGUCUCCAUAUUUUUAAGGCAUGAAUGACUGCUGCCAACUCAAGAUCAUGGGUCGGGUAAUUCAGCUCAUGAGGUCGUAACGCCCAUGAGGCAUAGGCAUGACUCGGUUGUCUUGCAUAAGAACACACCCAAGUCCAGUGCCCGAGGCGUCACAGUACACGUCAAACGGCCUAGAAGGGUCGGGUUGAGCCAAAACCGGGGCUGUGGUCAGCAAGUGCUUCAGGGUCUUGAAGGCUUCCUCACACUUGUCGUUCCACACAAAUCUAACCUCUUUCUUCAGCAGCUCAGUCAUCGGCUUAGCUAUCUUGGAGAAGUCUGGUAUGAAAUGCUGAUAGUAGCCUGCUAGUCCAAGAAAACUUCGGAUCUGGUGCACUGAGGUGGGAGGCUUCCAGUCUAUGACUUCCUGUACCUUGCUGGGGUCGACGGCUAUGCCAUUCCGAGAGAUAGUGUGUCCCAAGAACUUGACACUAUCUAACCAAAAUUCACACUUGGAAAAUUUGGCAUAGAGCUGAUGAUCUCUCAACUGUUGGAGAACUACAUGAAGAUGAUCGGCAUGUUCUUCUUCGAUCUUCGAGUACACUAGGAUGUCAUCAAUGAACACCACUACAAACUUGUCCAACUCGGGCAUGAACACCGAAUUCAUGACAUACAUGAAAUAGGCGGGUGCAUUGGUGAGUCCAAAAGACAUGACCAGGUACUCGUAGAGUCCAUAUCUUGUGGAGAAGGCGGUUUUGGGAAUGUCGCAGGGUCGGAUCUUGAUUUGGUGAUAACCGGAACGAAGAUCGAUCUUGGAGAACACUCUUGCUCCAGCUAACUGAUCAAACAGAACAUCAAUGCGGGGAAGUGGGUACUUGUUCUUGAUAGUCACCGCAUUGAGGGGUCGGUAGUCCACACACAUGCGUAGACUGUCGUCCUUCUUCUUCACAAACAGAGCUGGGCAACCCCAAGGUGAAGUGCUGGGUCGGAUGAAGCCUUUUUCCAAUAGAUCAUGCAACUGGGUCUUUAACUCGGCCAGCUCAGCAGGUGGCAUCCGAUAGGGUCUCUUGGAUAUCGGAGUGGUGCCGGGGAUCAACUCUAUGGAAAACUUCACAUCUCUAUUGGGCGGCAGGCCGGGCAAGUCCUCUGGAAACACAUCCGGGUACUCACAGACAACCGGAAGGCUUUCUAGCCGAGCUUCCGAUAGAGGAUACGCACAGGGAAGUGUGUACUUAGGGUGGUUCAAGGGUAGGGUAGAACUGCCAUGAAAGGGUGAGUUGAUGUGGAGAGUUCGGGCAGCAGCAUCUAGAACCACUUGGUGUCUGGUCAUCCAAUCCAUCCCAAGGAUGAUAUCUAUUCCUUCCAACUCAAGGAUGAUAAGAUUUUCCUUGAAAAGAGCUUGGCCUAGCUGGAGAGGUACAAGGGUAACGAUCUGGUCUGAGGCUAUCUUCCUUCCAGGAGUGGAGAUCACAUAUGAUCCUUUAGUGUGAUCGACACUCAGCUCACAUCUUUCUCUAGUCUUACUCCCGAUGAAGCUAUGGGAGGCUCCCGAAUCAAACAACACAACAACAGUUUGAUUUAAGACAAGGAAAGUACCCAUCAUCACUGGCGCACCUUCGGGGAGUUUGGUCAAGCUGGUGUAGUUGAGUCGUCCUUGGCGAACUUGUACCUUGGGCCUUCUUCCUCUGUUCGCGGUGGGGUUCUGGCCAGGCUGCUGAUUCCUAUUCCUGGGGCAGUCCUUAGCGAAAUGCCCUUCAUUGCCGCAGGUGAAGCAACGGUUACCAGUUGCAGGACGCGGUGGUGGUGGUAGGGUCGGCCGGGGCGCCUGUGGUUGGAAACUAGGAAAACGAGGUGCUGCCGCUGGUGGGGGUCGGGCAACCCAUCUUCCCAACUGCUGGGGUCGGCUGGGCGCCUGUGGAGGAACCAUCCUGAACCUUCGAGCGGGCGGGCUCGGAAAUGCCACGGAGGCCUUUCUCUUCUGGUCAGCUUUGAGAGCCUGCAUGCAAUCCUCUUGUGAGAUGGCCAAGUUGACCAACUCGUUGUAGGUAUCCACCUUAAUGGGGUUCAACCUCUCUCUGAGCUCCAGGCUUAGCCCUCUGCAAAAUCUAUCCCGCUUCUUCUCGUCUGUGUCCGCAUGAUAGCCGGCAUAAUGGCAUAGAUCAUUGAAAGCUUGGGCGUAGUGCAGGACAUCUCGGUUUCCCUAGGUAAGAUCCAGGAACUCGUUGAGCUUGCGCUCCAGGAGACCUUCCAGAAUGUGAUGCCCUCUGAACGCGGUCUUGAACUCGUUCCAGCUGACAACAUGGUCGGCCGGCAACAUAGCAUGGUAGUGAUCCCACCAAAGCCUGGCGGAGCCACGUAGUUGUUGAGCCACAAACCAGGCCUUGUUAUGGUCGGGGCACAGGGCGGUGAGAAGCUCAAACUUGGAUUCGAUUGUGCGAACCCAGGCAUCGGCGUCGAGCGGGUCUUGCGUCUUCUGGAACAAAGGGGGCUAUGUCCCCAAGAAGUCCUCAUAGCGAGCAACAUGAGGUUGCUGCUGAGCCCUUCCCCCAUGGGGCUGCUGCUGCUGUCCUUGUACAAGAUGCCUCAGCAGCUCAGUUUGAGCCGCUAAGAUCGCCUCCAGCGGAGACGGGGGCGGGGGCGGGGGAAGAUCCUGCCUCUGCUCACUGCUGCUAGGCACAGAGCCGGAUCUGGUGCGAUGCGCCAUCUGCAAGAGCCAACGUUCCAUUAAUUCCAUAACCUCAGAAGUAUUCCAACCAAAUAGGAAUGCACAUGUUAAAUCCUCAAAUGCGACUCUUGCCGACAAUGCAACACACACAGCUUUAUAAAGGAGACACACACUUCCUCUUGCCAUCUUAGUUCGCAACUAUCUUAGUUCUACACACGACUUAGGGUGAACCAUAGCCAGAUUCCAGGAGUUCCACUACAUCCGACCUUAGGCCAAGGGGUCGAGCUAGGCGAAACAGCACAACAAGGGGUCGGGUGAAGCGCUCCGCAUGAGAAGGGGUCGGGCGAAACGAACCGCACAAGAAGGGGUCGGGCGAGGCGGAGAAGCGCCUCGAGGGGUCGGGCGCGUCCGACCUCGCGACCCGGGGUCGGCCAAACUUUGGGCAGACCCAUAGAAAAACGGGUGUGUGGUCACAGCACAAACUCACACAGUCUAGCAUCCCAAACGUGUUGCAAAAGAGUCAAAGGUCAAGCUAAGAUCUGAUUUCAACUGAGAUCAUUACAUUGCUGGUCUUAAAACACAAGAGGAAGUACUCAACUCAAGGCUAACUUAUUACAUGACUAUCCAAAACUUAGGUUGCCGAGGAGUACAACAAAACAUGAGAUCCUUAAAGCUCCCGACCUACGAGGGAACACUGUGAGUUGGAGAAGGGGCGUCGUCAUCCUCAAUGUCCAUGCUGGAUGCUCCCUCGACCUCCUCAGGGUCUUCUUGCUCUUCCAACUACAUCUGAAGGGCAUGCAUGUCGUCGAGCUCGGCGUGGUGCUCGUCCAGAUGAGCAUUAGCAACUACUAGCUCCAUCUCUACCUCCAUCUUCUCUUCGGAAAGCUCAAUCAUGCCAUCCACCAGAUCGGUUACUUCUCCCUCGAGUUCGGAGAUUCAGUCUUGCAUGUCGUGAAUUUGGAUGCCUCUCUGGAUGAGUUGAUAGGUUUGUCCCACCAGGUCUCUCUUGGCGGCGUUGAAGUGUCCCUGGGUGUCCACGGCGAUCCAAGCCAAGACCGCCAUGGCCCCGCCUUGAAGCUCGAUCAACCGAUAUAAGGCUGACAUGCAUCUGACGUUGGUGGAGAUGGUGACCAGCGAGUGGGAUGUGGCCAACACCUCUAUGUUGUUGACACGAUCAAGCCACGCUGGGUCUAGCCAAUCCCUGGCUGGAAACAGGCCGAUUGGGUCCAAGGUGACCUCAAGCGGAUGAAGCUGACAGAAUUGGGUGAGGAGUUGUAGAGCAGCCGACUCCCACGUAUCUUCCAGGGCUUGUCCAUAUGUUGAGACUCCGAGCUGGGGCCACUCGGGCCGCAUAGGAGGUGGAGGUACCACCGCCUGCACAUUGCACCUCUGUACACCGUGCUCCAGGUACAUCCGUCCCACGUACAAGGGCGGGGACUGAUACCCAAACCACCUCAAGGUGUCCCACAGAAUAGCGGGAAAACCUUCGAAGUGCAAGCACGUCGAGUGGGAGAAGCCAUCGGCGCCGUACAGAACGUGUCCGGGGGCGGCCAUCUAGAACCAAGAACCAAAACAACAUGAGAUAGAACUCUAAGAAGAAAGGGGUCGGACAGAAAGCAUUCGGAUUUGACUGAGCACAAGCUGGAAGAAAACUAGAAAUCCUUAGAACCGAAGAAGAGCUUUUCCAAGGCAAGGUUGCUUUUGGGAGGUGGCUUUACAGAUUUUAGUUUAUGUCGCAUGCACGGCCUACCUCGUUUCUCAACCAAAACAACUGCCAAACUUGGUCUUACGCAGUCAGUGCCGGUGGCAAGGCAACCAGUACGUCUCUUCCUAUAGUAGCUAGUCGGUUCUAGUAGCGUCUCCUAAGCGAACGCGGUUAGUGUACCUGCAGAAAACACAACCACAUGAACCUUUCAUGCCAGCACCCACGAAAGCAUCCCCAAACAUUACCGUUCACUAUAGGAACGGCACCCAUGCAUUCAAGGCUGCAUGGACAGCACAACAAUCGUGGAAAUAGGUCCCCCUUUGAAUGGAACCGUAUAACCCUUCGCAUACUCGUGAUGCGGAAUCAGCGCACGUAUAAUAGACGUGGGCGAACAACCAUGAUGAUAGGCUCAUUGGAAUCGAACAAUACCACCCUUCGUAUGAAUCAACACAUGGAACCUGCGCACGUAUGAUAAACGUGGGCGAAACAACCGCGAUGAUAGGGUCCUUUGAAUAGAACUCCCUAUCAACCCUCGCAUACUCGUGAUGUGGACUCGGCACACGUAUGAUACACGUGGCGAAGUGCUGGAAGGUUAGCAAGAUAACCAAUAAGUAUUAGCCACCUAAAAACAAUCCCAAAAUCCCCUAGGACCUCUCGUGCUAAAGUCAUCCUUAAUGAUCGUAUGAGAUUUUUUAAAAAUUUCCUUUGCAACUUUUAUUUAAAGGAAGUGUUUAAGACCUAUUGUGUUCUCUAUCUUGCUAAACCUUGCUCUGGUACCAGCUGUGGCGGAUCCACCUUGGAUUAGCCUAAUUAAGGCACGGUUAAGUCGCCUAACAUGCGACACUCGGCCUUAAUCAUGCUAACUAGAGAUGCUGUCGGAUUUCCUCCGAUUUAGCCACUUUGAUAGGACCGAGUUAGCAAAACCCACACGAAGGUGAGUGGUUCCAGAGAAUACAAUAGGUCCAACAGUAGAUUACAAGUUGUUACACACUUAGUAAAAAUCAGAGUUUUAACAAGUUUGGAAGAAAAACAACAGAAGGUAAAAACAAGCGGAAGCUACUUCGUCGGGGUCGAACAUCCCUGGUGAGGCCAGCCGGGACGUCACUGAUCCCUCUCCUCGCCGUCCGAGAAGGGAUCCCACUCGACCGUCCAACCCGGAGGGAGUUGGGGCGGCCAAGUGCCAAUAGAAGAAGGCUCGGGAGCAGCGACUUCACCUGAAAAAGAAAAGCCACCACAAGGCUGAGCUACUAAGCUCAACAAGACUUAACCGGUCGGGGGCAAACUACUCCACCACUUCUAGACAUGCAAGGCUCUUUGGCUGAGGGGGGGUUUGUUUGCUAAAAGCACUAUGUAGAUCCUUAUAUUCAAGGUUUUAGCUCAGAUACUAAGUUCAUUAUCCGGUCUAAGUUAGCAACUUAAUCUAAGCAAACAUAGAACCAACCAAAGGGUAUAUAACAUCAUCAAGACCAUGUCAUCAUCAGAUUCCUUUAUUACUCAGUGUAGCAUAGCGAUCAAGUAGUCUCAAACUGUGAGAGGCAGACAAAUCGAUUCGAGUUCUUUAACCAUGCAUGGUGAACCUAACCUCACGACAUCCGCGUACCACCGAGGGUUGCUUCCUGUGUCGGCCUUCCCCAUCAAUUCCCUAACCCGUGUCGGGCCCAUUUCCUUUGGUGCAAUGUUCCACAGACCCGGCCUCUGCCGUUCUGUGACCACACUUGCCACCACGUGCGGCCGCAGGGGAACUCCGUUCCAAGGACAAUGGGGCAACCGCUCACGUCUAGGUUCAAUCCGGUACUCGGCUUCCUCAUCCCAUACUGAGUAUGAGGUUAGUACUUUCAAACACUUGAUCACGAACACCACCACUGUCGGGCCUUAACAAGUUUCAUAGACGGACGGGGCGAUCAGCCGACCACCAAAGAGUUAAGUAAAACCCUGCCCCGUCCAUCGUCCUUAUAGUUGUAACAGAAGAGAAACAACCGACUCCUACAACUCGCGAGUGACAGGAGAUCACUCGACUUUUACCGCUUCCUAUUUAAGCAUUGCCACUACUCGAAUCCAACAGACUAGUAUUCAGAUCAAGGGAUCUAAGUCAUGCAUCUAUGGCUGCAAACAACUCCUAUACGUAAAUGCACAAAUAUGCUGAAGAAGGCAUGCGCAAGUUUGGGAAACUGGGUUCAUGCUCCGGGCUUGCCUUCAAGUGAGGAGGAGGGGAACUGAUCUUCUGCUAGGGCGGCUUCGGCAUCUGGAAGCAGGAGCUCGGCUACAGCUUCGUCUUUUGGUGCCGGGUACAGCUCGUAGACGCCGUCGGCGAGAUGCAACUCUACACGAAUGCAAAUGCAAGGGGUUAGCACUUAGACGAUUAUUUCAACAGCAACACUUGCGAGUUUUGGCCUAGAAACUUUGUAGCAAGGCUACGGAAAAAGUGAGGAAGUUCACUUGAGUUGGAGGAGAGCAAGGUAAAAGGGUCGAAUGGAAAGAAACUUAUGAUCUGACCCUUAGGCUAGAGGAAUAGCUGUGCUGGGAGUCCUCAGACUUAACGCAGAGAAGUCCCCAAUUUUCACACAUAUACCCUUGGGUCAAGGAAAAGGAUACCGCCGAGCCCUCGGGCGAGGCGGAGAAAGGGUCGGCGAAACAAACAGGGUCGGGCAAGACGGAGAAAGGGGUCGGUCGAACGGAUAGGGUCGGGCAAGACGGAAAAGGGGUCGGGCGAACAGAUAGGGUCGGACGAGGCGGAAAAAGGGGUCGGGUGGACAGACAGGGUCGAACGAGGCGGAAAAGGGUCGGACGAACAGAAGGGGUCGGACGAGGCAGAAAAGGGUCAGACGAACAAAAGGGGUCGGACGAGGCGGAAAAGGGUUGACAGCUUACCUUCGGUUCACAGGUGAAGCUUGGGGUCGGGAAGGAGCAGACUUGGGCGGAAGGAUGGAAGCACUAAGACUUGGGCAGGCGACGAUGUCCGGUGGUGCUCCGACGACGGCGGUGCUUCUUGUGGACUACAAGCAAGCUCUUGCGCAGCGCGGGGGAGCAAGCGGCUGGGCGGAUUGGGGAAAGCGGUGUUGAGCGGAGAGGAGAGCUCCUCAGGAACUUAGGCGGUAGCUCUUUGAGCAUGAAGCAGAGGAACGGCGGUAACGUAGCGAUGGCGAAGGGGACUCCGGUGGGACUCUGGCGUUCCCUUUUAUAGCUGCGCGGGAAGAGAGAGGGUUGGAGCAGCACGAAGACCGGGAAGAAGCGAUGGAGUGCGCUACCACGGCGGCGAUUGAGCAGCGGGGUGGCGGAGCAGGACUUCGGGGAUGACACCGUCGGCCAUUGGGCACCAGAGACAGGGCGGCGCAGGCGCGGUUUUGCCGGUGGUUGAGAUUUGGUGGAAGUGGGCGUCGUUGUGCGGCGGAUCUGAUGGAUGUCACCAGGGGAACGACGCUAGAAGCAAGGUUGCUCAGGUGAGAAGACAGGCGGGCUGCGGCUGCGCGGGCAAGCGCGAAACAGCGGUCUGUCAGGGCGCAGCUCUGACAAGGCGGGAAAGAAACUGUCGCGGCCGGGGUCGGGAUUGGCGACGGAGGAAUCGUCGCGUAGCGCAGUCUGGGGCGGCGCGACUGUGGAGGGGCGGCGGAAAAACCGGGAGGCCUCGGGCCUUGCAGCCGGGGGUCCGGCGAGGUGAUGAUGGGUGCGAGCCGCGAGGCGCUGCAGAAAGGGUAGCAGAGGGCUUCCGCUGCGAUUGGGGAAGGGGGCGCGGGAAUCCAUCCGGUCGCGGCCGGCGACGAGGCGGAGCGGCGGGGGUUGGAAGAGUUGAGCCACGCGGCGGAGAAGCUCUGAAGCAGGCAUGCCACUCGAGUGCGUCUGUCUCGGGAGAUCUGGGGGAAAGAUUUUUGCGGGUCCACCGGUCAGUCCUGGUUUGUCCUCUGCUCGAGAUUGAAAGGAGGCACUAUUGGGAAGACUUCGAAAGAUCCGGCGGUAUGUGUUGGGGUCGGUAGGGGUCGGAGCUUUGAACCAGCGGAAAGGGGUCGGAUUCUCAGGGGUCGGGAUCGGACUGGAGGUUGAGCACUUAAACUUGGGAAAGCUGAGAUAGGGGGAUUAGGGACUCGGAUUAAGAUUAACUCGAGAGAUUUGGGGUCGGUCGUCACACCGGGACCAUCGCAUCCUGCUCGAUCACCAUCUCCAUCUCCAUCAAAUCCUGGUGGUGCGAGCGACGCCAACCAAAACACCCCUUCCCAAUCACCGUUGCCAGGACUAAACUCUGGUGCGAGCAAGAAACCUGCAGCACCUCUCAAGAAGUCGCGACCACCACUUCCAAGCCAAGGCAGCCAAAGGCGAACCUGUUAAGAGAACAAUGAAGUCUGACCCAUUAAGAAGCUAGCAGGUGAUAUGACUCUUGAGAAAUUGAAGGAGGCAUCGCAAGCAUAGGUAAGGGAGUUCUUCGAAGCAUGAGCUGAACAAAGAAAAGCGAUGAUGAUGGAGCCAAAGUUAGUAGAUCCAGCGAAAUUAAAGUUUUUUAUUGGUAUGAAAAAAGAAGUAAAGAAGACUUUACUAUCGAACCAUGAUCGUUCGUUAGUUAAGUCUUAUUAGAAGAAUAAACAAGUAGAGUCAUCUUCCAAUCGUAUUGUCCCCCGGCUCGGGCAGCAAGCAGAUAAAGAUGCUCAAGCUAUAGCAGCUUUACCCUUAGAACAACAAAUCCAAGUCAUUAUGUUUAUGGAAGAUACAGGUUUGUCACUUGCUGAAGUUCUAGAAAAGAUUGUACCUAAAUGACCCUUUGAGGUAGACAAGCCUCUAGUAAGGCCUGAAUUGGUACGGAAGCUCUCUAUGAAGAUGUUGAAUUCCAUCAAUGGUACAUGGAGCAGUCGGCCAAGGAAAGGCUCAUGUUCGCUCUUCGUGUUAAACCGAUUGAUUUUUUUGGUGAAGGUGAGAAACUCCUGUGGUUGCAAUUCAAGGAUAUAUAUGAAGUGUACCAUUAGGAUGCCCUUGACGUCUCUCUCAUCAGCGCCUGGGUUCUGUAAGUGUGUGGUUACCAAGAUGUAAAUUUUGGCUCGGAUCAUUAUUUUGUGUGUGUGCAUCGCCCUACUAACUUUGUCUUUCAUUUUAUGUAGGAUACUAAUUCAGAGGUGCCACACAAAAUCUUACUUCAACAUUGGCUUCAUCGAUCCAUCGCUUGUUAACGAAGAUCAGAUACGGGAUCAACCAAAGCCUACAUUGGAUGUAAUAUACAAUUUCUUGGAGCAACAAAAUUACAAGCAAUACAUACUACUACCAUACAACUUUAAGUAAGUGUGGGUACCGUCUGUUUUUCAUUUUCCUUUUCCUUUUCCUUACCUAAUUAAUGUUAGUUAGUUCUAAUGUGAACAUUUAUGUGCGCAGUUUCCACUGGAUUCUCCUUGUAAUUAUGAUUGAUAAAAGCAACGUUAUCGUGUUCGAUUCCUUGAGGAAACCACCCAUGGAGUACAAAGACAUUCAAGACAUGGUAAACUUGUAAUAAUUCUGAACUUUUAUCUCUAUGCAAAAGUUUGUUUCCUAAAUUUUCACCUAACAUUGUAUCAUUUAUUAUUUUAAUUCGCAGCGCAUGGAAAUGGUUCCGUAAGACUUCUAGUGGUGAAUUCAAAGAAAAACUUACGCUUCGUUAUUUGCAGCAACGUCAUGAAGAAGCUGUUGCCGCGGGUCAGGAACCUCCUUUUGGUGAUUUUUAUGCUCCACCCUCAGUCCCGGGUGUUUCACGUCCACUUAGUACUACCGUUUCAGGCGGCACAAAUAAACCUAAGGAUGAGGCUGGGUCAGUGGAACCUUUGUCUUCACCGUCCAAGGAUGCUUAAAGUCCUCCUAGAUAAUAACCAGUUUCAGGCGGCACAAAUAAACCUAAGGAUGAGGCUGGGUCAGUGGAACCUUUGUCUUCACCGUCCAAGGAUGCUUAAAGUCCUCCUAGAUAAUAACCAGUGGAUGACUUGUUGUAUUGUAUCAUGUUGUUUGGAUCUUUAAUUUAAAUAUGUGUAUUUGGAUCUUCAUGUUGUUGUAUUGUACCAUGUUGUUUGGAUCUUUAAUCAAUUUUCACGCGUAAUUCAUUGUCAAGUGUAAUCCAUUUUCAUGCGUAAGAUGAUGCAGAUGGACCGGCAAUGGAUGUAUAAUGCAGACAAGCGGAGCAAGGUGUUUAUUGAUGGCUUGCAUUAUUUUCUCGAAGUGACCAAAGCGAACAAGCCAGAGAAUGGGUUCGUAUGUUGUCCAUGCUUCCAAUGCAAUAACAAGAAGGAGUAUUCAAAGGAUUCCUGGGGGACUAUUCAUAGCCACUUGUUUAAAUAUGGUUUCAUGCCUAACUAUUUGGUUUGGACCAAGCACGGUGAACUAGGGGUCGUAAUGGAAGAUGGCGAGGAGGAGGAGGAAGAUGACACCAUUCCGGACUGGGUUGCAGGCCAAGCUUUUGCAGGUACUACAAUGGGCGAGGCUGAUGAAGAUGAGUUUGCAGAAAAUGGCCCUACUGAUGACCUUGGUCAGGUGAUACCAGAUGCAUACAGAGAUUGCGAAACUGAGAAGGAAGCAGCAAACUUGCAGCGCAUGAUAGAUGAUCACCAAAAAUUGUUGUACCCAGGUUGCCAGCAGGGUCAUAAAAAACUAGGUACGACACUAGAAUUUGUGCAAUGGAAGGCAAAAAAUGGUGUGUCCGAUAAGGCAUUUCAGGGGAUGUUGAACAUUGUCAAGAAGAUUCUCCCCGAGAAUAAUGAAUUACCGUCCACAACAUAUGAAGCUAAACAGAUUAUUUGCCCUCUUGGAUUGGAUGUUUAGAAGAUACACGCAUGCCCUAAUGACUGUAUCCUCUAUUGUGGUGAUGAAUACGAGAAAUUGGAUGCUUGUCCCGUCUGCGAAGCGCUACGGUAUAAGAUCAGGCGAGAUGAUCCUGGUGAUGUCGAGGGGCAGUCUCCCAAGAAGAGAGUUCCCGCGAAGGUGAUAUGGUAUUUCCCUAUAAUACCACGCUUAAAGUGCUUGUUCAGGAACAAGGCUAAUGCUAAGUUGAUGCGAUGGCACAAAGAAGACCGUAAGGAAGAUGAGAUGCUGAGACACCCCGUAGAUGGGGCCUAGUGGAGAUCAAUUGAUAGAGCAUUCCCGGACUUUGAAAGUGAAGCAAGGAACAUAUGGUUUGGUUUAAGUAUUGAUGGAUUGAAUCCAUUCGAUGAGUUGAGUAGUGGCCAUAUUACUUGGCCUGUGACCCUAUGUAUAUUCAACCUUCCUCCUUGGCUGUGCAUGAAGCGGAAGUUCAUUAUGAUGCGGACGCUUAUCCAAGGCCCAAAACAACCCGGCAACGACAUUGACGUGUACUAAAGACCGUUGGUUGAUGACCUUUUACAGCUCUGGAAGGAAGAAGGUGUACGUGUGUGGGAUGAGGAUAGACAAGAGAUCUUUAAUCUACGAGCAUUGUUGUUCAUAACUAUCAAUGAUUGGCCUGCACUGAGUAACCUUUCAGGACAGACAAAUAAGGGAUAUCGGGCAUGCACCCACUGUUUAGACGACACAUACAGCAUGUAUUUGAAGCAUUGUAAGAAGGUUGUCUAUAUGGGUCAUCGUCGAUUUCUCCCUGCUCACCACCAGCUGAGAAAGAGCGGGAUGCAUUUCAAAGGGGCGCCAGACCAUCGUAAAAAACCUGCACACCGUAAUGGAAAGCGUGUCUUCGAGAUGAUGAAGGAUGUAAAUGUAGUCUUUGGAAAGGGUCUUGGUAGCCAACCUGUUCCGAACGACGAUAACGGACAUGCACCCAUGUGGAAGAAAAAGUCAAUAUUUUGGGAGCUACCUUAUUGGGAAAUCCUAGAGGUUCGCAACGCAAUAGAUGUGAUGCACCUGACGAAGAAUCUUUGCGUGAACGUGCUAGGCUUCAUGGGUGUUUAUGGGACCUCGAAAGAUACAUGGAAGCACGACAGGACCUGAAAGCCAUGGGGCAAUGAGAUGACCUACAUCUGGAAAAGAUAGAUAAUGGACAACACUACUUACGUCCUGCCAGUUACACUCUCAGCAAGGAAGAGAAGGAUAGCAUGUUUGAAUGCUUGAAUAGUAUGAAGGUCCCGUCUGGGUACUCCUCGAAUAUAAAGGGAAUAAUAAAUAUGAAAUAAAAGAAGUUUACAAAUCUCAAAGCCCAUGACUGCUACAUGUUGAUGACCCAGUUGUUUCCGGUUGCACUAAGGGGUGUUCUAUCAGAAAAUGUUCGGUUGCCGCUUGUAAAGCUAUGCGCGUUUCUCAAUGCGAUUUCGCAGAAGGCAAUCAAUCCAUCCAAGUUAUCAAAGCUACAGAACGAUGUGGUGCAAUGUCUUGUCAGUUUUGAGUUGUUAUUUCCAUCAUUCUUCUUCAAUAUUAUGACGCACUUACUGGUUCACCUAGUAAAAGAGAUUGGUAUUCUCGGACCUGUAUACCUGCACAAUAUGUGGCCUUUCGAGAGGUUCAUGGCAGUCCUAAAAAACUAUGUUCUUAAUUGUGCCCGUCCAGAAGGAAGCAUCGCCAAGGGAUAUGGAACAGAGGAGGUGAUCGAGUUUUGUGUUGAUUUUAUUGAUUCAAUUAACUCGAUUGGGGUUCCAACUUCACGGCACGAGGGGAGGCUCCGAGGAAUGGGCACCCUUGGAAGGAAAUCAAGUUUCAGCAAUGAUACUGAUUUGUUCGACAAGGCACACUACACUGUUCUACAAUAGUCAUCCUUUGUGUCUCCGUAUAUCGAGCAGCACAGGCAGAUGGUAGUUUCCAAAAAACCUGACCAAAUCCGAUGCUUAGCUUACCCGUCAUCACAUGAAAACUUUUCCCUCCUGGUUGCGCCAACAACUUAUGGGUAACUCUGAGAUUCACCCAUAGCUUGCCUGGUUAGCCAGGGGACCUGCUAGCACAAUCGUCAAAUUCCAAGGCUAUGAGAUAAAUGGUUAUACAUUUUACACGAGAGCCCAGGACCAGAAAAGUACGAACCAGAAUAGUGGUGUCCGCAUAGAUGCCAUGGAUAGAAAUAAUAGCAAGGAGUCGUAUUAUUGUUUCAUACAGGAGAUAUGGGAACUCGAAUACGGACCGCUGUACAUCACUCUAUUUCUUUGCAAUUGGGUGAAGCUAACUGCCGUAACCAAAGAUCAGUACGGAAUGACAAUAGUAGAUCUGAGCAAGACUGGAUACAGUGAUGACCCAUUCGUACUUGCCAAUGAUGUGCUCAGGCGUUCUAUGUGAAGGACAUGUGUAGCAAACCCAAGAGAAAUCCAGAAGAGACAUGGGAGCCAAAGUGUCACAUAGUUCUUCCAGGUAAAAGAAAAAUCGUGGGAGUCGAGGAUAAAACAGACCAAUCAGAUGAUUAUGAUCAGUUUGAUGGCAUGCCUCCAUUCGCCGUUGAAGUUGAUCCAAGCAUCCUUCUAUCCAAAGAAGAGGCUCCGUACUUACGCCGCGAUCAUGAUCAAGGAACUUUCGUGAAAAAGAAAUUUUACAAUGUUGUAUUGUAAUGCGCUAAAUUUACAUGACCUUUGUGUAGUAAUUGAUACAAUUUUUAAUUUACCCUAUGUAUGAUUUCAUGUGUUCUUAAAUUUGUUAGGUGAAGAUUUAUUAGAUAAACAUGAACAAUGUUAACCACAUACAUACAUGGAUUUUUUUGCGCAUUGAAAUUAUUUAAUUGAAUAAUUUCUUGAUCACAACGAUGCACUAAAAAAAUAUUUUAGAGGCUAAAUGAACUGGUAUAGAAUUAAUGACUAAAUCACACUUAUUGUCAAUUUACUCGCUAAUUAAAUAUAUUUUUGCAUGUACCAAAUAUGUGAAGGUUUUUGUUUUUCAUCCUCAAAUGCAGUGAAAACAUAAAAAAAAUCCAUUUCCAAAAAAUAGGCGGGAGAAGAAAACUGGGAAAAGGACCUUUUAUCCCGGGUGCCAACAGGAACCGGGACAAAAGACCCCCCUUUUAUCCCAGUUGCAAACUGCAACCAGGAUAAAAGGGUACUUUUCGACUCCCGCCGGGACGUACCCUUUUAUCCCGGUUGUAGUUUUCAACCGGGAUAAAAGGCCCCCCCUUUUAUCCCAGUUUGUGGUGGCACCUGGGAUAAAAGUGUAGGCUCCCAGCCCCACCUGGCGGACGCACCCUUUUGUCCCGGGUCCCGUCACCAACCGGGAUAAAAGGGCCGGGACAAAAGGGAAUUUAGUCCCGGGUGCCAUUACGAAUAGGGAUAAAAGGGGGGGGGGUUAAAAGGCACUGUAGCCCCUUCUACCCCCCACGCGAGUUACACUUAGCCAAAUUUUUGCCAAGAUCCCGCGCGCUCUGCUCCAUCGCCGCACGUCCGCCUCCCUCGCCAGCUGCCGUCGUCGUCGUCUCCCAUUGCCCCGGCCGUCGUCGUCCCGCAGCCCGACCGCGCCCAGACACCCUUGUGGCGGAACCGCCCAAAUUAACCUGACUAAAAUGCAUUGAAGUCGCCUGACACGCGAUUAUGCACUUUAAGCAAGUCAACUUGGUCGACCGUCGGAUUUCCUCCGAUGAACCACAUAACAGGAUCGAGAAGCAUUGCUCACGCGAAGGUGAGUAGCACAGAGGUUACAACAUUCCAUCAUGACAACAUAGUUCCACAUUUUAUUACAUCAGAGUUUUCAAAAUUUAGACCGAAAUUUGCAAGGUUCAAAGUCAAAUAAAACUAGCGGAAGCUAAACGUCGACACAUGACAUCAUGACGGAGCCGAUCAUGACAUCAAAAAUUCCUUCCUUCGCCAUCCGAGGAAGGAUCCCACUCGACGGUCCAGCCUGGGGGAAGCUGGGUCGGCCAAGUGGUACCCGCAACCAAACUAUUGACAUUACCUGAAAAAGGUUAGCCACAACAAGGCUGAGCAACUAGUACUCAGCAAGAUUGACCCGUCGGAAAGACAUGACUGAGACCUAGACAUGCAAGGCUUUCUGGCUUUGGGGUUUUCUUGCCAAAAGCGUCUAAAGUCAGUCCUUACUUUCAACAUUUUAGCUCAUGUUCUAUGUUCUUUAUCCAUUCUAGAUUAGCAACUUAUACUAAACAAACAUGGUUUCCAAGCAAUUACUUAACAGACAUCAAGAUUAAAAUCAUCAUCAUGUUCCAUCUUUACUCAGUGCAGAAUAGUCAUCAAGUAGUCCCAAUCUGUGAGAGGCAGACGAAUCGAUUCGAAUUUUAUUAACCAUGCAUGGCAAACCUAAUCUCACGACAUCCGCGCACCACGAAGGGUCGCUUCAUUUGUCAGCUGUCCCCAUCGAUCCCUUAGGCACGUGUCAGGGCCAACUUCCUUUGGCAUGCAAUGCUCCACAGUCCCGGCCUAUUGCUGCACUGUGACCGCACUUGCACCCACAUGAUGCACCAUGGGAACGACGUUCCAAGGAUAGCCGGAAGGUAUGCCACGCCCCAGUUCAAUCAGGUACUAGGCUUCCCCAUCCCAUACUAGGUAUGAGAUUAGUACUUUCAAACACUUGAUCACGAACGCCGACACGUUUCGACCUUAGUUCAUUUUCAUAUAGACAGACGGGGCAAUCCACCAAGAAUCGAACACAAGCCUGACCCUGUCCGUCAUCCUUAUAGUUGCGACAAAAAUGAAACAUUCAAAUCCUAUAACUCGCGAGUGACAGGAAAUCACUCAACUUUUACCGAAACCUAUUAAGCAUUGCACUACUCGACCUUAGCAACUAGUAUUCAGACAAGGUACUAAGUUUAUGCAUCUAAGGUUUCAUUACAACUCCUCGAAACGUAAAUGCGAAAUCAAGUAAUCAAUAAUAUUGCAUGAACUCAACAUAGGAAUUUAUGCUCUGGGGCUUGCCUUCAGAAAAAGCUUGCGGGUCCUCGGGGUCUUGCUCCGGUUUGGGCUCUCCUUCGCAGGGAUGCAGUUCCUCGGCGGGGUCUUCUUCCGGUGCUGGAUGAAGCUCGUACAUUCCGUCGGGGAGAUUCAACUCUACACGGAAAUGCAAUGCAGGGGUUAAACAUUUUAGAUGGUUAUUUCAACACACUCAUGUUUUAACACGGACACUUGUAGCAAUGCUACAGGAAAGGUGGGGGAAGUUCAACUUCUGUUGGUGGAGAGCAAGAUGAGAGGGUCGGAUUGGGCAAAACUUAGGGUCUGACCCUCAAGUUUAAGGAAAACCGUACCGAGGUCCUCAGACUCAACACAGAGGAAAACCCGAAAAGAUUUCACCGAUACCCUCGGGUCAAAGAAAAAGUUACAACCGAGCCCUCGGGCAAGGCAGAGAAGGGUCGGCGAAACUUGGCAGGGUCGGGCGAGGCGAACGGGAAAAGGUCGGGCGAGAUGAAAAGAAAAAGGGGUCGGGCGAACCGAAACAAAGGGGUCGGGCGAAACGAAAAAGGACAGGGGUCGGGCGAAACGAAAAAGGACAGGGGUCGGGCGAAAUGAAAAGGAUAGGGAGGUUAAGUAGCUUACCUCCAGGUCUACCGGUGAAGCCUUGGGACCGAGCAGGAGUAGGCUAGGGCGGGAAGUUGUACACGCUAACGCUUGGGCAGCGGUGAGACUUCGACGGUGGUCCGGCGGCGGCGGUGCUUCUUGCAGACACCAGCAAGCUCGAGUACCGCGUGGAGGAGCGGGCAGCUGGUGUGUUGGGAGAAACAGCUUGAGGGUGGCGGCGAAGUCGCCGGAGUGUGGGGUGGCGCAAGAGGUGAGCUCCACGGAAGCUCAGCGGCAGCGCGGGGAGAAAGCGGCGACGCGGUGCGGGCGGUGGCAAGGGGUGGCAUUGCCGGUGAGGGGGUUCCCUUUUAUAGGGCCGGGGUGGCGCGGAGGGUCGAGGCGGGGCUCCGGUAGGGAAAGGAUAAGGCCGGGAGCAGCGAGUGCUCGGGCGAGGCGGCCAUUGGCCGACGACGCCAUUGGGCAGAGGAGGCGGAGCUUCAGGUGGUCUUCGGCGGCGAUUGGCCUUGGGCGGCGCGCGUCUGGGGCUUCCGGUCUGUCGGGCGGGCGAGGCGGAAAGGCUGCCGUGGGGGUUGGGCGAGCGGGCGGAGGCGCGGGACGUCGGGGGCGUCUCAGCUUUCUCGGCGAACGGGCAUAACAGGGUUGGCGGAGCAGAGCCGUGGCAGGCGGAAGGCGACCUGCGCGCGGCCGGUGAUUGGCUAGCCCUUCGCUCGCUCCGUCCUGUCGCGGGCGCGGGUUGGGCGCCGUGGCUCUCGUCCUGUCGCUGUCGCACUGGUGAUAGGGCGCCAGCGAGCUGCCGGUGGCCGGCGGCCACGCGGCGCGCGGCGCGCCAGCGAGCUGCCGGUGGCCGGCGGCCACGCGGCGCGCGGCGCGCGAGCGAACAUGCUCGGGCGCGCGGGCAUUGAGGCUCCCUUCGGGUAGCAAGCCCGACCAGCUUUGGAGCGAUCCUUCUCCGAAUCUUUCAACACAACUCCCGAAACUCCCUUAAACAAACUUGUUCAACUCUGGUCGUUCUUCAAACUUUGUUUAUGGUGUUGGUUUAGAGUGUGAAGGGAUUCAAAGAUAUUUUAUGCCAAAGUUAGCCAAAAAUCUGGAAUCCCAGACUUAGGAUUUAAGGCAUCCGGGGUGAGUUGACUGGUUUACCUCACUUUGACCGGGAUUUUGAACAAGUUCGGGUCCGAUUUGGAUCUGGGUCAGUGUAACAAAGUUGGAACACUCUUGAGGUACUACAACUUCUAUUAAGGCUCUGACUCGCAUUUAGAUAGGAAAACGGGAGAUGAAAGCUUGCAAAGAUGGAGGAAAACUCGAAUUCCAGGGCUUAAGAGAUUUUCAGGGUCCUUUAGGAAAGCCGGCUUUGGUUGCUGUUUUUGACUUCCUUUCACUCCGAAAUGGUCAAAGUGCCUUUAACAAAAGUUGUUGGAAUUUCAAAGUUUUACAACUCUUAUUUGGGCAGAAACUUAAGUUUGUAUAUAGAAUUUCAAGCUUUAAAUCAAACUCCAAAAAGCUUCUUAGGUUUUAUAAAGGUCAUUUUACUUCUUAAAUUAAGGAUUUAUCACUGGUUUAUAGUUAAAAGCACUUAAUUUAGGUAGAGUUGUUACAGCCUACCCCCCUUAGAGGAAUCUUGCCCCGAGAUUCAAGUGCAGAAAGAACUAGUGUGGCUAGUGCAACGUACCUCCUUGACCGAAAAGAAAACCGUAGAAGUUAGCGUUGAGAUAUUCUUCCGUCUCCCAUGUCGCUUCGUCUUCCGUAUGGUGACUCCACUGAAUUUUGUACAUCUUGACCAUUUGCCGACGAGUGUGUCUUUCCUUCCGGUCGAGGAUCUUAACUGGAUACUCCUUAUACGAUAAAUCGGGUUCAAUCUCCAAUUCUUCCGGGGUAAUGAUCUCAGUUGGAAUCCUGAUGCACUUCUUGAGUUGCGAGACAUGGAAAACAUCGUGUAUCGCUGCAAUCUUCUCUGAAAGUUUUACUCGGUACGCUACGGGUCCACACGCCUCUACGAUCUCAUAGGGACCAAUAUAGCGCGGAGCUAACUUUCCCUUUACUCCAAAAUGUUGUACGCCUUUGGUCGGUGAAACCCGUAGGUAUACAAAAUCUCCAACCUUAAAUUGGAUGGGUCUUCUUCUUUGAUCGGAAUAGCUCUUCUGUCGAGAUUGGGCGGCCUUGAGAUUUUCGCGGAUGACUCUCACUUUUUCUUCGGCCUCUAUGACCAGGUCAGGUCCAUACACCGUUCUCUCUCCGGGUUGUGACCAGCUCAGUGGGGUUUGGCAUCUACGUCCAUACAAGGCCUCGAAAGGUGCCAUUUUCAGGCUAGCUUGGUAACUAUUGUUGUAGGAGAAUUCCGCUAAUGGCAAACACUUAUCCCAGUUCUUGUCAUAAUGAAUAGCACAGGCACGCAACAUAUCUUCCAAAAUCUGAUUAACCCUUUCUAUUUGCCCAUCGGUCUGAGGGUGAUAUGUGGAACUGCGGAUCAAUUUAGUGCCAAGUGAAAACUGCAACUGCUCCCAAAAGCGUGCUACAAACUGACUACCUCGAUCAGAGAUGAUCGUUUUAGGUACACCAUGCAAGGAAACAAUCCGAUCAAGGUACAGUUCUGCAUAUUUCUGUAUGGUGUGGGUGGUGUGUACUGGAAGGAAAUGUGCCGUUUUGGUUAGUCGGACUACUAUAACCCAUAUGGAGUCAUGCUUGCGGGAGGUAUUGGGUAGUCCGACUAUAAAGUCCAUGCUUAUGUCUUCCCAUUUCCAUGAGGGAAUAGGCAGCAGCUGCAAGGGGCUAGCUACCCUCAAGUGGCUUGCCUUAACUCGCUGACAGGUAUCACACUCAAAAACAUAUCGAGCAAUGUCGGGUUUCAUCCCACUCCACCAGAAAUUUUGUCGGAGGUCGUGAUACAUCUUGGUACUGCCGGGGUGAAUCAAGAACUUGGACAGGUGUGCUUCGUCCAGAAUUUGUUUCUUAAGCUCGGGAUCAUUUGGAACUACAAGUCGAGUUUCAUAAAGUACCACUCCUUUCCAAUCCUGUCGGAAACGUUUAUAUCCUUCGUCCUCCUGUGCAAGUUUCGCUUUGAUAAGGUUUAUCUCUUUGUCCUCUAGCUGUGUUAGAAUUAUUUGGUCAAGCAGGGUGGGCUCCAGAGAAAUAUGACUUAAGGGGCCGUGUGGAACAAUUUCCAAGUUGAGUUUAGCCAUUUCGCGACACAGGGUCUCGGCAUAAUUAACUGCCGAUAAGCAGUUACAAUGGACCUUGCGGCUGAGUGCAUCUGCAACUACGUUGGCUUUUCCUGGGUGAUAAUGCACUUCUAGGUCAUAAUCCUUGAUUAAUUCUAACCAUCUCCGCUGGCGCAUAUUGAGGUCUGCUUGAGUGAAAAUAUACUUAAGACUCUUGUGAUCUGUAUAGAUGUUGCAUCGGGUUCCCAUGAGAUAAUGCCUCCACAUUUUCAGAGCAUGAACGAUUGCCGCUAACUCAAGAUCAUGAGUAGGGUAGUUCAACUCAUGUGGCCAUAACGCUCGCGAGGCAUAGGCAAUGACUCGGCUGUCUUGCAUAAGAACACAACCAAGUCCAGUGCCAGAGGCAUUGCAAUACACAUCAAAUGGCCUAGUGGUGUCGAGCUGAGCUAAAACUGGCGCAGAAGUCAAUAAUUGCCUCAAGGUGUGGAAAGCUUCUUCACAUUUGUCACUCCACACAAACUUACUCCCUUUCCUCAGCAGUUCCGUCAUUGGCUUAGCUAUUUUUGAGAAGUCAGGGAUGAAGCGACGGUAGUAACCGGUUAAACCAAGAAAACUUCGAAUCUGAUGAACUGAAGUGGGCGGCUUCCAGUCCAUUACUUCUUGCACCUUGCUUGGGUCUACUGCUAUACCGUCUCUGGAUAUGGUGUGUCCUAAGAAUUUAACACUGUCCAGCCAAAAGUCACACUUAGAGAACUUGGUAUAGAGUUAGUGGUCUCUUAAGCGUUGGAGUACAGUAUGUAGGUGCUCUGCAUGUUCUUGUUCAUUCUUCGAGUACACUAAGAUGUCGUUAAUGAAUACCACGACGAAUUUGUUGAGUUCGGGCAUAAACACCGAAUUCAUGAGGUACAUGAAAUAAGCCGGUGCAUUAGUAAGCCCAAACGACAUGACUAAGUACUUGUUGAGAUUAUGUAGGUACCUUUGGUGUGACAGAAAUCUAACCCACACUUAGCACUGAUUCUAGUCCCAAUGAAACUAUGAGAUGCUCCUGAAUCAAACAGAAUAAGGAUGGGUUGAUCACAGAUAGAAAAGGUACCCGUCAUCACUGGUGCACCCUCUGGAAGUUCAACAAGGGUGGUGAAGUUCAGCCUGCCUUGUCGGACCUGCACCUUUGGCUUCUUCCCCUUAUUGUCCAGUGUAUUGCUUUGACCGGGUCAUUAAUUCUGGUUGCGAGGGCAGUCCUUGGCGAAGUGUCCUAAGUUCCCGCAAGUGAAACAGCAGUUUCCAGUGACCGGGCGCAGUGGCAUCGGGAGAGCAGGGCGGGGCCCUUGCGGCUGGAAACCGGGGAAACGAGGUGCUGCCUGCGGUGGAGGUCGAGCAACCCAUCUCCCAGGCUGUGCAGGCCUGCGAGGUGCUUGUGGGGGAACCAUUCUGUACUUCUGGGCAGGCGGGCUGGGUGCCGGCAUUGGGGCCUUUCUCUUCAUGUCGGCCUUGAGAGCCUUCAUGCAAUCUUCCUGGGAAAUUUCCAGGUUCACCAGUUCAUUGUAGGAACCCACUUUGAUGGGGUUCAGCCUUUCCUUGAGCUCCAAACUCAAGCCUCUACGGAAGCGGUCCCUCUUCUUUUCAUCGGAGUCCGCAUGAUAGCCUGCAUAGUGACACAGGUCGUUGAAAGCCUGCGCAUAGUGCAGGACAUCGCGGCCUCCCUGGGUGAGAGCCAAGAACUCAUUGAGCUUGCGCUCCAGAAUACCCUCAGGGAUGUGAUGGCCCCUGAACACCGUCUUGAAUUCCUCCCAGCCGACGACGUGGUCCGCCGGCUGCAUGGCGUGGUAGUGUUCCCACCAUAGGAGAGCAGAACCACGCAACUGCUGCGCGGUGAACCGAACCUUGUUCUCAUCCGGGCAACAUGCGGUGAGAAGGGAGAACUUGGACUCGAUAGCGCAAAUCCAGGCAUCGGCGUCAAGUGGGUCCUCCGUCUUGUGAAACAGAGGAGGCUGGGUCCCUAGAAAAUCCUCAUAGCGAGCAACAUGUGGCUGAUGAUGGGCCCUUCCUCCUUGGGGCUGCUGCUGCUGCCCCUGAGCGAUGUGCCUCAACAACUCGGUCUGGGCUGCCAAGAUCGACUCGAGGGUGGUCGGAGGCGGAGGUGGGGGAGGCACCUCGCUGCCACUGGGAACGGAGCCGGAGCGUGUGCGAUGCGCCAUCUGCAAGAUUCACCUUUCCAUCAUUUCCAUAACCUCAGAAGUAUUCCAAAUAAUGUGGGAAUGUAUGUGUUAAUUCCGCAAAUGCAACUUUUGCAACCCAACACAUAUCCUUAUUAAGGAGGUGCACAAAUCUUAGCUAGCAACUAGCCCAUUCCUGCAGCGUCAUUUUAUCCUUGUUACCGAUCGGAAAGGUAUUUUGAUCCACGUUUUGUAGGGUCCACAAGAUCCGGUUUCUCCUCGGUUGGUCUGCACACACCCUUGGGCGAGCCAAAACCUUAUCCCCGGGGUUCCACUAAUUCCGACCUCUGGUACCGGGGCCGGGCGAAACGGAGCUUCUCAACACGGGGUCGGACGAGGCGGAGACCUUUCAACAUGGGGUCGGAUGGGGCGGAGACCGUCCGCGAGGGGUCGGGCGCGUCCGACCUCGCGACUCGGGGUCGGUCAGCUUUGGACAGGCCCACAGGAGACGGGUGUGUGGUCACAGCACUAAAACCCACACAACUUGGCAUCCACGGCGUGUCGCAAGGGUCAGAAGUAGGAACUGCUUUCACCAAGAUCAUUUCAUUGCUGGUCUUAAAAUACAGGAGGAGUACUCAACUCAAGGCUAACCUAUUACAUCAUUGGCCAAAAAUAUAGGUCGCCGAGGAGUACAAUCAAAAACAAAAUAGAACCGCUCAACCUAGUUUGCCAUAACUAGAAGUCGUCGAGGUUGCCCACGGAGGCAAAGCUAAGGACCGGAGAGUGAGCAUCAUCAACUGGAGGCUGCGGUUAAGCAUUCUCAUAGUCCAUGCUCAAAAAGCCUUCGAUCUCCUCAGGCUCCUCCUCCUGGGCCAUUUGCUCAUCCAGCUGCACCUCUAAGGCGUGGAUGGCAUUAAGCUCAUCGUGAUGCUCCUGCAAGUGCUCAUUGGCAUUCGCCAGCUCCAUGUUCACAUCAUAGAACUGGACAGCCAAGAUCUCCAUAUCGUGCUCCAUAUCCACAAUCUCUUCCUCCAAACGAGUAAUCUUGUCCUGCAUCUCAGCAAUCUGAACAUCCUUCUGUACCAGCUCGAGCGACUGGUCCACCAUUCCACUCUGCACGGUAGUCAAGGCAACCUGGUUGGCCACUGCCAUCCCAAUCACCGUAGCCAUCGCUCGGCUCUGCAGCUCAACCAUCCUGUAGAACACAUUCAGGCAACGAGCUGAAACAAAAAUCGUGCGCUGAGGAUCCAUAAGCCCGAGCAAGUCCAUAUGCUCCAUACGAUCCAACCAGUCCGGGUCCCUCGUAUCCCGGGCAGGGAACAACCCAAUCGGGUCUAGCACGAUCUCAAGAGGGUGUGCCCGGCAGAACUGGGUCAAGGUCUGCAAGGCUGCGAACUCCCAAGCGUCGUGGAGCGUGUGUCCCUCAGCCACUACCUCCAACAGUGGCCACUGUGGCUGAUCCGGAGGCGGGGGUACCCGCACGUGUACUCGGCUCCGCGGAAUCCCGUGGUCCUGGUACGCACGGCCCGCAUAAACCGGCGGCGACUGGUACCUGAAAGAGCGCAGAGUGUCCCACAACACAGCUGGAAAACCCUCGUAGUGAAGGCACCGUGAGUAGGUGGUGCCCUCCGUACCGACUGCAACGUGCACAGGCUGCGCCAUCUGUAACCAAGGGUCACGUGAGAAAUGGAGCUAACACUUGGAAAUCAAACAGAUUUCUGGCAGUUAGAGAAAAGCUCAUAACUCAGCAAGUAUUCCUCCAAAACUUCUCAAAUUUUACCAGCAUGUUCUUUAGAUAGUGGGUAACAAGUUUGGUAUUCAAAGGUAGGGCUAGAACAGAACCUAACAAGGUGAUAAUCUCGGAUUCCCAUUAAGUAUACCUGCUGGAACUCUUCAGACCGAGUCAAGAUAAACUGAAUACAUCUUCCAAACCAGAGACUUAACAAAACCAAAACUCUACCAGUAAGUCCUUCACUAAGUCCUGAAAAACUUUGCUUAAAGGACUCCUCACAGAAAAGUCCCUUAAGGUGGUCGAAACAGCAGAAACUCCGCUGGUGUGCACUUUGGGCUAACAGCCAACAGGGGGUCACCAAACUGAUCGCAACUCUCAACCCAAAUGGUAGUACCUUGUGGCAGUUUUACUUGGGAGUUUUAACACAACUUUCUUAUACAAACCUUCUGGAGUUAGCAUGGCGGAAAAAGGACAGCUAGACAAUCCAUAACGCGGUGCAUUACUUUUUACGACGUACUCGAGUUGGGUUUUAUUUCUGAAUGCAUGCACGUCCUAGUCGUCCUCUCAACCAAAAAUAAUUGCCAAAACCUUUGGACUUACGUGGUUAGUGCCGGUGGCAAGGCAACAAUACGGCUCUCACUAUAAUAACUAGUCGAGUUACUAGGCAUCGUUUCGAACGCAACGCUUGUUAGUGUACCUGCAGGAAAAACACAACACAGCUUGAACCUUCCGUGCCAGCACUCACAAAAGCGUCCACAAUCAUUACCGUUCACUAUAGAAACGGCACCCAUGCAUUUAACGCUGCAUGGACAGCGCAACAACCGUGGAAAUAGGUUCCUUUGAAUAGAAUCCUAUAACCCUUCGCAUUCUCGUGAUGCGGAAUCAUGCACACGUGUAACAAACGUGGGCGAACAACCGUGACGAUAGGCUCGUUGGAAUCGAACCAUACCAUCCUUCGCAUGUAUUAACACACGGAACCUGCGCACGUAUAAUAGACGUGGGUGAAACAACCGUGAUGAUAGGCUCGUUGGAAUCGAAUUCCCAUCACCCUUCGCAUACUCGCGAUGCGGAUUUCGGCACACGUAUGAUAGACGUGGCAAAAAGUGCUGGAAGUUAGAAAAUAACCAAUAACUAUUAGCCACCUUAAAAACAACCCCAAAAUCCCCUAGGGCUCCUCGAACUAAACUCAUCCUUAGCGAACUUACGAACUUCUCGAUUUUACUUCUUGCAAAUUUUAGUUAGAAAAAGAGUUUUAAGGUUUGUUGUUCUCCGUGCUGUGCUUCGAGCUCUGAUGCCAGCUGUGGCGGAACCGCCCAAAUUAACCUGACUAAAAUGCAUUGAAGUCACCUGACACGCGAUUAUGCACUUUAAGCAAGUCAACUUGGUCGACCAUCGGAUUUCCUCCGAUGAACCACAUAACAGGAUCGAGAAGCAUUGCUCACGCGAAGGUGAGUAGCACAGAGGUUACAACAUUCCAUCAUGACAACAUAGUUCCACAUUUUAUUACAUCAGAGUUUUCGAAAUUUAGACCGAAAUUUGCAAGGUUCGAAGUCAAAUAAAACUAGCGGAAGCUAAAUGUCGACACAUGACAUCAUGACAGAGCCGAUCAUGACAUCAAAAAUUCCUUCCUUCGCCAUCCGAGGAAGGAUCCCACUCGACGGUCCAGCCUGGGGGAAGCUGGGUCGGCCAAGUGGUACCCGCAACCAAACUAUUGAUAUUACCUGAAAAAGAUUAGCCACAACAAGGCUGAGCAACAAGUACUCAGCAAGACUGACCCGUCGGAAAGACAUGACCGAGACCUAGACAUGCAAGGCUUUCUGGCUCUGGGGUUUUCUUGCCAAAAGCGUCUAAAGUCAGUCCUUACUUUCAACAUUUUAGCUCAUGUUCUAUGUUCUUUAUCCAUUCUAGAUUAGCAACUUAUACUAAACAAACAUGGUUUCCAAGCAAUUACUUAACAGACAUCAAGAUUAAAAUCAUCAUCAUGUUCCAUCUUUACUCAGUGCAGAAUAGUCAUCAAGUAGUCCCAAUCUGUGAGAGGCAGACGAAUUGAUUCGAAUUUUAUUAACCAUGCAUGGCAAACCUAAUCUCACGACAUCCGCGCACCAGGAAGGGUCGCUUCAUUUGUCAGCCAUCCCCAUCAAUCCCUAAGGCACGUGUCAGGGCCAACUUCCUUUGGCAUGCAAAUCCAUAGUCCCGGCCUAUUGCUGCACUGUGACCGCACUUGCACCCACAUGAUGCACCAUGGGAAUGACGUUCCAAGGACAGCCAGAAGAUAUGCCACGCCCCAGUUCAAUCAGGUACUAGGCUUCCCCAUCCCAUACUAGGUAUGAGAUUAGUACUUUCAAACACUUGAUCACGAACGCCGACAUGUUUCGACCUUAGUUCAUUUUCAUAUAGACAGACGGGGCAAUCCACCAAGUAUCGAACACAAGCCUGACCCUGUCCGUCAUCCUUAUAGUUGCGACAAAACUGAAACAUUCAACUCCUAUAACUCGCGAGUGACAGGAAAUCACUCGACUUUUACCGAAACCUAUUAAGCAUUGCACUACUCGACCUUAGCAACUAGUAUUCAGACAAGGUACUAAGUUUAUGCAUCUAAGGUUUCAUUACAACUCCUCGAAACGUAAAUGCGAAAUCAAGUAAUCAAUAAUAUUGCAUGAACUCAACAUAGGAAUUUAUGCUCCGGGGCUUGCCUUCAGAAAAAGCUUGCGGGUCCUCGGGGUCUUGCUCCGGUUUGGGCUCUCCUUCGCAGGGAUGCAGUUCCUCGGUGGGGUCUUCUUCCGGUGCUGGAUGAAGCUCGUACAUUCCGUCGGGGAGAUUCAACUCUACACGGAAAUGCAAUGCAGGGGUUAAACAUUUUAGAUGGUUAUUUCAACACACUCAUGUUUUAACACGGACACUUGUAGCAAUGCUACAGGAAAGGUGGGGGAAGUUCAACUUCUGUUGGUGGAGAGCAAGAUGAGUGGGUCGGAUUGGGGAAAACUUAGGGUCUGACCCUCAGGUUUAAGGAAAACCGUACCGAGGUCAUUAGACUCAACACAGAGGAAAACCCGAAAAGAUUUCACCGAUACCCUCGGGUCAAAGAAAAAGUUACAAUCGAGCCCUCGGGCGAGGCAGAGAAGGCUACCGUGGGAUGUUGGAUGCCCACUACAUUAAGAAGGGCCGAACUCCAGACUUCAAUGCGUGGCCAAAGUUGAGGGACCACUGGGAGGCAUUUGUUGAAUAUAAGACGAGUGAAGACGGUGUGAAAAAGAUCAUGACCAACACUACAAAUGCUAGUUAGAAGGGCUACCAUCAUCAUCUGGGGUGAGGUGGUUAUGGCUCAGCAAUUCCCAAGUGGAGGAAGAUGGAACAAGAUCUGAUCGAACGGGGAAUCAUACCUGCAACUAUUGAAUGGCCCGAACGAUCAAAAAAUUGGUACUACGCUCAUGGAGGCUCCUUGAGCCAAGAGGAUGGGACGUUGAUUUUCAAUGACACAAUACGUGAGAAGGCCGAACAUCUUGUGAAGAACAUUGAAGAUUCUAAGUCUGGGAGGUUGAAGGUGGACCAAGAAAAUUAUGAGCUCACAUUAUCCCUCGGUAAUCCCGAGCACCCAGGACAUUGCCGAGGGUUCGGGGUCAUUCCGUGGAAGUUUGCUUUCCGAGGUGACAACGCAUCAUACAGAAGCCGGAAGCGAAGACAGGAACAGAUCGAGGAGAGCUGACGGUAGAUGCUAGAAUCCAAAGUGCAGGCACAAGAACAAAGAAUGAUGGAGGAAAUCAAUCGUCGAGUGGCCCACGUAGUUGCGGAGUUGGCCCAAUCUGGAGCAUUGCCGAAUCCUAACAACGUCAGCCCUUCUCAACGCCUCUUGAGCAGUUGUGCUUCUACAGGGGUCCCUGAUGCGCAGACGCCAAGGUUACCCGUGGAGGAGCAAUGGUUCCCCGUGGAUGUCAUCACGCAACGCACCACAUGUGAGCUGUAUGCAUCGGUCGGCAACCUCACUAUUAAGGUAUACUUAAUAUUUAUGCAAUCUUGUGAAUUGAUCCACACCUCGUGAUCGGAGUUUAACUUGUUUACUUCUGCUAUAUGUACAGGUAGCGUACGGGAGUGCGUUAGCAACCCUGGCGGGGCAGAGUAGUCAUGGCAUGGAGAUUCCACCUGGCUAUGCCAGCGUCCGCGUAGAGCAAAUAGUUGAUAGCCAAUAUGAAGGUCUAGAGCUCGACCUCCCAGGAGGCGACGGGGAAAAGACACUAGCAGAUGCGCUUCAUGGGAUCAUUCUAUGGUGAAAAUGCUACAUCAUUAUUCCUAGCACGGAGCCAUCUCCUCAGAGCUCAAGACCGCUCCCUGUAGAUCCCCAGCAGCGACCUUCUCCUCAUAGCUUGAGACCGUCAUCUCCUGCACAACCUGCUCCAAGACCGUCCCUUCCAUCUAUAUCAAGGUCUCCAUCUCCACCACAUCCUGGUGGUGGGAGCGACGACGACAAUAACAACACCCCUCCCCGAUCACCGUCGCCGGCACCAAGAGUGGCCCCCAUGAAGGAACCUGCACCACCACUAAAGAAGUCACGAGCACCGCCUCCCAAGCAAAGAAAGAGAAAGAAGAAAACAAAGGAGCCUGAAGUGACUCGUAAGGAACACUGGGAGGCAAUGUCUCAUGCGGAACAGUGGGCAAAAAUCCAACGAGAGGCCAGUGAGUGGUUCAAGAAACAAGCUGAAGAAAAAAAACGCAAGGGAGAUGGAGCCACCACUAGUAAAUCGAAGAGAUUUAAAUUUUUUUAUCAGGAUGGAAGAAGGAGCCAAGAAAAGGAUACCACUCUUAUCAAACUAUGAACGGGCUUUAGUAAAGGCUGAUAAGAAGGAUAAAAGGAAAGGAAAGUCAUCUUCCAGUGGUGCUGUCCCCGACCUCAGCCAUUUAUCAAAGACGCUCAAAGGGUAAAAGCAAUGCCCUUGGAUCAACAAGCAGAAGUAUUGAAGUUCAUGCAAGAAACAGGUCUGGGACUUGAUGAAUGCUUAGGGCAAGUUGAGACGCCAACUGCACCGCCCCCUGAGCAGAGAUGACCUUAUGAGCUAGGCAAACCUCUAGUAAAGCCUUCAUUGGUACAGAAGCUAUCAACAAAGAUGUACGCAUUCCAUCAAUGGUACAUGAUGGCAUCCGCCGACUCGAGGGAGAUGCUCGGCCUGAAGGUAAAACCGAUAGAUUUUUACGACGAAGGCGAGAAAGUGCUGUGGCUAGACUUCAAGGAUAUAUACGAAGUGUACCAUCAUGAUGCCCUAGACGUCUCUCUGAUCAGCACUUGGGUUUUGUAAUUGUCUGUUUAUCUCUACAUGUUAAUUUUGGCAUGCGUCAUUGUACUAACUUUGUCUUCCAUUUCAUGUAGGAUGCUAAUUUAGACAUGCCACCGAGAGGCGUACCUACAUGUAGGCUUCAUGGAUCCAUCUGUAGUUAACCAACAACAGAUACAAUUAGCACCGGAAAAAACCUUGGUGGAAGUAUACAAUUUCCUAGACAAACAAACAUUCAAGGAUUUCAUACUACUUCCAUACAACUUCAAGUAAGUGUGUGUAUACCGUCUACUUUCGAUGUCUUUUUCCUUAUCUCUACAUGUUAGUUAGCUCUAAUAUGCAUGAACAUUUUACGUACGCAACUUCCACUAGAUCCUUAUUAUAAUUGAGCCUGAAAGAAGCCACGUCACUGUCUUUGAUUCGUUGAGGAAAGAUCCGGUGGAGUACCAAGACAUGCAAGACAUGCUAGGCUUGUAAUAAUUCUGGACCUUUAUCUCUAUGCAAAAGUUUGUUUCCUAAAUUUUAUCUCUGUUACACUAUAUCUUUCAUUAUUCUAAUCCGCAGCGCAUGAAAACAAUUCAUAAGGACACACAAAGGUCCAUUCAAAGAAAAACUUACAUAGAACACAGACUUCCCGGUAAGUAUGAAGUCUGCACAUUUAUUACAUUGUAUAACACGAAUAUUUCAUAACUUAUUUUUUUCCGCACUGAAGUACUUAAGACAGGAACCCAGGAAUAAUCUAUGUGGCUACUACAUCUGUGAGCACAUGCAUAGUUUUAUGGGACCCAAGGGACUAAAGAUGACGCCGCACAACUUUAAAGUACGUAAAAUAAAACUAUUACUGGUUAAUUAUUUUCUAGCUCCUUAUAUGUAUUUGUUCGUGUAACAUUCACAAAUUUCCAAAAUAUAGAUGUUAAAUAUUCAACAAGGACUCUUGAAGGAAGAAAGAGUAGCGGCAAUAUGUGAAGGUCUCAUUGGAUUCCUAAUGGACGAGGUGGUAAAUCCAAAAGGAGAAUUUUAUUACGAUGGACGACAAUUAGACACUCCGAUCAGCAACACCUCGACGGGAAGAUUGUAGAUAGAUACUUUGAUUUAUUUGUAUAUAUAAUACGUGCUAAUUAUGAUCGAUUUGUACUAGUUGAAUUGUGUAUAAAAAUUGUGUAUAUAUAUAUAUAGUAAUUGUAUAAUUACAAAUCCCAUUCGUUUAAAUACUAGUUGAUUUCAUUCUAAAAAAAAUCUCAACUACUAAAGGUUAACAAAAGGGCCGCGGUACUACGUAUUCGUGAUGCAUGCAUGAAAAAUUCAGGCGCUAGCCAGGGUGCCAUGCAGGGCGCCAUUUAGUCUUGGUUGGAUUCCAACCGGGACUAAAGGGUAACCCUUUACUCCCGGUUGCUUUUACCAACCAGGACUAAAGGGCCUGUCCCGCGCCUGGCGUGGCAGGUCCUUUUUCACCAACUGGGACUAAAGGGUGACCUUUACUCCCGGUUGAAAGACCCGGGACUAAAGACCCCCCUUUUGUCCCGGUUGGUUUAUCCCGGAUGGAUUUUCGGGAGAUAUGCACCCUACCAAUUGGGACUAAAGGUCAAUUCUCUACUGGUGUUUCUGCGGUGAUCAUGUUCAGAAAUUGUUCAUAUAUUCAUUACUUAUGUUUAGAACUUCUUCAUGUACCUACCUUACGAAGAAAAAUGUAACAUAUUAUCUAUGUAUCUUACUGUAUUAUAUCAAGGUAUUUCAAGAGCUUUCCACAUAUACUAUCUUCACUAAAUUUGUCUGAAUAAUUCACAUGAUUUGUUGCUUCUGACGUUGAAGCUCCCCAGAAUCUGUUCCCAGAUUGAGAGAUUAACAUGAGACUCAAAUUCUUUAAAUUCUAGAGUGCAAGAAAGCUAGAUAUACAUAAGGGCGUCCCUCCUACGAGUGCGGCAAAGCCGCACAUGUGUUUCUAGUAUACACUAAAGUUGCCCUUAAUACUUUUUAAACAUGUGAGUAGCGAGCCAUCUGUCCCUCCAUCUCGUUUUAGAGCCUGAUGCCCACGUCCUCUCCCUUGUGGAGGGCGACACAGGCGGAACAACCAUCCGCGUCGCUACUGCCAAAUCCCUCAGCUCGGCUCUUUUUAACCCUCGAUGUCUUUUUUAUCCAUUAUUUGAACAUCUAAACUUUUCAAAUGAAAAUAAUAACUACAGAGUUGUAAACCUCAUCGAAUCGUACAAUUUUCAUACAAAGUUUUUCUCCAUCCGAGUCCGUAUAUAAAAGUAAUGAAUUUUCAAAUACAAACUGAAAAUUAAAUUUGAAAAGUGGGAAAGUCAUCCGUGCCGACUAUUGUUGAGACCCGGCAGGUAUAAGCAAUUAUCUGUGCUGGAUGACUUAUUAGUAACGGCUUAUUUAUGCUGGCACGGAUGAACUGAUACAGAUUAAUAUUUUUCUAGUAGUGAAUUGUCCUUAUUAAUAAGGACUCUAUUUUUGCCUGUUGUCUUUCUGAAGCCAUGAACUGAUACAGAUUAAUACCGAUUCUUUCUGAAGCCAUGUAAAAGGUAGAAAGUUUUGAAGUUACGAUCAACUCAUGUUGGUGGUGAUCUGAUGAUAAACAAUCUUCCAUGGUAAUCUAAUGCAUGAGUUUCAAUUCUUCAUUGAUCCAUAUGCCUCCUUCUAUAAUUUCAUACUAUCUUGGUUACAUUGUGCUUGUUUCAAUCUAUUAUCAAUGUAGAUUGCAUAGGGUGUUCUUGUAGUCGUGAUGACUAGAAUUGCAUACCUUAUCUAUGGAGUAUUGUGACACGAUCUUUAUGCUCAUACUCUCAGAACAUCUCGUGCAGAAUGGUAGGAUCGUGACAAGAUCUGUUACCUAGUGGGACUCUUAGUAUUCGAGGGUCAGACCAGAGGUGGUAAUUUAAAGAAGCACUGCAUGAGAGUCAUGUUUACCUUACUUUCAUGCAUAAGAACUACAACAUAUGAACAAUACAGGUUACUCUAGAUUGGUUACAUAUUCAUGCUUAGAUUGAUUCCUGAACAUUAUAAACCUGAAUUAUAUUGCUUACUGCUUAGUUGAAAUAGUUCUAACAGAUUGAUAAACUUUGAGGAAUAUUUUAAGGAAAGAGUUACAACUGAUCUGUAUGCUUACGGUUCACGAUUGUUAUCCUUCGGUAGCAUCAACAACUGGGUGAGCCCAACUUACUUUUGCUAACUACUCCCCCGGAUGUACCCAAUGUUCAUGUGCCUCGCUUGCGCACCCAAAAUGCCAUUCUUUAUCCUAAUGGUUCCGAGCCAAGCGUUUCAAGACUAUUGGCCAUCUACAUGUAUAGUCGCUCGGCCAUUCACAUGGUCAGGCAUUCGACCAGUAGCCGAUUGAAUAUUGGCCAUAGACAACCGUACGUCAGUCGCUUCCAACCAUAGCUAAAUGUGAUUACUUAAAUUGUUGGACAUCACUGUAAUAGUUGGUCAUUCUAUUAAAUAGCCAAGGGUAUGUGAUUGCGCUGUCGUUGACGGUCAAACCAUCGGUAAAUAGUAAUGUGCAUCUGGAAGUUCUUAUAACAGUUGGCUGAAGUUAGGAUUCCAGUAGUCGAUGCAGCUCUCAUCUGGCACCACCUCUGCAAGUGUGGACCAGUGCCCUUCCUUGGCUCGCACGGGCGUACCGCCUAGCAACCCCAUAUACUUAAUGCCAUACAAGGGUCAAAUAUACUAUAUUCCUGAUUCAAGUGGUGAGCAAGAGCUUUUUAAAGGGUUUCAUUCAAGUAUUUGUAACGUGGUAGAGCGCAUGUUUGGUGCUUGAGUGGAAAAUCCUUAUCAAGAUGUCUGAGUAACCCAAUAAAAAGCACAUGAUGAUUGUUGCAGCUACCAUGUGUGUCGAUUACUACAUUCAUGAGAAUAUAUGCAUUAGAUAAAGAUAUUCGCAAGUGAGAUCAUCUAUGUGCCCACUAUACCUUCAUGAUAUGCAAAAGAGUAAAUUGCACCCACCAUACACCAACUUGUCUGGAAGGUGCAGAUUGGUCCAAAACCUUAUAAAAUGCUCAAUUUAGUGCAAUAACUUGACAGAUGGGUGCAUAUCAAUCAAACAACUCGUAAAAUAUUCGAAGAUGGGUGCAUAUCAGUCCAACUCGUAAAAUAUUCGAGCACUACUAGAGAACUGACCUUCCAUCCAAGUGCUUUUGUCCCCAAUUUUGGACCCGGGUCAAAAAUGAGGCACUGAAGGCCACCCACGAGAGGGGCUUUAGUCCCAGUUGUAAAGACCAACCGAGACUAAAGCCCCCUCUAGUCUUGGUUGUAACCGAUAAAAAAAUUUGGUACCGACGCCCCCUUUUGUUCCGGUUGGAAAUUCCAACCUGGACAAAACGCCCUUCCCACGCGCAGCACUCCUCUCCCUUCCUUCCUUUAAUUUAUCUCACGCAACACUCUUCUCCUCUCCGCUCCUUAUCCACUGACGCCUCCCCUCCUUAUCUUCUUCCUCUCCUCAUCCUCUCCUCCCUCUCCUCAUCCUCUCCACUGACCCCUCCCCUCCUCCCUCUCCUCAUCCUCUCCUCCCUCUCUACGUGGGUGGGCGAGCGGUGGGCGGAGGCGGGCCGGGUGGAGGCGGGCGACGGCAGGGCAGGGGCAGGCGGAGCCGAGGCAGGCGGGGGUGGAGCGGAGGCGGGUGGCAGCAGGCGGCCGGCGGGCGCGGGUAGGCGAGCGAUGCGCGGUGCGGGCGGGCGGCUGAUCGGCGGCCAGCGUAGUGGCCUUUUUUUAUUUUUUUUUGGAAAUUGUGGAUGAUCAAGGACUAAAGGACCCCCUUUUGUCUCGAAUAAUUAGUUCUAGAUGGAAUUUUGGGAUCUUGGACCCCUACCAACCAGGACUAAUGCCGUGUUUUUUCAGUAGUGAAUAUAGUAUAAUAACUUGGUAAAUUGGUGCAUCCGCAAUCCAAAACGUUACAAGGCAAUAUUUGUACUAAUGUCGAGCUGCAAUCGAGAGUGUAUUCGCGUCAAAACAAAUUAUUAAUAAUUAUUAGCCAUUAAUAUUUGCAUCGCAAUGACAAUAUUAUGUAUUUGACAAAGACAAAAAAAUUUUGGUAUUUAAGAAAUUAAUGUUAUGUCUUCAUAUUAUUUUUAUAUGAUGAUUUAAUUUUGAUUAAGAAUCUUUAAUUUCAUAUUCAAUAUUGGUCACUUCUCUCUUACUAUAUUUUCUAUAUGUUUGAUUAUAUGCAUUGUUCAGCUACACAAAAAAACUAAUAUAUUGGUAUCUACUAACAAUACACUUGGCAUAUAUAUUUUUUGAAGCCUCCCGUACUUAUUUAGAAAGAGGAGUUAAAGAAUAAAAACAAAUAUGCUUAUAUAUAGUUGUUGAAUAUAUGAUCAGAAGCAUAAAGCAAAUCUAAGGUCCAAGGGUCUGUCUUUUUAUCUUUCAAUAAUACCAAUGGCAUAAUUCUAGAAUUCGAUUGAAUUUUAACUAAUGAACAAAUAUGUUCUAUUCAUAGCUGAAAAGCAACAGCUUGAUCAUGAUCAACAAAAUUAUUGACAAAAGUUAAGAAUAAUUGAUCGGAAGAAAAUCCGCAGGUCCAUCUACUUUGUUUAACAUGUUGCCUUUGUAACCUUUGAACUGUUGAUGCACCAAUUUAUCAAGUUAUUGCACUAAAUUGGAGACCGAUUCACACCCACUUGUCAAGUUAUUAUACAAAAUUGAGCAUUUUACAAGUUGUUGGAUCAAUCUGUAUAAACUUGACAAGUUGUUGUUUGGUGGGUGCAAUUUACUGUACGCAAAAUGUCAGAUACAUCGACUCCACAAUCUAAUGAUCAUACUAUGUAUAAGUUCCAUGUAUAAUGGGCAUUCUUUCUUUCUAGAUCAUCAUGAUCAUGUAUGUUCUGAUGUAUGGUUGAAUGCACUGUCAUGAGCAUAUAUAUACUUCCUUUUGUGAACAUUACUCUAGUACAUAUAAGGUAAACUUUAAUUUCUCUUCGUUAAUCUUUGCUCAUUUCAUAUGAAACCACGAAAAAAUUAAGGUCAAAUAUAUAGCUGAUCUGUAUAGAUAAGUCAAAUAGGCCGCACAUUGGACACAUUUGACCUCUUCCACCCAUUGAUGAAACCAGGAGAAAUCAUUAUAUGUCAAACUUUUUUUUUUCAAAGGGUUUCAGCUAGCUCCACACAAAAACUACUCCACUAGAAAAGUCAGAGCGAGAGUCCUGCCAAAUAUGUGCUCAGUUUUUACCCAUCUUAAUUGCUCCCAUGAUUUAGUAACAUCAUCCACCACUAUAACAAACUAACAAUCUACUCACUCCCUCAAUCUGGAUUCCAGUUUCCAAUAAUGUUGGGGAUUGCUAUACUACACUCGAGCGUAAAUUCCCCUCCAUACACUCGAACUUUUUCUCUUCUACAUCUUCCCCUCUUCUCCACCUCCGGCGACCUCCAGCGAUCUUUUAGGGUUCGGGGUUGGGGGGGUUCGGUGUUACCUAUGUUCACCGGACCUAGAGGAAGCUCCGAGGUGGCAGGACAGCAGGCGGUGGUGGCGGUAGAGAUGGCGGCGAGGCCCAGUGGGGGCGCCGCCCGCCGGGGCAGCGGUGGAACCCCGGCUGGGUGGUGGAGGGACGGGGGCGAGCACCGGCGACAAAUUAGCGUGGGGCGGUCAAGACGGCGGCGGACGCGGGGGUGAACAGCGGAGGUGACCUCAAAUGGCACGGAUGAACGUAGGUGGGAUGGGUGGUGGCGGAAGGGAGGGCCACGGCAGCAGCAUCCGGCGCCGGCGAGGCGGAGGGCAGCGGUGGGGGGCGGAGGUCGGCGGCACGUCUGGAGGAAGAAGACGCCCGCGACUCCCCCCGACUCGCGACGAGUGGAUAUGUCCUGGCGUGGGGAGGAGAUGAGGUUUGUUGAAUUUGAUCUCAGCAACUCAUAAAAUGAUCCAAGGGCCUGGAAUUCGAGUGUACAGUAGACAUUUAUUGAGAGCACUUUAGUAGAAAGCACCACAGCUAAAACACUACAAAUCUAGAGUUUAGACUUUCUCCAAGAGUUAUUUGCAGGUGACUGAUGAUUCAUUUUUUUCCUCAAGAAUUUUAUCAAAUGACCAAUUGUUGUUCUACCAUGGUUUGGACGUGUUCUUACGGCUGCAACAAAUGGCAGUAAGAAGAGGUGGCUAAAGGCAGUCACGGGAUCGACAAAAUAAAAUCACUCGUUAUGCUCUACCCCUUAAGAACAGUCACGAGUACACACAUAUCAUUAUUCAUACAACAAAGAAGUGCGACACUGACAAACGAAGAUCGAAAAGAAGGCUACAUGAAGACUGCAAAGUUCAGCAGGUACUGAAUUUGAAAAAAACAGUAGCAACAAGCGAACAAGGACACGAAGCACUGAAGCAUACAUGCAUGCACGAUCUAGCUGCUAAGCUCGCAAGCACUUGAGGCCCUUGAAGCACGGGAGGCGCUGAAGCUCGGCCAUCUGCACCGCCGGCGGAACCACGUUCCUCGGGCAGCGGUGCCCGUGGCGGCGGUGCGGGAUGCAGGGCACGGCCACCGCCUGCUUCAGCUGGCAGAGGCAGCUCGCGUUCUCGACCACGAUGCAGCACUGCUGGCGGAUCUCGUCACGGGCCAGGCAGUUGGUGAAGUACUUGAUCUGCUCCGCGCAGCUCUGCGCUGUGACGGUAGCUGCAGAGGUGGAGGUGAUGGCGAAGGCACAGGCUACGGCGGCGACGAAGAGAAUGGUGGCGAACUUGGCGGGCGCCAUGAGUAAAAUCUUGAGUCUAUCUAGCUGCGUCGUCGUCUGGGAAGGCAGCUGGAUAGCCUGGGACCUUGUGACUCUGAUAUGGGUCCGGAGAGUCACGAGCGACCAGUGAGUCAUGCGGUCAUGCCGACUUCCUCUGCCUCUCAUAGACGGUGCUGGGUGGACGGUAGCGUGGAACGUACAGCAUGUGAAGCUGUGGAUGAUGUCUAUUAUUACAUUGCAGACUUGGGUUUACUGUAUAUAGUGAUUUCUAUUGGGGUUACUGUAAAUUCCAAUUUCAGCUUUCCUGUUUACUAGACAUAGGAAAAAGAAAAAAGAAUGGAAAGUGGGAGGAGGUGGCGCUGAGGCAUAGACCACAUGUGAUCUGGAGUCUAGAGAAAGAGACACUGAUAUGAACUAAUAGUAGACCAGAAGGCAGCAGAGUCAAAAGCAUUUCCAAUUUCUGCUUAUCCGCUCGAGUUCUCAAUCAUCGUCGUCUUCCUCGGUCCGCUACGCAUCUCGUCCCGUCCACCGCGCCCGCCCGCUCGCCCAACCCACCAGCCUGGCCUCCGGUGCCGCCCUUGGCGCCGUCGCCCCCACCACACAAUCCCUCUCCCCCACCUUCUCCACCUGUAAGGCCCCCGCGGCACACCCUGCCUGCCUCCGCCUUCCACCCAUCCGACGCCCUCUUCUUCGUCCUCCCCCUCCCCUUCCACCUAUCCGACGCCCUACCUCAUCACGACGAGGUCCCCCACCUCGGACACUGGCCCUCCCGAUCCGGCGGCACCAUCACCGCCGGAUCCGCCACCCACGUGACUGUCGGUGUGCACCUAACCGCCGCCACAAUGCCCCUGCCACCAGCCCUGCCCAACCAGCCUCCUCCAUCGCCGUGGCGGGCGGCGCCGCUGCUGCCCACCAUCCUGCCCACACACCACCGCCGCCGCCGCCGGUCCGGCAGCCUCCCCCGGCCAUCCCUUUAGAUCCCGCAGCCACCAAUGCUCUCCCCAACCCCAAAACCAGAAACCCUAUCCCUAACCCAAAACCUAAUACGAAGGGGAUCUCACCGGAGAUGGAUUUGUCGCCGGCGAAGAAGAGGAGGUCACCGGAGUGCUCAUCGGAGAAGAAGAGGAGGUGGUCGAAGUAACAAACCGAAUUGUUACUUCAUUGGAUGAAUUACUUCUUUGAUUUUUUUUCCUUUUUUGGUUUCUGAUCUCCCCUCUCCUUCCUCGUACCCUACAAAACGGGAGGGCUCUCGCAUUAACCUAAAACGAGUGCCCUCUCGUUUUAGAUUUUGCGUUGUAACUAAACUUAUCACAGUGAGUUCGUACUCUGAUGGUGAAUAUAAUUUGGAACUGUUUCUGUAUCGUAAUAGCAACACAAGAAAUGUUUAUUACCAUUUAUUGAAAUGCUUAUUAAUGGGUAUAUCUGCCAACAGUUCCAAGAUAUUAAGAUCCAUGUGAACCUUGCUUCAUUUCACCGCUUUUGUCGUUCACAAAUUUUCUAGCUGUUUAUUGGAAGAUCACAAAUUUUCUAGCUGUUUAUUGGAAGAUCAUCAGGAGUGGCUUAAUAAGAGAUAAAACGAUAUAAGGCUAUCAUAAACAUAAAGCUAAAUCUGUGAUCUCUCCAUGCUCCGACAUAGUAUUUCUUGUUAUUUUCUCUUUCUCCAAGUUUAAUAUCUAGGUUCUUCAGAAACCCCUCCUCCUGCGUCGCCCAGCGUGGGCGACACGGGCGGGCGAGCGCUGCCAUCGCCUCCUACCCCCUCCCUCCUCCCUUCCCUUCACCCCGCCACCACUCGAGCCGGCCGUUGGAAGUCUGACCGGCCCGCAAUGAGGGUGGCAGCGAGGCGGUUCUCUUCUCCUCCGUUAUGGCCAGGAGGACGAGGCUGCCUCGUCAUCGAAGGGGGCCCGGGGUGGCACCGGCGGCCGGAUCCGGCACCCGGUGCCGGAUCCGGUGGCCCCGUGGACGGAUCCAUUGACAAGGCACGCGGGGGGUGGGGGGGUGAUGGCUGGCGAUGCGCCUAUGCUGCGCCGUGCGCGACCAUGGGGGGCCUGCUUGGGUCGCGGUUGUCGAAGGAGGCAAGGCGGAGCGUGCCGACGAGGAGCGUAGCGCGGAAGAGGAGGAGGGGCGCCGUGAGGAGGAGGGUCGGGAGCAAGGUAGGGUGGAAGAGGUGCCCUGCAGCACGACGUAGGUUGCGACCGCCCGUGCGCGCGUCCAUGCUCACCGGCGGAGGAUGCUGUGCGGGGGCGGCUUCUAGCAUGGCAGGUCGUGCGAGUUGACGGCUGCCGGCGGGCUCUCGGUGGGUGGCGCGCGCGGAUGAAGGCUGGGCUGCCGGUGCGGGCAACAGAGGAGUGCCAGCCAGGAUAGAAGCGCGACGUGCCCGAGAGGACCGCAGCUGUGAGAAGUGCGUGGCCGGGAGGAGCGCCGUCGGAGUGCACGCAGCGGACGGGAGGCGCGCGACGGUCGGGAGGAGCAUGGCUGGGAAGUGCGCGUGGCCAAGAGCAGCGCGCUGCAAGGCAUGUGGUGGUGGAAUGGCAAGCGGACGCGCGGCGUAGGCAGGAAGGUGCAGGCGGUGGAGGGCACUGCGCGUGGGCAGCGGUGGAGAGUGACGACAGAAACGGAGGUCCAGGUAUGGCGGCAUGGCGAGUGGAGGCGCGGCGGCGGCAUCGCCUCGGCUGGGUUGCCGUAGUGGUGGUUUGGGAGUGCCGAACCAUGUACGUGCAGCGAGGGGUUGUAUUGCUCCAGGUGAAAGUUCUCAUCGACCUUCGUACUGGUGGACAUGACGGCGGCGUCCUAGGACGUCAUCUUCCCCGUUGGGGGCAUCAUGUUGGAAUUACGACCUUGCUGCACAGGGUUCAUUGGGUGAAAAUCCUGUCCAGAUCCUGGAUGAGUGACGGCGGCACCAUCGGUGUCAUGCCCUCCUUGGAGGCGCCAUCUCUAGAGACCCAACUUGGUUCGUGGCAUUGCUGAACCAUUGUUAUAGGAGGGUAUAGCUGAAGGUGGCAACUCCGUCGCGUGGUGCGCUAGUGAUUGUCGAGCCCAGGUGCAGGCGAUCGAAGUUAUGGUGGCGGCCAGGGGUUGUUGCAUGGUUGUCGUAUUUGGCUGCUUGCAGCGGACCACGGCGGCUGACGUUGAUUGGCAGCAGUCAGUGUGGUGUGGGACUGCGUCGGAGGACGGCGCUUGCGGCAACGGUAGCGUGGUACGACUUGCGGGUUGCUCAGCUUGGCUGGGCUAUCCGGUGCGGUACAUUGCUGGAAGACGGUGCAAGCGACUUCCCUGGCUUGCUGACACGGCGGAGAAGGCUAUGUGCGAGGGUGAAGCGACGAGAUGAGGUCGACACAUUGCGGCGGCUUGGCUGAUCAAUGGAGAUCUUGGGAGCAGGGCAAUACCGCUCAAUACUCUGACAGCGAUAAAAGAAACGGAUCUACGACAUGGAGUACUACGGCGGGCGUGGUGAGGCCCUCACGUGCGGUGUCUAUUCGAGGCGACGAGAGAGAGGUAGAGUCCAACGGCGGAUGUGGUGAGACCCCCGAGCGUUGUGUUAUUGUGGCGGCGACUACGAGGCAGCCUACGAGAGGUCUGGAUUCAGUGCUAUCACUGUCAGGUGGAGAGUGAUGUUGUAGCGGCACUACUGUGGAAGGUCCUGCAUAGUGGUGGCGUUCUCGGUGCGGUGCAGUCUGCUUCUCGGUUCAACGUCGACGCUAGGUUACGCUGGGAGGUUUUGGCAACUUCUUGACCGUGUGUAUGGUGGUACGGGUUGCGGUAAGGCUUCAGUUCCGUUGCCGUCGGCCAAUAGUAUCCGUUAUUCCUAAUCAUCCACUUCAUUUUAUGAGCUGAUUAGUGAGCUCCGCACAUGCCUUCAUGGAUUUCUCCCAUUAGGAUCUUUGCUUCUUCCGUCCCCAAGCAUUUGAGCAGAACUCCGUCAAUCGUUCGGUAAAACAAAUCAUCUUCGAGUAGUACAUACUUUGUGGCUUGAAAACGCACUCGCCGAUCCACUUUCUUGGACGAAUCCUUUAAGUAAUCAGCGAUCUGCUUUCGCAAUCGUCGGCCGCGAGUUCCAGAAUCAUGGCGCCUUAAAUCAGCCGAUACCCGGACGCGUGUUGGGCAAGCCUAUUGGCCUCUUCAUUAUAAUUUCUAGGAAUAUGCUCAAUAACUGCGGUCUUGAAUUCUUUUAAAAGUUGGAGGCAAUCUUCGUAGUAAAUCCUCAAGACAUCAUCUUUACAUUCAUAUCUUCCCAUUAGCUGGUCUACGAUCAGCAUGGAAUCCCUAAAAAUCUUCACAGCGUCGACUUUGAUCUCUCUCAAUAAUUGAACGCCUUUUAGGACAGCUCGGUACUCCGCCUGAUUAUUGGUCACGGAAGCUUCUAUCGGCAGAGAGAAAUCAUAACUUGCCCCCGAGGCGAUAUGAGAACGAUGCCAAUUCCUGAUCCGGCCCACAUGAUGAACCAUCAAAGUAUAGAGUCCAUGGAACCGGCUAAACGACAGCGAUUUUCGGUCCGCAGUGCUGGGCCACGAAAUCAACCAUGACUUGACCCUUGACAGCUUUGGCCUAUUUGUACCUUAGGUCAAACUCUGACAGAGCCAGGAUCCACUUUCCAAUUCGUCCUUUCAAAAUCGGCAAUGAUAGCAUGUACUUUACCAUGUCAUCCUUGCAUACAACUAUGCACUCUGCCGACAACAGGUAGUGCCUGAGCUUGGUGCAUGAGAAAUAAAGAUAUAGGCAUAGCCGUUCUAUCGGAGGAUAUCUUGUCUCGGCGUCCACAAGUCUUCUGCUAACAUAAAAUAUUACCCGCUUCUUUCCUUCGAACUCCUAUACCAGCGCCGAUCCGAUAGCCCGUUCAUCGGCCAAUAAGUAUAGUCUGAACGGCUUCUCAGCUUGUGGUGGGACCAAUACAGGUGGCAAGAUUAGAUAUUGCUUGAUGUCUUCCAGUGCUUUUCGCUGUUCCUCUCCCCACACAAAUUCCUGGUCAGACUUUAACUUCAAUAAUGGCGUGAAGGCUUGAAUACGCCCGGACAAGUUGGAUAUGAAUCUUCUGAUAAAGUUAACUUUGCCGAUUAGGGAUUGCAACUCAGUUUUGUUCUGUGGGGCCACAACCUUAUUGAUGGCCGCUAAGAUUUUUUGGUUGACUUCUAUCCCGCACUCGUGAACCAUGAAUCCUAGAAAUUGCCCGGUCGAUACGACGAAUGCACACUUGUUCGGGUAUAUUUUCAACCCAUGCUUCCUUGUGCACUCCAAUACUUCUCGCAGAUCGGCCAGAUGCUCUUGAUGCCCUUUUGAUUUGACUACGACAUCAUCGAUGUAGAUUUCCACCAGGACGCCAAUGAGCUUGUGGAAGAUGUAAUUCAUAGCCCGUUGAUAUGUAGCGCCGGCGUUCUUUAAUCCAAAGGUCAUUACUACCCACUCGAAUAAACCGAGGUGGCCCGGGCACCUGAAAGCCGUUUUUUCAAUAUCUUCUUCGGCCAUUAGUAUUUGGUUGUACCCAGCAUUAUCAUCCAUAAAAAUGAUGACUUUAUGUCCCGCGGCGGCAUCUAUCAAAACAUCAGCUGUCGGCAUUGGAUACCCAUCCAUCGGCGUAGCCUGAUUAAGGUUCCUGAAGUCAAUGCAUACACGCAGCUUUCCAUUUUUCUUGUAUACGGGUACGAUAUUAGAGAUCCACUCGGCGUAACGGCACUGCUGAAUAAAUUUUUCUUCAAUUAGUCUUGUAAUUUCGGCCUUUAUAUCAGGUAGAAUUUUAGGAUUACAUCAUCGUGCGGGCUAGUGAUAUGGCCGAUAUCCUGGCUUUAUAGGCAACCGGUGUUCAACAAUGGACUAGUCUAGACCAGGCAUCUCAUGGUAUUCCCAAGCAAAACAGUCUUUGAAUUCUUUUAAUAAAUUUGUCAAUUUACACUUAUAUUCGGGAUCCAAGUUAGCACUAAUGUACGUCAGCCUUGGUUUGGUGCCAUCACCUAAAUCUAUCAUCUCUAAUGAAUCGGCCGACGUAAACCCGUGACCUAGCUUCCCAUCUUCUUGGACGAACUGAUCCAUCUAAUCUGAAUCUUCAGAGCCGACUACUCGGAUCGGCUGUAGGCCAAAAUCGGACAUUUUCAGGAAAUUGGUGUCCCAAGUUCUUCCGGAUAUGCACUUGACGUGUUCGCAGCUCCACUGCUGCGUAUCGGCCACAGCAACACUAUAGGCGGAAUCGGCGGUGACUAUCUCGAUGUUGUCGCCGACCCAUUGUACGAGCAUUGGUGCAUUGUAGAUGGGACACCGCAAUUCGCGUGUAUCCAAUCGUGUCCGAGCAACAUAUUGUAGGAUCCUUUGCCAUUAAUAAUAAAGAAAGUAGUGGGAAGGGUCUUACUGCCGAUGGUAAGGUCGAUGCAGAGUGCCCCGCGCGCGGGAGACACGUUGCCCUCGAUGUCCUUGAGCAUCAUAUCUGUCUUGGUCAGAUCUUCAUUGCUUUGGCCCAGUUUCUGAAACAUGGCAUACGGCAUGAUGUUGACUGUAGCGCCUCCAUCUACUAGUAACCUGGUGACAGGUCGACCGUUGACGUGUCCUUUGAGGAACAGUGCCUUGAGGUGUUGCCUUUUUUCAUCUUCGGGUUUCUCAAAAGUGGCUGCCAUUUGCUCCAGAUCCAAUUGUGCCAUCUGUUCCUCCAUCUUCGUCGUGUUGUCCCGAUCGGCGGGAGCCAUGAACUCCAUCGGCAAGAUGAACACCAUGCUGAUGUCAGCUGCCAAUUCCUGAUUGCCGCCUUCUUCCUUGUCGUUUCUUUUGGGGCGCCAAACCCGAGAUCUGUCAUCCUUCUUAUCCACCAUCUGUCGCUGCUCUUCUUCCUAUUGUUCCCAUUGGCGCAGACGUUGGAUCCUUCGUUUUUGGGAUUUGGUCAAUCCAUCAGGACACCAUCUGGGGUUCACCGGUUUGGCCGGUGGUCUGGCGCGUUCCCAGUCCAGUUCUCGUCCUAGGGGGUUUUCAUCUGACACCUUGGCGUCGGCCAUCUCCUCUAGCCGAUCGUGCGCGCUGACUCUGCCCCCCGGUCGCUUGUGCUGGUCAAACCUGCCCUCCGGCUGAUCAUACUGUUCAAAUCUACCUCUUGGCCGAUCAUACAGGUCAACUCUGCCCCCAGCCGAUCACACACUGAAAGGCACCGAUCCUCUUACUCGCGCUAGUUUCUGCUGAUUGGCUCUGACACUCUGUCCCUGGAGCGAGACCUCUUGAAUGGGCGAUUGUCAUGGUAUGGACUGCUGCAUUCCGAGCAAUUGUCGGCUGAUGGCAGCUUGAGGUUAUUUUCCCAGCAGUGGAUGAAGAACGGACACCGCCAAUGAUCUUCGUGUCGUCACAUUAUUUUUUCACGAUAUCUCAAACUUUCCUGCUACCGCUGAUAGUUGUUGAGCAGGGAUUGGGAGGUAAUAGGUCUACGCGGUCUUUCCGAUCCUUCACCCUCAUCGUCAACCCGUCUCUUCCCCUUGACGUCUUCGAUCGUAGCUUGAUUUUUGGGGUCCACAGGGCCGCUCCUUUUAGCCGAUUCCGACAUCAACACCUUGGUUUGAAGCGCGUUUCUUCCCGUAUUGACCAUGUUGGUGGGGAAAAGAUGCUGAUCAAUCUUUAUUGACUUUGCUAGCUUUGUUGGGACCUCGAACUUGAGCCUGCCUUGCUCGAUGGCCGAUUGUAUCUGCUGACGGAAGAUUUUGCACUCGUUUGUGUCGUGGGACGUUGUGUUGUGCCAUUUGCAAUACUUCAUCUUUUUUAGCUGCUCGGCCAAUGGGAUCGUAUGGUAAGAUGAGUGUUUGAUCUGCCCCUCUUGGAGAAGUAGGUCAAAGAUUUUGUCAGCCUUGGACGUGUCAAAACCGAAUGCCUCCGGUUCCCUUUUUUCGAAAGGACACGAUAUCGGCUUCUUUCCCUUAACCCACUCUGCUAGGCCGAUUUCCGCUUCCUCCUCAGAUCUGAGAGCUUCAUCUCAUGGAAUCCCGCAUAGAAGUAUUUGUGGAACUAUUUUUGCAGAUCAGCCCAGGUGACAACGGAAUUGGGCGGUAGCGUAGUGAACCACUGAAAAGCCGACCUGGACAGGGACGAUGAGAACAGACGCACCCGCAGAGCAUCAUGUGUAGCUGCCUUCCCGCAUUGGAUAAUGAAUCUGUUUACGUGUUCCACAAUUGAGGUGUCAUCCAGCCCCGAAAACUUAGUGAAGUCAGGAACUUUGUACCGAUGGGGAAACGGUAGUAGAUCAUAGGCAGGCGGGUAUGGCAUUUUGUACAUGUAAGUUUGUACCUUUGGCUUCAACCCAAAUUGAUCUUGAAUCACCUCCGCUAUCCUUGUCGUCCAGUCUACUUGCUGCUGAUGAAUUACUUGCUGGGGGAUUGGCACAUGUUGGUGGAUUGGCAGUGAGAUGACCGGGUGAUGAAUCAAAGUGUGCGGCGGAUUCUGUGGCAACGUGGCCGGCUGAAUGGUUGACAUUUGAUGGCACAGUGAACUGGCCGUCUCAUCGUACAGUAUCAUCGGCGCGGCACCUUGGAGUGACUCAGCAGCUUCUGCCCCUCUGCCAAUUUCUAACGUGGCUGGUUGAUACUAUGGAACCGUCGGCCGGGUGGCCGACUGGAAUGGUGCCUAGAUCGGAGAGCUUCCAUAGCCGGCCGAUUGAUCUAGAACGGCUGCUGUUGACGGUGCCCCCCAAGGCACUGAGUUUGAUGGUAAUGAUUGCAUGGAGGAAACUUGAGCAGGCUGCGGUGGUGCUUGUGAUUGAAAGCAUGACGCACUGUUAUAUCCUGGAUUCAUUGAAGGUAGUGAAGUGUUGUGUCCUCCAUGAUGUGUCGGCAUCGGCUGAGGAGCCGAUUGAAAUGUGCCCGAUAAACUCCUGACUGGGGCUGCGAUGGGUGGGGCGUACGCCGGCCCCUGAUAUCCCUGAGAUAUGCCGUUGGCCAGGGAGCUGAUGACGGCAUUGUACAUCGUGUUGGUCAUCAUCGGGGAUUGAUCGAUGAAGACCUGGUAGACAGACUGUUGGAUCAUGUUGGACAUCUUGGCCAAAUCCUCAGCGAUGGUGAUCUGGCGGGGAGUUGGAAAAGGAGAUUUCUUGACAAUCUCCCCACUCUUGGUACGACUGAAAGAUUGCAAGCAUGUUUUCCUGUAUUGUUCCAUUUGCUUUGCCAACUCUUCUUUCUGGUCAUCCUUGAGAUCUGAUUCCGUCACUUUGAUGAUGUUGUCUUCGGAGAUUUUGGCAGCUUUCGACAUGUUGGAGGUUGAAGUGGUCCCACCGGGCGUGCUAAAAGUGUGUUGGCGCUAAAAGUCAGCCGAUUGACCCUCAGCAUCGGACACACGACCCGAGAGAAUCUGCUUAGCUCCUGUUCGGGUGAUUGCCCUGGUACAGUUCGUGCGGCGUGCCAGCCAAUCUGACCUGUUGAUUGGCAAGGAAGAAAACGUGUCAAAUUCCAGGGGUUCCGAUCGGGUAAGGUUCCGAUCUCAAAAAGCGUAUCAGCGAAUCGGCCGAUUUGCUAUAUAAAGAUAAUCGGCUAUGAUACAGCCGACAAUCACGUAGCGAUUGCGAAGGAAACUACUAGAGUAAACUAGACAAGGCUAUGAAAGCAACACUUGAAACAGAUCUAAUCGGCUAUAUGAUAAUGAUGAAUGAAAAUAACAAAAACAAAGCCGACAGUUCGAACCUCAAGCUAGAUAACUGGUGAUAAAACUAGAACAACAAAUAAAAUCUAUAAUUCUAGUAAAUAUCGAUAACUGGUGAAUAAAUCUAAAUGAAACAACAGUGAUACGCCCGAAGUUAAAGCUUAGAUAUUACUCGAUAAACGGAACUUACAGAAUUAGCCGAAGAUCGUGUCGAUGCAGUCCUGCCAACCCGUACGAACUCGUGAAAGAAGAAAAGUAUUGGCGAAGUCUCCGACUUGAAAGUAAAGUGCGAUGAAAAAGUAGAUUUGUUUGUAUUGAUUGAUGUGUUGUUAACAAAUCCCUAAAGAUGGCUAUUUAUAGCCUGUUACAACCAAUUUCCUAACCGACUAGGAUCUAUCUCUAAUUUUAAAUGAAAACGAAUAUUUACAAUCACAACUCGUAUCGGAGUUGGUUAUUGUACUCUCACGGGCCAAUCUUUCUCUCUCUUCUUUCUCUAAUCCACUUUAAGCCUAUAUUGGCCCAAUCGCUCUAGCCUUCCAACUGGCCGAUCUCCAUCAACUCUGUCCACCAAAACACUGUAGCGCCAAUCGGCCGAUUCCUAGUCGUGACCUUUCAAUCUGCCGCAUCGGCCAAUCGUUUCUUCCCUUGGCGCCGAUUCCAUACGUGCCAAAAUCUGGCAUCAAUAAUAGGUAUCAGAGACCUUGCACGAAUUUAGAAAAUAUUGGGUUAUGCUCCGGGGAUUGCCUUCCUAAUCUAAGUUAGUGGGGAGCUCAUUGGAUGCUUCGUUGAUCUCCUGCUCGGCCUCAACAUGAUGCAGCUUGGUAGUUACUUCCUCGGCAGUAGGCGUCAACUCAUAGGUUUCGUUUGCGAAGUGUAAAUUUGCAUUUUGACUACAUUCACCUAAACAAGGUUCUAAACUUUCAUUAUCUUCAUGAAGUAAGGUGUGCUGUGAUAUAAAACUCGAGGUUGAUUUUGACGGUGAUUAUGUACACAUAUAAGGUUUUACAAUUUGGACUUCACAAAGAAAGGUGGGGUCACUCUAGAGUUGCUCAGGGUUCAUUUGGAAAAUUAUCCUGUUUCUGAAUAUUUUUCUGUACCUCUUCGAAUAUCUCCCACAUUACCCUCACUAUUACCUAAUGGUUUUUAUUCAUUUCCUUUUUGGGUUUAAAUUCCAUCAAUGUUUCUGGUAGCAUCUUAUAAGAUAUUGUUCUGAAAAUUUUACAGAGGCUUUCUAAUCACAUUAGUGAGCCAGUGUAAAAGUUUGGGAUGCAUUGGACUUCUACCAAAUGAAUUAAAAUUAAAACAGUACCCUAUGGUAGAUUAUAGGGAUCUAUUUUUACUCAAGCUCCAGUGUGAUAGAGGCUUCUGUGAUUUUGCCAAGAUUUAUGGUGAAGGACAUCUAUUAUCCAUAUUUUUCCUUCAUUUGAACUUGUACAAAAAGUUAAGCCUGUUUCAUCCAGUUUCAUACAGUAACCAUUAUUUUCUCUAGCAAGUAUGUUUCAUUUGUGAUCCAACAAAUGUGGUUUCACAUUUUUCUCUGCCUUAAACCAUUUAUUAUGCAAAAAGUAAAAUUUCCCCUCAGAUUUCAAGGUUUAAACCAAAACAGUGUGUUAAACAACUAAACCUGCAUCACCACUAUUUUAUUCAGCACAAGCUCAGCACAACAAAGUUAAUAGAGGUGGAUUCAUCAUUUUAGCAUUUUUGUGUGAUUUACCAUGAAUUUAAGAGUUACAUGGCCAACAUUAUUUUUUCUAUAAAACUACUCAUCUCAAGGAUUCCAGCAAAGUUGGUUUUGCAUUUUUAUCAAUUUUCUACAUUUACCUAUGAAUUUCCAAAGUUUAGGCUAUUUAAACGAAUUUAAAAAAUUAGAAAUGCAAAAACUCUUUUACGCGGGGCCCCUGGACAUUAUGAACUUCUACGGAACGGUCCCUACACUUUACACUAUGGCCCCUGGAAAGACUCCAAUCGUAGCAAUGGGGUCCUCCCCUUGGUCGACAGUGGUUCCGGCCGGAUUCCGGCUAGGUCCGAUGGGGAUUUGAGCGAGAAAGGGCAGGGGCACGAUGGGGAGCUCACCUAGGGGCUAUGGGGUGAAGGCAGUGACGGUGGAGCACGACUGGUGGCGAAGCUCUACGAUGGGGAACGAACGGCGGUGGCAGCACGUCUGCUCCGGCAAGGUCAUCGGUAGAAAGGGCUUGGGGGUGGCUCGGGCUCCGUCAGUGGGGUGUGUCAGGUGCUGCGGGUGGGUCAGAGGGUGGUGGCAUGGCACGGGAGAGGGCUCUCCACGGCGGCAUGUCACGGCGGCGGAACGAAGCAGAGCUGCGAUGAGGGAGAAGGCGCGGGGAAGCUCCGGUGACGCCUUUGGGGUGCCUUUUAUAGGCUCGAGGAUGUGAGGGGGAGGGUGAGGCGAGGCUCUGGGCGAGACGAUAAGGCCGGGCGAGGAGGGUUAGGCAGAUGACGCCGUGCAGAGCUCGUGGGCGAUCUUCAGCGGGUUGGCCAGGAGGAUUGCAAGCUGAGAGAUUCGCCUUGCUGUGGGUUGGCUGAGCUGGGGAGCUCGAUUUGUCCCAUCGGCGUGGCGAGAGGCGGAGUGCGGGAGCCGGUGAGCAAGGGCAGCAUGGGGUGUGCGUGCGGCAAGGAGCGUCGCGCGUAUUAGGCGGCCAAGAUGCGGAGCGGAGGGCGGAUACAAGCACGCACGGUCACUAGGUAGCUGCGGUGCUCGACUGGUCACGUCACGGCGGGGGUUGGGCCUGGAGCUGCAAGGGGCAGCGGCACCACGCGGCGAAUGGCGGAGAGGGCAACGCAGUGAUCGCAUACUGGGCGCUGAGGUGGGAUGCGAUGGCAUGCGAAGGGGCUAGGUUUAGGCGCGUUUUGUUCAAAAUUUUCCAAAUAGCUUGGAAAUAUUCAAAUCUAAAAGUUGUAGUCCUUGGUUCACACUUCAACUUAUAGAAAGACCUUAGGUUCAACACUCUUUUAAAUUUGUACGCCCUUUAUUCCAAAUCGUUGUACGCUCUUAGUCAGUGAAACUCAGGGGUAUACAUAAUCACCAAUUUCAAAUUGUAUUGGCCUCCUCCUUUUAUCGGAAUAACUCUUCAGUCUAGACUGAACGGCUUUAAGGUUUUCUCUGAUUACUCUCACCUUCUCUUCCACAUCAGUCACCAAGUUAGGUCCAUAGACCAUUCUUUCUCCUGCUUGGGACCAACUUAGUGGAGUUUGACACCUUCGACCAUACAAGGCUUGAAACGGUGCCAUUUUCAAACUUGCUUGGUAGCUAUUGUUAUAAGAAAAUUCUGCUAAUGGCAAGCAUUUGUCCCAAUUCUUGUCAUAAUGGAUGACACAAUCACGUAAUAUAGUGAUUUACCCUCUCUAUUUGCCCAUCUGUCUGAGGGUGGUAUGUUGAACUACGGAUUAGCUUGGUGCCAAGUGCAGCGUGCAGCUGCUCCCAAAAACGUGCUACAAACUGGGCGCCUCGAUCGGAGAUGAUUGUCUUGGGCACUCCAUGUAAGGAAACGAUACGGUCUUGGUAUAGCUCCGCAUAUCUCUGAGUGGAGUAGGUUGUUCAUACUGGGAGAAAGUGGGCCAUCUUAGUGAGUCUAUCCACUAUGACCCAUAUGGAAUCAUGCCUCUAGGAAGGGUUGGGUAACCCAACGAUGAAGUCCAUGCUGAUAUCUUCCCAUUUCCAUGAGGGUAUGGUAGUGGUUGAAGUGUACUUGCUACCUUCAAGAGGCUUCCUUUCACUCUCUGACAUGUAUCACAUUCCGACACAUACUUAGCAAUCUCUGGCUUCAUUCCAGACCACCAGAAAUUUUGUUAGAGGUCGUGGUACAUUUUGGUGUUGCCAGAGUGAAUAGAGAAUUUAGAAAGGUGUGCUUCAUCCAAAACUUGCUUUCGGAGAUUGGGAUUUGCUGGAACCACUAAUCGGUCUUCAUACCACAUGACUCCUUUCUAAUCCUGUCGGAAAUGCUUGUAUCCCUCAUCUUUCUGUGCCAACUUCUUCUUGAUGAGCUUUAUCUCCUUGUCCUCCAACUAUGCCAAGAUGAUUUGGUCAUCCAAGGUGGGUUCGAUAGCUAUGUGGCUCAAUGUGCCAUGACGAAUAAUCUCCAAAUUCAACUUCCUCAUCUCGGAACACAAGGUCUCGGUGAAUUUGUCUGCAGAGAGAUAGUUGCAAUGAGCCUUGCGGUUAAGAGCAUUGGGAACUACAUUAGCCUUUCCUAGAUGAUAAUGCACCUAUAAAUCAUAAUCGUUAAUCAACUCCAACCAUCUUCUUUGGCGCAUGUUCAAAUCAGUUUGGGUGAAGAUGUACUUCAGGCUCUUAUGGUCAGUAUAGAUGUUACAAUGAGUUCGCAUAAGAUAAUGUCUCCACAUCUUCAGAGCAUGUAUUACCGCUGCUAGCUCUAGGUUGUGAGUCGGGUAAUUCUGCUCGUGUGGCCAUAACGCACGUGAAGCAUAGGCAAUGACCUGAUUGUCUUGCAUAAGAACACAUCUGAGUCCAGUGCCAGAAGCAUCACAAUAGAUGUCAAACGGCUUGGUAGUGUCGGACUGUGCUAAAACUGGUGUAGAGGUUAGUAGUCUUCUCAACAUGUGGAAGGCUUCUUCACAUUUUUCACUCCACACAAAUUUGACUCCUUUCUUCAGUAGUUCAGUCAUUGGCUUAGCUAUCUUUGAGAAGUCAGGAAUGAAUCAUCAAUAGUAGCCUGCUAGACCAAGGAAGCUUCGAAUUUGAUGAACCGAAGUGGGUGGCUACGAAUCCAUCCCUUCCUGUACUUUGCUUGGGUCAACUGCUAUGCCUGCACUGGAUAUAGUAUGUCCUAAGAAUUUUACACUAUCCAGCUAGAAUUCGCACUUGGAGAAUUUGGCAUACAGCUGGUGAUCCCUUAGUCAUUGAAGAACAAUGUAGAGGUGUUCAGCAUGUUCCUCCUCAUUCUUGGAGUACACGAGAAUGUCGUCAAUGAAAACCACGACAAACUUGUCAAGCUCGGGUAUGAAAACCGAAUUCAUGAGAUACAUGAAAUAGGCUAGAGCAUUUGUAAGCCCGAAGGACAUAAACAAGUACUCAUACAAUCCAUACCGUGUAGAGAAAGCGGUCUUAGGAAUGUCUCAUGGCCGGAUCUUGAUCCGAUGAUAACCAGAGCAAAGAUCAAUCUUGGAAAACACUCUAGCUCCAGCUAGCUAGUCAAAGAGAACAUCAAUGCGGGGUAAAGGGUACUUGUUUUUGAUAGUUACCGCAUUGAGGGGUCGGUAGUCCACGCACAUUCGCAGACUAUCAUCCUUCUUCUUCAUAAAUAGAGCUGGGCAGCCCGAAGGUGACAUGCUUGGGUGAAUGAAACCUUUCUCUAACAGUUCAUGCAACUGAGUCUUUAAUUCUGCCAGCUCUGCAGGUGGCAUCUGGUAUGGCCUCUUGGAUAUCGGUGCUAUGCCUGGCUGCAGCUUUAUGGCAAACUCAAUAUCUCUAUCUGGGGGCAUGCCUGGCAAGUCAUUCAGAAACACAUUAGGAUACUCGCACACCACGGGAAUAUCCAGGACUCAAUGGCUGGGAAGGCACAAGAAUUUAUGCACUCUCGGGCUAGCAAGUGCGGUGUUGAAGGUCCGAGGGUAGGUGAGCUUAUUUGGAUGACCUGUGCUGCAAUAUCUAAUGUGACUUUGUGCUGAGUCAUCCAAUUCAUUCCCAAAAUUAUAUCUAUGCCCUCCAAACCAAGAUAAUAAGGGUGGUUUCGAAAACUUUUCUACCUAACAUGAUGGGUACUCCACGUGUUAUUUGGUGGGAAGCAAUUUUACCACCAGGUGUUGAGAUCAUGUAAGCCCCUUUGGCGUGACAGAAACCCAAAUCACAUUUAGCACUAAAUCUUAUCCCAAUAAAGCUAUGUGAUGCACCAGAAUCAAAUAAUAUAUGGGCAGAUUGGUUAUGGAAAGAAAAAGUUCCCAUCAUGACUAGUGCACCCUUUGGAAGGUCUGCAGAGUGGUGAAAUUGAGUAUUCCCUGCCUGACCUGAACCUUUGGCCUCUUGCCUUUAUUUUGGUUCGAGCUCGGUCCCUGACUCUGGGCCUUGUUAUGCGGACAAUCUUUGGCGAAGUGGUUCGGGCUCCCAUAAGUGAAACUGCGAUUUCCACUACUAGGACGGAGUGGCGGCGGAGCAUUUGGCCUUAGGCCUUGUAGCUGAAAACCGGGGAAACGAGGAGCUCCUUGCUGCGGUGGUGGCCGGAUCACCCAUCGGCCCUGCUGAGGAGUCCUCUGUAGAGCCUUCGGGGGAAUCAGCCGCGACUUUGGCACCGCGGCACUGGGGGAAGGCAUCGGUGCUUUUCUCUUCUUCUUGGCCUUGAGGGCUAUGAUGCAAUCCUCCUGAGAAAUAGCUAGACUAACCAGCUCGUGGAAAGUGUCCACCUUCACCAGGUUCAGCCUUUCUUUAAGCUUGAUACUGAGGCUCUUGUGGAAUCUAUCCCGCUUCUUCUCAUCAGUAUCUGCGUGAUAACCCACAUAUUGGCACAAGCCAUUGAACGCUUGUGCGUACUGGAGCACAUUGCGGUUGCCCUUGGUGAGCGCGAGGAAUUCAUUCAGCUUCCUUUUAAGAAGACCUUCAGGAAUAUGAUGCCUCUCGAAGGCGAUCUUAAAUUCUGCCGACGUAACCACGUGGUCGGCGGGAAGCAUGGCGUGGUAGUGAUCCCACCAUAGCCAUGCUAAUCCUCUCAGCUGCUAGGCUGCAAACUUUUCCUUGUUCUCAUUGGGGCAAGGCGAGGUAAGGAGUGUGAGUUUGGACUCAAUUGUGCGAAUUCAAGAGUCAGCAUCGAGAGACUCCUCCGUCUUGUGAAACAAAGGGGGGUGAGUGCCGAGGAAAUCUUCAAAGCUUGCCACUUGGGGCUGGUGGACAUUUCUCCCACCGUGUGGUGGCUGCUGCUGCUGGCCCUGAACAAUGUGGCGCAGCAACUCCGUUUGGGCAGCGAGGAUAGCCUCCAUGGUAGGCGGGGAGGUGGUGGUGGUGUCUGCCUCUGCUCACUACCGCUUGGUGCAAAUCCAGAGGAAUUCUGGCGUGUUCCGUGCACUAUCUCCAGAAGUGAACUUCUCCCAUUAGUCACAUCAUUUUGAAUAUUGCCUAUAAGAAGAUGAACAAGGUAAAUCAUGUGCGGAAUGUUAAAGUUCAUUAGGCAGUCAAAUCAUUGCAGGCGGAAGGCUGUUGCUUGGGAGAAAAUUCAUAUCUCCCUACUCAAAUAUCCAUAAGUUCUCAUCUUUGGUCAGUGAGUAGGAAACUUUGUGCACUACAACUUUGGCAAUUUACUCAGAGGCCAAAACAAGGGUUAACAAGGUCGAAAACUUCAUGUAGGUAUCUCUGUUCUGGCUGUUUUUCAGCAGCCUGGGCGGUGAAAUUUUACUCAUAACUUGAUUUGGAAAAGUCCAGAGAUGCUGAAAUUUCUGUGAGAAAUUGGUUUAUGUAAUUCCUCAGAACUUUGGUAUCCACCAUUUUUGCUGAAACAAACUCUAGGAAGGUGAUAAACUCAGAUUCUCAGAGUGAUUCAUUCUGGAAUUUCAGAGAGAGUACAAGAAUGAACAGAUCACAUCUCUCAAACUAUUAAUCCAAUUCAGCUGAAAUUUUACCAAAAUGUUCUCUGCUCAGUUAUUAACAACUUUGGUUUAAAGGUGCCUAACAUAAAACAUAGUUAAAGGUGUCAAAAAAAAUUAAAAUCCCAAUUGGUGUGCAACUGUGUUUCUAGCAAACAGGGGGCUACUAAACCAAACAUAUCUCACAACCUACUUGGUCAAAUUUUACGAAAUUUUACCAGCAUUUUGUUUACAAAUUUGUACACAACUUUCCUAUAGAGUGUUUCUAUAGCAAACCUCAGGGAACAACUCAAAAGAUUUUAUCAAGUUUGAACAACGGAGUAAGGCAGCUAGAAAAUCCUUAUCGCGCACAAGAUUUUUAGACAAGGCACACAUGCUAGUUCAAUUUGUCAUCUUUUAAGUGGCGAAUUUUAAUUCAUGAUGGAUGCACAUCCUAUUCGUCCUCUCAACAAAACUAAUUGCCAAAAAGCUUUGGACUUAUGUGGUUAGUGCCGGUGGCAAGGCAACAUUUACGGCUCUCUCUAUAAUUAGUCAAUCUUUCUAUUCGUCGUUAACCUAUGUAAUCGCGAGAGCGUACCUGCAAAAAUUUUUCCAACCUGAACCUUUCGUGCCAGCACUCAUGAAAGCGUCCACAAUCAUUACUGUGCACUAUAGGAACAACACCCGUACGAUUAUCACUGCACGGGCAACGUUCAUACGCUUGAAAGCGUAUUCACAUUUAUCCAACCAUUAUGUGCCACCCUCAUAUUUGCAUAUGAGGCCGGGGGCAUGUCAUGGUAUCGCCAUACCCCUGUGUCCAACCAUUAUGUGCCGACAUGGUAUUUUCAUAUGAUGCCGGGGGUGUGCUAAGGAAUCGCCACACCCCUGCGUCCAACCAUUAUGUUCCGUAUGAUGCUGGGGGUAUGUUAAGGAAUCAACAUACCCUUGCGUAAGUGCUGGGAGUCAGUAUGAAUAACCAAUAGUUACUUAGCCACCUAAAAACAACCCAAAAAUUUUUCCUAAGGUUUCUCGUUCUAAGUUCAUCCUUAACGAACUUACGAAUAUUUUUAAACUAAUUUCUUACAAGUUUUAUUUAGGAAAAGGUGUUUAGGGUCUGUUGUUUUCUCUGGUAAGCUUUUCCAGGUCUGAGCUAUGGCAUCAAAUACUAGCUCUGAUACCAGCUGUGGCAGAACCACCUAAAUUAACCUGGCUAAAGUGUUCCCAUCUUUGCCUCAAUGCGAACCGACACUUUAAUCAAUCCAAUUUGGUAGUCUGUCGGGUUAUACCCGAUAAACUAGUUGUCUCGGAUCGAAACGAAAAACAUCUCACAUGAAGGUGAGUCCAGAGAUUACAACAUUCCAGUAGUUUAACACAUAGGUCCCAUUUUAUUUAUUAUAUCACAGCAGUUCAAAAGUGCAUAAAGUAAAAUGUUUUAGAGUUUAAGUAGUGGAAAAAGGAUGGCAACUAAACGUCGAAGUCAAAACAUCAUGGUGAAGCCAACCAUGAUGUCAGUUACCUCAAUCCUCGCUGACCGAGGAUGGGCCCACUUGACCGUCCAACCUAGAGGGAACUAGGUCGGCCAGGUCACACUUUCAGCAUAGGCACUAACAUCCAAGUUACCUUAAAGUAAAGCCACAAGCAAGGCUGAGUAUACUAAUACUCAACAAGACUUACCCAUCGGGUGGCAACUACUCCACCGACUUCUAGACAUGCAAGGCUUUUUGGCGGAAGGGUUUGUUUUGCCAAAAGCAUCUAUAGUAAGUCCUUACUUUCAAGUUUUGGCAUCCGGUUCUAGUUGAUUAACCAUUCUAGGUGAGCAUGUAUUCUACAAGAAUGUUGAGCAAACAUUUUAUUUGAAGCAAACAUCAUUAAGAUAAUCAUUCUUUGUUCCACUUGUUGCUCAGUGCAGCAUAAUAGUCAAGCAGUCUCAAACUGUGAGAGGCAGAUGAUUCGAAUCGAGUUUCUUAACCUUGCAAGGUGAACCUAAUCACAUGACAUUGCGUACCACGAUGGGUCCGCACAUGUUAGCCGUCCCCAUCAAUUCCUAGGCACGUGGCCAGGGCCCACUUCCCUUGGAUAUAAGGCCCCACGGUCCCGGAACGUCACCGUACCGUGACUGCACUUGUACCCACAUCAUGCAUUCAGGGAACUCCGUUAUAGAGAGAGCGGGGAGUAUGCCCACGUCCUGGUUCAAUCAGGUACUAGGCUUUCCUAUCCCAUACUAGGUAUGAGAUUAGUACUUUCAAACACAUGACUGCGAAUGCUGACACAUUUCCGCCUUAGCAUUUUCAUCACUAGACAGACGGGACAAAACCACCAAGUCAGAACCAAUCCCGGUCCCAUUCGUCAUCCUUAUGGUUAUAGCUUGAGCAACCAAUCAGCUCCUAUAAACUCGCGAGUGACAAGAAAUCACUCGACUUUUACUGAGUCCUAUUUAGCAUUGCAGCUACUCAGCCUACCAUACUAGUGUUCAACCAAAGGUACCUAAGAUCAUGCAACUAGGUUUUCAAUCAACUCCUGUGAACGUAAAUGCACAAGCAUAGGUAUCAUAGACAUUGCAUGAAUUUAUAAAAUGCUGGGUUAUGCUCCAGGGCUUGCCUUCCUAUUCUAAGUUAGUGGGGAGCUCGUUGGAUGCUUCGUUGAUCUCCUGCUCAGCCUCGCGUGAUGUAGCUUGGCAGGUACUUCCUUGGCAGCAGGCGUCAACUCGUAGAUUCCGUCUGCGAGGUUCACUUCUACAUGAGAUUCAAAUGCAAUAGUUCAAGUUUCGAUGCUUUCACAUGCAGGAUGCAAAACAUGAAUUAUUGCUAAAGUGUAAAUUUUCAUUUCAACCACAUUCAUCUAAACAAAGUCCUGAACUUUCAUUAUCUUCAUGAAGUAAGGUGUGCUGUGAUAUAAAACCCGGGGUUGAUUUUGAUGGUGAUUGUGUACACAUCUAAGGUUUUACUAUUUAGACUUCAUAAAGAAAGGUGGGGUCACACUAGGGUUGCUCAAGGUUCAUUUGGAAAGUUAUCCUGUUUCUGAAUGUUUUUCUGUACCUCUUCCAAUAUCUCCCACAUUACCCUCACUAUUGUCUAAUGGUUUUUAUUCAUUUCCUUUUUGGGUUUAACUUCCAUAAAUGUUUCUGGUAAAUUCUGAUAAGAUAUGGUUCUGGAAAUUUUACAAAGGCUUCCUAAUCACAUCAGUGAGCUACUGUAAAAUUUUGGGAUGCAUUGGACUUCUAUCAACUUAAUUAAAAUUAAAACAGUACCCUAUGGUAGAUUAUAGGGAUCUACUUUUACUCAAGCUCCAGCGGCAGUCUAGCUCUGAUACUUUUACAGGAGAUUACACUAGUGUGACAGAGGCUUCUAUGAUUUUGCCAAGAUUUAUGGUGAAGGACAUCUAUUAUCCAAAUUUUUCCUUCAUUUGAACUUGUACAAAAAGUUAAGCCUGUUUCAUCAAGUUUCAUACAGUGACCAUUAUUUUCCCUAGCAAGUAUGUUUCAUUUGUGAUCCAACAAAAGUGGUUUCACAUUUUUCUCUGCCUUAAACCAUUUAUUAUGCAAAAAUAAAAUUUCACCCUUGAUUUCAAGGUUUAAACUAAAUCAGUGUGUUAAUUAUCUAAACUUGCAUCACCACUAUUUUAUUCAGCACAAGCUCAGCACAACAAAGCUAACAGAGGUGGAUUCAUCUUUUUAGCAUUUUUGUGUGAUUUACCAUGCAUCUAAAAAAAAUCUAGAGAAAAAAGGUAAGAGUUACAUGGCCAAUAUUUUUUUUCUGUGAAACUACUCAUCUCAAGGAUUCCAGAAAAGUUGGUUUGAAUUUUUAUCAAUUUUCUACAUUUACUUAUGCAUUUCCAAAGUUCAGGCUAUUUAAACCAAGUUAAAAAAUCAAAAAUGCCAAAACACUUUUACGCGGGCCCCUGGACAUUUUGAACUUCGACGGAACAGUCCCUACACUUUACACUACGGCCCCUGGAAAGACUCCAAUCGAAGCAAUGGGGUCCUCCCCCAGCCAAUGGCGGUUCCGGUCGGAUUCCGGCAAGGUCCAGCGGGGAUUUGAGCAGGAAAGUGUAGGGGCACGAUGGGGAGCUCACCUAGUGGCUAUGGGGUGAGACGGUGAUGGUGGAGGGUGACCGACGGCGAAGCUCAACGGUGGGGAAUGGACGGCAGUGGCAGCACAUCUCCUCUGGCGAGGUCGUCGGCGGAAAGGGCUUGGGGCGGCACGGGCUCCAUCAGUGGGGUGUGUGGGUGCUGCGGGUGGCUCAACGGGUGGUGGCACGGCGCGGGGGGGGGGGGGGGCUCCCAACGGCGGUGGAGCAAAGUAGAGCCAUGGCAAGGGAGAAGGCACCGGAAAGCUCUAGUGAGGCCUUUGGGGUGCCUUUUAUAGGCUCGGGGUUGUGAGGGGGAGGGCGAGGCGAUAAGGCCGGGCGGUGAGUGGGGACCGCUGCGCAGCGCGGCAUUGGCCAACGGCGAGGGUUGGGCGAAUGACGCCAUGCGGAGCUCGUGGGCGAUCUUCAUAGGGUUGGCUAGGAGGGAUUGCGAACGGAGAGAUUUGCCUUGUCGCGGCCAUGGGUUGGCUGAGCUAGGGAGCUCGAUUUGUCCCAUCAGCGUGGCAAGAGGCAUGGCAUGUGCGUGCGGCGAGGAGCGUCGCACGUAUUCGGUGGCCAAGAUACGGAUCGGAGGGCAGAUACGAGCGCGCACCAUCACAGGGCAGCUGCGGCGCUCGACUGUUCACGUUGCGGCAGGGGUUGGGCACGGAGCUGCACGGGUGCGGCGGUGCCACGCGGCAAACGGCGGUGGGGGCAACGCGGUGAUCGCGUACCGGGCACUGAGGUGGGAUGCGGUGGUGUGCGAAGGGGCUAGGUUUAGGCGCGUUUUGUUUAAAAUUUUCCAAAUAACUUGAAAAUAUUCUAAUAAAAAAGUUUUAGUGCUAGGUUCACACUUCAUCUUAUAGAAAGAUCUUAGGUUCAACACUCUUUUAAAUUUGAAGUUAUGUUAGGCCAAACUUCUCAGGAACACACGUUUUAAGGACUUAGGAUAUUAACUAGUUUCUAUGGAUUCGGCUGAACUUUAAAUUGAAUUUACUCCAAAUUUUCAAAUUAAAGUUGGACAACUCCAAAUGUAAAAGUUGUCAUCCAUGCUUCAGACUCCAACUCUUAGAAAGGGUUCAGGUCCAAAAUAGUUUUAGAUUUCAAGAUAAACAUAGAUAAAAUAAGGCCAAAAGGCUGUAUUCCACGACUUGGAGAUUUUAGAUUUGAGUUUGAAUUUGAACUGAACUUGGGCUCGAUUUUUGAUAGGGUUCCAGUGCAAACUAGCAAAAGUUCAAAUAAGCAAAGUUGUUUGUUUGAAAAGUUUUGCCACUCAUAUAUUGGCAAAAAUUGAAGUUGUUAAAUAAAAUUUUAAAAUUACAAAUUGCCUCCAAAUUAAGCUUUUAAAGGGCAUUUUGGUCCUUUUUAAGUACUAGAUUACUUCCAAACACUCUUCUUAGGCUUUGACAAGGUUAAUUGAAACUAGAGUUGUUACAUUUGGCUUGUGAUUUGUGGCUCUAAUCCUAUUUUCUUCCUUAAUGAAGGGCAUAGCUCCUACCAAUUUGGUUCAAAAAAAUUUUGUACCCAAAUACAAAGCAUUUUAGCAUCUCUUGGACAAGUAUUCAAUGAAUUUCUUUAAUACCACUCUUGUUUUCCCCAGCCAACUGCAUCUUAUCUGUUAACACGAGUGCUUUGAUGUUCUUCUUGGCUUGUGAUGUGUUGGUACUGAAUGCAACAUGGUGGUCGACGGCAACAGUGAAUGUAAAGUGAGUGCUCAUACAAAGGGACCAUACACGGUGAAGGAUCAUCAAGGGUUUGGGACUAAGGGAACCGAGGAGUCCUAGCGAGGCCAUGGGUGGUCUAUACGCCGUACAUGUGAAGAGCAAGAGUACAUAGGGAUCAAUGGAGAUGACAUCGAUUGAGUCAAGGAAAGAGAUGAUGGCAAGAUCACGUAGAUAUCCCGUACACAGCAAGCGUGAAAGGCUCGAAGGCAUCAAGGCUUUGCAAGAGGUCAGACACAGGUCUACAUUGAGAAGUAUGCAUAAUGGCUUUGUGGAGAAGUAUGCAUAAUGGCUUUGUGGAAAUGGACGGUUUGAUGGUUUGGGCCUCAAAACCAUCGGUACGGUGGGUUUCUUGUUUUGGCACAACAAAACUGGGGGCACUUCUUGUGUGCUGGAUGGCGGAGUCGAAGAUCAAAUUUUGAGGCAUUGAUCCUAAAGCUGCAUUGAGCCGUUUUUGGGUAGCUCAACGGUUUUUUUAUAACCAGUUUGUCCGAAAGCUUGUACCAGGUCAGCCAGUCAGAAGAUGGUCACCCACUUUCAACUAAUGUAUGGCAAACAAAUGUUUGCGUGUCUGCCUGUGGCUGAUUAUUAGGCUAGUCUCACUGCACAGUUUCACUGCACUGUCACUUAGACUGGGGACUAGGUAACUGUGCAUGUUGAGUAUCAUGGGGAUGAAACUCCUCUCACAUAUGAUGAAACUCCCCCUUCUCUCUCCUCAUAAAUACAUUGCCAAGUUAGCAAAAUUGCUGAUGUGGCAUGAAAUUUAAUGCCCAUGAAACUCUCCAUAAAACUCCCACUAAUACUAGCCUUACAGAUCUAGUUCUGGUGAUGAUCGGAUGAGCCUACUGUGGAAGAGCUCAUUAGAGAUGUCCGAAUCUUAAGAUACAGAGGAAUCCUUAUAUAAUGCUGUUAUCUCACUCCAUAUCUAAAAAGUAGGCACGGAAUAGAUAGAUAAAAUAACUGUUGAGUUUUAUCAGAAGUUUUGGAAAAUUGUCAAAGGGGGCUUGAUGCAAAAGUUUCAUAACCUACAUGCUGGAACCCUCAUCCUUUUCCAUCUCAACUUUAGAGUUAUAACAUCAAACCCUAAGCCUAGGAGUCGGCCGAGCCACAAAAGCACACCGAGUCGCCUCCUACCCAGAGCUAGGAGGUCGGCCGAGUGGCGAGGCACGCUGAGUCUUAUGUAGCGCCCAGUCCUCGAGCCGUGGAGGUCGACUGAGCGACAGGAGCAUGCGGAGCGACCUCCCGCCCUCAGCCCCCAUGGCUAGGAGGUCGACCGAGUGGCAGGAGCAUGGCGAUUCGCUUCCUGCCCUCGGGCCCCAAACCUGGGAGGUCAACUAAGCGGUUGGUGGCACGCCGAGUAGUCUCUAAGCUUUAAAAGAACCAUACAAAGAAUAUGUAGCAUAAUUUAGAGUAUUUAAUAGUUAAAUAACUUAAAGUUUUCCACAACUAGAAUAAAUUCAGUUGUAGAUAACAUAAUUAGCCCAACCGGGACAACUUUUAUGCAAGGACAUAACAUUCUAGAUGGAGUGGUCAACUUGAACAAAACUUGUCAUGAGUUGCAUCGAAACAAGCAAAGUGGCAUCAUACUCAAAAUUAACUUGAAAAAGGCUUAUGAUCAGGCUUUAUUGCGGUUCUUAUUGCAAACAAUUGUCGAAGCCCGUAGAGUCAUCUGUGGCACCCAGCCCUCGAGCCUGCGAGGUCGGCCGAGCGACGGGAGCACCCCGAGCCACCUCCCGCCCUCAACCCCCAAGACUGGGAGGUCGGGCAAUUGGUGGGAGGCAUGCCGAGUCAUCAGUGGCACCCAGACCCCGAGCACGGGAGUCGGCGUAGCCACGGAAGCACGCCGAGUCGCCUACCACCCUGAGCCUAGGAGGUCGGCCGAGCGGCGAGGCACACUAAGUUGUCUAUGGCGCCCAGUUCCCAGGCCUUGGAGGUCGGCCAAGCGGCAGGAGCAUGGCGAGUCGCUUCCUGCCCUCAGCCCCCGAGCUUAGGAGGUCAACUAAGUGGCAGGUGGCACGCCGAGUAGUUUCUGAGCUUUAAAGGAACAAUACAAAGUAGGAUAAUGUAGAAUAUUUAAUUAUUGAAUGACUUGAUGUCUUCCAGAAUUAGAAUAAAUUCAGUUGUAGAUAAUAUAAUUGGCCCAUCCUAGAUAGCUUUUACAUGAGUUGCAUGGAAAGAAGUAAUGUGGCGUUAUACUCAAAACUGACUUCGAAAAGGCUUAUGAUAUGGUUUGAUUGCCGUUCUUAUUGCAAACCAUUGUUGAAGCCCAUAGAGUUGUCUAUGGCGCCCAGCCCUCGAGCCUACGAGGUCGAUAAAGGGAUGGGAGCACGCUAAGCCGCCUCCCGUCCUCAGCCCUCGAGCCUUGGAGGUCGGUCGAGUGGCGGGAGGCAUGCCGAGUCGACUGUGACACCAAGCCCCCGAGCCUAGGAGUCGGCCGAGCCACAAAAGCACGCCGAAUCGCCUCCUACCUAGAGCUUAGGAGGUCGGCCGAGCGGCAAGGCACGCUGAGUCAUCUGUAGCGCCCAGUUCUCAAGCCAUGGAGGUCGACUAAGUGAUGGGGGCACGCCGAGUCACCUCCCGACCUCAGCCCCCAAGCCUAGGAGGUCGGCCGAGUGGCAGGAGCAUGGCGAUUCGCUUCCUGCCCUCAGCCCUCGAGCCUUCGAGGUCAGCUAAGCGGUUGGUGGCACGCCGAAUAGUUUCUAAGCUUUAAAAGAACAAUACAAAGAUUAUGUAGCAUAAUGUAGAAUAUUUAAUAAUGAAAUAACACGAAGUUUUCCACAACUAGAAUAAAUUCAGUUGCAGAUCACAUAAUUAGCCCAACCUGGAUAGCUUUUAUGGGAGGACAUAACAUUCUAGAUGGAGUGGUCAACUUUAUUAAAACUUUUCAGGAGUUGCAUCAAAAGAAGCAAAGUGGCGUCAUACUCAAAAUUAACUUCAAAACGGCUUAUGAUAAGGUUUGAUUGCCGUUCUUAUUGCAAACAAUUAUCGAAACCCGUAGAGUCGUCUGUGGUGCCCAGCCCUCGAGCCUGUGAGGUCGGCCGAGCAACCGGAGCAUGCCGAGCCGCUUCCGUCCUCAACCCCAAGCCUGGGAGGUCGGUCCAGUGCCGGGAGGUAUGCUGAGUUGUCAGUGGCACCCAGACCCCAAGCCUAGGAGUCGGCCAAGCCAUGGAAGCAUGCCGAGUCGCCUACCACCCUGAGCCUAGGAGGUCAGCCGAGCUGCGAGGCAUGCUGAUCGUCUAUGGCGCCUAGUCCCCGAGCCUUUGACGUUGGCUGAGCGACGGGAGCACGCCGAGUCCCCUCCCGCCCUCAGCCCCCGAGCCUAGGAGGUCGGCCGAGCGGCCGGAGCAUGGCAAGUUGCUUCCUGCCCUCCGCCCCCAAGCUUGGGAGGUCAACUAAGUGGUAGGUGGCACGCCGAGGAGUUUUUGAGCUUUAAAAGAACAAUACAAAGAUUAUGUAGGAUAAUGUAGAAAAUUUAAUUAUUGAAUAACUCGAAGUUUCCCAGAAUUAGAAUAAAUUCAGUUGUAGAUAAUAUAAUUGGCCCAUCCUAGAUAGCUUUUACAUGAGUUGCAUGGAAAGAAGAGAAGUGGCGUCAUACUCAAAACUGACUUCGAAAAGGCUUAUGAUAUGGUUUGAUUGUCGUUCUUAUUGCAAACAAUUGUCGAAGCUCGUAGAGUCGUCUGUGGCGCCCAGCCCUCGAGCCUGUGAGGUCGGCAGAGCAACGGGAGCAUGCUGAGCCGCCUCCCGCCCUUAGCCCCCAAGCCUGGGAGAUCAGUCGAGUGGCAGGAGGCACGCCGAGUCGUCUGUGGUACCUAGCCCCCGAGCCUGGGAGUCGGCCGAGCCACGAAAGCACGUCGAAUCGCCUCCCACCCAGAUCCUAGGAGGUCGGCCGAGCGGCGAGGCACGUUGAGUCAUCUGUGGUGCCCAGUCCCCGAGCCUUAGAGGUCGACUGAGCGAUGGGAGCACGACGAGUCACUUCUCACCCUCAGCCCCCGAGCCUAGGAGGUCGGCCGAACGGCAGGAGGAUGGCGAGUUGCUUCCUGCCCUCAGCCCCUGAGCCUGGAAGGUCAACUAAGCGGCAGGUGGCACACCGAGUAGUUUCUGAUCUUUAAAAGAACAAUACAAAGAUUAUGUAGCAUAAUGUAGAACAUUUAAUAAUUGAAUAACUCGGAGUUUUAUUUGCCAUGGAAGUAAAUUCUUGCAUGUUCUGCUCUUGUAGGCCAUGUAAUUUCCUCGGGUACUUAGCCUGUUACCUUUAAACAUCUAGCCUUGCUUAGCCACUGCUCAUAUAGUGUUGAGAGCAUAUCCAAAACUCGCUAGAGGAGGCGUCACAAGAUGAGUCGAGGUUUCACGGAUUAAAGCAUGUGUUACCUGAGUACUUUAGAAACCGUUAAGAGGAGACGGACAAGAUGCAAACUAGGUGGAACAAUGCGGAAAAGUGAAAGUGCGCGUUGAGCAUUCGUAGGGCGCAACCGCCGACUGCCCGUGUAGUGGAUGAACCAAGCUGUACAAGCAGUCAGGGUACAGUCACAAAGACACAUGAGAAUCGAGGCGUGUGGAGAUAUACGAAAGCCGUAAAAUACUUGAUUAAAAACAAGACUUAACUUGAUUUGUGGCCGACUUGGAGAAUCAGUGUGUCGUGCUCGAGCGGGCAGCCGUUGGUGAACAGUUGUUGAUGAAGCCAAUCGGGUUGGGGUGGUCAAAGUGGUUGGUGUUAUGUUGGGGGUUGCCAACUCGUCGAAGUGGUGCCAACCCACAUUGUCGGCGAUAUGAUCAUCGCUGCUAGAGUGCCGAUGUGGAUAAAGAGCCGCGAGCCAUCGUAGAGUUGGGCCUUCGGCUUCGUCAGGUGGGCCGCCUCGACAUCGUUCCGGCGGUGGCGCCGACCUCGAGACGACCUACCUGUGGUUGAUGAAUGCAUCGGUGUGGAGGUCACGCUCAGCACGUGCCAAAGGUGCAACUCCGUUGUUUAUGGAAUCCGCAAACAACACCAAUGAAGUAAGUAAUUUCCGUUAGCUUUCCUAGCAACCAAACAGAUUAAAGAAAAGUAACAUGCUUCCCUGCUGAGCUUGUUGAUUAGAUCCGAUCUUUCUAACAUGCGUACGUAGAUUAGGGUUGUAUGCUUAGUAGCACAUCAGUUUUUGACGUAGCAGAUCAGGAAUCCAGCUCGCCCAUUGCACGGGCGACUCGCCAUCUUCAAGUACAUGCGCCACCACACGUGGCACGUUCUUGGCGGCAACGAGGUCAUAGCACAACGGGCGCCGACAUCCCUGGCAUGUACCACCGCCAGAUUCAUUGAAGAAAACUGCCAUCGAGCUCGCUGGGAGAAUCUCACGAUCACCCCUAAUAGAUGGCAUGCCAACUAUCGGAUUUAGUGUCCAGCAAUCCAACCUGGGGGUGCCCGGAUGGUAGAUUUGUAGGUGGGGAGAUCGCAAGAAUAAGAAUUCGAAUGGUAAUGCAGGGACGCAAGGGUUUAGACAAGUUCGGGUCACCGAGGAGGUGUAACACCCUACUUCUUGUGUUCUGAUAGAUUGUAUUGCUAGUUUUAGUUGAGUUAGCCUCAGGGGGUGUCCCUAACUGCCUUAUAUAGGCUGACGACCUAGGAGUCGGAUUACAACGUGUAUCCCCUUGAUAUCCGAGUGAAAUCGAUUCGUCCAGCCUCUAGACUUGUGCUCCACGUGGCUUCAUGUCUUGCCCCAUACGCCAAGGUUAGGUGGGGCCCACUUGUCAGGCCGGGCAAAUCCCUGGUCGGUGGGGACUCCUGGGUACCAUAUCCCUCACUUUGAAUGAAAGUUUUUCGCCUAAGUGAAUAUCCUAGGUGCAAUCUUUUGUUUCGGGUGGAGUGUCUCACGUCGGACCUUAUUUUCAAAAAAAAAAGGUCUUUGGGGAUCCCAUAUCCCCUUAUUGUUUAACAUUUUAGCAGAUGUGUUAGCCAUCUUAAUCAAAAGAGCCAAAGCGGAUGGUCAAGUGUGUGGUGUGGUGCCCCAUCUAGUAGAUGGAUGUUUGUCUAUACUACAAUAUAGUGAUGACACUAUCUUUUUAUGGAUCAUGAUCUCGAAAAAGCUCGUAAUAUGAAGUUAUUGCUUUGUGCUUUUGAGCAAUUACCAGGGCUCAAAAAAAAUCACAAGAGUGAGAUUUUCUUCUUUGGUGCAGCACAAGAAGCAACGCCCCAAUACACUGAGCUAUUUGGCUGUUAUUCUUGUGAUUUCGCAAUGAGAUAUUUGGGUAUCCCUAUACAUUAUAGAAAGCUGUCAAAUACUGAUUGGAAAAGAGUAGAGGAGCACUUUGAAAAACGACUGAGCAGUUGGAAGGGCAAGCACCUCUCAACAGGUGGGCGGUUGACAUUGAUUAAUUCAGUGCUUAGUGACUUACCCAUGUACAUGAUGUCCUUUUACACCAUUCCUAAAGGAGUACUUAAAAAUGGAUUAUUUUCAGUCACGUUUCUUUUGACAAAGUGAUCAAGAGAGGUGUAAAUACCGACUCGCCAAAUGGGGUGUCCUAUGCUAACCAAAAGACCAAGGGGGUCUUGGAAUACACAACCUACAUAUUAAGAACAUAGCUUUGCUUAGCAAAUGACAUUAUAAGUUGCUUACAACAGAUGGAACAUGACAUGAAAUUUUACGCAACAAAUACCUAGACUCAAAGCCACUGUCUCAGGUUCAAUGAAAAAUUGGGGACUCACAUUUCUGAGCUAAUCUUACGAAGGUCAAACAUGAUUUCCUUUAUUUUGGAGAAUAGAACACUUUGUGAACAAUAUCGUCCUUGUCUCUGUAACAUAGCCCGCAAUAAGCAAGACACUGUAGCCGGCGUUAUAGGAACCUCACAACCUAAUCUAUCAUGGCGUAGAGACCUAAGUGGAAAUAUGUUGGUGGUGUGCUUCGCUAAUAUAGUUUUGACAAUGGAAGAGGAUUAGUUUCGCUGGAACCUACUCUCUACUGCACAGUUCUCAGUCAAAUCUCACUUUUUGGCAAUGAUCCAUAAUGAUGUCCCUAACAUUAACAAACCACUAUAGAAAUUAAAAGCGCCUUUGAAAAUUAAGGUCUUUUUAUGGUACCUUCGUAAGGGUGCAAUAUUAACAAAAGAUAACUUAGCUAAGCACAAUUGGAAGAGUAGCAAGCAGUGUUGCUUUUGUCAAAAAAAUGAUACAUGUUAGGAGCAUGCCUAGGAUCUCUAGAUGCAUAUCUAGUCGGGAUCACAAUCAACAUGAACGUGUUGGGGUUUCUGGUGUCAACCAAGAGCGACAGAGAGAGAGAGAGAGAGAGAGAUGAGGGUACCUUCACCCCUAGGGGUGGAAGCACCAGAGCUACUGGCCAUCGCGGGUUCUGUCGUUCAAGAUCUGCGCAAGGCACCGACGUGCAGUGCAGUUGCGUUGCCGGUGCGGUGGCGGUGGUGCUUCCCGUCGCUACUGCGCAAAACCUAGAUCGGUAGGUGUGUCGGUGGGGCGGCUGGCAGCGGCGAACCUCGUGAGCCGAGCCGUGGUCCCCACCCUGUUUAUAUAGCGCAGCGUGACAGGGGCCUACCACCCAAUGCUAGGGUGGGCGCCCCGAUCAGGGCACGGAUCAAAGGUCCCUAUGGGCCUUUGGGCCCAUCAUUUACUUUUAACUUUACACUUUUCACUUUUAUUCGUUUCAUCGUAGAUUAAUGCGUAGAGCAUGUCUCAUUGUCACAGCUUAAUCGCUGAUAGAAUCAACAGCUACAACACACCUUUCUAUUUUGAAACAAUUCUAUUUCUUUUGGGCCCUUUACAAUCCAGGAAUCAUAGGCUUUCCCUAAAAUCCAUGCCGGCUAAGUGUUCUCUGAACACAUUGGGUGGUAAGCCUUUCGUAAGCGGAUCCGCAAGCAUAUCCUUUGUUCUUAUAUGCUCGAGACUUAUAGUGCAAUCCUGGAUUUUGUCUUUCACAAUAUAAAACUUUAUCUCAAUGGUUUUGAAAGCAUUGCUUGAUUUAUUGUUGUGAGCAUAGAAUACUGUUGGCAGUACAUCUUUAGUGGUCUGUGAAUACAAUCAACCACUCUCAAUCCGGGUAUAAAUUUCUUUAACCACAUCGCCUGCCCCGUGGCCUCAUGACAUGCUAUAAAUUCUGCAUGCAUCAUGGAUGACGCAGUUACUUUCUGUUUUGAGCUUCUCCACGAGAUAGCUCCUCCUGUGAGAGUGAACACGUAACCAAACGUGGAUUUUCUAUCAUCUUUGUCUUCCGCAAAAUCUGCAUCUGAAUACCCUUUUAUCUCUAGGGAAUCAGAUCUCUUAUAUGUAAGCAUGAGUUCUUUUGUGCCUUGCACGUAACGCAAUGCUUUCUUUACCAUCUUCUAGUGCUCUACACCUGGAUUACUUUGAUAUCUUCCAAGAACCCCGGUGACAAAAGCUAAGUCAAGGCGAGUACAUACUUGAGCAUACCGUAGGCUUCCGACAGCUGAAGCAUAUGGAACCGCUUUCAUUUGAUCGAUCUCGUACUGGUUCCUAGGACAUUGAAAAUUCUCAAAACUGUUGCCCUUGACUAUGGGAGCAGGUGUGGCUUUACUCGCAUGCACAUUAUACUUCUUUAGAAUCUUUUCUAAAUAUGCCCUUUGCGAUAAUCGAAGAACCCCAUUCUUUCUGUCUCGGUGAAUUUCUAUGCCAAAAACAUAUGAUGCUUCACUGAGAUCCUUCAUAUCGAAGUUUGAGGACAAAAACUUCUUUGUCUCUUGCAGUAGACUGAUAUCACUGCUCGCAAAUAAGAUAUCAUCCACAUACAGAAUUAGAAAAAUGUAUUUCCCAUUUUUGAACUUUGCAUAGACGCAAUUGUCCUCUAUGUUCUCUUGAAACCCAAAUUUCUUAAUUAUAUCAUUAAACUUUAGAUACCACUAUCUAGAGGCUUGCUUUAAUCCAUAAAUGGAUUUCUUUAGAUGACAUCCCAUAUUCUCUUUGCCUUCCAUGAUAAAACCUUUGGGUUGUUUCAUGUAGACAUUUUCUUCCAAAUCCCCAUUUAGAAAUGCCGUCUUUACAUCCAUCUGAUAUAACUCUAAGUCAAAAUAUGCAACCAAUGCCAUUAUGAUUCUGAAGGAGUCUUUACAUGAGACAGGAGAAAAAGUCUCAUUGUAAUCUAUUCCUUCUCUUUGUGUAAAGCCUUUUGCCACAAGUCUCACCUUAUACCUUUCUAUAUUCCCUUUGGAGUCACGUUUAGUCUUGUAGACCCAUUUACAGCCUACUGUUUUGGCUCCUUUAGGAAUUUCUUCAAGUUCCCAAACUUUGUUGGAACUCAUUGAUUUCAUCUCAUCUUCCAUGGCCUCUAGCCACUUUGAUGAGUGGAUGCUUUUCAUGGCUUCUUCAUAUGAAGUGGGAUCACCUUCCAUAUGAACUUCUUCUGUAUUAUAAACUUUAUAGUCAUUAGAAAUAGCCGAUCUUCUGACUUUUUGAGACCUUCUAGGCCCCUCACUUACAGGCACAUUCUGUGCCUCUGCUUGUGGCACAUCAUCCAGAGGUGGCUGCUGCAACUCUUCCUCGUGUGUAAUAAUGGAUUCAAUUGGCUCCUGAAGGACAGGUUCCAGAUUUUCACUCAUCGUUUCCACGGGUGGAAUCACAGUAGGUGCUUGCACCACAAUAUCAGGAACUGUAGCGGGUGCUUGCACCACGACCUCAGGAACUAUCGGUGCGGGAACAACAGGUAGUGAGAAGAAUGGUUCCUGAAUCAUCGGAUUAGGUGCACACACCCGCUUCUCCUCGAGAUCAAUCUCUCGAGCCACCAUGCUCCCCCUCACCAUUUCAUCCUCUAAGAAAAUGGCGUGUCUCGUUUCUACAAACUUUGUGUAUCUGUCUGGACAGUAGAAAUGAAAACCUUUUGAUUUUUCUGGAUAGCCAAUGAAAUGGCAGCUUACUGUUUUGGGAUCUAGUUUCCCAAUAUUUGGGUUAAAUACUUUGGCCUCAGCUGGGCUACCCCAAACACGUAGAUGGUUUAGUGAGGGUACUCUUCCUAUCCAUAGUUCAUACGGUGUUUUGGGCACCGACUUACUUGGCACUUUAUUUAGAAUGUGAAUGGUGAUUUUCAACGCCUCCAUCCACAGUCCCAAUGGUAAGGUGGAAUAACUCAUCAUGUUGCGCACCAUAUCCAUCAGUGUACGGUUAUGCCUUUCUGCUACUCCAUUUUGCUGAGGCUCGCCCAGCAUCGAAUACUGGGCUACUAUGCCAUUUUCCUGCAAAAACCUCGCAAAAGGUCCAGGAACUUGGCCAAAUGGGGUAUGUCGACCAUAGUACUCCCCCCACGGCUGGAUCUUACUAUUUUAAUUUUUUUGUUAUGCUGAUUUUCAACUUCAGCUUUAAAUAUCUUAAAUUUAUCCAACACUUCUGAUCUUUCUUUAAUUGGAUAAAUAUAAUCAUAAUGGGAAUAAUCGUCUGUGAAUGUUAUGAACGAGUCAUAGCCAUCCACGCUUUUCACGGGAAAUGGUCCACAAAUAUCAGUGUGGAUUAUCUCUAAAACUCCUGUGCUACGUUUAGCGCCUCUUUUAAUUUGCUUUACAAACUUUCCUUUAAUGCAAUCUAUGCAUUGUUCUAAGUCUAAGAACUCUAAUUGCGGAAGAAUUUCAUUCUUAACUAGUCUUUCUAUUCUCCCCCUCGAAAUAUGGCCUAAAUGAUAGUGCCAUAAUUUCGACGAUGUUUCAUGAGUUCUCUUUCUUUUCUUUGUUUCUUGCUCUGACGAGGAUACAUUCAUAUUCGCAUCACAUACAGAAUUUACUUUUUCACGCAGUGAUAAUAAAUACAACUCAUUGUGAAGGAUGGCAACACCAACACAUGCAUUAUCAAACUAAAUGGCACACUUUCCAUUUCCAAAAUGACAUUCAUAUCCAUCAUGGUCCAUACGUGAAAUGCUAAUCAAGUUUCUGUGUAACGAAGGAACAUAAAGUACAUCUCUAAGUACAAGCGUGAAACCAUCAACUAGCUCUAGAGAGACAUCGCCAACAACUUCAACAUCUUCUUGGACUCCAUUUGCGACUUCAACGCAUCUUUCGUUUCUUUGCGUAGUCCUCGUCGAACAGAAUCGUUGUAAAGAAUUUGCAACAUGAACAGUUGCACCUAAGUCAAUCCACCAAGUAGAUUUCGAAUACUAUGUAUACAAGGAUUCAUUUACAAAGGAGAUAGUGUUCUCACCUCUUUUUGCCAUUAUUGACUUCAACCAGUCAGGGCAUUCUUUCUUGUAAUGCCCCUUUUUCUUGCAGUGGAGACACUGAUCUUUGUCUACUGUGAGAGGCUUUUGGUGAUGCUGCUGCAUGGGAGCCUUUCCUCAUGCCUUGAAAGAGGAGUUAGCAUUCUUUUUCCUGUUGUCCUUCACAUAGUGCAAUGAACCACCAUAUGAGGAUCUAAUUCUAUCCUAUUCCUACACGCACAUGGCUAUCAUCUUUUCCAUGUCUCACUAUUCUGGCUGCAUGUUGUAGUUGACAACAAAGGUGUCAAACUCUUUUGGCUGGGAAGCAAAAACCAAAUGAAUAAUGUGCCCAGGCUUGAGCUCAAGAUCCAUUGGCUUCAACUGUGAUGCCAAGUUAUACAUCCUCAAGAUGUGCUCUCUUAUGCCAGUUCCUCCUCCAGUGUACCUCUCUAUGGCCAGCUGCUUGAACAGCUGGGUAGCAUAUAUCUUUGAGGAACUAGUGAACUUAUUCCUUAUCUUCUCUAGGUACUCUACGACAGAGUCACACUCUGUGAUCGAGCCCAAAAUUGCAUGCUCAAUCGUAUUCUUUACCAAAGCCAUACAUUUCUUGUUGGCAGUGGUCCACUGUUUGUUUUCAAGGGUAUAUGCCAACUCUAGUGGAGCAUAAUCCCUUUCCUUUUGCUGCCACGCAGCAUCAUCAUCACCUUCAGCCCUCACUGGCUUCUCUGGAGCUUUUGGCCGCGGUGUAGUCACCACCCAGUCAACUUCUCCACAAGCGAAGGAAAAAUCAAUCUUCUUCCUCCACUCUACAUGGUUGUCUCCUCUUAGAGUAGGUAUCUCUUUGAGACAAGCCAUCAAGUUGAAUCCUCCUGAAAUUUGCAAUUCAAGAUGAGAUCAUAAGAACAAUUGCAUGAUUUAUUUCCAACGUUGGUCAAAAAAUAAAACAUACAACUGUUUAUGCAAUUUAAAUCUAUAUCACCGUUGGGCAGAAAUAGAAAUAAAAGCAUGAAAAUUUUUUAAAUCAUGAUACAGUUAUUAACAACGUUGGUCAGAAAAUAACAGCAUCCUUAUCUAACUUUUUAAGAAAAAAUUAACUUUAUCAUGCUCUCAUAAAUUUAAUUAUCUCAUUGGUUCAAAUUAAAUUUAAAUAGAGCAACAAAUUAAACUUUUGCAGUGGAAACUGUGAAAUAGUUCUAUUUUCAGAAGAAAAAUUACUGUAUAAACUUUAUUAAUCUCUAACACAAAUUAUCCUGUUGGUUCAAAUUUGAAUGGAGAUCAAAACUGUGCAAAAAUCACAAAAAAAAUGUCUUUGAAAAUAGAAAAUAAAAAAUGUCAAGCGUUACUGUGCAAAACUUUCUUUUCGGCCCAGCAGCGAAAACAGCCCACAGCCCGUUCCCGCGCUCGGCCCGCUCACGCGACGCGGCCAGCCCACUCGUGAGCGUGGCCUGCUGGCCUUUGGCCCAACAGCCGCGGUUCGCGCGUGGCAGCCCUGCCGGCCGGUUUUGGGCCGCAACCUGGUCCCAUGCCGUGAUUCCGGCCUGCCAUCACCACCCGCCUGGGCCACAUCUGGCCUUGACGAUUCCAACCGUUGAUCGAAUCGGACGGCCGAGCGUUGCUUUCGGCGGAACAAAAACCGCCUGAACGGCCGGCUCCCCCCAAACCUAGUGCCAUUUUGUUCCUCUUGUUGGGAUACGAGGUAGGCUACACUAGCGCAAAUCAAAAUUUCUACCACGUAAAACCAGGAAGAACUGCCGUAUAAGGAUCACGGGAUUACCACUCGACGCACUACUGGUGCGGAAGAUGUAGAUUUGCGUCGAUGCAGCGAAGACGAUCAACAUAGUCGUACGUAGUCGAUCAACAUAGUCGUACGUAGUCGAUCAACGUAGUCAUACGUAGUCGAUCACGUCAACGUCCAGCAGCUCCUUAGCAGCUCGUCCACGUGCAGCAAGAUCGUCCUCAUGCCGCGGCUCAUCGUCGGCUUGUCGUGGCUCGUCGGCGGCUCGUCCAAGUGCUGCAGGCGCAACACCUCCAAGGUAUCCACACGUGCAGGGAGGAAGCAUCGCAAGCCGGACUGCUAGAUCCGUGAGUUGCAACAGGCGAGGGCGUAGGAGGCGCGUCAGAUGUGUUUCGCCAAAAAGGUGUAAACCCUAGGGCGCCCCACCCCUCUAUUUAUAGAGGUUCCUAACGAGCCUCUGGGUCCGAGGCCCAUUAGUACUUCUAAACCUAAUCCAACUCGGAUCACAUCCGAAUUGGGCUUCCAGCCCCUUAAGUGUGUGACCCUAUGGGUUCGGAUACAUAUAGACAUGGCCCGAGUACUCCUACUCGGCCCAAUAGUCGGUAGCGGCCUCUAGCAAGACGUGCCAACUCCUAUACGCACACGAAGAUCAUAUCAGACGAACCUUCACAACAUAAUAUACAUGCUAUUCCCUUUGCCUCACGAUAUUUGGUCUAGCUUCAAGCCGACCGCUCUUUCUCGAUCCUGUGACUCGGAAUCCCUUUGUAGGUUAACUCUUAACCGUACAUAGCAUGGCCAUGCAUUUUUGGAUCCGAUCACUCGAGGGGCCCAGAGAUAUCACUCUCAAUCAGAGAGGGGCAAAUCCCAUCUUGAUUGACCAUGUCUCAUAGCAUGCUUCUUGACAAACCUGAAAGCUACCUUUAUAACUACCCUGUUACGGCGUAGCGUUUGAUAGCCUCUAAGUAGGUCGAUCCACAUCUUGAAUACAUGCGACAAUCUCAGUGUGACGACCGGCCCCAAAUCUCCCAGGUUAAUCUUAAUCCUAUCCCCUGAUCAUCUGUCUAGUUUGCCGCGCCUGAGUGUUCAACCUUCCAACCGGUCCCGACCCCUGAGACCCGACCCCUCCCCGCCUUGCUUCGGUUCCGACCCCGCCAAAACCAGCCCACCGUCGGAUCCUUCUAAGUCUUUCCCAAAACGUCCGUUCUAUCUGACCAGUGGACCCGGGAGAUCUUUUUUCCCCCAGAUCUUCCGCGACAGGCGCACUCGAGUUGCAUGCCCGCUUCAGAGUCUCCCCGCCGCGUGGCUCAUCUUCUCCGACGCCCGCCGCUCAGCCUCGUUUCUGACCCGCGACCGAAUGGAUUCUCGCGCCCCCUUCCCCAAUGGCAGCGGAAGCCCCUCUGCUACCUUUCUGCAGCGCCUCGCCUCCCGCGCCCAUCAUCACACCGCCAGAUCCCGGCCGCAGAGCCCGAUGUCGCCCAUCUUUUCCGUCACUUCAAACACAGUCGCGCCGCCUGGUCUUUGCUACCCGACGAUUCCUCCUUCGCCAACCCCGACCACGGCAGCGAGAGCUCCUUUCCCCACCCUGUCAGAAGCAGCCCAACAAUCUGUUGCUCCGCGCUCGCCCGCGCACCCACGGCUGCCUGUCUUCUCACCUGUGCGCCCUCGAUUCUAGCGUCGUUAACCCGGUCGCGUCCAUCAAAUCUACCGCAUGACGACGCCCGCCUCCGCCAAAUCUCAACCACCGGCAUACCCGCUCCUGCGCCGCCCUGACGCUAGAGCCCAAUGACCGCUGGCGUCAUCCCCGAAGUCCUGCACCACCGCCCUCGUCGCUCAAUCGCCGCCCCGGCAGAGCACUCCAUUGCUUCUCCCCGGCCUUCGCGCCGCUCCCCUUCUCGCUCCUGCGCCGCUUCCCUUCCCCAUCCCAGCCGCUAUAAAAGGGAGUGCGUGAGCCCGCCGGAGUUCCCUCCGCCAUUGCUGCCUUCCACCAUUUCUCUUGCUCCCUGCUCAAGCUCCUAUCGCCACACCCUAAGUUCCUGAGGAACUCUCCUCUCAGCUCCCCUCCGUUUUUCCCAAGCCACCCAGCCGCUUGCUCCUCCAUGCCGCGUAAGAGCUCACUUGUGAUCCACAAGAAGCACCGCCGCCGCCGGAGCACUGCCGGACUUAGCCGUUGUUCAAAGCCUUAGUCCCUCCGCCCAAGUCUGCUUCUUCCCGACCCCAAGCUUUCCUUGUAGGAAGAAGGUAAGAUGCCGACCCCAGUCCGCUUCGCCCGACCCCUCUUAUCCUCCUGACCCCGGUUCCGUCUCGCCCGACCCUAUCUGUUCCGCCGACCCCUAUCCACCUCGCCCGAGGGCUCGGCUGUGAUCUUUUCUUCAAACUGAGGGUGUAUGUGUAAAACUUGGGAACCCUUCAACGCUUGCGUCUGAGGAUCCCUAGUAUACCAAAUCCUCUAGUUGAAGGAUCAGAUCAUAAGUUUCUUUACAACCCUUACCUUUCCAUCUCCACCAACUCCUUUGAACCUCCCCACCCUCCUGCUCUUUGUCGCGAGUUUCUGGGCUUAGAAGUGCAAGUGUUGCUGUUGAAAUAACCGUCUAUGCUGACUCUUGCAUUGCAUUCGUGUAGAGCUGCGCCUCGCCGACGGCUUCUACGAGCUACACCCAGCGCCAGAACACGAAGCUGUAGCUGAGCUCCUGCCCCAAGAAGCCGAAGCCGCCCCCGAAGUCGAGCAGUUCUCUUCCUCCUUGCUCAAAGGCAAGCCCCGGUUGCAUGAAAACCCUGUGUUGUUUCCAAACUUGCGCAUGCCUUCCUUAAACAUGCUUGUGCAUUUACGUAUAGGAGUUAGUUGAAACCCUAGAUGCAUGACCUAGUUUCCUAUGAUCUGAACAGUAGCUGUUGGACCGAGUAGCUGCUUGCUUAACUAGGAGACGGUAAAAGCCAAGUGAUUCCCUGUCACUCGCGAGUUGUAGGAGUUGGAUGUCUACCCUUCUGUUACAACUAUAAGGAUGAUGGACGGGGCAGGGUUUGGGUAACUCUUUGGUGGUCGGAUGAUCGCCCCGUCUGUCUAUGAAAACUUGCUAAGGCCCGAUAGUGGUGGUGUUUGUGAUCAAGUGUUUGAAAGUACUAACCUCAUACUUAGUAUGGGAUGAGGAAGCCUAGUACCGGAUUGAACCUAGAUGUGAGCGGUCGCCCCAUUGUUCUUGGAACGGAGUUUCUCCUGCUGGUUGUCGCACGUGGUAGCAAGCGUGGUCACAGAACGGCAGAGGCCAGGUCUGUGGAACCUUGCACCAAAGGAAAUGGGCUCGACACGGGUUAGGGGAUUGAUGGGGAAGGCCGACACAGGAAGCGACCUCCGGGUGCGCGGAUGUCGUGAGGUUAGGUUCACCAUGCAUGGUUAAAGAACUCGAAUCGAUUCGUCUGCCCCUCACAGUUUGAGAUUGCUUGAUCGCUAUGUCACCCUGAGUAAAUGAGGAAUCUGAUGAUGACAUGGUUUUGUUGAUAUAUCCACAUAUCUUGUUUGGUUCUAUGAUUGCUUAGAAUAGGUUGCAAAACCUAGACCGGUUAAUGAACUUAGAACCGGAGCUAAAACUUGAAAAUAGGGUAUUACUUAGCGCUUUUGGCAAACAAACCCUUAGCCAAAAGGCCCUGCAUGUCUAGAAGUGUGGAGUAGUUUCUCCCGUCGGUUAAGUCUUGUUGAGCUUAGUAGCUCAGCCUUGUUGUGGCUCCUGUUUUUCAGGUGAAGUUGCUGCCCCGACCCUUCUCCCAUUGGCACUUGGCCGCCCCAGCUCCCUCCGGGUUGGACGGUCGAGUGGGAUCCCUCCUCGGACGGCGAGGAGAGGGAUCAGUGAUGUCCCGGCUGGCCUCACCAGGACGUCCGACCCCGGCGUUUGCUUCCGCUAGUGGUGUUAUUUUCUUUGUCUUUCUGGAAAUCCUGUAAAACUCUGAUGUUUAUUUCGCAACUAAACCAAGUGGUUAAUUUGUUAACUCAGUGGACUUGUUGUACUCUCUGGAACCGCUCACCUCCGUGUGAGUCUGCUAAAAUGGUCCUGUUCAAGUGGUUAAAUCGGAGGAAAAUCCGACGGCACUUCGUAUUUACUCGGUUUAGGCAUGAGCAUCGCGUAUCACGCGGCUGAAUCAUGUUUAACCAAGUAGAUUCGAUGUGGAUCCGCCACACUCAGGUCUAAGGACAAAGCGUAUAUGUUGUUUAUAGAGAGAACUACUUCUCGUGUUGGGUCAGUCCUAGCACAUGUCUCCACAUGUGCCCACAUUAUUAGUUCAACAUCUCCAUGUCCAUGACUUGUGAAACAUAGUCAUCAACUAAUACAUGUGCUAGUCUAAUAUUCAUGUGUGUCCUCACAUGAACUCUGACUAGGGACAACUUUAGAAUAACCAUACAAGUAAAGAGUUUCACACACAAUUCACAUAAUUGCAAAUUAAUUCAAGUAGCCUUUGAUGGAUAUUCAAGGAACACAAUAUAAAUCAUGGAUACAAAUGGAAUAUCAUCAUCUCUAUGAUUGCCUCUAGGGCAUACCUCCAACAGUCUCCCACUUGCACUAGAGUCAAUCUAGAAGGUACCUAAUACCCAUAGCUCUUACAUGCGCAUCAUGCUUAGCCUGCGGGAGUGGUUUUGUCAACGGAUCAGAAAUGUUCAGAUCCGUGUGUAUUUUGCAUAUCUUGAUCUCACCCCGGUUAACGAAGUCUCGAAUGAGAUGAAAUCGCCGCAUUACGUGUUUGUUCUUCUGGUGGUUCCUUGGCUCGUUUGCUUGCGCAAUUGCCCUAUUGUUAUCACAGUGGAGAUUCGAUGGGCUGGACGCAUUCGGGAACACACCAAGCUCAAUGAGGAAAUUCCUUAUCCAAACACCCUCCUUCGCGGCUUUCGAAGCCGCGAUGUACUCGGCUUCUGUCGGAGAAUCGGCCACCGUCUCCUGCUUGGAACUCUUCCAACUAACAGCACCACCAUUUAGCGUGAACACAAAUCCUGAUUGUGACUUUGAAUCAUCUCUGUCGGUUUGGAAACUAGCAUCGGUGUAACCUGUUACAACGAGCUCCUCCUCACCUCCAUAGACGAGGAACAUAUCUUUAGUCCUUCUCAAGUACUUAAGAAUGUUUUUUCACCGCUGUCCAGUGACUCUAACCUGGAUCAGACUAGUGUCUCCUUGUCAUACUUAGCGCAUAUGAAACAUCUGGGCGAAUACUUAUCAUUGCAUACAUGAUAGAUCCAAUAGCCGAGGCAUAUCGCACUCUACUCAUGCGAUCCCGCUCAUCAGCAGUCGAAGGACACUGAGUCUUGCUGAGAUGUAUGCCAUGUGACAUAGGCAAGAACCCUUUCUUUGCCUCUUCCAUGCUGAACCGCUUCAACACUUUGUCAAUGUAAGUACCUUGGCUUAAUCCUACAAGCCUUCUCGAUCUAUCUCUAUAGAUCUUAAUGCCCAGAAUAUAUGCCGCUUCCCCUAAGUCCUUCAUCGAAAAACUAUUUUUCAGUGAAGUCUUUAUGGACUCAAGCAUAGGAAUGUUAUUUCCAAUAAGCAAUAUGUCAUCCACAUAUAAGAUUAGAAAUACUACAGAGCUCCCACUAACCUUCUUGUAAACACAAGACUCUUUUUCGUUCUUGGUGAAGUCAAACCCUUUGACCACUUCAUCAAAACGAAUGUUCCAACUCCUAGAUGCUUGCUUCCAUCCAUAAAUGGAUCUCUGAAGCUUGCAUACCUUUCCAGCAUUUUUCGGAUCGACAAAACUCUCAGGCUGUAUCAUAUACACGUCCUCAGCUAGGUUUCCAUUUAGGAAAGCUGUCUUGAUAUCCAUCUGCCAUAUCUCAUAAUCGAAAUAUGCAGCUAUAGCUAGAAUAAUCCAAAUGGACUUAAGCAUCACUACGGGCGAGAAAGUCUCGUCGUAGUCAACUCCUUGAACUUGUUGAAAACCUUUUGCGACAAGUCGUGCUUUAUAGAUGUGAACAUUUCCAUCCAUGUCCUUUUUCUUCUUAUAGAUCCACUUGCACUCUAUGGCUUUAACACAAUCAGGUGGGUCAACCAAGUUCCAAACUUGAUUGUCUCCCAUGGACUCUAUUUCGGAUUGCAUGGCACUCUGCCAUUUUUCAGAGUCUGGGUCCAUCAUUGCUUCUGCAUAUGUCGUAGGCUCAUCAUUGUCCAACAAUAAUAUUUGCCGCAUUUCGCGGAGCCUUGCCGACCUUUGUGGUUGUGGCGGUGCUUCUCUUGCCAUGGGUAUCUCAACUUGUUCUGCUACGUUAGCAUCACUCAUUGAUUCUUGCCCGAUCGGCUCAUCUUGAACUUCUUCAAGAUGCACUGUCUUUCCACUCUUUUCUCCUUUGAGAAACUCUUUCUCUAGGAAAACCCCGUUCCGAGCGACAAACACUUUGCCCUCUGACCGGUUGUAGAAAUAAUAUCCCAAAGUUUCCUUUGGAUAUCCCACAAAAAUGCACUUAUCCGACUUGGGUGUGAUCUUGUCCGACUGAAGUCGCUUGACAAACACUUCACAUACCCAAAUCUUUAGAAAAGACAAACUAGGAACCUUUCCGGUCCAUAUCUCAUAUGGUGUCUUAACUACGGAUUUAGAUGGUACCCUAUUAAGUGUGAAAGCUGCUGUUUCUAGAGCGUAUCCCCAAAAUGACAACGGUAGGUCCGACUGGCUCAUCAUUGAUCGAACCAUGUCUAACAAAGUUCGAUUAUGUCGCUCGGAUACACUGUUUCUCUGAGGUCUUCCAGGCAGCGUAAGUUGUAGAACAAUUCCGCAACUCUUUAGAUGAUUGCUAACCUCGUGGCUCAAAUACUCACCUCCACGAUCAGAUCGUAAGGCUUUAAUUUUCUUGCCACGCUGAUUUUCAACUUCAUUCUGAAAUUCCUUGAACUUUUCAAAGGUUUCAGACUUGUGCCUCAUUAAGUAGAUAUAGCCAUAUCUACUAAAAUCAUCUGUGAAAGUUAUGAAGUAUUGGAAUCCUCCUCUAGCCGUCGUGCUCAUUGAUCCGCAUACAUCGCUAUGUACGAGUUCCAACAAGUCUACUGCUCUCUCAGGAAAUCCUGUGAAAAGGCGUCUUGGUCAUCUUGCCUAGCAAGCAAGCCUCACAUGCCUCAUAUGAUUCAAAAUCAAACAAAGUUAGAAGUCCAUCAGAAUGAAGUUUCUUCAUGCACUUUUCACUUAUAUGACCCAAACGACAAUGCCAUAAGUAGGUAGGACUCAAAUCAUUAGGGCGAGGCCUUUUAGCACUUACGUUACGGACAGGUGAACCAUCAAGAUUUAAAAUAAAUAAUCCAUUCACAAUGGGUGCAAAAGCCAUAAACAUAUCAGUCUUAGAGAUCACACAACCAUUGUUUUCACUCGCAAAUGAAUAACCAUCCUUCAUCAAGCAUGAAGGAGACAAAAUGUUUCGACUUAAAGUAGGAACGAAAUAACAAUUAUUCAACUCCAUAAUGAAUCCUGACGGGAGGUGGAGUUGCAUCGUCCUGACGGUCAACGCAGCAACUCUUGCAUUAUUGCCCAUGCGGAAAUCAACUUCUCCUCUUUCCAUGCUUCUACUUCUUAUCAUUCCCUGCAUCGAAUUGCAAAUAUGAGCAACCGAUCCGAUAUCAAAUACCCAAGAAUUAAUAAUUGUAUCAGCGAGAAAUAUGUUGUCCAUAACAUUAACAACAAGCGUACCUGAGGUAGAAGUACUCUUACUUCCGCCAUUCUUCAACGAAGCUAGGUACUGCUUGCAGUUUCUCUUCCAGUGACCAAGUUCAUGACAGUAAAAGCACUCUUUGUCUGGAGCAGGUCCAGGUCCAGCUUUAACCUUGGGCGCUGGGUUUGGCUUGGACGUUCCAGCCUUGCCCUUCUUCUUAAAGCUAGGCUUGUUCUGUAUAGCCAUCACAUGGCUGGUACUAGCGCUUUUCUUGAUGUCAGCCUCUGCUAUUUUAAGCAUGCCACAUAGCUCAUUCAGACCCUUCUCCGUCCCAUGCAUAUGGUAGUUCGAGAUGAAGUUCCCAUAGCUAGACGGAAGAGACGAAAGAAUGAAAUCAGUGGCCAACUCUUGGCCUAGUGGGAAGCCCAGCUUCUCCAACCGUUGAGUGUAACCAACCAUCUUGAUUACGUGUGGUCCUAAUGCUGCGCCUUCUGCUAGCUUGCUCUCCACAAAGGCCUUAGACACAUUGAACCUUUCAGUCUUGGCCUGUGUUUGGAACAUGUCUCUAAGCGCCAUGAUCAUAUCGUGGGCCUCAUGGUUUGUUUUGAACUGCAUCUGCAGCUCGGGUUCCAUGCAAGCAAGCAUAAGGCAGCUUACUUCGAGGUUAGCAUCACAUGCUUUCCUGUAAGCAUUCUUAGCAGCAGCGGGUGCAUCAUCAGCAGGUUCUUCUGGUAGUGGGUUGUCUAGAACAUCUUCCUUUUUCUCAGCCCUAAGAACAAUUCUCAGGUUACGGAUUCAAUCCGAGUAAUUUGUUCCAUUCAACUUGUCCUUCUCAAGGACCGAACGCAAAGCAAACGGUGUAGUGCUGCUAGGUGCCAUUUAAUCUACAACAAAAGUAAUGCAAAAUACACUAAGACAAACGUAUCCAUGAUAGAGAAAAUCACAUUAAACUAUUUUAACAGAUCUACUCCCACUAAAAUCAAUAUCCCUCUAUUGAAACUUAGUGAUUCAGGAUCCACAACUAACAAGUCUACUAGUGAGCUUUAUCAUCACCGCUAGAAAACAAGGUAGAUCGGUAAGCAACUUUUGCUAAUCAUAUCACAUAUGACUCCUGUUGUUGGGUGACAUCUCUAUGUCUCGGCGCCCAACCUUUAUGCCCCAAGGUCCUUAACUGUUAAGAUAACCUUGUUAAGCAAACCAACCCUUAUGCGUGUAAGUGUCCGACACAAACCCGUCUAGUCAAGGAAAACUAGUGGUACCCUAAUUUCAUAGACCCACCACUAAUUGUACAAGACAUGGGACAGUGCAAGUUUUAGUUGGGAUGACAUACUAACUUAAACUUUGUGAGGGAUCGUUCUACUUCUAACAUCACAGCAUGCAGAAAGUAAAAUAUAAACAGAAUAGCAUUCACACAGUUGUGACACAGUAUGGCCCGUUUUCAUAUGGUGAUCUCCAUCUCCAUAGAACCUGUUCACCAUGGUGAUCUCCAUCUCCAUAGAACCUGUUCACCAUGGUGAUCUCCAUCUCCAUGUUCCAUGUACGCCAUCCUCCUGGUGAUGAGUCCUCCAAGAACUAGAACAUGCUAUUACGCCUAAUAGCUAGUAAAGAAGCUAGUAAUGAAGAUUGCAUAGUUGCUUGGAUCAUCACAGAUUGGUACGCAGACCAUUAAAUACAAUAAAGUGACAACACAUAUGGCUCCUGCCGUGUUGCCGUACGCGCGACACGCAGGUCACGAAUGAGUUACACACAUGCAUCACAUACACAAAGGGGCCAUACUGAUCACAAGAUACAUACAUCCUGCAAAACAGAGUUAAUCGUCCUAACGUUCCAAACUUCGGAUGCCCGAAACUCCAUCUUCCAAGCCAAAUUUGGGAAAUCUAAUUUCACCGAAAAUGGCAAAGCGGUUCAAUUUCAUGUGUAGCUUUUUCUGUAGAUCAAUUUUCAUAUAAAAUUCACCCUGAUCCGAGAUCGUACCGAAAAGUUACGGCUGAUUUACCGAAGCAUACGCAUACGGCAAAAAUCCCGACCCCGGUAGUAGAUCCCAUCUACUAUUGCACAUCUAAUGCGCCUGGCGUAUGACCUUGGAUUUCGAUUUGACCAAUCAUAUUGAUCUUCGCUCACUGCAACUGGAAUUACAUGUAUCAUUUAACUCCGAUGGCGGAAACCGACCGGUAGGAGUAUGUUGUUACACUACCAUUGCAGCAAGAGCACGAAACCACGACAUAGAUCAAACUGAAAACUCGCAUAUCUCCAUAUGCACACAUCCCGAAUCCAAAACUAAAUAGCUACAAUUCUGAUACCACUGUUGGGAUACGAGGUAGGCUACACUAGCGCAAAUCAAAAUUUCUACCGCGUAAAACCAGGAAGAACUGCCGUAUAAGGAUCACGGGAUUACCACUCGACGCACUACUAGUGCAGAAGAUGUAGAUUUGCGUCGAUGUAGCGAAGACGAUCAACGUAGUCGUAUGUAGUCGAUCACGUCAACGUCCAGCAGCUCCUCAGCAGCUCGUCCACGUGCAACAAGAUCGCCCUCGUGCCGCGGCUCAUCGUCGGCUCGUCGUGGCUCGUCCAAGUGCUGCAGGCGCAACACCUCCAAGGUAUCCACACGUGCAGGGAGGAAGCGUCGCAAGCCGGACUGCUAGAUCCAUGAGUUGCAACAGGCGAGGGCGUGGGAAGCGUGUCAGAUGUGUUUCGCCAAAAAGGUGUAAACCCUAGGGCGCCCCCACCCCUCUAUUUAUAGAGGUUCCUAACGGGCCUCUGGGUCCGAGGCCCAUUAGUACUUCUAAACCUAAUCCAACUCGGAUCACAUCCGAAUUGGGCUUCCAGCCCCUUAAGUGUGUGACCCUAUGGGUUCAGAUACGUAUAGACAUGGCCCGAGUACUCCUACUCGGCCCAAUAGUCGGUAGCAGCCUCUAGCAAGACGUGCCAACUCCUAUACGCACACGAAGAUCAUAUCAGACGAACCAUCACAACAUAAUAUACAUGCUAUUCCCUUUGCCUCACGAUAUUUGGUCUAGCUUCAAGCCGACUGCUCUUUCUCGAUCCUGUGAUUCGGAAUCCCUUUGUAGGUUAACUCUUAACCGUACGUAGCAUGGCCAUGCAUUUUGGAUCCGAUCACUCGAGGGGCCCAGAGAUAUCACUCUCAAUCAGAGAGGGGCAAAUCCCAUCUUGAUUGACCAUGUCUCAUAGCAUGCUUCUUGACAAACCCGAAAGCUACCUUUAUAACUACCCUGUUACGGCGUAGCAUUUGAUAGCCCCUAAGUAGGUCGAUCCACAUCUUGAAUACAUGCGACAAUCUCAGGUCUAAGGACAAAGCGUAUAUGUUGUUUAAAGAGAGAACUACUUCUCGUGUUGGGUCAGUCCUAGCACAUAUCUUCACAUGUGCCCACAUUAUUAGUUCAACAUCUCCAUGUCCAUGACUUGUGAAACAUAGUCAUCAACUAAUACAUGUGCUAGUCUAAUAUUCAUGUGUGUCCUCACAUGAACUCCGACUAGGGACAACUUUAGAAUAACCAUACAAGUAAAGAGUUUCACACACAAUUCACAUAAUUGCAAAUCAAUUCAAGUAGCCUUUGAUGGAUAUUCAAGGAACACAAUAUAAAUCAUGGAUACAAAUGGAAUAUCACCAUCUCUAUGAUUGCCUCUAGGGCAUACCUCCAACACCUCUCCCCCGCGAGCUCCUAUCGUGGCGGCGGCGGUGGGGCUGUCUCUCCUGCGCUCGGUGAUGGCCGGCGGCGGCGGUUGAGGGAUGGCCCCGCCGGCGCACGGCCGCGGCAGCCCCCCCUCUCUUUCCUGCUUUCUUGCCUCCCCCCUUGCUCCCUCCGAGUCUCCCGAAAUUCGAGAUCCAGAGGGCCAUGGCGACCACGGAGGAGGGCCGGCACCACCGUAGGUCCCCUCGCCAGCGCGCGCGUCCACCAGAGGUUGGGCGUGCCGCCGUCGAGUGGUCCUGUGGUGGUGCUUUUGCGCCCCUCGAGCCCCAAGCGGACGCUCCGGUGGCUUGGGUGGAGCUUUUCCCCGGCGAGCCCGUGGCUCGGCCGGCCUUUGCCGCUCCCCAUUGGUGGACGUGCGGUGGUGAGGAUGAUGGUAGGUAAGCCGCUCCGCGUCCCUCUUUACUUUAGAUCUAGGGUUAGGGUUAGAGUUUUACUUUUCUUUUCUGUUUCUUUUUCGAUCUACUUCUUUUUCCCGAUCUAGAAAAGCUUCUAGUGAGGUGUCUGAUACCAUUGUUAGGAGCAUGCCUAGGAUCUCUAGAUGCAUGUCUAGUCGGGAUCACAAUCAACAUGAAGGUCUUGGGGUUUCUGGUGUCAACCGAGAGCGAUAGAGAGAGAGAUGAGGGUACCUUCACCCCUAUGGGUGGAAGCAGCAGAGCUGCUGGCCAUCGCGGGUUCUGUCGUUGAAGAUCUGCGCAAGGCAGUGACCCGCAGUGAAGUUGCGUUGCUGGCGCGACGGCGGCGGUGCUUCCCAUCGCUACUGCACAAAACCUAGAUCGGUUGGUGUGUCGGUGGGGCGGCUGGCAGCGGCGAACCUCGUGAGCCGAGCCGUGGUCCCCACCGUGUCUAUAUAGCGCAGCACGACAGGGGCCCACCACCCAAUGCUAGGGUGGGCGCCCCCAAUCAGAGCGCGGAUCAAAGGUCCCUAUGGACCUUUAGGCCCAUUGGGGAGGAGAUCAAUCUAAUUGUUAACAAUUAGGCACCUAUUUAUUGAUUGUCGCUUUGCUCGUGCUGUAUAGUCCAUUAUACAUGCAGCCUCAGGACUUUAUAAACCUCAUAGUGUGUCGAAUAUGUUUGGGGCUUGGCUAUAGGGUAUAAUUAGUAAGGAUCUAGUUUGGUUGGGGUGGCAGCUGCUUAUUGAACGUUGCGACUUUGUAGAAAUGAUUUGGUUUUUGAAAAGAAAAAUUCUACAUCCCCUUUGCAGAUUAUCUUCUCGGUUACGCACUGGCGGCUUCAUACAUGCGCGAUCUUACAUAAGUCCAGACCACAUGAUUUGGUUAUUGCGGCAUCACGAUGGAUGGUGCAGGUGGCCGAGGAGUUUUUUUACUCGAGCACGUGGUGGGUGGCAGUCUAGCUGUCGAAUUGAGUGUCGUUAGGGCACCAGUUUUUUUGUGUUUCUUUUGUAAGGUUGUGUGCAUCUUCGAUAUACAAAGGUCAGGAGUAUUUCAAGAUGUUUGUAUCAACUCGAUGUAAUGAUCUUGGAAUUAAUAAAACAUUCUUUAUAAAAAAGAUAAAAUCACUGCUACUGUUUGUCCCCGUAAGAAGAGUUCCAGAACCACAUUGCUUUCUUAUAUAUAACGUAGAGGGGUGAAAAACGAAAAAGAAAGCUCACAUGGACACUACAAAAGGCUAGUUGGUACACUAGUACAUCAACAGUAAAAGGUAUGAAAAAACCAGAAGCAACAACAAGUGAACAAUGAGACACCAAGCAUACGUGCGCGAUCGAAACGCAAGACGAACCGGCUAGGCGUUUCAGCACUUGAGUGUCUUGAAGCACGGGAGGUGCUGCAGCUCGGCCAGCUUCACCGUCGGCGGGGCUGGCCCUUUGAUCGGGCCGCAUUUGCGUUCGUGGCGGCGGUGCAGGCUGCAGGGCACCGACACCUCCCGCUUCAGCUGGCAGAGGCACUUCUCGUUCUCCACCACGGUACAGCACUGCUCGCGGAUCUCGUCAUGGGCCAGGCAGUUGGUGAAGUACUCGAUUUGCGUCUGGCAGCUCUCCUGCGCGGGCGCGCCACCCGAGUAGUAUGCGGCAGCAGGUGCGGCGGCUAAGGCGCAGACGACUACGGCGAGGACGAGCACGGCAGCAAGGUUCGCCGGUGCCAUGGGGCUCAAACUGAAGGUAGCUAUGUUUGGGGUCGAAGCAGCUGGGAUAGUCUGUGACUCUAUGAGCAGUCCUGUAUGGGAUGACGAGUGACGACCCAUGCCGACCCCUGCCUCCUUUCAUAGAAGCUGCUGGGUGGACGGUAGCGGCACGGAACGUGCAGGAGCAUGUGGUAGCUGUGGAUGCUGUCUAUUAUUGCACGUAGUUUAAUUAGUUUGUUUUUACAGCGACUAGAGCCAAGAAUUUUUAUAUAGUACUUGCUCCUUGUUGUCUGAAGCUGGGUCCAAAACAGGAGUCAAUUAAGUGAGUGGUGAUAUAUUCACCCCUCUUGAUCAUUAGGGAUCCAAUGGCCCGAAUGCGCUUCGGUUGGAUUUGUCAUGCAUGUUUCUGGUGGGCACUGGGGCAUAUUGACAACCAAGAACAACUAAGAAGAGCAAUGGGUUGGAGUUGUCAUGUUUCCGGUGGGCACUAGCUAGGAACUCAGCAAUAUGGGCCACGAGCACAAGAGAUGUAAUCAGUCAAAAUAUGGCAAAUUAAUUAAACUGUUGUUGCUUUACAGCACAUAUAACAAAUUCUUUAGAAGCAAAAAGCAUAUCCCUUACGCGAGUAUGACUACACGUAUGAUAUGAAGUUUUAGGAUGCAAUUUGGAGGACUGCUACACAUAUGACUGAUUUUUUACACUUCCCACCAGAAGGAUACCCACAAGAAAGAUGGUCCCUUGUGCGAGUAGGGCGUAGGAACCUCUGGUUCCUUUGCCCAUCGGAUCGGAGAGCCCAUCUGAUAAAUCACCGGGCUGUACGCCUAGAAGGAAAUCCGUUCCAAAUUAUAGGUCAUUUUGGUACUUUUAGAUUUAUUUUUAUUAUGCACUUAGAUAUACCCUAUGUCAACAUGCAUAAUAAUAUAUAUAAAUAUAUAAAAGUCAGAAUGACCUAUAAUUUAAGACGGAGGAAGUAGGUUGUAAAAUAUCCACAUAUUAUUUUGUACAUGUACCUUGAAGCGAAGCAUGUAGGCUACGAUAGCCAUACCAAUUUAUCAUCUACUGCAUUCAACCAGUAUACUUGCGAGUAAAGAGGUCAUGUAUCAUUAUAAUUGUACACGCAACACAGCGAACACAAUGUUGGAGCAGCCGGUCCAACAUAGAUGCGCGUCGAUGUUGAGAAAGUAGUCGACCGUUAUCGCCUCAUCCUCAUCCCAACAUAAACCUCACCCACUGAUCAACACAUCAGCAACAACUGCAGCGCCUCCAUGGAGUAGACACAUAUGAAGAUAGAAUGCAGUGCACAGGUGUGCUAGCACCGCAGGCCCAGCUAGGUCUUCAGGGUUAAUCCGAGUGCACGUGGCAGCUCGGGUUUCUAGCACGAUGAAAUAAUGACUUGCCCACACCCCACUCCACAUAUUUUUAGAGGACGCUAAUAGGCUUGCACACUGUUAGCCCAUUAAUAGCCUAGUCAAUCCCUCAUGGAUCAACAUCCAUUGGCUUUGUAAUCUAAAUUGUUUACGAUUGGCUACUGGGCACAUUACCAACAUACCUUUUCUGCACAAAGAGCUUGUUUUGCGGAGCUUGUUGAUCUGGGGUAUUCAAAAAUUUUGUGCACUUAGAGCUAUGAGUGUAUUACAUGUGUUUGGGUGACUUCUAUUUUUUGUGUGUGCGUUUGUGCAAAAGUAAUUGGCAUUCUUGGCUAGCUGCGGCGUCUCUCUAGGUGAGAAAACGUCACCCGUCUGAUUCACAUUAUGCAGUUAGGACUGAGCCACGUUUCUUAUUAGUUUUUGCCAAAGUACCCUCGAGCAUAGAACAUCCUGCUUUUUUGGAGCAUUUAAAAAAAAUACUGACAUUUUAAAAAAUUUCUUUUAACUAAACACAUUCUCUAUUCCCAAAUAUUCAAAAACGGUUUUACAAAUAAAUCUUGCAUAAACAUGAGCAUAUGUGCUGCAUAUGUGCUGCAUUUGAUUGCUCUAGCAACCCCUCUCAAACCUCUCUUCCCAAGCGUUUCCUUAUAAACCUUCUUUCCAAAACCCUUUGAAGUAAUAUUUAAAUUUUAUUCAAAUCAAUGCCAAAAUUCCUAUUGAAUAUCAUGCAAAUAUAAUAUUCAAAUUCUUGACCCUGUCCUCUCAUCAUCCAAAGUCCUAGAAACCUUAUCAAAAUAUUUCCUUUCGUAAAAACCUUAAACCUAAUAUUCAAAUCUAAUUUGAAUAUUAAAUCUAUCCAAACACUCUCAGCUUCCCAACCCUCCCAAAAAGCCUCCAAGUUCCAGACCAAACUAUGCCCCACUUCAAAUCCUAUUCGAAUCAUUUCAAAUUCGAACUCCAAAUCCAUUUAAACAAAACCAAUUAGAGGAUAAAUAGGCCUCAAACUUCCUUUUUGGCCCGCCCCACUAUCGGCUCAUCCUCCGCCCGCGCACCCACACUCGAGGCCCACUCGGCAUGCUCGCCCAUGCCCAGCACGCGGCCCAUUCCACGCUGCGUCCCAGCUUGCCUCGCGGCCCGCUUGCCCGCUCUCUGCGCGCUGCCAGCGCCGCCGCCGGUGUGCGAUUCCCCCAGCGCCGCUGUGGUUCGCCGCUCCGCUCUGCCGCGCUGCGCACCCCCAUGCCCGAUGUGAUACCCCCCUCCAGCCCUAUCCCUGGUCGAAGGCCACCUCAACGCAGCUGACCAUACCGCUGCCAUCCCUUCCCCUAAACCCCAGCGCCACCUCAUCGCCGCCGCAUUAACUCUGCCCCGCCACUGCACUACGCUCCUACGCGGUACAGCUUCCCGUCGCCCAUCCUUGGCCCUCACAUAUCCCUGCUGGCUGCCGUGCAUGGCCCCUGGGCAAUCAUAUCCCCGCCGCGGUGCCAAGCCCCUUGCCGGCCUCAUCCGACAUGCCAUCCUCCCAUCCUCACCCCUCCCCAACAACGUGGUAGCCCCCCUACACCCCCCUUCGUACCUAUAAAUAGCCUACCAUCCUCACCCUUUCUCUACACAAGCCCGACGCGCAUCGUGUCCUGUCCCCCAAGUACCGCGCCUCUUCCAUUCCCUCCCACAUAAUCCCAGCACCACCAACGAGCUCACCUUGUUCUCCUCUUUCCCCCAGUGCUAGCUCGGACACUGGCGGCGAGCUCUAUCCCGGUUCCGGUGACGCUCCGCCGUGUUACGCGGCGGCACACAUUGCGGGCCGCCGCCACCGCUGCCGGCCUCGACAUCGAAGCGAUAUGCUGUCACCGCGUCGUUGCCCCUCCGUCCCACUCCCCCUCCCUGCCACACGGGUCCGGCCGUAACACCGUCACCUCGUCCGUCCCUCCCCUACCACCUCGCAUCCGUGCGCAUGGUCAAUUGGACUGCAAAUAGGAGGCGCGCUGGUUCACCAGUCCACCAAGCUGGCGCACAGCACAGUGCGUCGGGCGGACCCCACCCCUCAGCAUCAUCUAUGUGUAAUUGCUGGGUACACCCGGUAAAGUGUACACAAGAUUCUAGUUAGAUCCGUUCCACUAUGCCAAAAAUUCCCCAAAAUUCACCAAAACUACUAAGAAAUAUUCUAAACCUAUCCAUGCCUUUCAUUUCUAUAGCUCAUCCCAUAUAGACCCUUUUCCAAAUUACUCAUCCUACACACAAUAGGAAAAGCCCAAUGUAGUGUACACCAAAAAUAGCCUCUCUAUUUAUUUUAAUUCCAAAAAAAAUCCUAUGAAAAUUUGCAAAAAUAUCUUAGGUCCAUAUAAACCUAUUCCCACUCUUACUCUCCCAAUUACACCUCAUAUGCUCCCUUGGCUACCCUAGCGUAGCUGUUACCCUUUCCUGCCAUAGACGUUCACUGCCCGCGAAAGCAUCUAACAGUCGCAAAAUAGUCAAGCCAUCAUUUUUAACCAGGUUACAUCCGAGUCACUGUCGAUCAUCUCCUGCCGGAGGUGCAAGCCUGGGGGGUGGGAUGGAGGAAGGGUGAACUCAAGAAGAUGAUGGUAUAACCUAAGCCUCCUUGAUGCCUGAUCUUGCUCGGCUCCGUCUGUCACCGUGUGACUAUCCCCUAGCACCGAGUCAGGUCCAAUAGAAUCCAUCGAGCAAACUCUCUAGCUUCCUAUUCCACUUGAUCUUGCCCAGCUCUACCUACCGCUAUGUGGCUAUCCCCUAGCACUAGGCCAAGUAGAAGUGGUGUCUACCAAGCGAGCUCUCAAGUCUUAAACCUAGCAUCAAAGAAACACCGAAACCCAAAACCAUGUGAACUUGUCAGAGCUCCUCCCGCCAUAGGACAGGGCCCCGGGAUAAAGUUGAGCUCAGUGUGCAAGUUUCCUAGCCUUGAAAUCCAUCCUCACAACACCCACAUCAUACCUAGAGUCUAUUCCAAAACCUAGCUGUUAUGCUGCCCAAUUCAAACCUCAUAUAUUGACCCAACCUAGCUGAUAUACUGCCGAACCAAAACCCUAGAUAUCGAUAAAACCUUGUUGUUAUGCCUUAGGAAAUCCGUUCUUAAACUCCCUAGUAUUCCUCUGAAGUCCAACCCUCCAAUCCAUUAAUUAUUAGAAUUCCAUUUCUAAAUUAUUAAUGAAUUAUUCCUCUUUAUCCGGAGAUUAUUCAUUAGAUAUCGAAUAAUUCCCAAAACCUCCAUCGUCUAGUCUUUUUCAUUUUUCCUAAGCUAGAUAUUGAUUGUUAUAAUUGUUUGCUUGUUUAUGUGCUUGCAUAAGCUGAGGAUACGCCCAACUGGAGGCCCAGGAUCCAGAAGGCCUUAAGCUGAAGGUCCAUGUCAUCCAAAAGAUGAGUUGAAGCAUUAGCGUGACCACGCUCCGACGAAGACUCUGACGAGAAGCCAAGGCCUGGUCAACCUAGGAGGCGCAAUGAAGGCAAGUCCUUAGCACCCACCCCUCGAUCAUAUUUUUAUCCUAUAUUUCAUAAAUAUUAAAAUUCACCAAGAUAAUAACUUGACUUGCAUAUGUUAUAAAACUAUAGGAGCAACCCACGUAUAUUCUCUUCCUUGCCUUGACUUGGAGCCACCUCUAGCCAAACAUCCUGGUAACAACCCCAGUCAUGACUGGAUCGACUAUCGAGCGCCAUUUAGAAAUAGAAUUUUUAGGAACAUUACAAAUACAAUGAUUUUUAUGAAAAAACCCAAAUGGCGUGGGUUUUCAUAGUAAAUCUAAAAUGAGCCAACUAAAGAGUUAGAAACCCCUAAGGACAGGACAAGGAAGUAAGGGGGUAGCCUCAUUGAUGGAUUCUAUCCCAAAGCUUACUUUGGUCAUAUAAGGAUCGGUUCACGGGCAAGUCUUUCUAGUGAUACAUAUAGCCAUACGAGCCAAAAAGGUACAACCUUUAGGAGUACCUAGUUAUGUGAGGCAUUGAUUCAAACCCCGCUAGCUGAACCUAGUAAUCUAUCCCAAUGGGCCACGGUGGGCAACAGAUAUGCUGGAGCAGGACCUUCGCAUAGUCCUAGGUCUGGUUGGCACAGGUUGACUGAGAGGGUCGGAGACCCUGAGGGCAGAGACCCUGUUUAUUUUCUUUGUGCACACUCUCCCAGGUUGAUAUCCGCAUGACGGAUGAUAGUCACCCCUGUUUAGACCCCCAGUGUAUUAGUGGAUGGACCUAGGGAAUGCUAUCUAGAGAUAGACGCAGGUGGGUAUGGAUCUUGUGGGUCAGCACCGCCUAAAGCUAAGGUAUGGGCUGAUUGAACAUAUGGAUAAAGUGUCCACUGCUGCACAGAGUCAUAAAUCUAUCUAGAUUGCCGAGGCUCACUGUCACAAGCCCACAUAGUUAAAGCUCCCAAUGAUUAGUAAACAUGUGUUUAUAAAUUGUGUGAUGGUGAGAUGGGGCCGAGGCCCUGAGAGAGUAAUUUUGGAAUGACGCUCAAGUCGGCCCAGAAGGACCCUGAUGGUCUCUAGUGCUCUUUAGAAUAUGGGAACUGGUAGGGAAGGUAAGAUUCCCCCUCCAGGGCCAACAACUUAAAGAAUAUGCUUUCCUUCUUUUCUUUUUCCAAAACUCACCGCAGCCUACAUAAAUCAUUUUCAAUUAAUAAAACUAAACCUCAUACCCUUCCUUGAUUAUCCUUGCAUAUAAUAUAAUUUUCAAUCCUAGGAUUUGUUGAGUUACUCAGCCUUGCUUUCAUUUGUACAGUUUAGGGUUUAUGGUGCUAUAAGUUCAUUCUGCCUAUGGAAUGGGUAAUUGCAUUGCUCUCCGCUACGUAAGGUGAAAAACUAUUUUCUAUAAUUUAUGCAUCUCUUAUUGUUUGAAGCUAAUCUGUGAUGAGGACUGUAUCAGCUACUGAUUCAGGGACUGAUAGAGGUAAUCAGCGGGAUUCCCGGAAGGAGAUCCCCACAGAGCAUUUGUAUAAUCAACCCACAGUUUGUGCAUUUUGAUUAUUUUGAAAUCAACGCACCGAAACUCCAACUUAUGAUGUGGUAAUUUUGCAAAGAGAUCCUUGUUAUUUGGUAUAAUUAAUCCGUGUCCAUGCAAUGUGUAAUAUUCCAAAAUGACCCUUUAUUUUUUCUAUAAAUCAAUAUGCAAUCAUGUAUCUUGCUAAAAAGGCCCUAGACUUCCAUAAAAGCGAUCUAUACCCUAGCUCAUGCCACAGUAACUGUACCAAAAAAGUUUCAUUUUCUCUUAGAAUGAUCCCAUGGUCCAUGUACUCGGGACUUGUUCUUGAAAAAGACUCAUGCUCCUAUGGAAUCAAAUUGCAUUCUGCAUAGCCUAUUUUUUUAAUAUAAAGGCCCCAUGGUUCUUUGGAAUCAGCCCAUAGCCACCUAACAUCAUAUUUUCAUAUGGAAAACUCUCAUGCCACCAUCCCUACCCAUCUCUCUUCCUACCUUUCAUCAGACAUCAGGUCAAACCCUGUAUUGGACUCCACAUGUUGAAUUUGGAAUCCAGAUGAGGGAAUAUGGCUCUAGAAAGAUCCUCACCAAGGAAAUUGACUAACCCGGUUUUGGACAUAGGCUAAACUAGCUUUUUGUGUAACUGAGUAGGAAUUGGAGAAUUGUACAGAAUUUGAUUUGUAAAUGAUCUCCAAGUGGGCCAAGACCUCCUAACACUAUAAAUAUAAAGGGACACGACCGUUUGAGGGUAUCCAAUCAUCACAAUAACUAAUAUAUCUUUUAUCUUUUACCUUUACCUCUUUACCAUACUUUUCCAACCCUAUGUGUUGUUCUUCUCUUGUCUCCAUGGCAUGAGGAGGCACCCUAGCUGGCCUUCUGAGCCUAGGGCAACCUAAGGUGCGCUAGCCUCGAUGGGGUCCCUCCCGACUGGGUGUUUGUUGGUGUUUUGCUAGAGAUCCGGCGAAACCGCUUUGGCUGUUUUUCGUAGGGGCGCUACAAGGAGUCCCCUGCGACGUGCACGUGAUGUGCUCGUAUGAUGGCGUGUGACUUGUUCUCGCAUCAAUACGUUCAUAUUGUAUCUGACCAAACUCCACCAAUGUGAUAUAAGAGGCCCCACAAAAACAUAUUCAAUUUUUUUAAAUAAAGAAUCAUAUUCCAUUAUAAUACAUACUAUUACCAAGCCUUAUGAAUGAACCAAGUUUGAUAUGCCACUCUUACAUUUCUACAAAUACACUCAUAUACAUAUACCAAAGGUGCAUACCCUAAUAUAACAAGUCCUAGGAGCUCAUUAUAUCAUAAGGAACAAUAGAGCUUUUGUGCACACAACAUGUGAGCCACUAUUGAUUGAUGUGAUGUGAAACUUAGAAUUAGCCAUGCCCAUGAUAGCCAAAGUUUUCCAAACCAGUUGGUCCAGGUGCAAUUUUUCCAUGUUCUAUCUUCCACACCUCUCCCCCAAACACCCCCACUGCCCAAAUUAUGUCGAUGCCACCACAAGGUUGCUCAAACAUGGCUGUUGACGCCAGAUUUUGACACGUGUAAAAUCGGCGUUAGGAGAAGAAAAGAUCGGAAGAUGCGGCGAGAUACAAGGGCGACAAUUGGAAAUCGGUCGAGUGCUGCUACAGUCAAGGAUUGGCCAUUUGGUGCUUCAGUCGAGGAUCGGCCGAUUGAUCCUUGGAGUUCCGCCUCGCCCGACCCCUAAGGUUUGGGGUCGGACGCGCCCGACCCCUCCAAAGGAGGAUCUCCGCCUCGCCUGACCCCUGAGGCUUGGGAUCGGACGCGCUCGAUCCCCAAGGGAGGAUCUCCGCCUCGCCCGACCCUUGAGGUUUGGGAUCGGAUGCGCCCGACCCCCAAGGGAGGAUCUCCACCUCGCCCGACCCCUGAGGCUUGGGAUCGGACGCGCCCGACCCCCAAGGGAGGAGCUCCGCCUCGCCCGACCCCUGAGGUUUGGGAUCGGACGCACCCGACCCUCCGAGGGAGGAUCUUCGCCUCGUCCGACCUUAGUCCCCAGGGUCAGGAUGAGUCUGAACCCUCGACGUGUGGGUCUUGAUCGGGUGCCCCUACGCCAAGGAGAUGAUUGGCCGAUUAGGAGGUUGGAAUAGUUGGGCCGAUGUGGGCUUAAAAAAAAGAUUAUGAAGAUGAAGAAGGGGUCAGCCCAUGAAGCGCGUGAAAAUAGUACGAAUCGUACUUGUAAAUAUUUGUUUUCUUUUUAGAUUUAGGGAUAGAGUUCUAGUCGGAUAAGAGGUUUUUCUGUUUAGAUUUAGGGAAAGAGUUCUAGUCGGAUAAGGAGUCGUCUGUACGGGGCUAUAAAUAGCCACCUUUGUAGAUCUGUAAUCAACAAUCAACUCAAUACAACAAACUACUUUUUCCUCAUACUUACUUUCAAGCAGGCGACUUCGCCAACACUUUUUCCCCUUUUCCACGAGUUCGUACGGAUUGGCAGGGCUGCAUCAACUUGACCUCCAGCUGAUCUUGUAAGUUCCGUUUAUCGAGUAAUUUCUAAGCUUUAACUUCGGGCGCAUCGCUGUCAUUUCGUUUAGAUUUAUUCACCAGUUAUCGAUAUUUACUAGAAUUCUAGGUUUUACCUGUUGUUCUAGUUUUAUCACCAGUUAUCCAGCUUGGAAUUAGAACCUUCGACUUUAUUAUAUCUUGUUACUUAAUUUACUACUUUCAUAUAGCCAAUCGGAUCUGUUCCUAGUGUUGCUACAUUAGCGUUGUUUAGAUUGCUCUAGUAGUUAUCUCUACAAACGUUACCUGGUAAUCGGUUGCCUCAUAGCCGAUUUCCUUCAUUACCGCAAAUCGACCGAUUCGCUGAUAAGCUUUCCUAAGAUCGGAACUUUAGCCGAUCACAACCCCUGGGAACUGACAUGUCUAUUUCCUUGCCAAUCAACAGGUAAGAUUGGCUGGCACGCCGCGCGAACCACACCAGGGCGAUUCACCCGAACAGGAGCGAAGCAGAUUCUCCCGGGUCGUGUGUCCGACGCUGGGAAUUCGAUCAGUGGUUUCUAGCGCCAACACACUUUUGGCACGCCCGGUGGGACCAAUACACCCACCACCAUGUCGAAAGCUGCUGAAGUCUCCGAAGAUAACAUCAUCGAAGUGACAGAGGCAGAUCUCAGGGACGACCAGAAUGAAGAACUAGAGAAGCAGACGGCAUACUACCGGAAGGCAUGCCUGCAGUCCUUUAGUCGCACCAGAAGCGGGGAGACUAUCAAAAAGACUCCGUUUCCAACUCCCCGCCAGAUCACAAUCACCGAGGACUCGGACAAGAUGUCCGAGAUGGUCCAGCAGUCCGUUUAUCAAGCUUUCAUCGAUCAAUCCCCGGUGCUUGCGAAUACGGUGUACAAUGCCGUCAUCAGCUCCUUGGCUAGCGAAGUAUCUCAAGGGUACAAGGGACCGGCAUAUGCUCCGCUGAUUCCACCAAAUAAGAGUUAUCCGAAUUCGGCUUCUCAGCCGAUCCAAUUUCCAGUUGGGGGUUCAGGCGCUUCCUCAUCAUCGAUCUCUAUGGGGUUUACUGGCACACAACACUUCCAGCCACAUCCCGUUCAGUUGUCCUCUGCGCAGUUCCCUCCGGUUAAUCCAGCGUCUUGGGGGGCACCAUCAGCCACAACCGUUCAGGAUCAAUCGGCCAAUCAGGGAAGUCCCCAAUUCCAGGCAUCUUUCCAGGCAGCCACUCGACCAACUAUGCCGCUGUACCAGCCUGUCGCACCAGAGAUAGGCAAAGCAGCAGAGCUCGUACUAUAUGAUGAAACGAGUGGCUCAUUCAAACAGCCGACCCUGAAUACGCAGCCGGCUAUAACACAUCAAAUGCCACAUACUUUCACUCAGCAUCAAGUCAUCCCACCACUGAUAUACCAGCACGUACCAGUCCCUCAGCCGACAGUUUACCAGCAACAGCCGGACUGGUCGGCACGUAUAGCAGAGGUGAUUCAGGAACAAUUCGGCUUGAAGCCGAAGGUGCAGAUUUACACCUACAGGACACCGUACCCAUCUACGUACGACUUACUGCCGUUUCCCCAUCGGUAUAAAGUUUCUGACUUCACCAAGUUUUCGGGGAUGGACGGCACCUCAACCGUAGAACACGUGAACAGAUUCAUCAUCCAAUGUGGAGAGGCAGCGGCGCAAGAUGCUCUACGGGUGCGGCUUUUCUUGUCGUCCUUGUCUGGGUCGGCCUUCCAGUGGUUUACAACCUUACCGCCAAACUCGAUAAUUACAUGGGCUGAUCUGGAGAGGCAGUUUCAUAAAUAUUUCUACGCCGGGGUACAUGAGAUGAAGCUGUCCGAUUUGACCAGCCUCAGGCAGAGAAGCGACGAGACGAUAUCCUCAUAUGUGCAGAGGUUUUGGGAAAUCAGGAACAAAUGCUAUUCUCUAGCUCUGACUGAUGCACAACUGGCUGAUAUAGCCUUUCAAGGUCUCCUGCCUCAUAUCAAAGAAAAGUACGCCUCACAGGAGUUUGAGAGCUUGAGCCAAAUCGUCCACUGAUUGUCUGGUCAAGAGGUACGUUCUUUCGAUCCACGAAGGAACUUCCAGAAGAAGGUGGCAUACUUAGAAGAGGUUGAGGCCGAAGAAGAUGCAGAAGUCGGUCUUGCAGAAUGGGUUAAAGGGAAGAAGCCGAUAUCAUGUCCGUUCGGCAAGAAAGAGCCAGAAACAUUCGGCUUUGACACAUCAAAGGCCGAUAAAAUCUUUGACCUCCUCCUACAGGAAGGACAGAUCAAGCUCUCGCCAUACCAUACUAUUCCUUCUGCCGAACAGCUGAAGAAGAUGAAAUAUUGCAAGUGGCACAACGCUACCUCCCAUGACACUAAUGAGUGCAAAAUCUUCCGGCAGCAGAUACAGACGGCCAUUGAGCAGGGCAGACUUAAAUUUGAAGUACCAACAAAACCAGCCAAGCUGAUGAAGAUCGAUCAGCACCCCUUCCCCACCAACAUGGUUGACACGGGAAAGAACUCGCUCCAAACCAAGGUGCUGACAUCCGAAUUGGCUAAAAAGAGUGGCGCCGUAGACCCCAGAAAUCAAGCGGCGCCUGAAGACGUCAAGGGGAAGCGGCGGAUGGAGGACGAUGACGGCGGGUCAGGUGAACCACGCAUUACUUCCCAAUUCCUGCUCCACAAAUAUCAGCGGCAACAUGGACGCUCAAGAUCCCGGGAAGAAGCGAUGCGGCGACAUGAAGAUCACUGGAGAUGCCCGUUCUUCAUCCACUGUUGGGAAAGCAACCUCAGGUUGCCUUCGGCCGAUAAUUGCCCGGAGUGCAACGGCCCGUAUCGUAACAAUCGGCCGUUCAACAGGUCUCGCUCUAGAGAUAGGAGACCAGAGCCGAUCAGCAGGAAUGGGCGCAACCAAGACAACCGGUGCCCUCCCGUGCGUGAUCGGCUGGGGGGCAGAAGUGACCGAUAUGACCGGUCGGAAGGCAGGAGCCAUGAUGGGCCGGGGGCAGAUUUGAUCGACAUGACCGGCCAGAAAACAGGGCCAACGUCCACAGUCGGCUUGAAGAGAUGGCCGAUGCUCGAGUAUCAGACGAGAACCCUUUAGGACGCGAACCGGAAUGGGAAUGCGCCAGGCCACGAACCAAACCAGUGAACCCCAGGUGGUGUCCCGAUGGAUUGACCAAGUCUCAAAAACGAAGAAUCCAGCAUCUCCGCUAGUGGGAACAGCAGGAGGAAGAACAACAGUACACGACGGACAAGAGGAAAGGCAGGUCUCAGGUAUGGCGCUCCAAAAGAAACGACAGAGGAGGUGAUGAAUCGGCAGGUGACGAAUCGACAGCCCACGUUGGCAUGGUUUUCAUACUGCCGAUGGAAUUUAUGACUCCUGCCGACCGACAGGACAUAUCGGCAAUAGAAGAACAGAUGGCGCAAUUGGCUUUGGAGCCAAUGACAGCCACAUUCGAGAAGCCCGAAGACGACAAACGGCAACACCUGAAAGCGUUGUUUCUUAAAGGGCAUGUCAACGGCCGACCCCUCACCAGAUUACUGGUAGAUGGAGGGGCUACAGUCAACAUCAUGCCAUACGCCGUGCUCCGGAAGCUUGGGAAGAGCGAUGAUGACCUGACCAAGACAGAUAUGAUGCUCAAGGACUUCGAGGGCAACGUAUCUCCCGCUCGCGGCGCUCUCUGCGUCGACCUCACCAUCGGCAGUAAGACCCUCCCUACUACCUUCUUUAUUAUUAAUGGCAAGGGGUCCUACAACAUGCUUCUCGGCCGAGACUGGAUACAUGCAAAUUGUUGUGUUCCAUCUACAAUGCAUCAAUGUCUUGUACAAUGGGUCGGCGACAACAUCGAGGUGGUCACCGCCGAUUCCACAUACAGCAUCGCAGCAGCCGACACGUAGCAAUGGAGCUACGAAACCAUCAAGUGCAUAUCCGGGAGAGUAUGGGAUACUGAAUUCUUGAAGGUGUCCGAUUUUGGCCUACAGCCGAUCCGAGCAGUCGGCUCCUAAGACUCAGAUUAAAUGGAUCAGUUCGCCCGAGAAGAUGGGAAGCUAGGGCACGGGUUCACGUCGGCCGAUUCAUUAGAGAUGAUAGACUUAGGCGAUGGCACCAAACCAAGGCUGACAUAUAUUAGUGCAAAUUUAGAUCCGGAAUACAAAUGUAAACUGACAAGUUUGUUAAGAGAAUUUAAGGAUUGUUUUGCUUGGGAGUAUCAUGAGAUGCCCGGAUUAGACCGAUCUAUUGUUGAACAUCGGCUACCCAUAAAACCAGGAUAUCGGCCGUAUCAACAGCCUGCACGGCGGUGCAAUCCUAAAAUCCUACCGGACAUAAAAGCCGAAAUAACUCGGCUAAUCGAAGCAAAAUUUAUUCGGCAAUGCCGUUAUGCCGAGUGGAUCUCCAACAUUGUACCAGUAUACAAGAAGAACGGAAAGCUACGCGUGUGCGUUGAUUUCAGGAAUCUUAAUCAGGCCACACCAAUGGACGGAUACCCCAUGCCGACGGGCGACGUGCUGAUAGAUGCCGCCGAGGGACACAAGGUUAUUAGUUUCAUGGAUGGAAACGCUGGGUACAAUCAGAUACUUAUGGCCGAAGAGGACAUACCCAAAACGGCCUUCAGAUGCCCAGGUCACCUUGGUUUAUUCGAGUGGGUGGUAAUGACUUUUGGCUUAAAAAACGCCGGCGCUACGUAUCAGAGAGCCAUGAACUACAUAUUUCACAAACUCAUCGGCAUACUGGUAGAAAUCUACAUCGACGACGUCGUAGUCAAGUCAAAAGGACACGAGGAGCAUCUGGCCGAUUUGCGAAAAGUGUUGGAAUGCACUAAGAAACACGGGCUGAAAAUGAACCCAAAUAAGUGUGCCUUCGGCGUAUCCGUCAGACAAUUCUUAGGAUUCAUGGUACACGAGUGAGGAAUAGAAAUCAAUCAGAAGACUAUAGCGGCCAUCAACAAAGUCGUGGCCCCGCAGAAUAAGACUGAGUUGCAAUCUCUAAUCGGCAAGGUGAAUUUCAUCAGAAGAUUCAUAUCUAAUCUGUCGGGGCGAAUCCAAGCUUUCACACCACUAUUAAAGUUGAAACCCGACCAGGAGUUCAUAUGGGGGGAAGAGCAACGCAAGGCACUAGAAGAUAUCAAGCAGUACUUGGUCUCACCACCGGUAUUGGUCCCUCCUCAAACUGGUAAGUCGUUUAAACUAUAUUUAUCAGCCAAUGAAAAAGCUAUUGGGUCGGCUCUGGUCCAGGAGUUCGAGGGAAAGGAACGAGUAAUUUAUUAUGUCAGUAGAAGACUUCUGGACGCCGAAACAAGGUACCCUCCAGUGGAGCAUUUGUGCCUAUGCCUUUACUUCUCAUGUACCAAACUCAAGCACUAUUUGCUAUCGGCGGAAUGUGUGGUCGUGUGCAAAGACGACGUGGUAAAAUACAUGCUAUCACUGCCAAUUUUGAAAGGACGAAUCGGCAAAUGGAUCUUAGCUUUGUCAGAGUUUGACCUUCAGUAUGAAUCGGCGAAAGCCGUCAAGGGUCAGGUCAUGGCCGAUUUUGUCGCCCAACACUGCGGACCAGAGGCUACCUUCAUGGAACCGGUACCUUGAACUUUAUACUUUGAUGGAUUGUCAUGUGGGGUCGGAUCAGGAAUCGGAAUCAUCCUCAUAUCGCCUCGGGGGGCAAGCUAUGAUUUUUCUCUGCCGAUAGAAGCAACCGCCACUAACAAUCAAGCAGAGUACCGAGCUGUACUGAAGGGAUUACAAUUACUAAGAGAAGUCAAGGCCGAUUCUGUUGAAAUUUUUGGAGAUUCCAUGCUUAUUGUGGAUCAAUUAACAGGGAAGUCCGAAUGCAAGGACGAUGUGUUGAGGAUUUAUUACGAAGAUUGCUUGUAGCUUUUGAAAGAGUUCAAAACGGCAGUUAUUGAACACAUCCGAAGGAAUCACAACGAGGAUGCCAACAAGCUCGCCCAACACGCAUCUGGGUAUCGGCCGAUUCAAGGCGCUAUGGCUCUAGAGUUCGCGGCCGAUGACUGGCGAAAAGAAAUUGCCGAUGACCUGAAAGAUCCAUCCAAGAAAGUGGAUUGGCGGGUGCGUUUCCAUGCUACCAAAUACGUACUACUGGAAGACGAUUUGUUCUACCGAACAAUUGACGACGUCCUACUCAAGUGUCUGGGAACGGAGGAGGCUAAGACUCUGAUGGGAGAAAUCCAUGAAGGAGUGUGUGGAGCCCACCAGUCGGCUCUUAAGAUGAAAUGGAUGAUCAGGAAUAAUGGGUAUUAUUGGCCGAUGAUCCUCGAAGAUUGCUUCAAAUAUUAUAAGGGAUGCCAGGAUUGUCAAAAAUUCGGGAAUGUCCAACGUGCGCCCGCGUCGGCCAUGAAUCCCAUUAUCAAACCAUGGCCGUUCAGAGGAUGGGGAAUAGACCUCAUCGGCCAAAUUUAUCCUCCAUCAAGCAAAGGGCACAAAUUCAUUCUAGUGGCCACUGAUUAUUUCACCAAAUGGGUGGAGCCAAUUCCGUUAAGAGCCGUAACAUCGGCUGCCAUGGUCGACUUCGUAAGGGACCAUAUCGUCUACCGAUUCGGCAUUCCCCAGACUAUCACAACCGAUCAAGGGACAAUGUUCACAUCAGGAGAAUUCAUGGAGUUCACGGCCGAUAUGGGAAUCAAAUUGUUAAACUCCUCUCCAUAUUAUGCCCAAGCUAAUGGCCAGGCCGAAUCCUCCAACAAAGGAAUAAUAAAGUUAAUCAAGAGGAAGAUAGAGGAGCAACCGAAAAAGUGGCAUCUAUGUCUAACUGAAGCCCUAUGGGCAUACAGGAUGGCUUGCCAUGGGUCCACCAAGUUAUCCCCUUAUCAGUUGGUGUACGGUCACGAUGCAGUACUACCAUGGGAAGUGAUAGCGGGGUCGAGACGCACUUUGCUCCAGGACCAGUUGACGGCCGACGACUACUCCUCACUCAUGAAAAGGGAGCUUGAUGACUUGGCUAGCCAACGAUUGAGAGCUUUGAUAAGCAUUGAGGAAAACAAGAAGAAAGUGGCCAGGUGGUAUGAUAAGAAGGUCAAAGUCAAACAAUUCUCUCCAGGAGACCUGGUUUGGAAGUUAGUGUUGCCGAUUGGGUCGAAAGAUCCUAAAUUCGGAAAGUGGUCCCCUACAUGGGAAGGGCCGUAUAAAAUCGGCAGAUGUGCUCCAGGAAACGCUUAUAUUCUGGAAACAAUCUAAGGAGAAGAGUUUACUAGGGCUCUGAACAGAAGGUACUUGAAAAGGUACUACCCUAGUAUAUGGGUCGGAGCAUAAAGGAUCGACCACGAUAAACAGCACACAGCCGAUACAAAAAGGUUCGUCUAGAGAAAACAUGUAAUCGUCCAAAUCGGCCGAUGUAUUCAUUCGGUACGGAUGGUGGGUUACACGGCCGACAAGGUACAAGUCGCCCUUAGAACAAAAAAUAAUUAACCACGCUUUUUCUUACGCUCUCUCUCAGCCCGACCUAGUUCUAUCAGAAGACGGAUGUACUCUUCUUCUAUCUCUUUCAUCGCAGCCUCCGCUUCAACUUGACGGGGGAGAGGGUGGCUCCGGUACAUUGCCGGGCGUGAUGUUCCUGCUGCUGCAUCUUCAAGGAGGACUUGUGGAGGAAGCGGAUGACUUCUGUCGGCUUGAGGUCGCCGGCGGGCGUUGCCGUCCAGAAAAUCCCAGAUCCGUCGGAUGUCAGCAGGGACAUGCUCUGGGAGUUCGUCACGAUGAGCCCUGAUUAAGUCCUUGUCCUCUUGCGACAACGGUUCAUCAGAGCGCAUGAGUUCGAUGGCUCGUUCGAGUUCAGGGCUAAGGCGCCGUGGCUGUAGAAAGUAACGAUCAAAAAGGGGAUUCCCUUCAGAAGAUCUAAACUAGGAAAAAGGAUGAAGGCAAAACUUUCACCUGGUUAACAGAGGAAGAGGAAGAGGAUGAAGAAGACAUGACUGAAAGGUGCGCCGACGAAAGUAGGUUAGGAAGAUGAAGCCGAGCUAGACUGGUACUCUCGGAACGGGGGCCUAGGCUAGCAUUUAUAAGAAAGGGAGGCAUGGAUGUUUGGUAAGACGCAUCCCAUCGGAAGUGAAAAGGGUAAUAAAUAAAAGGGGGCGCCGCGAAGGACGAUCAAAAGGGGUAUUAAAUGUUUGUACAAGAACUGCCAGUACUUUUACAGGCCACCCAGAAGGGCAUCGAUAGCCACGAUCGCUCGGCGCCGGAUCUGAUCGGCAGAGUCCAAGACGCGUUGGUCAUCUUCUGCCGAUCCGGGGACUUCUGACGUAUUGCGGUGGAGCUUGAGGGCUUCGUGAGCUAAGUGCUGCCUCUCCCGCUUCAAAUCGGCGAUGACAGAGGGGAGUUCCUAGAGCCUCUUCUCUUCGGCAUCUAUUGCCUUGGUCACCUGCUCCAUCUCCUUGGCAAGUUCCGUCCUUCGGCGUUUGAGGCGAUUUAUCGUGCCGACGAUCCCCGGGCGAGAAUCCUCCAGAAAGUGAAUCCGUUGAUGCACCUCUUGAGCUUGACGCUUGUAUGUGUCUUCUUCUUCACGGGUCUUGGUCAACUUGGCGCGAUCGGCCAUGUGGCGCAGGGCCCUAAAGACCGGAAUCCUCAUUGACUCGAUAUAUGCUGCCGGCGUCAAGGCCUCUUCUGCUUCUUCUGGUACUCGCUCGCUGACGUCACCAAAAAGUUGUCGAAUCGGCGAGGCGUCUUCUACCAGUCGGCCGAUGUCCUCUUGAAGAAGGGAUCGGAUGCUUGCGAGUUUGGCACGGACGUCAUCAGGAACAGAACUCAAGGUGACCUGGCGAGAGGCGACUUCCUCGUCAUGAGAAAGUGCGACCGCAAAUGAGAAAAGGCUGUUGUUGGGAGUGUCUUGUUCCUGGAAAAUGACAAGACAAGAAGAGGGACAAGUUAGCCGAUGAUGGUAGCAAAUCGGCCAAGUAAGGAGAAGAAGUCUCUUACCUCCUUAAAACGAAUUUCUUCGAGUUGCGGUCGGGAGGUUGUUAACCUCGAUUCAGGGGCUGGUUCCAUUGAUUCGUCAUGAGUAGAAGAUUCCACCGUGAUUGGUGCUGUGCUCGGGCCGACUUCCUGAAAGAUGAUCGAUUGGGUUGCUGCCGAUUGUUGCAAGUCCACAGGAGGGAUUUGUGCAGUCUAAAAUAAGAUGAGUCAGUAUGAGGAUGGCAAUCGGCAGGAUAAGGCAACAAGUUUACCUGCAUAGCUUCCACUAGUAACGACGCAGCGGCCGCUCUAGCUUGCGUGAUGACUUGAGUAUUCACUUCUCCAGCAGCUGGAAGGGGCAAUGCGGCCAAAGUUUCUGCUGAUGUGAUUGUAGGAGGGUCGGCCGAUUCUAUACGAGUUCGUACUUGGCGACUGGUCUUCUUGGUAACCUUCUUCUGCGCCUGCUUCGAUCGGCCGACGAUCACAUCCACGGAAGGGGCAUCAUAGCCGAUAAGAGGGAAAAUGGUGUAGGGGUGAUGAUCCUCUAUCGGCCGACCACUCUGACUAUGUGUUGGGGGAACACAGUUUUCAGACUGGAAAAACAACAAGAUGUUAGUGUACACAUUUAAAUGCAUUAACAAAGGAAUGAAGAUCGGUUAGGGGAAAAUACCUCGGCGUUCGGAUCGAUGUUGGCUGGAUCCAAGAGGUUGCAGUACGUUGAUGCGGAGGCGCAGAACAGGUACAGUUUCCAUUCGGCCUACCAUAACUUGAAUUGUUGGACAGCAAAGGGAGCCACUAUCCAGUCAUUCAGAUCUAUGGUGCUAGAGUCUGGUAUCCGGUCUCGCAGCCGACUGCAGUCAAGGCCCUUGGUGAGCUUAUCUCUAAACUUUGCUCGGCCAAUGAAGUAUGCCUGAAUCGGCAGUUGACCCAUGCCGAAUUGCCGUGCUGCAACAGAAGGAUUGUAGAAUUCAUAUGUAGGGGCAUCUUUUCCUGAGAAGAAGUUGGCCGGUAAGAUCCCUGGUUUAAUUAACUCAUCUGUUAGGUCUUCGUCGAAUCGGCCAGUGAUUGAGUCAAAACAAGGAGGGAGUUCGAAGAUUGAGUCAUCUCUCCGAUAAGGGAACCAGACGGUUGCAUCUUCGUUGAAGCCGUUGUAGAAGCACCGGAAAUAUUCGGCCACCUUGGUCGCAGAAUACGAGCAACCAGAGAAGGCCGAUGCCGCUUCGCCAAAGGACAUACACCGGCGUCAGACAGUAAGGUUCUCUUCCGAUUCGACGCUGGGGAAAGUCAUAUUUUCCACUCGCUGCUGAGAGAUCUCGCUCAUAUACAAGUUCAGCUACAAGUUAAUGAACCACCAGGGCCCACCUGGGUUUCCAAUCGGUUCCCCUUGCGAUAACUUGAUACCGAUCUGAUGAAGCAUGUGGUAGACUGCUCCCAGUAAGUGCUUCCCGAGAGGAACCGAAGUCCCUAUUUAUAGUGCUUCGGCCAGAGCUUGGGUGUUGGUAGAUGGACCAGCUGCUCUCCCAUAGAAGAAGUGCUUCUCUAGCCACAUCAUCAGGAAGGCCGUAUACUCUCUGUUCUCGACAGAUCCAGCCCUUUUGUUGCAUCCAAUGAAGCCUUUCCACCCGUCGAUUCCCCUUGUGUCCAGCCGAUAUGAUGUUGCGGCUAUAAGGCGGAAAGGAGUGUCCGGGGAAGUGAUGUCCAGGCCGGUCAGCAAGACUACAUCGGCCAAUGUGGGGGUCAUGGGUCCGUGUCCAAACAGGAAUGCGUUGAGAGCAUCAGACCAAAAGUAAGAAGCUGUCAUCACUAACGGUUCAUUCCGUUCCAUUUGGGACAAGGAUAGGUCGAUGCAUUGGCCAAUUUUGAGCUCAUCCCAUUGGAGCUUCUUGGAGGCGGCUAUCCGCUGGUACCAUUCCCUCCAACAAGGAGUUUCAUUCGGCCAAGACCUGAAGGUACCCGACCAGUGAUCUAGGUCCAUGGUUGAUUGUUUGAAGGGGAUCCUAUGGGUUUCUAAGUUGAUCAGGUCGGUUGGAUCUGGGUUCCCCAUGGGCCCGAGGCAGAUAAGGCCAAGGCUUUCUGUAAGGCGAAUAGUGAUGCAAUGCCUAACUGCCUAAAAAGGAAAAGGGGGUGCGAGGGUGAGAAAUAGAUCUAAGGUAAAUGCACUACUGACAAGGGAAGGUUUCGGUAAUAACCUCCAGGAUGAAGCUCCUUGUAAUCGGCGGAGUCGCCGGUGCAGCUGCAGAUGAUGGAGCCGCUAAUGGGAUCUCGGAUGAGGCUUCAGCUUUCGUCGGUGGAGCUCCUUCUUCCGUCAAUGGAGUCGCCGCUGUCGCUACUGGAAUCUCCGCCGAAGGCACCAUUUCUGGAGCUUCGCGCGUUUGCGAGGUGCCUAAAGGUGCCGCCAUUGGAGAAGUAGGAGAGAAUGCGAAGGGAAGGAGGCGCUGGAGAAUUGGAGGAUUGAGGAAAGUGUUGGAGGAAGAAGAGAGCCUGUGCGCCGGAGAAGAAGGACGUGAGCUCGUAAGGAGUAUGGGGUGCGUUGAUAUUUAAAGAAGUUCUGAGAAGGGUUAAAAGCGGAAUUUUUACCGCGCCGGCGUUCCGAGUUUUUCGGGAGUAGUGGUUGUCAUGGGUGCCCGUUUCGAAAAGAUUGCAAUCAUCAGGUUGGAGAUCGCGAAACGGAAGGAUGUUUUCGUGGCGUCUGUUUCGGAUGGGAAGUUGAAAAGAAUUUCGAAGUAAAGACUGUGUUUUACUCCGAAACUGGGGGGCAUGUGUUGACGCCAGAUUUUGACACGUGUAAAAUCGGCGUUAGGAGGAGAAGAGAUCGAGAGAUGCGGCGAGUUACAAGGGCAGGUGAUUGGAAAUCUGCCGAUAGGUGCUACAGUUAAGGAUCGGCCAAUAGAUGCUACAGUCGAGGAUCGGCCGAUUGAUCCUUGGAGUUCCUCCUCGCCCGACCCCUGAGACUAGGGAUCGGACGCGCCCGACCCUCCAAGGGAGGAUCUCCGCCUCGCCCGACCCCUGAGGCUUGGGAUCGGACGCGCCCGACCCUCCAAGGGAGGAUCUCCGCCUCGCCCGACCCCUGAGGCUUGGGGUCGGACGCGCCCGACCCUCCAAGGGAGGAUCUCCGCCUCGCCCGACCCCUGAGGCUUGGGGUCGGACGCGCCCGACCCUCCAAGGGAGGAUCUCCGCCUCGCCCCACCCCUGAGGCUUGGGAUUGGACGCGCCCGACCCUCCAAGGGAGGAUCUCCGCCUCGCCCGACCCCUAAGGCUUGGGAUCGGAUGCGCCCGACCCCUCCAAAGGAGGAUCUCCGCCUCGUCCGACCUUAGUGCCCAGGGUCGGGAUGAGUCUGAGCCCUUGACGUGUGGGUCCUGAUCAGUUACCCCCUUGCUAAAGAGGCGAUCGGCCGAUUAGGAGGCUAAGAAUAGUUGGGCCGAUGUGGGCUUAAAAAGGAUCAUGAAGAUGAAGAGGGGGUCAGCCCAUGAAGCGCGUAAAGAUAGUACGAAUCGUACUUGUAAAUAUUCGUUUUCUAUUUAGAUUUGGGGAUAGAGUUCUAGUCGGAUAAGAAGUUUUUUGUUUAAAUUUAGAGAUAGAAUCCUAGUCGGAUAAGAAGUCGUUUGUAUGGGGCUAUAAAUAGCCACCCUUAUGGAUCUAUAACAAGACAAUCAACUCAGUACAACAAACUACUUUUUCCUCAUACUUACUUUCAAGCAGGCGACUUCACCAACACUUUUUUCUCCUUUUUCACGAGUUCAUACGGGUUGGCGGGGCUGCAUCAACUUGACCUCCGGCUGAUCUUGUAAGUUCCGUUUAUCGAGUAAUUUCUAAGCUUUAACUUCGGGCGCAUCGCUGUCGUUUCGUUUAGAUUUAUUCACUAGUUAUCGAUAUUCACUAGAAUUUUAGGUUUUACCUGUUGUUCUAGUUUUAUCACCAGUUAUCCAGCUUGGAAUUAGAACCUUCGGCUUUAUUAUAUCUUGUUACUUAAUUUACUGCUUCCUACAUAGCCGAUCGGAUCUAUUCCUAGUGUUGCUACCUUAGCAUUGUUUAGAUUGCUCUAGUAGUUUUCUCUACAAACGUUACCUGGUAAUCGGUUGCCUCAUAGCCGAUUUCCUUCAUUACCGCAAAUCGGCCGAUUCGCUGAUAAGCUUUCCUGAGAUCGGAACAUUAGCCGAUCGCAACCCCUGGGAACUGACACGUUUAUUUCCUUGCCAAUCAACAGGUCAGAUUGGCUGGCACGCCGCGCGAACCACACCAGGGCGAUCACCCAAACAGGAGCUAAGCAGAUUCUCCCGGGUCGUGUGUCCGACGCUGGGAUUCGAUCAGUGAUUUCUAGCGCCAACAGGUUCGAUGAUAUGAUCUUCACUCUUAAUGUUUAAGUGCUCAGGAAAAGUUAUUUGAAAACUUGGAAAAGCCUUUAGCAAGAUCCUCUUUGAUAUGCCAAAGUCCUACCAAAGCCAUGUGAAGAGUUAUCUUGAAAACCUUAUAUACACAUAUGCUGCUUGUCUUUGCAUUGAGCUUUGUCAAAUUGUUGUGACCCUUGGAAGAAUUCUUUCAUUCUUUCAUGAUCAAGAUUCACGUGCACACCAUAUUCCCUUUGAUAUGCUCAUAUGAGAGUUAGCAUUGUACCAUCCAACCAUUCCACAAAAUAAAUGCUCCAUCAUAUGUAUUGGUCUCUCUCUCCAACUAUUAUUACAAAAGAGACAUGGGCUAUCGUGCAAAAAAAUUGGACACAAGAAGGUCCAAGAGAAGAAAGAAAAAGGAAAAGAAAAAUAAAGAUAGCCAUGCUCUCAAAAGAAUUUACAAAGGGAGAGAGAUCAUACAAAAAGGAGUUUUCAUUUCAUUUCCAUAUACCAUCAACUAUAUCCAUACAUGUGCACAUCUUGAUCUGAUUGUUAUGACUUACUUUUCUCCUUGGAUCAAGUUUUUGACUUUGCAAUAUAUGUGAUGCGAGUAUGUCUUAUCCUUCAUACCCUACCUUGAGCUUCGCAUAUAGCCAUCAUUAGAAGUAGGAAGAAGAAGGCAAGUCUAAUGCCUUAGUGAGGACAUAUACACAUUGAGUGAUAUGAGAGAAUCAAAUGAUGAGCUAAAAAAGGUUUGUUUUGAAAACUCAUUGAAAAAUCAUUCCAUUCAUCAUUAUCACAUAGCUGAUUAGAUCUAUCUCAAGUGUUGUUUUUGUAGCUUUGUCUAGUUUACUCUAAGUAGUUUUCUUUACAAUCGCUACGCAAUUGUCGGCUGCAUUAUAGCCGAUUACCUUUUUAUAGAAAAUCGGCCGAUUCGCUGAUAUGCUCCUCGAGAUCGGAACUUUAGCCGAUGGGAAUCCCUAGAAUUUGACACUUUUUCUUCCUUGCCAAUCAACAGGUCAGAUUGGCUAGCACGUAGCACGAACCGCACCAGGGCAAUCACCCGAACAGGAGUUAAGCAGAUUCUCCCGGGUCGUGUGUCCGACGCUGAGGGUCAAUCGGCUGACUUUUAGCACCAACAAGGUGUAACAAAAUACCGUUAUGGGAUGACAAUAAUGGAUCUUAAAUCAAUUGGAUAUAAGAUGAAACAUUCAUCGUAGCCAAGGAUGUGGGUCAGGUUUUCUAUGUGAAGGACAUGUCAAGAAAACCCAAGAUGAAGGCCGGUAAAAAGUUAGAAGAUGAGCCAAAACGCCACAUAGUUCUGCCAGGGAAAAGAUAAAUCGUUGGAGUUGAGGACAUUUCGGACAAGUCAGAAAAUUUUGAUCAGUUUGAUGACCUUCCUCCAUUCUCAUUUCAGGUUGACUCCAGCAUCUUAUUAUCCAAAGAAGACGCUCCGUACUUACGCCGCCAUCAUGACCAAGGGACGUUCAUCAAGAAGAAGAUUACAAUUGUUCCACUGAAUAAUGAUGAGUAGCUUUAGAACUUUAAUAUUAUGUGGUAUUAUGUGGUCAUGGGAUGAACUAUGUAAUGUAUUUUGUACAAUUCGAACAAUUAUGUGGUAUUUCUCUCGAUUAACGAUACUAUUUUGGCUCAUCAAAACUCAGGAAACAUUAAAUUAGAGGCAAUUAUACGUGUACAUUGUAUACUAAUGGCAUAAUUGUAAAAUUUGUUAUAGCUAAUAUUUCUUAAUAUUUUUGCAUGUUCAAAAUAGUAGUUUUUUCCUUUUUUUAUGGAUUACCAGCAGUAAGAAAACAUUUCAUACCCUAGUAGUAACUAAACUUCUAAUUUUACUAUAUAAAUAAAUUGCAGUAUGGUGUGAAGAUAGUCAACACUAAGCUAUGAAACAUUUUUCAAUUAUUUUUCCUAAGUUUACUCCAUUUAUUAAGCAUAAAACUAAUAUAACAACAAUUUUAAAAAUAAGAAAAUAAAAUAGAGUGCUGGCGGGAAAUGAAACUCUGGGGGAAGAUUAGUACGGCCUUGCCCGGUACUAAAUUCCUCCACUUUCGUCUCCUACCGUUUUGGUCAGAUUAGUAACGGGCAGUGGCCUUGCGUGGUACUAAAUGGAACAAUUUAGUAUUGGGCAGUAGUGUUGCCUAGUACUAAAAGAUAUUUUGUAUCGGGCAAGGCCUCCGCCCGGUACUAAUCUAGCCUAACCUACAAAAACCCUACCCUGUUUUUCUCCAACAUUUAUCCACGCAGUCGUUCCUCUCCCGAUCCCGCCGCCACUCCACCGCCCCCAACAUCGUCAUCCACCAUCUCCCGCCGCCCCAGUUUCUCCUUGACGUCCGGCCGUGCCCGGCUCUCUAGGGCAUCACGGCGCACUCCAUCCCACCCUCCUCCCGCAUGGAGCGCUCCUCCGUGACGUCCGCACCAUCUACCGCCCUGGCCAACCAGCCCCCUUCGCAGGCGCCCACUGCCACAGCUCCUCCUUGACUUCCUCGACAUUCGGCCGCACCCAGAGCUCCCCUAGCACCAUGGCGCACUCCGUCCCGCAGGAUUCCGCACUCCACUAUGCCAGCCACCCCUCUGCCCCGGUCGCCGCCCCACGUACUCCGCCGCGCUUCGUCCCCAACCUCGCCGUGCACCGGUCGCCCCCAUCCCAAGCGCCUCUCCCCUCAUCCCGGUCUCCGGGCUCUGGCCUCCGCCCCCACCGCCACACCCUCGGCCCUUCACGUGCGUACGUAAACCCGCAACCCCUCAACCCGAUCGCAUACGUCAGCAAGCCCCGUGAUCAGGUCAGCAACUAGAAUUAGAAAAUAAAUAAUAAAUUGGUAGAAAUCAUUGAAAUUAUUGGAAAAUGGCGUGGAAACUUACUUACAUGAUGCCUAGAAUUAUUUCUUUUGUUUCAUUUAGUUACAUUCUAUUUACAGUUACUUUGUUAAUUGUUUUUUUAGUAAUGGCUAGAAUUACUUGUUAGUAUGGAAGAUAAAAAUAUAGAAAAAUAUUAGAAAGUAUAGGAAAUUGCUAGAAAUAAGUGAGAUUACCACAAAAUUGCUAGAAACUUACUUACAUGCUGCCUUGAAUUAUUUUUUUGUUUCAUUUAGUUACAUUCUAUUUACCAUUACUUUGUUAAUUGUUUCUUUUAGUAAUGGCUAGAAUUACUUCUUAGUAUGGAAGAUAAAAAUAUAGAAAAAUAUUAGAAAAUAUAGGAACUACCUUGUUUUUUCUUGUACUAGUUAAAAUGGGAGAUAGGGAGGAAGAGGUGUUCCUGCAUAAUAUUAUUAAUGAAUGCAGUAACUACAAUGUACAAGUAGAUGAUGCAGGAGGUGAGGAGGAGGAUGGCAACCAGUACCUAAAUAUGACUGGUGAUGGCGGUGAUGAUGCGCCAGCCGAAGAGGAGGAAAAAAUUGCUGAGGUAUAUGAAUCCCUUUAUACAAAAACAUGAUUUGAAUUCUCUACCUUUCAUUAAUGCAUCUUUUUUGGCCAUCUAGAUCAUCAACGAGGCCUAAACAGAAAUGAGGCGGGAAGAAAAAGUUGGAGGCGCACCAAUUGCUCCCGCUAGUAUUCAGACGACAUUUGUCAAACAAUGUGGGUUUGUUGUUAUGGAAAACAUCCCCAUAAGCAUCAAAAAAUUGAGGGUAACCGUACUUGCUGAUCCACCUGAAGAUAUCAUCCCUGAGCAAGAGAAGGAAAUGUGUUGGCAAUAAUUGAUACUGCACUUCACAUAUCCAUAAGGGAAAGCAAACAAACUGAAGGAAUAUGCCUUUAGGAACAUGGCAAUUGCUUUCCAGAUGUUCAACAAAAACUUGCACAAAGACUUUAUCAAGAAGGGCAUUGAACUAGAUUUGGAGAAUAAGUACCAGAACCUACAACCUUAUUGGGAAGCAUUCAAGCAAUACAAGUUGUCAGAAGAUGCCGAAAGGAAAGCUCAAAGUGCCAAAGAUAAUGCGAGCAAAAAGAAACAUUUUUAUCAUCUUGGCCAAGGAGGUUAUAAGACGGUGAUGCCGAAAUGGCAGAGGAUGGAAGAUGACCUAAUGGCAAGAGGAAUCGUGCCAGUAACUCUCAAUUGGCCAAUGUGAGCAAAGAACUUUUUCUACGCUCAUGGCGGCACACUAAAUAGGAAGAUGGAUCAUUUAUUACUACCGAUUCAUUAAUAGCAGAAUUCACCAGGUUGCAAGCUGCACUAAAGGCUAAAUGGCAAGGAAAUUUCAAGCCUAACAAAGAGAAAGACGAGUUAACUUAUGCACUUGGGAAUCCGGAACACAUUGGACGUGUCUGAGGCAUUGGUGUAGUUCCAUGGAAGAAAGAGUUCAGCAAAGAUAUCGAGUAUUACGCAGGUCAAAGAAGCAAGCCGCAGUACAAGAGAAGCUGCAUAUCCUAGAAGAUCAAGUAGCUUCAACUAAUGGAAGAAUGGAUUGGCUUCAAGAGGCGUUAGCAGCCAAGAAGGAGCUGCAUCAGAUGCUAAUGUGGACAUAAUAAGCCAUGCUUCCCAGGAUCGUAGCAGCAUCGCUUCCACGGAGUUCCAACCAGUAGAUGAAUCGUCUAACAUGGUAGCAGGUAACAACCAACAUUACCCCAUGGACGACAUCACUAUGAGGACCCCAUGUGAGCUUCUUACUUUGGUGAGGAAAACAAUCAAAGUAGUGGCUCACAUUAUUGUUGAAGUACCGGUACCAAGCGGGACAACUCAUGGCAUGCAAAUUCCUGAAGGAUAUGCUAGAGUCCAAGUUCACCGAGUGGAAAUAGGAUGGGAAGACCUGGACCUCGAGAUCCUUGGAGGUGAUUGUGAAACAGAACUGGGGCACACCAUCCACACCUAGAUUUGUUCGGCCAAGCGCUACAUAAGGUUUCCGCAAGUAGCCAUAGUUCUCGUAUCAUCCCCUCAGAGCUCAAGGCACAGAUCACCAACGCCACCAUCCACGGAUGCACCUGUUCCAAGGGACUAAAGCAUGAGCGCAUCGUCCCCACCUGCUACAAGGGACCAAAGCAUGAGUCCACCAUUACCUCAGCCUCCACUUCCUAAGAAGAAAAACUCGAAGGCUUUGGUCCUAGAACCUACUAAGCAAAAGAAGAACCCACCUCCUAAGAAAACGAAGCCUCCACCUCUGAAGCUUCCAUAUGAACAAACUAUGGAGGAAAGUCAUGCGAUAUCUUUUGCUGAGGUUGCUGCUCACUUCAGGUGAAAGAAGAUGCCCAAGAAACCACCAAUUGAUGAAGCAACAAAGAAAAACUUUAAAUCUCUGGUGGUUGAAAAAGUGGUGGAAGAACCCAUCUCGGACUAUGAUUGCUCAAUCACAAAGUCAUUUGAGAAGAAAAAAAGAUCACGGUCCACCAUUCCCCAGCUCGGAGAACAAUCUCAAAAAUCGAUUGAUCCGCUCAAAGUGCUUUCAAAAGAAGAUGAGAUUCUAGCUGAAUUGGAUUGCUGAGACCAAUCUCAAAAAAGAGCAACUCAUAGGGGGGGACGAUGUCCAAACUCACCCAGGUGCUGGUAAAUGGGAGUUUAAGUUGGUGGAACCUCUUGUGCGGCCAUAGUUGGUGCCUCACCUGCCAACAAAAAUGUAUGCAUUUCAUUAAUGAUACAUGGAGGCAACUGCAGAUGGAUGGAUCAUGUUUGCUGCUCGGGUUCAAGAUCGUGAUUAGAGGGCCAGAUGACAUAUGGAUUGAGUUUGAAAGUAUUCAUUAUUUGUACCAUCAAGAUGUCCUUGAGAAGUCCCUCAUCAGUGCAUGGGUUCUAUAAGUGUUUGCUCUCAUUUCUACAUCCUAGCUCCUACAUUAAUUGUGCGUUGUCUCAUCCUCUCUUUAAUUUUGUAUCAUGCAGAAUGGAGAUUCAACAUUGCUGGAGAAAACAUAUCUACCAUGUCGCCUUCAUGGACCGGCAUGUUAUAAACGAGGAAUGCUUACUGAAAUGGCCAAAUAGGACCAUGAAGACUAUUUUCAACUUCCUGGAUAAGCAACAUCACAUGCAAAGAAGAAGAGAUGCUUAAUUGUUUCAUUACAAUCACAGAAACAACAUUUUUAACUUGCAGUCCAAUUCCUCUUGGCUAAGUUAUCCUUUGUGAAGAUAAGACCUCUUGGAGGUACCAAAGGAAGAUCUUUAUUUUUAGAGGAAUAUUUAACUUCCAUAUAAAUUUAUUGAUGAAAGGAGUACCCUGGUUAAUGAGAUAUUGACACAUAGUCUGGAUAAUAAAUUUGCUUUGUCUAUGCAAGUCCCAGAUAAAAUUAUCCCUCCCAUCAGAAAUGUGCUGAGUGGCUACAUUAGCUACAAGGUUAUGCCAAGCAGUCAUUUUAUCUCCGAUCAAAGCUCUUCAAAAUAAUAUAUUUAGGCGAACACCUGGUGGUCAAGACUCAUUCUUGUUUUGCCACCUUGUUUUGCCGGCCAUUCAACUGUGUUUUGCUUUUUCAAGCCACGCAGGUUGUUGACGGUCAUCAAGUACCAAAUAUGAUCAUCAAUAUACUCAAGAAUAAAGGAGGAUUGGCAUUUCUUACACACAUAUUUUGUUUCGAAUAAUGUAGUUCCACUUGUCCUUGGAGAUUAUUUGGUUGCAGGUGAAUAAGCACAAAAUGAUGGAGAAAGCACCCUCUAAGGAUCGAAGAAACAUGCUUCUAACCAAUAGGAGGUUGCCAUGUGUGCAUCCCAUGGAUUGAAGGGCCUACAAACUACCACAACUGCCUCAAUCCACCGGAGAACACACACAACCGCCAUUGGGACCCACCAAGUAGUCACCCGAAGAAAGAUGGUUGCGAGGGAGCCCACAGGGGGUCGUCCGAACUGCCCUUGCCUCCCCUCGUCUCCAGCUUCCACGUGGCGAUGGUUUAGGUCGGUUAAGGGAUAUUCCCCAAAGAUUCCCUCGUAGAACCGCCUCCUGGAGCCUAUAAAUAUGAGAGGUGGGGCUCCAUUCUAGGACACACACACAACUAGUGAUUCACUCUCUCUGUCUUAGUUUCCAUGUUAGGUUCAAAGUGUGGCAUCCCGCCCCCCAGGGCCGGGCCCGCUUACACCUGGCAGCUCUCUACGAUAUCAAGAAUUCCCUCACAGACCCACACAAGUCUUUUUUGCGCACUUUGUCCUCACUCGUGUGCACCUAGGAAGAACUUCCCGGUCGGUCACCCAUCCUAAAAUUGCUCCGGGCCAAGCGUGAGUUUCCAUGUUAGGUUCAAGGUGUGGCAUCCCGCCCCCCAGGGCCGGGCCCGCUUACACCUGGCAGCUCUCUACGAUAUCAAGAAUUCCCUCACAGACCCACACAAGUCUUUUUUGCGCACUUUGUCCUCACUCGUGUGCACCUAGGAAGAACUUCCCGGUCGGUCACCCAUCCUAAAAUUGCUCCGGGCCAAGCACGCUUAACCCUGGAGUUCUUUGAGGAUGAGCUUCUGGAAAAGAAGUUGCAACUUGUUGGUAUGAGUAUUUUAUCAAUCCUAUUAAGCAUUGGGACAGGAUGUCACACAAGGUCUUCUUGGAGUUUAGGGUAUGGCUCUUAUAUCUUUUAUUCCUAGGUUAACUUUGUUCUAUUCAAAAUAUAUAGUGUUGUGCUUGGUUCUAAUAUGCAUGAGUUAGAUAUAUACCCUUACUAUGUUGAUGUGCUUGGCCUAUACGCUCGUAUGCUAGUUGUAUACCCUUGCUAUUGUAGUAUAGGCUAUACUCUCAUGUGUGCUUAUAGACCUUGCUACAUGUCAUACUUUGUGCGCAUGUUGUUGGAUUUAUAAGCCCGGUAGUCCACUAGGGGGUUACCCAAGUGGUUGAUUUAUAGGUGAGGGCGAUUGUGAGACCAAGAACACAAAGGUGAUCACGAGAACAUAAGGGACACAUGGAGUUUUAGAUAGGUUCGGGCCUCUAGAGAGUAAUACCCUACGUCUUGUAUGUUGGUGGAUUAUAUUGCUCGUGAGUUUCGAUGAGGUGCCCUCGGGAGGCUCCCUUGGCCACCUUAUAUAGGCUAACGACCUAGGAUUACAAGUUGGUUUGAAUCUAAUCUACUUGGUAGUUACAUGGAAGGUGAUCUGAGUCAAACUACAAUACCUGUCCCGCAAUAUCCGGGCUGAUUUGGAUCACACGACCUCCUUGGCGUGUACUCAAGUACCUUCUUGUCCUUGGCCCGCACAUUCUGGUUGGGUGGGCCCACUUGUGAGGUCCGACUAGUAUCCUGGUCGGUGGGGACCCAUGGGGUACCCAUUUCCCUCACAUGUAUACCUUGUAUAGCUUAGUUGAUCUAUGCUACAACAUCGGUUCAAUAGCCAUUUCUAUGGUGGCUUCAGCCAUUGAUACAAUAGCCCGGUAUGGCUGAGUAUUGGUAACAAUGCAAGCAUGGUGCUUGGAUUGCUUAGCUUCAUUGGAUAUGAGUUUGCCCCACGGGUUGCUAGGGCUAGGCCACAGGUGUUGAUAGCCCUAUUGGUCCUUCAUAAUCCCCCACAUUCGGGUAUGCUGUAGGAGUUUGGAAAUUAGCAGUAACUUUACUGGGCGGAACCAGUACGGGUACCGUCUCCCCGUGUGUGCCUAGGUGCAUAUGCCUGAGUUCUAUACAAUGUCUAUGUAUGUUAUGCUUGUAUGAUAUGUGUAGUAUAUAGGAAGUACAUAUGAACCUAGAGCUAACUCUUAGUCCUUCUCCCUAGCUUAGUUAUCUUGAGAUGAUUCCAGUGUGUGUCACACUACAUAUCUAUCUAUCUUACCCCUGCCUUGAGUAUUGCCUCUAUCCAUCUAUGGUAUACUCAUAUGCAUAGUAAACUAUUUUGACCAACCCGGGAAUAGGAUACCCUUGGGAAUACUCUUGGGUGAAAUGCUACAAUAGUAUAUCCAUGCGCUUACGGAUUUAUUUGUGAUCGUUGAAUAUACCAACAUAGGUCAAACACAGUUGUCUUAGGUAAAACUGAGAGUUUUUGCCAGUUCUCCAUGAACUCAUUCGAGAUUAUGUCCCAAAAUGAAGUAAAUCAUAGACAAAGGAUGUCACUUAAUCUCUUUUUUUAAGAUCAAAGAUUCUCUCGAAAUUCAACAUUGGAAUAGGACCCAAAGUAUCUUUCCAGGUGGUGAUGUUCCAACCCACUUAGAUAGGAUGACAAUCUACUAGCCUAUAAUCCUCCACAAUGUCACUAAAGUUAUAGUUCUUGGCAAGCUCAUGGAGCAUCGAAACAAAUUUUCCACCAUUGGGGCCAUAGUCAACCUCAGCACUCUAGCUGGGGGGGAGGGUGCAAAUUACCGAUUUUUUUAGCAACGAGGGGGUGAGACUCUGUCACCGGGUCAAUAUCAACCUUGUGGUAAAGCUAGCGCAAGUGCCAAUCAUUAUGCCACUUGUUGCAGUAGGCGGCAAUAGGUCCCGCUAACCACUUGCAAAGGAUGACACAUCCUGUGGACCAUGCGUUUUUCUUGUAAUAUUCAACUAUACAUAGUUCUCUUACAUAUUAUAGAACAACAAUUUGGCUCUACAAUCAGCAACUUGUUCGGACCAAUGCCAUUUCUAUCUUUCCUCAGAAAAAUGUUUCGCCACUGGACGAUCAACCUUCAGUACCGGUUAGUAACCCCCUUUAGUACCAAGCGCCUGAUAGGUACCGCUUUAGUACCAAGUGCUAUUGUGUUUAGUACCGGCCAAAAUGCCUGGUACUAAAUGUGCCAUUUAGUACUAGCCAAAAUGUCUGGUACUAAAUGCGCCAUUUAGUACUUGUCGGUAGUACCAACUGGUACUAAACUAAGAGCCAUGUUGCGCUGUUGUGGAGAAAAUUUAGUACUAGUUGGUUUUACUAACCGGUACUAAAUGGUUAUUCCUUUUCUUUUUUUUGUUUUCCUUUCAUUUUAAUUCGUAUUCGUAUUCAUAUUUGUGUACAAUAUCUGUUUGUGUCAUAUUUCGCUAAUAUAUAUUGAUCUAGCAUAGUGAAGGUUGCAUAUAUUAUAUUUAUACAAUUUAUAUACACUUCAAAAGUUACAAGUAUUCCGAAUAUGCACUAUGUGUUGUCAUCUGAGUUCCUAAUUGGAUGAAGUUGACUGUUGGUAUAUUUAAUGAUCACGAAUAAAUCUGCAAGCACACGGAUAUACUGUUGUAGUAUUUAACCCAAGAAUAUUUCCAAGGGUAUCGUAUUUCCCAAAGGAAGGCGGGUAGGUCAAAAGAGUUUAAUAUGUAUAUGAGUAUAUCAUAGAUGGAUAUAGACAAUACUCAAGGUAGGAGUAAGAUAGAUAGGUAGAUAGAUAGUGUGACAAGCACGGGAAUCAUCUCAAGAUAACUAAGUUAGGGAGAAGGACUAAAAGUUAGCUCUAGGUUCAUAUGUACUUCCUAUAUACUGCAUAAGCACACUGUAUAGAACUCAGGCCUAUGCACCCAGACACACACAGGGAUACAGUACCUGUACUAUUUCCGCGUAGCACAAUUACUGCUAAUUUUGAAACUCCUACAGUGUACCUGAACGUGAGGGAUUAUGAAGGACCAAUAGGGCUGUCAUGACCUGCGGCCUACCCCUAGCAACCCAUGGGCAAACUCGUAUCCAGUGAGGUUAAGCAAUCCAAGCACCAUGCUUGCAUUGUUAAGAACACUCUAUCCGACACGAGCUAUUGUGACAAGGGCUAAAGCCGCCAUAGAAAUGGUCAUUGAACCGAUGCCGUAGCAUAGAUCAACUAGGCUAUACAGGAUACGUAUGCACACAGAGUAUAACAUGUAGCAUGGUCUGAAGGCAUACAUGGACGUAUAUAAGCCUAUACUACGAUAGCAAGGGUAUAUGACUAGCAUAUAAGCGUAUAAGCCUAGCACAUCAACAUAGCAAGGGUAUAUAUCUAACUCAUGCAUAUGAGAAUCAAACACAGCACUAUAUAAAGAAGAUGCAUAUUUUGAGUAGAAUAAAGUCAACCUAGGAAUAAAAUAUACAAGAGCCAUAUCCUAGACUCUAGGGAGACCUGUAACCUGAAGUAGAGCCACUCUAGCCUAACUCCACUAACUUGAAAACUAAGAGGGAGAGAGUGAAUCACUAGUUGUGUGUGUGUCCUAGAAUGGAGCGGCUCCUCUCAUAUUUAUAGGUUCCAAGAGGUGGUUCUAGUAGGCGAUCUUCUGGGAAUAUCCCAUAACCGAUGUAGGGGAGUCACCACCAAUCGCCACGUGGAAGCAGAUCACAAGGGGAGCCAGAGGCGGUUUGGUUGAACCCUUGGUGGCCCCUCUCGCAACUGCCUUUGCGUGGUAGUCUGACAUGUGGGUCCUAAUGGCAGUUGUGUUUGUUAUUCGGUGGAUUGAGGUGGUUAUGGUAGUUUGUGGGCCCUUCAAUCCAUGGGAUGCACACAUGGUGACCUCCCAUUGGCCAGAAGCAUGUUUCUUGGAUCCAUAGAGGGUGCUUUCUCCACCCUUUUGUGUUUAUUCACCUCCAACCCAAUAUUCUCCAUGGACAAGUGGAACUACAUUAUUCGAAACCAAAUAUGUGUGUAAGAAAUGUCAAUCCUCCUUUAUUCUUGAGUAUAUUGACGCUCAUAUUUGGUACUUAACGACCAUCAACAACUCCCCCAAGCUAGCCCUUUGCUUAUCCCGAGCAAAUGCUAAGACUUAGGCUAGUUGAUCAGGAGUUGCUACUAUAUUGUAUUCCUAACUUAUGCGAAGCCUAUAAUAAAAUAUUCUACCAAAAUACUUAUGUGGGGCAUGUAGCUUCACCUUAUCUUGGGUGGUUGAGAGAUAGAACUGUUUUAUAGAGCACCAUUCACUUAUCCUUUGAUCAGUGGUCAAUCCGGAGGUUUUGCAAAGUUUUUCAAAAGAUAUCAAAGUUCCUCAAAUGAUACUCUCGGAUCGGUCAAUGUGUAUGAUUCCUGACCAAGGCAUACGGUUGCCUUUCUUUCACAACCUGCUCCUAAUAGGCUUAUAUGUGGAACUGUAUGUAGGGAAGAAUGAAGGCAUACCUGUCUCUGAUUUAUUGCUAAGUCAAAGACCGGAUCAAAAUGUGCAUGUCUGUGGAUGGUGUAUGGACUCCUUUUUUUAUGAUCCUUCUCUCUCCUUGAUUUUUUUCUUUUGAGACAUAGGCUAUCUUUUCUCUCUUUCUUUCUUUUUUUCAUCAUGCUUUCAAGAGCAUGUACUUUAUUUCUUUUUGCAUAGCCCAAGUCUCUUUUGCAAGGAUACUUUGGAGAGAGAGGUCAUAGAAAAACGUGGAGCUUUAUUUUGUGGAUGGAUGAAAUGAUAUGAUUCCUAACUUCCAAUGUAGAAGUUUAGCAUAUGGUAGUGGCGUGUACGUGAUCUUGAUCAUGGGAGUAUGAUAAGUUUCUCACUAGGGGUCACAACAAUUUGACAAAGCUCAAUGAGAAAACAAGCUACAUAUGCAGAGGCUAUGUAAUAGAAUCACGUAUGGCCUUGGAUAGGAAUUUCUCAUCAUUGAGGAACUUCUCAUUUUAGCAUUUUCAAAAAUAAAACUCCGGAUAUCAAGUAUCACGUAGAACAAGAUCAUAGCAUCUCUAUUCUACCAUAUCAUAUCUCACAACAACCUAGACUUGGAUCAUCCUUUUGCUACCCACAAGUUUCAACUUAAGGUUUGAUCAUGCAAGCCAACAAACUCAAAACUUAGGUAGGAUACUAAUUUGUAGCAAGACAUGGGAGGAAAUAAACAGAGCAACUAUUCAUCAUUUCAACUAUGGAGAAUUAAAACAUUCUUACCGCACAUAGGAAACAAGUAAAUAUUUUUGGUCUUUUUAGUUUUUCAGAUUUUUAUUUGUUUUUACUAUGCAUAUUCUAAAAAGGUAAAGAUACAAGUUACCUCUCUUGUGGGGUGUUGGUAAUUUAACCCGGCAACCUAUCAAGGGAGUACCCGAGAUAAUGUUUUGGUUGGUGAGUGUUGUUGCAAUCAAGGAGUCGAUGGUGACGUAGAAACACGAUUUAGACAGGUUUGGGCUGCUAGAUCGCGUAAUACCAUAUGUCCUGUGUGUUGUAUGCUUGUAUUUGAUUGAACUUCUUCUGAGGGGGUCCCUGCCCGCCCUUAUAUAUUAGGGGGGUAGGGUUAUAGGGUAGUCUUUAGUACAAGAGCACUACUCGGAUACGACUACAGAGUCCUACUCUAACUCGGCAGAGUAGUUUCCUUGUAUUCCGACUAGUCCUUCAGGAGUUCCAUGUAGUCUAUGUUGUCCUGUAGCAUAGUCUUCAUGUCCUGAUAUGUCUCGAGUACGUCCCCUUGAGUGGGUCCGUACAGAUCUUCUGGUGGGGCCGAGGAUGUAUGGUCGACAAGCCCCCGAGUACUUUGUAGUCAAAUGAAACACUUCCGAGUACUCAGCAAACGAUGCUCGACUAGUCUUUGGUGCUCGUUGAGUACUUCUGUCGUGGCUAGUCUUCGAGUACCCGAAUACUAUCAAGCAGCUGGAAGGUACUCCUACCCCAUUUGACGUUGGUUUUGAGUAGUUCAUCUUCAAGUCUUUAUAUGGAAGUGCAAUGAAAAUCGCACUCCAUAUGGAGUAGCCCUCGAGCCUUAGGUUGAAUCGGAGAAUUAGGCUAAGGGUCAAACUGAAUUUGUUUUGUCUUUCCUUUAUCCCUAAAGAAAAAGAAAAUUUUGUCCAACAGGCAAGGUGUAUGCAACCCUGAGCACUUGAUGGACUACGUCCAGGCGAUGAGGGGGUCAAUCAUGAUCAACGUGACUGUUGGACUUCAAUCUCACGAUAAAUCUUGAGAGGAUCAGACCGUUGCAAGAUUACCGGCUGCAUUCCUAGAAUCUCGGAGCCAUUUUAGAUCUGUUGCGCUGUUAUAAAAGAUAAGGCCAGUAGCCUCCUGUGACGACCAUGGUCAAAUCUUUCGAGUUAAUCUUAAUCCGAGUCCCUAAUCCCGCUAACCCAGCUUCCCCGAGCUCAAGCGCUCAACGUCCGUUCCUAAGUCCCGACCCCUGAAGACCCCAACCCGCCGGUUCCUUCUAAGUCUCCAUAACAGUGUCCCUUUCAAUCUUGGGUAGAGGAGAAACCGAGACUGACGGUUGGACCCGCAAAUCUUUUUCCCGGAUCUCCCGAUGCAGACGCACUCGAGCGGCCUGCACCACUCCAGAGCUUCUCCGCUGCGUGGCUCAACUCCUCUAACCCCGCCGCUUCGCCUCGUCGCCGGCCGCGAUCAGAUGGUUUCCCGCGCCCUCCUCCCCAAUCGCAACAGAAGCCCCUCUGCAACCUUUCUGCAGCGCCCCGUCUCGCUCGCGCCCUCGCCGGCCGCGCCUUGGUGCUCCGUCACCGCUGUGGCAGAACUUUGCCACCUGCUGCAUCAGACCACCUCGCGGCUCGCGCCCAUCAUCACCUCACCCGACCCCCGGCUGCAAGCCCCGAUGCCUUCCAGCUUUUCCACCGCCUCUCCAUAGUCGCGCCGCCCCAAAUGCGCUACGCGACGAUUCCUCCAUCGCCAACCCCGACACCGGCCGUGACAGCUCCUUUUCCGCCUUGCCAGAACUGUGCCCCGGCAAACCGCCGUUUCGCGCUCACCCGCAUAGCCGCAGCCCGGCUGUCUUUUCACCAGUUGCAACCUCGCUUAUAGCACCGUUCCCCCUGGCACACCCAUCAGAUCCGCCGCUCGGCGAGGCCCGCCUCCGCCAAAUCUCACCCCCGGCAAAAUCACACCUGCACCGCCCUGUCUCCAGUGCCCAAUGGCCGAAGGCGUCAUCACCGAAGUCCUGUUCCGCCACCCAUCGUUGCUCAAUCACCGCCAUGGAAGCGCACUCCAUCCUUUUCUUCCCGGUCGUUGUGCUGCUCCAACCCUCUCUCUCCCGCGCAGCUAUAAAAGGGAAUGCCCGAGUCCUACCUGAGUUCCCUUCUCCAUCGCUGCCUUACCGCCUUGUUUCUCUGUUUCGUGCUCGAGCACUGCCACCUAAGUUCCUGAGGAACUCUCCUCUCCGCUCAACACCCACCUUUCCCAAUCCUCCUAGCCGCUUGCUCCUCCGCGCUGUGCUAGAGCUUGCUUGUUGUCCACAAGAAGCACCACCGCCGCCGGAGCACCGCCGGACAUCGCCGCCGCCCAAGCUUUAGCACCUUUCAUCUCUCCGCCUGAGCCGUUCUUUCCGACCCCAAGACGUCACCAGUAGGCCUAAAGGUAAACUGCCGACCUUGUCUUGUUCGCCCGACCCCUUUUCCGUCUCGCCCGACCCUAUCUGUUCGCCCAACCCCUUUUUCGUCUCACCCGACCCUAUCUGUUCGCCCGACCCCUUUUCUGUCUCGCCCAACCCUAUCUGUUCGCCCGACCCCUUUUUUCUGUCUCGCCCGACCCUGUCUGUUUCGCCCAACCCCUUCUCCAUCUCGCCCGACCCUGUCUGUUUCGCCGACUCUUUUCCGCCUCGCCCGAGGACUCGGCUGUAUCCUUUUUCCUUGACCCGAGGGUAUAUGUGUAAAAAUCGGGGACUUCUCUGCACUAAGUCUGAGGACCCCAAGCACAGCUAUUCCUCUAGUCUAAGGGUCAGAUCAUAAGUUUCUUCCAAUCCGACCCUUGGUCUUGUUCUCUAUCCACUGAAGCUUGAACCUCCACACUUUUUCCGUAGCUUUGCUACAAGUUUCUGGGCUAAGACUUGCAAGUGUUGCUGUUGAAAUAACCGUCUAAGUGCUAACUCCUGCAUUUGCAUUCGUGUAGAGUUGAAUCUAACCGACGGCGUCUACGAACUGCAUCCAGUGCCAGAAGACGGAGCAGUAGCUGAGCCGCCGACCGCAGGAGCUGCAGCAGAACCCUCAGAGGACCAGUUUCCCUCCCCUCCGCUUGAAGGCAAGCCCCGGAGCAUGAACCCGUUUUCUCUAAACUUACACAUACCUUCCUUCAUUUGUAUGUGCAUUUACGUGACAGGAGUUGUUUGAAACCAUAGAUGCAUGACUUAGUUCCCUUGAUCUGAACACUAGCCUGAUGAGUCUGAGUAGUUGCAUUGCUUAAUAGGACUCGGUAAAAGUCGAGUGAUUUCCUGUCACUCGCGAGUUAUAGGAGUUGGUUGUUCUCCUUCUGGUUACAACUAUAAGGACGAUGGACGGGGCAGGGCCUGGGGAACUCUUUGGUGGUUGGUCGAUUGCCCUGUCUGUCUAUAAGAAGUUGCUAAGGUCGAAAAGUGUUGGUGUUCGUGAUCAAGUGUUUGAAAGUACUAAUCUCAUACCUAGUAUGGGAUGGGGAAGCCUAGUACCUGAUUGAACUAGGGCGUGGCUUAUACCCCUGCUGUCCCUGGAACGAGGUUCCCAUGGUGCAUCAUGUGGGUGCAAGUGCGGUCACAGUAUGGUAGAGGCUGGGACUGUGGAGCAUUGCAUGCCAAGGGAAGUUUGGACCUGACGUGCCUGGGAAUUGAUGGGGACGGCCGACACAGGAAGCGACCCUUGUGGUGCGCGGAUGUCGUGAGGUUAGGUUCACCAUGCAUGGUUAAGAAACUCGAAUCGAUUCGUGUGCCUCUCACAGUUUGAGACUGCUUGAUCGCUAUGCUACACUGAGUAAAGAUGGAACAUGAUGAUGCUAUGAACCCGAUGCUUGUUCUAUACUUUGUUGUUGGAACUAUGGUUGCUUAGCAUAAGUCGCCAAUAUCGACUGGUUAAUGAACUUAGAACUUGAGCUAAAACUUGAAAGCAAGGACCCACUGUAGUCGCUUUUGGCAAACAAAACCCCUCAGCCAAAGAGCCUUGCAUGUCUAGAAGUGGUGGAGUAGUUUACCACUGGUCGGUUAAGUCUUGUUGAGCUUAGAAGCUCAGCCUUGUUUGUGGCUCUCUUUUCAGGUGAUGCCGCCACUCCUGAGUUUGCUCCUAUUGGCACUUGGCUGCCCCAGCUCCCUCCGGGUUGGACGGUCGAGUGGGAUCCCUCCUCGGACGGUGAGGAAAGGGAUCACUGAUGUCCUGAUCGGCCUCAUCAAGGACAUCCGACCCCGGCGCUAGCUUCCGCAUGUUUUACCUUCUGUUUGUUUCUUCAGACCAUGUUAAACUUUGAUUUACAACCAAGUGUGUAACAACUUAUUAAUCUUUUGGUGGUCCUAAACAGUUUCUUUUAAAUAAAAGUUGCAAGAAAAAUGUUGAACAAUCUCGUACGAUCAUUAAGGAUGACCUUAGUACGAGAGGCCCUAGGGGAUUUUGGGGUUAUUUUUAGGUGGCUAAUAUUUAUUGGUUAUCUUGCUAACCUCCAGCACUUCGCCACGUGUAUCAUACGUGUGCCGAGUUCCGCAUCACGAGUAUGCGAGGGUUGAUAGGGAGUUCUAUUCAAAGGACCCUAUCAUCGCGGUUGUUCCGCCCACGUUUAUCAUACGUGCGCAGGUUCCAUAUGCUAAUUCAUACGAAGGGUGGUAUGGUUCGAUUCCAACGAGCCUAUCAUCACGGUUGUUCGCCCACGUCUAUUAUACGUGCGCAGAUUCCGCAUCACGAGUAUGCGAAGGGUUAUACAGUUCAAUUCAAAGGGGACCUAUUUCCACGGUUGUUGUGCUGUCCAUGCAGCCUUAAACGCAUGGGUGCCGUUUCUAUAGUGAACGGUAAUGCUUGGGGACGCUUUCGUGGGUGCUGGCACGAAAGGUUCAUGUGGUUGUGUUUUUCUGCAGGUACACUAACCGCGUUCGCUUAGGAGACGCUACUAGAACCCGACUAGAUAUUAUAGGGAGAGACGUACUGGUUGCCUUGCCACCGGCACUGACUGCGUAAGACCAAAGUUUUGGCAGUUAUUUUGGUUGAGAAGACGAGGUAGGCCGUGCAUGCGUCAUCAACUAAAAUUUGUGAAACCACCUCCCUAAAACAACCUUGCCUUGGAAAAGCUCUUCUUUGGUUUUAAGGAUUUCUAGCUUCCUUCCAGCUUGUGCUCAGUCAAAUCCGAGUACUUUUCUGUCCGACCCGUUCUUCUUAGAGUUUCUAACUCACGUCGGUUCGGUUUUGGUUCCAGAUGGCUGCUCCAGGACACGUGCUGUACGGCACCGACGGCAUUUUCCACUUGACGUGCUUACACUUUGAGGGUUUUCCUGCUAUUCUGUGGGACACCUUAAGGUGGUUCGGGUAUGAGUCCCCGCCUUUGUACGUGGGACGGAUGUACCUCGAGCACGGAGUACAGAGGUGCAACAUGUAGGUGGUGGUACCUCCACCCCCUGUGCGGCCCGAGUGGCCCCAGCUCGGAGUCUCAACUUGCGAGCACACUCUGGAGGAUAUGUGGGAAUCAGCUGCUUUGCAGAUCCUCACCCAGUUCUGUCAACUGCACCCGCUUGAGGUCACCAUGGACCCGAUCGUCUUGUUUCCUGCCAGGGAUCGGAUGGACCCGGCUUGGCUUGAUCGCGUCAACAACAUAGAGGUGCUGGCAACCUCCCACUCGCUGGUCACCAUCUCUACCACCACCAGAUGCAUGUCAGCCUUAUAUCGGCUGAUCGAGCUUCAAGGCCGAGCAAUGGCUGUCUUGGCUCGGAUAGCCAUAGACACCCAAGGGCACUUCAACGCCGCCAAGACAGACUUGGUGGGACAAACAUAUCAACUCAUCCAGAGAGGCAUACAGAUCCACGACAUGCAAGACCGAAUCUCCGAACUCGAGGGAGAAGUAACGGACCUGGUGGAUGGCAUGAUCGAGCUUUCCGAAGAAAAGAUGGAGGUCGAGAUGGAGCUAGCAGUUGCUAAUGCUCAUCUGGACAAGCACCACGCCGAGUUUGAUGCUAUACAUGCCCUUCAGAUGCAAUUGGACGAGCAAGAAGAUCCUGAGGAGGUCAUGGGAGCGUCUAGCAUGGACAUUGAGGAUGGCGACGCCCCUUCUCCGACUCAUAGUGUUCCCUCAUAGGUUGAGAGCUGUGGGACUCUAAUCUUUUGUUGUACUCCUCGGCAACCUAAGUUUUGGUUAGUGAUGUAAUAGGUUAGCCUUGAGUUGAGUAUUCCUCCUGUGUUUUAAGACCAGCAAUGAAAUGAUCUUGGUGAAAGCAGUUCCUAUUUUUCUUUCACUCGUGACUUGACCUUUGACUCUUUUGCGACACACUUUGGAUGCCAGGUUGUGUGAGUUUGUGCUAUGACUACACACCCGUUUUCUAUGGAUUUGUCCAAAGUCUGGCCGACCCCGGGUCACAAGGUCGGACGCGCCCGACCCCUCGAGGCAGUUUUCCGCCUCGCCCGACCCCUUCUUGUGCGAUCACCUGACCCCUUGUUGCACUGUUUCUCUUAGCCCGACCCCUCGGCCUAAGGUCGGAUAUAGUGGAGUUCGUGGGAUAUGGUUUUGGUUCGCCCGAGGUUGUGUGUAGAUCCAAGCGAGUGGCUAACUAAGAUGGCAAGAGGAAGUGUGCACCUCCUUAAUAAAGCUAUGUGUUGUGUUGCAUUAUCGGCAAGAGUCGCAUUUGCGGAUUUAACAUAUGCGUUCCCACAUAAUUGGAAUACUUCUGAGGUUAUGGAAUUAAUGGGACGUUGACUCUUACAGAUGUCGCAUCGCACCCGAUCUAGCUCUGUGCCCAGCAGCAGCGAGCAGAGGCAGGAUCUUCCCCCGCCCCCGCCCCCGCCUUCGCUGGAGGCGAUCUUAGCGGCUCAAAACGAGCUGCUGAGGCACAUUGUACAAGGACAACAACAGCAGCCCCAUGGAGGGAGAGCCCAUCAACAACCCCAAGUUGCUCGUUAUGAGGACUUCUUGAGCACGCAGCCUCCUUUGUUCCAGAAGACGCAAGACCCGCUCGACACCGACGCCUGGAUUCGUGCCAUCGAAUCCAAGUUCUCCCUCCUCACCGCCCAUUGCCAGGAGGAGAACAAGGCUCGGUUCGCCGUGCAGCAACUGCGUGGUUCUGCCCUCCUUUGGUGGGAUCACUACCACGCCAUGAAGCCGGCCGACCACAUCGUCAGCUGGGAGGAGUUUAAGACGGCGUUCAGGGGCCACCAUAUCCCUGAAGGUCUCCUGGAGCGUAAGCUCAACAAGUUCCUAGCCCUUAACCAGGGAAAUCGAGAUGUCCUGCACUAUGCGCAGGCUUUCAAUGAUCUGUGUCGGUACGCUGGGUACCAUGCGGACAUAGAUGAGAAGAAGCAGGACAGGUUCCGCCGAGGGCUAAGCUUGGAGCUCAGAGAGAGAUUAAACCCGAUAAGGGUGGAUACGUACAACGAGUUGGUCAACUUGGCCAUCUCACAAGAGGAUUGCAUGAAGGCUCUGGCAGCCGAGAGGAAGAGGAAAGCUCCACUGCCAACGCCCAGCCCACCUGCACAGCGAUUCAGAAUGGUUCCCCCAUAGGCACCCAGCCGACCCCAGCAGUCGGGAAGAUGGGUUGCCCGACCCCACCAGCGGCAGCACUUCGUUUUCCAGGAUCUCAACCUCAGGCACCACGGCCGACCCCACCGCCGCCACCGCGCCCUGCAAAUGGUAAUCGCUGUUUCACCUGCGGCAAUAUGGGGCAUUUUGCCAAGGACUGCCCUAGAAAUCAGAAUCAGCGCCCAGGGCAGAGCAAUGCGAUGCUCAACAAAGGAAAGAGGCCCAAGAUGCAAGUUCGCCAAGGUCGGCUGAACUUCACCAACGCAGCAGAGCUUCUUGAAGGUGCGCCGAUAAUGAUGGGUACCUUUUUGAUUCACAGUUUUUCAGCUUUGGUUUUGUUUGACUCAGGAGCCUCACAUAGUUUUAUUGGAAGAAGGACUAGUGACAAAUAUGGGUUAAAGGAAUGCCAAACAAGAGGGUCUUUUAGGAUAUCCACCCCGGGUGGGGUAAUCACAUCUGAUAGGAUGAGUGUCAAUGCGCCUAUCCAGCUAGGCCAAAAACUUUUUAAGGAGAAUCUUGUUAUUCUCGAUCUAGAGGGGAUUGAUGUCAUCCUAGGGAUGGAUUGGAUGACUAGGCACCAGGUUGUGCUAGAUAUCCUAGCCCGAGCUAUCCACGUCAACUCACCCCACUAAGGCCCCCUGUUGUCCAAUUGCCUCGCCGAGAAGAUGUGAAUUCUUGUGCGUAUCCCGCAAUUGAGACCCGACUGAAGGACAUCCCUGUAGUCUGUGAGUACCCCGACGUGUUUCCCGAUGAUUUGCCAGGCAUGCCGCCUGAUAGAGAUGUGGAGUUUUCCAUAGAGUUGAUCCCCGGCACCGCCCCUAUCUCCAAAAGACCUUACCGGAUGCCACCCGCUGAGCUUGCUGAGUUAAAAAACCAGUUGAAGGAUCUGUUGGAAAAAGGCUUCAUCCAACCCAGUACUUCACCUUGGGGUUGCCCAGCCCUGUUUGUGAAGAAGAAGGAUGGGAGUCUACGCAUGUGUGUGGACUACCGACCCCUCAAUGCGGUGACUGUCAAGAACAAGUACCCACUUCCCUGCAUUGAUGUUCUGUUUGAUCAGUUAGCUGGAGCAAGAGUAUUUUCCAAGAUCGAUCUUCAUUCCGGUUAUCACCAAAUCAAGAUCAGACCCUGUGACAUUCCCAAGACUGCCUUCUCCACCAGAUAUGGACUCUACGAGUACCUGGUCAUGUAUUUUGGACUCACCAAUGCACCCGCCUAUUUCAUGUAUCUCAUGAAUUCGGUGUUCAUGCCUGAACUGGACAAGUUCGUGGUGGUGUUCAUUGAUGAUAUUCUAGUAUACUCUAAGAGUGAAGAAGAACAUGCCGAACAUCUUCAAGUGGUUCUCCAACGGUUGAGAUAUCAUCAGCUCUAUGCCAAAUUCUUCAAGUGUGAAUUUUGGUUAGAUAGUGUCAAGUUCUUAGGACACACUAUCUCUCGGAAUGGCAUAGCCGUUGAUCCUAGUAAGGUACAGGAAGUCAUGGACUGGAAGCCACCCACCUCAGUUCAUCAGAUCCAAAGUUUUCUUGGAUUGGCAGGCUACUAUCGGCGCUUCAUUCCAGAUUUCUCCAAGAUAGCUAAGCCGAUGACUGAGCUGCUGAAGAAAGAGGUCAAAUUUGUGUGGAACGACAAGUGUGAAGAAGCCUUCAACACCCUGAAGCACUUGCUGACCUCAGCCCCAGUUUUGGCUCAACCUGACUCUUCUAGGCCAUUUGACGUGUACAGUGACGCCUCUAGCACUAGACUUGGGUGUGUUCUUAUGCAAGACCACCGAUUCAUUGCCUAUGCCUCACGGGCGUUACGACCUCAUGAGCUGAACUACCCGACCCAUGAUCUUGAGUUGGUAGUAGUGAUACAUGCCUUAAAGAUAUGGAGGCACUAUUUGAUGGGCACCCACUGUAACAUCUAUACUGAUCACAAGAGCCUCAAGUAUAUCUUCACUCAAGCCGACCUCAACAUGCGCCAAAGGAGAUGGUUGGAGUUGAUAAAGGAUUAUAAUUUGGAAAUGCACUAUCACCCUGGCAAGGCCAACGUGGUGGCCGAUGCCCUUAGCCGCAAGACUCAUUGCAAUUGCUUGUCGGCAACCAAUUUUGCCGAGACUCUGUGUCAUGAGAUGGGAAAACUUAAGUUGGAAAUUGUUUCCCAUGGAACCCUCGGUCACAUCUUCCUUGAGUCUGCUUUGGAGGACCAAAUUGGGAUGGCACAGUUAGAGGAUGAGGAAGUAAGGCGGAUCACAAGGAAGAUUUCAUUGAAGGAUGAAGGGUAUAAGCAAUUCCGACAGGAUGAGACUGGGAAGGUGUAUUAUGGAAGCCGACUUGUUGUACCAUCCGACCCCAACCUUAGGAAGCAAAUCCUAGAUGAAGCUCAUCUCUCCAAGUUCUCAAUCCAUCCUGGCAGCAAUAAAAUGUAUCAUGAUCUCCGUCAAAACUUCUGGUGGAGUGGAAUGAAACCAGGGAUUGCACGCUAUGUCUCGGAAUGUGACACCUGCCAACGUGUCAAGGCCAGCCAUUUAAAGGUAGCGGGUACCCUGCAGCCCCUACCUAUCCCCUCCUGGAAAUGGGAAGACAUCAGCAUGGAUUUCAUUGUUGGACUGCCCCUUACAUCGCAGCAACAUGAUUCCAUUUGGGUUAUAGUGGACCGCCUGACCAAGUCUGCUCACUUCCUUCCUGUCCACACCACCUACACGGCCAAGAAGUAUGCGGAGUUGUAUCUUGACCGCAUUGUUUCCCUACACGGUGUGCCUAGGAUGAUCAUAUCUGAUCGAGGAGUUCAGUUUGUAGCGCGUUUUUGGGAACAGCUACAAGCAUCACUGGGCACCAAGCUCAUUCGUAGCUCGACCUAUCAUCCCCAAAUCGAUGGUUAGACCGAAAGGGUAAAUCAAAUCCUUGAAGACAUGUUGAGAGCUUGUGUCAUCCAUUAUGACAAAAAUUGGGAUAAGUGCUUGCCAUUGGCAGAGUUCUCCUAUAAUAAUAGCUACCAGACUAGCUUGAUGAUGGCACCAUUUGCAGCCCUAUAUGGUCGGAAAUGUCAGACAUCGCUGAAUUGGUCACAAGCUGGAGAAAGACAAACCUGUGGCCCUGACUUAGUGGUAGAAGCAAAAGAACAAGUGAAGAUAAUUCAAGCAAAUCUCAAAGCCGCCCAGUCUCGACAGAAGAGUUACUCCGACCGGAGAAGGAGACCCCUGCAGUUUGAUAUUGGUGAUCAUGUGUAUCUUCGAGUCUACCCGACCAAAGGAGUGCAACGGUUUGGAGUAAAAGGGAAAUUGGCUCCCCGUUACUUUGGCCCUUAUGAGAUUGUGGAAAUUUGUGGACCCGUUGCUUACCGGAUCCAACUCUCAGAACAGCUUUCAGCCAUACAUGAUGUUUUCCAUGUCUCCCAGCUGAAGAAACAUGUCCAAGUCCCAACAAAGAUUUUAGAACAAGGGCAACUUCACCUUGAACCCGACCUGAUCUACGCUGAGUACCCGACCAAAGUUCUUGACCGCAAGGAGAGGCAUACCCGACGCCAAGUGGUGAAAAUGUAUAAAAUCCUAUGGAAUAACCACACAGAGGAUGAAGCAACAUGGGAGAUAGAAGAGUAUCUGAACAAGCAUUUCCAAGGUUUUCUUUCCAGCCAAGGAGGUAAGGACUGCUCACCCCCACUGGUUACCCCUACACCCGAAUCUCGGGACGAGAUUCUUUUUAAGGGGGGUAGGCUGUGACGACCAUGGUCAAAUCUUUCGACUUAAUCUUAAUCCGAGUCCCUAAUCCCGCUGACCCAGCUUCCCCGAGCUCAAGCGCUCAACCUCCAUUCCUAAGUCCCGACCCCUGAAGACCCCAACCCGCCGGUUCCUUCUAAGUCUCCAUAACAGUGUCCCUUUCAAUCUUGGGCAGAGGAGAAACUGAGACUGACGGGUGGACCCGCAAAUCUUUUUCCUGGAUCUCCCAAUGUAGACGCACUCAAGCGGCCUGCACCACUCCAGAGCUUCUCCGCCGCGUGGCUCAACUCCUCCGACCCCGCCGCUUCGCCCCGUCACCGGUCGCGACCGGAUGGUUUCCCGCGCCCUCCUCCCCAAUCGCAGCGGAAGCCCCUCUUCAACCUUUCUGCAGUGCCCCGUCUCGCUCGCGCCCUCGCCGACCGUGCCUUGGUGCUCCCUUGCCACUGUGGCAGAAAUUUGCCGCCUGCUGCAUCAAACCACCUUGCGGCUAGCGUCCAUCAUCACCUCACCCAACCCCCGGCUGCAAGCCCCGAUACCUUCCGGCUUUUCCGCCGCCUCUCCACAGUCGCGUCGCCCCGAAUGCGCUAUGUGACGAUUCCUCCAUCGCCAACCCCGACCUCGGCCGUGAUAGCUCCUUUUCCUCCUUGCCAGAACUGUGCCCCGGCAAACCGCCGUUUCAUGCUCGCUCGCGCAGCCGCAGCCCGCCUGUCUUUUCACCAGUUGCAACCUCACUUAUAGCGUCGUUCCCCCUGUCACACCCACAAAUCCGCCGCUCGGCGACGCCCGCCUCCGCCAAAUCUCAACCCCGGCAAAACCGCACCUGCGCCAUCCUGUCUCCAGUGCCCAAUGGCCGAAGGCGUCAUCUCCGAAGUCCUGUUUCGCCACCCAUCGCCGCUCAAUCGCCGCCAUGGCAGCACACUCCAUCCUUUUCUUCCCUGUCGUCGUGUUGCUCCAACCCUCUCUCUCCCGCGCACCUAUAAAAGGGAAUGCCCAAGUCCUACCGGAGUUCCCUUCGCCAUCGCUGCCUUACCGCCUUAUUUCUCUGUUUGGUGCUUGAGCGCUACCACCUAAGUUCCUGAGGAACUCUCCUCUCCACUCAACACCCGCCUUUCCUAAUCCUCCCAGCCGCUUGCUCCUCCGCGCUGUGCUAGAGCUUGCUUGUUGUCCACAAGAAGCACCGCCGCCGCUGGAGCACCGCCGGACAUCGCCACCGCCCAAGGCUUAGCACCUUUCAUCGCUCCGCCUGAGCCGUUCUUUCUGACCCCAAGACGUUACCAGUAGGCCUAAAGGUAAACUGCCGACCUUGUCUGGUUCGCCCGACCCCUUUUCCGUCUCGCCCGACCCUAUCUGUUCGCCCGACCCCUUUUCCGUCUCCCCCGACCCUAUCUGUUCGCCCGACCCCUUUUUCGUCUCGCCCGACCCUAUCUAUUCGCCCGACCCCUUUUUUCUAUCUCGCCUGACCCUGUCUGUUUCGCCCGACCCCUUCUCCGUCUCGCCCAACCCUGUCUGUUUCGUCAACCCUUUUCCGCCUCACCCAAGGACGCGGCUGUAUCCUUUUUCCUUGACCCGAGGGUAUAUGUGUAAAAAUUGGGGACUUCUCUGCGCUAAGUCUAAGGGUUAGAUCAUAAGUUUCUUCCAAUCCGACCCUUGGUCUUGUUCUCUAUCCACUAAAGCUUGAACCUCCACACUUUUUCCGUAGCUUUGCUACAAGUUUCUGGGCUAAGACUUGCAAGUGUUGCUGUUGAAAUAACCGUGUAAGUGCUAACUCCUGCAUUUGCAUUCGUGUAGAGUUGAAUCUCGCCAACGGCGUCUACGAACUGCAUCCGGUGCCAGAAGACGGAGUAGUAGCUGAGCCGCCGACCGCAGGAGGUGCAGCAGAACCCUCAGAGGACCUGUUUCCCUCCCCUCCGCUUGAAGGCAAGCCCCGGAGCAUGAACCCAUUUUCUCUAAACUUACACAUACCUUCCUUCAUUUGUAUGUGCAUUUACGUGACAGGAGUUGUUUGAAACCAUAGAUGCAUGACUUAGUUCCCUUGAUCUGAACACUAGCCUGAUGAGUCCGGGUAGUUGCAUUGCUUAAUAGGACUCAGUAAAAGUCGAGUGAUUUCCUGUCACUCGCUAGUUAUAGGAGUUGGUUGUUCUCCUUCUGGUUACAACUAUAAGGACGAUGGACGGGGCAGGGCCUGGGGAACUCUUUGGUGGUCGGUGGAUUGCACUGUCUGUCUAUAAGAAGUUGCUAAGGUCGAAAAGUGUUGGUGUUCGUGAUCAAGUGUUUGAAAGUACUAAUCUCAUACCUAGUAUGGGAUGGGGAAGCCUUUUACCUGAUUGAACUAGGGCGUGGCUUAUACCCCUGCUGUCCCUGGAACGAGGUUCCCAUGGUGCAUCAUAUGGGUGCAAGUGCGGUCACAGUACGGUAGAGGCCGGGACUGUGGAGCAUUGCAUGCCAAGGGAAGUUUGGACCUGACACGUGCCUGGGAAUUGAUGGGGACGGCCGACACAGGAAGCAACCCUUGUGGUGCGCGGAUGUCGUGAGGUUAGGUUCGCCAUGCAUGGUUAAGAAACUUGAAUCGAUUCGUCUGCCUCUCAUAGUUUGAGACUGCUUGAUCGCUAUGCUACACUGAGUAAAGAUGGAACAUGAUGAUGCUAUGAACCCGAUGCUUGUUCUAUACUUUGUUGUUGGAACUAUGGUUGCUUAGCAUAAGUCGCCAAUAUAGACCGGUUAAUGAACUUAGAACUUGAGCUAAAACUUGAAAGCAAGGACCCACUGUAGUCGCUUUUGGCAAACAAAACCCCUUAGCCAAAGAGCCUUGCAUGUCUAGAAGUCGUGGAGUAGUUUACCACCGGUCGGUUAAGUCUUGUUGAGCUUAGAAGCUCAGCCUUGUUUGUGGCUCUCUUUUCAGGUGAUGCCGCCACUCCUGAGUUUGCUCCUGUUGGCACUUGGCCGCCCCAGCUCCCUCCGGGUUGGACGGUCGAGUGGGAUCCCUCCUCGGACGGCGAGGAAAGGGAUCACUGAUGUCCUGAUCGGCCUCAUCAAGGACAUCCGACCCCGGCGCUAGCUUCCGCGUGUUUUACCUUCUGUUUGUUUCUUCAGAACAUGUUAAACUCUAAUUUACAACCAAGUGUGUAACAACUUGUUAAUCUUUUGGUGGACCUGUUGUAUUCUCUGGAACCGCUCACCUUCGUGUGAGUUUGCUAACUCGGUCUUGUUAAGUGGUUUAAUCGGAUGAAAUCCGACGGCACUUUGAGUUAACUUGACUAAGGCAUGAGUGUCGCGUAUCAGGCGACUUAACCAUGCUUUAAUCAAGGUAAUCCGAGGUGGUUCCGCCACACCUCCGUGGUUUAUGCUUCCAACCAUUCACAUCUGUUAUUCUCCAUCUUGAAAAACCCCAACGCUACCACUUGCACUGCCGCUACCACCAUCAGCCGACACAAGCGACCUUAAGUGUCAUAGUAGCUUUCUCUUCCUCCCCUUACGCGCCCCGAGGUGAUGCUUGUGAAGAAGAUGGGGAAGAAGACCGACAAGUCCAAGGGAAAAGUCACAGAAGAAUCGAUGAAAGGUUCCAAGAAAGGGAAGGAGCCACAGCUUCCUCCACCCAAAUGUGGGCCUACAGAGCAGACUACUCCGCCAAAUCAAGCAUCCACUUGGAAGAUGUCCACCAUGAAGAAGGAAGCAAUUCAAGAGUUGGUGGAUGCAAAAUUGCUGCAGGAGGACGCCAUCAUCAAUUGGAGGUGCGCCUAUGCCAAUGCUUGGAACUUUGAGGCCCAUCCGAAAGAGACAGUGAUUUGGGCUCAUUUUGUGGAGAGAGGACUUGCUGUUCCUACGUCGGAGUUCUUCAGAGGUAUCCUCAACUUUUAUGACAUUUAGCUUGUUCAUCUGAAUCCCAACGGGAUAUUGCACAUUGCAAUCUUUGUGCAUCUCUGUGAAGCAUGUUUGGGGAUACAACCCCAUUUUCAAUUGUUUCGCAAGCUUUUCCGCUGCAAGGCCUAGCCUAGUCAAGAUAGAAUGGCAGAACUCGGAGGUGCAGGGUUUUAGCUUAGGGACUCCGAUGUGUAUUUGGAGUACGAGACUCUGCCAUCCCAUGGUGCCUAGAAAGAGAACCAUGGGCCUCCAAUGCCAGUGAUCAACGAGUACAACCCAAAGUACUCAAGCAAGUUGCUUGAAGAGCCUAGCAUCGAAGAUAGUCAUCAGGUAGCCAAGUUGUUGCAGAGGAUCGCAGUGUUGAACAAAGUAGGGUUGAUUGGGAUAAACGUGGCAGCCAGCUUCUUGAAGAGAAGAGCGCAACCAUUGCAUCUGCGCCAGACUUGGGGCUAUGAGUACUCAGGUUUUAAUAAUCCAUCGCAGAUGUUGGUUGAGGAUAUAUCUCAUGAUGUAGUUGAGGACUUGUUGGGCAAAUUUUUCAAGAAUUUCCAAGGAGUGCCCGAAGUCGAUGAAUCCAUUCAGGAGUUUGACAAAUGGUAUAAACCCAGAAAGGUAACUUGCUUUUCUUUUGAGUACCCAUAACUAGUAGUCGUUAUGUUUGCCAACUAGUAAUUCCUUAUGCAAGAGAAUGUCCUUUUAUAAUUUUCUCCUCCUCCUCCCCCUGAUGCUAAUGGUGCAAAAAAACGCGAAAUCUGUGCAUUACGUGCGCUUGCCUGAUGAUCCCUCAAAGGAGGAGGAGGAGGAUGGGGACUCUGAGCUGCUUGGCGAUUCAGACAUUGCGUCGCCUAAUUCUGAGUUGUCUGAUCAUAUUUCUGUGCAGUCUUGGGUUCUCAAAGGGUAUAAAUUUGGAACCGAUACCUCGAAGCGUCCAGCAGGAGAUGUUGGUGAUGAAGAGGUCCCUGCUCCAAUGCCGAAGAAAAGACGGACCGUAGUGCAUAAGCGAUCGGUUAGCAAGCACUUGGAGAUGUUCAAAGCUCCAUCGCCGGUAAUUAGCUUUGUAGAAGAGCAAUGUGUUGAAGUAUGAGUACUUAUAUAGCUUCCUUGAUUAGUCGAAUUGACUUGUUUUGAUGUUUAUGUUUGCAGGUUGUUGAUGGCGCAGGUGAAGACAUUGAGGAUGCCGCGGAUGCAAUGUAUGGAGCUGCCGAGACUACUUCUGAUGAUGUAGUCACGAUAGCUAAGGACGCGGCUUGCUAGUGUAGUUUCCUUGGAGACAUCUGUUGAAGAUGCAGUCAUGAUGCCCGAGACAGCUACUACUCAAGUAGCCGUUGAUCUUGAAGUUGAGAGUGGUGGAGUGGGCGACCCAUUAGAGACUACCAUAGGUGGAACUGUGAAGACGCCCGAAGUAGUUUCUGAUGCCACUUUUCCAGAAGUCCCUGCUAGCGGUGAGUACGCAAGUACUGGUAGUAGUCGUGCGUACGUUGUCUCUGAGUUGGUUCUUUCAGGUCUUGGCAAAAAUACCGAGGAGUUUCCACCCAUACUGGCUAGUGAGCCAGUUCCCAUGGUGAAGAAACGUCAUCGAGUUCCUCCUUGGUCUGCCAAGUAAGUACUAUGUUGUAAUGGUUUGAUUACUGACUUUACGAUUAGUAGUUGCAUUAUUAAUCUUGAAUCGUGUUUGAUAUCAGGACUUUUGAGGAUAUUGUUCUCGAGAGGGUGAGCGUGGAGCAGGUUGAAAAACCGUCACACACAGACUCUGCUGCAGCAGCUAUUGUCGAUUUGACAAGUGAAGACCCGGCACAAACUAGUGACGUAGGUGCAGUGACUCUCGCAGCCGCCAUACUGCGGGAUGUAAUCAGCUCACUUGAGAAUCUGGCGCUGCCAAUCCCUGAGGUUGUUAAUGAUAAUCCUCCCUCCGUAACCGAUAUUGCAGCAACUACAAUAGUGGCGUGUAUCAAAGAGGGGCCCGUAGUAGUCUCACAAAGUAGCAAGGCAUCUGGGGAGUAGGUUGUGCCAACUGUUGUGCUUGAGAAAGCGGCGGGCAAGAAUGUUCCUGAAGCUAGAGCAUUUUUUUCUCAGCAGCUAGUCCUUACGCCAAGUGUGAGGGCUAGUGUGGCAGCCGAGGCUCCAGGGUUGUCGCAGAAAGUUGAAAUUUUUGAGAGUCCCCUGGAAGAGCUGCCACCAAUAUCAAACUUCAUGAACUUGAAUCAGCAGUUGAUGGCUUAUACUCAGGUGAGUUCUUAGUACUGCAUUUGAGUACUUAAUUUUGUAGCCUGGCGCCAUUUCCACUCGUAAAGAGUACUAAUUGUUUGAUUGUACAGGAUUUAUAUGAAAAAUAUCGCAAGAAUAUCCAGGUUGUCCAGGAGUGGAGUAAGGCUACGCACCAUGUGGCGCAGUUGGAGAAGGACAUUACUGAGUAGCGCCGCCGCACUGGUGACUUCCUGAAGAAGUAUGAAGAUGCCAUUGAGUCCUUUCGAAUUGAAAAGGCAAGAAUUUGAAGUGGAGAGGAGCCGUAUGACGAUGCGCAACAAGUCCUUGCAGCAAAAACUGGAGGGUGAGUACUUAUACUCAUGACUUUUUUAUCAUAAUUUUGUAUUCUAUCAGUUUCCCUGAUUGCUUUUACUAUUGCCCCUUCUAGAACUCAAAGGUUGGGAAACCAAGCUUAGUGUCCAAGUGCUGGAUUGGAGCAAUGCUCAUAGUCGUGUUGCCGACAAAAAUGAGCAACUCAAAACCCGUUUAGAGGAGUUAGAGAGAGACCGUGAAAAAUAGAGUAAUAUGCAUAGAGAUUUCAGGGUUAUGUUGGCCAAGGCUAUGCUUGCUAUCAGAAGUCAUGAAGCCUCUUUGAAGAAGAAGGAGAAAGAUCUCAAAGAGUUAUCCGAUGCAGCACAGGCCCUGGUUGACAUAAUGGAGCCCCCCGAGGAAGGAGUAGAGUCUCGCCCCUUAAUCGCGAGAUUGAGGGACGCACCGGCCCAAAUCACCAAUAUGGCGAAAUCCAUUUACAAGCAUGUGCUGGCGAUCAUCAAGUCUUUUUAUCCAAAGGCAAACUUGGCUCUGGUCGCAAAUGGUAUCGUUGGAGAUUGUAGCGAUGAAGCGUACACGCAAUAUUUGGAGGAUCUGGAGCCGGUCGCUGAGCGUGUAGCGGGCUUUAUCAAUUUGGAGUAGUCUCAGUUUCUGUAUUGACUUGUAAUUUUGCCGAUGAACUUUAUGUAUCUGAACAAGUAUCUAUUGUUUCUCUUGGGGUGUUGAUCAUUGUAUAUGUAGUGAGAACUUGCUUGCAGAUCUCUCAAUGGGUAGUCUUGUGAGUAAUCAUUGAGUUGGCAGUUAGAGUUCCAUGUAGGCCCCAAUUGUUGCAGAUGGUUGCGGAGAGCGCGCAUGUGAUCAUAGUAAUCGUUGCAUUAUUGCCGUGAAGUUGCAAGGACACACGAGUGUACUAUGAAGGACUUGUUGGUUUGUGUCCUGAGUGAUUCACAUGCAAGCUUUGAUUCUACUCAGGCAGGCUUUCACGUGGGUCUUGUCCUUGUGAAGGACAAGUCGAGUUACUGUGUAGUCACAAAUGCGCUAUGCUGCCUAGCCUUCCGGCUAUAAAUAGUCCCCCUAGCUGCCGUUGCUGAAACAUGGAUCCAAUUAUAGCGAUGGUUGGUCUUAGGUUGCUUCUCUUUGACAAUAGCAAAUUUCCAAUGAGUGCCCCGGUGCUAGAAGAUUCGCUUCAACCAUGGAACACUUUGAAAUGUAGUAGUUGGGUAUGGGUAUUGCGGGUAUACGGAAAUGUAACUUUAUAGCGCUAUAAAAGGAUGUGAACCGUCCCCUUUGAAACAGACACUAUUCAUCAAUAAGACAGCCAAAGUUACACUCGUUCGACUAUCUCUGCUUUCGUGUUGUGACUUCGUCUUACUUUACAUUCGACAAGGGCCCAACAAUUGGCGCCCACCUUGGUCUGACCCAACAAGUAACCCAUGAUGCCGCCACAACGGAAGAAGAGACCUGCAGUGCAAAGAGAAGUCGAGACAGAGGAGACCGGUCAGAUUAUAACUCCCGAAGCCACAGAUCAGGUUCUUUCGGACAAGGAGGAGCACCUUGCAAGAGUCGAGCAAACCCUAAGGACAAGAGCAAUGAAUAAGAGACCCGCACGUGAGGUCAACCACCAAGGCCAACAACCCACAGCAAACGAAGCUACCGACCACACUGACGGCCAACAGAGCUAGCAACCUAUAAUGCCCGAAGCUACUGGCCGCACCAACCUAGACAAUGAACUAGACUCAGUCCUCCGGGAGAUAGAGGAGGUCAAAAGAAAAGAGGAAUAGUUAGCACGACAGGUGCAACAGCAGAGGGAAGCCUCGAGCAGACUAUCAAAGUUGAACGAAGCUAGACGAUAGCUGGAAGCAUUACAGAAAGAAAUUGCGGAGCUUGAGAGCCCACAUGAGAAUGCAAACCCAGCCGUAGCUUAUUUCCACCAAAGCCCCACUGUUGAUUAGGCACAGUUACAGCCCAGUUUCAACUUCGGGCAAGGCACCCAACAUCACUCAUCAGGGGUGUAUCUCGUGAUUGACACCACCUCACUGCUCUCGAUCGGACUCCAAACCACACCGUGGCCAGCAACAUACAAGCCAACCACCCUGCCCAAAUUCAACGGAUGGAUAGAUCCACGACAAUUCCUAAUGAGUUACAAAGCCGCUGUAGCUUCAGCCAGGGAGGAUGAUGUCGUCCUCGCCAAGUCCUUCAUAAUUGCUUGCGAAGGCGUGGCACUCAAUUGGUACUCACUACUCCCUCCACACAUGGUGAUUAGCUGGCAUGACCUCAAGGCGAAGGUCACACAAAAAUUUCAGGGUUUCCAUCACCCCCAAACGGCCCAAGCAGACCUUUUCCAAUGCAAACAAAAAUACAAGGAGCCACUUGCAAAAUAUGUAAGAAGAUAUGUCCAGCUUCGUUCCCAAGCGCCGCACAUUGAGGAAUUCGUAGCAAUAUCCGUAUGCAUCGCGGGCCUCACCCCUGGCCCAACAGCGUCGAAGUUAUCAAGGAAGGAUCCCAAAACGAUGAGUGCCCUUUUUAGCAAACUCAACAAAUACAUCAGGUCCAACGAGGACCACCGCAGAAGAGUAGCGGUAUGCAACAAGGAAAGGCAAGCAAACCAGAACCGAAACUGGCAACCUUCACCUUACAACAAGCCUCAAAACUCUAGCCAAAACCGUGCCAUGAACAUUGAGGGAAACCAAAACCAAAACAAGAACCAAAAUCAAAACAACAACACCCAAAGAGGGGGCUACCCGGGUAGAGGACGAGGUUGAGGAAGACAGCAGAAAUCAUUCUACUACGUCAACCAUGGCCACCAGAACCAUCAUAACACAGAAUGGUGCCCCAAAAAGAAAGAAGAAGAGAGAAAGGCUACAGAAGAAGCCACGAAAGCAGCCGUGCAAGCACCCAAAAUAAUCCACCACACAGCUUUUUACCCGCACCCAAGUUUUUACCCCAACCAGCCUAGCUUCGCCAAUUUCCAGCAACCAACGAGCUGGCCUCUUCCACCACACAUACAACCGUACCACCAAACAAUCCUGCAACAUGCCAACCCAAAUCCACCUCAGAAACCCCAAGCAUACCAGCCAUAAUGUCCAAACUAGAGCCAAGCACGCUAAACAAGAACCAAAAUUCCUUACCUACCUUCGGCAUGAUAAUGCCAAUUGCCAGGGGCUCCUCUUUAGAGUUCGAGAACAAAAGGCAGAGGCAAAACUAUUUCAGAGAAGUCAAUGUAAUCAUACCCGAGGGACCCCCAACGAAGCCAAAAUGGGCACACAUGCCCAUAACCAUAACAGGGGAAGAUUUCAAGCUCAAGACAACCUCGCACAACGAUGUGAUGGUCAUUAAAGUGCUGAUAGCAGGCUGGACGGUUGGAAAAGUCUUAGUUGACAUGGGCAGCUCCGCGGACAUCCUUUUCGCAAACGCUUUCAGAGAAAUGAACAUUGACAUGAACACACUCGACCCAACCGAUAUCCCACUUCAAGGCUUCGGUGGAAAGCCAGUGAAAGCUUUGGGAAAAAUUGAUCUCCCGAUCUCAUUUGGGGAUUGCGACAAUGCGAGAAGAGAACACAUCAUAUUUGACGUGGUGGAGAUGCACUACCCCUAUAAUGCAAUACUUGGUCACGGCUUCAUCACCAGGAUGGAUGCAACAACUAGACAACUGUACCUAUGCAUGAAAAUACCCGCGCACAAGGGGGUCAUAACAGUGUAUGGUGAUUAGCAAAUGGCAAGAAACAUAGAAAGAGGGGCAGCUUCGAGCCAAAAGAAUGUCCACCACCUAGCGCCAUCAAGCGAAGCUGAGAGCACAAAAAAGAAAAAGACAUACAACAAGCCUAAGAGGGACAAAGAAAAAAUAAAGAUCAGUGCUAACGGCGAAACAAAGCGGGUACUCCUGGACGGAUACGUCACAAACAGGUUCGUAACAAUUGGAGCCAACCUCGAUCCCGAAGAAGAGCGCAACCUCAUCGAGUGCCUCAACAAGAACAAAGAUAUCUUUGCCUGGUCCGCAGGUGAUCUCAAAGAAGUGGACAGGGAAAUCAUCGAGCAUAGCCUAGACAUCAGACCAGGAGCGAAGGCAAAGAAGCAGAAGCUAAGGAAGAUGUCCGAUGAAAAGGUCCAAGCCAUAAAGGCCGAAGUCGACAGGCUCUUCGAGGCCAACGUAAUCAGGCCAAUCCAGUAUCCUGAGUGGCUCGCUAACAUAGUGCCAGUAAAAAAGAAAAAUGGCAAAUGGAGAAUGUUUAUAGACUUUACAGAUCUCAACAAGGCCUGCCCAAAAGAUGAUUACCCUCUCGAGAGGAUUGACAAGGUGGUGGAUGACACUACAAACAAUGAAAUGCUCUCACUACUGGACCUCUUCUCGGGGUAUCACCAGAUCAGAAUCAAGAAAGAGGAUGAAGGCAAAACAAGCUUCGUGACACCCUUUGGAACGUUCUGCUUCGUGCGUAUGCCAGAGGGGCUAAAGAAUGCAUGCCAGACAUUCUCAAGGGUGACAACAAUAGUCCUGGACAGCUAGCUUCGGCGUAACAUCCUAGCUUACGUAGACGAUAUCAUCAUCAAGAGCGCCAAGCGAAGCGACCACAUUCUGGACCUCGCAGAAACAUUUGCUAACCUGAGGAUAGCCAACCUAAAGUUAAACCUAGAAAAGUGUGUGUUCAGGGUUCAGAGAGGAAAGGUCCUAGGCUGCCUAGUAACAACAAAAGGCAUUGAGGCCAACCUAGAUAAAAUCAAGGCACUGGCUAACAUGUCGGAGCCAACUUCGCUAAAGCAAGUCUAACGACUCACGGGUAGGGUUGCCACGAUAAACCGUUUUAUUCCAAGAGCGGCAGAGCGAAGCCUCCCCUUCUUCAAAACACUCCGAAGCUCCAAGGCACUCGAAUGGGGACCUGAGCAAAGCAAAGCAUUCCAAGACCUCAAAGAGUAUCUGCAGUCUAUGAUAAAGCUAUGCCCGCUAGAACACAAAUCACCACUGCUAUUAUACAUCUCAGCCUCAGCAACGGCCGUAAGCGCAGCACUGAUACAAGAAAAAGAAAUUGAAGGAAAAAUGAAGCAAAUACCAGUUUACUUCGCAUCCGAAGCCCUGAGCGGCUCAAAGCUACACUACUCAGAACUGGAGAAAAUCGCAUACGCAGUCGUUAUGGCAGCACAAAAACUGCGACACUACUUCAAGGGGCACAAAAUAAUCGUUGUAACCAGCCAGCCUCUUCAUGAUCUUUUCUCAAACAGAGAAGCUUCCAGCCGUAUCGCCAAAUGGGCGUCUGAACUAUCAGAGUUCGUCGUCGACUUUGAAAGGUGUACCGCCAUAAAAUCCCAAGUACUGGCUGAUUUCAUGGUCGUUGGACAUGGCCAAAGCAGGAGUCGAAGCAAUUUGAAACACCAUGGGUCGUUCACUGCGAUGGGGCUUGGUGCCGCAAAGGGGCAGGGGUAGCAGCAAUAGUCACAUCACCAACAGGUGUAAGAAUCAAGUAUGCAGCGAGGCUAGAUUUCCCACCAACCGCAAAGUCAACCAACAACACCAUAGAGUACGAGGGGCUGCUGCUGGCCUUAAGGAAAAUGAAAGCCAUAGGGCAACAAACGUUCAUCGUUAGAACGGACUCAAAGGUAAUCCGUGACCAUAUUGAGAAAGACAGUGGGGCCAAAGAGCCAGAGCUCGUCAAGUACCUUGAGGCAGUACGUGCGAUGGAGAGGCACUUUCGGGGAUUCGAUGUCAAAAACAUCCCAAGGGCACUAAAUGACGACGCCGAAAAACUUGCAAAAGUAGCAGCAGAGAACGAGCCAAUUCCACCUGACACAUUUUGUAAAGUCAUCACCUCACUUUCAAUCAAGGAAGAAGCUUCAGCCCCUAUCAACGCCAUCCAACAUUACGAUUGGCGUGCGAGCAUAAUGGCUUUCCUUAGAGGUCACUUCGAGCCUCGGAACGAAGCCGAGCAUAUACGCCUAAAGCAAAGGACAAGGGGCUACGCAAUUAUCGAGGGGCAACUCUACAGGACAGGCAUUUCAGCACCAUGGCUUCGCUGCAUCGAUUAUGAAACAGGCAGCGAAUUGCUCAAAGAAAUACACUGUGGUUUUUGUGGAACUCACAUUGGCUCAAGGGCUCUAGCAGGAAAAGCAAUCCGUCAGGGAGUCUACUGGCCAUCAUUCCACAUGGACCUUACUUGUACGAAGCUGUGAGGCCUACUAGAAGACAGCAAGGCAGACGCAUGCACCCUCACUCCCGAUCCAGCUCAUCCUACCUUCGUGGCCUCUCCAGAGAUGGGGCAUGGACCUAGUUGGUCCACUGCCCAUAGCAUAAGGAAAUUGCAGAUUUGCAGUAGUUGCAAUAGACUACUUCACCAAAUGGGCCGAAGCCAAACCACUGGCCGUCAUAACAUCGGCUUCGGUACAAAAAUUCUUCUGGCAAAACAUUGUCUGCCAGUUUGGAGUCCCAAGGGAACUAACCGUUGACAAUGGCAAAUAGUUUGACUACGUCUCAUUCACAGAUUUCUGCGCCAGCAUCGGCACGAAGAUAAAAUUCUUGUGUGUAUACCACCCGCAAUCAAACAGAGCUGUGGAAAGGGCGAACAUCACCAUAUUUACCGCAGUCAAAAAACGUUUGUUCGAUCAGAAAAAGGGCAAAUCGGUCGAUGAGCUCCCAAGAUUCAUAUGGUCCCAUAACAUGACAGAAUCCAGGGCAAUAGGUUUUACUCCGUUCAAGCUCCUAUUCGGAACCGAAGCCAUAACUCUUGAAGAAAUAAAAAACAAAAUUCUAAGAGUCCUUAAGGCCGGGGAUGUGGACGAAAUUGCAAGAAUUGAGAAAGACAUGAUUGAGCUCGACAUCAACAAGGCCAACAAAGACCUGGACAAGUAUCAGGAAGAAACCCGAAGAUGGAGGGACCAACACAUUCGAGAGAGGCAGAUCAAUGUCAGCGACCUUGUCAUUAAGAGGAAAAAGAAUUGGGAAAACCUAGGCAAGCUACAAGAGACUUGGGAGGGCCCCUACAUUGUCAUAAAAAGUGGCAGGUCCGACUCUUUCCACCUCGCAGACCAGCAUGGAAAUAAUCUCUCCCACACUUGGAAUAUCGAUAGCUUGCGAAAAUACUACCCAUAAUUGUACAUGUUACCUUCGGCUUGCGGAACUAUAAGCAAUGCCGAAGGUAACAGAAUAGCUUUCUCUUUUUUUUUACUUUCAAUUCUACCUCAUUUGUAAGGUCAUAGAGUCUGGACAGAACUCUUUUCCUUGCUAGGGGCUCCAUAAUGGAGGCAAGGUUUUUAACGAGGCAGAUCCAUGUACACCUUUUUUCACAACGAAAGAAAGGAAGAUUCCCCUAAAAAUUUAGAAUCCAAAAAUGCAACAACAAGUUGCAUGACCUCGCACCAGAGUGCGGAGGAGAUUUAGCGUAAAAAAUGCAACAACAAGUUGCGUGACCUCGCACCAUAGUGUAGAGGAGAUUUAGCUUACAAAAUGCAACAACAAGUUGCAUGACCUCGCACGAGAGUGCGGAGGAGAUUUAGCGUCCAAAAUGCAACAACAAGUUGCGUGACCUCACACCAGAGUGUGGAGGAGAUUUAGCAUAUAAAAUGCAUCAACAAGUUGCGUGACCUCGUGCCAGAGUGUCGAGGAGAUCUAACGCGUAAAUGCAACAACAAGUUGCAUGACCUCGCACCAGAGUGCGGAGGAGAAUUAGCGUAUAAAAUGCAACAACAAGUUGCGUGACCUCGCACUAGAGUGUGGAGGAGUUCUAACAUGCAAAUGCAACAACAAGUUGUGUAACCUCGCACCAGAGUGCAGAGGAGUUCUAACAUGUAAAUGCAAUGCCACUACAGAUUAAAGAUGCCAAGUACUCCAACAGCAAGUUACGUCUCCAACACCUCUCUUGCAACAUCGCAGUGGGGUGACGUUUUUUGAAAAAACACGAAAAAUUUCUGCGACUCUGCAAGAGAAGGGUCUGCGAGUCCGUGUCAUCUGACUUCUCUCUUGCAACAUCGCAAGGGGGGGUGAUGUUUUUUGAAAAAACAGGAAAAAUUUCUACGACUCUGCAAGAGAAGGGUCUGCGAGUCCGUGUCAUCUGACCUCAUAAAGAGCUGGAUGACAUUUUCGAUCUCACUCGGCAAAUGUUCAAAAAUGGCAGUGAACACAAUCAAAGUAAAAAAAAGAAGCUCCGAUAAGGAGACUGAUUUCUUCACGAGUAUCGACCAGAUGGGGGGUGCAUUUUCAAAAGCAAUGAAUCAGCCCAACCUUGCACAAAGUCAACCGAUGUACAAUACAACAACAAAUCUAGACGGCUACAGUUGAAGCAACUCCGGGUCACUGUAUCAACUGGCUUUUGCAUUCUUUAAGUUGGCGGGCUGCCUGAAAUGGCAACCCGACUAUGACUUAUCUAACUUCGCAAUGGGUCCACUUUGCCAGAAACUAGCGUGUUUGGACAGAAUAAAGCACGCAAUAAUUACAAGGUCGGACACAUGGCAAAAAGCUGACACAUAAGUACCUUACAGGGCACAAUUUCACAUACUAGUAAAGUAUCUGACUUCGUCAACUUUGUACACCGAAACAAAUCCCCCCAUAGCAUACAACAACCUACUUCGCAACAUCCUUGUCAUCAUCAUCCGUGCCAAGCUGCAAACGUAACUGCGCCAACCAAUCGCGCGCAAGCCCCUUUAAAUAAUCCUACCCGGAGGUUGACCAUAAGCGCUCAAACAAGUUUUUCUUCGCAUUUUCCACGACGUCAGACUUGACAGCGGAGCCAAUCUCCGGGGCGGUUGGCAUAACAUAAUUAUCUUCGGAAAUAGUCCUAAUGUGCUCACAUCCUUGUUGUUCCAGCAAGUGAAGGGUACUAUCCAGGAAGAACACAGUGGAGUAGUCAUUCAAGCCUUCGAGGACCUUCAUCUAAAAGCCACUCGAACAUCUAUUCGCAUCCCCCAUCUAACGGGCAGUCAUCAGGUUCAGCACCAAACGCACCGAGGGAAGCUUUCUAAGCUUCGUGAACUUUCUCAAACCUCUCCCUCACUGUGGUCUCAAUCUGGCUCAGCAAUUUUGCCUUCGUUUCAUACUCAGGCUCCAUCUGGCUAACCUUAGACCUCAAAUCCGUGAUAACCUUGCUGUCACGCUGAGCACCUUCGUGUAGGCCUUCAAUAAUCCUGUCCUUUUCCUUCACCUGGCCCUCCAGCUGCAUCACAUCUGCCACCAAGCGAUCAAUCUCGUCACCCCUGGCCUUGUAAUUGUCACCGAGUCUACGAGAGUCCUCUUUUAGCUUAGCAUUCUCAGCCUUGACCCUCUUCAUCUCCAAAGACAUUGCAGCGAUAGUCACUUCCAACGAAGCUACCUUCUUCGAAAGCUCCGAGGCUGCUUUCUCGCUCUUAGAAAGCUGAUCCCUUGUAAUCAUCGAAGAGUAAGAGACCUAUAGAUUUUAAAAACCAAGUUACAAAAUAACGAAGUAAAAGACAACACUCGCAAGACAAACCACCAAACUAUCUCAUAAUUGAGACCUUCUUUACGAGGUUGGUCUCCAAGUUAAAGAGCUCUUCCAAGCUCAUUGACUUCACAGCUCGCUGAAAAUCUACGCACCAAAAGAUAUAGUCGUAAGCGUAAAACAAAAAUUGGUAAAACCAAGGACAGCAAAGCCAUCUAGAAGCUGCUCUUACCCUCAUACUUUUGUGCCUCAACGGUGACCCGAACAACCUUCUCUCCAGCCUCACCCUUAGACGCCACCACAAUCUUCCCGCCACACAAAUCCCCAACCCCUCCUUUACCUUUGCCCUCUCCCGAAGUCGCCGCGCCCACCUUCUCCACCCUUUUUGAACCGCCAACAUCUGCAUAGUGCUCGCAACCUUCAUCUUCAGCCCCCCAGACCAAAGAUAGGUUACGAGGAUUAUAAACCCUACCUUCAGCGCAUGUAGCUAGAAUCUUCGUGCGCCCGCUCAAGCCCAGACACUCGUUCAGUCCCUGAAGCCUUGCCGGCAACCUCUCACCUACAUCAUAACAUUUAACUUUCAGCCUCACAUGAUCCUCACAACUAAUCUCACCAACGCCCCCCAUAGUUUCUUCCAACUCCUUCAAAAAUUCCGCUGAGGCCUCACCACAAUCAAAGAACCGUAGCUUUGGUAGAAACACCUCUACAUGCUUACCAGAUCUCACAGCUUUGGCACACCCACCUUUUGGAUCAGAUGAGAAUGCAUCCACAAGCUUCGCCUUUUUGGUGGCAACCCCCCUCUCAAGUUUCCCAACAUCAGUCAAGAAAGGCUGCGCGCCCUUAACCUUCGAGCUUGUGGAUGGCACCGUGGUCUUGGUACCAGCCGCUGAAGACGCGUCAACCCUGACACCCGAAACGGUAACACGAGCAAAUCGAGGUUUCUUGGCGCCUCUUUUGAUCCACGCGAUGGGCCCAGUGGACGAAGGUGCAAGAGCUGGAACCUCCUUAGGAGGGUGCAUAGAGAUAGGAACAAUGUAUGCUGGAUUGCUCAAGUCACCAGACGAAGUUGUCGACCCCGAUGGCAACGCAGCAGACGAAGCCCCCACGGUCAUUUCUUUCCUGUUGUGCACCUCCAAAUUCAAGGUCUUUUGCUUCGCCUUAGCGGUCACUUGCGAUUCAACAGUGAGCUUCACCACGGGUACGAAGUCAAAUUUUGCCUUCUUCCUCUGCUCAAGACUAGCACCAUGACAGCGCCUCUUGCCCGUAACUUCGGGGUGAGGCGGAACCACAAUAUCAUACAAGUCAAAAAUCCGAUUGACACAACGCCCGUGUCCCAUGAUGUCUUCCAAAGAACACUUCUCCGGUUGGGUCACGGGACCCAAAAUUUCAUGAGUUAUGUGUUCCACUGUCCGAACAAACGAGUCUAAAUCUGUAUCCCUCUCAACACUAGUUUCAAAGCAGGGGUAGUGCACUGGUUUGUCAUUCCAAGACACCUUCUUCUUAACAAGCUCAAACGGCCUCCCAAACUCUGCGAACAAAGGCCACACUCUAGCCACAACAUAUUCCUCUACGAGGUCACGUCCAGAUAUUAAGGGCCCAACAGCCCUGUAAGCAGCCUCGCACCUUGUCACAGCCGCCGAAUGAAUAAAAGACGGAGUCAUGAGCACAUCCAUCGGCCCAAAUGGUGCAUAAAAUGGGAAUCCAGUCCCAAUCCCCUCCAUCUCAAUUUUAAUAUAAAACCAAUGCGUCAGCCAGGCAUCGUCCCACUUGUUUCUCUACGUGAAGGUAAGCUCUAUCCUUGGCAAGUUCCUCUUAUCAUUCUUCCUACGUGGCAUGAAGGUGCAGCACCUGAAGUGAUUCUCACAAACCCCCUUUCCAUCCCCAGAGUAAACCCUCUUCUUCUGGAUAUGAUGUUCGUGUAGCCUCACAAAGCCCUCCACAUCAAUGCUACCACCAAAUCUACGUUGCACCUAGUAAAACUUAGACAAAUUCAUGAUGGCGUUGGGGGUCAGCUGGUGCAACCUAACGCGAUAACGAUCCAAAAUCACUGGCAACUGCCUGUCAUAGAGAAAUCAAAGCCCCGCAGUAAACAAGUCUCUGAAAACAACAGCUUCACCAACCUCGGGCGCAGGUACCACCUCGUUACCAGGUGCUCUGCCCACCCCCUUAGGAAAGAAAUUAUUUUUCUCAAAAGACGCGAUGUCUUGCAGAGUCACUUGAGAGCGCUCGAAGUAAAGAGUGGGAAUACACUAAACUUUUCCACUAGCAGGGUCGGUUGCCCCUUCCCUCGCCCCAACCUCGGCAUCCCCCUCCUCGGCUUCGUCAGCCUCCUCUUCAGCUAUGCCAACCUCAUUCACCCCUUCCUCCUCCUCUUCUGCCUCCUCACCCGAAGAUACAGUAUGAACCUCCAUCUCACCUGUCCUAGCCGUCCCUGCUACAUCCCUCACAGCACGGCCUUGCUCAUCUUUGCCUUCGUCUUCAUCAGAAGACCACUCAUCGAACUGCCGGAAGAAAUUUCCCCGCUGAGACCAAACCAUUUUUCGUAUAAAUCCACUUCUUUGACCUCUUUCCAUCAACCUCUCCACUAUCUAUCAACACAGACUGCGAAGCAUGGCUAACUCCACCACUGGAGGCAGCCUGAACGGCCAACUCUUCCGAAGACAUCCUCCGCGCAGUCUGCUUGAUACGGGCCACCUGCGACAAUAAUGACAGAGAAGUAUAACAUUGACAACGAAGAAAAAAUGUUAAAAGAAAUCAAGGAAAACAACUGUGACCAAACAAACUGAAGCUACCCUUACCACGAAAAGUGAAGCUGCCGUGACCCAAACACUUUCUGCCAAGAAGACGCAACGAAGGCACAAGCAAUGAAAGCCUAUAGCUCAAAAAUGACGGCGUAAAAUAUGACCUGGCCCCCCGGCAAACCUUAUACAGGCACAGUAAAAAAUGCCAAAAGACGCCUUUACGGCGCCUCGAAUCACCAACCAUCGCAUGGAAAAGGACGUUGGCACCCCUACCCAAUGGUAAAUGCCUCGGUACAUGCCACCUCUCAGUGUGACGUUUUGGGUGCGUUCUUCGACUUUUCACGGGUUCAGUCGACGGUGUUUUUUUUUCCUCGCCCACGAGAGGCUACUGUUGGGGACCGCCCCACAACGCACCCUGAACGAAGCCGGCGCAGAGCUCUCCCCGACACCAACUUGACCUCGUAGUUACACUCUUCCCCGAAGUAAAUGGUUAACCGAAGCUAACUCGUUCGAAGAUAUUCGUUCUUUGAUUUUGUAGGCGAGGAUCCCCGAAGUUACGGCCUACACGGCGCUCCUAGCGACUCGACUUUAAGGAGAUGCUACGACCAAAGCCCGAGUUUGGCGAGUCUCAGCCAACGAAGGUGGAGCAUGCAUGGAGGCGCACUUGGUGCGAGUGAAGCUGAAGAGUAGAAAAAGGAAAGGUCAGAGCAGUCCUGGGUUCGCUUCAACCGUGGAACACUUGUGUAAAAAAGACUUUGGGAGGGGCUCGAAAUGUAAUCUCACUUGAAACCGACAUCUCGAGUAAGGGUUAAGUUACUGUCUUGUACGAAAUAUGCCUGGAAUGUAGUAGUUGGGUAUGGGUAUUGCGGGCAUACGGAAAUGUAACUUUAUAGCGCUAUAAAAGGAUGUGAACCGUCCCCUUUCAAAUGGACACUAUUCAAUUAUAAGACAGCCAAAGUUACACUCAUUCGACGUAUCUCCGCUUUCGUGUUGUGACUUUGUCUUACUUUACAUUCGACGAGGGCCCAACAUGAGGUUGGUGGCCUAAGUACAGUGCCGCUUAGUCUACUGACUAUGGGUAGUAGCAACAUAGGUGCUCAAUGUUCUAGGAGUUUGUGACUUCUUCGCCGGAUAGUUGUUGUAGCCUGUACGAUCCUGGUCCUGUGACUUUGGACAUGAUGUAAGGCCCUUCCCAAGGUGAGUUGAGUUUGUGUAGCCCCAUUGUGUCUUGAAUGCGCUUGAGGACCAUGUCACCAAUGUUGAAAGAAUGUUUUUUGAGGUUGCGGUCGUGGUAAUGGCAUAGUCCUUCAAGGUAUCUUGCUGACUGUACAAGUGUUGCACAACGUGAUUCUUCUAAGAUAUCAAGGUCUAAGUGCCUUGUUUCCUCUGCUGCCCCUUCGUCGUAUUGCUCGACCGCAGGAGACCUCCACAUGACGUCAACAAGGAGUAUGGCUUCUGACUCAUAGACAAGGAAGUAAGGCGACUGCCUAGUAGGCUUGCACGGUUGAGUACGUAACCUCUAGAGAAUGUUGGGUAGUUCUUUGAGCCACUUGCCUCCUUUGGUGUUACCAAUGUCAUGCAACCUUUUCUUGAGAGCUUCAACUAACAUGCCAUUGGCACGCUCAACCUGGCCGUUGGUCUUAGGUGAGCGAUGAAGACGUAACGAACGUCGAUUCCGCUAUUCUUGCAAUACUCCUAUAAUUCAUGAUUGUUCAAAUUUGAGCCCAGGUCUGUGAUAAUUCUGUUUGGAAAACUGUAGCAGUGAACUAUUUCAUCCUGGAAGUCGAGAAUCUUGUCAGCCUUAGAGCAGGUGACUGGUUUUACCUCGAUCCAUUUGGUGAACUUAUCAAUGGUGACGAGUACUCGAUUGAAUCCUCCUGAGGCUAUUGGGAGCGGACCAAUCAUGUCGAGCCCCCAACAUGCGAAAGGCCAUGUUGGAGGUAUGGUGAUGAGUUUGUAGGUAGGGAUAUGUUGUUGCUUGGCAAACAACUAGCAAUCUUGACAUCUGCGGACUAGUUGCUCUGCAUCUGCCAGCACAAUUGGCUAAUAAAAUCCUGCUCUAAAAGCUUUGCCUACUAUUGUUUUUGAGGAUGCGUGAUUCCUGCAGAUUCCUUUAUGUAUUUCCGCCAAGAUGUCCUUGCCGUCCUUGCGAGUAACGCACUUCAUGAGUACUCCCGAGGAUGCUCCUCUUCUGUAGAGUUUAUCUCCGACUAGAACGUAGCUUUUGCCUCAUCGUGAGACUUGUUCUGCCUGCUUUUUGUUAGAAGGUAGCUUGUGCUAUUUAAUGUAGUCAAUAAAAGGAGUCCUCCAGUCUACUUCGAUUAUCAUGAUUUCUCAGUCAGGUUCUGGUGGACCUUUACUGGUGGUUGCUGGAUUUAUUUGUUCUGUUAUGGACGGCUUGCAAAGUUCAUGAACUAAGAUGCCUGCAGGAACUUCCGCACGUGUUGAACCCAUUUUGGAUAAAACAUCAGCAGCAACAUUGUUGUCGUGGACCAUAUGGUGAAAUUCAAGGCCUGAGAACUUGUUCUCUAGUUUACGGACUUCCUUGCAGUAUGCAUCCAUGUUUUCCUUGUUGUGGUCCCACUCAUCAUUGACUUGAUUGAUGACUACUAAUGAAUCACCAUAGACUAGUAAUCUUUUGAUACCCAGUGAGAUUGCUAGGCAAAAACCGUGUAGAAGUGCUUCGUACUCGGCUUCAUUAUUUGACGCUUCCCAAAAGUUUUGAAGAACAUGCUUGAGUUAUUCACCUUUUGGGGAUAUUAAGAGUACUCCUGCACUAGCUCCUUGAAGCUUGAGUGAUCCAUCAAAGUACAUGACCCAAUGUUCAGGAUGUUCCACCGGUGUAGGCAGUUGGUUUUCCCUCCCCUCAGCCAUGAAAUCGACUAAAGCUUGGGAUUUGAUUGUUGUUCUUGGUUGAAAUUUCAAGGACAAUGCUCCAAGUUCUACUGCCCAUUUUGAGAUUCUGCCCAUGGCAUCCUGAUUGUGGAGGAUCUCGUCGAGUGGAAAAUUAGUGAUGAUGGAUAUGAUGUGUUCCUGGAAGUAGUGUCGCAAUUUUCGCGAAGUGAGUAGUAUGGCGUAGAGUAGCUUCUGGACCGGCAGGUGCCGUGUCUUGGAGUCUGAGAGUACUUCGCUGACAAAGUACAUUGGUCUAUGGACUUUGUAGACAUGGCCUGGUUAGACCUUUUGACUACUAUUUCUGUGCUGACAACAUGAGUGGUUGAAACGAUGUACAAGAGCAAGUCUUCAUUUGGUGUUGGAGCUGUGAGGAUUGGUGGCUUUGGCAGGAAGUCUUUCAGCUGUAGCAGAGCCUUAUCCGCCUCCUCUGUCCAUUGAAACUGGUCUGGUCGCUUGAGUAAUUUGAAAAAGGGUAGACCCCAUUCUCCAAGUCUUUAUAUGAAUCUGUUUAGGGAUGCCAUGUAGUCUGUCAGCCAUGCAACCUGUCGGCUUUAAACCAAAUUGAUCUUGAAUUACCUCUGCUAUCCGUGCCGUCCAGUCUGCUUGUUGUUGAUGAACUACUGGCUGGGGAGCCGGCACAUGUUGGUAGAUCGGCGGAGGGAUGACUGGGUGAUGAACGAAAGCGUGUGGCGGGUUCUGUGGCGACGUGGCCGGCUGUGUGGUCAGCAUCUGGUGUCUCAGCGAACCGGCCAUUUCAACAUAUAGUAUAAUCGGCGCAGCACCCCGGAGCGCUUCAGCAGUCUCUGCCCCCUGCCAAUUUCCGAUAUGGCCGGUUGAUACUGUGGAGCUGUCGGCCGCACGGCCGAUUGGAAGGGUGCCUGGGUCGGAGAGCCUCCAUAGCCGGCCGAUUGAUCUUGGACGGCUGUCGCCGAUGGUGCCCCCCAAGGCACUGAAUUUAAUGAUGAUGAUUGCGCAGAGGAAAGCUGAACGGAUUGAGGUGGCGCCUGUGACUUGAGGUAUGGUGCGCUGUUGUAUCCCGGAUGCAUUGAUGGUGAAGGAGCGUUGGAUCCUCCAUGUUGAGCUUGGAUCGGCUGAGGAGCCAAGUGGGAUAUGCUUGGAAAACUCCUGACCGAGGCUGUGAUAGGUGGGGCGUAUGCCGGCCCCUAGUAUCCUUGAGACACGCCAUUGGCCAGGGAGCUGAUGAUGGCAUUGUAUACCGUUUUGGUCAUCACUGGGGAUUGAUCGAUGAAAGCCUGGUAGACAGACUAUUGAACCAUCUCGAACAUCUUGCUUGAGUCCUCGGCGAUUGUAAUCUGGCGGGGAGUUGGAAAAGGAGCUUUCUUGACAGUUUCCCCGCUCUUGGUACGACUGAAGGAUUGUAGGCAUGUCUUCUGGUACUGUGCUAUCUGCUUCUCCAACUCCUUCUGGUCGUCCUUGAGGUCUGCUUCCGUCACCUCGAUGACGUUGUCUUCGGAGAUUUCGGCAGCUUUCAACAUGGUAGUGGUCGUAUUGGUCCCACUGGGCGUGCCAAAAGUGUGUUGGCACUAAAAAUCAGUCGAUUGAAUCUCAGUGUCAGACACACGAUCUGGGAGAAUCUGCUUAGCUCCUGUUCGGGUAAUCGCCUUGGUGCGGUUCGCGCGGCGUGCCAGCCAAUUUGACCUGUUGAUUGGCAAGGAAAGAAACGUGUCAAAUCCUAGAGGCUACGAUCGGCUAAGGUUCCGAUCUCGAGGAAGCUUAUCAGCAAAUCAGCUGAUUUGCUAUAACAAGGAAAUCGGCUAUGGUAAAGCUGACAACUAGGUAACGUUUGUAAAGAAAACUGCCAGAAUAAACUAGACAAUGCUACAGAAACAACACUUGAAACAGAUCUAAUCGGCUAUACGGAAGUAAUGGAUAACAGACAAACAUAAAUAAGCUGAAAGCUCUAAUUCCAAGCUGGAUAACUGGUGAUAAAACUAGAACAACAGGUAAAACCUAGAAUUCUAGUAAAUAUCGAUAACUGAUGAAUAAAUCUAAACGAAAUGACAGCGAUGCGCCCAAAGUUAAAGCUUAGAUAUUACUUGAUAAACGGAACUUAUAGAAUCGGCCGGAGAUCGUGUCGAUGCAGCCCUGCCAACCCGUACGAACUCGUGAAAGAAGAAAGGUAUUGGCGAAGUCGCCGACUUGAAAGUAAAGUAUGAGAAAAUAGUAGAUUGUUGUAUUAAUUUGAUGAUGAUUGUACAGAUCUCUAAAGAUGGCUAUUUAUAGCCUAUUACAACCAACUUCUUAAUCGACUAGGAUUCUAUCUCUAAUUUUAAAUGAAAACGAUUAUUUACAAGUACAACUCAUAUCGGAGUUGGUCGUUACGCUCCUGUGGGCCAAUCUUCUCUUCGCAAUUCACUUUAAGCCCAUAUUGGCCCAAUUGCCCCAGCCUCUUAAUCGGCCGAUUUCUACCAACUCCAUCCGGCAAAACACUGCAGCGCCAAUCGGCCGAUCUUCAACUGUAGCACCAAUCGGCCGAUUUCCAGUCGUGACCUUUUUGACUCACCACAUCGGCUAAUCCUCUCCCUUCUUGACGCCGAUUCCAUACGUGUCAAAAUCUGGCGUCAACACUAAUGAUGAACCCAAGUAGUUUGCCGGAAGGUACACCAAAAACGUAUUUGGAAGAGUUAAGUUUCUAGCGGAAACCUCGCAGGCUUAAGAAGGUUUCCUUCAAAUCGAUGAUUAGGUCCUCCUGGUUUUUUGUUUUGACGACUACAUCAUCCACGUAAGCUUCUAUGUUGCGAUGUAAUUGUUUCUCGAAGCACAUCUGUAUAGCGCGCUGGUAGGUUGCGCCCGCGUUUUUUAAUCCAAAUGAUAUUGUUUUGUACGAAAAAGCCCCAAAUGGAGUGAUGUUUUGGCUUGAUCUUCUUCUUUGAGGCUUAUCUGGUGAUAACCUGAGUAACAGUCAAGAAAGCAUAGUAAAUCGCACCCGGUAGUAGAGUCGACUACCUGGUCGAUCCUGGGUAGUCCAAAAGGGUCCUUUAGACAAUGUUUGUUGAGAUCCGUGAAUCGACGCACAUUCUCCAUUCAUUGUUUUUCUUGUGAAUGAGUAUAGGGUUGGCUAGCCAAUCAGGGUGGAAGACUUCUUUGAUAAACCCUGCUGCGAGUAGUUUGGCUAGCUCUUUUUUGAUUGCUUCUCGUCUGUCUUGGGCGAACCUCCAGAGACGCUGUCAUUUCGGGGUAGCUCUGGUUCAACAUUUAGAGAAUGCUCGAUCAGUUCCUUGAGCACACCAGGCAUGUCGGCUGGCUUCCAGGCAAAGAUAUCGUGGUUAGCCCGAAGGAAACUGAUGAGCGCAGUUUCCUAUUUAGGAUCUAGCCCUGUCCCAAUCAGAGCUGUCUUAGAAGGGUUGCCGGUCUAGAGAUCAACCAUUUUGAAGUCUUUCUCAUUUGUUGGCUUUACUUUUGCUAGCCCCGAAUUGUUCUCUGGGAUUUCGAGUUCUGUUGGCUGAAGUUUCUUUGAAGCUGAAAAAACUUGUUGCAUGGGGUUGGGUGCUUGGGAAGUUGCUGCAAUCUCCAUAGCUUCGGUGUCGCAUUCAUAAGAUCGCCUUAGGUCUCCUCGUAGCGUUAAUUCUCCCUUAGGUCCUGGCAUCUUGAUAUCCAAGUACACGUAGUGUGGUAUGGCCAUGAAUUUAGCCAGAGCUGGUCUCCCGAGUAUGGCAUGGUAAGAGGUCUCGAAGUCGGCGACUUCAAAUCUGAUGUACUCGGUUCGGUAAUGUUCCUUGGUGCCGAAAGUUACUGGUAGGAUGACUUGUCCUAGUGGUAUGGCUGCGUUUCCUGGUACAAUCCCGUAAAAGGGUGAGUCUGUUGGAGUGAGCAUGUCCGUGAUGUCAAGACACAUCUUUCUUAGUGUUUUGGCGAAAAUAACGUUUAGUCCGCUUCUGCCAUCAAUGAGUACUUUUGUUAGUCUUGAACCUGCAACAAAUGGGUCGAGUACUAGGGGAAAUCGGCCUGGUUCUGAGAAGCUUGUCCAUUGGACCCUUCUGCUGAAGGUUAUGGGUACCUCAGACAAUUUUAGCGGAGUUGGAUCUAUUGGUUCGAUUGCCAUAAUUUCUCUGAGUACCAAUUUACUGGAUCGCUUGGAUGCGGUACCCGGGAUUCCACCAAAAAUUACGUUGACUAUUUUGGAGGCGGUUUGGAAGUCUCCUUCUCCUUCUUCAUCCUUAUGGACUUUGUUUUUGCCCUUAUCCUUUUUCUAGUUGUACACUUCGGGAGGUGGUGGUGCGAGUAAAUCUUGCAUUACUCAGCGCAUGCUGUAGCAGUCUAUUGCUGAGUGUUUGCUAUUUGGGUGCCAUGGGCAUUGUUUUUUGAGUAGUUCGGUGAAGCUUGGUCCGUCGUUGUGUUUGCGGGAUCCUUUCUUUCCUGAGUUGGUCAUGGAAGCAACGGUGUUGUCAGGUUUGCGUUUGUCAUUUUGGUUACUCGAAUAGUUAUUUCGAGUAUCGUUGUUUCGGUUCCUGUCCUGCUCAUGACUGCUAUUGUCGUGCCCGCGGUUGCGAUGGGAGCCGAAUCGCUCGCGUUCUUUAUCUUCUUCAUCUACCCAUUGUCGCAUGAUAAUUUUGAGGUCUUUGACAGUGACUGGUCGUCGUCUGCCAAAGUCCUGGUAUGGUCGACGAUCAUAGAGGCCAUUUUGCAAGCACUCGAUAACGUCUGUUUCUGAAAUGUCGACUAUAGUGGCCUUCUUUUCGAAGAAUUGCCGUAGGUAGUCGUGCAGUGUAUCACCUUCUUUUUGUUUUAGUUGACUUAGGUUGAUCUUGUUCCUUGGUCUAGUCAUGGAGCCUACGUAGUUGUUGGUGAAGGCUUUUGUCAAAUCUUCCCAAGAGUCAAUUGUUCUAGGUUUGAGUGAUUCAAGCCAUGUUAGGGGGUGUGGGUUCCAUGCAUAUGGGAAAAUGGAUGACUUUUGUGUCAUUAUUGCCUCCGACUGCUUGGACAGCCAACGAGUAGCAUCGGAGCCAUUGAAUUGGGUCUUGCUUGCCAUCAUACUUGGUGACUCUUGUUGGCUUGAAUUUUUCGGAUAGUCUUGUUCUCGUUACCCGUGUUGUGAAGGCGGGAAAAUGGUUGUAGUUGUUGACUUCACUUUUGCGGCGACUAUUGAUUAUUUCCCGUAGAUCGCUGAAAUUGGAUACUUCAUGAUUUUUCCUGAUAUGGCGAGGACUUUUUGCAGAAUUAGUGCAGCUGGCAUCUCCGACAUCCUUAUGUCGUACUGGAGCCUCGCGUUUGCUCAGUCCUUGGCUAUGUUGCCUUGGUUGGUUGACUACCUUGUUGUUGUUUCUUUGUGCUUCGUGGAAGCCAUUGUUGACUACGGCACCCCUACUGCCCUCUCGAUGAGCUGAGUUACGAGUAACAGAUGGGAUUGGUGAUUCUUUAUGGAGUAGUUUGUAAGCUUGUUCUGCGAGUUGUGCAAUUAGUCCAUUGCCUCGCUGCGCAAGUUUACCUGUUAUUUUGUUAUCUCUGUCUUGAGGUAUGAGAGUUGAUAUAAGGUUGAUUGAGGCAAUUGCUGCGAGUGGAGUGUUGUGCUCUUGAGCUUGUACUGCGUCAAAAAUGCUCUUUCAAGGUUUGUGAUGGGAAUGUUUGUGUCUACUAGUUGUCGAUGUUCAACUCGAGUAAUGUUUCGUAUCCUUCUUUGGUUUCUUUGAUCGGAAGUUUCAUCCUCUGGAGCGUUAGCUGAUGACGCAUCCUCUGAAACAUUAUCGAGCUGCACUAUCCAUCGAGGGGUUCUCCGUUGGCUAGUGCCCGCAUUGUUAUUUUGAGUGAUGACAAAGAUUUCUCUGUCUAGGUAGUAGCUUCCAGAGCUUGAUAUUGUGAUUUUUGUAGUGCUCUCCUCGCGGCUUGAAGUGAGCGGGACGCCUUCUUGGUACGGGAGGUUGUCUAUAUGAGCGAAAAGGCAUGACUCGUAGUCGCGGGUAAGGAGAGAUGGCCUCAUUCCUGGCCAGUGAACAAAUCUGCCCUGCGGCGUUGAAGUUACUACCAAACCUUGGGCUAGCACUAAUAAUGGGAUUUCUUGGACGUGGUCCAAGUUGGAGUCGCAGUCCUUGUCUUACCUGUGUUCGAGUUGAGUUCGAGUGAGGAGACCUUAGUAGACUUCGGCUGUAUUGCGGAGUCCGUAUGGGAAUUGUUUUUGAGUUGAAGUCAACUUGUGAUGUGACUGGGGCUUCGGCUUGUGUUGACUAAUUUGAGCUGGGGUUGAGUCCGAAGCGUAGUCGAACUCGGUGUCACGGACUUUGAAAAUUUGUCUUUUCUUGACAAAAUCCCCCGUUUUUUGCUGAGGAAAGCUUUCAUCGAGAGGUUUCUUCUCCUAGAUGCUGAUGAUCUCACGCUGAAAUGAUCCAGCGCCGUCGGCGAUGUAGAGCCAAGAUCCGAAAACAAAGGUUGCACCUGCCUCGAAGGUGAAAGCAGGCUUGAUAAUGAUUGGUGCCAUUGAACUCGCGUAGAGAAACUCGGCGACCGCCCCUACCUGGCAUGCCAUCUGUCGGUAUUUUAGAUCGGCAACCCGCCUAGGGGGUACCCUAGGUGGUCUUUUGUGCGGUGGGUGUCGUCAAGAAUCAAGGAGUUGAUGGUGACGCAAGGAACACGAUUUAGAUAGGUUCGGGCUGCUAGAUCGUGUAAUACCCUACGUCCUGUGUGUUGAUUGUAUUGAACUUGGAUGAGUUGUCUUUGAGGGGGGUCCCUGCCCGCCCUUAUAUGAUCGGGGGAGCAGCGUUACAGGCUAGAAUCCUAGUCGGAUAUGGUUAGAGAGUUCUACUCGGUGUAGACAGAGUAGUUUCUAUAUGAAUGUUGACUAGUCUUUGGGAGUCCGAGUGGGCCACGCUCCUUUGCCACGUAGCCCCCGAGCCUUGAUUAUGUCCGAGUACACCCCUUAGUGGGCCACACAGGACCUACUUGUGGGCCUAGGAUGCAUGCCCGUCACACCGCCUGAUGGUGGAGAGACGGAAAAGGGGCGCACAUAGCCCACCUAUCCCGUCAGUGUUGGAGGUAUGCCCUAGAGGAAAUCAUAGAGAUGAUGAUAUUCCAUUUGUAUCCAUGAUUUGUAUAUUGUGUUCAUUGAAUAUCCAUUAAAGGCUACUUGAAUUGAUUUGCAAUUAUGUGAAUUGUAUGUGAAACUCUUUACUUGUAUGGUUAUUCUAAAGUUGUCCCUAGUCGGAGUUCAUGCGAGGACACACAUGAAUAUUAGACUAGCACAUGUAUUAGUUGAUGACUAUGUUUCACAAGUCAUGGACAUGGAGAUAUUGAACUAAUAGUGUGGACACAUGUGGAGACAUGUGCUAGGACUGACCCAACACGAGAAGUAGUUCUCUCUUUAAACAACAUAUACGCUUUGUCCUUAGACCUGAGAUUGUCGCAUGUAUUCUAGAUGUGGAUCGACCUACUUAGGGGCUAUCAAACGCUACGCUGUAACAGGGUAGUUAUAAAGGUAGCUUUCGGGUUUGUCAAGAAGCAUGCUAUAAGACAUGGUCAAUCAAGAUGGGAUUUGCCCCUCUUUGAUUGAGAGAGAUAUCUCUGGGCCCCUCGAGUGAUCGGAUCCGAAAAUGCAUGGCCAUGCUACGUACGGUUAAGAGUUAACCUACAAAGGGAUUCCGAAUCACAGGAUCGAGAAAGAGCAGUCGGCUUGAAGCUAGAACAAAUAUCGUGAGGCAAAGGGAAUAGCAUGUAUAUUAUGUUGUGAUGGUUCGUCUGAUAUGAUCUUCGUGUGCGCAUAGGAGUUGGCACGUCUUGCUAGAGGCCGCUACCGACUAUUGGGCCGAGUAGGAGUACUUGGGCCAUGUCUAUACGUAUCCAAACCUAUAGGGUCACACACACACUUAAGGGGCUGGAAGCCCAAUUCGGAUCUGAUCCGAGUUGGAUUAGGUUUAGAAGUACUAAUGGGCCUCAGACCUAGAGGCCCGUCAGGAACCUCUAUAAAUAGAGGGGUGGGGGCGCCCUAGGGUUUACACCUUUUGGCAAAACACAUCUGCCGCGCCUCCCACGCCCUCGCCUGUUGCAAUUCGCGGAUCUAGCAGUCCGGCUUGCGAUGCUUCCUCCCUGCACGUGUGGAUACCUUGGAGGUGUUGCGCCUGCAGCACUUGAACGAGCCGCCGACGAGCCGCCGAUGAGCCACGACGAGCCGACGACGAGCCGCGGCACCGGAGGCGAUCUUGCUGCACGUGGACGAGCUGCUGAGGAGCUGCUGGACAUGAUCGACUACGUACGACUACGUGAUCGUCUUCACUGCAUCGACGCAUAUCUACAUCUUCCGCACCAGUAGUGCGUCGAGUGGUAAUCCCGUGAUCCUUAUACGGCAGUUCUUCCUGGUUUUACGCGGUAGAAAUUUUGAUUUGCGCUAGUGUAGCCUACCUCGUAUCUCAACAGUCAGUCCCGCAACAUCGGCGUGGUGCUUUGGCGGGAACCCGUGGGUGCGAGAAAUCAUGACAAAUCGUGAGAUAACCCUUCGCCAUCAGUUUCUCACAGCGCUCACUUAGGGUUCUUUGGCUGGGCUGCGCCAUGGGCCUUAAUGGGCCAUAACGCGAAUCAGGCUUUUGCGGCCCAUAUCGUUGGAACAUCUGUUCCUAUAAUAUGGAGUCAGUUUUUGAAAGCAUUCAGAGAUGGAAAACCACAUGAGCUUUGAGAAGUUCAGAGCAUAGAGGGCCAGGUUAUUAGUUAACCCAUCCUUGGUCUUAUUAUCGGCAUGAUUCCUAAGAUGGGACCUCUUCUAGCUCAUGUGGGUUUCUCCAUAGGAUGUGCUGCAUGAGGCCAAGUUGUCUUGGUUCGCAAAGACGAACUAAGUAUGCAUCCCGUGCAGGCUCCCCUUGGGAAUGCAGUGUGCCUAGAGGCUAAAUCUAUGCCCAAGCUGGAGCUGGAUGUGGGCAUUGCACUGGAUUAAUGAUUCAAGGGUCCUCUCCACGGAGGUAUGAUAGGUUUAAGAGAAGUCCCCUUAAGAGCCUCAACUGGAUUCUUCAAAUCCACUUGAGUCUUGGGGGCUGCACCCAUUGAGAAUAACAUAGGCCAGUAAAAAUCCUUGUCUUGAGACCCUUGGUUGCUUUCUUUAAAUCUAGUCAAGGCUCGAGGGCUGGCAAGCAUAUGUUCAUCUCUGGACUGGAAAGAUGAACAUGUUAUUGCUUAAGAGCUCGUUUUUUAACCCUUGGCAAGCCUAUUGUAAGCUCCCCAAGGCUCAGAGGCGAAGUGUGACUUCGCCUUUGGCGCUCGUGUGGGAAAACACUUAGAAAGGAUAAGUUGAGACUUCAAAUAAAGACCCUUGGCAAGCUUAUAUUAAACUUUCCAAGGCUUGGGGGCUAAGUGUAUACACUUCGCCUUCAGCGUGUGUGAUAAAGAAGACAAGGGGAGGAGAUAUCCUCGACCUCUCAGUAACCACGAGUCAGGCAUGAACCACUUGGCUGAAAGUUGAGGACCACUUGGAUUUGAAGAAAACCACUUGGAUUUGAAGAAAACCACUUGGCCACAAACAAAACUUUUGGACAAAGGAUAAGUCAAGGUUGUUGUUCAGCCAAAAAGUGCUCGGGGGCUGCUGUUGAGGGUAUAACCCCAAGGUACCACUCGGAUGGGCCUAGCCGUCCUCCAAAGGGGCUACCACGGCCCAUACGAGGGGGACUCGGGAUAGGCGUAGGAUCAAGAUGAAGGAUCGGCAUCAAGAGAUAUAGUUGCAGAUAGGCAUGUUUAAAUAUAUAAAGAGAUAACUUGUACCGAAAGGUAGUAGAUUUCCUUGUAACCGACUAGGUUUAGAUCGAAUCAGAUCUGUAACCCUGCCCCCCGUACUAUAUAAGGGCGACAGAGACUCCGCCUCAAAAAUCGAAGCCAUAUUCGAUACGCUACAUGCUGAGAAUACAACCCCGAGCACAGAACGUAGGGUAUUAUAACAAUCCGGUGGCCCGAACUUGGUAAAAGUCCCCUGUGUCCUUGUGUUAACCAUCUAGACCUAGGUGCGGCGAUCCCCUCCACACAAUCUACCACCUUGGUCUACCCCUGUGGUGGACUGCUGAACUAUUCCCCCGACAGCGUUGGAGAUCAUCGCCCUAGAUGUGUUUGCCAAGAAUGGAUGGAGAAACAAUAAUAGAAUUUGUUUUUGAUUUCUUCCUAUCGUUUGCUACUAUUUCCCUUAUUUGUGCGAUCAGUUGAUGUGCUAAGAACAAGGAUUUGGGAUUUAGGGCGAAUGGGCUGAAUUUCAGUGGGAUUUGCCCAUUUCGGUUGGGCCGAGACAAAGUGAAACCGAUCAAAAAAUUUUGAUCCAAUUUAAACUUUAAGCCCACCAUCACAGCCCACGGAUGGCUCCCCUAGUAUAAAAUCAUGAGUCAUUAUCUGGAAACCCUAGAAAUUUAAUUUUCCUCCUCCUCUCCCCAAGCCACGCCCGCCAAGCUCUCUCCUCAUCACCCUCCUUCCAGUCCCAAUCCACUCCUCUCCGCAGUUCGCACCACCAUCUCUGCCCAGCGGCCACCAUUUCUAAUAUUUCUCUCCAAUCGUUGGUACGUGUAGGUGUCUUCUGUUCUAGGUCAUGGCUGAUCCAUCAUGUACAGCAGCUCGUGGGGCUCAUGGAGGCAUCUAGGAGUCAGGUGGUCAGCGGCCCUGUACGUGGUAGGAUGAGUGGCAGCAGUGGCCCUUGUCGGAAGGCGUUCCCGAUGAGGGUUCUUGGUGCGGCGUGGUGGCCGCAGGCUCCAGCGUGGAUGUCCUGGAGUAGCGCCUUUCCUUGCUCGAUCGGGAUGCAGCAUUGCAGGAUGCCAGUAUGGCUCCGCUUGUAGAGCUCCUGGUUGAUGAUGAUGAAAGAUUUGGCACGGCGGGCGAUCCUUUGCGCCUCUGUCUUGUCUGUCGGGAGCAAAUCGUGGAUGAGGUAAUUGAGGUACGGGGCUCUCCAGUUAGGUGGGGGGUCAGGUCCCUCUAUAGGAUUCGAGUCGAUUUCCAUGACCUCGGGGUCGGAGGGGUCGGCCUCCGAGUCUAGGACAGGUGGCGUGUUGCCGACCUCCUUCGACUCCUCAUAAGGGUCGGCUCCCGAGUCCGGGACAAGUGGUGCGUUGCCAACCUCUCCCGGCUCCUCGUAGCGGAUCAAGGGCUUAUGCUGGUCACUGAUAAAGACACCGUCGGGGACUGGCUUCCAACCAGAUGCCACUUUUGCUAGUUCGUCAGCUGCCUCGUUGAAGCGUCUUGCGACGUGGUUGAGCUUCAGACCGUCGAACUUGUCCUCAAGCUGGCGGACUUCAUUGCAAUAUGCUGCCAUCUGGGGAUCAUGGCAGCUCCACUCCUUCAUGACUUGCUCGAUGACUAGCUGAGAGUCAUCUCGGAUGUCCAGCUCGAUGGCGAUGUGAAGCCUAUUGAGGAGAGCCUCAUACUCAGCGACAUUGUUAGACGUGGGAAAAUGGAGCCGGAUCAUGUACCUCAUGCGUAUGCCAAGGGGAGAGACAAAAACCAGGCCCGCUCCGGCACGAGCCUUCAUCAGCGACCCGUCGAAGUACAUCGUCCAGUACUCCUGCUUCUCUGGUCUGAUGGCGUCUGGAUCUCUGUCCAUUCCACGACAAAGUCGAUGAGUACCUGGGACUUGAUGGCUGUCCGGGUGGCAUAGGUAAUGCCCUUGUCCAUAAGCUCGAGUGCCUACUUUGCAAUCCGCCCUGUGGCAUCCUGAUUUCGGAUCACUUCGUCGAGGGGGAACGAUGACACGACCGUUACCGGGUGGGAGGUGAAGUAGUGGUGUAGCUUCCUCUUCAUGACAAGGACUGCGUAUAUGACCUUUUGGAUUUGGGGGUAGCAGGCGUUGGAGUCGGACAAGACCUCGCUGAUGAAGUACACCGGGCGCUGCACCUUGAGGGCGUGUCCCUCCUCCUCUCGCUCCAGCACUAGAGCAGCGCUGACCACCUGGGUGGUUGCCGCAAUGUAGAGCAGGAAUGGCUCCAAGUCUAUCGGUGGGACCAGGAUUGGGGCCCUCGUCAGGAUAUACUUGAGCCGGUCAAGCACCUCUUGGGCCUCGGCGGUCCACACGAAGUGGUCGGUCUUCUUCAGGAGUCGAUAGAGGGGGAGUCCUCGUUCACCGAGGCGUGAGAUGAAGCGGCUUAGGGCCGCAAGGCAUCCCAUGACGCGCUGCACUCCCUUCAGGUUUUGGAUCGGCCCCAUAUCGGUGAUGGCCGAUAUCUUCUCCAGGUUGGCCUCGAUGCCGCGCACGGAGAUGAUGAAGCCGAGCAGCAUGCCCCUCGAGACCCCAAAAAUGCAUUUUUCGGGGUUGAGUUUGAUGCUCUUGUCUCUCAGCCUUUCGAAGGCCAGCUCAAGGUUGGGGAUGAGCUGGUCGCCUUUCUUGGAUUUGACCACGAUGUCAUCUACGUAGGCCUCAACAGUUCACCCGAUGAGGUCCCCAAAAUACUUGAGCAUACAUCGCUGGUAUGUAGCCCCCGUGUUUUUGAGGCCGAACGGCAUCGUGACGUAGCAGUAGGGCCCGAAAGGGGUGAUGAAAGAGGUCACAAGCUGGUCGGACUCUUUCAUCGCGAUUUGGUGGUAACCGGAAUACGCGUCAAGGAAGCUAAGGGUUUCGCACCCUGCGGUUGAGUCGACUAUUUGAUCUAUGCGUGGCAAAGGAAAUGGAUCCUUUGGGCACGCUUUGUUGAGACCCGUAUAGUCAACACACAUUCUCCAUUUCCCAUUCUUCUUUCGUACAAGAGUAGGAUUGGCUAACCACUCGGGGUGGUACACUUCCUUGAUGAACGCGGUCGCCAAAAGCUUCUGGAGCUCCUCACCGAUGGCCUUGCGCCUCUCCUCAUCGAAGCGGCGCAAGCCUUGUCUCACCAGUUUGGAGCCGGCCUUGAUGUUCAAGGAGUGCUCGGCAACUUCCCUCGGGAUGCCUGGCAUGUCCGAGGGUUUCCACACAAAAACAUUGCUGUUUGCGCGGAGGAAAUCGAUGAGCGCGCUUUCCUAUAUGGGAGAUAGGGUCGCGCCUAUCCGCACCGUUCUGCCGUCGGAGCAAUCGGGGUUGAGGGGGACCUCCUUCACGCCCUCCGUGGCCUCGCAGGAGGUGGAGGACUCCUUGGAGUCGGGCAGGUCCUUGGCGUCCUCCGCAAGCCAGACCGCGUGGUCCUCCGAGCAAGUGAUGGCCGAGGCGUACUCACAGCACUCAACAUCACACUCGUACGCCUUCUGGAAAGACCUGCCCAUGGUGAUGACACCGUUGGGCCCCGGCAGCUUGAGCUUGAGGUAGGUGUAGAUGGGGAUGGCUGUGAACUUGGCAUAGCAUGGCCGUCCCAAGAUGGCGUGGUAGAUUCCAUGGAAGCCUACCACCUCGAAAGUGAGGGUCUCCUUCCUGAAGAUGGAAGGAGUCCCAAAAGUGAUGGGUAGGUCGAUCUGCAUGAGGGUCAUUGCUCGUUUCCUCAGCACGAUGCCGUUGAAUGGCACCUCCGUCGAUCCCCAUGACGUCAAGGGUCUCGGCGUAGAGCAUGUUGAGGCUGCUGCCUCCAUCCAUGAGCACAUUGGUGAGGCACUUCGUGCCGAUGAUGGGGUCGAAGACGAGGGGGUAGUGUCCUGGCUGCGGGACACGCUCCGGGUGGUCGGACUGGUCAAAGGUUAUGGCGGACCUUGACCAGUCGAGGAAGGCUGGGGUAGCGGGGUUGGCCGCGUAGACCUCACUGUGUUCCAGCUUUAGGCGGCGCCUGGAGUCGUAGGCCGCUGGCCCGCCGAAGAUCAUGAAGCACCCAUCCACGUUGGGGAAGCCAUCUUCCUUCUCUCCAACGUCCUUCUCUUCUUCGGGCUUCCAUCUUCGGUCGCCCUUCACUGGAUUGCCUACAAAGUACCUCCUCAUGAGGUUGCAAUCCUUGUAGGCAUGCUUGACGGGGAACUCGUGGUUCGGGCACGGUCCCUCAAGCAACUUGUCGAAGAAGUCGGGGGUGCCCUCAGGAGGCGGCUGUCCCCGUUUGUGCUCGGCAACAGCCACGAGGGGAGCCUCGUGCCGUUGCUUGUUCUUCUUCUUCUGCUAGCAGUUGGAGAUGCCCUCAUCGGAGUGCUCUUCCCGCUUCGCCUUGCCUUUGGAGUGAUCAAAGAUUGCCCCGACGACCUCUUCGCCCGAGGCAAAGCUAGUGGCGAUGUUGAGGAGCUCCUAGGUGGUCCGUGGGCCCCUACAUCCUAGCUCGUGGACCAGGGGCCUGCAAGAGGUUCCCGCCAAGAAGGCUCCGAUGACAUUGGCAUCAGCGACGUUGGAGAGCUUGGUGCGCUUCUUGGAGAAUCGAUGGAUGUAGUCUCAAAGGGACUCAUCCGACCCCUGGCGGCAGCUUAGGAGGUCCUAGGAGUUUUCGGGGCGCAUGUACGUGCCCUGGAAGUUCCCUACCAAUAUUUCCCUUAGGUCAUUCCAGUUUUGGAUCCGACCUGACGAAAGGUGUUCCAGCUAGGCUCAUGCUGAGUCGGCUAAGAAUAGAGGGAGGUUGUGGAUGAUAAAUAGGUCGUCAUCCGCCCCAUCGGCCUGACAGGCAAGUCGGUAGUCGCUGAGCCAAAGCCUGGGUUUCAUCUCCCCGGACUACUUGGCCAUGUUGGUGGCCUGCCUGAAACAUGCUGGGAACAGCGCGUUCAAGAUGCGCGCGGAGAAGGCCUAGGCCCCGCUCGGUCGGGGCUUGGGCUUCGGUCUUCUUCACUGUCGUAGCAGCCACCACAUUGUACGUGGUAGCCGCGGUCAGCUUCGUCCUCCCUAUCCACGCGGGAGCGCCUUCGCGCAUCCAGGGUGUCACGAGCAUCGCAGACGGGACCAACGCGCCGGUGGACAGCUGGGGCUCCUCCACCUGCAGGCGGUGGGGUCCGUCGAGUGGGCGUGGCCCAAUUCCCCCUGCGGGGAGGCUGGUGGAGAGACUCCCCACACCUUUCAGGAGGCGCGGUGGGCGCUGCCCUGCUGGUGUUGUGCCCGCAUCGCCGGGACGUGAAGCCCUCCGCUUGCUGGACUGCGGUGCACUCAAGCAGGUUGCGCACCUCUUGGUGGGCCUGUUGCUCCUCGGGUGUCACCGUCUUGGGGAGUCAUUGGAGUAGGGCGCGUGCGAAGAGUUGAGGAUGAUCCUCAUCCUCGCAGAUGCGCCGCUGGACGUCGCGUGCCUAUUGACGCGCUCCGCCUUCUUUGCGGGGGUGCUCGACCUCCUGAUUGGGCACCACGCGCGCCUCCGGCAGUCGAGGCUACUCUGGGACCCUGGUGAGGGCUCUGGCUGUAGCUGCAGCGCGUGGUGGGGGAGUGCGCUACCUCCCUUCGCCGUCGUCGUCGUUGGACCCCACGGAGUGCACGUUGGCCAUGAAGCACUCACGCGAGGGGGGUGGCUCCUAUUGUCGAAACCAGCGUCGGAGGCCGUUUCCAUUACGCCCACGAACUCAUUGUUCGCAUGUGGAUCGUGCCAGGAGACGAACUUAAACCGUUGUCGUGUUGCGUAGGCCAAAGGGUCGCUGCUCCGAAGGAGGCUCCGUGGUGCGCGCCCGGCCGCUCACCACCACUCCAGCGGCGGAGCCGGAGGUGACGGGGUGAGCAGGCAGGACGAGGAGAGGAAUCAGCUCGAUUCCCUCUCCCGUGGUGAGGAAGUAUAGGCUCCCGAAGCGGAUGUGGGAGCCGGGAGCAAAGCCGAUGUCGUGGUUGGCCAUCCGAAGCCGGUGAUGAUCGUCGUACGCGCAAAGGCCUACUACCUAGCGCGCCAACUGUCGGUGUCAAGAAGAGGAUGGAGGACUGUACUUCAAGAAUAGGAUAGUAGUUCCUAAAGAUGAGGACCUAAGAAGAUUAAUCUUAGAAGAAGCACAUCUGUCCAAGUUUGCCAUUCAUCCCGGAAGCAAUAAAAUGUACCAAGAUUUAAAGCAAAGAUUUUGGUGGGCAAGGAUGAAACCUGAAAUUGCAAGAUAUGUAGCUGAAUGUGAUACUUGCCGAAGAGUUAAGCCCAUACUACAAAAGUCGGCAGGUUUAUUACAACCUUCAGAAAUCCCUGUCUGGAAAUGGGAAGAUAUUUCUAUGGAUUUUAUAGUUGGAUUGCCUACCACUUCAAAGGGGUAUGAUUCCAUCUGGGUUAUUGUCGACCGCUUUACUAAGUCAGCUCACUUUAUUCCAGUCAAGACUACUUAUCCGGUGUCGACAUAUGCCAAGCUCUAUAUAGCCCGGAUCGUAUCCUUGCACGGAGUACCAAAGACCAUUAUCUCUGAUCGAGGUUCCCAGUUUGUUUCCAGAUUCUGAGAACGAUUACAAAAGGACAUGGGUACUACCCUAAUUCGAAGUUCUGCCUAUCAUCCGCAAACUGGAGGACAGACAGAAAGGGUCAAUCAAAUUUUGGAAGACAUGUUAAGAGCAUGUGUCCUUACCUUCUCUAAGCUAUGGGAUGAAUGUUUGCCCCUAGCCGAGUUCUCCUAUAUAAUAGCUAUCAAGCUAGCAUUAAGAUGGCACCUUUCGAAGCCUUGUAUGGUCGAAGAUGCCGAACUCCUUUAAAUUGGUCAGGAAUAGGAGAAAGGACACAUUUGGGAUCAGACUUGGUUAUGGAAACUGAGGAGAAGGUCCAGAAGAUUCGCAAACAUUUAGAAAUAGCCCAGUCCCGACAAAAGAGUUAUUCGGACAAAAGGAGACGGUCCUUGGAAUUUCACAUCGGAGAUUUUGUGUACUUGAAGGUAUCUCCAAUGAAAGGAGUACAACGCUUUGGAGUAAGGGGUAAGUUAGCCCCAAGAUAUAUUGGUCCCUAUGAAAUUCUGGAACGAAAAGGUCCAGUAGCAUAUAAGCUGUCGUUGCCAGACCAACUUACUUCUAUACAUGACGUGUUUCAUGUAUCCCAGCUUAAUAAGUGCUUAAGAGUUCCAGAAGAAAUUUUAGAAGAUCCAGAAAUUGAGCUCGAGCCCGAUCUAACCUAUGAAGAAAAACCUAUUAAAAUUCUGAAUCAAAAGACAUGAGAUACCCGAACUCAAAGUAUCACGUUUUACAAGGUACAAUGGAAAAACUAUACUCCGGAUGAAGCUACUUGGGAACAGGCUAAAGAUCUAGAGUCUAAAUAUCCGGAAUUAUUUGAUACCGUCAGGAACCGAUGAACAAAAGCCACCACCCCACUAUCCUUGUACAGAAAAAGAAAGAAUAAUUGACCUGACGCAGUUUCCUUUCCAUUCUCAAAACCAAGGAUUUAACCCCGGGAAUCUCGGGAUGAGAUUCUGUUAAGGGGGAGAGGCUGUAACAGCUGCUAUUUGAGUCAUUAAAGUGACUUUGAUAAAUUGGAAGCAAUUCAAGAAGAAAGGAAAAAGAAAUUGGCCAAAAAUCAAAUUCGGGCCAAAUUUGGCCGAAAUUUGAAUUUUGAAUUUGAAAUUUAGAAAAAUUCGGCAAAAAUGUGGAAUACAAGUGUGAGAGUGAUUAGAACUUAGGGAUCAAGAAUUUGGAACAGAAAUGGUGCUACAUAUCUCAGAGAAAUCAAAGGAAGAAAAAGGAAAAAUUGAACUUACGGUUCAUCGUCUGAAAAUAGAAACUCAGAAAAACAGCAGCAGAGUCUGUUUUCAAAAUUUAAUUCUGAAGAAUUUUUCAAAUAAGUGCACCAGGACAACUAUACCAUAUUGAAUUAUGAACUUUGUACUACAAGAUUUGGGUGUUGUUGACCCGGGACAGUGAAAGGAAGGAAUUCAAAUUCAAGCUCAAAGUCAGCACAUUGUCACAGUUAACUGUCACUCUGAAAAUGGUUAAGUCUGAAACCGACAGCAUAGGGUCAACUUUGAAUUUGAAUUCAGAGCAAUGUAGAUCAAGAAGGGUAGGUGUUCUUGGGCAAAAUAGAAACUUUGGAGGUUGUAGAACAUCAUUGGGAAGAAGUUGGACUGGAAAAGAAGGAUUUGGAUCACAAAAUUCAACCAGAAAGUAAGGCAAAUAUCACUGUUAUGUUCCUGACGAACUGAACUUAAAGUUCAGCAAAAAUUCAGUUGAAGCCGAGAAAGAAAUCCAAAUUGCACUGUGUUUGAUGAUUAUCUCGGGGUAGAGUUAAAAUAAAAAUUGGAGGAUUCAAGUUUAUCUCCAACUUCUGUUAAGACACUUGGGGACCGUCGGAUCGAAGAUCGGCCGCAAUUUCGCUCUGAAGAUUUCGGGCAUCAGGAGAAAGAAAAGAGGCGAUGACAGAGCAGCUGGACGUGUCGCCGCCGCCGUCGUCGGUCGCUCGCCAGCGCAGAUAGCUAGGCCACCUCCUCACCACAUAAGCCUAUGGGUAGGCCACGGUGUCGCCCAUGCGCGCGGUGAACGCUUGAAUAACUACCGCUCCCGCGCCGCCGUUUCUACCGCUGUCUUUUUACCGCCGCCGCUCCUCUGUCAAGCACCGCUGCCGAGCAAAAUUCCACCACCACGCCUCACCUCCCGUCGAUUCAUCUCGCCCACUCCUCCACAGACACCCCAGCUGCACCCCAGCCAAGUUGUUGUCCAACAUCCAUGCCGGAGUAACCGUGCUCGCCGUCGUUUCUGUCCGCCAUCGUCACGCCGCCCGCUCACGGUGAGCCCUACCUUGCGCUAUUCUCCGUCCUUCAUAAGUAGUCGUAGGCGAGUCCUUAAGGUCCUAGGAUGGUGUAGGAGUAGUUGUUCGAGUAGUUUGUGCCGUCGUCGUGAGUAGUCGCGACCGGCCGUAGGCGCCGCCACCCGCCGCCGUGGAGGGAGUGGCUCCGGCCAUCUCCCGAGGAGUUGUUGCCGCGCACGGGUGCGUGAAGGUGUAGAGGUGCCGUCUGGGCCUAGCUUCGCCGCCGGUGGGGCGCCGGCCGGCGAGUCGCGCCGCCCCCUGUCGCACGCACGUUUUGGCGGGAGGAGGAAGAAACGUCUGGAGCAGCGGGCCCGCGUGUCAGUGAAGUCGGAGGAGUGAAAGGAGCAGGCCGACCGAGCGCGGGCGGUUGUUGGGCCGGCGCGUCAGAAGCCCAGGGAGCCGGCGCGGUCGACCGUAAAGGAAAAGGGGCCGGAGGCCUAGAGCAGCUAGCAGGCCGCGCUCGCGGGAGAAAUGAAGAAAAAGGAGAAGGGGCCGUUGGACCGAAGUCGGACCGGGAAGUGAAUAGGAAAAAGAAAACGGCCCACGGGGCCCGUUAAGAGGAGAAAGGGGCCGGCGGGUAAAUAGAACAGGAGAAAGGUGGGUCCGCGCUGUGGGGCCCAGUGCACGUGAGAGAGGGUAAGGCUGGGCUGCGUAAGAAAAGUUUUCCGGGUGUUUUUCGGGAAAAAUUGGAUUUCCUUUAAGAAAGUAAUUAGUUUAAAUCCGUUUUACACCAUUUAAAUCACAUAAAUUUCUAGGAGUGUCCAAAAUUAGUGAAACCAAUUUUGUUAGGCUUGUUUUAUUUUCCUUUAUGCAUUAAAAUUUUUACACCCUAGAAAAAUAAUAAAAAUUCGGGUAUUUAUUUAAUGCCUUCAUUUUAGGGUAAUUAAAUAAAUACUUAAUAUUUAUAAAAUGUAUAAAAUAUGAAUAACAUUUUCUUAAAUCACAAAUUAUUUUUAACUCAUAGGAAAUUAGGUUUUCAAGUUAGAAAAUAAUUAUAACUUUUUCUAAAGAUAAAAGAAAAAGCCUUAAGGAGGGUUAAGUAAGAAAAUUAAAUUGCGGGUUAAUCUUUUGGGGUUUAUGUGUGUUGGCUUGCAACUUUAUCAUGAUAGGUUGUAUAGUCCUUGUUGGCUUGCAACUUUAUCAUGAAGGAAAGUUGUAUAGUCUUUUAUUCAAAAUUUUGCAUUUCUAACCUCUGCAUGUAUCAUGCUAUAGAUCCCGAAGCACCAGAAGGAGAAUAUUUGGAAUUUUCAGAAGGACCUUCGGAGUUCGAAGAAGUUUUUGAGUUAGUCCCCUGUGAAGCCAACCCGCUAGAGAAUACUAACUUUUUAAGCGAACAAGGCAAGCCCCGGUGCAUUUAUACCUAUCUAUUUUGGAGUCGUUAUUUCAUGUGUCUAAUUAUCGGUUAUUUGCUUUAUGAAUGCACUAAGUCUAGGAGUUGCUUGAAACCUAUUCUUGUGUAUGAUCAUGCCUUGUUUUAAGGACAUCUUUGCCACUUGUUCAAACCUUAGAAGAUAACCCAAGUCUAGAAAUGCUUAGUUGCUUAAAUGCUUGGUUUACCAACCUUAAGGAAAACUUUGAGUCAUACAUGUUGCUUAUGGAAGAUAACUUGGAAAGUUGAAAAGCAGGCAGAAGCUAGAGAUGUAGUUCUGUCUGCUAGAUUAAUUUGGUUAAGGCCCGAUUCGUUGUCUUAACCUUUGAUCAAGUGAUAAGCAUCUGAUCACUUACUGGGUAUGGGACCAGUAAAGCCCAGUAGGUUAGUAAACUCUAUGAUCAGGAAUACUUCGUACCCGCGCUUGACGUGCUGGAGAUUGGCAGGGGUGUAGCCUGAAACUCACAUGGUGAUCGGGCCAGACGUGGGGUCCCAUGUGGGGGUGCAUCCCUGGGUCCGGGUAGUCGUAUUCCUAAUCAUUGAUUUUGCUAAUCGAGAGGUUGUUAGAUACGACCUGGACAGUCAUAUAAAGCUGGUGAUCAGGGUACUCUCCUGCAGGAUGUAACUAGAUCCGGAUCGCCGCAAUUCUCGGUUAUGAAUGCACUUGAUCAUUGUUGAGCAUCGUAGUAUCAAUUCAUGCAGUAUAUAUCCUUCUGUUAAUAUUUGAUGUAUGACUUAACAUCUAUGGUUGUUUUUACUUCCUGUUAUCACUUAGAAUGAUUAGGUAAUAACUUAACCCAAAUAAAAGAUAAAACUAAGGCAUCACUCGUAGUAAGCUUUUUCAGCAAAAGUUGUGAUAAGCAAACACACCAAAAAGAUAGCAUACAUUCCAAAGAAAACUAUUAUAUUGGUUAGUCGGGUAAGACUUGCUGAGUACCCUGUACUCAGGGUUUUCCCCUUGUGGCUAUCUUUCAGAAGCUCCGCAGGAGUCUACAGAGGAGGAGACCCCGAAGCCCUAGGGUACUGUCCUGAGUCUCACAAUGCCCUAGAGAAAAAGUUUUACAUGCGCAUCCUCUCCUGAACUGUUUAUGUUGAAAUCUUAGACUUCUAUCUAACACUGCACUGUUAAGUUUGUUUCAAUCUAUGUUCUGUAAUAACUCGUACCUUUAUAUGUAUGUAAAAAUGUAAUGUUUGUUGAUAUUAUCCCAUCGCGGAUACUAUCCUGAUGUAUGGCUAUGAGACAUGUCGUGGAUGCUUCGAGGAGUCCUAGGGACACUCGACGGACUACCGGACUUAUGCUGUUUUAGGUGCGUUUCGGAUAAUGGCUGUUCCGACAGCGAUUAGGUGCACUUAAACCAGCUUAAGUUGGGCGGUUCCGCCACAGCUGGUAUUAGAGCCGUAGGUUGGGAUAAUCAACAGAUAUUACCUUUUAAAACUGAGACUCUACUUUAAAAUAAUAAAAACAAGAGUCACAGGUGGCAGUAGUGUUAACUGGUUGAUUGUUUUGCAGAUGCUAACUGGUUGCUGCGUGUCGCUAGUAUUCGGUAGUCUGUUAUUCAGGGAGAGAUUACGAUGCCACCAAUUUUCCUACGAGUGUGUAUAUGAGUCUAAAAGUACGUAGGAAUCAUUGCAUCAUGUUUGCAUUGCAUGUUUCAAAACUUUUGGGUUUGGUGAGCGCCGUUAGACCUGACCUCGUUUAUUUUAUAGGAUGUUUGAAGAAGGCUACACUGAUAAGGAUGGAUGGACCCGCGGUCACUAUUUGGAUAAGCCGGGAUUCGUGCAGUUGCUUUGGAAGAUGCUACAAGAGUUGGGCUUCCACAACCCCCCGGAAUAUUAUUGGAGAAAAGAAGAUACUGGCCACAAACAAUAUUGAACUGUGUAUGUGCAUAUUCCGGAUGCUGACACCCGUCCCAAUUGGCGUCUGGAGGAGGUGAUGGAGUCGGGUUUUGAGUUCAACGACACCAUGGAAAGGGCGGCUAUGACUGCUCUUACUGAAUUAUGUGAAAACCACAAGGUGGAGGUAGGAUCGAGCUCCGCUCGGUUCUAUCCUAUCAAACAUCAAGAUGACGGGAUAUGGAGGAGAAGGAUUAAAGCUUUGUAGAACACUUCUCGAGUAGAGCACGAUGUAUUGGUUGUUGCUGCUUCUGAUUAUAUGACAGCUAUGUACAACUUGCAUCAAGCCCGCAUCAGAGAGUAUUAUAACCAAAGGCAGAAGAAUGAAGACGCUAAGAUGGAGUUGAUGGGUGCCCGACAUGACAAGGAGAUGUACAAAAAGGCGGCGUUGGCAAGAGAGCAUGACAUGGAGAAAACAAUGCAAGAACAAUCCAGAAGAAUUGAGGAUUAUGAAGAAAAACUCAGAGUGAUGCAAGGGUUCAUUGAAGCUAGCAGGAGCAUGGCAGAUAGAGCGAGGGAGGAAGCUGAAUCAAAUGUUAAUAGGCUGGAAGCGGAAAGAUUCCAACAGCUAGACGAGAUCCUGUCACUUCGUCUAGCUUUGGAGGAGAUGCAGGCCCAGGUACCUGCACAAAAUAUUGUCAAUGUCCCACCGCCUCCACCACCAGAAGAGCCCCAGCCACCGAACCCGGAGGAAGCGGACCAAUUAGUACCUGUGGUAGAAGUGGAAGAAGAUCUGGUUCCACCUGCAGUUCCUGAGAUAGAUCUGUAUGCUCAUAAGAAUCUAGAGGGAUUUGAUGUGGACAUGGAGGAUGACCAGGGUGAAGCCCCUGCGGGAAAUCAACAGUUCGCUUGGGCCAAUGCCAAUGCUGAUGGACUAGAUCCUCAGGGCUAUGGACCAAUGCAACAAUGGGGAGAAGAGGAACCAGAAGCCGGAGAAGAAGAAGAGGAUCCUGAAGAAAUGGAAGGAAACUCUGGAGUUAGCACCUCCGCAUCUGAUACUUCCUACACUUCGAGCGACCCCGGGCCGGAGUCCGGAAGUGAAAAUUCAGUCAAUCAAGCCCCACCCGUCGCUCCCCCAGGGCAAACAUUGAUGACCGUAGACCAAGAUAUCCUGCAGGUAGCAAUGGCUCGACUGGAACUAAAUGCUGAGGAACUAGGCAUUUUCCCCUAUGAUGGUUGAAGUGAACUUGGUCUGAAAAAUAUUGUAAUAUAUUUAUGUAAGAUAUGUGUGUUGGACAAGUACUACGGAGGUUUUUGUAAAAAGUAACUCCAGGGCAUGUAUUAUAAAUAAGUAUGUGUAUAAGUAUGGUUUAUGUGUGAUCGUACUGUGAUGUGUGACAUAAUAGUGUGCAGGAAAUCGUUGAUAAAUUGCACCCUAGAUAUUAAUAUCCUGUUUACUCUUGACAGCAUGACGGAUCCCAGAGGACCACGAGCUUCAGGUUCAGGAGGUCAGGAGGAGAAUUUACCAAGAGCACCCACGCUGGCAGAUGCUAUAGCCAGCCUUAUGAACUCCGGGGCAGAACAGGCCCGAUUGCUCCAGAUGAUCGUACAGAACACUGGUAAUGGUGGACAUCGGCGGGAUCCAGAGCGGGGUGUGUCCUACACCCAAUUCCUGGAGACCCGUCCCCCAAUAUUCUUGAAGGCCGAACAUCCACUUGAAGCUAACCAGUGGCUUCAAACUAUGGAACAAAAGUUUCGAGUAAUCCCCCAAUGCACCACCACUCAGAAGGCCGAAUUUGCAGGACUCCAGCUUCAAGGUCCUGCAGGGACUUGGUGGACCAGCCAUCUGGCCAGGCAGCCAGUGGGAAGGGAAGUUACGUGGGAGAAUUUUAAGGAAGCCUUCCGAACACAAUUUGUGCCGGAAGGUAUCAUGAGAAUGAAACUGGAACAGUUCUUAGGGCUGCAACAAGGAAACCGCAGUAUUCUGGAAUAUACCAGUGAGUUCGACCACCUAGCCCAAUAUGCACCAGAACAUGUCAACACCGAGUCCAGAAAGAGAGAUUGCUAUCUUUGAGGACUCAACGCAAGAAUGCAGGAAAAGCUAUCCACCUGCACUUUCGCCGACUAUAGCUCUGCGGUGAGUACGGCCAUUACCGCGGAAGAAAAGAUGAGAAUUUUGGACGAAACCCUAAAGAAAGAAGAAGCAUUGAAAAGGAAGAAUAUUCCUUUUGGAAAUUUUGGGAACGCUCCACAGAGAAUGAAGGUGGUAUAUCGAGGUCCUCCUCGACCCAUGUAUCGCCCUUCAUUUCAGCAACGGCCUUUCCAGUCUUGGAAUGCUAGAGCUCCCAGUGCUGCCCCUCGUCCUGGAAUUGCAUCACCUCUCGGGUUUCAUAACCCUACUCCUCCAGGAACUCCACAGGUUUGUUUCAACUGUGGAAAGCCAGGACACUUUGCCCGGGACUGUCAUUUUCCCAAGGUUGGGGGAAACGCCAACUUAAGGGCUCAAACCUCGGGCCAAGGCACUGGACAAAAGUUUGUCCGUCGUAAGUUCGUCAACACUAAGACGGGGCAAGCUCAUUAUAUGAAUGUAGAAGAAAUUCCAGAAGGAGAGCCUAUCCUGGCAGGUAUGUAUCUUGUUAACAAUUAUCCUGCCAUGAUUUUAUUUGAUUCGGGCGCAUCGCAUACUUUUAUAAGUAGAAGGUUUGUUAUACAACAUCAACUAGAGGUCCAUACAUUAAAUGUCAAGUAUGCUAUUCAAGCUACUGGGGCCACACAGAAUACAAAUCAAGUGGCUCGCAAUGUGAUUUUAAACCUAGAAGGGAAUAAGGUGGGUGCUUAUCCUUUAAUUCUGGAAGAUCAAGGAAUAGAUCUUAUUUUGGGAGUAAAUUGGAUGAAGGAACAUAAAGUUCAAAUUGAUAUGGUUAAUCGGAUCGUUAGCAUGAAAGAUGACCAAGGCCACUCUUUUGAGCUCCAAUUACCCGUUCAUCCUUGUUUGGACCAGAUGGUCAAAAAGACUAGAGCAUGACUCUAGAAUCUAUUCCUGUGGUUAAUGAGUUUAUAGAUGUAUUUCCAGAAGAUCUGCCUAGGCUACCACCUGAUAGAGCGGUAGAAUUUACUAUUGAGUUAGAACCAGGCACCGCUCCUAUCUCUAGAAGAGCGUAUCGAAUGCCACCUAAGGAGCUAGCAGAAUUAAAAAUACAACUCCAAGAAUUGUUGGAUAAGGGUUUUGUUCGACCUAGCACUUCACCAUGGGGCUGCCCUGCUUUAUUUGUUAAAAAGAAGGAUGGCACAUUAAGAUUAUGUGUAGAUUACCGCCCUUUGAAUGCGGUAACCAUUAAAAACAAGUAUCCGCUGCCACGGAUUGACUUGUUGUUCGACCAGUUGUCCGGAGCUAAGGUCUUUUCAAAAAUCGACCUUCGGUCAGGAUACCACCAGAUUAAGAUAAAACCCGAAGACAUACCAAAAACAGCCUUUUCAACCCGAUAUGGACUAUAUGAGUACUUGGUUAUGUCUUUCGGACUGACAAAUGCCCCAGCGCAUUUUAUGUACCUCAUGAACUCAGUAUUCAUGCUGGAGUUAGAUAAAUUUGUGGUUGUCUUUAUAGACGAUAUCCUUGUCUUUUCUAAAAAUGAAGAGGAACAUGCGCAACACUUGCGCAUUGUUCUAAAUAGACUCCGGGAACACCAGUUGUAUGCCAAGUUCAGUAAGUGUGAAUUUUGGUUAAAGAAAGUUCCAUUCCUUGGGCACAUACUGUCCGAAAGAGGAAUUGAAGUAGAUCCCGGAAAGGUCCAGGAUAUACUGGAUUCGAAAUCACCAACCUCUGUUCAUGAAGUAAGAAGUUUCUUGGGAAUGGCCGGCUAUUACCGUAGAUUCAUCCCCAAUUUCUCAAAGGUUUCUAAACCAAUCACGGAAUUAUUAAAGAAGGAAAUAAAAUUUGAAUGGAAGCCUGAGUGUGAGGAAUCAUUCCAAGUCUUAAAGAAAUUGCUGACUACAGCCCCAGUGCUAGCUCAACCUGACAUAGAGAAACCCUUUGAUUUAUACUGUGAUGCCUCAGGGACAGGCAUAGGGUGUGUUCUAAUGCAAGAAGGCAGAGUUAUUGCUUAUGCUUCGCAUCAAUUGAAGCGUCAUGAAGAGCAUUACCCCACCCAUGAUUUAGAACUUGCUGCCGUAGUGCAUGCAUUAAAGAUAUGGCGACACUAUCUUUUAGGUAGUGAAUGUCGUAUCUUUACUGACCACAAAACCUUGAAAUACAUCUUUACUCAAAUGGACUUGAACAUGAGGCAAAGACGGUGGCUGGAACUGAUUAAAGAUUAUAAAAUAGAAAUCCAUUAUCAUCCUGGUAAGGCUAAUGUAGUGGCCGACGCUUUGAGCAGAAAGGCCCAAUGCCACUGCACUACCGUCCAGUCUAACCUUAAGACCUUGUGUGAGGAAAUGGAAGAAUUAAGUUUGGAAAUGGUGAAACAAGGCACCCUUCAGAAUAUUAUGAUUCAAGAUACCCUAAAGGAAAGAAUUAUAACAGCCCAAAAAGAAGAUCCAUGGAUUAAGAUACUUUAUCAGCAAAAAGCAGAAGAGAAGAUCCCCGAAUUUAAUCAAGAAGAGGAUGGAGGACUGUACUUCAAGAAUAGGAUAGUAGUUCCUAAAGAUGAGGACCUAAGAAGAUUAAUCUUAGAAGAAGCACAUCUGUCCAAGUUUGCCAUUCAUCCCGGAAGCAAUAAAAUGUACCAAGAUUUAAAGCAAAGAUUUUGGUGGGCCAAGAUGAAACCUGAAAUUGCAAGAUAUGUAGCUGAAUGUGAUACUUGCCGAAGAGUUAAGCCCAUACUACAAAAGUCGGCAGGUUUAUUACAACCUUCAGAAAUCCCUGUCUGGAAAUGGGAAGAUAUUUCUAUGGAUUUUAUAGUUGGAUUGCCUACCACUUCAAAGGGGUAUGAUUCCAUCUGGGUUAUUGUCGACCGCCUUACUAAGUCAGCUCACUUUAUUCCAGUCAAGACUACUUAUCCGGUGUCGACAUAUGCCAAGCUCUAUAUAGCCCGGAUCGUAUCCUUGCACGGAGUACCAAAGACCAUUAUCUCUGAUCGAGGUUCCCAGUUUGUUUCCAGAUUCUGAGAACGAUUACAAAAGGACAUGGGUACUACCCUAAUUCGAAGUUCUGCCUGUCAUCCUCAAACUGGAGGACAGACAGAAAGGGUCAAUCAAAUUUUGGAAGACAUGUUAAGAGCAUGUGUCCUUACCUUCUCUAAGCUAUGGGAUGAAUGUUUGCCCCUAGCCGAGUUCUCCUAUAUAAUAGCUAUCAGUCCUGUCGGACACCAUUGAGUUGGUCACAAGUUGGAGAGAGACAAACCUACAGUCCUGAUCUAGUAGUAGAAGCCAAAGCACAAGUUAAGGUGAUUCAGGCAAAUCUCAAGGCAGCCCAAUGUCGACAAAAGAGUUACUCCGACAAGAGAAGGAGACCCCUGUAGUUUAACCUUGAUGAUCACGUAUAUCUUCGAGUCUCCCCGACCAAAGGAGUGCAACGAUUUGGAGAAAAGGGAAAUUGGCUCCCCGUUACAUUGGCCCUUAUGAAAUUGUGGAACUUUGUGGACCCGUUGCUUACCGGAUCCAACUACCAGAACAGCUUUCGACCAUCCAUGAUGUUUUCCAUGUCUCCUAGCUGAAGAAAUGUGUCCAAGUCCCAACUGAGGUUUUGGAAUAGGAGCAACCUCAAAUCGGGCCCAACCUGACCUACGCCGAGUACCUGGCCAAAGUCCUCGACCAUAAGGAGAGACAUACCCGACGACAAGUUGUGAAAAUGUACAAGAUACUAUGGAGCAACCACACGGAGGAGGAAGCAACCUGGGAAACAGAGGAGUAUCUGAACAAGCACUUCUGAGGUUUUAUUUUCAGCCAAGAAGGUAAGAACCGCACACCCCCACCCGUCGCCCUUACACCCAAAUCUCAGGACGAGAUUCUUUUUAAGGGGGGGUAGGCUGUAACGACCUUGGUUUAAUCAACCGAGUUAAUCUCAAGACAAAUCCCAAAUCUGCAGUUUCCAUCGGCCCGACCCCUAAAAACCCAGCAAAAUCGCACCAACCCAGCAAACGACAGCUCUUCUCUAAGUCCCGAAACCAGUGUUCCUCCAAAUCUUAGAGCUGCGGGAGAGCCAGAGACUGAAUGGUGGACCCCAAGACUAGAUCCCACGGAUCUCUCAAGUCAGACACGCUAGAGCCUGCGUGCGUCCCGCUUCGGAGCCUCUCCGCCGCGUGGCUCAACCUCCCUGACGAGCGCCGCCUCGUCCAGUCGCCGGCCGCGACAAGAUAGAUCAGCACGCCUCCUUCCUAAUCGCGCGCGAUAGCCCCUGCAGCCCUUUCCACCUCGCCUCGUCUCGCUCGCACCCUCGCCGGCCGCGCCAAGGAGCCCUAUCGCCGUCGCGACAAAGGAUUUGCCGCUGCCGCACCUGACCGCCUCGCAUCCCGCACCCAUCACCUCGCCUGGAUCCCCGGCCGCACGCCCCGAUGCCUUCCAGCAUUUCCGUCUCCCCUCCAUAGUUGCGCUGCCCAAGCGCGCGCUCAACGACGAUACCGCCCUCGCCAACCCCGGCUCCGGCAGUAACAUGCCCCGGCAAAGCCGCUAAUCUGCGCUCGCUAGCGUCGCCGCUCGCCCUGUCACCUCGCCUGCAGUUCCUUUCUUUCCUUCCUGUCACAUGCUAGUUGAGUCGCCGCACCCAAUCCGCCACUUGACGCGACCAGACCUGUGCUCACCCUCUCCAACUCUUCAUCCUAGCAAAACCGCGCCUGCACCGGCUUUGUCUCUAGUGCCCAAUGACCAAAGACCCUGUCCCCGAAGCUCCACUUCGCCGGCCGAUGGAGGCGCCGCCCAAUCGCCGCCACGGCAGAGCACCCCAUCCAUUUCGACCUGAUCUUCACACUGCUCGAACUCUCUCUCUCUUCCUCGCAGCUAUAAAAGGGAGUACUAGGGCCCCUACCGGAGUUUCCUUCGCCAUCGCUCCCUCGCCGCACCUUACUCUACUCGCACUUGAGCGCUGCCGCUUAAGCUCUUAAGGAACUGCCCCUCUCCGCUCAAACCGCUUUUCCCAACCCACCAGCCGCCUGUUUUCCUCCGCACGGUGGCUAGAGCUUGCUUGUUGUCCACAAGAAGCACCACCGCCGCCAGAGCAUCGUCGAACCUCGCCGCCGCCCAAGCCUUAGCGCCUCAGUCGUUCCGCCUAAGUCUGUUUCUUCCCGACCCCAAGACUUCACCAGUAGUGUUAAAGGUAAGCUGCUGACCCCUUCCCAGUUCGCCUGACCCCUUUUUCUGCCUUGCCCGACCCUCUCUGUUUCGCCGACCCUUGUCCGCUUCGCCUGAGGGCUCGGCUGUAUCUUUUUCUUUGACCCGAGAGUAUCUAUGUAAAAUUUUGGUGACUUCUCUUUGUUAAGUCUGAGAACCCCGGUACAGUUAUUCCUUAGGUCUGAGGGUCAGCUUAUAAGUUUAUUCCUUCGUAUGUAUGUGAAUUUACGUAUAGGAGUUGUUUGAAACCAUAGAUGCAUGACCUAGUUGUCUUGAUCUGAACACUAGUCUAAUAAGUCUGAGUAGUUGCAAUGCUUAAUAGGACUCGGUAAAAGUUGAGUGAUUUCCUGUCACGCGCGAGUUAUAGGAAUUGGUUGUUUUCCUUCUGGUUACGACUAUAAGGACGAUGGACGGGGCAGGGCCUGGUGAACUCUUUUGGUGGUCGGUGGAUCACCCCGUCUGUCUACUCGAAUUUGUUUAAGGUCCGACAGGGGAUUGAUGGGGAUGGCCAACACAGGAAGCGACCCUCGGUGGUGCGCAGAUGUCGUCAGAUUAGGUUCGCCAUGCAUGGUUAAGGAACCCAAAUCGAUUCGUCUGCCUCUCACAGUUUGAGACUGCUUGAUCGCUAUGCUACACUGAGUAAAGAUGGAACAGGAUGAUGAUAUGAACUUGAUGUUUGAGUUAUAUACACAUACUGUUUGGAACUGUGUUUGCUUAGCAUAAGUUGCAAAAAUAGGCUGGUUGAUGAACUUAGAACCAGAGCUAAAAUAUUGAAAGUAAGCACCUACUGUAGUUGCUUUUAGCAAACAAACCCCUCAGCCAAAGAGCCUUGCACGUAGUGGUGGAGUAGUUUUCCCACCAGUCGGUUAAGUCUUGUUGAGCUUAGAAGCUCAGCCUUGUUAUGGCAUCUCUUUUCAGGUGAAGUUGAAGCUUCUGAGUGUGCUGCUGUUGGCACUUGGCCACCCCAGCUUCCUCCUGGGUGGACGGUUGAGUGGGAUCCUUCCUCGGACGGCGAGGAGAGGGAUCACUGAUGUCCUGAUCGGCCUCAUCAGGGACAUCCGACCCCGGCGCUAGCUUCCGCUAUUUUAUCUAUCUGCUGCUUUUGAAUCUUGUAAAACUCUGAUUUUUCAAACCAGUGUGUAUUAAAUUGUUGAACUAAUUAUUUGAUCUGCUGUAUUCUCUGGAACUACUCACCUUCGUGUGAGCUAUGCUAACUCGUUCCUAUCAAAGUGGUUUUAUCGGAUGAAAUCCGACAGAUCGUCGAAUUAACUUGGUUAAGGCAUGUGAUUCGCGUGUUAAGCAACUUAACCGUGCUUUAGCUAAGUUAAUCCGAGGAGCUCUGCCAUACCUCGUCUUCGUAACCCUUCUUUUUUCAUGGCGUCAGAUGCAGAGCUGAAUCCCUGACUUCCUGCCUACCGCCAGAGACAAAUAUAUACAGUUUUCAAUCAAGAAAGUUUACUGAGGGCUUGUUUGGUAGGCUUCGGUUGUGGCUAAAACAGCAGUGGCUGUGGCUUCUCCAAUGGACCAAUUUUUUUUAGCUUCGGGUUAUCUGGUUAGAAAAACUUUUAGUAAAACAGCUUCUACCAGAUGUGUAACUUAGAUAGAAAGGUGAAAUGUCUAUAAUAUCCUUUCUCUUCUUCGUUUUCUUUUUCCUUCCUAUUUUUUCCCUUCUCUCUUUUUUCUAUCCACUCACCGGUGCGCGGUCUCUCCUUUUCUUAUCCACUCACCGGUGCCCAGCCAAAUCCUUAUCUUCUUGCAACCAGAGGGGAACCCGCGAUGGUCAGCUAGCUAGCUCCACUCCAUGGAUCAAUUGGUUCAAGAAAGCAAUCAAAUGCAUAGCCGCCGGCGAGUGUAGUCCACAAAGGAUGGAGCCGAGACACCCAAGAGCCCCAUUGAUGCUGCCGCACGCCACGAUGCCAUCAUUGUGGCCACACCAUUGGAGACAGAGAGAACAGCUUGCUCCCGCUCAGGCGCACGGUGUGAGCUGAAGAGUUUGGUGCGCCUGUGCUGCCCGCUCUCCAGCUCCGCCACGCCAUCCCUCCCUACACCGCCCCUCUCCACCAUGCCUCCCCGCGCCCCCUCUUCGCCGCGCCUCCCCUCUCAUCCCCCCUCCCCCCCUCCCCCCGCGCGCGCCUCCCCACGUUGCACGGUGGGCAAAAGGGUCACAUGGCCCCACGUUCGAGGCUGAUGCUGCGGGGAGCUAGUUUUUUCGGCUCCCCCUCCCUCGAAAGGCUCCAGAGAGCAAAUUUCAGGGAGCUUCUUCCACAAAGCCAUUUUGCAAAUGGCCCUUUGGUAGGGCUUCGCUAGAAGUCGAUGUUGAAGUCCUGCUAAACAAACCCUGAUUUGAUUUUUAAGAGCAUUACAUCGAGCCGGACAAUCUCUUAAAAACACUCCAGAUCACUGCAUAGUGGGACGCUGGGUCAUCCCAUGCGGGCCGUGCAAUCGUACAGGGCCUCCAAAUUAUACUAUACACUUAGGUAUAACUAUGUGGACUAUUUUUGUCGUUGUUUUGAAGCUCAGCACGCACCACCGUUGGUCGAAUUGCCUUCCGAUCGACGGAUGGUUUGUCUCCUAAUUUUCUUUGAGUAUGUCCCGUGCAGUCAAGUCUGUUGAUCCCUUUUUUGUCGCCCUCAUGAGACGUCGCGCCGCUCUCGCCGAGACGCAGCCAGACGUGCGUCAAUCGCCGGCCGCCGUCUUCGCGAAUUCGUGCAAAAGCUCAAGGCCACACGCUUACACCUACGUGCGUGCACUACCGGGUAAAGGAGGACACGCUCAGGCGUACAACGCAACACAGAGUGACGAUAUUUGUUCUUUUUUUAAAAAAAAUCUUGUUUCAAUGAACAAUUACACUGCUGAUUAGAAGUGCAUAAAUUAAUUUUAUUCUUUUCAACGCUCCAAUUUAGGCCCCCGGCCCAUUUAGUUUCGUACAGGGCCUCGGAAUUUUUCUGGACGGCCCUGGGACGCACGCAUCCUACAAAAUAUAUAGUGAUCGAAACACGCUAAUUGCAAUCAACUAUAGAGUAGAUUGCCACUCGUGUGUUCAAAUAUAUAUACCACUAGAGUUUGCCAUCGAGGAGAUCCUCGGUGAGCUGCAGCAUGUUCGUCUCCGGGAGGUCAAAGAGUUGAGCCGGCACAGAGCCGCUGAACAUGGUCUUGCCAAGGCGGAUGCGCCUCAGCGUCUUGCACUGGGCGAGUGAGUCGGGAAUCGGACCAGACAGACAAUUCUCCAUCAGCACGACUACCUCCAGCAUCCCGCCCGCACAUAGAUCAGGCGGUAUAUGCCCUGUGAGGUGGUUGGUGGCCACGUCCAACAUCUUCAGUGGGCUGUUCUUGCCUAGUCCAGCCGGGAGGUUGCCUGUGAGGUUAUUCUCCCAAACUUGCAACACCUCCAGGUUCGGUAAGUUGGCCACGAACUCCGGUAUGUUGCCACGGAGGUGGUUGCGGAACAGGUGUAGAAGCGUGAGGCUGGUGAGGUUAGCGAGGCCGGCUGGUAUCUCGCCGGUGAGCUCAUUCAUGGAGAAGUCAAGCGACUCGAGAUUCCUGAGGCCACCGAGCUGCGUGGGUAUCUCCCCGGAGAGGCGGUUCAUCUGAAGGAAGAGCGUGUCGAGGUGUGCGAGCCGGCCGAGCUCUGGCGGGAUGGGGCCCAUGAGGUUACAGCUGCUCAUGUCCAGGCGGACGAGCGAGUCGAGCUCGCCGAGCUCCGGUGGGAUGCCGCCGUCGAACAGGUUGAAGUAGCCGAUGUACAUCUCCCGCAGCCGCUUGAGGCGCGCGAGCGACGCAGGUACCCGGCCGGACAGCGAGUUGCCGUUGAGUCCCAGGUACUCGAGCGCCGUGAGGUCGGCGUAGCUUUCCCAUAUGGCGCCAGAGAAGUAGUUCCCGCCAAGGUGGAGGUAACGGAGGCGCGUGUGCGCGGCGCCAAACGGCGGGAGCGGGCCGGAGAGGUUGUUGUUGUAGGCGUCGACGACCUCCAGAACCGGGAAGUAGGGCUCUCCUGCGCCGGCCGGCGCGGGGAACGGUCCGGUGAAGUUGUUGUUGGAGAGGUUGAGGUGGCGUAGCGCCGGCAGCUCGGCGAGUGACGCCGGGACGCUGCCUGCCAGGGAGCAGGCGGCGACGGUGAGGUUCUCGAGGGCGUCGAGCAGCGCCAUCUCGGGCGGCAGGACGCCCCCCUGCAGCGGUAUGCCUGUGAGGUUGAUCCCGACCACGCGGGCGGCCGCAUCGCAGGACACGCCCGAGAAGGAGCAGUGCGCGGGCGGCGCGGCGGCCGGGUCCCAGUCGGCGAGAGCGUUGGAGGUUGCUGGGACCAGCGCCACCUUGAGUUUGACCAACGCGUUCACGUGUCGAUCCGUCGAAGCGGAGGCGGAGGUGGAGCCAAGGACCGAGAGGAGGAGGAGAGGGACAAGGGGAGGCAUCAUUGUGGUGGCUGCGGCUGCUGCGUGGCGGCGACCGGCGGGGAGACGUGUGAAUAAAAGGGUAGUGGCGGUAGUGGAUGGAAUCAGCAUAUCGAAUCCCCAGGAUGGAGACGGGGAUUACAGCGCCCUGCUAAUCAAGCUCCGCUACAUGGAUUCUGAACAGCUGACAGUUAGGUAGUGUUUGGUUGGCUCAAAUGUAACGUAAUCUGAUUACUGAACGUAACGAAUCCUAUUACAUAUGUUUUGGUUGCGGUGGUUUAUAAUCAAUUGACACUGUAAUCGAAUCCCUUACCUAAAUAAUAUUUAUACAAGCUUGUUACCCCUCCUCCCCCACCGUAAUCAGAUAUAGCACCCACACAGUAAUCUGAUUACGUUACCAGAGUGCAACCAAACAAAGAGGGCAAUCACCCAUUCCACCGCCAAAUACACUGUAAUCUGAUUCCCUUUGCGUUUACAUUACAUUAGCACGAACCAAACACUAUCUUAGAUCUACGGAAAUUCCUAAACAUUUAGAGCGACGGAAGGGAUGAUAUGGACUCAACAGGUAGGGCCAAUGUGUCAGGUCCCUCUCUCUCAUAUUGCAUCCCCUUCUUCACUGUGGCACCAUGUCGCAUCCCCUCCAUCAUGCCACCAUCGGCAUCCCGUCCGUGUAACAGUUGCCAAGCUAGUCAUGUAAGUGACUUUGGAAAAUUAAAAGCAAAUUAAGAAAAGAAAAAGAAAUUGACCGAAAAAUCAAAUUCGGGUCAAAUUUGGCCGAAAUUUGAAUUUCGAAUUUGAAAUACAGAAAAAUUUGGCAAAAAUGUGGAAUACAAGUAUAAGAGUGUUUGGAACUGAAGGAUCAAAAAUUUGGAACUGAAAUAAUGCUAAAUAUCUCAGAGGAAUCAAAGAAAGAAAAAGAAAAACUGAGUUUACUGUUCACCGUCCGAAAAUAGAAUUGCAGAAAAACAGCCUCAGAGUCUAUUUUGGAAAUUGAUUUCUGGAGAAAUUUCCAAAUAAAUGCACCAGGACAACUAUACCAUAUUGAAGUAUGAACUUUGGACUACAAGAUUUGGGUGUUGUUGGCCAGGAUCAGUAACAGGAAGGAAUUUAAAUUCAAGCCCAAAGUCAGCACAUUAUCACAGUUAACUGACACUCUGAAAUAUAGCUAAGUCUGAAAAUCGACAGCAUAGGGUUAACUUUGAGUUUGAAUUCAGAGCAAUGUAGAUCAAGAAGGGUAGGUGUUCUUGGGCAAAAUGGAAACUUGGGAGAUUAUAGAACACGUUUGAGAAGAAGUUGGAUUGGAAGAACAAGAUUUAGGUCACUGAAUUGGUUUACCAAGUAAGAUCAACUCCACUGUCGGUGACUGACGAACUGAAAGUCAGUUUCAAUGAAUUUCAAAGGAACCCGAGAAACAAAUCAAAAUUCAAUCAUAUUUGAUGAUUAUCUCGAGUCCAAGCCAAAACAAAAGAUGACGGGUUUGAGUUUAUCUUCAACUUCUGUUAAGGCGCUUGGAGGCCGUCGGAUUGGAGAUCGACCACAAUUCGACUCUGAAGAUCACGGGCGUUAGAGGAGCGGUGACAGAGCACCAAGACGUGUCGCCGCCGCCGUCGUCGGUCGUCCGCCAGCACGUCUAGCUAGGCCACCUCCUCACCACGCAAGCCUAGGGGUAGACCACGGUGGCAGCCAUGCGCACGGUAAACCGUUCAUAUAUUUACCGCUCCCGCGCCGCCGUUUCACCGCCGUCCUUUUUACCGCCGCCAGCUUCUCCUCUGCUUAACACCGCCGCCGAGCAAAAUUCCACCGCCACGUCUCGCCUCCCGUCGAUUCCUCUCGCCCACUCCUUCACAGACACCCCAGCUACACCCCAGACCAGUUGUUGUCCAACAUCCAUGCCGGAAUAACCGUGCUCGCCGCCGCUUCUGUCCGCCGCCGUCGCGCCACCCGCUCACGGUGAGAACCACUUCGCGCUGCCUCUCUUCCUUCUUGAGUAGUUGUAGUCGAGUCCUUAGGGUCCUAGGAUGGUGUAGAGGUAGAUGUUUGAGUAGGUUAUGCCGUUGUCGUGAGUAGUCACCACCGGCCGAGGGUGUCGCCGCCCGUCGCCGUGGAGGGGAUGGCUCCGGCCAUCUCCCAGGGAGCGGUCGCUGCGCACGAGUACGUGAGGGUGUACGGGUGCUGUCCUGACCGAGCUUCGCCGCUGGUGGGGCGCCGACCGGCGAGCCGCGCCGCCCCCUGUCGCGGGCGCGUUUUGGCGGGAGGAGGAAGAAGUAUCUGGGCGCUUGGGCCCGCGCGGCAGUGAGAAGAGAGGGGGAGAAGGAGGCCGGAGCGGCGCGAGCGGUUGCUGGGCCGCGGCGCGUCGGAGGCCCAGGAGGUUAGCGCGGUCGACCGGAAAAAAAAAAGAAAAAGGGCCGAAGGCCCAGUGGGAGCCGGCCAGUUUCGCGGAGAAAAAGAAAAAGAGAAGUGGGCCGAGAGGCUGGUGUUGGGCCGAAGAAGAAGAAGGAAAAAGAAAAAUCGGCCCGCGGGGCCCGUCGGGAGGGGGGAAAGGGCCGGCGGGUAGAAAUGAAUAGGUGGGGUGGGGUCCGCGCCAUGGGGCCCAGUGCACGUGAGAGAGGGUAGAGAGGGGUUGAGUAAGAAAAGUAUUUCCGGGAGUUUUUCGGGAAAAUUAGAUUUCCUUUAGUAAAAUAAUUCGUUUAAAUUCGUUUUACAUCAUUUAAAUCACAGAAAUUUAUAGGAGUGUCCAAAAUUAGUGAAACCAAUUUUGUUAGGCUUGUUUUAUUUUCCUUUACGCAUUAAAAUUUUUACACCCUAGAAAAAUAAUAAAAAUUUGGGUAUUUAUUUAAUGCCUUCCUUUUAAGGUAAUUAAAUAAAUACUUAAUAUUUAUAAAAUGUAUAAAAUAUGAAUAACACUUUCUUAAUCACAAAUUAUUCUUAACCCAUAGGAAAUUAGAUUUUCAAGUUAGAAAAUAAUUAUAACUUUUUCUAAAAAUAAAAGAAAAAGCUAUAAGGAGGGUUAAAUAAGAAAAAUAAAAUUUUAGGUUAAUCUUUUUAGAUUUUUUUUGUGUGUUGGCUUGCAACUUUAUCAUGAUAAGUCGUAUAGUCCUUGUUGGCUUGCAACUUUAUCAUGAAGGAAAGUUGUAUAGUCUGUUAUUCAAAAUUUUGCAUUUCUAACCCCUGCAUGUAUUAUGCCAUAGAUCCCGAAGCACCGGAAGGAGAUUAUUGGGAAUUUUCAGAAGGACCUUCGGAGUCCGAAGAAGUGUUUGAGUUAGUUCCCUGUGAAGCCAACCCGUCAGAGACUACUAAUCUUUUUAACGAACCAGGCAAGCCCCGGUGCAUUUAUACCUAUCUAUUUUGGAGUCGUUAUUUCAUGUGACUAGUUAUAGGUUAUUUGCUUUAUGUAUGCACUAAGUCUAGGAGUUGCUUGAAACCUAUUCUUGUGUAUGAUCAUGCCUUGUUUUAAGGACAUCUUUGCCACUUGUUCAAACCUUAGAAGAUACCCAAGUCUAGAAUUGCUUACUUGCUUACAUGCUUGGUUUACCAACCUUAAGGAAAACUCUUAAGUCAUACAUGUUGCUUAUGGAAGAUAACUUGGAAAGUGAAAACGGACAGAAGCUAGAGAUGUAGUUCUGUCUGCUAGAUUAAUUUGGUUAAGGUCCUAUUCGUUGUCUUAACCUUUGAUCAAGUGAUAAGCAUCUGAUCACUUACUGGGUAUGGGACCAGUAAAGCCCAGUAGAUUAGUAAACUCUAUGAUCAGGAAUACUUCGUACCCGCGCUUGACGUGCUGGAGAUUGGCAGGGGUGUAGCCUGAAACUCACAUGGUGAUCGGGCCAGACGUGGGGUCCCAUGUGGGGGUGCAUCCCUGGGUCCGGGUAGUCGUAUUCCUAAUCAUUGAGUUUGCUAAUCGAGAGGUUGUUAGAUACGACCUGGACAGUCGUAUAACGCUGGUGAUCAGGGUACUCUCAUGCAGGAUGUAAUUAGAUCCGGAUCGCCGCAAUUCUCGGUUAUGAAUGCACUUGAUCACUGUUGAGCAUCGUAGUACUAAUUCAUGCAAUAUGUAUCUGUCUGUUAUCAAUUGAUGUAUGACUUAACAGUUAUGGUUGUUUUUACUUUUUGUUAUCAUUUAGAAUGGUUAGGUAAUAACUUAACCCAAAUAAAAGAUAAAACUAAGGCAUUACUCAUAGUAAGAUUUUCGGCAAAAGUUGUGUUAGCCAAGUACACCCAAAAGCUAGCAUGCAUUCCAAAGAAAACUAUUAUAUUGGUUAGUCGGGUAAGACUUGCUGAGUACCCCGUACUCAAGGUUUUCCCCUUGUGGCUAUCUUUCAGAAGCUCCACAGGAGGCUACAGAGGAGGAGACCCCGAAGCCCUAGUGUAUUGACCUGAGUCUCACAAUACCCUAGAGAAAAAGUUCUACUUGCGCAUCUUCUCCUAGACUAUUUAUGUUUAAAUCUUAGAGCUUGUCUAACACUGCAUCACUAAGUUUGUUUCAAUCUAUGUCCUGUAAUAACUCGUACCUUUUACAUAUGUAUGUAAAAAUGUAAUGUUUGUUGAUAUUAUCCCAUCACGGAUAUUAUCCUGAUGUAUGGUUAUGAGACACGCCGUGGAUCCUUCGAGGAGUCCUAGGGACACUCGACGGACUACCGGACUUAUGCUGUUUUAGGUGCGUUUCGGAUAAUUGCUGUUCCGACGGCGAUUAGGCGCACUUAAACCAGCUUAAGUUGGGCGGUUCCGCCACAGUCCGCUCCUCCCGCGCGUGGCCGUUUAGUUUCCCUUCCACUGUUCUUCCUUGCUUUGCAGCUGCCUCCAUCACGUUGCGCACGCCGGCCAACCGCUAGGUGCUCUCUCACACUCGAUCAUCGAUCUAGUCAUGACUAGAGUCAUUUAUGGGAUUUUUAGUUAGAAAUGGCUUCAAGUCAAGGUAAGGAAGAAAGUAGAGGUGGGCUGCCCUUGUAAUUUUAUGAAAUAUGCACACUAACUGACCUUCCAUGCGCCUCCUUUUGUCCCGGUUUAAAGUUAGCCUGGGACAAAAGGGGGCACGCCAUGGUAGGUUGGAAUGGAGCGAAGCUUUACUCCCGGUUGGUAUUUGCAACCGGGACUAAAGGGUGGCCUUUAGUCCCGGUUGUAACGGCUAGAUUCCAGGCGUCGGUAGCGUGCCCCUUUUAUCCAGGUUGGAGCCUCAAACCGGGACAAAAGGACCACUCUUUUGUCCCGGUUGACCAACCGGGACAAAAAGUUUAGUUCCGGUUGGAAUUACCAACCCGGAGUAAAUUUCAACCUACUGGGAUAAAAACUCAUCCCCCAUUAUAUCCCAAGACAGAGGUCUUUCUUCCUUCUCCAGCCCGAGCCAGUCCACUCCACAAAGACAAAGAGUUUCACCUACUCUCCGGUGGCGCCGAAGCAAGCCUACGGGAGGUGUUGCCCGAAAUUUUUUUCCCUCAUUUCCGUAGAAAUUUGACUCAUCCAAAAUAUUGUGAAGGUUACCUACUUUAUCCUCUUGUUAUGCUUUGAUUUAUGCUUUACACAGGGAGAAAAAUGAGGUUGUUUGUUAGAAAGAGGGAGAGUGAAAAGGAUUUGUAUUUAUAUAUAUUUUUAACCUAGAAUGUGAUGGAUAGUUUGCUUGUUAUAUACGAUUUGUAUUAGUUAAAACAACUUGAUGUGUAGAAUGGAGAUGGAUAGUUUAUUUGCUAGAAUGUGAAGUAGAAAAUGGAGAGGAUUUUGAGCUAGAAUGUAAGGGAGAUUGGAGUGUACAUGUGAGGUAGAAUUGAGAGGAUUUCAAUAUUAAUUAUGAGGAUAAAAUUAGUAUGUCAUAUGUGUCAUAUAUAGUAUGUGUCCUUGCAGCGGUUUAAUUAUGAUGCUACCCUUGUCUAGACGGUUUAUCUUGUCAAAUUCAAUAUGGUUUUUCAAAUCUGUACUUGUUGAACUUGCAUGCCGUGUUCAUCUUGGUAAGCAUAUUCUCCACCGAGCGGCAACGGACGUUAAGGAGGAGCUUGGAUUCUACGAGGAAGAGCGGCAACGGACAUUGUGGAAGAUCAUGUCCCCUUUCUCGUAGAAUCGGAGCUCUUCCAUUGCGAAGUACUGUGCCGCUCGGUGGAGAAAUGCUCGCCGAGAUGAUCAUGGUUUUCAAGUUCAACAAGUUCUACAGUGCUAAGGUAUGAAUUUUUGUACAUAGAGAUGGCUUCUACUGCUGGAGCUAGUGGCGAUGGUGGGGGUGAUCGUCGUUCCUCUCGCGGCAAGGGGAAAACAUAGUUCGCCCUCAUGAUAAGCUGAAGAAAAUGAGCACGUGGGAUUAAACAAUGCUUCAUUUUUUGCAAAGACGUCAUGAAAAUGCUGUUACGACGGGUCAGGAACCUCCUUUUGGUGGUCCUUAUGCUCCGUCGUCAGUCCCAGGUGUUUCACGUUCACUUAGUACUACCAUUGCAGGAGGCACAAAUAAACCACAGGAUGAGGCUGGGUCAGCGGAACCUUCAUCUUCGAUGCCCAAGGAUGCUUAAGCCCUCCUAGAUAAUCCUCGGUGGAUGGCUUGUCGUAGUGUAUCAUGUUGUUUGGAUCUGAAAUUUAAAUAUGUGUAUUUCUAUCUAUAUCUAAACUUUCAGCAUUAUUUGCACUACAAAGUUUGACAUGGAAAUAGCAUGUAGAUAAGUUAUAAAGUGUAUAAAAAAAGGGAAAAAAAUUGUAAUCCAUUUCCAUGCGUAAUCCAUUUUCAUGCAUAAUACGAUGCAGAUGGACCGGCAAUGGAUGUAUAAUGCGGACAGAUGUAGCAAAGUGCUUAUUGAUGGCUUGCGUCAUUUUCUCGAAGUGGCCAAAGCGAACAAGCUAGAGAAUGGGUUCGUAUGUUGUCCAUGUUUCCAAUGCAGUAACAAGAAGGACUAUUCAAAGGAUUCCUGGGGGACUAUUCAUAGCCACUUGUUUAGAUACAGUUUCAUGCCUAACUAUUUGGUUUGGACCAAGCAUGGUGAAAGAGGGGUUGUAAUGGAAGAUGGUGAAGAGGAGGAUGAUGAUGACAACAUUCCGGACUGAGCUACAGGCCAAGCUUUUGAAAAUACUCUGAUGACCUUGGUCAGGUGCUACGGGAUGCACACAGAGAUUGCGAAACUGAGAAGGAAGCAGCACAGUUGCAGCGCAUGAUAGAUGAUCACCAAAAAUUAUUGUACCCAAAUUGCCAACAGGGCCAUAAAAAAUUGGGUACCACACUAGAAUUUGUGGAAUGGAAGGCUAAAAAUGGUGUGUCUGAUAAGGCAUUUCAGGGGAUGUUGAAAAUUGUCAAGAAGAUUCUUCCCGAGAAUAAUAAAUUGUCGUCCACAACAUAUGAAGCUAAAUAGAUUAUUUGCCCUCUGGGAUUGGAGGUUCAGAACAUACACGCAUGCCCUAAUGAUUAUAUCCUCUAUCGUGGUGCUAAAUACAAGAAAAUGGAUGCUUCUCCCGUGUUCGAAGCACAGCGAUAUAAGAUCAGGCGAGAUGAUCCUAGUGAUGUCGAGGGCCAGCCUCUCAAGAAGGGAGUUCUUGCGAAGGUGAUGUGGUAUUUCCCUAUAAUACCACGCUUGAAGUGCUUGUUCAGGAACAAGGCGAAUGCUAAGUUGAUGUGAUGGUACAAAUAAGAACGUAAGGAAGAUGAGAUGCUGAGACACCCCCAGAUGGGGCCCAGUGGAGAUCAAUUGAUAGAGCAUUCCCGGACCGCCGCCUCCUCCGUCGCUCCAUCCCGCCGCCUUCUCCGUCGCUCCAUCCCGCCGCCUUCUCCGUCGCACCCCCUCAAGCUCGUCGCCGCCGCCUCCGUCGUGCCGCCUCAUCGCUGCCUCCGUCCUUGUCGCCACCUCCAUACUCGUCAUCGCCGCCGGCCUCCGCCCUCAUCGCCGCCACCUCGCUCCGUCCCCGCCACCUCCUCCGUAGUGCCUCCUCGAGCUCGUCGUCGCCGCCUCCAUCGCGCCUCCUCAUCGCCGCCUCCAUCCUCGUCGCUGCCUCCGUCGCUCCAUCCCCGCCUCCGCCGGCGUCCGCCGCCCCGGCCUCCUCAUCCUGCAUAUUGCCAAUCCGCCACCCCCACCACCGCCGUUUCACCGUCCCAGCCGCUGUACGACCUCCUGCCCCCGCCGGCCCUGGCUCCCGCACCUACGACGGGGACUUUGCUAACGCAAGCCACCGGGUUGCUGACACAAGGGCCCUUUUUUUUUAGAAAAUCAAUAGAAAUUUGUAGAAAAUCAGUAGAUUAGUAAAAAAUCAAUAGGAAAUUACUAUUAUUAGUUGAAACUCAGUAGGAAAUUACUAUGAUUAGUAGGAAAUUAGUAUAAUUGAGUUCAGAUGCUUAGUAUAAUUUUGUAAACAUUUUGUAUUACUUUUAGGAAUUACUAUGUUUCAUUAUAAAUGAUUUGAAAAUUAGUAGAAAUUUGUAGGAAUGGUAAACACUUAUUUAGUAUAAAUGCUUAGUCUAAUUUUGUAUACAUUUAGUAUAAUUGGUAGAAAUUCUUACAAAUUACUAGAAAUUGGUAGAAAUUUAGUAGAAAUACUUACAAAUUAGAAGAAAUUUGGUAAAAAUUCUUAAAAUUAGUAGGAAUUAGUAGAAAUUUUCUAGAAAUUCCAAUAAAUUAGUAGAAAUUUGUAUAUACACUUCAAAUUUGGUAGAAAUUAGUAGAAAUUGGUAUAAACACUUCAAAAUUCGUUGGAUUCAUUCAAGACUAUCAUGUAUGAUUUCAUGUUAUUCUAUGAUUUCAUGUAUAUACCUUAACGUACAUGUAACUAUGAUUUCAUGUAAGUUUCAUUUCGUGUAUGGUUUCAUGUGUAUGUUUCAAUCAGUUUGUUUUUUUCCAUGGUUGUUCUAUGAUUUUGUGUAUAUACCUUAACGUACAUGUAACCAUGAUUUCAUGUAAGUUUCAUUUCGUGUAUGGUUUCAUGUGUACUUUUCAAUUAGUUUGUUUUUUUUCCAUGGUUGUUCUAUGAUUUCAUGUAUAUACCUUAACGUACUUGUAACUACGAUUUCAUGUGUGUUUAAAGUAGUUGAGAUGGCAGACGACAAGACCGCAAGGUGUCUAAUGGAGCGAAUUAUUGCUGGUGAUGCUAAUGGCUCCAACCUUCCCAUAACGUACACCGAUGAAGAGGGUACCCAGGUGGACAUGUUCCUCAACAUGUCAAGCUGUGACAAUGAAGAGCCUGAGCCCCAGCAAAACCUUGCCAUGGCGGAAGGUUCUGGCAAUGGCAAUGAAGAGCUCGAGCCCCAGCAAAACCUUACCGUGGCAGAAGGUUUCAACGAGGUAUAUAUAAUUUCCAUUGUUUUACCCCAUCUAUAAUGUCUUAUUCGUUAUUACUAUGUACUAAUUAACAAAUCUUGAACUGUUAGCCCUCUGGAUCGAUGAAACGUAAGAAGCCCCAAGGUCGUACAAGGGUGAUGGAUGGGAGGCUUGUCAUCACGGAAGUCACAAAAGAGGGCAGGUCGAUUGCUCCUGAAAAAGUAGCAAAGAAGUAUGUGAGUCAAAUCGGGGCAAUCGUAAAGGACAACAUGCCUAUCAGCAUCAGGGAAUGGAAGGGCAAAACAACUAAUCCAUAUGCGCUCCCAAAUACACAAAAGAAUAUGCUGUGGGAAGAUAUCAAGAGACAUUUCACAUUUCCUGAAGGAUAUAUUAAAAAGGAUGUGAAAGCAUGGACACUGAAGAAGAUGGCCACACAAUUCUAGACAUUCAAGAAGAUGCUGGAUGCCAACUACUUUAAGAAGGGUCGAACUCCAGAUUUCAAUGUGUGGCCAAAGUUGAGGGACCACUGGGAGGCAUUUGUCGAAUACAAGAGGAGCGAAGACGGUGUGAAAAAGAUCCAGACCAACACUACAAAUGCUGGUCAAAAGGAGUACCAUCAUCGUCUAGGGCGAGGUGGUUAUGGCAUAGCAGUUCCCAGAUGGAAGAAGAUGGAACAAGACCUGAUUGAUCUGAGUAUCGUACCAGCAACUAUUGAAUAGCCUGAACGAUCGAAAAAUUGGUAUUACACUCAUGGAGGCUUCCUGAGCCAAGAGGAUGGGACGUUGAUAUUCAAUGAGACAAUACGUCAAUAGGCCGAAAGGCUUAUCAAGAACAUUGAAGAUGCUAACGGUGGGAGGUUGAAGGUGGACCGAUAGAAUAAUGAGCUCACAUUAAUCCUCGGGAAUCCCGAGCACCUAGGACGUUACUGAGGGUUCGGGGUCAUUUCGUGGAAGUUUGCUUUCCAAGGUGAGAGCGCAUCGUACAGAAGCCACAAGCGAAGAAAGGAAUAGAUCAAGAAGAGAUGGCAGCACAUGCUAGAAUCCAAAGUGUAUUCACAAGAAGUAAGAAUGUUGGAGGAAAUAAAUCGUUGAGUUGCGAAGUUUGCUCAAUCUGGAGCAUUGCCGGAUCCAAACUUUGCCAGCCCUUCUCAACACCUCAUGAGCAGCUAUGCUUCUACAGAGCUCCCCGAUGUGCAGAUGCCAAGCUUACCCGUGGACGAGCAACGGUUCGCUGUGGAUGCACUCAUGCAACGCACCUCAUGUGAGCUGCAUAUACAGGUCGGCAACCUCACUAUUAAGGUAUACUUAUACAUAAUAUUUAUGCAAUCUUCUUAGUUGAUCCAUGCCUCGGGAUCGCAGUUUAAUAACUGGUUUACUUCUACUAUAUGUACAGGUGGUGUACGGGAGUGCCUUACCAAUCCUAGUAGGGCAGACAAGCCAUGGCAUGGAGAUUCCACCUGGCAAUGCCAGCGCCUAGAGCAGAUCGCUGAUAGCUAAUAUGAAUAACCAGAGCUUGACCUCUCGGGAGGCGUCAGGAAAGGACACUAGGAGAUGCGCUUCAUGGGAUCAUUCUAUGGUGCAAACACUACAUCAUUAUCCCCGGCACGGAAGCACCUCCUCAGAGCACAAGACCGCUCCCCGCAAAUCCCCAGCAGCGACCAUCUCCUCAAAGCUCAAGACUUCCAUCUCCAGCACAACCUAUUCUAGGACCAUCGCUUCGUGCUCGAUCAAGGUCUCCAUCUCCACCACAUCCUGGUGGUGGGAGCGAUGAAGACAAUAACAACACCCCUCCCAGAUCACCAUCGCUGGGACUAAGAGCAGCCUCGAGGAAGGAACCUGCAGCACCACUCAAGAAGUCGUGACCACUGCCUCCCAAGCCAAGAUAGAGAAAGAAGAGAAGAAAGGAACCUAAAGUGACUCAUGAGGAACGCUGGGAGGCAAUGACUCAUGCGGAACAGUGGGCCGAAAUCCAAGCAGAGGCUAGGGAGUGGUUCAAGAAAAAGGCUGAAGAAAAAAAAGAAAGGGAGAAGGAGCCACUGGUAGUAAAUUGAAAAGAAUUAAAUUUUUUUAUCAAGAUGGAAGAAGGAGCCAAGAAGAGGAUAGCACUACUAUCGAACUACGAACGAGUAUUAGUCAAGGCUGAUGAGAGGGAAAAAAUGAAAGGAAAUUCAUCUUCCAGUGGUGUUGUUCCCGACCUCGGGCAUCUACCAGAAAACGACGCUAAAAAUAUAGCAGCAAUGCCCUUGGAUCAACAAGCACAAGUACUGCUAUUCAUGGAAGAAACAAGUAUGGGAGAUGAUGAAUGUCUAGGGCAAGUUGAGCUGAUAGCUGCACCGCCAGUUGAACCAAGAUGGACCUUUGAGCUAGGCAAGUCUCUACUAAGGCCUGAGUUGGUACGGAAGCUAUCAACAAAGAUGUACGAAUUCCAUCAAUGGUACAUGAAGGUGUUUGCUGACUCUAGGGAGAUGUUCAGCCUUAAGGUAAAACUGAUAGAUUUUUACGGUGAAGGUAAGAGAGUCCUGUGGCUAGAAUUUAAGGAUAUAUACUGUAACGACCUCGGUUAAAAUCCUUCACGUUAAUCUUAAUCCGAGUCCCUGAUCCCCAUCCCAGCUUUCCCGAGUUUAAGUACUCAACCUCCAGCCCCGGUUCUGACCCUGCAGAUCUGACCCCUCUCCGUUUUCCCCAGUUCCGACCCCGCUGACCCCAACUCACCCGCCGGAUCUUUCUAAGUCCUCGCACAACGCCUCCCUUCAAUCUGAGCAGUGGACCACUAAGACUGACCGGUGGACCCACAAAAUCUUUUCCUCAGAUCUCCCGCGACAGACGCACUCGAGUAGCAUGCCCGCUUCAGAGUUCCCUUGCCGCGUGGCUCAACUUCUCCGAUGCCCGCCGCUCCGCCUCGUCGCCGGCCACGACCGAAUGGAUUCUCGCGCCCCCUUCCCCAAUCGCAGCGGAAGCUCCUCUGCUACCUUUUCUGCAGCACCUCGCCGCCCACGCCCAUCAUCACCUCGGCAGACCCCGGAUGCAAGAGCCCGAUGCCGCCCGUCUUUUCCGUCGCCCCUCCACAGUUGCGCCGCCCCGGUCCGCGCUACGUGACGAUUCCUCCUCCGCCAACCCAGACCACGGCUGCGUCAGCUCCUUUUCUGCCCUGUCAGAGCUCCACCCUUGACAAUCUGUUGCUCCGCGCUCACCAGCGCAACUGCCGCCGCCUGUCUUCUCACCUGUGCGCCCUCGUCUCUAGCGCCGUUCCCGUGGUCACUUCCAUCAGAUCCACCGCACGACGACGCCCGCCUCCGCCAAAUCUCAACCACCGGCAAAAACCACGCCUGUGCCGCCCUGUCAUCGGUGCCCAAUGACUGCCGGUGCCACCCCCAAAGUCCUAUUCCACCGCCCUCGUUGCUCAAUCGCCGCCCCGGCAGCGCACUCCAUCGUUUCUUCCCCGGCCUUCGCGCUGCUUCCCCCUUCUCUCUUCCGCGCAGCUAUAAAAGGGAAUGCCAGAGCUCCGCCGGAGUUCCCCUUCGCCAUCGCUGCCCUCCCGCUUUGCUCCUUGUUCGUGCUCACAGCGCCAACGCCUAAGUUCCGGAGGAACUCUCCUCUCCGCUCCACACCGUUUGUCCCUAAUCCGCCCAGCCUCUUACUCCCCGUGCUGCACAAGAGCUUGCUUGUGGUCCACCAGAAGCACUGCCGCCGCCGGAGCACCACCGGACAUCAUCGCCGCUGCCCAAGCCUUAGUCUUUCUGCCCAAGUCUAUUCUUUCCCGACCCCAAGCUUCAUCUAUAAGACGAAGGUAAGCUGCCAACCCUUUGUCCGUCUCGUCCGACCCCUCCUAUCCGCUCGACCCCUGUUCCGUCUCGCCUGACCCUAUCUGUUCCGCCGACCUUUCUCCGCCUCGCCCGAGGGCUCGACUGUAUCUUUUUCCUUGAACCGAGGGUAUAUGUGUAAAACUCGGGGACUUCUCUGCGUUAAGUCUGAGGACCCCUAGCACAUCUAUUCCUCUAGAUGAAGGGUCUGAUCAUAAGUUCCUUCCCAUCCGACCCUCAUAUCUUGAUCUCCACCAACUCAAGCGAACCUCCCCACCCUCCCGUAACUUGCCGCAAGUUUCUGGGCUCAAACUUGCAAGUGUUGUUGUUGAAAUAACCGUCUAAAUGCUAACCCAUGCAUUGCAUUCGUGUAGAGCUGCGUCUCGCCGACGGCUUCUACGAGCUGCACCCGGCGCUAGAAGACGAAGGUGUAGCCGAGCUCCUGCCUCCAGAAGCCGAAGCCGAAGCCGCCCAAGCAGAAGAGCAGCUUCCCUCCUCCUUGUUCGAAGGCAAGCCCCGGAUGCAUGAAUCCCCUGUGUUUCACCAAACUUGCGCAUGCCUUCUUUAUCAUGCUUGUGCAUUUACAUAUAGGAGUUUUUUGGAACCAUAGAUGCAUGACUUAGAUCCCUGGAUCUGAUCACUAGCUAUUGGACCGGAUAGAUGCUUUGCUUAAAUAGGAAUCGGUAAAAGCCGAGUGAUUCCUGUCACUCACGAGUUGUAGGGGUUGGUUGUUUCCGCUUCUGUUACAACUAUAAGGACGAUGGACGGGGCAAGGUUUUGGGUAACUCUUUGGUGGUCGGCUGAUCGCCCCGUCUAUCUAUGAAACUUGUUAAGGCCCGACAGUGGUGGUGUUCGUGAUCAAGUGUUUGAAAGUACUAAUCUCAUACCUAGUAUGGGAUGGGGAAGCCUAGUACCUGAUUGAACUAGGGCGUGGCUUAUACCCCUGCUGUCCCUGGAACGAGGUUCCCAUGGUGCAUCAUGUGGGUGCAAGUGCGGUCACAGUACGGUAGAGACCGGGACUGUGGAGCAUUGCAUGCCAAGGGAAGUUUGGACCUGACACGCGCCUGGGAAUUGAUGGGGACGGCCGACAUGGGAAGCGACCCUUGUGGUGCGCGGAUGUCGUGAAAUUAGGUUCGCCAUGCAUGGUUAAGAAACCCGAAUCGAUUCGUCUGCCUCUCACAGUUUGAGACUGCUUGAUUGCUAUGUCACCCUGAGUAACAAAGGAAUCUGAUGAUAACAUGGUCUUGAUGAAUAUAUAUAUACCUUUUGGUUGGAUCUAUGUUUGCUUAGAGUAAGUUGCUAACUUAGAUCGGAUAAUGAACUUAGAACCUGAGCUAAAACUUGAAAGUAGGGAUACACCUAGCGCUUUUGGCAAACAAACCCCUCAGCCAAAAAGCCUUGCAUGUCUAGAAGUGGUGGAGUAGCGUACUCCCUGUCGGUUAAGUCUUGUUGAGCUUAGUAGCUCAGUCUUGUUGUGGCUCUUAUUUUUCAGCUGAAGUUGCUGCCCCUGAGCCCUCCUAUGUUGGCACUUGGCCGCCCCAACUCCCUCCGAGUUGGACGGUUGAGUGGGAUCCCUCCUCGGACAGCGAGGAGAGGGAUCACUGACGUCUCGGUUGGCCUCACCAGGGAUGUCCGACCCCGACGAAGUAGCUUCCGCUUAUUGUCUUACCUUCUGUUAUUUUCCUUGAACCUUGUAAAACUCUGAUGUUUAUUUUUGGUUUUAAUCUAAAUGGUCAAUUGUUUAACUCGGUGGACUUUUUGUAUUCUCUGGAACCGCUCGCCUUCGUGUGAGUUUGCUAACUCGAUCCUGUUGAAGUGGUUAAAUCGGAUGAAAUCCGACGACACUUCGUGUUUACUUGGUUAAGGCAUGAGUGUCCCCUCUCAGGCGACUUAAUCAUGUUUAAUCAAGCAAAUCCGAAGUGGAUCCGCCACAUAUACGAAGUGUACCAUCAUGAUGCCCUAGACGUCUCUCUGAUCAGCGCCUGGGUUCUGUAAGUAUCCGUUUAUCUACAUGUAAAUUUUGGCUCAUAUCAUUAUUUUUUUGCGUGCAUCACCGUGCUAACUUCGCCUUCCAUUUUAUGUAGGAUGCUAAUUCAGACGUGCCGAUGAGGAGCGUACCUCCAUAUUGGCUUCAUGGAUCUAUCCGUAGUUAACCAAAAACAGAUACAGGUUGUGUCGGACAAAACCUUGGUGGAAGUAUACAAUUUCCUAGACAAACAAAAAUUCAAGGAUUUCAUACUACUUCCAUACAACUUCAAGUAAGUGUUUGUAUACCGUCUACUUUCAUUUUCUUUUUCCUUACCUGAUUAAUGUUAGUUAGCUCUAAUAUAUAUGAACAUUUACGUACGCAGUUUCCACUGGAUCCUCAUUAUAAUUGAGCCUGAUAGAAGCCAUGUCACUGUCUUCGAUUCGUUGAGGAAAGAUCCGGUGGAGUACCAAAACAUGCAAGACAUGCUAGGCUUGUAAUAAUUCUAGACCUUUAUCUCUAUGCAAAAGUUUGUUUCCUAAAUUUUUACCUAACACUGCAUCAUUCAUUAUUUUAAUCCGUAGUGCAUGGAGACAAUUCAUCAGGAAACACAAAGAUCCAUUCAAAAAAAAAACUUACAUGGAACACAGACUUUCUGGUACGUAUGAAGUUUGCAUAAUUUGUACAUUCUAUAACACGAAUAUUUUAUAACUUAUUUUUUCCCCACUGAAGUGCUUAAGAUAGGAACUCGGGAAUAAUCUAUGUGGCUACUACAUCUGUGAGCACAUGCACAGUUUUGUGGGACCCAAGGGACUAAAGAUGACGCCGCACAACUUUAAAGUAUGUAAAAUAAAACUAUUAAUAGUUAAUUCUUUUCUAGCUCCUUAUAUUUAAUUGUUCAUGUAACAUUCACAUAUUUCCAAAUUAUAGAUGUUAAAUAUUCAACAUGGACUCUUGAAGAAGGAAAGAGUAGCGGCAAUAUCUGAAGGUCUCAUUGGAUUCCUGAUGGACGAGGUGGUAAAUCCACAAGGAGAAUUUUAUUACAAUGGACGAAAUUUAGACGCUCCGAGCAACACCUCGACGGGAAGAUUGUAGAUGUAUAGUUUGAUUUGUAUAUAUAAUACACUAAGAUUUGUAUAGUAUGCUAAGAAUUGUAUAUAUAUAAUAAGAAUUGUAUAUAUAAUAAUUGUAUAUUUACUAGUUUCAUUCGUUUAAAUACUAGUUUGAUUUCAUUAUUAGAAAAGUCUCAACUACUAAAGCUUAACAAAAGGGCCGGGGUACGUAUGUGAUGCAUGAAAUUACAGGUGCCAUGCAAGCGCCUGCAUGGUGCGCGCAUGAAUUCAUGCAGGACUUUAGUCCCGGUUGGAAAACCCAACCGGGACUAAAGGGGCACCCUUUACUCCACGUUGGUUUUACCAACCGGGAGUAAAGGGCCCUGUCCCAGCCUGGUGUGGCAGGCCUUUUAGUCCCGGUUGGUUUUACCAACUAGGACAAAAGGAUGGCUUUACUCCCGGUUGAAAGACCCGCGACUAAAGAUCCCCCCUUUUGUCUCGAUUGGUUUAUCCCGGAUGGAUUUUCGGGAGAUUUGCUCUCUACCAACCAGGACUACUGCUCAGUUCUCUAGUAGUGGCAAGUCAAAUUAAUAUCUUGAUAUAUUUUAAUAUUUAUGAAAAAUAGGGCAAAAAUAUGAUCAAAGAAUGGAUGCUAGGAGUUUCCUUCAUGAAAGAUCCCUAGUGCGUUUCCUUGGUUGACCAGGGACUCUGACUUCUCGUCUUUUGGAUCCUCAGUUUCUUAUCGGAGCCUACCCAGGCUAACGUUCCCACAUGUUAGGUCUUCUGGAUAACUAGGCCUCCAACUUCUGACCUUCUGUAUCCUCAAUUGGGCGUAUCCUCGGCUCAAACAAGCAUACAAACAUGCAAAACAAUUCUAACAAUCAAUUUACAGCUAAGGGAUUCGAAAGAAAAUGGAUGAAUGGUGUUUUGAGAAUUAUCGGAUAUCUAAAGGAUAAUCCCGGAUAAAAGAUGAAUGAUUUAUUAAUUAUUUAGAAAUAUGCUUCUAAAGAAUUAAUGGAUUGGGUGACUGGAUUCUAAAAGAAUUCUAGGAAUUUACUAAUUGAUGUCCUAGGGAUAUCUAGGGUUUUGGUCAGGCAGCACAAUGGCUAGGUUUUAUCCACAACUAAGGUUUUGAUUUGCUAAGGAUGAUUUGAAGGGUGGAAUUGACGGAAAGGAGGAGGGGCUCGGGUUUGGGUGGCUUUCGAACUCGGGAGCCCGGUUGAUUAGCCCCAACAUUGGGUUCGCUCUAUGGAUUGUCAUGGGAUUGGGUUUGCCAAGAGCGAUCGGCUGGGUGCCGGUUCAACACUAGGUUGUUUCUUCGAUAGUAGGUUUGCGAAGAGCGACCGGCUGGGUGUCGCUAAAUUGCUAGGUUUUAAGGCUUGAGAGUUUGCGCGAAAAGGUUUGGAUGACUCUAAAAUAUUUUUAGGAUUUUUCCUAGGGUUUUUGGAAUUGAAAUAAAAAGAAAAGCAAUUAUUGGUGUAUACAUAGGGUUUUAUAUUAUGUGAGGGCGAGAUAUUUUGGAAGAGGGGUCAUAUGAGAUGAACAAUGGAAAAGGAAGGCAUGGAUAGGUUUAGGAUAUUCUGUAGUAUUUUUGGAUAAUUUUGGGGAAUUUUGGAGUAAGGGAGGGGCUCGAAGUGAAAGCUUGUGUGCACUUACUUGGUGCACCUAGCGUUUAUGCAGGGGCUGCUAGGGGUGGGGGUGGGGUCUGCCCGGUGCACUGUGCUGUGCACCGGCGCUGUGGGCCGGUGGACCAGGCGCAGUCUAAGCCUGCGGUCCAGUGGACCACGUCCACGCGAGCAAGAAACGAUUGGGCCCACUUGUCGGGUUGAGUUGAAGAGAGAAAGGGUAACAGGGUGGGAUAGAGGGGAAUGGCGGUGGCCGAUCAUGCGCUAUGGUCGGGCAACACCGCCGCGUUGCCAUGGCCCAUGGGCGCCGCCGUCAGCUUGAGGUACGAACUGUCAGCUUUUAUUGCAUUUUGUUCUUUGUUAUCAUACAACCGAUUAGAUCUAUCCCAAGUGUUGCUUCUCUAGCGUUGUUUAGUUUGCUCUAGUACCUUUUCUUUAUAAUCGCUACACGGUAUCGACUGUUUUAUAGCUGGUCACCUCUACAGUAAAUCGGCCGAUUCGUCGAUACGCUUUUAAAGACAAAUCGGAAAUUUAGCUGAUCAGAGCCCCCUGGAAUUUAAUAUUUUUGUUGCCUUGUCAAUCAACACAUCAGAUUGACUGGCACGCCGCGCGAACCACACCAGGGCGACAACCCAAACAGGAGUUAAGCAGAUUCUCCCAGGUCGUGUGUCCGACGCUGAGGAUCAUCGGCCGAUUUUCAACGCCAACAGAAGCUUAGCUUGACCAGUCUCGCUGAUCUUCCCAAGGGUUCACCAGUACUGACGGGCAUUUUCUCUAUCUAGAACCAGCUUGUGGUUAUAUUAUUCGAUUCUCGUGCAUCGCAUAGUUUUAUUGGAACAAGAUUCAAUGGUAAAUGUGGACCAAAAUUUUGUCACACCAAAGGGUCUUACAUGAUUUCAAUACCUAGUGGUAAGAUUGCUUCAAACCAAAUAACAUGUGGUGUGCACUCAAGAUGGGUGGAAAGGUUUUCCAAACCGACUUUAUUAUUUUGGGACUGGAAGGCAUCAAUAUUAUUUUGGGAAGGAAUUGGAUGACUCACCAUAAGGUCAUAAUAGACAUUGCAGCACGGGCUGUCGAGAUAAAUUCACCUACACAUGGAAUUUCCAAACUUUACUUGCCAACUUGGGAGUGUAUAAAUUCAUGCGCUUAUCUUGCAAUAGAGUCCCGACUGGAGGAUAUUCCCAUGGUAUGCGAGUAUGCAGAUGUUUUUCUGGAUGACUUGCCAGGAAUGCCACUGGAUCAGGAUAUUGAAUUUGCCAUUGAGCUGCAACUAGGAACGGCACCGAUAAUGAAGAAGCCUUAUCGAAUGCCACCUGUGGAGUUGGUAGAGAUGAAAACCCAGCUUCAAGAGCUAUUAGAGAAGCGUUUCAUUCGCCCAAGCACAUCACCUUGGGGCUGCCCAGCUCUCUUUGUGAAGAAGAAGGACGAUAGUCUGCGGAUGUGCGUGGAUUACCGACCUCUCAAUGCGGUGACCAUCAAGAAUAAGUAUCCCUUGCCCCGCAUUGACGUUCUUUUUGAUCAAUGUGGCGGAACCACCCUAAUUAACUUAGCUAAAGCACAAUUAAGUUGCCUGACAUGCGCUCUUGUCCUUUAAUCAAGUUAACUCGGCAGUCUGUCGGAUUUCAUCUGAUAAAACCACUAAUCAGGACUGAGAAAAACAGAGCUCACACGAAGGUGAGUGAUUCCAGAGAAUACAACAGAUCAUCCAACUUAAACAAGUACAUCAAUUUUAUUACAACACUAGUUCGAAAAUCAAAGUUUUACAGAGUUCAUAACCAGCAGAAAAGAUAAACCAGCGGAAGCUAGCGCCGGGGUUGGAUAUCAUGAAUGAGGCCGAUCCUGACAUCACUGGUCCCUAUCCUUGCCGUCCGAGGAGGGAUCCCACUCGACCGUCCACCCAGGCCAAGUGCCAAAAGCAGAAAACUCAGGAGUUUCAACACUACCUGAAAGAUGUGCCACAGGCAAGGCUGAGCAACUAUGCUCAACAAGACUUAACCGACAGGGCUGAGCAACUAUGCUCAAUAAGACUUAACCGACCUGUUGGGAUACGAGGUAGGCUACGCUAGCGCAAAUCAAAAUUUUCUACCCCGUAAACCAGAAAAACUGCCGUAUAUGGAUCACAGGAUUACCACUCGACGCACUGGUGCGGAAGAUAUAGAUUCGCGUCGAUGGAGCGAAGUCGAUCAGCGUAGUCGAACACGUAGUCGAUCAUGUUGACGUCCAGCAGCUCGUCCCCGUACAGCGAGAUCGUCCUCGUGCCACGGCUCGUCGGCGGCUCGUCCAAGUGCUGCACGUGCAACACCUCCAAGGUAUCCACACGUGCAGGGAGGAAGCAUCGCAAGCCGGAGUGCUAGGUCCUUGAGUUGCAACAGGCAAGGGUGUGGGAGGCACGGCAGAUGUGAUUGACCAUGCCUCAUAGCAUGCUUCUUGACAAACCCGAAAGCUACCUUUUUAACUACCCUGUCACGGUGUAGCGUUUGAUAGCCCCUAAGUAAGUCGAUCCACAUCUUGAGUACAUGCGACAAUCUUAGGUCCAAGGACGAAGCGUACAUGUUGUGUAAAGAGAGAACUACUUCUCGUGUUGGGUCAGUCCUAGCACAUGUCUCCACAUGUGCCCACAUUAUUAGUUUAACAUCUCCAUGUCCAUGACUCGUGAAACAUAGUCAUCAACUAAUAUAUGUGCUAGUCUAAUAUUCAUGUGUGUCCUCACAUGAACUCUGACUAGGGACAAUUUUAGAAUAACCAUACAAGUAAAGAGUUUCACAUACAAUUCACAUAAUUGCAAAUCAAUUCAAGUAGCCUUUAAUGGAUAUUCAAGGAACACAAUAUAAAUCAUGGAUACAAAUGGAAUAUCAUCAUCUCUAUGAUUGCCUCUAGGGCAUACCUCCAACACGACCGAUGGGACCUACUCCACCAACCUCUAGACAUUCAAGGCUUUUUGGCUGAGGGGUUUGUUUUGCCAAAAGCGACUACAACAGGUCCUUACUUUCAACAUUUUAGCUUCCAGUUCUAGAUUCAUUUACCAAACUAAGUUAGCAGCUAUACUAAACAAGCAAAAGUUCCCAAGCAAUUUAUGACAAGAAAGAUAUUACAUCAUCAUCAAGUUCCAUUCUCACUCAGUGCAUCAUAGCGAUCAAGCAGUCCCAAACUAUGAGAGGCAGAUGAAUCGAUUCAAAUUUCUUAACCAUGCAUGGCGAACCUAAUCUCACAACAUUCACGCACCACGAAGAUCACUUCCCAUGUCGGUCAUCCCCAUCAAUUCCCAGGCGCGCGUCAGGUCCAAACUUCCCUUGGCAUGUAAUGCUCCACAGUCCCAGCCUCUUGCCGUACUGUGACUGCACCUGUACCCACAUGAUGCAGCGUGGGAACCUUGUUCCAGGGACAGAAGGGGUAUAAGCCACACCCUAGUUCAAUCAGGUACUAGGCUUCCCCAUCCCAUACUAGGUAUGAGAUUAGUACUUUCAAACACUUGAUCACGAACACCAACACUUUCCGACCUUAAGCCAAUUUCAUGUAGACAGACGAGGCAAUCCAUCGACCACCAAAAUAGUUCACGGAGCCCUGCCCCAUCCAUCGUCCUUAUAGUUGUAACAAAAGGAGAACAAGCAACUCCUACAACUCGCGAGUGACAGGGAAUCACUCAACUUUUACCGCGUCCUGUUUAAGCAUUGCAGCUACUCGGCCUAUCAUACUAGUGUUCAGGUCAAAGGGAACUAAGUCAUGCAUCUACGGUUCCAAACAACUCCUGAACGUAAAUGCACAUCUAUACAAUAGAAGGCAGGCGCAAGUUUAGAGAGACUGGGUUAUGCUCUGGGGCUUGCCUUCGAGCGGGGUGGAAGCGAACUGAUCUUCGGUGCUCUCAGCUUCAGCUCCUGCAGGUAGCAGCUCGGCUACAACUCCAUCUUCUGGCACCAGGUGCAGCUCAUACGUGCCGUCAGCGAGGUUUAGCUCUACACGGAAUGCAAAUGCAAGGGUCAAACACCUAGACGGUUAUUUCAACAACACUUGCAAGAUUUAGCCCAGAAAUUGUAGCAAAACUACAGGAAAGGUGUGAAACCCAUUUUAUUGGAUUCUACUCAAAAAGAGGAUUCCAACCUAAGGAAUAACUGUACCGAGGUCCUCAGACUUAACACAGAGAAGUCCCCAAAAUUUUACACAAAUACCCUCGGUCAAAAGAAAAGGAUACAGCCGAGCCCUCGGGCGAGGCGGACAGGGGUCAGGCGAAACAGACAGGGUCGGGUGAAAUGGACAGGGGUCAGCAGCUUACUUUUGGGUCCUGCUGACAAGGUCUUGGGGUCGAAAAGAAGCAAGCUCAGGCGGAACGACGAAAGGCGUUUAAGGUUCGGGCGGCGGCGAGGUUCAGCAGUGCUGCAACAGCGGUGGUGCUUCUUGCAAACAACAAGCAAGCUCUAGCGCUGCGUGGAAGAAGGUGAAGCGGCUGGCGGGGUUGGCAAGGCGUGGUGUUGGGCGAAAGGGGGAACUCCUCAGAGAGCUCAGGUGGUGGCGCAUGAUCUCAAAACAAAGGAGUGUGCGGUGAUGAGGGCGAAGGAGAUGAAACCACGCAGUCCAUGUGGCAAGGGCAAAGAUAGCGAAGGGAACUCCGGUAAGAGGCUCUGGUACCCCUUUUAUAGCUGCGCGGAAGUGAACGAGCUCGAGCGGUGCGAGGAUAAGAUUGAGGGAAAAGGAGUGCUCUACCUCGGCGGCGAUUGGUGGGGGUCUCCAUUGGCCGGCAAGGUGGAGCUCCGGGGAUAGGAUCUUACGGCAUUGGGCAAGGAAGACAGCGCUAGGCAAGUGCGAUUUUGCUAGGCAGAAGGAUUGGCGAGGUUGAGCACGUGCCUGGUCGCGUCAAGCGCCGGAUUGGUUGCGGCGACUCGGUAUCGGCAGAUAGGAGGGAGAGAGGUGCAUUGUAGGUGAGGGCGCUGCAGGCGAGGUGACAGGACGAGCUAUGCUACACGAGCAUACACGGACUAGCGGCUCUGCCGCGGCACACGACUGGCAAGGUGGGGGGAAAAGGAGUUGUCACUGCCUGCGCAGUGGUUAGCGAAGGCGAUAUCAUCACGGGGUGCAUGCGUGAGCACUGCGACUGAGGUAUGACGGAAGGGCCGAAAGGCGUUGGGGCGAGCGGCUGGGGAUCCGGGUGAGAUGAUGCGCAUGGGAGGCGAGGCGGUACUGGCGCGACAGCGGCCAAUCUUCGGUCGCAGCGGCGGCAGGGCGCCUGGUGCGGCCGGCGAGGUCUCGGGCAAGAUGAUACGGGGCGGAAAAGUCUGCAGGGCGCUUCUGCGCACGAUUGGGAAGAGGCGUGCUGAUCCAUCUUGUCGCGGCCGAUGACUAGGCAAGGUGGCGCUCGUCAGUGCGGUCAUGCCACGCGGCGGCGGGGCUCUGAAAUGGGGCGCACGCGUGCUCUGGCGCUGUUUGUCCAAUAGAUCUGUGGGAUCCUUUUCUGGGUCCACCUUCCAGCCUCUUGAUCUCCCGAUUUCCAAACUACACCACUUUGACUCCCAUAACAAGAGUUGUAGUACUCAGACCAAGGCCCAACUCUUGUAAUCGGACCGAGUUCAAAAAUGGAGUGGACUUGGGGAUCCAAAGCUCCAAAGUUUGGAGGAACACUGGUUUCGGAACUUAGAGUAUAACAGCGGUUUGCUGGGUUUUAGGGGUCGGGGCUGAUUUGAGCUGCAGAUUUGGGAGUGUUCGGAGGCGAAUUGGACCAAGGUCCAAUUAACAAAGUUAAAGCAGGGACUUCGUUCUUCUACUUCUAUAAAGAGUUUUCUUGACAUUCUGCUCAACUUUCCAAAGAUAAACCCUCCCUAAGGCGCUAGGUUGGGCUGAAAACAAGACUUAGCCGGUAUAGCUCAAGAGAGGCUGAGUCAACCGGAUUAGGGGACUUGUUUUAAGAUUAGACUUGGCUGAGUUAACCUAGGUCGUUACAAUCAACUUGCCGGAGCCAGAGUGUUCUCUAAGAUCAAUUUCCGCUCUGAUUAUCAUCAAAUCAUGAUCCGGUCGUGUGACAUCCCUAAGACCGCUUUCUUCACGCGGCAUGGACUAUAUGUGUUCCUAGUCAUGUGCUUUAGGCUCACAAAUGCCCCAGCCUACUUCAUGUAUCUCAUGAAUUCGGUAUUCAUGCCCGAGCUUGACAAGUUCGUCAUGGUCUUCAUCGACGAUAUCCUCAUGUACUCCAAGAAUGAAGAAGAGCAUGUUGAACACCUCCGCAUUGUUCUUCAACGUCUUAGAGAUCAUUAGCUAUAUGCCAAGUUCAAGUGCGAAUUCUAGCUAGAUAGUGUGAAAUUCUUGGGGCACACUAUAUCCAGCAAAGGCAUAGCAGUUUAUCCAAGAAAGGUCCAAGAAGUGAUGGACUGGAAGCCACCCACUUCAGUUCAUCAAAUCAGAAGAUUUCUUGAUCUAGCGGGCUAUUACCGGCAUUUCAUUCCAGACUUCUCCAAGAUAGCCAAGCCAAUGACCGAGUUGCUAAAGAAAGGGGUCAAGUACGUAUGGAGCAAAAAGUAUGAAGAAGCUUUCCACACUUUGUGAAAGUUAUUGACCUCGACACCAGUCUUAGCCCAACCAGACAACACCAAGCCAUUUGACAUCUAUUGUGAUGCUUUUGGCACUAGUUUCGGAUGUGUUCUUAUGCAAGACAAUUGGGUCAUUGCCUAUGCUUCACAAUCACUACGGCCUCAUGAGCAGAAUUACCCGACACAUGAUUUUGAACUGGCAGCGGUGAUUCAUGCUCUGAAGAUAUGGAGACAUUAUUUGAUGGAUUCUUAUUUCAAUAUCUACACCGAUCAUAAAAGUCUCAAAUACAUCUUCACUCAAGCUGAUUUGAACAUGCGUCAAAAAAGAUGGUUGGAAUUGAUCAAGGACUAUGAUCUAGAGGUGAACUACCACCUCGGAAAAGCAAAUGUGGUUGUAGAUGCUCUUAGCCGCAAGGCCUAUUGUAAUUGCAUUUCUGCCGAGAACUACCUAGAAACCUUGUGCCAUGAGAUGAGGAAGCUAAAUUUGGAGAUUAUUCCUCAUGGCACACUAAGCCACAUCUCGAUUGAGCCCACCUUACAUGAUCAGAUAAUCUUGGCACAGCUAGAGGAUGUAGAGGUAAAACUCAUCAAGAAAAAGCUUGCACAAAAGGAUGAAGGAUAUAAGCAUUUCCGAUAGGACUGGAAAGGAGUUAUAUGGUACCAUCACCAACUAGUUGUUCCAGUCAGUCCCAAUCUCUGGAAGCAAAUUUUGGAUGAGGCACACCUCUCUAAAUUCUCUAUUCACCCCGGUAGCACCAAAAUGUACCAAGACCUCCGACAAAAUUUUUGGUGGACAGGGAUGAAAUCGGAGAUUGCUAGGUAUGUGUCGGAAUGCGACACGUGCCAAAGAGUGAAAGCAAGCCACUUGAAGGUAGCCGGUACUCUUCAACCGUUGCUUAUACACUCAUUGUAGGUUUGCCCAACACCUCACGAAAAAUUGAUUCCAUAUGGGUCAUAGUGGAUAGACUUACCAAGAUGGCACAUUUCCUUCCUGUCCAUACAACCUACUCAGCCUAGAAAUAUGCCGACUUAUAUUUGGACCACAUUGUUUCCUUGCAUGGUGUGCCAAGAUGAUCAUUUCUGAUAGAGGUGCUCAAUUUGUAGCACGCUUCUGGGAGCAGUUGCAAGCUUCUCUUGGCACUAAGUUAAUCCACAGCUCAACUAAUCACCCUCAGACAGAUGGGGAAAUAGAGAGCGUAAACCAAAUCCUGGAAUACAUGUUGCGAGCGUGUGUCAUUCAUUAUGACAAGAACUAGGACAAAUGCUUACCAUUAAUGGAGUUUUCAUAUAACAACAGCUACCAAGUUAGCUUGAAGAUGGCACCAUUUGAGGCCUUGUAUGGUCGCAAGUGUCGAACUUCGUUAAGUUGGUCCUAGGUGGGAGAACGAAUAGUGUAUGGACCAGAUUUAGUAAUUGAGGCAGAACAAAAGGUGAGGAUCAUAAGAGAAAACCUUAAAGCCACCCAGUCAAGGCAAAAGAGCUACUUUGACAAGGGGAGGAAACCACUGCAGUUCGAAGUUGGUGACCAUGUAUACCUUUGGGUUUCACCAACCAAGGGUGUGCAUAGGUUCGGAGUAAAGGGAAAGUUAGCUCCUCGAUAUAUUGGUCCCUAUGAAAUCACGGAAAUUUGUUGACCCGUUGCCUAUCGAGUGAAACUUCCACCCAGACUCUUUGCUAUCCACAAUAUCUUCCAUGUAGCUCAACUCAAGAAAUGUGUUCGAGUUCCAACCGAGAUUAUCGAACAAGAGGAAGCAUGGUUAGAACCGGAUCUAUCUUAUGUUGAGUUGCCCAUCAAGAUUCUUGAUCGUAAGGAGAGGAAGACGCGGAGACAAGUGGUGAGAAUGUUAAGAUUCAGUGGAGCCAUCAUACGGAAGAGGAAGGUACUUGGGAAAUAGAGGAGUAUCUCAACAAGAAUUUCCACGAAUUUCUUUUCAACCAAGGAUGUUCGUGCACAGCAACACUAGUUUUACAUCACCCGAAUCUCGGGAUGAGAUUCUUUUUAAGGGGGGUAGGCUGUGACAUCCCUAGUAAUUAGAUUGAGUUUAAAUCAAAGCAAAAUCAAAAUGGUUAAGUGUUAAACACCUUUCACUAAAGCACUUGGAAAGCAAGUAAAACCAAAUUUUAUAUAUGAACCCAAAUUUUAGCCAAAAUAAAAGUGGUAGAUCUUUUCAAAUGAAGCAACUUUCAAUAUUAGCACUUCUUCGGAUUUUGAGGAGAAGAUGUUCAAAAAUUGAGUAGAAGUUAUGCAUUGUUAAAUUCACAUAAUUGUUAUUUAUUGUUAAAAAUUCAAAAUUAUGAAAAAAAAACUCCUAAUUUUUGCUUUACAACUAUGCUAUGCCUCCUAUUAUUUUAUUUAAACACUAGAUACAAUUUACUGAUUUUACAAUAUUUUUACCAAAUUUUUCAGAAAUAUUUGCUUGUGCCAAAAAUUAUUUAAAGUUCAAUUUUGGCUGUUUUGUUUUGUCAAUUGCGUGAAAACCAUAGCCGCUCUUGCAGUGAUUCUUGUGGCAUUAGAUUUUUCAUGAUUUUAUCGUUCCAACGAGUAUUUUUGGGCAAUUUUUUGACAAGUUUAGCUAUGUCUUUUAAAUUGAGAAAUUUGGCACGUUUUAUAUUCUCACGGGCCUACCUAUCAGCCGGUCAUCUCCUUCCUCUUGCCAUCUGCACGCACAUCGUUGGGUGUAGGCCCCAAAGAUCGCCAGUUGGGCAAGCCUUGGCAUGCUAGCAGUGCUCUCCUCUGCCGGUUGGCCAUCACGACGUUGCCCAUUUGAAGCUCUGUUCAUCCCACGCCCCUCCUCACCCUCCAUUGGAUAGCACCUCAGCCGCACAGCAUGGCAGCUAGGUGGCCAUCGAACUCCGGCGAUGCCCCCUCGCCGCCAAUGGACAAGCAGCGAUGCCGUGGCGUCCUUAUCUUCAUGCCCGUCCUUAUCCUCACGGUGCUCCUCACCUAUAAAGCCAAGCACUGGCUUCUUCUGGAAGCAUUGCCCCUCCCAACCUCCAUUGCCAGCACCCCUAAGCUCCAAAUCCCUUUUUUUUGCCAGCGAAAUUCAUUGCUGCGAGCAAGCCUUGGCUCAAUUCCUCGCAGCUACACCUUCCCAUCGAUGUCGCGCAUCCGUUUUGCCGCCUCCAGGCCGUCCUCCCUUGCCGGGCAAGUCUCCCCAUGGGAGCCCCCUCGGCACAUCUUCUGGUUGCCGUGAAGCCCUUUGCUGUGCCGUCCCCUCCUCAUCGCAGCGCCGCUGGUGAGCAUCCCCUAGCCUAGGACACCGUUUCCCCACUGCUAUCCCUCCCCUAAACCACACCAUCCUAACCUCCCUGUCGUGGCUGGCCAAGAGCCCGUGCAAGUCUGUGCCGUGCUGCUUCUAAUUUGUGAUGCGCAGGGGUGUGUUUGGAGAAGAAGGGAAAAGGAGAAGGGGUUAUGGGAAAAAUCCAAGGACCUAUACGUGAGUUUUCAGUAGAUCUACGGGCUGUUUUGAAAGUUGGUCACGAUUUUCUUUUAUUUCCUAGAUUAAAUAGCUGCAAACUUUGAAAAGGUAUAGAAAAAUGUAGAAAAAAUGGGAAAAUAUGAAACUUGUUUUGUUGGAUUUUUUGUGAUGUCUAGUUUAUUUCAAAAAUGAUUUUUGUGCAUGUUACUAUUCUGCAGUAGGAUCUAUGAUUUAUUUUGUGUGGAAGCCAUUAAGUGCCUUAUAAAUAACAUAGUGCUCUAAAAAUUGUGAAGCCACUUUUGUUAGUUCACUUGUAGCAUGCAUGUUCAGAUUUGAAACUUGUACUACUAGUCUAGGUGAUGUUCAUGUUGUUUUAGAUUUAAAAUUCUUAAAUGCUUAGUUAUGUUGUUUAAAAUUCAGAAACAAGAUAACUUUCCAAAUGAAUGAUGAACAACACAAAAAUGACCACCACCUUUCUUUGAUGAAUUCUAAGUUAUUCAAACCUUAUAUGUGUACACAAUCACCAUCAAACAAAAGCCAUAUUUUCAUUCCAACCAAACUUGUUGUGUGAAGAAAAGAAAUGUUAAACUUGUCUAGGUGAAUGUGUUCGAAGUGCACCGUGAGAUUUUACAAUGUUUACGAAAUGCAACCUACAUUGUGAACGUUUAUAAAUGAAAUCUUAUGCAUAUGCAUCUAGUGUAGAAGCUAACCUCGCUGACGGAACGUACGAUCUCGGCCUGGAACGCGAAGAAGGACACCCUCUUGCUGAGCUGAAUGUGGUCGAGGCAACCCAAGGCCCGAACCAAAGUUCGGAAGAGCCCAAGGCUGAGUUAGGGCAAGAAGGCAAGCCUCGGAGCAUAACCCUGGUUUCUAAAAUUAUGCACUACUUAUGCUAGUUAUGUUUGUGCAUUAAGUUUAUAGGAGUUGCUUGAAACCUCAGUUGCAUGAUCCUAGGUAUCUAUGUGUUGAAUACUAAUAUGUUAAGUCGUGUAGUUGUUAUGCUAAAUAGGGACACGGUAAAAUUCGAGUAAUUUCCAGUCACUCGCGAGCUAUAGGAGUUGCCUAUUUACUUAUGUUGGAAUCAUAAGGAUUGACGAGCGGGGCUGAGCUAUAUGUUCUGGAUUGGUGGAUUGCCCUGUCUGUCUAGUGGAAAAAUAUGCUAAGGUCGAAUCGUGACGGUGUUCGUGGUCAAGUGUUUGAAUGUACUAAGCUCAUACCUAGUAUGGGAUGAGGAAGCCUAGUACCUGAUUGAACCGGUGUGGACCUUUCCCCCGUUCUCUCUGGAACUGGGUUCCCAUGUGGCCACAUUGGGUACAAGUGCAGUCACGGUACAGCGUCGUUCUGGGACCGGUGGGGCCUCGUAUCCAAGGGAAGUGGUAUCUGGAUAAACAUCGCGAAUUGAUGGGAACCGCUGAUAUAUGCGAACCUGGCACGACAGUAGCAUAUAUUGUGGGUUUGGGUCCACCUGGCAAGGUUAAGAAACUCGAUUCGAAUCGUCUGCCUCUCACAGUUUGAGACUGCUUGAUCACUAUGCUGCACUGAGUAAGAGGUGGAACAAAGGAUGAUGAAUGAUACUGAUGCUUGUUUAAUUUGCUUGUUCACCAUGCUUGCUUAGAAUAGGUGCUUACCUAGAAUGGAUAAUCAACUAGAACCUGAUGCUAAAACUUGAAAGUAAGGAUCCACAUUAGAAUGAGUUAGGGUUAAGGUGGACUAGUUCCAAAUGGUAGUACCUCAGCAAUCCCUGAAGAACUCGGAUGACGGCAACGCCAGCCCACGCUCGAUGAAGUGCGCGAAGAUUACUGUCUCAUCCGAGUAGCUCUCGAAAGGCCACGUAUUUCUGGCUGCUUCUCUCCAAUAUGUGAAUUCCUUCUCCUGGAGUAGAUUGGCAAGCACUAGUACCUAGAUCUUCCCGUACUUGGGCGCAGGCAGCUGGACCUCCUUCUCUUUCUUGGCGGCCUUGCGCUUCUUCGAUUCUGCCGCCUUGCUCGAGGAUGCCUUCUUGGGCACCAUUGCUCUAAUGGUCUUCUGGCGCAUCAGCUAGAUGGCUAUACAGUGGGGGGUAGCAGCGCUCAAGGACGGCAAGCGGUGGCACUAGGGUAACAGUGCUCGGGGAAUGCAUGUCGUGGCGCUAGGGUGACGGUGGAGAAGAUGAAUGGCUCGGGCGCACUAGUUUGGGUAAACAGAAGGGAUAAUAUUCCUCCGUCAUUUAUAAACACGGCACAAGGUAACUGAGCAGCGAAGAUUACAAGGAAUAUUCCAUUUUUUAAGCCAUCAGUUAUCAUCGGAACGGUUACCAAGUUUUUCAGAAGAGAUAAGUUUUCUGAAAGACGAACGGUCACAUUGGACCAGUGGUUGACCCUUAUACCCAAAAUAGUCGUAUAACGGCUCGGGGGCUGCAUGCCACGUGCCCGUUGGACAAAAAGUUUUUUCUUCGAGUUUUAAGGGGAAAAAAUGUGAAAUUACAAGAUUGACCCUUAACCUAAUUCUUCCAUUCAACCUAAGGCUUCAGGGCUACUCCAUAUGGAGUGCAUUUUUUUCAAAUCACGCUUCCAUAUAAGAUUGAAGAUUCAAGGCUAAGUUAAAUGAGGCUUGAGCAGCUUCUAGCCGCAUGGCAGUACUCGAGCACAUUCGAGGACUCAAUCCAACGGAGUGCUCAAAAGAAGCUAAAGUGCAUGCACAAGAAGUAAGAAUGCAGAAAGAAAUUAAUCAGUGAGUGGCCCAAACAGUUACUGAGAUGGCCCAAUCUGGAGCACUGCUGGAUCCCAACAUCGUCGUUAGGCCUUCUCAACGCCGAAGCAGUUGUGCUUCCACAGGGGUCCCCAAUGAGAACAUGCCAAGAUUACCCAUGGUUACGCAGGAGCACCAACGGUACCCUAUGGAUGACAUCACUCAGCGCACCCCAUGUGAGCUGUACAUACCAUUUGGCAACGUCACUAUUAAGGUAUACAUAUAUAUAAUUUAUGCAACUAUCUCAAUUGAUCCACGCCUCGGGAGUUUAGUAACUUCUUUAUUUCUCCUAUAUGUACAGGUGACGUACGGAAGUGCUUUACCAAUCCUGCCAGGAUAGAAAAGCCAUGGCAUGGAGAUUCCACCUGGCUACUCCAGCGUUGGCCUAGAGCAGAUUUGUGAUAGUCAAUAUGUUGGCCUAGAGCUUGACCUCCCGUGAGGCGAUGGGAAAAGGACACUAGGAGAUGCACUUCAUAGUCUCAUUCUAUGGCACAAACGCUACACCAUCAUCCCCGGUAAGGAGGCAUCAUUGCUUCCCAUAGAUCCCCCAUAGCCACCAUCUCCUCAGAACUCAAAACGGUCAUCUCCAGCACAUCCACCUCUAGGACCGUCGUCACCACCGAGACCGUCACAUCCUACUCGAUCACCGUCUCCAUCUCCAUCGAAUCCUGGUGGUGCGAGCGAGGACGACCAAAACACCCCUCCUCGAUCACUAUUGCCGGGACUAAACUCUAGUGCGACCAAGGAACCUGCAGCACCUCUCAAGAAGUCGCGACCACCGCCUUCCAAGCUAAGGCAGCCAAAGGCAAAAGAACCUGUUAAGAAAACAAAAAAGUCUGAACCCAUGAACAAUCUAGCAGGCGAUAUGACUUCUAAGGAAUUGCAGUAGGCAUCGCAAACACAGGUGAGGGAGUUCUUCCAAGCAUGCGCUGAACAAAGAAAAGUGAAGAUGAUGGAGCCAAAGCUAGUAUAUCUAGCAAAAUUAGAGUUUUUAUUGGCAUGAAAAAAGAAGUAAAGAAGACUUUACUAUCGAACUACAAUCGUUCGUUAGUUAAGUCUUAUCACAAGAAAAAAAAUAAGGAGAGUCAUCUUCCAGUCGUACUAUCCCCAGCUUAGGCAGCAAGCAGGUAAAGACGAUCAAGCUAUAACAGCUUUGCCCUAAGAACAAGAAUUCCAAGUCAUUACAUUUAUGGAAGAUACAGAUCUGUCACUUGCUGAAGUUCUAGGGCAAGCUGAAUCGCCAGCUCCAGAAAAGAUUGUACCUAAAUGGCCCUUUGAGGUAGGCAAGCCUCUAGUAAGGCCUGAAUUGGUACGGAAGCUCUCUACGAAGAUGUAUGAAUUCCAUCAAUAGUACAAGGAGUAGUCAGCCAAGGAAAGGAUCAUGUUCGCUCUUCGUGUUAAAUCGAUUGAUUUUUCAGUGAAGGUGAGAAACUCCUGUGGUUGCAAUUAAAGGAUAUAUAUGAAGUGUACCAUCAGGAUGCCCUUGACAUCUCUCUCAUCAGCGCUUGGGUUCUCUAAGUGUGUGGUUAUUAAGAUGUAAAUUUUGUCUCAGAUCAUUAUUUUGUGUGUAUGCGUCGCCCUACUAACUUUGUAUUUCAUUUUGUGUAGGAUGCUAAUUCAGAUGUGCUGUAGAGAAUCCUACUUCAACAUUGGCUUCAUGGAUCCAUCUCUCAUUAACCAAGAUCAGAUAUGAGAUCAACCAAAGCAUACAUUGGACGCAAUAUACACUUCCUUGAAGCAACAAAAUUACAAGCAAUACAUACUACUGUCAUACAACUUUAAGUAAGUGUGGGUACCGUCUAUUUUCGUUUUCCUUUUCCUUACCUAAUUAGUGUUAGUUAGUUCUAAUAUGAACAUUUAUGUACGCAGUUUCCACUGGAUUCUCCUUGUAAUUAACAUUGAUAAAAGUAACAUUAUUGUGUUCGAUUCAUUGAGAAAACCACCGGUGGAGUACAAAGACAUUCAAGACAUGCUAAACUUGUAAUAAUUCUAGACCUUUGUCUCUAUGCAAAAGUUUGUUUCCUAAAUUUUCACCUAACAUUGUAUCAUUCAUUAUUUUAAUAGCAGCAUCGAAACGAUUCCAUAAGACUCACCAUGGUAAAUUGAAAGAAAAACUUACACUCAAUACAACAUUCCCGGUACGUAUGAAGUUUGCACAUUUUGUACAUUCUAUAACACGAAUUUUUCAUAACUUGUUUUUUUCCUACUAAAGUGCUUGGGACAGCAACAAGGCAAUAAUUUAUGUGGAUACUACGUCUGUGAGCACAUGAAUAAUUUUGUGCGGAACAAGGUGAUAUCGGCUAUUAAUAAUUAAUUAUUUUCUAGCUCCUUAUAUUUAAUUGUUCGUGUAAUAUUCACAUAUUUUCAAAUUACAAAUAUUGCGGAUUAAAUAAGAACUCUUGGAGAAGGAGAUGCUUUUGACAAUCCAAGAAACUCUCGUAGGAUUUCUGGUGGACGAGGUGAUAAAUCCCGUAGGAGAAUUUUAUUACGACGGAGAUUCAGUAGCCGAACGGAGCAACACCACAACGGGAGGAUCCUAAGAAUGAAGACGGCAAAUUAUUAUAUAUAUAGUAAUUAUAUAAAUACUAGUUUGAUGUGUAUAAUAUACUAAGAAUUGUAUAUAUAUAGUACUAUCAUGAAAUAUAUAUACGACUUGCAUACAAUAUGAGCGUAUACGUGUAAGUAGUGUAUGCUAAGGAUGUAUAUGUAUAUAUAUGUGAAGCAACAAUUAGCAUUAAUAUGGAAAAGAUUUUUUAAAAUAAAGGUCUUUAAUCCUGAUUGGGAAUACCAACCAUGCGCAUGCACGUACCCCCUUUAGUCCCGGUCACUAAAACCAACCGGGACUAAAGGGGGUCUUUAGUCCCGGGUGAAUGGCCCGGGACUAAAGAGAGCCCCCUUUGUCCCGAAUAGAUAGUCCUGGUUGGAUUUUUGGGAUUUAUCACUCUGUCUAACUCGGACUAGGUGAGUUUUCCACCCAUGGUUCUUUCGAACUUUUUGUCUCUCAAAAUUAAUUUUUUGUGUAUUCUAAAUUUCUAAUUCCAAAAGUUAUGGUCUCUUCAUCUUUUUGGUUCUUGAGAAGAAGAUAAAGCUGAUUUUGGGAUGAAGAAUGUCAACUGAACGGAACGAUACUAAUAAAAGCGCACAAAGGCAACAAGAAUCCACAUCCGUGUCACCUGCAUACUAGCUAGCACUCGAAAAUCCAAAAGGAAAUUCGUGUGAAAAAGAAUAAAUCCAAAAGGAAGGCUAUAAGAUGCGCCACUCAUCCGUGGAACUAUACUUAAUUACCACUGGUGUUAGGUUUCAAUCAUGACAAUGAGUCAUACUCCCUCCAUCCCAAUUGUAGGUCGUUUAUAGAUUCAAACUUUUACUAUGUACCUAGACAUAAGAAUAUAUCUAGGUGCACAGUAGCAAAAUAUAAAAAUCUAGAAAUGUCAAAACGACUUAUAAUUUGGGACGGAGGGACGGAGAGAGGACGGAGGGACGGAGAGAGUAGCUUAUUACUUACCAUCAUUUUUGCCUAAUUAAAGCACUGGCACUUCCCUCGUUUUUUCAACCUCAAGAACAUUCAUCCCACUUGUUCAAUAAUGCGCACUAUAUAUACGUCCAUUUACAUGUUAACUUCACGCUAACUGAAGUGUUAAUUAUUCGCGAGAAAACGGCAUCCGUCCAUUGUCGGGGCAAAAGGUAGAGAGAAUGAUUCGAGUUUCCGUGUCGUGGGCGAGAAUAGAUGCACCUAAAGCUAGGCAUAGCCCUGGAAAAUCCAAUGAUAUAUCAGAUAUGAGAGCUGCUCUCGCUUUGUUAGGCUGACCUAUUGAUUUGUACUCCUAGCUAGCUACGUCCACAUCGAAUCCAUUGAACUGGGAAACGCCUGUCAGAUUAUCAGCAUGUGUUGUUUAUAUGUGGUGGCCUUUAUUCUGAUUCGGGUUGACCUGCCACACUAGUAACAUGUUUUGCGAAUUCUUGAUCAGCAUGUACAGCUGUGUUAACGCAAUUCUAAUUUACGGUCACCCGUAACUUCUCCUGCAUCCGGUCGAUCCGACAACAGUUGCCUCUCUUUUCCGUAUACAUACGCGUGCUGUUCAUUCUCGUUUUGGUAGGAAUGGGCACACCGCACAUGCAUUCCCGUCGCUUUCUGCGUGGAAAUACAGAAGUUUAUCGAGAGAUCCAACAAAAUUUUAGAAGAAAAAAAUUAUUUUAGUAAAAUUAUCAACAAACGGUCGUUUUGAAGAACAAUCUGACAAAUUAUUUAGUAAAAUUAUUUAAAAGACCAAUCUGACAAAAAAUUAUCAACAAACAGUCGUUGAAAAUUUUAGAAGCAAAAAAUUAAUAGAAUUUUUUUUUAAAUGUCCUAAGCAAAAAAUUUGAUAAAAAAAUUUUAGAAAGGAUUUUGAAACAAAUAAAAAAUUAUUCACAAAAUUUUGGAGAACAAAAUUUUUGAGGAAAAAACUGCCAAGCGGAUACGGCCUCUACGACCGCAUGGCCACCGCCUCUGGGUGGGAGGGUGCUGCUAGCAGCCGCUCGUGCGAGCCAGCCUCCGUCGCCGUUCCCGAGCGGGAGGGUGCCGCUCCUGGCUCGCUCGCACAGGCCCGCACCGCCGCUCCCAUGAGCUGCCCUUGCCUCAAGCCCACGGUUGCUAAGGGGGCUGCUCGUCUGCGUGUCGUGCCUCCCCCGUUGAGCCCGAGGGUGGUGCUCGCCGUGGCUGCCAUCGUUGCGCUUGCUGCUGGAGGGCGAGCCCAUUGCCACCUUGCGCGGAGCGGGAGCUCCACCAUCGCCUCAUGCAUCUCCGGCGUCCGGUGGAGACCUUCCCAGUGGACCGUCGAUUUGGAUUGAGGAGAGGAAAUAGAACAGCGAAACGAAAAUGAACAGGAAGAUGGAGAUAAGAUUGCGGGCCCCACCAUGUGCGUGCUGUUGGGAGUGGAGAGAGAUGGGAUUGACUGGGAGGGCGGAAGCUUACGGGCAACCGUUUAGCAUUGGGCCAUGCUAAACCUUUUCAUUCUCAAUAAAAAGUUAUCCUUAGUAUAGAUUGUUGGUGUUUUAGAUCGGCAACACGUCUAGGGAGUACCCAAGGUGGUAUUUUGUGCGGUAGGUGUCAUCGAGAAUCAAGGAAUCGAUGGUAACGCAAGGAACACAAUUUAGAGAGGUUCGGGCCGCUAGAUUGCGUAAUACCCUAUGUCCUGUGUGUUAGUUGUAUUGAUCUUGUUCUUCGUCGUCUAGAGAGGGUCCCUGCCCAGGCGCAAGAGUCCUAGUCGAGUACAUUAUAGAGUCCUACUCUAACUCGGUAGAGUAGUUUCCUUUGGAUCCGACUAGUCUUCGGGAAGUUUAUGAAGCCUACGCGCCCUGUAGAGUAGUCUUCAUAUCUGAGUAGGUUUCGGGUACGUUCCCUUGAGUGGGUUCGUACAAGUCUUCUUGUGGCCUUGGGGGUGCCUAGCCGACAAGCCCCUGAGUACUUUGUAGUCGAGAGGAACAGCUCCGAGUGCUUGAAGAUGUCGCCCGAGUUCCUCCUGGUGCUCCUCGAGUACUUCUCGAUGCGGCAAACCUUCGAGUACCGGAGUUGUCACGUGACUGGAAGGUACUCUUAGUAGUUCCCAAUGUUUGCUUCGAGUAGUCUAUCUUGAAAUUCUUUAUAUGGUAGUGCGAUGACAAUCGCACUCCAUAUGGAGUAGCCCUCGAGCCUUAGGUUGAAUCAAAGAAUUAGGCUGAGGGUCAAACUUGUAAUUUUGCUUCAACUUAGUCUUCAGAAAAAGGAAUCUUUAUCCAAUGGGUACGGUAUACGUAGACCCCGAGCACUUUGGCGACUACUUUUAGUUGGUGAAGGGAUCAAUGUCUUAGUCAGAGUAACCAUUGGACACUAGAUGGUGGUGAAUAUGAGUCGUAUUUGACCGUUGCUUGAAUAACGGGUGGAAUCUAGAAAUGUUGUUGUUAAAAUAGGAGGGCCCAGUGCUAAUUAUUAGCACACCUGUAGCAGAUCUGCAAUUUGCGCCCUUUUUGGAACCCUAGCAUCGCUGCUCCUGUUUGUGUCGCCGCUGUCGUUGUUGCUUUGCCCAAUCUUUUGAAGAGAAAUUGCUGCGGCCUUUUUCUCCCCCUUUUUUUUCCUCAAUAUAGUUGAUGCGUACCAAGAAGAUGGGCAAGAAACCUGAGAAGAUCUAGGGGGAGGCCGCGACCACCGGCAAGUUGAUAUCCAGAUCCAAGAAAGGUAAAGAGCUCGAGUUGCCGACGCCCAAGUGCAGCCCGACAAACCAGACUGCGCCGCCACCUCCUGGGGUCACCUGGCAGCACUCUGUGAUGAAGGAGCCGGCGGUUCAGGCCUUGGUUGAUGCAAAGAUUCUCCAACCAAAGGUGGAGCUUGAGUGGAGGCCCGCAUAUGGAAAUACAUGGCAAUUCGAAGAACACCCCAAGGAGACAGUGAUGCUAGCUCACUUUGUUAAGAGAGGCCUGGCGAUUCCUACCUCUGACUUCUUCAGAGGUAUUCUUGAGUAUUAUAAUCUUUAGCUAGUCCAUUUGAAUACGAAUGGUGUGUUGCAUAUGGCUAUCUUUGUACACUUGUGCGAAGUGUACUUGGGUGUUUUGCCUAGUCUGGAUUUGUUUAGGAAAUUGUUUCAGUGUAAACCACAACCCAACACAACUAGGACAGAAGUCUUUGGAGGAGCUGGGUUUCAGUUGAGAAACUCGGGUGCAUAUCUCGAGUAUGAUCUUCCUGAUUCCCAUGGUGAUUGGAAGAAGAGGUUGUUUUAUAUUGGCAACCAUGAUCCUGUCUUGCCAGUAGUCACCAGCCAUGCUCUAAAACAUGCGGAUAACUGGAUGAAUGAGCCUGAGGAUACCAAUGAGAUCACCAACUUGUUGAGGCAGAUUACCGAGUUGAAAAUUUUGGAAUUGACUGGGAUCAAUGUAGCCACCAGUUUCCUCAAGCACAGAGUUCAGCCCCUACAACAGUGUGCUCAUUGGGGCUUCGAGUAUACAGGUUUUGAUGACCCAUCGCGUAUGUCCCCUGAAGAUGUAUCCGACGAUGAUGUGGAGGUGUUGUUGGGUAAGUUCUUCAAGAACUAUCGAGGAGUGCCAGUACUCCUAGGAGUCCUCCGACAGUUCGACGGUUGGUAUGGACGAAUAGAUGUAUUUUUGCUUCUCUUUGUUCAUUUGUGUAGUUAGCUGAUUGACAGGUAGUACUUUCUGAGUAACAAUGUUGUCUUGUGGUUUGUAGUCUCGGGUGCUGGCUGGUUUCUUGACCACGCCUUCCGAGGAUAAGGAGGUAGCCGAGGGUGAGGCUGAAGAUGCGCCUUCUGCUCCUCCGGCUAAGAAACGCUGAGUAGUGCAGAAGAAACCCGCUACUCAGCAUGAUGCAACUACCUCGGACUUGACUCUCGAUGAGUCGUGAGGUACCAAGGUACGUAGUCGUGUGUUGUAAUUGUUUGAGUAUUUUGAGUUUCUUGUUGACUUAGUCGUAUUGCUUGCAGAAUACUGAUGAUGUUAGUCUGUAUGUUGAAAAGGCCACCAACUUAACUUUUGGUGAUGACGAGGCUACUUCUGCUGAAGUAAUCACGACUACCAAAGAUGCGGCUGCGAGUGUCGUGGCCGUUGAAGAGCUGCUUGUGGAGGAGGCGCCGUCAAACUUAGGGUCAACAGCCCCCGAGCAGGUAGUCCCCGAGUAGGUAGCCCCCAAGCAGGCUAUUAACCCAUCAGGUGAUGAGGCCACAACUUCUGAGGUGGCGGAUGCUGUGAAGACACCGGAAGUGGCUGCUGGCGCCUCAAUGCCUGAGGAUAUUACCGGUGGUGAGUAUGCGGUAUGUUCUGGUAGUCGUGCGUCCGUAAUCCCAACCUUGAUUCUUUCAGGACUUGGCGAGAAUGUGGAGGACUUUCCUCCCAUGGCCCCUGUGGAGCCAGUACCAAGUAACCAGCCAGUGGUAGUCGAAAAGAGGCGUGUUCGUCUGCCACCGCGAUCAGCCCGGUAAGGACUUGUGUAGUCUUUUCUUUUGAUGAUUUUUGUACUCUGUAGCUGGAUGAUAAUCAUGUGACUUGAUCGAUCUAGGGAUGCAGAAGAUAUUAUUCCCGUCGAGGUGGGGCUAGAGGUUGAGGCUGGUCCGUCGACUACCAUUUCUGGGCCCAUAGUCGACUUGACUAUGGAGGGUGAUGCACCUGAGAUCGAAGACGCAAGUCUCUUGGGUGCUACCAUGAAUAUGCUGCAGGAGGUCAUCCACUCAGUGGAGGGCCCUACAGUCCCCGAGAGUUCUGGAGGUGUGCUGCCUACGACAGCUGAAGUUGCAUCAAGUUGCCAAGAGCACUGGGGUCAGGUACUCGAGCUGCCACCAGAGUCGGAGAUCAAGAGAGCUAUCCAGAGCUUUCAGGUGUGUAUAACCCAUUUUCUUUGACUAAUUAUAUUUUGACAAGCCUUGAUGAUUGUGUUGUGUUGUUGUAGGAUCUGUAUGACAAGGCCUAGAAAAAUACUCGGGCUCUUCAGAAGCAUAGUGGAGCCGCACAACGGGUAGCGCAACUGGAGCAAGAGUGUCGCCGUCUUAUAGAUUCCUUGAAAGUUCAUGAGGAGGCCGCUAAAUCUUUUGCAAUUGAAAGGAAUGAUCAUGAAGUCCUUCAGGAGCGGUUGGAGAAUCACUAUAGAUCUUUGAACCAGAGAUAUCACGGUGAGUACUCAUAGUUGUUGAGUAUGUUCAAUCGUAGUCGUGGAUUCUUCUCUGAUUUGUGUGUUGCUUGACGUAGAGCUCAAAGGCAAGGAGGCCGCUGCGAGUAUCCAACUACUUGACUAGAGGAAUGCUCAUGACCGGGUAGCCGAUGAGGCUGUCCGCCUUAGGGCAUCACUGGCUGAAACUCAGGCAGCCUAUGAUCGCGAGAGGGGUAGAAAGGAUCGGAUGGGAGUGAUGCUGGUGUUGGCUAUGGUGUCCUGUAGAGGUCAUGCUAGAACUGUGGAGAGGCUAGAAAGUGAUCUCCAAGAGUUGACUAGUGCUGCUCACGACACAAUCAACGCCAUUGCUCCACCCGAAGAUGAUGUUGAGCCUCACUCUCUAGUCGAGAGACUAAGAGCUGCCCCGGGUGGAGUUGCUGGACCGUGUAAGAUUGUCUGCAAGCAAGUCCUUGUAGUGGUCAAGUCGUAUUACCCGAGCACAAACUUGUCAGCGGCUGGAUACGGAAUUGCCCGAAACUGCACAGAGGAUGCCUAUGUGAAAUAUCUUGAGUAGGCUGAGCCCAUUCCAGCAAGGAUGAUCGAGUUCAUAUCUUUGGAAGAAACCUAGUCAUUUGGACUCGUGUUGUAUUUUUUGCCGAACACUUGUGGCUAUACUCGAACUCAGUCAUGUAAAUCUUGCUUUGAGAAAUUUAAAUUAUGAUAUGAUGAUCUAUGUUGCUUGACCUCGUAGUCAGGAAAACAAAUCCGAGUAACCAAGUAGUCGUAGUAUCCGGUGUGGUCUUCAAUUAUUUGAGUUGUUGGUGAGAGUACUGUAGCAAUUAUUGCUUUGUACUUGAGAGGGUGCAUGGGUACGCUAUUCACCUUUGUCUGUUAUGCUCAGUGUGGUCACAUGCGUGGAGUUAAGCUGUCUGUCUAACCCUUGUCUGUGUCUCGUGCUCAAGCGGGCAGUAAUUGCGAGUAGUUGGUAGUUGCAGCCCUUCGGCUAUAAAUGAGCCCCUGGGUACUCGACCAAGGUCAUGCCCUUCAGUAUAGCGAUGGCUUGCUUCAGGUUACUGUUGUUUGAUAGUAGAGAGCUUCCAAUGAGCACCUCGGUGCUAAAAGAUUCCUCGUAGAUUAGAGCCACCUUCCCUCCAUAGACUCUGACGCUCAUAGGGAUAACCGUGAUGCUAGAAGAAUCCUCGAAGGAGGGUUUGCAGCGUGCCUCAUCUAGUAACUCGCGAUCUAGUUCAGUCCACGCUGGAACUUGUGGGUGAAGGAUCAUGAGCUCCGCGAUCUUUAUCCAACUCCCUGAUUAGAGGUGGAGGUGUGGCGUGUGGUAAGGACCUGUGCGCUAAAACUGUCUAGGGAGCAGCUUCGGGGAGUGUACUUCAUCUUCCUGGUGCUUUUCUUCUUGAUCCUGCGUCGGCUAUUCAUCCUGUCACCGUCGAGGGAGCGGCGGUGAAGGAGUACCUAGCUUCCGGUUGUCACAGGGAGGGAUCAUGGUACAACUACCUAUUGCGCAGCUUCCUUGUGUGCAGGUCCUGCCUUUUGACACUGCUUGCACCUUGGUAGUCGGGUAGUUGCCAAGCUCGUGUAUCCUUGUGAUAUAGUAAAAGUCUGGGACUUCUGUUCUAACUGCCAGUAGUUGCUUGUAGUCGUUGUUGUGCUAUUGUGUUAUAUUUUGUAUACCCUAACUUCAUUGCGUAGUUGAUUGUAAUCCUGCGGAGUUUCGUUAAUGCAAAAAAUGCAAAUAUGAAGUGAGUUUGAGUACUCCUUGACUGAUGGUUGCGGCAGUCUUGUGCCUUUUGAAGAAUGAAUGACUAGCAUCGUAGCCGUGGCUUGUUAUCGUAGAGCAUUGUGGACCAGUAAGUGGAAUGACUUGAGUCGUGGCUUUGUGAAGCCGCUUAGUCUUGUAGAGACGAGUUGGCGAGAGAGUAUUGAAACUUGUAGAGUUGAAGAGCUUGAGUGGUUGUGAAUAGCCGCCGAGUUGUGAUAACUCGAAGAGACUUGAUGCAAACAAGUCGAGGCUGGAGCGCUGGGGCUCAUAGAGUCGGAGCUCGAGUGGCUGUGAAUAGCUGACGAGUAGCUUGUUCUGGUAUAGAAGGCUUGUGAAGCUCGUGUACAAAACUGCCUACUGAAACUUCUGCACGAGUUGAGCCCCUUUUUGAUAACACAUCAGCGGCUACAUUGUUGUCGCGGAGGACAUGGGGAAACUCAAGGCCUGAGAACUUCUUCUCUAGCUUGCGGACUUCCUUGCAGUAGGCAUCCAUGUUUUCCUUAUUGCGAUCUCACUCAUCAUUGAUUUGGUUAAUGACGACUAGCGAGUCACCAUAUACUAGGAGUCGUUUGAUACCGAGUGAUAUUGCGAGACGAAGGCCAUGUAAAAGUGCUUCGUACUCGGCUUCAAUGUUUGAGACUUCCCAAAAAAUCUGGAGAAUGUAUUUGAGUUUUUCACCUUUUGGAGAAAUCAAGAGUACUCCUGGGCCAGCGCCCUCAAGCUUGAGGUAAUUGUCAAAGUACAUAACCCAAUGCUCGGGCCUUUCCAUUGAUGUUGGUACUUGGUUUUCCAUCCACUCCGCCAAGAAGUCGACCAGAGCUUGGGAUUUGAUAGCUGUUCUUGGUUUGAAGUCUAGAGAUAGUGAGGACCAAUGGUGGUCACCCUUGGAUGAUGAGUGAUUGACAACGUUGUGUUGGUUUGAUGUUGCUCUUGGCUUGUGAUGUGCAGGUGUUGGAUGCGGUGUGGCGGCCGACAACAAGCGGUGAAGGUCAAGAGAAAGGUUCAUGUUGAUGGACCAAGGGCGAUGAAGGAUGAACGCGAGUAGGCUUGGACCGAUGGACCCGAGGAGUUCGGGCAGAGUCAUGAGCGGUCCAUAUGGUGCACGAAACGGCAAGAGAACAUGACGGUGAUGGAGAUGGCAUCGGUCGAGUCAAGUGGAAUGGAGGCAAGUCAAGUAGGUGGCCCGGGAGCUGGGAGCAAAAGACUUGGAGGAGUCAAAGGCUUGGCGGAGAUCAGACACGCGUCAACAACGAGGAGGUCACAUGGCGGCCAAGCGAAGAUGAACAGUUUGGAUGGUUUGGGCCUCAAAACCGUCGUACAGGCAGGUUUGCCAGUUUGGGCCUCAAAACUGUGGGCGAGCCUGGUGCCCAGAGCUUCGAGAAGGAGGGCACAUGGCAUCAUCGUGAAGCUUGCGUCGAGGCAAACUAAAGUCAUGAAGGUGGCAUGUCCGUUCGAUGAGCGCAAAAAACUUGGACCAUAAUACCCCUGCGUGGGUAGUUCUCUUAGUAGUAUCUAUAGGGGUGGUUUAGUAACAAAUUCGAGACUAUAAAUAGGGAUGGGUGCUGGUUGUUUCAGCACCUCUCUAAGCACUUCAUCUAUCUAGGGUUUUAGUAGUUCAUUAGCCUAGUCUCUCUCUCUCUAGUUUAUCUCUCUAGAGGUCCUCAGAUGUUUUGAGCACAGAAUUCAUGUAAUGAACCGAAUUUUUGUUGCGGGAAUAGAGGCCCUAACCUCCUCGUGUCCUCCGAGUGUUGGGAGAUGAUGGUUUUGUGAAAAUCUCGCUUGUGUUCUUCGUGUUCGUGUUUUCUCCCAUUUUUCUUCUAUCACAUUUUUGUUCGAUUUGUGAUUUUUGAGGAGUCUUGACUCAAACUGAUCAUUUGAAAAUGAACUAGGACAUGAGUAAAGUCCUUCUACCAAAGGAAGUCAUCUAAUUCCUCAGGAGCUCAUAGAUCAUGGCAAUUCAAGUUUCGAGGCAGAAAUGAGCGGCGUUCUUCACAAGAUUUGGAUUUUCCAUUGAUUGACAAAUAUUUGGGGGUUGAUCUUUUAGGAGUACCUUCUCUAUGUUGUUGUGAUUCUAUGGUUAAAAUUUGGUGGCAUUUGGACUUGAUUUGAUUGAGUUAUGGCCAAAAUGGUGACCGUACAUUUGUUUUCACACAAUUCAACAUGUUCUGAAGUGUAGGGCUGGACCGUCCGCCAUUUUAGGCCUGACCGUCCACCCCCAGGAAGCACACCGUUUGCCUAGAGCUCGCAGAUUUGGCCUGGCUUGAGCUAAUUCUCGUCCGUUAAGUGAAUUUUGUUGAAAGUUUCACUCAGAUUGUUUCUUGAGGGUCUUGCUGUGUUUAUUGGUCAUCACCAUAGACACCCAGCCACCCAGUUGGCUAGAGGAUCUCUCAUCUUCCACUUGCUUUGGUUUUGGGGCUUUGAAUUUGGGACAGAGGCCUAAGAUUUCGAAAGAAAUUUUUGAAGCUCCCAUUCACCCUGUUGGAGGUAUGCCCUAGAGGCAAUCAUAGAGAUGAUGAUAGCUGAUUGUAUCCAUGAUUUGUAUAAUGUGUUCAUUGAAUACCCAUUAAAGGCUACUUAAAUUGAUCUGCAAUUAUGUGAAUUGUAUGUGGAACUCUUUACUUGUAUGGUUAUUCUAAAAGUUGUCCCUAGUCGGAGUUCAUGUGUGGACACACAUGAAUAUUAGACUAGUACAUGUAUUAGUUGAUGACUAUAUUUCACAAGUCAUGGACAUGGAGAUGGCAAGAACUUCAACGGCCUUUGCUUCUACUCCAGCAAGAACCGCGACGGGCAAUGUGUCAUGGCCCUCAACACCGACAACAAGAAGGAUGACAAAGAAAGCGACUCCGACACAGAAGCAGAGGUAAAGCCUACUCCAAAACAACUUGGCUUAGAAGUAGAAGAAUUGAAUGAUUGCCUGAUCAAUCAAGAUAAGUUGAUUAAGAAGGCCACUCGUGAACGAGUUGAGCUUAAGGCUAAGUUGGAGAGCGUUUCGAUUGAGAUAGAUAUGCUUAAAUCUGCUCCUACUGUUUUCUGAUGUUGUUGAGUGUGAUGAAUGUGUUGUUCAUAUGGCUAGUCUUGCAUCUUUACAAUCUAAGCAUGCUGUGUUGGUAGAUGAUUUGGAUUUGACUAGGGCUGCUUUAGAUGAGGUCAAGACUAUGUCUAUUUUGCUUGGUGCAUGUAAGUCUUUCCUUGCUUUGCAAGUUCCGUUGGAUGAUGCAUGUGCUAAGCUUAGUGCUUUAGAGAAGUCUAAGUUCAUUGCUAGAUCUAAACUUCCUGAAUGUACUAAUUGUCCUGAACUCAAACUUAAUUUGCAAAAUGCUGAGGAUGCAAACUCUUACUUGCGCACCGUUCUUAGUUGGGUAUCAAGUAGGGAACCUCAGCUAGGUAUAAUGAUUCAGGAGUUCAAAAGGGCUGAUGGUUUUGGGCUUGAGUCUAUUAUGAAGAGUUGUCAUUUUAAAUGGUUGCACAAGUUCUUUGAUGGGUUGUGUGAGAAGGUGGGUCAAAACAGUGGUGAGAGAAAGAAACCAAGCUACAACCAGUGUGAGCCACCAGCUGACUACACCCCUCGAGAGUCACCCACACAAAAUAGAGAGCAACCCAAUCCAACUUGUGAGCAAAACUUGUCUAAGUGUGUUAUCUUAGUAGUAUCUAUAGGGGUAGUUUGGUAACUAAUUCGAGACUAUAAAUAGGGAUGGGGGGCUGGUUGUUUCAGCACCUCUCUAAGCACUUCAUCUAUGAAGGGUUUUAGUAGUUCAUUAGCCUAGUCUCUCUCUCUCUAGUUUAUCUCUCUAGAAGUCCUCGGAUGUUUUAAGCACCGAACUCAUGUAAUGAACUGAGUUUUUGUUGCAGAAAUGGAGGCCCUAACCUCCUCGUGUCCUCCGAGUGUUGCGGGAUGACGGUUUUGUGAAAAUCUCGCUUGUGUUCUUCGCGUUCGUGUUUUCUCCAAUUUUUCUUCUAUCACGUUUUUGUUUGAUUCAUGGUUUCUGUGGAGUCUUGACUCAAACUGAUCAUUUGGAAAUGAACUAGGACGUGAGUGAAGUCCUUCUACCAAAGGAAAUCAUCUAAUUCCUCACGAGUUCAUAGAUCGGGGCGAUUCAAGUUUUGGGGCUGAAAUGAGCAGUGUUCUUCACAAGAUUUAGAUUUCCCAUUGAUUGAAAAAUCUUUUAGGGUUGAUCUUUUAGGAGUAGCUUCUCUUUGUUGUUGUGAUUCCAUGGUUAAAAUUUGGUGGCAUUUGGACUUGACUUGAUCGAGUUAUGGCCAAAAUGGUGACCGCGUGUUUGUUUUCAAGCAGUUCUGCGUGUUCUUAAGUAUAGGGCCGGACCGUCCGCCAUUUUAGGCCGGACCGUCCGCCAUUUUAGGCCGGACCGUCCGCCCCCAGGAAGCAGACCAUCUGCCCAGAGCUCGCAGAUUUGGCCUGGCUUGAGCUAAUUCUCGUCUGUGAAGUGUUUUUCGUUGAAAGUUUCACUCGGAUUGUUUUUUGAGGGUUUCUUGAGGGUCAUCACCAUAGACACCCAGCCACCCAGUUGGCUCGAGGAUCUCUCGUCUUCCGCUUUCUUUGGUUUUGAGGCUUUGAAUUUGGGACAGAGGCAUAAGAUUUUGAAAGAAAUUUUUGAGGCUCCCAUUCACCCCCUCUCUGGUCACCUUUCCGGUCCUUCAGAUAGAGCUCCGAGUUCUACUGCCCACUUGGAGAUUCUUCCUGUUGCAUCCCUGUUAUGAAGGAUUUCACCGAGCGGGAAUUCAGUGAUGACGGAUAUGCUAUGUUCUUGAAAGUAUUGUUGUAGUUUUCAUGAAGUAAGCAAGAUUGCGUAGAGUAGCUUCUGCACUAGUGGGUACUGAGUUUUGGAGUCCGAGAGUACUUUACUAACGAAGUAGACGGGUCUCUGGACUUUGUAGGCGUUGCCUAGUUUAGACCUUUCGACUACUAUUGCUGUGCUGACAACAUGAGUAGCAGCAGCUAUGUAUAGGAGCAAGUCCUCGUUUGGAGAUGGAGCUGUGAGGAUUGGUGGUUUUGAUAGGAAGUCCCUGAGCUGUGUCAAGGCUCUGUCUGCCUCCUCUGUCCAUUCAAACUUGUCUUGCCAUUUGAGUAACUUGAAGAAGGGUAAUCCACGUUCUCCAAGUCUUGAGAUGAAUCGAUUGAGGGCUGCCAUGCAGCCUAUAAGCUUCUGCACAUCCUUGAUGCCAGCUGGAGCUUGCAUAUUUGUGAUGGCAGAGAUUUUCUCCGGGUUGGCCUCAAUGCCACAGUGGCUAAUGAUGAAUCCGAGUAAUUUUCCUGAGGGUACACCGAAAACGCAUUUCAUAGGGUUGAGUUUCCACCGAAAUGCUCAUAGGCUUGCGAAUGUUUCUUCUAAGUUGGUGACUAGAUCAUCUGGAUUUCUUGUUUUAACGACCACGUCAUCUACAUAAGCUUCUAUGUUGCGGUGUAGUUGUUUCUCGAAACACAUCUGUAUGGCACGUUGAUAGGUCGCACCAGCAUUUUUUAGCCUGAAAGACAUUGUUUUGUAGCAAAAUGCUCCAAACGGGGUGAUGAAAGCUGUUUUGGCUUGAUCUUCUUCUUUGAGGGCUAUUUCAUGGUAGCCUGAGUAGCAGUCGAGAAAGGAGAGCAAUGCACACCCAGCUAUGGAGUCGACUACUUGGUCGAUCCUGGGUAGUCCAAAGGGGUCCUUUGGGCAAUGCUUGUUCAGGUCUGUGUAGUCGACGCACAUCCUCCACUCAGUGUUCUUCUUGCGAACGAGUAUAGGGUUGGCUAACCAAUCGGGGUGGAAAACUUCUUUGAUAAACCCUACUGCGAGUAGUUUGACCAGCUUUUUUUUAUUGCAUCUCUUCUGUUGGGCGAACCUUCGUAGUCAUUGUCUUUUUGGGGUAGCUUUGGGAUUGACGUUUAAUGAAUGCUCGAUCAGCUCCUUGAGACAUCAAGCAUGUCAGCGGGCUUCCAAGUGAAGAUGCCGUGGUUAGCCCGAAGGAAACUGAUGAGCUCCCUUUCCUAUUUAGGGUCUAGCCCUGUUCCAAUCAGGGCUGUCUUGGAUGAGUCACCAGUCUGGAGAUCGAUGGGUUUGAAGUCCUUCUCCCUUGCUAGUUUCACCUUAGUUGAUCCCGACUUAUUUUCUAGGAUCUCGAGUUCUGUGGGGUUGAGCUUCUUUGAUGUUGUGAAGACUUGUUGCAUGAGAUUCGGUGCUUAAGAAGUCGCUGCGAUUUCGACAGCUUCCGUGUCGCACUCGUACGAUCGCCUCAAGUCUCCACAUAGUGUUAACUCACCCUUAGGUCCUGGCGUCUUGAGUACCAGGUAGACGUAGUGUGGUAUAGCCAUAAAUUUGGCCAGGGCUGGUCUUCCGAGUAUGGCAUGGUAAGAAAUUUUGAAGUCGGCAACCUCAAACCUGAUGUACUCGGUUCGGUAAUGUUCCUCGGUGUCGAAAGUGACUGGUAGGACAACUUGUCUUAAAGGUAUAGCAGCAUUGCCUGGGACAAUUCCAUAAAAUGGUGAGUCCGUUGGAGUAAGCAUGUCUAUGACGUCGAGGCACAUUUUCCUUAGUGUGUUAAUGACGUUGAGUCCGCUUCUGCCAUCGAUGACUACUUUGGUAAGUCUUGAGCCUGCGACGACAGGAUCGAGUACCACAGGGAAUCGGCCUGGUUCUGAGAAACUUGUCCAUUGGUUCGUUCUGCUGAAAGUUAUGGGUACCUCAGACCAUUUGAGUGGUUUAGGAGCUGCUAGCUCAAUAGCCAUAAUCUCUCUAAGUACUAGCUUAUUGGACCGCUUGGACGCAGUACCCGAAAGUCCACCAAAAAUGAUGUUGACCGUUUUAAAGGCAGUUCGGAACUCGCCUUCGCCUUCAUCAGCUUCGUUGACCUUGCCUUUACCUUUGUCCUUCUUCUGACUGAUUUCUUCGAGAGGGGGUCGUGCGGGUAAUUCUUGCAUUACUCGGCGCAUGCUAUAGCAAUCGAUCGCCGAGUGUUUGUUGUUUGGAUGACAUGGGCAUUGCUUCUUGAGUAACUCGGUGAAGGAGGGCCCAUCGUUGUGUUUGUGUGACCCUUUCUUGCCUGAGUUGGACAUAGCUACGACAGUGUUGUCCGGUUUGUGUUUGCGGUUCUGAUUACCCAAGUAGUUGUUUCGAGUAUCAUUGUUGCGUUUUCAGUCUUGUUCAUGAUUGUUAUUGUUGUCAAGACCGCGGUUGUGAUGAGAGCCGAAUCUCUCACGCUCUUUGUCUUCUUCAUCUGUCUAUUGUUGCACAAUGAUUUUGAGAUCUUUGACGAUGGCUGGACGACCUCUGCCAAACUCUUGGUAUGUUCGACGAUCAUAGAGGCCAUUUUGAAAGCACUCGAUGACGUCUGCUUCUGAAAUGUCGACUAUUGUAGCCUUUUUUCAAAGAAACGGUGCAGGUAGUCACGAAGUGUCUUGCCUUCUUUCUGUUUGACUUGACUUAGGUCAAUUUUGUUGCCUGGGCGAGACAUGGAGCCCGUGUAAUUAUUAGUGAAAGCCUUCAUCAAGUUUUUCCCAGGAAUCGAUCGACUUGGGCUUGAGUGACUCGAGCCAUGUUAAUGGCGCAGGUUCCAUGCAUAUGGGGAAGUGAAUGACCUUUGUAUCAUCAUUACCCCCAGCUGCUUGAACUGCUAGUAAGUAGCAUCGUAGCCAUUGGACUGGAUCUUGCUUACCAUCGUACUUGGUGAUCCCCGUCGACUUGAACUUCUCGGGUAGUUUAGUUUUCAUUACCCGUGUGGUGAAGGCGGGGAAGUGAUCAUAGUCAUUGGUUUUGCAUUCGCGUUCAUGGCGACGGUUGUUAUCUUAGGUCGCUUAAGAUUGAGGCUUCGCGAUCGGCUCUACGGUGGCGAGGGCUCUUUGCAGAAUUGGUGCAGCUAGCCUCCCUUGUGUCCUUGUUUCGCCUUGGGGCCUUGCGUUCAUCUCUAUUUUGCCUUUGGCUAUGUUGCCUCCGCUGGUUGACUACUUCGUUACUGUUUCUUGGAGCCUCGCGAUUGCCACCAUAGACUGCAACAUCUCUGCUGCCAUCCUGGUGGGCCAAGUUGCGAGGGAUAGAUGGGAUUGGCGAUUCCUUGUUGAGUAGUUUGUAAGCUUGUUCUGUGAGUUGAGCUAUUAACUGGAUGGCCCUUUCCAUGAGUUGUGCUGUUAACUCAUUGUCUCUAUUAUGAGGUAUAAGAGUUGAUAUGAGAUUGAUCGAGGCAAUUGCUGCGAGUGGAGUGUUGUGUUCUCUAGCUUGCACUGCAUCGAAUGCUCUUUCAAGAUUCACGAUAGAAAUGUUUGUAGCUAGUAGCCGGCGAUGAUAUGCUCGGGCAGCAUUGCGUUCCCUUCUUUGAUUUCUUUGUUCAGAGGUUUCAUCUUGCGGAGCGUUAGCUGACGAUUCGUCUUGUGAAACGUCGUCGAGUUGUGCAACCCGUCGAGGAGUUUUUUUUGUGGCUAGCACCCACGUCGUUAUUUGGUGACGUGAUGACGAAGAUUUCUCUGUCCGGGUAGUAGCCUCCAGAGCUUGAUGUUGCAAUCUCCGUAGUGCUUCCUUCUUCGCGGGCUGAAGUAAGCGGGAUACCUUCUUGAUACGGGAGGUUGUCUAUGUGAGCGACAAGGUGCGACUCGUAAUCUUAGGCAAGGAACGAUGGCUUCAUCCUAGGGCAAUAAACUAAUCUACCUUGCGGAGUCAAAAUAAUUACCAAGCCUUCAGCUGGUCCUGACAAAGGGAUCUCUUGGAUGGAGUCUGAAUCGAAGUCGUAGUCCUUAGCUGACUCUAGUCCGGAUUGGACUCGAGUAAGGAAUUCUUGGUUGACCACGGCUAUGUUGUGGAGUUCGUGCGGGAGUCGACUUCGAGCUAGAGUCGACUUGCAGGAUGACUUGACGUCAGCAUGUGCGGGCUAGUCCAAAUCGAGGUCGAGUCCAAGCCGUAGUCGAACUCAAUGUUGUUGGCGUUGAAAUUUUGGAUUUUCUCGAUGAGAUUCUCUAUUUCUUGAUGAAGAAAGUUUUCGUCGAGAUGCUUCUUUUCCUGGCUGUCGAUGAUGCAGCGUUGAAAGGAUCCAGCGCCAUCAGCGAUGCAAAGCCAAGAGCCGAAGAUGAAGGUCGCGCCGCCUCAAAGGAGGAAGCAGGCUUAAUGACUACUGGUGCCAUCGAUCUCGCGUGGAGAAACUCAGCGACUUCCCCUACCUGACGUGCCAGCUGUUGGUGUUUUCGACCGGCAACCUGCCUAGGGAGUAUCCAAGGUUGUCUUUUGUGCGGUAGGUGUCGUCAAGAAUCAAGGAAUCGAUGGUGACGCAAGGAACACAAUUUAGACAGGUUCGGGCCGCUAGAUCGCGUAAUACCCUACAUCCUGUGUGUUAGAUGUAUUGAUCUUGUUCUUCAUCGUCUGGACGGGGUCCCUGCCCGCCCUUAUAUAGUCGGGGGAGCAGGGUUACAGGGCAGGAGUCCUAGUCGAGUACAUUACAGAGUCCUACUCUAACUUGGUAGAGUAGUUUCCUUUGGAUCCGACUAGUCUUUGGGAAGUUUAUGAAGCCUACGCGCCUUGCAGAGUAGUCUUUAUGUCUGAGUAGGUUUCGGGUACGUUCCCUUGAGUUGGUCCACACAAGUCUUGUUGUGGACCCAGGGUGCCUAGCCGACAUUAACCCCUUUCAUAUGCCCAAAGUCCAAUUCUCCUCCCUAAUGUAGAGAGAAGGAUGUUUUUGCUCCAUUUUUUUAAAAAAAAUGGUUUGUUUUACCCUUGUGCUAGAGAGGCACGAACCGGGCAGCCACAAAAGCAAGGGCAUUGGCCUAAGAGCAUCUCCAUUAGUCUCCUAAUAAAUAUUUCCCAAUAACUAGUUAAUGGGAAUGUCCCCAUAUCCAUUUCAUUGUUAUUGGGAGAGUUACUUUUGUAGUCUCCCAAUAAUCUCAUCCCAAUCCUACUAUCGUAUUGGGAGUCACAACUCCUCCUUUAUUUAGGGAGAGAUGGGGUGAAUUAUUGGAUUGUUCCAAUAAUUAUUGGGAAAAGGGAAAUGUAAAGGGAGUCUGUUGGACUACUAUUUUUUUACCAACUCUCCCAAUACAGCAGUUGGAUUGGAAAUUUUGGGGAACUACUGGAGAUGCUCUAACAUGUGAAAUGAUUUUGGAGAUCCAUAUCGCAUAAUAUAUGUCAAAAAUUUUCAAUUUUAAUUUAAAAUUUUGUAGGUGGACAUCAUAAUGUAUGUCAAAAAAAUAUUUUAUGAUUUUUUCAUCAUUAUUUCUCAUAUAAUUUGGUAUGGAAAACAUUAAUUUCUUAUUAAGUGUGAUACUAAACCAAAAUUCAUGAUAUAUUUUUCUGACAUGUGUUAUGAAUUGUGAUGUCUACUAGCAUCUCGCAAAAUUUUAAUUUAAAACUAUGGAGAAAAAAAGUCAAAUUAGAUUAGGGGGUAAAUUGAACCAAAUUGUGUAGUUCAUGGGGUAAACUGAACCAAUACAUAGUUUAGGAGGUUUUCCGAACUUUGCGAGGGGAAGAAUUUAAACUUUUUUUUGGGGGGUAGGGGGGAGGGGGUUUGUUUCAGCGUCAAGCAGCGGAGGUUAGAAGUGCCGCCGCUAGCUUUACUUUUUUAACGGAAAAAAUUCGAAUUACUACCCUUCGGAUAAUCCCUAAAGUACGUUUUUGUCUAAUUUACCCUCUAAAUUAUGUUAUUUGGCCAAUUUACCCCAACGCAAUUUGUCUUUUUUUCUCCAUAUACAAGUUCAAUUUUAAUUUAAAAUUUGGAAGGAUGGUAGUAGACAUCAUAAUGUAUAUCGAAAAAAUAUUUUACGAUUUUUUCAUCAUUAUUUCCCAUAUAAUUUGGUAUGUCGAGAAUUAAUUUAUUAAGUGUUAUUCUCAACCAAAAUCCAUAAUAUAUUUUUUUGACGUGUGUUAGGAAUUAUGAUGUCUACUAGCAUCUCGAAAAAUUUUAACUUAAGACUCUACUUGUCUAUGGAGAAAAAAAACAAGUUAGAUUAGGUGUAAAUUGAAUGAAAUUGUGUAGUUCAUAGGGUAAACUAAACCAUAGUUUAGAAGGUUAUCCAAACUUUGCCUAUACUUGAGGGAGUAAUUUGAACUUUUUUUCUAUUUUUAACCAACCGCGGGCGUUUUUUGUUUUUUGAAAACCAGUUACCAACGUUGGUGAAGAAGCACUGAUCUCCAAAAUCUAUUAGCUACCCCACACCUUGAUGACCAGGCCAAUGAUGAAUGGACAAAUAUUUGGUCCUCACCGAAUUUCACUUCUAGGCAAGCCUAUAAGCAUAUCUAUGGCACUCUACCAGCCUCUCCUCUUUUCAAAUGGAUGUGAAAAUCAAGGGUUCAAAACAAGCACAAGUUCUUCUUUAGGUUGUUUCUCAGAGACCAGCUGAACACAAGAAAUCUCCUUAGGAGAAAGCAUAUGCACCUUGAUUCCUAUAAUUGUGUUCUAUGCAUUGCAUAAGAGGAGGAAUCCAUCACAGAGUUGUCCUUCUCCUGUCCAAGCCUGCUAGAUUUUAUCUAGGCAUUGAAUGGGACACCAAUCUACCUACUCUGGACAUGGUCAUUCAAGCUAGGGAAAGAUUUGGAUCAAGCAUCUUCAGGGAAAUAGUUAUAGUGGCGGCCUGGUGUAUAUGGUGUCAUCAAAACACAAGCUAAAAACACUCGGCAAAGAAAAAAUACUCGGCAAAGCCCAAAAAACACUCGGCAAACCCCCCCCCCCCCUCUUUGCCGAGUGUUUUUUUACACUCGGCAAAAAAAUAAUUUUUUUCCUCUUUUCACCUUGAAAAUUUUUUCUACUCCCCACAUACAACAUGUGGUACUCCAUGCUAAAAUUUGGUAUAUUUUUGGAUUUAUUUGUUAUAUUUAUUUAAAUAAUUGCAUUUCAAGGAAAAUUUUGGUAUAAGUCAAAUUUGAACUGCAAGUGAUUCAAAUUAUAGAAUAAAAUGAGUAGAAAAAUAAUAUUCACGUUAUUUAGCCAAAUUUGAGACAUGACCUAUGAAAUGAAAAGAAAUUUCGAACAUUUUGUUCACGAAACACAACCACGAACGUGUGGUCGAAUGAUUUUUAAAUUAUAAAAACAGCAAGCGAAGUUUGAAAAUCAUGAGAUUUGUCAUGAUGUGAUGAUAUCAUAUGUGGAGGCUGUGGAAAAAAAUUGAGAAGGUUUCGCACAUUUCGUCACAUACGAUGUUUACAAACCGAAGCGUCUCAGAAGAAGAAUAGUAGCGUUGAGAAGGAUUCGAUAAGAAUUGGAGUUAGAGUGACGGUCGAGUUUUGUUUUGACUACAAAACUUUUUGUAUAGGUAGUACAAAACAUAUAAUGUUUCAUGUGCAAUUUUUGUAAUUUUUUGGAACCGUUAGAUAAUUUUAAUGUAUUAAGUGCAAUUAUAGAAUUUUAAUUGAUAUAAAUUGAACUCGAACUAUAACCGCAUAAAAUAAUGAAAUAAUAUGAAUAGAACAAUAAAAUAUAUAUUGUUGAGUGAAUUUAACCUACAACCAUAUAAUAUAAUCAUAUAAUAUGAGUACAAACUGUUAUGGAGAAGAAGGAAAAAUGAAAAAACAAUCUUUGUCGAGUGCCUAGAUAUAGGACACUCAGCAAAGAAAAAAAAUCCCGUAUAACUUUCCUUCCCCCUCCCUCAGCACGCUACCUCCCCGGCCUCCCUCAGCACGCCCCCUCCCCUCCCUCCCGAACCUCCUCGCCUCCCUUAAUGCACCCCCUCGCCUCCCUCAUGAGCCUCUCCCUCACCGGCAGUGCCCUGCCCCUCCCCUCCCUCACCGACAGCGCUGCCCACCUCCCCUCCCUCUCCAUCUCCGCCUGCCGCCCACCCCCUCCCCGGAUCCGCCCCCCCCCCACCCCCUCCCCUCCGCGCGGCUGGCCCCUCCUCCCUCUCCGACCGCCGCCCCGGCCCCUCCUCUCCCUUUCUCCGGCCACCGCCCCACACAUCUUCUCUGGAUCCGGCCGCCGCACAGCCCCUCCUCCCUGUAUUCGGCGGGGACUCACUGGGUGGGCGCGGACUUCGUGGUGGUGGUGCCGGAUCGCUCCCCUCCCUCUCCAGGCAACUCCCUCCACUCCUCCGCUCUUCCCCUCUCUCGCGCGGCGGCCCCUCUCCGGCGGCGUCUCCGGCUGCCACCCUGCCCCUCUCCCCAGAUCCAGUCAGAUCCGGCCGCCGUCCCACCCAUCUCCCCGGAUCCGGGGGGGGACUCCACCCCUCCACCCAAGAUCUAGCUCCCCGACCUGCGACGAUGCCGGUCAUGGAGCAAGGACUGGGGCGAGCUUGCUCGUGCGGCGGUCGAUGUCGAGGCCAGGGUGAUGAGGACAUCACCUAUUCGGAUACAACCACAUUAGUAAAUUUUGAUUCACAGGUGAAAUAAUUCUUUACCAUUAUUGUAUUUGAUACAUUUGAUGAAUUGAUGUUGCACUAUGAUGUGUGUUCGUUGUCCAUUUCAGAAAUACAUACAUGGAUCACAAAUAGUGUUAAACACACAUGGAAAGUGUUAAACACACAUGGAAGGUAUGGAGGACCAAAGAAGUAGAUUGGGGCCAAGUCCAAGUAUUCACAACAUCCUCCACCAGGCCACCACGUCACUUUUGGCCCAAGAAAAGAAAGAGAUCCAAUCCAACACGUUUUGGGGCUGGAUUCGGACUGCAACUCUGUGCCAACUUGCAACAGCUGCCACGACCACAUCCGGACUCCGUUUUGAGCGUUCAAUUACUCCUUGAAAUCCUUAUGAAGUCUAUUUUCCUAUGGAUCUGAACUCAUGUCUACAUCUUAUUUGAGGCGGCUGCAAUCAUCGAAAUACUACCGAGAGGUUUUCUGUCCAAAGGUGUUGCGUCACCUUAUUUUGGCCCAAUGGGCCGUGUAUCAAGUUGGGUCCAUUAGGGACAUGUCCUAGGGUUGAAGCACGACCCCAACACCCCCCGGUCGUGUUCCUAGGUAUUAAUAAGGGUUAGAGCCGCCACAAACAGAUUGGGUUUUGUUUUGUUGAAAGUUUAGCUAUUGCUACUUCCUUGUAGAUGCGUGUGUCGACUAGACCAUCUGUUCUACUCGAUUCAGAACCCCAACUUUGUGAGUUCAGAUUUGUUUCCAUCUCUACAUUUGCAAUUGAGUUGCUUGUUAUACUUGUUCUUGCUUGUUCCUCGAUUGCUUGCAGGAAUUACCCUAGUGGUUUUGUUGAUCGUGCACCAGAAGAUCGCGGCGACCAUUGGAGGUGGUGUAUCGGUUGCUAAGGCGCAGCUUGGAAGGCUGUAGUCGGGCCGUGAACGUCGUCUCCAUCGACCAAUCGAGUUAUCCCACACCUCUCAUCGGAAGAUGGGAAUCAACCCUAGCGGGUUCAUAUCAUAUGGUAUUAGAGCAAGGUUUAUCGGUGAGAGAUUUCCAAUCCUUCGCUGUUUUACUUUCCUAUAGUCCAGAAAAAGCCAAAAAAAAAUAGUAGAUUUGUUGACUCGCAAUCUUAUAAACCCUUUGAGCCUUUGCUAGCACUGCUUAGUUAGGGCUUGUUGAGUUUUUGGUGGCAUCGGUUGUGUUGAGUUACUGGUCUUAGUUUUAGUCCUUUAGAGUUUCGAGUUCUUAUCACGUUCUAGUCACAGCUGUGUGCUACCAUAUAAAACCUUUUGUUAGCUGAAUCUGAAUACAUAUUUGUGCUCAAGUCCGAGUAGGAUUCCGAGUUUGUUUAAGACCGAAUCCCACGUGGUGCUGAGUUCGAGUUGGAAUCGGUUUGGAGUCCGAAUUGACAGCUGCCUUGUUGCUGUCUUGAGUCUAAAUCUGAUUUCUAUCCUUUCGGAAAAAGUUUGUGUAGUAUGUGACUCUUGUGAAGUCCUUUUGUUCAUAUAAUCAGAUUUGAGGAUCCCCUGAAAAAAAGAAGAAAAACAACAGAACAAAAAAGAAGAAAAGAAAGACAAAAAAACAGGAAGAAAAGGAGCUGUUCGUUGUGCUUCCCUAUUGUUUUCCGAUGGUGUGAUGUGACUUUCUUUGUGUCCAGGCUCGCGUCUCUACCACGGUCUAGGCUAGGACCAGCACAGUACCACCGUUGAACUAUUAUUCAGCUUGCUUUUGUGACUAACGUGGUGCUAGUAUAUUUCCUUGCUUAAGCCCACCUACAGCUCCACAUAUUCGACUACAGCUCAAUAGGUUUUUGUUGCUGCGGCACCGAUACACUUCGCUCCAUGGUUGUAGACUUGUUGGUUGCCGUCACCUCCUGUUUGGCUUGGUAAGAACUUGUAAGGGCUUGUUUUAGAAAGAUGAGUUUGAGAGAAAUUACAAUCAAGAAAUCCUAGUAGUUGACAUGAGGAUAAAUACAUAUUGUUUUGUGUUUCUUGUUUUCUACUAAUCAUGGCAGGUGAUACGGAGAUUUUUGAGCCAUUGAAACUAGACCCUCAUAUUCAGGAUGUCAUUCAACACUUUCCGUUAUAUGAUGGUAAGUUUGAUCUUGAAGCUUAUAUUGGGAGUUAAAAGUAGAGAAUGAAUUUGAUGAGCAUGACCUAUCUGAGAAACAAAAGAUUUAUAUUGCCUCUAAUAUUUUGACUAAAUUUGUCUUGCUACAAUGGAAACACAUUUGUAGGUGUAACAAAGUUCUAGAAUCUUGGAAAAACUUCAAAUGUCUUUUUAGAGAUGCAUUCAUUCCUGAAUAUUAUGCUAAUUAUUUGCUUGCAAAAUUAGACAACUUGAGGCAAGGUAGUAGGACUGUGAAAGAAUACUUCUAUAAUUUUAAAAUUUGUAUCAUGUUUGGUGGAUUAGAUGAGUGCAUGGAAGAUGUUAUGAGUAGGUUCAUGAGAGGGCUCAAUUCUGAAAUUCAAACCUUGUUAAUUAACAAUUCUCAUAGCCAUAUUGGUCAAUUGUUUUGUCUUGCUCUCAAUGUUGAAAAGGAGAUUCUAUUAUCUGUGAAUACUUGCAAGAAUGAUGUGACCCAUUAUAUCCAAAAUUUGUUCACUCUCCAUGCUAAUGAAGAGCAACAAAUAGUGGAACCCAUUGCUGAUUUUCCUUUGUCACAAAAUGAAUUACUUGCUUUUCCUUAUAAUAAAGAGGACUUAUGUGCUGAUGAUUCUUUUACUCCUAUACCACAAGUAGCAAAUAAGUGUGAUACUUUUAGUUUGGAACCAUACAAAUGUGCUGAAGAUAAACUUUUUCAUCCUAUUACUUGUGCACAAGAUGAACUGAAUUUGCUAUUCUCUUUAAAUACUUUGGGUUAUAUUGAAUUUGAUGUUCUAUGUAAUCUAAGUUGUCUAAAAGAGAAACUUAAAUUUGAUUCUGGUUUGCCAAGCUUUAAUCAUUGUUCUCUUCAUCCAAUUGGCAAAUACGACAGCAAAGGAGAAUACUUGGUGCAUAAAGUUUAUAUUUGCUCUAAUCUGAAAUAUCCUUUUGGACAAAUAUACCAUGAUCAAAUAGAGGGCUGCACUAACACUAAUAAUGUCUUGCAAAGUUUUUCUAGUUUUUCCCAUAUGCAACAGGGUAAGACCAAAGAAGGGGAGCAUUACCGAUUGUGGCCAUGGAGCAUGGUCGUCACUCCGUGCUCCAACAUCAAAGCAAGCACCUUAGAAUGCCAUUGGAGCAAGUCGAGGACGACUUGCAGCCAAGAAGGGGAGAAUGAUGAGGACAUCACCUGUUCGGAUACAACCACAUUAGUAAAUUUUGAUUCACAGGUGAAACAAUUCUUUACCAUGAUUGUAUUUGAUACAUUUGAUGAAUUGAUGUUGCACUAUGAUGUGUGUUCGUUGUCCAUUUCAGAAAUACAUACAUGGAUCACAAAUAGUAUUAAACACACAUGGAAGGUAUGGAGGACCAAAGAAGUAGAUUGGGGGCCAAGUCCAAGUAUUCCCAAAAUCCUCCACCAGGCCACCACGUCACUUUUGGCCUAAGGAAAAAAAGACAUCCAAUCCAACACGUUUUGGGGCUGGAUUCGGACUGCAACUCUGUGCCAACUUGCAACAGCUGCCACGACCACAUCCGGACUCCGUUUUGAGCGUUCAAUUACUCCUUGAAAUCCUUAUGAAGUCUAUUUUCAUAUGGAUCUGAACUCAUGUCUACAUCUUAUUUGAGGCGGCUGCAAUCAUCGAAAUACUACCGAGAGGUUUUCUGUCCAAAGGUGUUGUGUCGCCUUAUUUUGGCCCAAUGGGCCGUGUAUCAAGUUGGGUCCAUUAGGGACAUGUCCUAGGGUUGAAGCACGACCCCAACACCCCCCGGUCAUCUUCCUAGGUAUUAAUAAGGGUUAGAGCCGCCACAAACAUAUUGGGUUUUGUUUUGUUGAAAGUUUAGCCAUUGCUACUUCCUUGUAGACGCGUGUGUCGACUAGACCAUCUGUUCUACUCGAUUCAGAACCCCAACUUUGUGAGUUCAGAUUUGUUUCCAUCUCUAUAUUUGCAAUUGAGUUGCUUGUUAUACUUGUUCUUGCUUGUUCCUCGAUUGCUUGUAGAAAUUACCCUAGUGGUUUGGUUGAUCGUGCACCACAAGAUCGCGACAACCAUUGGAGGUGGUGCAUCGGUUGCUAAGGCGCAGCUUGGAAGGCUGUAGUCGGACCGUGAACGUCGUCUCCAUCGACCAAUCGAGUUAUCCCACGCCUCUCAUUGAAAGAUCAGGAAUCAACCCUAGCGGGUUCAUAUCACAGGGUGUGGUGGAGGUGGCGGUCGGUGGGUGUGGUGGUGGCCGGCGGGUGUGGUGGUGGCCGGCGGGUGGUGGUGGCGGCGGCGGGCAUGGCGGCGGGGAGGCAAGGCACGGCGGCCGGUGAGAGGCACGGGUGCAAGGCACAGCGACAGCGUCGACGGCAGGAGGCAAGGCACGGCGGCAUGGGAGGUGGUGCCGGCGGAGCUAGCGGUGGUGGCGGCUGGCAGUGGUGGCGGCGGCGGAGCUGGCGGUGGUGGUGGCGGCGGAGCAGGAUGUGGUGGUGGCGGAGGAUGUUUUUUUUUAUUUUUUUCAAAAAUUGGUUGCCGAGUGUUUUCUCGGCACUCGGCAAAGACUUUGUCGAGUGCCCGACACAAAACACUCGGCAACUCAGUGUUUGCCGACUGAAAGUUUGCCGUGUGCCGUUUGUCGAGUGUUACACUCAGCAAACGGUUCGCCGAGUGUUUUUUGCCCUUCGCUUCCUGGCACUCGGCAAUUUCCCUAUCUCCGGUAGUGUGUAUGCCCGUGCGUUGCUACGAGAUAAUUUUCAACAUAAUAAGAACAUGAAAAAACAUGUUGUUUUGAGAUCACCGGAUUCUAUAAUUUAGUAUUCUACUUGAUCUUAGUAACGUGUUGCUUUGAGCCAUGGUGAGUGGACGGAUGGACGUGGCAUUCCCAAGUGUUAUUAUGAAAUAAAUGGCCUUGAAUUGUUAGAGGGUAAAUCCUAAGAAAUCUGUGAUCUAUCAUCCGGUGCAUUCUACUGGGAAGUAACUACCAGUUGCUGGUUCAAGAGAAAUGAUGUAAGCAUGGACAGGUGAAGUGAUAAUUGCCAUACAACUUAGAUUCUCAAUCGGCAGACAUACUUCACCUUGGAAAAUAGUUAAUAUUUCCAUUCCUCGUGGCAGGGAGAUUGGUCCUCACAACACAUGCUAGCUUUUUAUUUUCAGAGUAUGAGAGUGGGUUAUGGUGAUAAGAUUCUCAAAUUCAACUCGAUAGCAUAUUCAGAUAAGGUGUAAGGUAUAAAUCAAGCACUUUGCAGUAUUGAAGGGAUGAUUCAUUGUCCAAUACACAUUCCUUUGGACUCAACAAAUGUCAUUCAAUGGACUGCCUUCAAAACUAUCAUCACUUAUAUUACAGGACAGAACUGAUUUAUUUUGAUUUCCCUUAAUUAGGAUGUCCUUCACCAAGAGAUUAUUGGUUAGCAAUCAAAUGUGAAGCUAAUACAGGUGAACACAUUUAUGAAUUAUGAGGAAGUUCAAUCUUGGAGAUGUUCAGAGCUAAAGCCCUAAUUACUCUCAAAAACUAUCAUGAGCAUCUUGAUAUACUCUGCUGUCAAAGGAGCUUUUCAUAUUGCUCCCCCUUACUAUAAGAUAGCACUUACUUUUAGCAUAGCAGAAAUACAUCCAAAAGUUGAUAAGAUAUUAGAACUGUAUAGUAACUAUAUUCUUCAUUCUGUACCAUUUUCCUUGUACCAUGUCCCUUGAAAGGGAUUUCUUCCGCUGAAGAGAAAAGGUGAAACUGAAAAGGAAAUUAGCUUUUGUGCCAUUUUCUUUUGUGUAACAAAAUCUCUAGAUCAAGAAAAAGUGGAAUGAUCGAUGCAAAUUUUGCCAAAGAUAAAGGAUGCUUAGUCUUGUUGGAUCAGGGGAGGAUGCAUGCUACAGAAACUUCAUGACUCCAUAAAUAGCCGAGAUUAAAUCCUUGGCUAAUUAAAAGUGCUUCUUGGAUGACAAAAAAACUGAUAGGAGGGUAGUAGGGAAACAUGCACGCAGGAGCAAUCAACCAAGUUAAAAAUGUGCACAUAGUCAUUUUAUCGAACACCUAUAUGGCAUUCAAAACACAACCUCCUGAUGAAUAGCAUGGAUGCCCAAUCAUAAUGAAAAAGGUCCUGCAAAGAUAAAGGAUAGGCAGGUUGUGGUCCAAUAAUGAAGAUUGGGAUGUAGCGGUAUCGGGAUUAAUUAGGGAGGAAGAGAUGCUACUGGCCGUUCAUUAUAGAUCACCGUUUGUGUUGGCAAUGGCUCUCUGAAUCACCGUUUUCUACUGGAGUCGAUUGAAGGAGAUGACAUGCUGGCCUGGUGGAUGAACGACUUACCAUGUCGUGAGGCAGAAGACAACGCCUGACUGCUGCUCCCGCCAGCGCAGUCUGAUUAGCUUGAGUGUUCGGAUUGGUGGAGGUGAUGGUGUGGAUCGCCGGCGUCGCUGGUUCCUUGAGGGAGAGGCAACAGUCACAGGAAAAUUCGCGCCGGUGUCGCUGGUUCUUGAGGCCGAGGCGGGGUGAGCUAACGAUUGUAGGAAAGAUUGCGCCAGCGUCGCUGAAUCGGUGAGGGUGUUGACUGUUGAGGGCUCGACUCCGAGCGGACAACCGGCGGUCGCACGGGAGAUCACGGAACACUCUUUUUUCGCAGGACAGCGCGAACGUGGCCGGGAAUUCCGGAGGCGAGGGUACGUGAACUGAGAUCGAACGUCUGGAAUCGAUCGAUGGCAGGACGACUCACAACGAGGAUGACGGUUCGCAGGUGUCGGUCUGGUGCCGAAACAAUUGUCGCCUAAACACCCUUAUUACGUUCUUCCCUCUGAUCGUACCCAUCCUAUUCACUGUAGGGCGAUGGAUCAGAGACGUCCUGAAGGGACCAUGACACCCUAAGAGAGGGUGAAUUAGGUGUUCUAAAUACUAAGGCUUUAAGCACAUAUAUAAAAACCUAUUUCAAUUUCUAUCUAGAUGUGCACUAGGUUUUUCUAUGCGUUGCUAUAUCUAUCGCAAAAGAGUUUUACACCCUAGGUUCCAAUCCUGCAAACUACACAUGACAAUUCUAGGAAAGGUAGACGCGGAAUGUAAGUGCAAUAAGAAAUGCGGAAGUAAAUGAGGUAGAGAAGGCAAACUCCCGGCAUGGCAACACGAUGAUUUUUUUACCAAGGUAUCGGAAAACAAAGCUUUCCACCAAUCCUCGUUGUUGGAGUCCCUCUCAAAGGGAAUGCCCGCGCAAGGGCUGCCGAUGAGCCUUCCACACACGCAAGUGGGUCUCCACCUAACCUCUCCCGGAUGCUCCUUGCUGCUCUUCAUUUGGUAGAGCUUCGGCAAAAUGCUUAGGGCCUCUCCUCCCUAUCACAAGCAACGGCGGCCACUUCACAAAUGCGGUUGGAGGGUCUCGCAAGACUUACAAGCUCCGAACUUACAACUCUUGGUGCGUGCAACCACCGAUACAAAGGAGAUGUGCAAACCUCGCCUAACUCUAGACUAAACCCUAAAGUAAUGUGCUAAUAGGACCAUUUUCCUUACACGCCCCGAUCCUUCUGACCUUCCCUCCACCGAGGUGCUCAACCACUCAACAAUCCCCCUCUCUUGAUGAUCCCAAUAUAUAAAAAGCUUAUGGUACAAUUGCCUCUCUUGCUGAUCCCCAUUUGUACCGUGUCACUAGUAGAAAACUGAGUAUUAGUCCCGGUUGGAAAGUUGCAAAUCUCUCGAAAAACUAUCCGGGAUAAAGCAAUCGGGACAAAAGAGGGUGUCUUUUAUCCCGGGUCCCUCAACCGGGACUAAAUGGUUUUGCAAAAAAUUUAAAAAAUAAAUAAAUUCCCGGGGGGUCCCGGGGAGGCCUCCCCACACGCGCACAUCGCAAAUCACAAGUCACGCGAUUUUCACGCGAAAUAUGCACCCCUUUUAUCCCGGUUGGUAUUACAAACCAGGAUAAAAGGGUCCGAAGGAUUUAGUUUUGUCCCAGCCACACGUGGGGGACCCUUUUAUCCCGGUUGGAAACACCUUUUAUCCCGGUUGGUACUACAAACCGGGAUAAAAGGAUCCGAGGGCUUUAGUUUUUUUUCAACCAUCCGUGAGGGACCCUUUUAUCCCGGUUGGAGUUUUCAACCGGGAUAAAAGGCCCCAUUUUAUCCUGGUUGGUGUCGUGAGUUUUAGUCCCAAGUGGUAACACCAACCGGGAUUAAAAGGGUGACCUUUAGUCCCAGUUAUUCUUACCACCCGAGACAAAAGGCUCUCCCACGGGUAACUGAUUUUUUCACCCGGGACUAAAGGGUCCCCCACAGGUGGCUGAUUUUUGAACCGGUACAAAAGGUGAUUUUUAGUUCCAUUUGCAAAUACCAACCGGGAUUAAUGCUCCGCGCACCCCCUUUUAUACCGGACCUACUUUAAACCGGAAUUAAAAGGGGGCGCAUCGAAAGUCAGUUCUCAAUUAGUGUGUAGAUGUAUAAAAGUAUAGGGAUCACCACCCACGCGCGACUAUCCUCUAUCGGGGAGGAAAUGACGCAGUUCCUACCGCAGCCACGAAUGUGCUGCGCUGCCUGUGACAACCUCCGCCUCCUCUGCGUAGCCUCCUACCGCAUGCAUAAGCAUGCUGAGCCGCUGCCUAGCGUCGCCAAGAACAUGUUGCGCUGGUUUAGACGCCAAAGAGGCCGCACACACGGGUGUGCAGUUGGAGUCUUGGAAACCAGGAGCAGCUUGUGGCCAUCGAGGAGCUCGCUGUUUUUCUUGCCUUGUGAUUCUGCGCAACAAUGCGAAUGCGUAUGUGAUCCUUUUUUGCUUGCUGAUAAUGAAAUCACUUAUUGGUGCUGGUUGGUUUGAGAUAUUUAAGAUGCUCCUACUAUAUUACAGAUUGAUGUCUGGGUACUGAAUCAGCUUCUUUACUGAAACUAUAUAUUAUUAAAUCAGCUUGCUGAAAUUGAAAUGAUCAGACUUGAUAUGGGUCAUGCAAGUCAGAUUCUUUUCCUUUGCUUCAACCACUGAGCUCAAUACCCGAGUAAGUUUUCCUUGCAUCAUUUUCCUAUUACCAUUGGUUUCAUAUCUCUGUAAUUUUAGUCAGUUUAAUUGAUUAAGACUUGAUACAAGCUGAAAUAUUAAGGCUUAAAAGAUUGAGAAAAAGCAGGAUUUUAUCAUUGUUGAUAUAUUUUGUUUUGAUAUAGGCUGGGCUGUUCCGUCCUGCAGUUAAUUUAGUACAAGAAUCAUUAUUGGUCUAAUUCGGCAUGAUAUGGGCUGGAAUGUUCAUCCCUGCAGUUAAUUUAGUACAAGAAAACACCACCAAGUAGCUGCUACGGCAGUGUCUUACGGCUUAAGGUUUGUUCUAAAAUCAUUUCUGCCCAUCACCUUUCUCCUAUAUUUAGCUACUGGUUGUUAAUUUAAAGAGUUCACUGUUCACUUAAAGGACUUCAGUGGUUAGCAUUGGAAAUUAUGAGGCAGGCUGCAAUGUUAUAAAAAGUUCAGAAGUCGUACUAUUUGACAUUCAGGUUUUGCACCCUAGAGGCUUGCAUGAUGCACGUGGGCUACAUGUAGUUUCAUUGUAUCAUCGGAUCACAAUCUCUCUACUUCUGAUUUGUUUGAUUUCAGUUCAGGCUGGCAACAGUUGUGGGCGUGUGGUAUACCUAUCUGGUGUUAAUCAGGUUCUCAAGAAUGUCAUUAUGCUGCUGCUCUCGAGUCCUGGAAUUUCAUACAAAAAAAAUUCAUGUCUGCUAGUUGCUUGGUCGAAGCAGAGUGAUGGUCGAGAGCUACUAUACAGGACUUAUAUGUUCAAUUGUGCAUUAUAGAAGAAUAAGUAGAAAUGGAUCUAAUUUGUGCACUGGCACACUGGAUAUUUGAAGAAAAGUUGACCCAUCCUUGGACUGUGGGUUGGAGUUUGCAAAUAUGUUUUGACUUCACAAAUCUUGUUUGAUUAUUUGAGGUUAACACCCUGGCACCAGUAAAAAGAUAAUAGUGAUUGUGCUACGAUGGUUAUUUGAAGAAAUGUUUGCUUGGAUUCAAAAUCUUCAAGGAGGAUUAAAUAAAGAGAAUUGUGGUUCAACUGUUGGGUACAAUGAUUUCGGUGCUGUUUCAGUUAUAUGAUAUAUUUCCUUUGACCUUUGCUUGUCCUCGUAUUGUUUUUUUUUCUUCAUUUCAGUUGGAUCUGGCAACUGGACAUAGAUGACGCAGUAUUCUUAGUUGUUGCAGUUUUCUUGUAGUGUAGGGAAUGCAAGAGACCUAUGUAUAGUUAUUCAUCACUUAUCAUGUGGAACUUUGGUGUGUAAUCAACUUUUGUAAUGAGAUGGGAGAAAUCAACAACAAAUUGCAUUUUGAGAAUAAAUCAAAUUAGUAUAGUCUUUGUUGGCAGUAGCAACGUACGGGCACAUACUAGUGGAAAACAUAAUUUGGAUUUCGGAGCUAAGAGAUAUUGCCUCCAAAAUGCAUGCUGCGCAGAGAAGUCCAAAACCAGACAGAUUAUCUUGCCAUGCCAUUUUGGGAUCUUAAUUUCAUUUCCAAGGCAAGUCAUGAAUACCAAAGUUGUAGAUCUUUUGGUGCUACAAAACUUAGGCACCGAAUUUGCAUUAUUUAGAGUUCAGAUGUGGGAGAUAUGAUGUCCGAAAGGAAGGGCUGCGAAAAAGGAAAGUCUGGACGAAUUAGAUUUCGUGGAAAUCAAGUUCUGCUUAAUCCUCAAGCAAAGGGCUCAUACUAAGAUAGGUGGAGCACACCCCAAGGGUACUUAAGGGUAUCAACAUGACCCCCUUGGCAUGCUCAAAUCUAUUCACCAAAAGUCCGCGAAAUAGAGGAACACACACCAUAGGGAGUUGAGGGCCGCUGCAAGUCCUCGAAGUUGCCUAGAAGAUGGCUUAGGCUAGACCCUAGCCAUCAUGGUCGUCCCUGCAUGGCGAAGCCAUGGUGGAGUUCCAAAGCCUGGCCUUGAAUUUUUCGAGGCAUAUGUACAUUCAAUGGUGAUAUCAAUAUGUUCUUGUCUCUAGUUUGAUCUACUAUGGUUCAUUCUUAUUUAGUUGAUUCAGUUUGUUAAGUUACAUAGAAAAUCCAAGCCAGUUAGUUGUCGAUCCACAGAUCGAUAAACCUUGGAUGGAAUACUCUAAGGGAAAAGUUACAACUAAUAUAUGCGCUUGAGGUUCAUAAAUUGGCACACUAGCUACUGCCAACAAUAGCUUAUCCAUCUACCACAAGAUAGAUAUGAACCCCCCAUGUACCCAGUUCAGCAGCAUCAACAUCUUAGAAAGGAAAAAAAAUCAAUAUCUUGCUAAAAAAUAAUAGUGUCAUCUGCAUAUUGCAAAAUAGACAAGCUAUUUUCUACUAAAUGUGGUACAACCCCAUUCUCUUGCACGUCUUCCUUAGCCCUAGCAAUGAUGAGAGCCAACAUGUCACCACUAUAUUAAAUAGUAUAAGUGAGAGUGGAUCAACUUGUCGGCGCCCCUCUCUAUUCUGGAAAUAUGAAUCCAUUUACUCAUUUACCUUUAUCCCCACAUUUCCCCCUUUGGUAAAUACUUCUAUCCAUUUUCACCAAGUGUUAGAUAAGCCUUUCAUUCUUAAAGUAUGUUGUAAAAAACCGCACUUCACUUUAUCAUAUACUUUCUCAAAAAUCAAUCUUGAAAAUAAUACCAUCCUUUUUUUUUUAUGUGUCAUUCAUGUAAAGUCUCAUGUAAGAUAUCAUCUGUUAUAUUUCUUCACGGAAGAACAGUUUGUGAAGGUCUCAUAAUUGUUUGAGCUAUUUUCAUGAUUCUAUUUGUAGCCACUUCGUUAAAAAUCUUGAAGCUAACAUUCAACAAACAUAUUGAUCUAUAUAGUUGAAUUUGCUUCGCAUCACUACUAUCAAAAUAGUAAGAUUAUUGUUCCGAAGUUUAAGCUAUGGAGAGGCAGGGUGCCAUUGUGGAAAUCCUCAAAUGAUGCCGUCAAGCCAUCUUUGAUAGCGUCCAAGAAGAUUUGAUAAAACUCAAGAGGAAAUCGUCUAUGCGCGCACAAGAUGUUUUAGUUUUGUUAUUUCCACAUUGUGGAUCCUGGCAUGAUCAAAUGACGCUAACAAAAACGGUGACAAAAUUUCAUAAAAAAUACACUUGUUCUUUAUAUAUAUUUUUGCACCUAGUAUAUGUCUACCUUGAAAAUGUCAAUCUUUGUUUUGACCCCUACGUACAUGACACGUCUGAAUUUGUUCAAAUUAAUUUGACGCGGGUUGAACGUCCAACGGGGGCAAUGGCCCCCAGCCCACCACAACUGCUAGCAAAUAGCAACGUUGUAUACCAGAAUGUCGCACACAGCAUGACAGGCCAUCGCCAGCUAGCAGAGUGCAUGUUCAGUUGUAUUGAUAUGAUGCAGUAUAUGCAUAAGCUGAAUAGGCAAAUUAAUUGAACAAAAUGGCAGUAGAUAAACAGAUGUGAAGGUAGGAUGUACCAGUGUAGAAAAGAAGAGCAGUAUCGUACCUGAUCGAUAUCGCUGGCGUCGUAGCCGGGGUACAUGUGCCGCGGGAGGACGCGGAGGAUCCAGACGGCGGGAUCUGUACAGGAGCGGCUGCCUCUUCUUCUCCGACAAGUUGUGCGGCCAUGGCGCGUCGAACGGCAGCGGCCGCGCCUAUCGACCGACCCUGCACUCUGCUGAUCCCCGCGCUGGUUCGGAGGGUUACUUGCACUCCGGCGUUAUCAAGGCUAGGUUCUUGGGGAGCAGCCGCGACGGAGCUGCCUAAGGCUGCGGCGCGGAGGACGGCGGCAGGCAGGUUCCGAAAGAGUGGUGAGGAGAACAAUCUCAUAGGAGGGGUAACAGGUGAUUGCGGCGGCUUGGAACGGGUGGCGAAGAGUCAACGGCGGUGGAGGUGGGCGACGAGAACACGGCGAGCUACGAUUUUGCCCCUGGAUGAUAAGGACAAGUAAUUGGUGUAGUUUAAUAGGCGGUCUCAUGCAUUGACACGUAAUCUUGAGACGAUUCAACAGGUAACCUGUACAAUGGGUUGUCCUAUAAGUUGUCUGAUAGUGGUAUAUAAUUUCUUAAUUGUGCAUAAGAAAAAUAAAAUAUUAUGAGUUGCAUGGCAACAAUAACUCGUACAGUGGUUGUUAAGUUGUCUCGUAAUCCUACAAUUUAGCUUAUGAGGUAGUUGUUUCGCGAAGCAACGACCUCUUUCUCUCUCCUCGCUCUCUCUCCUCCACAUCAUCAAAAAUCCUACACACUGCAUGAGACGACCUAUAAAACCGCUGAUGCGUAGCAAUGUACUUGCCGCCAUAAGACGGGAGGCUUGUGGAGGUGCGGUGCGUGGAACGCACAGAUACGGUUCGGUGGGGAUUGGAUGGACGGGAAUGAACGGCAUCUGUUGCGUGAACAGUCCUACAGUAGCAUCGGCAGGGCCGUGAGAUGCGCUAUCCAGCGGCUCGGACGGAGGUACGGUACUGUACGUAGCAGGUAAAGUGUUCUCAGGAACUAAAGAUUUGAUAUGAUACAUCCGGGUUUAUCCAAAACACAAAAUCCUUUGGCCCCACUCCGGACGCGGACGACGUGGCCCUCUCCAUCGCCGCAACUGCCGCCCACCCUGCUCCUCUUCCCAAGACGCGGUCUAUGCACCAUCACCCCCUCCAUCAAACCGCCAUCCCGUAAAGCAGUCUCUAGCCUUCCAACACCGCGCCCACCAUCCAAACCACGCGUCCCUUCCUCUCCUCCACGCCAUCUCACGCCGCCGCGAUGCCGCCGGCCACCGCGCCGGCGAGCCCCGCCCCGGUACAUCCAUCCCGCGUGCGUGUCCUCCAACCGGGAGGGGGCCGUACGACGGGGCCAGUGGUGUACUGGAUGCUGCGGGACCAGCGUCUUGCGGACAACUGGGCCCUCCUCCACGCCGCCGGCCUCGCCGCUGCGUCCGUCCCCGCGGCUCCCAUCGCCAUCGCCUUCGCUCUGUUCCCGCGUCCCUUCCUCCUCGGCGCGCGCCGCCGCCAGCUGGGGUUCCUCCUCCGCGGCCUCCAGCGCCUCGCCGCCGACGCGCGCGCCCGAGGCCUCCCGUUCUUUCUCCUCGAGGGCGGGCCUGCGGAGGUGCCGGCGUUGGUUCGGCGGCUCGGAGCAUCCGCGCUCGUUGCCGACUUCUCGCCGCUGCGGCAGGUGCGGGAGGCACUGGACGCCGUCGCCAGCGAGCUGCAGCGCGACGCCGCCGACAUGGCCGUGCACCAGGUGGGUGCACUGGAAUCCCUCCCUUGAAAGUCUUUUCUUUUUUGGGGAGAUGGAAUCCCUCGAACGUUGGAAUGGGCUGAUACGUGGUCAAAAUGCUGUGGCGUUCAUGCAGGUGGACGCACACAACGUGGUGCCCGUCUGGGCGGCGUCGGGGAAGCUGGAGUACUCGGCCAAAACCUUCAGAGGCAAGGUGAGCAAGGUGAUGGACGAGUACCUGGUGGAGUACCCCGAGUUGCCGGCGUUGAUGCCAUGGGAUGGUGAGCAGUCGGAGGAUAUUUACUGGGAUGCGCUGAUCGACAGGGUUUGCAGGUGCGGCAGGGUUUUUGCAGUGAAGGGUGACACUUUCGCCUGGAAAGUAUAUUAGCAAUUUAGCAUUGAUAAUGAGGGUUAUAUAUUUCUGCACUCAUGGAAUAGUGAGGCGGAGAAUGUGCCAGAGAUUGAUUGGUGUGAGCCGGGGGAGGCAGCAGCGCUGGAGGUGCUUCUGGGGAGUAAGGACGGGUUCUUGACAAAGAGGAUCAAGAACUAUGACAUGGGCCGGAAUGAUCCUACAAAGCCACAUGCAUUGUCGUGUCUUUCGCCAUACUUGCAUUUUGGGCACAUUUCAGCACAGCGGUGUGCUCUGGAGGCAAGAAAACGCCGCCAACUUAGUCCAAAGGUGUGCUUGCCAAAAACCAUAUUAAAUUGCUAGCAUCUUUCUAGGACCCAGGCCGCAAACCUGAACAUCACUGAUAGAGCUUAAUCCAUCUGUCUCACAGUGAACUAAUAGCAUUAUGAAAUACCUCAUCUUUCGUUGCAGUCAGUGGAUGCAUUCUUGGAGGAACUGAUUAUAAGGAGGGAACUAGCUGACAACUUCUGCUAUUACCAGCCUCACUAUGAUUCACUGGCUGGUGCAUGGGAGUGGGCUAGAAAAACAUUGAUGGAUCACGCCUCUGAUAAAAGAGAGCAUAUCUAUACGUGAGCAAGUCAUAUGAGCUUAUUCCAUUUAUCUGCUUGCCAUGAUUAAGGAAAAAGGCUCAUGUUUGCUGUGGUUAUUUGUUCACUGGCAUUUUGUUUUGGCUUACAGGAGGGAGCAGCUCGAGAAUGCAAAAACAUCUGAUCCUGUAUGUAUUAGUAUUUUCCUUGUACUCUACUACAGAUGUUGAAUUCAUUCCGAUCUACUUCCUGAUUGGAUCAUCUGUUCUUGAUUUUCCAACUUUUAUCAGCUGUGGAAUGCAUCGCAGUUGGAGAUGGUGCACCAUGGAAAAAUGCAUGGAUUCAUGCGGUAACAUAAUUGGUCAUGGUUUAGCCCAUUUAUGUGUUGUUUGUUUAUUUUUGUGCUGAUAGGGCGGUGUUCAAAUUGCCUGAUUGCCAUGUCAUCUUGCUGGACAAAUAAAGAAAUGAGCAUUAUUUCGGCUUUGUUUAUCUACUCUGUAGUAGAAUUAGCACAUAAUGCAGUCAAAUAUCAAUGUCCUUGCCUCCAUUAGCUAAUAGGCCUUACAAAAAUAGCUGAUUGGUGACAAUUGCAUGUGUUACGUUUUCUCAUUUUGUAUUCAUAGUGCUUGUUUAGUUCAAACUUCAAAUACAGCUGAAUAAAUCAAGGUUUCUGUUCCUAUUUCAACAUUAUAUUCCUUCAAUUAUAGUUGACGUAAGUGUGGGUUAGCUUACAAUGAUUUUUGUAAUACUUGAUUUGUACCAAGUUAUUCACCAAGAUUUGUGUUGAUUCGGUUGGAGUUAACUAUUAGCAACCUUUUGUAUAUAUGUUCUUGAUAACAGAAAGCAAUCCACAUUGUUUAUAUGCCAUUUUCUCGCAACAAAGCUUUGUUUCUGUAUCGUUGAUGCUUUAUUUCUUCAUUGAUAUUCUCUGUAUAAGAGAUUAGUUUGUGUUGAUACAGUAUUUUUCUGCAGAAUGUAUUGGGCCAAAAAGAUUCUAGAAUGGACCAGUGGACCUGAAGAAGCACUUUCAGUAGCAAUAUAUUUGAAUGACAAGGUAAAUUUGUAAGAAUGUUUGAGGUGCCCAUAGAGUUGUACCAUUCUAUUUUUUUUCCUUGUUCAUGGAAACUUGCCUUUAUUCACCAAUGCAAGAAAUUAUGGGGUAGACAGAAACUUGCUGUACUUGUGUGUAGGGUUAUAAAAAUUACAGAUAAGAUUGCUUUGCAAGAACCUGCAAUUGACAAAAACUGUUAUUGUAAUAAUUCCUACUCCCUCCGUUUUUAUUUGUAAGGCAUACACGUAUAUCAAGAUUCAAACUUUACAGUAUUUGACGAAUAAUUUAACUAUCAUUUUUUUAUUUUUAUAAUGUAAAUUUUAUAUGGUUGGAUUCAUAAUCAAAUAUGCUCUACAUAACAAUAAAUAAUAUAAUAUAAUAUAAAUGAAUGGUUAAAGUGUAAUUUGGAAGAACGUGCCCAGUCAUACCCCUUUGAUAUCAAUUACACUCUCUUUGGGAGUGUUUGGUUUGAGGAAUGGGUUGAUCCAUCAUCUUCUCACUCUGUCACUUUUUUUGCUUGGUUUGUGGAAUGGAAUGGAAUGUGCUGGUCCAUCGCCACCAUACACCUCUUAUAAGUCAGUAAUUACUAUAAGCAUGAGAGAUUGGAGUCAUCCCACCAAAAUUCUUAGGAUAGACUCAUGAUGGAUGAGGUGGUCCCUCAAACCAAACACCCCAUUCAUUACCACUUAAAGUAUACUUUCAGCUGCCACAUUUAGGGUGCGUUUGGUAGAGCUCCCAGAGCUGAUUCUCUGUUGAUUCCAGCAGGAGCUCUGCCAAACAGUUUUUCAGAGAGAAGUGAUUCUUCCUUGAUUAUGUGAAGUGAUUCUCUAAAAUGAACUAAGAGGCUGGAAGCUGAAAAAAGUAGCUUCUCCUAAUUCUGCAAAGUGAUUCUCCAUCUUGAUUUUAAGAGUUUAUGCUAGAGAAUUGAAGAGAAUCACUUUCAUCCAUAGAAUCGCUUCUCUCGCCCAUAGAGAAUCAGAAUCAUAUGGAGCUCUACCAAAUAGGCCCUUAGGAGCAUAAAAGUUUGAAAAUUUACUGUUUCUGUAAGCAUCUGAUUCCUGAAGUUGUUCUAGUCCAAAUUCUGCACCUUUGCCCCCUUGUGAUUUGAUGAUUUUAGCAUGCCAAAAUCACAAAGGAGUUUUAGUCUCAGGUGCAGUUAAGAUUGUUGUUUGUAGUACUACUACAUAUGCUGAGAGAAAAGAUGGUAUCAGUUCUAACAAUGAAUAGAAUCAGCAUUCUUUUGGAAGUAAGGUGUACCUGACCUUACUGCUGUUUAUCACAAAAGAGUUAGUCUCAGAUGUAUAGCUUGAAGAUAUACCCAUACUGCACAUACCUGCUGUUCUCAUUUCCUCAGUGAAUAGAUUUGAUUUUGUUAUAGCAGUUUGCCUUAAGGUAUUCAAGUUGUUUUGAAGUAUGUUAUAUGAUAGGCUAACAAAUUAGUCUUUUGCAGUAUCAUAUAGAUGGCAGGGACCCCAAUGGCUAUGUUGGUUGCAUGUGGUCUAUAUGUGGCCUCCACGAUCAGGUUGGUGAACUUGGGUGGGUUAGUUCAUAAGAGAGACAGCAAAAUCUUUGAGUUGCUUUUCACAAGCACAAAAAUAUAUUAUGUAAUUCCAUAUUAGUCACUUAAAGCUUACAAGUUAUUCUGCACUCCUAUUUUUUCAGGGUUGGAAGGAGCGUCCAGUAUUUGGAAAGAUACGUUACAUGAAUUAUGCUGGUUGCAAGAGAAAAUUCAACGUUGAUGCUUACAUUUCAUAUGUUAAAAGAUUGGUUGCUCAGGCCAAGAAGAGGAAGGCCGAGGAAUCUCCAGAUACAGGGAAGGUCAAAGCGUCCAGAGUCUGAGGCGAUUAAGCAGUUGAACAUGUCUAAAACUUCUAUAUAAUUCGAAUUUGGCUGGUAGAUAUUAACAUGGCAACCGAAGAGUUGCUAAGUAGUAAUAAGUAGAGAGACAUUUUGCAAGGGUUUAUGCUCACUGAUAUUCUUAUGACUUCUGAUGAUUGAAACUUAAUUAGCAUUAACUAAGACCGGUCAAAUUCAAGUGUAUGCGAUUGUUAACAUUGUUACUGAUUUGAAUGUUAGCUAGUGUUGUACUUUUGGACAACAUAUGUGACAUUGCUAAAUUGAAGAGGGAGAUGCAUUAUGGAAAACUUGUACCUUGGGUUCUCGUAGAGAAUGCCAUCAUUUAAUACAUUGUUUUUUGAACUUGUAUCGUUAGUAUGGAACUUCAUUUCCUGAUCCGAAAUUUGUGAAGAUGGAUUUGAUAGGAGUGCUUUAUUUCCUCAAAAGUAUGUAGGUUUUUUAGUUCCAGGUUAGCGUUUAAAUUUAUUGAAGGGAUCGUAACACUCACAAUUUCUACAUUGGUGUGAACUAGGUUUCUACAUAGGUGUGAACUAGGUUUUCUAUUUGUUAUCUAACCUAUUGUUGUUAUCUCUACUAUAAAAGAGUUUUGCAUUCUAUGUUCCAAUCAUGUAAACUACACAUGGUAAUUAUAGAAAAAGUAAAUACAGGAUAUAGUGUAGUAAAAAAUACGAAAGGUAGAUGAGUUAGAGAAGGCAAACUCCUACCAUGACGAUUUUUACUGACGUAUCGGAAAGCAAAGCUUUCAACUAGUCGUCGUUGUUGAAGCCCCUCUCAAGGUAUUGCCCGCACAAGGUAUAAGCUCCCCGGUCAAGUAGCCGAUAGGCCUUCCCCACGUGCAAGUGGGUCUCCAUCUAACCUCUUCCUGAUGCUCCUCCCUUCCACAUGCACCGGCGGCCACUCCAAAAACGCGGUUGAAGGAUCUCGUAAGACUUACGAGCUCCGGAUUUACAACUAUCGGUGCGCGCAAGCACAGAUAACAAAGACUUGUGCAAACCUCACCUACCUCUAGGCUAAUCCCUAAAGCAAUAGCACUAAUCAAGACUAGCCUUAUGCUAAUUAUCUUAAUCUUCUCAUGAGCACUUUGGUGGAUAGAGUACUUGUCUAUAUGUGGCAUACAAGCUUACAGCUUGUCCAAGCUCUAACACACUUUAAAUGGUCGAGCAAUGGGACGUAUAUAGUCUCAACCCCCAAAACUUACCGUUGCUCCUCAGUGUACACCAACUAAUUCAGUGCAGCUCAGUGUACACCACCACCAAAUGAAUCGGUGGUCCAACUUCAGGUAGUCGUUGAGCCGCUGUCACCCGAGCCCUACAUGUAUCACCGACCGAUUCGAUGAUAUGUGAAGGGCAUCACCGAAUCAUUCGGUGACCCCUGAGCCGUAGUCUUCUCUGUCUUCAAGUACUGUCUGAUUCGCUGGUGAGAGAUAUGGGUACCUCAUGGGUCCCUAUCGACUAGGAUACUGACAAGUGGGCUCGCCCGACUAGGGUGUGCGAACUGACAACAUGAAGAUACUUUCAAAUCAGUUCGGAUAUUGUAGGUGUCCAACUCAGAUUACCUUCCAUGUAACUACCGAGUAGAUUAGAUUUAAACCAACUUGUAACCCUAGGUCGUCAGCCUAUAUAAGGCGGUCAAGGGAGUCUCCCAAGGGCAAUCCAACGCACCGAAUCUCUCAAGCAAUACAAGCCACCAAGCAUAUAGUACGUAGGGUAUCCUCUCCGGAGGCUCGAACCUGUCUAAAACCCCCUUGUCCCUUGUGUUCUUGCUAUCACUUUUCUGUUCUUGCUAUCACUUUCGAGUUCUUUAUUUCACAAUCGCCUCCACGUACAAAUGAACUACUUGGGUAACCCCCUGGUAGACUGCCGGGCUUAUAAAUCUGACGGUUGACGUGCCAGGUAGGGGUGAUUGUGAGAUCCUCCCCAGCGAGCUCGAUGGCAUUUCGUCCCGACGUCAUCUUCCCCGAGAGCACGAAGAACUUUCUCGCGCUCGUCCACCCACCCAUGCUGUACCAAACCCGCAGCACCCAUCUAUCGACGGAACAACCUUGCCUUGAGAGAGGGCAAGAAAGUGACAGAUGGAGGCGGCGGCGGCGGCCGGCCGGCGUGCAGCCUGGCUCCUCGAUGCCCCAGAUCGCCACGCAGGUGGAGAUGGCGGAGGCCCGGGUGCCGCUCGCCUACCACGACCAGUGCGCACACCUCCUCAUCCCGCUCAACAAUCGGUGCAUCGCCGAGUUCUACUUCCCUGGAAGUGCGAUCCCGAGCACGUGAUUGAGUCAGGAUUCUGGAUUGAAAAGCACGCGCAAAAGGACCGGUCCGAGCUAUUUUUGUUUGCAAGUCGAACUAUAGGAUCAAGGGAUAGGGCAUGCACGCUGGACGCUGCGUGCAGAUACGGCGGAGUCGUCCUGCAUUCUAUUACUUUUUCUUUAAUCCGGUCAUGAAGUACUACUUGGUUCUUCAUUCAAUUAACCAGGACUAGCAAUAUACCCGUGCGUUGCAACGGUAAACAUGGCACAAACUUAGUUGAUAAUUUAAUUUAUAAUAACCCAUAUCAAUUAUUCUAAAGAUUUUUAGGCUUCAAAUUUGUGCAUAAGUUAGGCUCAUUCACGUGACGGCGCCACGCUUUGAAUGGAGUCGCAAAGAUGCACAACCAGAAAAACACACAUCAAAUCACACAUACAGCAAAUAUGCUCUCCCCUUUGUCUAGUGGUGAGGAACAGGGUGGUCACGGACCUCUACCCCACGGCCUCCGCCGCCGCCGAUGGGGCCACACCAUCCGCCGGCUGCAGCGUGGCCGGAGGCAGCUCGCCCCAUGGUUGCUGCGGCAGCCUGCCGGUGGCCAUGGCACCAAACAAGUGCUGCUUAGUGAUCACUCUGCUGAAGAUAAAAUAGCAAAUCAGUUACACAGAUGCUCAUUAUCAUUCCAAUGAAUCACUCUACAUUAAAGGUAGCAUAUCAAACUAAAGGAAUAGUAUUGAUAUAUACAUAAAAAUUCAAACAGCUAGAGAGAAUGGUAUUGAUACAUAAAUAUUCUAAGAGCUACUAAAGGAAUUGGCAACCGAAUUUGUGUUUGAUUUGCACAUGAUCAAAACCCAUUAGCGUGCAACAUCCGGCAAAACAAGAGGCCUAAAAGUCCUUGGGCGCAUGCAAAAGAGUUCUGAGGUGCAUGCGAGCUGCUCUAUGCCUCUAUCAACUAUCACCCAUCUCACUACACUGACACAAUUAUGACCCAUAGCGAGGAGCUGAGGACAGGGUGUGUUGUGUGCAUCGACGGCAGCACGUCUCCUUGAAGUGCUCCGCUCUACUACUCUUGAAGUGCUCCACUCUACUACUGCGCACAAUGGAGUAGAGUUAAUAAACUUGUGAUCCACAAAUAUUGCAUCAUGCACAAUUAAUGUCAGAUGCAUUUUCAAAAUACUAUUUUCACACUUGCUCUCAAUGAAGAAAAGAACAUAUUUGGGAUUUCAGCAAACAAAAAGGAAAUUUAAAUCAACUGCUUUGCCAUUUCACAAAUGAUAAGCUAUGACUUAUUGUAUGAAUUCAUCCUUUUGUCUUAACCUUUAUCUUAAUAAAACACCAAGUAAAUAUGGAUAAAUCAAUAAUUGUCACCAUAAUUUAGUAUUUAUCAAGGCAUUGAAACCUCACUUUUCAGGUGAAAUAGACCCUCAUCAGUCAUCACCAAUCUUGCGUGGGUCUAAGUCUAAGCACUCGUUGAUCAAUUUUGAAAGGAACAAGGGCAUCAGAAAAAAAAGUAUUUCCCCAUUAUGCAUCAAUUGAUACACAAUGAAAUAUAAAUUCUGUUGUACUUGAAAGGUACAAGCAUCUCUCACAAGAUAUUAGGUAGAAGCACAUUUCUGACAAGAUAUUAAAGUUAAAUGCUCUUUGUAGGUGUAUUUCUGAUAAGAUAUUGAUAGCCUAUGAUUUUAAUUAUGAAUACAGUCAAGAAAAACGAUGAACCACUUUCCUAAACAGAUAAUUGAGUUUGCCAAAAGUUUUAUAAUCUGCAUCGUGUUUACGUUCCAAGUUCUCACAGCUGUCGUUGCAUGUGCCACACCAACUUCAAUUCAACAAGACCAAUAAAGGCCAAUCCUGCAAUAGAAUAAUAAAUUUUAGUCUGUUAGUGAAGUUUUAGUAUCCAAGUGGUUGAUUUGAAGUGUUUCAUGCAACAAUCUAAAUGAGUAUUAUUGUAGAGUUCAUAGCUAGAUGUGUACACAUAGGGAAACAGGACUAAUAAAUUUAUAAAAAAGUAAAACUUGGUCAAAAAAAUGCUGCCUCCAGUCAACUAUUUUCUUUUGAAAUUAAGAAUAGAAUGAUAUUGUGUUCACCACACCAGCAACAAAAGAAAUAAAAUUUUUUGUUCCUUUCAUGUUGUAUAUACUAUAUAGUAGCUGAAAAGUAUUAUCAGGUUAUCUUUGUCUGACACUUGGAAACAUUCAUGUUGUGUAUUAAAAUAAGAACUCUUAAUCAGAUCCUAAAUCAUUCUCUUAUCAUAACAUAUGUUAUGACAAUUGUAGAUAAUUAGUGGUAAUGGGCACUAUUUCCACGGGCAAAGAGAUUAAAUAUAAGAUUUUUUUUUGCAGAAGUGACAAUUGAUGGCACAGUAGUCCCAGAAGACACAAAACCUGAUAUAACCUCUAAAGAAACUGCAGUGACUCCAUAGCCCUCCAGAUUGAGAUGAGCUAACUUGUGUAGACCUGAAUUGAAUAAGCCAACAAUAAAACACAUGAAGUAACUUGAAAUGAAACCUCAUUUUACUGAAACUAAAAGCAAUGACUUAGUAAAACAAGUAAAUAGACCUAAGAAAGCAUGUGACUUUAAUACUGAAACCCACCGAAAGCAAUGAAACCCACCAAAAGCAUAGUGCAAACCUGAUUGAAAUGCUGCCGUCAUCGUUCACCUGAGAGAAGAAACAGAGGCUUGCUGCUGCUGCGUGCCUGCACUGCACCAAAACAAUACAUGUGCCCAAGAGCAAAAAACUGCAGGCGCUGAUGCUCCUCCUGUCACUGCACCAUAUUACCUAUUGAACAGAGAAAUAGAGCUCUAGCAAAACCAAGCUGAGCUGCAGCUAUUGCCAAGUGAAAGAAACAACACUAAAAGCCGGGGCAAUGCUGAUGGCCUACGUUCAGAAGUGAAGCUUCAAGAGCUUUUGAGCAAAGGCACAGAGCAGAGCUGCCAGAUCAAGCUCCAAGAGCAGAAGCCAGAAAUCUAAACAGCGGAAAACCAGAAAUUCGAUGAGGGAGCUUUUGCUGACAGAAAAAUAUGUGGCACCGGAACUGAGGUCCAGCGCCUCCAUCUGCGUGAGCUUCGUGAAGGAUGGUGGCAGGUCGCCGUCGAGACCAUUGUUGAAGAGCACCAGAAAUCUGAGGUUGGACAAAUCGCCAAUGCAGUCAGGAAGCGCGCCGGUGAGGUUGUUGUUCACCGCGCCAAACGCCCACAUCACCGAGCAGUUGCAGAGGCGACCGGGGAUGCCGCUGUGGAGCGUGUUGUUGCCGAGGUCCAGUAGCUGCAGGCUCCUCGGGUCGCCGAGCUCCGGCGGGAUGCCGUCGGUGAAGUUGUUGUCGUACAGUACGAGCUGCUCAAGCUCGCCGAGGCGGCCGAGCUGCGGCGGCACGGCGCCACCGAAGCGGUUCGAUGUCAGGUCGAGGACCUGCAGCGUCGAGAUGUUGCCGAGGAACGACGUGAGCGUGCCCCGGAGCCCAGUCUCCAGGAGCUGGAUGGACGUGACGUGGCCGGCGCCGUCGCAGGCCACGCCGGUCCAGUUGCAGUGCGCCGGGAAGGUGCCACCGGCACCGCCUGCCCGCACCAGUAUAUGUUCCGAUUCCAUCUCGAUGCAGCCUCUAUUUCUCGAUUCCGUCUCCAAGCGCGCGACGGGCCGAAUUGGCGGGUGAGGCAACCGAGAGCGAACUGUGGCCGCUGCGGAGCGGGGAUCAAGAAAUACCACCAAGAUCGAGCGAGAACACGAACUGGAGGGACCCCAUGGGCCUCCACCCUGCGCCGCCGCAAGCCCCCGCCCCCGCCGCUGUCCCCUUCACCGGCCCUCCCCACGCUGCCGCCGCCGCUCCACGCCUUCAUCGCUGAGGUCGCCGGGGAGGACCGCACCGCCGACCUCCCCGAGGAGCUCCCUCGUCUGGCGCCAGAUCCGUUGCCGCCUCCAGCGCCUCCUUCGUCGAGGUGAGGAGGAGAGAGGACCUCUCUUCACACUCUUCCUCCUCCCAUUCUUCACGGCCGCGGCCGAGCCCAGGACGCCGGCCGCCGCACCUCCGACGCUGCCGGCCGCCCGCGCCCAAUCUCCCUCCGCCUCUCUGUUGUGAAGAAAGGAGAAGUCUUUUUCCCAUUAACCCCCUCCCUUCCCUUCUUUUUCCACCCGAGCUCCCCUCUUUUCAACAUUUGGACUGCGGGUUGAUUACUAAAAAGUCAAGGGACUUUUUUGCAAAAUAACCACGACGAACGAAAAUUGCUGGCAGAGACGUUGUUUGCUUUAAUAAUAGGUAUAGAUUAUUAAUCUAUUCUCUUGCAUGGUUGUACGUCUACAUGGUCAUCAAGCGUUGCUUCUUGUGCCGGAUGAAGAGGCGGCAAGCAGGCGUAGAGGUCCCACAUCCGUACGGGGUCAUCUAUUCACGUGCUCGCGGCGCAACGACAGCAUGGGUAAUGCUUGGUCCUCUGGCCAGCACCACCGAUCACUUCGACCAUCUGGAACCAACAUCGGCUUCGUCAACAGCUGUUCACCAAUGGCUGCCCGCUCGGGAGUGACAUGGGUUCUCUGACUCGACCACGAAUCAAGAUAAGUCUUAUUUAUAAUUAAAUAUUUUACGGCUUUUGUAUACCUACAUAUGCCUCGGCUCCUCCAUGUCUCCGUGACUUUCGCUGACCGCCUCGGCUUCUCUAUGUCUCCGUGACUUUCGCCGACCACCUUGGUCACACCCCGACUGCUUAUACAGGUUGGUCUGUCCACUACACGGGCGGUCGGGAGCUACACCCCAUGAGUGCCCAGCUUAUGCUGGUUCCAUCUGCUUUGCGGCUUGUCCGUCCCUCUUAAUGGUUGCUAAAGUACUCGGGUAGCACACGUCUUAAUCCGUGAAACCUUGACUCAUCAUGCGCGUCUCCUAUAUGUGAGCAUCGGGUCAGCCCUAGCACUAUAGCCUGAGGUAAGCUAUCCUCUCCGUGAGCAGUGGUCAACAGGACUAGGUGCUUAAAUGUAACAGGCUAAUUACCUGGGAAAAUUACCUAGUCUACAAGAGCAGGAUGCACAAGAGUUUACUUCUACUACAGUAAAAUUAAAUUUCUGAGUUGUUCAAUUAUUAAAUAAUCUACACUAUGCUACAUAAUAUUUGUAUUGUCCUUUUACAGCUUAAAAACUACUCGGCGUGCCUCCCGUCGUCCGGCCGACCUCUUUGGCUCGAGGCGGGAGGCGACUCGACGUGCUUCCGCGACUCGUCCAGCUCCCAGCCUCGGGGGUUGGGCACCGCAGACGACUCGGCGUGCUAUCCGUCGCCUGGCCGACCUUUCUAGCUCAGGGCAGGAGGUGACUUGGCGUGCUUCUGUGGCUUGGCUGGCUCCCAGGCUCGAGGGCUGGGCGCCACAGAUGACUCAGCAUGCCUCCCGUCGCCCGGCUGACCUCUUUGGCUCGGGGUGGGAGGUGAAUCGGCGUACUUCCGCGAUGCGUCUGACUCCUAGGCUCGGGGGCUAGGCGUCAUAGAUGACUCGGCGUGCUUUCCGUCACCCGGCCGACUUCUCUAGCUUGGGGCGGGAGGCGACUUGGCGUGCUUCUAUGGCUCUACCAGCUCCCAAGCUUGGGUGCUGGGCGCCGCAGGCGACUCGGCGUGCCUCCCGUCACCCAGCCGACCUUUUUGGCUCGGGGCGGGAGGCGACUUGGCGUGCUUCUAUGGCUCGGCAUGCUCCCAGGCUUGGGGGCUGGGCGCCAUAGAGGACUCGACGUGCCUCCCGUCGCCCAGCCAACCUCCUUGGCUCGGGGCAGGAGGUGACUCGAUGUACUUCUGCAGCUCGUCCGGCUCCCAUGCGACUCGGCGUGCCUCCAUGGCUCCGCCAUUCCUCAUCCUUGGGGGCUAGGCGCCUAUUUUAGGUCGGUGUGCCUCCGUGGCUCCGCCAGUCCUCAUCCUCGGGGGCUGGGUGCCUACUUGUGGUCGGCAUGCCUCCAUGGCUCUAUCUUUCCUUGUGUUCUGUCCUUCACUUUGACUUGUUGGAUGCCCGACAUCCAUCAACUCCGCACUUGACUUUGCUCUGCACAUAUGGCUCCUUGUUCACUCGGAUUUUCUUCUUCUUUUUUGAGCAUUGCGUAGCCUCUCCGUCACCAUGACGCCAUCGCAGCUUUAGCCGGGUACAUUCCAAGCUUCGCUGUGAUGACCUCAAGUUCCUAGUCACCUACACAUUCCUCAACUUCCUCAAGCUCAAGGGGCUUGAGGGAUAUGGGUACCCCAUGGGUCCCUAUAGACCAGGAUAUUGCCUGGACCUGACAAGUGGGCCCACUCAACUAGGGCGUGCGAGUCAAGGACAUGAAGAUACUUAGAGUACAUGUCAAGGUAACCAGACAGUUCAAAUCAGCUCGGAUAUUAUGGGACACGUAUUGUAGUCCGACUCAUGUUACCUUCCAUGUAACUACCGAGUAGAUUAGAUUCAAACCGACUUGUAACCCUAGGUCAUCAGCCUAUAUAAGGCGGCCAAGGGAGCCUCCCGAGGGCAACCCAACGCACCGAAUCUCUCAAAGCAAUACAAGCCACCAAGCAUACACGAUGUAGGAUAUUACUCUCUGGAGAUCCGAACCUGUCUAAAACCCCCGUGUCACUUGUGUUCUCGCGAUCACCUUCGAGUUCUUGGUUUCACAAUCGCCUCCACCUACAAAUCAACCACUUGGGUAACCCCUUGGUGGACUGCUGGGCUUAUAAAUCCGACAACUUGCCUUGUCCUGUGGUCACCGUAUGAAUCGGUGGUUACUUAUAAACUUUCAGAGCCGGAUCUGAGCCAAUCAUGAGCCGAGCCGAUCCUCACCGACUGAUUCGAUGGUGACCUUGUGUACACACCGUAUGAAUCAGUGCACAUAGUGCACACUGUCUUGGUUCUGCUGCUAUCCAUGGUCACUGAGUAGUAAUUUGGGGACUUCUCCGGUCAUCAUCAUAUUAAUCGGUGGAAUGCAUCAAUGCUCAUUUCUGUGGUAGAACCGCCCCAAUUAAACCGGCUCAAGCUCACUAACCCUCAUCAUAUUAAUGAAGUACAGGUCAAUCGCACUUCAACCAGUCCAACCAAACACUCUGUUGGGUAGUUCCUGAUUUAACCACUGAUUUCAUUGUUCCGAAAUGAACACCAGAAGUCUCACACGAAGGUGAGUACAGAUAGUACAAGCAUGACAGAGUACACGAUAAGUUUACAAACCGGGUUCAAAUACAUAAAUAUUACAUAGAGUUCAGCACGGAAGCUGAAAUAAACACCGACAUGAAUAAAAGUCUAGCACAACGAUUCAAAAGUGAUCAAGCUAAAGACCACACACUUCAGCCCAAUAAAUACCUAUUAGGAUCAACGACCACCCAACUAUCGGCAUCACGAAUAACAAAUUUAGCGCAGCAAGGACAGAAACCUAUAUCAUCUGCACCUAAAAUAAAUUUAUCAACAAACCUUGAGCAACUAAUACUCAACAAGACUUACCGACUAGUGGUAUACACUUAGCCGACUCCUAGUACGCAAGACUUUUAGCUGAGGGGUUUGUUUUGCCAAAAAGUAACUAAGAGUGUUUCAAUAUUUUAGCAUCAAGUUUAAAGUGAGAGCAACUAUUUUCUUAUGUUUGCAAGAUAAAUAAACCAAAGCAACGAACAAGUAAAUAAUUUAGCAACACAAAUAAUGAUCAUCAUUAGAUUCACUUCUUUACUAGCGAUGUGACUCCGUGAUCAAGGUCCCAUAACUGAGAGUGCGGCAAAUCGAUUCGAUUUAAUCCAUUGCAAGGUAUACCAAAUCACAUUACAUAUGCAUACCCCGUUGAGCAGCACAUGGCGACCAUUCUCUUCAAGAGCGCUAAAUAUUUGAACUGCCACACGAUCCUCAAGUACUAGUCCCCACCGAUACCCAGAUGGGUCAAACAUGAGUUAUUGACUAGCACCCAAUGGAGAGAUGCUAUCAAGCUCAACCUACCAGUGCGCAAUAAGGUAUAUAGGUUUAACGGUUUCGACUACCUCGUACUCGCUAACUAGUGAAUUAUUAUGUUUUAAACAUGAGAUGACUAGGCAUGAUCAAUUUUAUCAAUUCUCAGAACCUGAACUGAGCCAUUAACAGUAACAAAUGUCAGGUAAAUUUUUCUAGAAAUUACACUAAGGUCCCGUUUGGGUCCAAGGAAUUGGAAUCUAUUUAAUGGAGUAGGCUAAUUUAUGUUGGAAUGUGGCAUUCCACAACUUUCCAAAGUUUAGAUAUAAGCCUAUCUUAAAUUCAUGGGGUGGGAGAUGGAAAUUGAUUCUAUAGAUUAUGGUUAUUAGAUGGAAUUCAAUUCUUAUAGCACGCUCUUAGACUCGCUUCUCUAUAGUAGAAGUGCAGCAUACAAGUAUCUCUCCCAUAUCACCAACUAUAAUAUACAACUAUAUUCCACAUACAAUUAUAUUAGCUUAAUUAAUUUGUGUCUAAAUUAUGAUUAUUAGGAUGGAAUUCAAUUCCAAUGAUCCAAACGGGGCCUAAUAGAAUUCACAUACAACCAUUUUUAUUUACACUAAGGUAAAUGUAGCUAGGAAUAAGAAAAUUUACUAAACUAACUUAUAAACGCAUUCUGGGGAUGAACAACAUAUAACAUGGUAAAUGUAUUGACAAAGUAUUUUACAUGAUUUUAUCAAGAUUUUACAAAAACAUAAACUAUUUAUAAUCAUAAGAACAUGUCAACAUGGUGAUAAGUUUAUUUAAGCAUCAUCAUAUGGUUUCUGUACAUAAAAGCUUAACAGAAACUAAUAUGCCACAAGAGUACUUUCCUGUGAAUAAUUAUUUUUGGGUUGAUAGAAAUAUCUAUACACAUUAAACUCUAUUAUGCAUACACUGAUUUGUACCAAGGGCAAAAGAUUUUUUUCACAAGAUCUCUCAUUUUUAAAAUGUAGUAUGAGUUACAACAGAUCCAACAAAAUUGGUUUCAUAUGUUUAUCAUUUUUCUACGGUAUACUGUGCAUUUCUGAAGAUUUAGUCAGGAUUUACGUUAACCAAAUUCAUAAUUAAUCAAAAUUUUCAGGGAAUACUUUAGCUACCCAGAUCCUGUGCUACUAAUACCCCAAGCGCCAAUGACAUGCGGGACCCGGAGUCAACAUGACCUAGGUCAGGUCACCGUCGGUCAAGCUGACCUACGCCAGCGACGAAGAUUUUGGCGAGGAGGCUGGCACCAAUAGCUUCAGUGCAACGAGGUGCACCCAUACCCACCCGCGGCCCGACCGGAAGGUGGCCGGACAUGGCCGGUGACGAGCGCUGGCGGAAACAGCUCACCAAUGGCGGCAUUUGAGCCAAUUCUGGUGGCAAUAAAGGCGGAGAAAGUGGGGAAAUGAGGCUGUAGCAUCUAUGGCUCACCAGAAAUCCGAUUUGGCAGUCGGUGGUGGAAGAAGAGGCUGGGAUGGGGGAGUUCACAAGCGGCACCUGAGCUUGUGGCUAGCGGCAAUGGCGGGCGGGGAUUCUUCAAUCCCCACCGGAGGAGCCAUGGCCGGCGCUGCUGAGUGGUGGCGGAUGGAGUUUGGGAUGUGGGGAAGGCUCUGAUGGUGCCGUUUUGGGUAUGGUGGGUGGAGUAGGGAGAAAUCGGCCAGCGGAUGGAGCUGCUUUGUGGUUCAGUUCUUGGUUUUGCUAGAGGAAGAAGAAAUGCAGAAAGAGAAUGAUUCAUAAUUCUUAAUGGAGAAGGAAGAGGUGAAAUGAGCGUGUGGUGGAGGGAGAGGUGCGUGGUCAUGGUCGUGGCGACGCUAAGGCUCGUAGGCGGCGUUUUUCUGAUGACGGUCGGGCCUAAGUCUGAAUAAACCGAGCAAUUCAGUUCGCACGCGAACACACUGAAACUGGCCAUGUUCGACCCAUCAAAACUCCCCAAUUUUGUGCAUAAGCUAUAUUUGGAAUGUACACCAAAGUUUUAGAUCACUCGUCCAACUACAACUUUCUGUAAAGGUCAUUGGCAUAAAAGUCUAUGGAUUUGACGUUACAGAUGCCUCAAUUUUGGGAUUUACAUGGUUUUAACUGAAUUUCCAAUGAAUUGAAAUGUGGUUUUUGGCCAACUUUGAGUUGAAAAACAAAGGCCAAAACGUUGGUGCACAAGUUCAAACUUCCUGUGCAUGUCACUUUUAAACAUAGGGUAACAAAUUCUAUAAAGAAUUUUUGAAAAGUUCAUACACAAAAUUUGGAUAAAAUCAAGUGUUUUGGUGUCAACUUUGAGCAGCUUUCAGGACUUGGGCAGAUUUGAGCAGAGGCUGGAAACAAUGGUUUUACCAGUGUUUCACUAGGUUUUUGAAUGAGUAAACUUUGUUUUCAUACAACCACAACACACCAAAAUGAAACUUCAUACAUUAUACUGCAAGUUUCAUGUUGGUCAAAAGUUAAAGUGUUUGAGCACAUUAAUUUUAAAAGUUAGUCAAACAAGGCUAAAUAGAAUUACUCUACACAAGAGUUUUCCAAGUAAUGAAGGUUUAAAUGUGAAUUUUGAAUUUGACUUGGUCAAUAAUUUUGACAGGCUACUCGGGAUAUGUGAGAUCAGGUGCAAUAUGAAUAUCAUCUGUAUUAAUUGCUUCAGCUGGCACCCGAAGACAUUUCUUGAGUUGAGAAAGAUGAAAGAUAUUAUGGAGCGCCGAUAAAUGUGGAGGAAGUUCAACAGGAUAAGCCACAGGCCCACAUUCUUCAGUGAUGGGAAAAGGUCCAACAUAGUGAGGCGCUAGAUUUUCCAUCACACCAAAAUGCUGAACAACUUUCAUGGGUGAUACCUGAAGAUACACCUGAUCGCCAACUUUGAAUACAAGUGGUCGAUGCGUCUUAUCAGUGUAAUUUUUCUGAUAGGAUUGUGCCACUUUAAGAUUUGACUGAAUGAGACGGACUUGUUCUUCAGCAUCUUUAACCAAUUUAAUGGUCCAAAGAAAUUUCUCUCACCGACCUCUAACCAAUUUAAUGGUGUCCUACAUCUUCGCCCAUAUAGAGCUUUGAAAGGUACCAUUUGAUACUCUCUUGAUAACUAUUGUUAUAAGAAAAUUCAGCUAGCGGUAGACACUCAUCCCAUUUCUUGCUAUAAGUGAGAAUAUAUGCUCUAAGCAUAUCUUCCAAAAAUCUGAUUUAUUCUUUCAGUUUGACCAUUGGUUUGAGGAUGAUACGUCGAAUUGCGAAUGAGUUGGGUAUCGAGAGAUUCAUGCAAGUGUUCCCAAAAACGAGCAAUGAAUUGAGAGCCCCGAUCAGAUAUGAUUGUUUUUGGAACACCAUGAAGACUCCCGAUACGUGCAAUGUAUAGCUCAGCAUAUUGCUUUGAUUUAUAACUACUAUUUACUGGAAGGAAAUGAGAAGAUUCUGUGAGACGAUCAAUGAUAACCUAUAUAGAAUCAUAUCCUUUAGAAGUUGUGGGAAGGCCAACAAUAAAAUUUCAUACUGAUGUCUUCCCAUUUCCAAGAUGGAAUAUUUAAUGACUGAAGUGUCCCAGCUGAUUUAAGUGACUAGUUUUUACCCUUUGGUAGAGAUCACACUUGGAUAUAUAUAUUUAGCAAUCUCGCCCUUCAUUCUAGUCCACCAAAAUUAUUGUUUCAGGUCCUGGUACAUUUUAUUGCUACCACAGUGGAUAGAUCAAUAACGUGAGAGGUGAGCUUCAUCAAGAAUUAAUUUCUGGAGCUCAAAGUCUUUGGGCACCGCAAGAUGGUUUUUGAACCAUAAAACACCAUCAUCGUCUUGUUGAAAACACCCAGUUUUAAUGUCAUUUUUAGCAAGCCUCUGUUUAAUCUUUACUGUGAGCAGAAAUGAUCCGAGUAUUUCAAUGGCGUUGUGUUCAUUCAAACCAAGUUACGGUUUACAAUUUGUUGCCAAACCCCUGUUACCAUGUACUUACUUUUAGUACUCACACUGGGCAGGAAUUGUAGCUGUCAGCGUCGAACUGCGACAGCGCCGGCAUUCCUCCAUCUUCUAACACCCCGGGUGUUAAUUACAAUCAUUAAUAUUGAACAUGUCAUUAUCAUUUCUGAUCAUGUUGUUCGAAAUACAAUUAAGAAUCUGAACCAACAAUGAACUAGCUGUCCAAAAGUGGUGUUUGAAAAAUCUUGAAUAGUUUUAUACUAAGAAACAAAACUUUCAGAAGAGUCUAAAUUUCUUUAAAAGAAAAGUGGUCGAUAUCUAAGUUGACGCUAAUUUCGAAAUGUUAGAAAUCACCUUUUUAGUGGUUUUGUAAAUAAGUUACCUAUUUGGACUUUGCAAAGUUCAACGUGGAGGGUUUCUAAAAAUUUUAACCAACAAAUCUGUAUGCUAGUUGAUGUCAUCUUUAAAUAAGAAAAACUCAUAAUUUGAAUUUUUGGUAUUGUUCACAUGGAAAUUCUUAGAGAAGUUUGAAAGAGAGUACUCCUUUAAAAAUUCUUGCUGAAUUAAAACAUGUCUUAAAAAACAUAUCAUGGUGAAAUAUCAUGUUCCUACUAAACAUAAUGUUUUAAGUAAAUAAAACUAGAACUCAUGAAGUUCUUUAAGGUGGAAAUCUAAUUCUAAUGGGAAGUUGACUAAUAGUAUUAAAAGCUCCAAAAUGGAAAUUGCAAGUUGAAAUCCUUUAUAAUGAAAUUCAGUUGAAUGAAACUUCCUUAAAUUGAACACUAGAAUUCUUUGUGCAUGCAUAAAUAACUUCUCAUAUCAUUUUCUAUGCUAUGCUUUAUAUGUUCUAAUGACUUUCUUAUUAAAGACAAUAUUAUGGAAUGCCUUAGCUAAAAAUCAAAUUAAAUACUAAUAACAAGUAUAAACAUGGAAAUAUGAGUUUAAUUCCAAAAUCAUGCAUGCAUAAACAUAUUCAAUAAUUUUUCUAGCACUUGAGCAAAUGUGAUGUUGCUUUUCUUUCUAAAUGAAAUUUAGGAAAUAUUUUGGCUAUUCUUCUAAAUUAAAUAACAAUAAAAGUGUGCAUAUGGAAAAUAUGUAAAUUAUACUUAAAUAAAGUUGGAAGUGUUAGAUGAAUCAAUUUUGAGUCCUGAACAUGUUUGAGUAUUGAAAUAAAUUCGAAAUCCCAUUUUUGCUAUAUUAGUGUUGGUUUACUCCAACUUAGUCAUCUUGGGGUGCCAUUUAAAAUUUUUUUUGCUAAACACUCUACUUUUAGCCAAUACAAACUUUGUAGUCCUUCCUAUUUAGCUUCACAUGGAUAUCAUCUUGAGUGUGAAAACCUUAUUUAAUAGUUAAAAUUCGAGAACAAAUAUUGGUCAACCCCUGUUUUCACUCAAACUCUGAAAGUUUCUAAGUCCUUCAAUGCAUGGCUGAAGUUUACAAGUUUCUAAGUCCCAUGUUUUGGAGUGGUAAACUCCAUAUUUUACUUAAACACAUAACCAAGGUCUUGAUCAAAAUGAGUCGUAUUAUGAUUUAAGUUUACAUGAACAUUCUUGCUGUUAAAUUUGGAUCAUAGUUGGACAUUCAAAAAUCGACUUAAAGUCAGCCAAAUGCAAAUAGAAUCUGUCAGCUAUCAAUCUCUGAAAAUUCAGUUAAAACAGAUUAAUCGCAAGAUUUGAGCCUCUGUAACUUCAAAUCCGUAGAUUGUUUGGAUAGGAACCAUUAAUGAAAGUUAUAGAAGGAUGCUUGUUCUACAACUUUGAUGAAGAUUAUAAGUAUAGGUUAUGCAUGAAAUCGGGGAGUUUUGAUGGGACGAACAUAGUCAGUUUGAAUGUGUUCGCGCGCGAACUGAAUCGCUCGGUUCAUUCGGACUUGGCCCGACCGUGAUCAGAAAAACGCCGACAUGUGGCGCUCAUCUUCUGCCGGAGAGCCUCGGCGUCGCCACGACCAUGACCACGCGCCUCGCCCUCCACCGCACGCUCGGUUCACAUCUUCCGAAUUCUCAGUCAAUCUCUCUCUCUUUCUUCUUCCUGGCAAGGAACUGAACCACAGAACAGCUCCACCAGCAGGCUGAUUUCUCCCUGCUCCGCCCACCAUUCCCAAAUCUCCGCCUGCCGAGCCUUCCCCACCUCCCAAAAUCCACUCGCCACCACUCAGCAGCGCCGUCCAUGGCUCCUCCGGCGGGGGAUUGACAAAUCCCCUCCCGCCAUUGCCGCCGGCCCCGAGCUCGGGCACCACCGGUGAACUCCCCCGUACCGGCCUCCUCUUCCACCACCGACCGCCAAAACGGAACCCCGGUGAGCCCUAGAUGCUCUAGCCCCUAUUUCCCCGUUUCCUCCGCCGCCGUUGUCGCCGCAUUUUUGGCUGGGCCGCCGCCGGUGGUCUGUAUCGUCGCCGCUCAUCGCCGGCCGGGUCUAGCCGCUGUUCAGUAGGGUCUUUGGUGGGUAUGCGUGCGUCUUGAUGCGCUGAAACUGUUGGUACAGGUCUCCUCGCUGGAAUCCUCGCCGCCGGCGUGGAUUCGCCGGUCAAGCCGGCAGGGGUCGGCUUUGACCCGGUGGUGACCUGGCCUGGGUCGGGUUGGUCGCCGGCCCAGCCUGUCUGUGGGUUAGAGUGUAUCCGGGUAGCAAAAGUUUUCCCUGGGAAUUUUGAGUAAUAACGAUCAAUUGGUUUAUGUAAAUCUUGACUGAAACUUGAUAAAUGAAUCGUAAAUUGUAGAAAAAUACUAAAAAUAUGAAACCCAUUUUUUUGGAUCUUCAGUGACUCAUGCUACAUUUGAAAAAUGAUAGACAUGGUGAAAUGACUAUUUUGCCCUUGGUACAAAUCAGUGUAUGCAUAAUAGAGUAUAAUGUGUAUAAAUAUUUCUGUCGACCCAAAAAUCAUGAAACAUUCACAGUAGAGUACUCUUAUGUCAUAUUAGUUUCUGUUAAGUUUUCAUAUCCAGAAACCAUAUGUCGGUACUUAAAUAAAUUUAUCACCAUCUUGGCAUUUCCUUAUUUUGAUAAAUAUUUUCUGUUUAUAUAAAAUCUUGGUAAAUUCAUCUAAAAUAAUUUUUUAGUAUUUUAACCAUGCUAUAUCUUGUUCAUCACCAGAAUGUGUUCACAAGUUCGUUUAGUGAAUAUUCCUUGUUUGUAGCUACAUUUACCUUAGUAUAAAUAAAAAUGGUUGUAUGUAAAUUCUAUUAGUUUAAUUUCUGGUGAUAUUUGUUACUGUUAAUAGUUCAUUUUAGGACAUGAGAAUUGAUAAAAUUGAUUAUCUCUAGUUGCCUCCUAUUUAAAACAUAAUAAUUCACUAGUUAGCUAUUUUCUUUCUUCACGGAAAUGUUGAUAUGUUUUUGAGUUAGAUUCAAUAACUUAGUUAAGGAAGUCCUUCAAACCAAAGAAAUAAUUAAAUCUGAACACCAUCAUGGUAGUUUCACCAUAUUUCUUUGCGUAGUUUUCUAUAUGUUUUUUUACUCAAUAAAUGGCUGCCCAAUUUUAUGUGAGAAAAUAUGCAUCAUUUUAAUCUUGCAUUGCACAUUCAUGUAGAGUCCACAGCUGAGAACUUCAUGUACGAGUUGGUCACUGAGCCCAAAGGGCAACAAGAGCAGCAACAAGAUUCAGUCCAAGGUCCGGAAGAGCCCAGUGCUAAGCAGCAGAAAGAAGGCAAGCCGCAGAGCAUAAUCUCUAAUUUUAAAAUUAUGCAAUGUUCUUAGUUAUGUAUAUGUGCAUUAACUUUUCACGAGUUGGAUGAAACCAUACUAGUUGUUAUAUACUAAGUAUGUGUAGCUCGAUAAAAAUGCUAUGCUUAAUUAAGUUUGGUAUAAGUCGAGUGAUUGCAUGUUACUCGCCAUGUUACUCGCGAGGUAUAGGAUCACUUUAUAUACUUGUGGUUAAUUCUAAAAUAAAUGGUUCACACGAUAAAUUUGGAGACCAGGCGGAGAUGAGAAUGAUUAUUAUGAUGUUGUUGGUUGCGUAGCUCUGCCUGUGUUGAUUAAGGCAUGUUCGUUGUUGGUCUUGUUGAUCGAGUUUGAACAGGACUAAUCCUAUGCUCGGAGUAGGAGGUAGUCGAAACCGGUAAACCUAUGUACCUUAUUGCACGCUGGUAAGUUGAGCUUGAUACUGACUUCUUCACCAAAUACUAGUCUGUAACUCAUGUCUCUGACUCGUCGGGGUAUAGGUAGGGACUAGUACUUGAGGGUCGCGGGGUAGUUCAAGUACUUAGCGCUCUUUAAGAGAACGGUUAUCAUGCGCAACUCGACGGGGUAUGCAUAUAUCAUGUGAUUAGGUAUACCUUGCAAGGGAUCAAAUUGAAUCGAUGUCUCUAACCCGUCGAGGUAUAGGUAGGGACUAGUACUUGAGGGUCGCGGAGCAGUUCAAGUACUUAGCGCUCUUUAAGAGAACGGUUGUCAUGUGCAACUCGACGGGGUAUGCAUAUAUUAUGUGAUUAGGUAUACCUUGCGAGGGAUCAAAUUGAAUCGAUUUGUCGCACUCUUCGUUAUGAGAUCUUGAUCACUGAGUCACAUCGCUAGUAAAGAAGUGAAUCCGAUGAUGUUGUGUCGUUAAAUUAAUUACUUGUCUCAUUCCUUUGGUUUAUUUAUCUUGCAAGCAUAUAAAAUAGUUGCUCUCACUUUAAACUUGAUGCUAAAAUAUUGAAAGUAAGGAUCCCCUCUUAGUAGCUUUUGGGCAAAAUAAGCUGUCGAUGUUUUAUACCUGGCAACCUACUGAGAAGUGUCUCGAGGUAGUAGGUUGGUUGGUGGGGAAUCGUCGGACCUGAAACUUGAAGGUAAAAGUGAGAACACGAGAUACAAAUUUAUACAGGUUCGGGCCACCAGAGUAGUGUAAUACUCUACGUCCUAUUUGGGGUGUUGUAUAUAGCGCCCUGCGUUUGUGUUGGGGGGAAAUAUUAACGACCUCCAAAAGCCCAUGAAAAUAACAAAUCAUAAAGGCCCAAGCCCACCUAGGGCGAUAAAGACUACCGUCGGCCCAACAUGGGAGGAGAGAGCCACGCUCUGCCGCGCCCGACCCAGUGUCCCGUGGUCGGGCGUCCCCGACCCCUUGAAGACCAAGCUCCGCCUCGCUCGACCCGCGGGCCUGGGGUCGGGAGCGCCCGACCCCCCGCCGCAAUACCUCACCUCGCUCGACCCAGGCACAAGGGGUCGGACUCACUCGGGCCUACCCGACAAGUAUCCGCCUCGGGCGCAGGUCUCGUGGGUCCCCCUGUCGAUCUUGCCAUAAAUGCGCCGCAGUUCUGACACGCAGAAGGGUGUUCGUGUCCCCGACGCAACCUGCCACAAGUACCCAUGCGCAGCCGCGCGGUACAGGCUACAGUGGCUGCGGCUUCCUCCGAUUCGCUACAGGGCACUCAUGGCCUGCGCCGCCCGGAGCGGGAGGAAGCCGCGCCCGUUCUCGCGCCCCGCGCAUCCGGCGACAGGGACGCGACAUCCGCCUUCCGCGGGCCGUCAGCAAGAUGGCGGGAUCAACCACCUUCCCCAACGGACACAGGUGCCACGACGAAACACCGUCAUCACGUCUGGCGGCGACAGCCACCGAGGAGACCGUCAACAGGACUCGACGGCGGCCGCCCUCUUCCAGCGAACGCGCCGGCAGGAGCCGAAGGCCGGAGAGGACGCCGGCGGCCUAGGGACUUGGUCCCUCCCCUUGUGUUGUACCUCACUUGACUUAGCUUGUCUCUUUGACUUCUCCUCACACCCGGCCUCCUUGCACUAUAAAAGGAGAACCGGGGGCCCUAAGGCAGGGGACUCGAACUCUUUCCAUCGAACAGAACACACUCAUACUCUCCUUAGAGCAUCAGGGCACACCCAAGAGACCUGGGAUCAGCUCCCUCUCUCGCCCUCCUGUAACCCCUACUACAGACCCCGCAUGGGCAACACGAGCAGCUCCCGAUACUGGACGUAGGGCUCUUCCUUACCUGAACCAGUCUAAACCCCGUGUCUCCCACGCCACCAUCCGAAGCCUUACGCGCAUAAAAGAAAUUUACUAGUCUAAGUCUUGAUCCGCUAAUCUUGACAACGACAGUUUGGGUGUUGUGUAGCCUGAUUAUUGGCUUUUGAUGAUGGUUCUAGGCCUUGUUGGUCUAAGGUCCCGAUCUGGAUACCCCUGCCCUCCUUUAUAUACUUAGGGGGUAGGAUUACUAGUCGGUUACAAGGUGUCCUAGUAGGAUUACAUGGUAUGAGUUCUAGUAGGAUUAUAGAGGAAUCCUAGUACGAGUCCGUCUUCUUCCUUUCCUUGCGGGUACUAAGAAUCUAUCCCCGAUAAGUCCCUGAGCGCUUCAUAGUCGAAUGUAGCAGCCUUCGAGUAGUUUUAGUGCUCUUCGAGUACUUUGUCUGGUUGAAUCUUCAAAGGUUCUCAAAGCUGUCAUGAGGCUAUGAUGUGCUCAAGCCUUGAUAGUCUUGAUUUUGUAAUCUCCAUCUUUGGAAUGUAAUAUGGAGGGUAGCGAAAGUUGCACUCCAUAUGGAGUAUUCCCCGAGCCUUACGUUGAAUCGAAGAAUCACGUUGAGGGUCAAUAAAAUGUUGAAUCUUCUUAUUUCAUCUUGAAAAAAAUCUUAGGUGUAGUUUAUCAGCCCUCGAGCCUUGAAAUGAUUAAAUAAUCAAUCCAGAGUCUUUAAUCAGCCCUCGAGCCUUGAAAUGAUUAAAUAAUCAAUCCAGAGUCUUUAAUCAUGAUGUAAGUCAUCAUCCGAGUAGUUUUGCGGCGUCCAGCCCCUGAGCUUAUGCGCCAGGUGGGCCAUAGGAACCAUAUCGAGUAGUUAUUGGCACUGAACCCCCGAGUUUUGAGAGCUAGCGGAGCUAUUUCGAGUAGUAAUUUGUGCUUUAGCCCCCAAGCUUGGAAGAUAGGUACCUGGAGAGUCAUCGUCGAAGCUUGACCUAUAAAAAGAGAUGCAUAAAUUAUGUAGCAUAUCUGUAGAAUUUGAAACUACUGAAAUUUAUUCAGUAAUGAAUGUAAUGUAAAACUAUUGAGCUUUUCAAUGAGAACAUCAUAUUUUUCAUUUGACACAUCCUCCAUGCUCUCAUUGUUCUCUUUGAUAGUCAUUCAUAGCUUGUUAGUAUUUCCAAAAGUAAACACACGAUUGAAAACAUUUUCACUAAGUGAGGGUAAAAUAAUAUUUUUGAAAAUCACAUCAUAUUAUUUUUCUUGUUGCCCAUUAUUUUUCACGCCCUCACAGUGACUCUCCAAACAUUAAAGCCCUUGCUUGGAGAAAUGCUUCCAUGAGAACUUUCCAACGUUGGUAACCCGUGCCAUCGAAAUGUGGAGCCAAACCUAUUGAAUCCAUCCCUUACCCCUAUCGAGCUAACUCACUAGGCAGUGAAGCCUAGCCGUUCCCCUAUCGAGCUAACUCACUAGGCGGUGAAGCCUAGCUGUUUCCAAUUAGCUGGUUUCACAAUUUGCCAAUGGAAUUGGCGACUCUUUGUGAAAGAUAUGAGCCCUGGCUCUGAUACUUUGUAAGGAAUCAGUGCUCGUAGCCUAAGAGUGGGCGGGGUUGAAUUAGGCAACUUAAAACUUUAACCUAUGGCUUUCACUACUUUUGCAUCAAACUUAAACUAGAUCAUGCUAUCAAGAUGUGCAACUAUGAUUGAUUUAGUGUGAAACCCUCAUCCCAAAAUAAGUUUUUGCAACCUACAUCCAAUCCUAGUAAAAGAUACUACACUAAAAAUGUAAAGACACACAAGUUGCAAGUAUGAAAUGCGAAAACGUAAAAGGUGAGGAUGAGGGGAAGCAUACUCUUGACACAAUGAUUUAUCCCGUGGUAUCAAUAGGCACUAAGCCAUCACUAAUCCACGUUGUUGAAGCACUCAUACAAGAGUAGUGCUUCUCGGUCACCAAGUUUCUUCCAGGACACCCCUUUACUUGCCAUAAAAGCUUGGACACUAAGGGUCACGCCAAGCUUCUCCACUAAGGAAGAGGGUCUCUAUGUCCCCUGCACACGGUCAUCGACACCGCUCCACACCAAGCCGGAGGGUCGAAGACUUGCCGGUGAGCCACCAAGGUUCCAAGGCGCCGGCACACCUUGUACAGCUGUGAUUCACUCCUUGAACCGAUCAUGAGGUAGGCACACCUUGCACUCUCUCUUCCCUAUGCCUAUUCUAGCACUAAUCACUCUUCUAAACUUGUGAUAAGCCUUUGAAUAAUCACUUAUACACUUUAGAUGGCUUGUAUGUGUUCUUGAUGAGUCUUGAUCUCGAAUGAAAUUCUACACACUCCAGUAACUUUAAAUGGGUGAGUAGAGGGGUAUAAAUAGUCCAAGGCAUCAAAGAGCUAUUGCUCCAACGACUAGUUAAAGUGUACCAUCGGAUGUUCCAAUGGUAUGCUUUUAGGUAGCAUCAGAACAUCCGAUGCGACUAGCCGUUGGCUCCUCCGCAUCCAACUUCUUCAAGAAUUCAUCCGAUGCUUUAUCCGAUGGCUAAAACGAACUGGAUUUUUAUUUCUGAGAAUCCGACUCCUUGUACCCUUCUGAUAGUUCCUGGAUUAGUAGCUAUCAUGUAAAGAACUCAUUUCAGCAUAAUAUCAUUUUCAUACAAAGAAAUCAGAGUACAAUAUUUAAUAUUUACAUCUGAAUCAACCUGGAAUACGAAUAUGAUACAGGUCCCUUGGGCUAAACAACAAACAAAAUUCAUACACAGCGGUAGCUAGGUUUUCAAGUCUUCAUCUUCGAUUUUCACCACAGGCAUCCUUGAGCGAAGCAACGCGACCGUUCCUUCAUGAAUUCUUCGUGAUCGGACUUUCACUCCAAGUCUAUACCUGCACACUCACUAACUAUCCCCAAGGAAUGGGAGGAAUGGGACAGGUCCACAUCACCAUCCGUAUGCAAGCUUUAAGUGUCCUAAUGCUAGUAUUCAAAAGUAGUCAAGGAAUAGGCUCGGGUUUCCUAUGCAGUAGCAAGCAUAAAGAAUAAAACUCCAUAUCCAUCAAUCCAUCUCUCAUCACAUCGGGGACACCUAUCACCCCAGGGUCCUAUCACUAUCAACCUAUCUCCAUCACUAGGGUCGAUGCAAAAGCUCCCUCUCUUCGCAUCCCAACAAUUACAGCCGGAUCUUGAAGGAAAAAGGAGUAACUUCUCCUCACCCCAACUACAAUUGCGGCUCACAACACUCAUAUGUAGCUAAAAGGGGAAGGUAGAGAUAUCCCAAAACAAUGGAGAGUCGUCGUGACACUGGAUUGUCCAUGACUGAGGACGCGGCUAUAUGUAUAGUUUUAACUCUUCAGAGUGUGUACACCUGGACCCAUCUCGGAGUGAGACAGCCAGGGAUCAGCCGACUGAACAUCACCCUACCAAGCGAAGGUUAGAACCUGGGAGUUACGAUACCAUCCUGCAACUAGGCUCGGAUGCAAUCCCCCAUACUGGACCGCCCCGGAAUUGCGAAGCACUCCCACCGGGGCCAAUCGGGGGCAAAAGCAAAUCAGGGGGCAAAAGGUCAACACCACUCCCACCUACAUUGAUACUCUAUCCUACGGCAGGUAUGGUACCGCACUUGCCAGUCUUGACAUGAGCCUAAAUGCAUAAUUCAGCGAGUGGCGUGCACGUUUAACAUAUUCCCGUGAAACAUGACGACCCACUCGGUUUCAGACUAGGGUGAGCUCCUAAAUCAAAAAGCGUCUCCACAACAUGGUCCGCAACGGCACCCAUAAGAGGCAUCACCCCCAACUCCUAUGCUCCUCAACCAUAUACUCGCAACAAGUAGUACUCGCAACAAGUACCAAACAGGAAACGUUCGAGAACGGACCCCAAGCCCCCAAUCCGAAUAUUGGAUUGUGUAAAACUCACCUCCAUCAAGUAUCCUAAAAACACAUUCUCCUGCUGAUUUUAAGUAAUAUCCACACACGCCAAGAAUCCUAAUCACAAUAUCCCAUGCACAUGCAUCGCACAUAGCACAUAUAAGUAAUAUGGCAAAUAAGGAUUCAAGGCAUAAAGUAGGCUAUGCAUGGUUCAUCAUCAUCAUACGAGGAAAUAAAACGCUAACAUACUAGUUAGCAAUGCCUAAUGGGUAUUCAAAUCGAAUGGGCGUGAACCUGGAGUUGCUUUCUUCCUCGUAGUGGUCCUCAAAAGGCUUCGGCUCUAGUUUUCAGCUCUGAGUCUCUAGCAAGUCCUAAUUACACGAUUAUCAUAAUUACCGGGGUCUAUUUGCAAAGAAAAUCCAAAAGAUAUCCAUAGAAGAUCCAAAAAAAUAACAAGGACUAGUCUAUCGUGUGCUUCAUGAUUUUAGAAAAAUUAUGAAACUAGUUUCACAAUUUUUGGAGUUAAGAUGAAUUAGUUAUGAAUUUGUGAAGUUUAAAUCAAUUUGUGAAUUUUCAAAUAAUUCAAGAAAAUAAGAAAAAUUACAGAGGUGACACGUGGUAGCACCAGAGCGCUCCACGCGUCUUGCUGACGUCAUAAGUGGGCUCGGAUGAUGUCAGCGUUGACUCGGUCACAAAGUCAACAGUCAACAUUUGACCGGUCAACGGGUCCACAGUUCGGUGGGCCCCAUGUGCUGACGUGGCACCCUGGUAGCUAUAGGGUAGCUGUAGGUUGGCUUUAGGCUGGCUAUUGGCUAGCUAGAGUUUAGGUGGCGCACACGCAUUAGCCAUGCGGCUGCUAAAUCCGCGACCACGUGUGAUCUUUAGGUGGCUUUAGGGGGGCUAUAGGCUGGCGCUAAGGCUGAGGUUGCAGCCCACGUGGCGCUGGCGUAGCUGCCACUUGGGCUUGGUCCAUGGCACGGCUCGGGCGCUCGAUCCACCGGGAACCACAUACCAUGGUUCAGGCGGGGUUUCUUUUUCCCCCUCCCCUCCACCGUGGCUACGGACGGGGCUAGCCAGAGUUAGCUCUCCUAGUGGCCCUACGACGAGUUGCAGGCUAAAAGUAGUCGCCUGGCCCUAUCUCAAGUCGGCGAAGCGUUUUGUGGAGUCGCGGGACGACAAAGCUGCCGGUUCUAGGCAGCGACGCUCAGGCAGCUCCGGCGAGGUGGUGAGGCGCGCGUUAGGCUGCUGUUGACGGGCCAAAAGCACGUGCUUUGGCACGCGGGCAUCACACUGCGGCCACACUGGCGCUCAGGCAACCCUUGCGGGUUCCAAUGGUGGUGGUUAGGCUCGGCGACGCUAGCGAGCGGCAGUAGCACGCCGAGGGACAGCUGGAAAAGGUGUGCGUGGACGUUGGCGUGCGGUUAGGCCAAGGCCCGGCGAGCAAGGCUCGCGGGGCGCAAAGGCCGCACCUUAGGGAUUUUCCCCAGGGUAUUGGCUGCGGCGGCCGCCACGGCGGCGCACCCAAGCGGCUAGUCAUGUCGUGCGUGCGGUGAUGUCGUGGCGAGCGGUGGCACCUGCACAAGUGCGGCUCAAUGGCCAGAUAGAGGCAGCGCGUGUGGAGAGGCUAGGCGAGGCGUGCGGGUCCGCGGAGUUCCACGGCCGCAACCUUGACUAUGGUGACGGGCGGCGGCAUAGGGCGGAGGUGGCGUCUCACCUUGGUGGCUCGGUGGCGCGGGCUCGGUGAGGUGGCGAGGUGAGGUCGGGCGGGUUGAGGCCGUCCAGGACGUGCGGGAGCGUUGAUGUUGUCGUUUGGGGUGCCGGCUCGACGGUGGUGGCAUCGUGGACGGCUCCAGGCGAUGGUGUCUCCUCUAUGCUCCGGUUCCUCCCCCUUCCCCCUUCUUCCUUCCCUUGGUGGCGGCGGUAGAUGGGAAGCCCCUAGGGCAUGUGGCUGCCGGAACCGAUCAAGGGUAAGGGGUUUUAUAGGGGCUUGACUAGGGUUUGGGUGCUGGGACUCGGUUGGAUGGCUGACGAUCUUUGGGGUGCAUGCAGGGGUGGUGUGGCGUGCAUCGAGUGGUUCCCUGGGCUACGGUUGGUGCACGCCGGGGUGCGGGGGCGCGAAGCGGGGCUUAUGGAAGCCUCCCACAGCUUCCUUGUCAUGGAGCAAGGGCAACGCACGGCGUGUCAGCGCGAGAGGCGGGAGGAAGGGGAUAAAGCUAAUAGGCGGCGCUCGUCUGUCAGCGAGGGGUGAGUGGGAGCGGGGGCGGGCGGAGCAGGUCGGAGUGGGUUGGCUUGUUGGGCUGUCGGGCAUGCAGGCCUCGCCUAGAAUCGAAUGGGUUGGCAAGCCGAUGGAGUUAAGGGGCCGGGGGGGUUUGUGGGCCAAGGGUGGUUUCGGCCCAGGUGGGAAUAGGAGUUUAGUUAGUUUUUGAUUUAAUUCAAAUUUGAAUCCUAGAAUUCAAAUUUGACUUCACUCAAUUAAAAUUCAAAUAAAGGCCAAAUAAAAUUUCAAAUAGCACUCUAGCAACAUAUGACCCUAAGAAUUUCAGUUUAAUUCAAAUUUAAUCUAGGAAUUUUUUUGUAGAUAUUUAAUGAAGACAUCCUUCUAAUUUGAAUUUUCACUCCACUUUCAACAAUUUUUUUUGAAAUUCACCUUUUUGCAAAAACCGACAUUUGAAAAUUUGCGGGAUGUUACAAUACCAUCGGAUCAUCUUGUGCUGAAGAAGUUCUAGUCAAAACGUAUUUGGAACUUCGCAAAGUAAAUAUGCUUUGUCCGAUGCCUCGAGCUUCUAGCCAUCGGAACAUCCGGUGCUAUAGAGUUUCUAUGUCUUCUCUACGAAUUGCUCCGAUGCAUGUAAAAUAAAGGCUGUCAGAUCAUCCGGUGCACUUGAAUUUUUCCCUGAUUUUCCCAUUGUAGUAAUUGCUUCGAUGGUUAGUUCAAUGCUUGCUCCGGUGAACCAUCGGAACAUCCGAUGAUAUUGAAUUUUCUAAGUUAAAUACCACCACUUGCACAUCGAAAAUACUGUCAGUUGGAUUUUCUCUAGAUUUUCUCUGUCAUUUGGAUGCUUGAAUACCAUAGAAUAAUCCUAGAUAGCAUGGUGUCAUUUGGAUGCUUGAAUACCAUAGAAUAAUCCUAGAUAGCAUGGUUUGGUCACUUGAAUACCAAAAGCUUGGAUGCUUGAAUACCAUGAUUUGGAUAUCAAGAAUACCAAAGCUUGGAUACUUAAAUACCAUGCUUUGGAGCUUGCCAUGGUUUGGUUUGCAUACUUGGAACCUAGAAAACCUACAAGGCACAUGCUUGACAAACCAUUAGUUCCAAUGGCUAUGUUGUCACUCAAUCACUAAAAUCACAAACUUUGGCCUAAUUGGGGCCAUGUUCGCUACAAUCUCCCCAUUUUUGGUGAUUGGUGACAACACAAUCAAAGCAAGCAUAAAUUUGCAAAAAUUGACCAAUUGAACCACUUACACUUGCUUGGAUGCUUACCACCAUCCAACUUGAACUUUAUUUCCCCCUUAUUCAUCCUCAUCUUAUUUUACUUGUCUCCCCCUUUGACAUAUUUCUCCCUCUUUCUUGAACUUCUCCCACUAUGUAUGUUCACCCCUAGGCCUUUCUUGCUUUGAUUCCACACUUCUCCCCCUUUGAAAUCAAAUCACCUAAAAGGUGGUUCCAAAGACUUGCAAAGCAAAAAGACCUUGAUGGCACUAUUUGAAAUGUGCCACUUGUAAAUGAUAUCACUUGAAAAUGACACCACUUGUAAGAGGCUUAGAGAGAAGCACAUGAGGUAGCACAAGGAUGGGGAAUGUAUGAGUACAUUGCCUUUGAACUUAUAUAUGAAAUGUAAGAUCACAAGGACAUGACUCAAUAAGCAUGAAAGUGCUCAUAUUAUUUUUAUCACUCUUAUGAUUUGUUAGUUCUAUCCAACAACAAUUGUGAGCGACCAGUCACAUGAAGAAGCGACACUCAGGGGGCGCCCAAGAUUUCCAAAUACACUCAUAUGGGCAAAACCAAGAGCUUCCUCAAUAAGUGCAUCAUAGGCAGAUUUAGUUGUAUAGUCUCUUGAGUCUGAAAGCCUCGAAAUAAGCUUAUCAGGAUCCCCUCUUGUAGUACCAUACCUUCUAAUAUAUCCCAUAGUUCAAGAUAUUCCAUUAAUGCUUCCACGGUCCCCCUGAGUAUCUUCCAGCCAUUUCCCAUCAUCAAGUGUAGCCAUAACUGGACCGAAUACGUUCUUGCUUGCUAGCCUGCUGACAUUUGGGCCACUUGAAGCGUCCCCACAUAAAUAGAGACUAAAUGUGAUACAAUUAUCAGUCCCAGGAGGCUGAUAACACAUUUAUUCGACAGAUAAUUCAGUUACCGUACAACUCCCGAGGGAGCGGACGUGAAAGCCACGCAGUGAUAAUAAGUAAAUAAACAACAGCGGCUAACCAAGCGACUGCCAAAAGACAGCACUCGGGACUAUACGGUAGCAGCAGCAUCUUGGAAAGGCCAGCACCACAGGCAGCGUUGGGUGCGGACAAAACCUCUACUCAAGGUCUUCGGCGAUGAAGUCCGGGUCUUCCUCUGUAGUAACGAAGCAAGGGUGAGUACGAACGUACUCAACAAGUCCAACCCCAUCCACGGAGGGGGAUACAAUCAAGUAUAUGCACAGGAUAAAUCAAGGAUAGGCUAGAGUUUAUUUGCAAUAAAGCUAGGUUUUUCAACACAUGCAAGGGCUCGUUUUCAAACAAAUUUUCGUAAAGCUUUUCUUUAGUAACCGAAACAUUAAGUGGGGUUGAUCCUACACAAAGGAUCCAAGUUUUAUCGCUAUCGGACUCCCCGUCCGCCAUAGCGCACGGCACAACUGCCGGACACUUCCAAAAUUCCACACACGCACGCACACACACACACACGACAAACAUGCCCAAGUGCUAAUUAUGUGAUCAAGCCGUAACUCGUCCAAUACAGUGGACACGGCUACCCGGAUAGGUUUUAACUCUGCAGAGGUUGUACACUUUUCCCACAAGUAGGGUACCGCAGCAUGAUCACCUUAGUGCCAGUGCGGAUCCUAACAAAGCCAUUACCCACCUUAGCUAAGACUGGCUAGCCUUCACGGAAGCACCCAAGGGGUUCACGGCUCAUCCACGAGACCGUAACCGGGACCUAAGUCACCAAGAUCUUACUCCUUUUUCAUGGGCUCCCGUUGCUCACCAGCAUCCCUGAAGACUAACAGUUUAGCUAGUGGGAUUUAUGCUAAGUCGUUGCCCAUACAACGGUCGAGUGGUUGCACGAUGGUGGAAUUAGGCAAGAUGACACAUCAACUCGGUCCUUAAUCAUGACAAGAUGGAUAUCUCCCGACAUUGCUCAACCACCAAGGUACGAGCACCACACCCUGGCAUCCCACACAAGGAAUACCCAUCCAUCCUGUCUACACAUCCUUUUCCCUUGAACCCAAAAAGCCAUUUUUCUCACUUGCACACACACACACACACAUUUAUUUUCCGAAUACACCAUUGUAAUAAUGAAUGCAGUUAAGUAGUAAUUUCCUAAGCAUUCUAGCGGUGGUUAUCGACUAAAUAGAGCGUGUCAUGUUUACAGACAACCAUAGGAUAACAAGGAAUGUUCAUAACAAUCAAGGGGUGGCUAUCCAACCAUAUCUUGCAAUGAAAUAAUAUGCGUUUUGUAAAACAGGCCAAUAGGUUGUGUUUGAAAACUAGGUAUUAAGUAUGCAUCAAAGGGUGAGAUUGGACUUGCCGUCUUCAAAGCCUUUCGGGAGUUCCAGCUCGUGCUGCUGGUCCUCGGGCUCGGGCUCGUGGUCAAACACCUCCUCGGGAUCUUCCUCGGGCAAUCCACGAUUUACGGCACACACAAACGGACACACAAAUAAAUAAAAGAAAGAUCAGUUUUUAACCGUGAGCUUCGAACAGAAAACGUGAACGGAAAUUUGGAGAUGGAUCGGCGAAAGUAUUUCGGAGGAUGACGUGGUAAAAUUUGGGAUCAAUUGGAGGAAGUUUGGCGCAUGAACUGACGGGUUAAGCAUGAAUUAGGGGCUUAAAUAGGAGGUUUGGGACUGAUUUGUAAUAAACCACGGACCUAUUUGUGAAUAAUUUUGGAGGUGGAGGGGUUUAUCCGCGAAUAGGAUUAUGAGAGUGGUGGAAGGACUAUUUCGCGAAUAGCAGAUUCUUUGGGGGUUAGAUUGGAAUUUUGUGGUUUCUGCUUCCUUCCUCUCCAGGAACUUGGAGAGGGAGAGAGAGAGAGUGUGGGGGUUGACCGGCGGCGAGCCGAGGGCCGGGGCGGCAGAGGAAGUGGAGGGGAGCCCAUUUUGCCUCUCACCUCGGGGCUUUGAGGAUGGGGAAGGGGGUGGCCGGCGGGAGGUGGCGGCGCACGGGUGGCGGUGGGAGGCGGCGGCGCACGGGCGGUGGUGGCGAGCUGGGGUGGUGGUGGAGUGGCAAGGGAGGCCGGGCGAGCGGCCCUUUUUAUAGGCUGGCGAGGGGCGGCCGGCGGUGGGGGACCGGGCGGCCGGCGGUGUGCGGCAUGGGGGUGGGGGCCGGGCAGGCCGGGCCGGCGGUAGGGGCUUGGGCGCCGUAGGAGGGCGUCGCGGGGAGGGCGGCACAGCAAUGGUGGCGUGUGGCAGGCGGCACCGGAGGAGAGGUAGGGGCCGGCGGCGGGCGGCGUGGAGCGGGGACGAAGGUGGGGCCGGCGCAGGAGGUGCGCGGGAAGGGGUCGGCGGGGUCGGGCGGCGCGGAGCGGGGCUGGAGGCGGGGUCGGCGGGGUCGGCGGGGUCGGGCAGCGGCACGUGGCCCAGGGUGCGGGUCCCAGGCAGCCGGCGGUAUGGUGCCAGGGAGGUGCAGACGCCGGGGGAAGUAAUGGCGCCGGGGAGGGACCGGCCCAAGGAGUGGCGUCAGGAACCGGGAGGAGUGGCACCAGGAAGAAGAAGAAAGGAGGAGAGAGAAGACGGAGGAGGAAGAAGAAAAAGAAAGGAGAAGGGAGAGGAAAAAGAAAGGAAGAGGGAGGAAACAGAGAAAGAAAGAGGGGGAACCGGCGGCGAUUGCGGCACGCGGUCGGAGCACGCGCGCGGCAUCUGACAAUGGCACACGGUGGAAAAUACGGGCACGGAUAAAGAGAUAGGGGUCGGCUUGGGUGCCGGGACGGCGAAAUCGCUGGGGAGAUUUUCGAUUUUCGAGAGCUCAGCGGUAAAAAGAUUUUGAAGGCGAUUUUUAACGGGUGAUUUUAGUUGGUGAUUUCCGCGGAUGUUACACCACUCAAGAGUCAAUAUGCGUCUAUUUCAUUAAGAUCCCUCCGAGACAAGCGUCCAUUUGAUAUUCACACGAGAUGAGAGACCAAUUUGAGAUGUGCCUUUGUCUAUUUGUGAUGAGUGAUUGACUAGAUGAUUUGAGGCUGUACUGGUUGAGUUCAUAUUUCAUAUGUGCAUGAUUAUGCUAACAGCUAACCGGAUGUGUUGUGUUGUGUGCGUUGUGUUGUGGUGUUUGCGUAAACCAUGUAUUGUGUGUUGUGUCUCUUGGCUUAUAAUGUGCAGGUGUAGGAUUCGACAUGGCAGUCGACAACAUGAGGUGAAGGUCAAGCGAAAGGUUCAUGCCGAUGUACUAGAGCUAUGAAGGCUGGACACAAGAAGGCUUGGACCGAGGGAUCCGAGAAGUCCGGACGGAUUCAUGGGUGAUCCACAUGGUGCAGAGAAGAGCAAGAGUACACAAACGGGAUGGAGACAGCGUCGGUCGAGUCAAGCGGGACGGAGGCGAGUCAAGUAGGUGGCCCGGGAGCCGGGAGCGAAAGACUUGGAGGUGUCAAAGGCUUGACGGAGGCCAGACACGCAUCAACAUCGGUGAGUCACGUCAUGCGUGGCGUGCAAGAGGGUUUGACCAGUUUGACCUCAAAACCGGGGAUGAGUCACGCCUGUGGGGUGUGCAAGAGGGUUUGACCGGUUUGGCCUCAAAACUGGGGGACGAGUCUGGUGUGGCUAGAUGGUGUCAAGUCAGAGGAUGCGUGGCACCAUCGCGAAGCAUGCAUCGAGGCGAAGCUAAGUCGUGAAGGCGCUGGGUCCAUCCGAUGUAUGAGGAAAAAGUUGGAUGAUUUUACCCCUAUGGGGUAUUUGGAUUGUAUGCUUAAUGUAAGGGCAAUUUGGACAUUGGCCAAAUUCCUAUAUAUGUGUAGGAGGGCUGUUUGGGGCAGCAAUCUCUUUAGGCUAGUUGGUGGUAGGCUCCUCAUUUUGUUUGUGAGAGGCUUUGGUAGAGGUGUGAGGGGAGAGAGGAGUGUAUCUUUGUGUUGAUCUUUUUGCCAUUCAAGCUUUGUUUGUGCUUAGGAUUGGCAUGUAAUCGGACAUGGUGGAGUAAUCUAAGAAUCAAUUUUGUGCUCAAUUGCUUCUCCUUCUCAAGAUCUGAAAUUUAUCUUUUUCCCUAUUUUCAGAGUAUUUUUGGGUGAAUUUUUGGAUCUCAGGAUUUGCAGCGAUUUGGGGUAUUUUUGUUGGGGCAAAUCAGUGCUAGGAUAUGUGCAAGAACAUCUAGGAUGAUCCCCUAGCAAAUCCAUGCACGAGCACUUUGGAUUUUGAGAUUUACCAAAAAUCCGCUUCUUGUGCCCUUCUCGAAAUUUAUGGAAUCUUGUGACCAAUUCGUGAGCUUUUCGACUUGAAACUUUGAGAACACCUUUAGAAUGUUGUCAUGAGGCUAUGGUUCAAAUUUUGUAAUUUUGGGAGGUCGUUUGGUCGAGUUUCGGAUUUUUCUUCUCUUCUGACGAAGGCUAAAAUCUGGGAUUCCGGAAUAUUUCGGAAGUAAUUCCGGAAUAUUUCGGAAGUAAUUCCGGAAAUUUCCGGACCUCCAGAAGUUUCCAAAGGUUUCUUCGGAAAUCUCCAAAAAUCCAGAAUUUUCCGAAGGUUUGUCCGGAUUUUUCUGCAUAAGGUGUUAUUUUUUAAAAUCCUUCUUCCGAUACUCAUUUGGACUCUUUCUUGCUUCCGCUAUUCUCAACUUGGGUUCCUAGCAUCAUUCCUAGAUUCAUUAGCUCGUGCAUAGCUAAGUGGACUUGAUUUUCCUAGAAGAGAGGAUUGGGGGACUUUAACCGAGAUUGUUUGAGAAAAUUUGAAUCGACUCCCAUUUACCCCCCUCUGGUCGCCUUUCCGGUUCUUCAAUUGACAUCAGAGUUUGGUUAAGGAUCGCACCACCUUAAUCGGCUUUGUGAUCCACGGGGUGACAAGGUAAAAUGUACUUUUUCUUGCAGAUUUGAUUUUCGAGAUUCGAGCUUACUUUUGGCUAAUCCUAACCGGUGCUUUGAGCUAUGGCACCAAGCACUUCUUCUUAUGUUUCAUUAUCCUCAGGUAGGAGGAGUUCGGAGAUUGAGUUGGAACCAGAAGUGGAGGUGGUGAUGGAUCUCCUCGAGAACUACCAGGAUGGUGAUCUCACGAAGGGCGAGUUCUACCGUGGGCUAAGAGACAUUAGCCAAGAUACGCUUGCCAAAUGCAUCAUGGUUCUAUGCAAUCGUGUUGAUGAUGAUGAAGAUGAAAAUUGGAGAAACAUAGAGCUGUGUGAUGCUUUGUGUAGGAAGAAUGAGAAGAUGAAAUGUUCUCUUGCUAGGUUAAAAUAUGGAAUUGCUCAUUGGAAGUCACAUGCUUUUAAUCCUUGCAAUUGUUGUGAUGCCUUGCUUAGAAAGAAUGAUGAAUUGAACUCUUCUUUUGAUUGCCUAAAAUCUAAAAAUGACUUGUUGAAAUUUAAUACCUCCAUGCCAUGCCAUUCUUGUGUAGAUUUAAAUAAUGAUCUUGAUAAGGCUAGAGAUGAAUUUUCUUUGUUGAAAUCAAAUGCUUCUUUACCAUGUGUUUCAUGUGAGUGUUUGCUUGCUGAAAUUAACGAACUAAAAUUAACUCACAUCAUAUGUGUAGAUCAACUUGAGCAUGCUAGGGCUGAAAUUUGUGAAAUGAAGUCUAUGCCUUGUAGCAUGUGCUCUUUGGUUGUUGAUGAUGAUGCUUGCCUUACUUCUUGUGAUAAUCAUGAUGCUUUGCUUGAUGUGAAUGAUGAUGUUUCUUCAUGCGGUCUUAUUUGUACAUCAUGCAUUGAAUUGGAAAGUGAAGUUUUGGCUUUGAAGUAAAUGCGCGAUGAUAUGAGCACCCAGUUGGUUGAGCACAAUGAGAUGAGUGCCAACCUUGAGAAAGACAAUGAACUCUUGCGUACCAUAUAUGCUAAGUGCAUUGAAAAGGAGAUGGAUAAUUUGAGAAAUGCUCCAUGUGGUACUUGUGAUCGCCUCAAACAUGAAAAUGAGGUUUUGGCCACAAGAUGCAAGAUUCUUAGAGCUAAGUCUUUUGAUUCUCGUAAUUCUUGUCACUCCGAUGUUGGUGUUUCCAAAAUUGAUUCUUCCCAACUGGAGUUGCCUUCUUCUAUUGAGCAUGAGUCUUUGGAUGCUAGUACUUUUGCUAGUGCUUUGGAUAGCUCUUCUAUAGCUACUUUUAAGUUUGUUGCUUCUUCUAAUAUUGCUCAAGACAAUUCAAGUGGCAAGGGUUCUUCUCACAUUUUUGGAACUCAUACUCCCAAACCAAGGUUUCAUUGCACCUUUUGCAAGAAAGAUGGGCAUACUGUUGAGUUUUGCUUUCGUCAUGUCAAGCACGAGCGACGUGUGCAUGCCAAAGCUUUGAGGAAGCCACGUGGCCUUUCCCAUGGCACGUGUGAACUUAAUAUGGGCACCAAGUCAAAUGGUGUUGUUGAUGCUUCUUACUCUAAGUCCAAAGGGACUUCUCACUUGAAUGAGAAUGAUGAUUCAUCCUCUCGGAAUGUGCCUACAUGAUGGGCAUCAAGAGAGCUUUUGUUGUCGUCCUGCAAAACAAAUACGGCGAACUCAUGCUUCUAGGCCUUUGGUUGUUCAUAGCCUGUCUCAUGGCAUGAGCACUUUUGAGCCUAGUAAGAAGCCACAUUUCAUUGAUGGGUUUUAUGACUCCUUUUCUAGUGAGUUAGGUCAUGCUCGUGGACAUGCUUCUAGUUAUUCUUCUGUUGGUCCACAACAUGGUUCUCAUAGUGCUUGGUUGGUUCUUCUCUUAAGACCUCAUGGGAUCAUUGUCUUUUUGCUAGUGGUAGCACUCGUUUUUUCUUCUCGAGUUUAUCCUUUGCGGUAUGGUUCCAAGGGAAUUUCAAAAUCAUCUCAUUUGAACCGGAAUUUGCAUCAUGCUAACCCACAUGAUAAGUUGAGUGCAACUUUUACCUGAGUGACUAAGUUUUGGAUUCCCAAGUAUAUGCUUGCUAACCCUUUAGGAUCCAAGACUCGGUCUUCUUUGUCCCCUUAUGUGUAGGUACAGGGAUGCGGGUGGAGAACAUGAGCUCAAAGUGACUUGAUCUUUCGCUUGAGGUGAUCAAGACUUGAUGGUUCUCCACACCAUUUGGAUGUCCCUCGAGAGGCCUUUGUACACUUGUAUAGUGAGUUUUACCUUCCAAACUCUUGUGCUCACUUGUAUACUAUUUGCAUGUUUCAUCCUUGUAUCAUGCUGUGAAUAUACCAUGGUAGGCUAGCUACCUUUUCAUGUUAGCAUGUGUGAUCUUUAUGUUUAUCUUGUCAUGCUAGCUUUGUAAAUGUGAAUAUAUCUUGGUGGAUGAUCCACAUGAACAUCGUGCCAUGCUUUAGCUUAGUUUUCGUAUUGGGUAUGACAUGUUGUUCAUUUGGUAUCAUUUUAGCUUAGUAUCUUUGUAUGAUCAUUUGCACCUUGUUGACAUGUUUGCUUGCUCAAUCUUUUAUUCAUAAAUGUGAAAUCAUGUUGCAAUGCUUAAAUUCCUCUCAUUAGUACCAUCAUUGCAUUGUGUAGCAUGAAUUGAGCUUUAUCUUAUUUUUGGGCUUGCCUUGUCUUUGUGUUGCAUUUUAUUUUUCUUUGGAUUUUCUCAUCCUUUGGGAGUUGGAGCUUUUCUUUUGCCCCCUUCUUUUUAUAGCUUUUAUUUUGCUAAUGCAUCUUUGAUUGAGGGGGAGUUCGGCUUCAUUCAAGGGGGAGUUUGGACUAAGGACUUGCUUUGGUUUUUGAUAUCCGCUUUUGAUCUUUUAAUUGGUAUCAUAUUUCAUCUUUCAAUUGGAUUUUAUUUUUUUCAAGUGAUAUCAAUUUUUGAUCCUUCAAUUGGUAUCUUUUCUAUGGUACUCAAUUGGGAUCCUUGGCAAUUCUUCUUUUGCCACCGAGCUUUUCCUAGAUUGGUUUGACCCCUCAUGAGCUUUCUUGAUUUGAGUCGAAUCCCAUCUCUUUAGCAUCGCAUUGCAUUUGUUAUCGUCGUGCAGGAUAAAUGCAGCAAACUCGUGCUUCUAGGCCUUUGGUUGUUCAUAGCCCGUCUCAUGGCAUGAGCACUUUUGUGCCUAGUAAGAAGCCACAUUUGAUUGAUGGGUUUUAUGACUCCUUUUCUAGUGAGUUAGAUCAUGCACGUGGACAUGCUUUUAGUUCUUCUUAUGUUGGUCCACGACAUGGUUCUCAUAGUGCUUGUAUUGGUUCUUCUCUUCAGACCUCAGAGGAUCAUUGCCUUUUUGCUAGUGGUAGCACUCGUUCUUCUUCUCGAGUUGCUCCUUUGAGGCAUGGUUCCAAGGGUGUUUCAAAAUCAUCUCAUUUGAACCGGCAUUUGCAUCAUGCUAACCCACAUGAUAAGUUGAGCACAUCUUUUACCCGUGUGACUAAGUUUUGGAUUCCCAAGUAUAUGCUUGCUAACCCUUUGGGAUCCAAGACUCGGUCUUCUUUGUCCCCUCAUGUGUAGGUAUGGGGAUGCUGGUGGAGAACAUGAGCUCAAAGUGACUUGAUCUUUUGCUUGAGGUGAUCAAGGCUUGAUAGUUCUCCACACCGUUUGGAUGUACAUUUGUAUAGUGAGUUUUUCCUUUCGUAUAUACUACUCACUUGUGGACUCUUUUGCAUAUUUUAUACUUGUAUCAUGAUGUGAAUAUACCAUGGUAGGCUAGCCACCUUUUCAUGUUAGCAUGUGUGAUCUUCAUGUAUAUCUUGUCAUGCUAGCUUUGUAAUAUAUCUUGGUGGAUGAUCCACAUGAACAUCAUGCCAUGUUUUAGCUUAGUCUUCGAAUUGGGUAUGGUAUGUUGCUCAUUUGAUAUCAUUUUAGCUUAGUAUCUUUGCAUAAUCCUUUGCAUCUUGUUGACAUGUUUGCUUGCCCAAACUUUUAUUCAUAAAUAUAGAAUCAUGUUGCAAUGCUUUAAUUCCUCUCAUUGGUAUCAUCAUUGCAUUGUGUGACAUGAAUUGAGCUCUAUCUUGCUUUUGGGCUUGCCUUGUCUUUGGAUUGCAUUUUCUCUUCUUUUGGUUUUGAGUUAGAGCUUUUCUUUUGCCCCUUCUUUUUCUAGCUUUUCUUUGCUAGGUGGCUUUGGUUGAGGGGGAGUUCGGCUUCAUUGGAGGAAGAGUUUGGACAAAGAACUUGCUUUGAUUUUUGAUAUCCGCUUUUGAUCUUUUAAUUAGUAUCACAUUUGAUCUGUCAAUUGGAUUUUAUUUUCUUCAAGUGAUAUCAAUUUUUGAUACUUCAAUUGGUAUCUUUUCUAUGGUACUCAAUUGGGAUCCUUCGUGGUUCUUUUUUUGCCGUGGAGCUUUUCCUAGAUUGGUUUGACCCCUCAUGAGCUUUCUUGAUUUGAGUCGAACCCCGUCUCUUUUAGCAUUACAUUGCAUUUGUAUCAUAUUGCACCUUGUACACUUUGCACUAGAUGAGCUUCUGCUAUAUAUCCUUAGCAUUUCCUUAUGCUAUUUGUGAGCUAGUGCAUUGGUUGGUGUUAUUAGCAAUAUGCAGCAUAUGCUCUUGAUGAUAUUGUCAUAUAACCAUGUUGAGCUAAAUGCUUUUCUGAAUCAAAUGUUAAUCUUGAAUAAUGAAUUCUGAAAUGCUUAUCACCCAUGACUAGGUACCUAUUUAUGCAUUGCUCUUGCUUUAAUGCUAGCUCCAUGUUUAGCUUAUACUUGGAAUUCAUGUUCUUUUCAUUUGGAUCAAAGAUCUAGGUAUCAUUGCAAAUGUUUAGCCCAUGAUGCAUUCCUUGGGGAAGCAUGGCUUCUUUGUGCCGCAAAGGCACUUCAUGUAACUUGUUUAAUGUGAAUAAUAAAAAAUGAUGAUAAGAAAAAUUAGGUAUUUCACCAAGUUUUUGUACUUAAUGUUGAUAUCCUUGCUUGCUUCGUUGUUACAAGAUGUCUACUAAAAGAAGUAGGCACAUGGUUUCAACAAGCCUUAACAUGACUUGUGAUACAUAUGUGGGUGUUUGCAAUGAUCUCUUGUUGAGAAUGUAUCUUCCUUGUAUGAGCUUUGAUGUCCUAGUUUACUUCUUGCUUGAGUGAUUCAUGUCUAGGUGCUUGCUCAUGCAGUGAUACUUUUAUAAACUGCAAAACUUGACAAGUUGCUUCGUUUUUUUCUUAUAUCAUAAUAUCCUUCUAAUAGCGAUGCAAUUGCUCUUUAUGAUCUACCUGCUUGUGCAUUAUCUCACUAUUAGCCAUUGUAAGUGCUUUGUGAUAUAUUUGAGAAGUUUGGUAGGUUGUACACCUCAUGGCAUGUAUUUUGUGCUCCCAUGUGAAUUUUUGAGUUUUGCAUUUGAGGGGGAGCAUGUAUUCUUUUGCUUUUGUGCAUGUAUUUCAUUAUGGCAUGUUUUCAGGGGGAGUGCAUGUGUUCAGGGGGAGCUUCUAUGCUUUGUGCUAGUUUUGUGCUCUCUUUUGCUCUUUUUGUCGGUCGUGUUGAGCUUUUUACCUCUUCUUGAGGAGGUGGCAUUUGGUUUGAGUUUUCGAUUGUCACAUGAUUGGUGUUGAGCCAAAUCUGCCUCUUCUUGAUGGAUCAUGUGUUUUCGAUCUUGACAUGAUUGGUGUUGAGCUCUUUCUGCCUCUUCUUGACGGAUCAUGUGUUCUUUGUCUCGGUUGUGUCGAGCCAUUGCCCAUGUCUUUGGGGACUGAGACUUUUCCAAGUUGAUUUGGUCUUUGUGAUGCUUCUCAUGCCGAGUGACUUUAAUCAUAGCUUUACAUGGCUUUCGAUCACUUGAAUGGGAGGUUUGCCUAAUUGGUUUCACAUUUUGGCUUUUGUGGUUCUUCUCAUCUCAAGUGACUUUGAUCUUGGUUUUUACUUGACUUUUGAUCACUUGGAUGAGAUUUUUAGCUAUUGCCUCUCAAACUAUUUUUUUGUGCUUGAAUGUUGUGAACACACUCAUCAAGAGGGAGAUUGAGAAAUCAAGUUAAUAUGAACCUUGAUUUGAUAGUGAUGAGCGUUUGACAAAUGUUGAAAUGUGUUUGAAGGUUUUUGGGAUGCAUGGAGCUCUUGUGUCUUUUGCUUGACUCUUCGAUUGUGUUAAGUCUUUGCCCUUUUCUCUGGGAACCGAGAGUUUUUUGUUUGGAGCUUGCAUAAUCGCUUCUCAUUUCAAGUGGCCUUGUAUUUGCUUUUACUUGGCUUUUGGGCACUUGAAUGCAUUCUCUUUUGCUUUCAAAUCACCUUUUGUCAAUGCACUUAUCAAGAGGGAGAUUGAGAGACCAAGUUGAGAUGUAUCUUGGUCUAUUUGUGAUGAGUGAUUGACUAGAUGAUUUGAGGCUUUACCAGUUGAUUUCAUAUUUCAUAUGUGCAUGAUUAUGCUAACAUCUAACUGGAUGUGUUGCGUGCGUUGUGUUGUGUUGUUUGUGUAAACCAUAUGUUGUGUGUUGUGUCUCUUGGCUUAUGAUGUGCAGGUGUAGGAUGCGACAUGGCGAUUGACGGCAUGAGAUGAAGGUCAAGCAAAAGGUUCAUGCUGAUAUACUAGGGCUGUGAAGGGUGGACAUGAGUAGGCUUGGACCGAGGGACCCAAGGAGUCCGGGCGGAGUCAUGGGCGAUCCACAUGGUGCACGGAAGAGUAAGAGUACACGGACGGGAUGGAGACUAUGUCGGUUGAGUCAAGUGGGACGGAGGCGAGUCGAGUAGGCAGCCCGGGAGCCGGGAAAAGAUUUGGAGACGUCGAAGGCUUGGUGGAGACUGGACACACGUCAACAUCGGUGAGUCAUGUCAUGCGCGACGUGCAAGAGGGUUUGACCGGUUUGACCUCAAAACUAGGGAUGAGUCACGCCUGCGGGAUGUGCAAGAGGGUUUGACCGGUUUGGCCUCAAAACCAGGGGACGAGUCCGGUGCGAUUUGAUGGCGUCAAGUCAGAGGAUGCGUGGCACCAUCGCGAAGCUUGUGUCGAGGCGAAGCUAAGUCGUGAAGGCGCCGGGUCCGUCCGAUGUACGAGGAAAAAGUUGGAUGGUUUUACCCCUAUGGGGUAUUUGGAUUGUAUGCUUAAUGUAAGGGCAUUUUGGACAUUGGCCAAAUGCAUAUAUAUGUGUAGGAGGGCUGUUUGGGGCAGCAAUCUCUUUAGGCUAGUUCAUGGUAGGCUCCUCAUUUUGUUUGUGAGAGGUUUUGGUUGAGGUGUAAGGGGAGAGAGGAGUGGAUCUUUGUGUUGAUCUUUUUGCCAUCCAAGCUUUGUUUGUGCUUAGAAUUGGCUUGUAACCGGACAUGGUGGAGUAAUCCAAAAAUAAAUUUUGUGCUCAAUUGAUUCUCCUUCUCAAGAUCUGAAUUUUAUCUUUUCUCCUAUUUUCGGAGCAUUUUUGGGUGAAUUUUUGGAUCUCGCGAUUGGCAGUGAUUUGGGUGUUUUUCUUGGGGCAAAGCGGUGCUAGGAAAUGUGCAAGAACAUCUAGGAUGAUCCCCUAGCAAAUCCAUGCACGAGCACCUUGGAUUUUGAGAUUUCCCGAAAAUCCCCUUCUUGUGCCCUUCUCCAAAUUCAUAGAAUCUUAUGACCAAUUCGUGAGACUUUCAACUUGAAACAUUGAGAACACCUUUGGAAUGUUGUUGUGAGGCUAUGGUUCAAAUUUCGUGAUUUUUGGAGGUCGUUUGGUCGAGUUUUAGAUUUUUCUUCUCUCCUCACGAAGGCUGAAAUCUGGGAUUCCAGAAUAUUCCAGAAGUAAUUCCUGAAAUUUCUGGACCUCCGGAAGUUUCCGAAGGUUUCUCCGGAAAUCUACAAAAAUCCGAAUUUUUUUUAAGGUUUGUCCGGAUUUUUGCACACAGAGGUGUUGUUUUUCAAUGUGCUUCUUCCGGUACUCAUUUGAACUCUUUCUUUCUUCCGCUAUUCUCAACUUGGGUUCCUAGCAUCAUUCCUAGAUCUAUUAGCUCGUGCAUAGCUAAGUGGACUUGAUUUUGCUAGAAGAGAGGAUUGGGGGACUUUAACCGAGAUUCUUUGAGAAAAUUUGAAUCGGCUCCCAUUCACCCUCCUCUGGUCGCGUUUUCGGUCCUUCAUCAGAGAACUCACAGUUUGGGACUAUUUAUUUGGUUUCUCCUAUUCUUUUUACAAGAACGACGGGCAAAACGUACAGCAUCAUUCUAAUGUGUUGAUGGUUUUUUUCUCUUUCUUUGUUAGUUAUCAUUAGAUCUAUCAUUUCCUGUUUAGAUACAAACUCAAGGCUACCAGAGGGGGCUAUCGGAAGUCCACGAAGCACCCCCGAGACAGCGGCGGCAGCGCAUCUUGCUCGAUGCGAUCGCUCAUGCUCGUCCUAAGUGGCGGAUGGCGUGCGGCGGCCAUAGUGACCUGACGCGGUACGUGAGGCUGUGCGGCAGUGGCGGUCUGGCAUGGGGUGCGAAGGCAGCUGAAGCGGGGUGGGGGGCCGCGCGACAACAGGGGCCCAGACAUGCAGCGCGGAGGCGACCCGGUAAGGCGCGAGGUGGCCGCGCUGCAUUGUCUAGGUGAGGGGCGCAGAGGCAGUGCAACGGUAGCCCAGCACGGCGCGAGGUGUCCGAGCGGUGAUGGCUUGGAGGAGUGGAGGCCACGUGUGGCGCGGCUCAUCUCUGCUGUGGCAAAUUGACAACACCACCAAGCAUAGUGGCAUCUGCGGUAGCGGUGGCCUGAGGGAGGCAGAUCUUGAGCCCUACAGGCCAAAUCCGACGCUCUCGGGGCUUGAUCUACAAGGAGCUUUGAAAGCUGGUGUGGGGUGGCCGUGCGUGGUGCACAGCGGUGGGAAGCCAUGCGCGUGAGGAGGGGCCGCAUGUGUGUGCAGCGACAAGGAGGCUAGGUGGUCUCAGGGAGGAGGGGUUUGUGGUGGUGACCAUGGUGGGCAGUGAGCUUGUGGCGACAGCAGGCAGGUGGGUGUUGGGUGAAAACCUUGCCAUAACAGUAAGUUGGGCUGACAACGGCGACGCCUUUGGUGUCUCACUUCCUGUUGGGGAUGUUGUCAAGGCACCCUCCUUGCUUCGGUGGUGGAAACUCUAGGUGAAAACCAUGCCUAAGUUCUCUUGGUUGGGUGGCGACGACACUUUUGACGUCGGUCCUUCUUGAAGGUGCUGUCUUUGGAGUUUUCGUUCUGCCUUCCCCAUCUUCUCGACGGCUUAUCUAUGAUGCCAGUAGUGCUCUCGGUGGCCAAGAUGGGUUGGUGUAGGGGAGAGUGGGUCCUUCUUCUCUCUCGACCCCGCAUCCCUUCUGUGGCAACAAUAGGACUCCUCGUACCUGUUGAUGUGUUGUUUGGCGUUGAUGGGGGUGUGCUGGAAGCUUCACUGUUUGGUUUGGCGGCGAUUGGUCACGCCUAGCCAUGGCCGAUUUGGUGCUAUGCCCCGACCUUGGUGGAAUGGGCCAUAUGGUGGAGUGGGUGGAGACAAAGUUAAGGACUCGAGGUGCGGAUGUCCAUGAUGGCGGGUGGUGACCAAGAGGUGGGUGUUGGUGCAGUGUUUGUAGGGCUUCACUUCUGCAUGGCGCUUCAGGGUGAUGGUUUGGGGGCGUGCGCCAGUGGUGACCACGAAGUUGGCAGAGAGGCCAGAGUGGUAGGAGGUGUCCAGCAGAUGUACCUUGCUGAAGUGACCUGCGCGUUGAGGAGUUGGGUGGUCCCGCUUAGCGGUGGCAGCUCCGAUGCAAGUUGGUCUUCCUCUACGACAUUCUGAUAUCUUCGACAAGGUGACUUGGUUGCUUGGUGCCACAGUGUAUGACCAGAUCUCAACGGGCAUUGUCGUCAGAUUGAUGGCCAGAGGUAGCUACACAUGCAUUGGCUUGAUGGCUCGCAGUGUUUCUACGACGACUAGCCCUUCUUAGUGGGAGUUAGUCCAGUGUAUGACAACUUCGUGAGGUGGUGCAAGCGUAUCCGAUGGCAUGAUAGCUACACGGCUUGCAGUGAACCAUGGCGGCUAACCCUGCAUGGCAGUGAGUGGCUUGGUGUGGGACAUCAUCGGCAAUGAUGGCGUAGGCGGUGAUGAUAGAAUAUCCUCUGUCGGUCAUUUGCCCGGGUGAUAGUGGUGCAGUGUAACAUCCCUAAAUUCAAAAACAUUUAAAAAUAAGGACCUUUUAAAAUUUUUCAAACUAAAUUUAGCAUUAAUCCUCUUUUCCCCUUAAUAUCGAAAAUUAGCAUUAAAUUUUUCAAAAGCAUUCAACUACGCAUAAACACUACAUGAUUGUGCAUUUGAGUGCUCUAGAAUUUAAAAAGAAUUCAAAGCUCAUAAACCUUCCUCAAAAUUUGAACCUAGUUUAAAUUUGAACUCAAACCAUAUCAAACCCCUUUCAAACAAAUAUCAAAACUUACUAUUCCUAACGCAACUUUGAAACCUGACCCAUCUCUCCAUCGGCCUAGCCCACCUCCACCUCUCUCCUCCUUCUCCCGCACGGUCUAAACAGGCUGCUUGUCCCAGCGAGCCGCCUGGCCUAGCCGGCCCAGCCCGCACGCCAGUGUCAUCAUCUUCCUCCCCAUCCCCUUCCUCCUCUAGCCGCCCGUGCAUCCCUCCUCUCUCACAACGACACUGUUGCUCGGAUCCUCCUCCCCAGCCACCUCCCUGCCCACGUGCAUAGCACUAUAGUGCCGCACCUCUUCCACUCCCAUUGUCAGAAACCAUCCCCCCUCCCUCACAACCCCGGCCGCCGGCACCUGCACGCACGAUGUCGUGGAAACGCAAUGAUGGCCACCUGCUAGAUCUACCUGCUCUAGCAAUGCCCUACCACCCCAAGACACGCGACGGAGCCGCCUCGACGAGCCAUGUUGCCCUGUGCCCUUAACGCCGCCCCUGGCCAUCUCCCCUACCCUUCGCGCGCAUGCCAAGGUGCCAUGACAGUGCACCAGAGCGCCGCCCACCAUGGGCUGCCGCUCGACCUCAUCCUUUCUUCCCCUGUCCUCUUCCGUGAGCUAAGAUCAUCUGAGAGCUCGAACUCACCCCGCACCACCACCUCUUCCCCCUCCCGCCGGUUUAGGAGAAGGCUCGUCCCUUCCACCUGCCACUAUGCUCUGACCCCUAGAGCUGGGCUGCAGCAAAGUCGAGGUUACCGCAAGACCUUAGCCACCUUUCUAGCGCUACAGCACCGCUCAGCGUGCUGCUCUGCGCAGACCCACCGCCGUUACAUGCUGCCACUCUACUCCAGCCAUCGUGUGACCCGGAAAAGCAUCACAGGUACUCCCAUGGUGCUGCCCGAGGCUUUGCAUAAGCUUUCCACCCCUUCUGGUCGUGCCUCCCUUUUUCUCAGCCCGCCGCUAUAACUCUGGCAAGCCACCAUGAGCCUCGACUCGCCCCAAGACCUACCGCGAUAGCUCCACCAUAACAGCCCGCACCAUUAGUGUAGGGAUACGAGGUAGGCUAUGCUAGCGCAAAUCAAAAAUUUCUACCGCGUAAACCAGGAAAACUGCCGUAUAUGGAUCAUGGGAUUACCACUCGACGCACUGGUGCGGAAGAUGUAGAUUCGCGUCGAUGUAGCGAAGUCGAUCAGCGUAGUCGAACACGUAGUCGAUCACGUCGACGUCGAGCAGCUCCUCAACAGCUCGUCCAUAUGCAGCAAGAUCGUCCUCGUGCCGUGGCUUGUCGUCGGCUCGUCAUGCCUCGUCGGCGGCUCGUCAUGGCUCGUCGGCGGCUUGUCAUGGCUCGUCGGUGGCUCGUUGUGGCUCGUCAAUGGCUCGUCAAGGUGCUGCAGGCGCAACACCUCCAAGGUAUCCACACAUGCAGGAAGGAAGUGUCGCAAGCCGGACUGCUAGGUCUGCGAGUUGCAACAAGCGAGGGCGUGGGAGGCGCGGCAGAUGUGUUUCGCCAAAAGGUGUAAACCCUAGGGCUCCCUCACCCCUCUAUUUAUAGAGGUUCUUGACAGGGCUCUGGGUCCGAGGCCCAUUAGUACUUGUAAACCUAAUCCAACUCGGAUCACAUGCGAAUUGGGCUUCCAGCCCCUUAACCGUGUGUUUGGUUACUGGGUCGGAACGGGUCGGACCCCCUUCGUCCCACGUUUGGUUCAAAAGAGAACUGGGUUGGGUCGAACCCACAUGGGAAUAUUCCCAUUAGAUUCGGGUCCAAGCGAUUCCUCCAAAACGAACGGAUCAAUUCGACCCAGUUCUUCUCACGCGUCUCCUCUUACCGCACCUCCUCUCACCCCCGACCCCAACGCCAGAGCACCGCCCGGCUCCAACCCCGCCGCCCCUGACCUCCUCCGCCAGCGCCCCCAUCCGCCGCCUCACCUACCACGCCGCCGCCCCUAGAAUCCGCCGCGCCAGCCCCCAUCCACCGCCCCUCUUCCCCGCACCUUCUCCCAAUGGAUCUCGCCGCCGCCGCCCCUGAAAAUCAAGGAUGGCUUGCCCUCCGCCGCCCCUGACCUUCGCCGCCCUUCAGAUCCGCUCCCGGCCAUGACGUCCGCCGCCGCGCCCUGACGUCCUCCGCCGCCGCCAUCCCUGAGAUCCGCCGCCGCGGCCUGAUCCGCUCCGCCGCCCCUCAGAUCCGCCCCCGCCUUUGACUGCCGCUGCGCCCCCGACCCCUUCCGCCGCCGCGCCCCCGACCCCUUCCGCCACCGCCCCAAGCCAGGUCCGGAGCGCCUAUCCUCCACCGCCCCUCCGAUGCGGCUCCGCCCCUGACCGGCGCCGCUUCCCUCGCGUCCAUGGUGGGCGGCGGCCCGUGACCGGUGCCGUCCCCUGGCCUCCGUGGCGGGCGGCGGCCCCUAACCGGCGCCGUCCCCUGGCCUCCGUGGCGGGCGGCGGCCGGCGGCGGCCACUGACAGGCGCCGCUCCCCUGACCUCCGUGGCGGGCGGCGACCCCUGACUGACGCCGCCCCUAACCGACGCCGCUACGCCCCUAGCUUGCUGCUGCCCCUGUCAAGCUUCGCCACCCCUGCCAAGCGCCGCCGCCCGUACCAUCCGCCGGCGCCGCGUCUCCUUCUCUCAAAGGUUGAAACCGUACACCACCAUGUUUAUGUUGGUUCAUAUUUAUUGAAUUGACUUGAAUGGUACUGGUUGAUAGUAUUAUGGAUUGAAUUGAAUAACUAGUCCAGUAGCAUGACAUCCUGGUUCAAUUGGCUCUAACAGCAAGUGUUUCUUUUAUUGUUGUAUUGUAGAUGGAUAAGAGGACCAAGAUUGUAACUUGUGCUACUGCUGCAUACAUGUUGUUGUCAAUGAUGGCGGUGAUUAUUCAAUCUAGAAAACGUAAACGAUGUGCCAGAAGGGUUGGUAUUACCUAUGGGCCUAUGGAGGCAAGGGAUAGGAUGAGAGUAGAUUAUCUAAAUAACAAAAUUUGGAAGGAUGACACAACUUGCUUGAACAUGUUAAGACUAAAUAGAGGCAAGUUUUUUCGAUUUUGCAAUCUUUUUAGAGAACGUGGUUUGCAUCAAGAUACAUGUCACUUGUGUGUUGAGCAGCAGGUGGGUAUGUUUCUAAAUACAGUGGGACAUAACCUUAGGAAUAGGUUAGUUGGAACUAAUUUUGAUAGAUCGGGGGAAACAGUUAGCCGCUAUUUCAACAAAGUACUCCAUGCUAUUGGAGAGCUGCGAGGGGAACUAAUUAGGCCCCCGUCUUUGGACACUCCAAGCAAAAUUGCAGGGGACAACAGAUGGGAUCCUUACUUUAAGGUGUGAGGCUUAUCCCUGUUUUGUUUUGACUUUUCCAUUAAUCUAACAUCAUAUGGUCCCUAAUUUUUACCUUUUUAAAAAAAUUAGGACUGUAUUGGAGCUAUUGAUGGUACUCAUGUAAGAGUAUCUGUUCCUAAGAAUAUUGAGCAUGCCUUUCGCGGUAGGAAAUCCUUUUGCACACAAAAUGUAAUGGCAACUGUAGAUUUUGAUCUACAGUUCACCUAUGUGUUGGCUGGUUGGGAAGGGGCUGCACAUGAUGCUCUAGUUUUACGUGAUGCUUUAGAAUGUGAGAAUGGCCUUCGUGUCCCACAAGGUAAUAGAGUAGUAAACUCUCAACUUUUAUAUACACAUUUCAGUCUAUAGUAUUAUGACCAAUCCUUAUAUCAAAUGAUAGGAAAAUUCUACCUAGUCGAUGCUGGAUAUGGAGCCAAACCAGGAUUUUUGCCUCCCUUUCGUGGAGUUCGGUACCACUUAAACGAAUGGGGAAGUAAUCCAGUGCAAAAUGAGAAGGAAUUGUUCAACCUUAGGCACUCAUCACUACGUGUCACAGUAGAGAGAGCAUUUGGGGCACUAAAGAGGAGAUUCAAAAUUCUUGAUGAUGCUACACCAUUCUUUCCUUUACCAACACAAGUAGAUAUUGUUUGUGCUUGUUGCAUUAUUCACAAUUGGGUCAUACAAGAUGGGCGUGAUGAGUUCUUCACAGAGGAUACUAAUUGGGCAAGCUACAACCAUGCUUCCACACGCAUUGGCCAAGCAAAUGAGCAUGCUGCUAUGGUUAAUUUCAGGCAGCAGAUAGCAGAUCAAAUGUGGGCAGACCGUCAAAACAACAAUGUUAACUAAUAUUUGUAUCAAACUUGAAUUUCUUUCGGUUGUAUAACAUAUUUAAACCUUUCUUUCCUUAUGUUGAAUAAUAUUUUUAUGAACAUGUUGCUUGCUGAAUUUUAUGUAAUUUGUGAUGAUAAUGUGUAUUUUGGCUACAUGUUGGUGCUGAUUUUGUAUUGGUCAUAAUGUACAUUGUGGCUACAUGUUGGUGCUGAUUUUGAACUGGUGAUAAUAUACAUUGUGGUUAUAUCUUGGUGCUGAUUUUGGCUACAUUUUCGUGCUGAUUGUGUUUUUGUGUGGCAGAACAAUGGAGGAAGUAGCUGAAGGGUCUGGUGGGACUAGUGGGCAUGCUACGUGGACAUCAGCAAUGUCUGCUUUAAUGCUCUCUCACCUAAAUGAUUUGGUGGCUGCUGGUUUGAAGACAUCAAAGGGAUUUAAGAAACACCUUUUUAAUGGUUGUUCUAGGGUUAUCAAUGAGAAGUUCACCACAAGGAUCACUGGUGAGCAAGUUAAGAAUCAUUUGAAAACAUGGCAGAAAAGGUAUGCAAAGAUAAAUAGAUUGAAGAAGUUGAGUGGUGCCCUCUUUGAUGAAGAAAACUGCAUGAUUACACUAGAUGAGGAGCACUACAACGGCCAUGUCCAUGUAACCUUACUGUCGUUUGCUUAGUUCUUGAUUCAUUCACCAGUGUUAGAUUAUAUUAACAUAUUUUUCCAUCAUGUCUAGGAUCACAAGUCUGAUGUUGAGUACUUGAACAAGCCCCUCUUGCACUAUAGAGAGAUGACAGCAAUAUUUGGCAAUACAAUGGCUACUGGAAAUUUUGCAAAAGACUCAAGUGCACCUCUAGGUAGAGAGGAUGAUGAGGGUGAAAGUCAAGAAGAGGGGGAUGAGGUUACUGGGCAUGGUCCAAGUGAUGGGCAUACCACUCAAGGGGCAACGUCUUCUGCUAGUAGACCUAGUAAGAAGUCAAAGAUAGCUGAAAUGGAGGAGGAUGGGCUGGUUGCCGCCUUCAAAAGUGUAGGUGAGAACCUUGCCGCUGCCAUAAAAAUGGUAGCUAAACCUGAUAAUGAGCUGCCACCUGACCUAUUUGAUGUCUUGAACCAACUUCCUGGUUUUAAUUCAGCACACAUAUCUUUCUACUAUGCUCAUUUGGUGAGCAAUCCUCACAUUGGCAAAGCUUUCUAUAACUUGCCAUUCGAGCACAAGUUAAAUUGGGUCACAAUGUUCAUCGCUGAAAAGUUCCCUGGAAUGUAAGAGUGAUUUCAAUGAGUAGGAUGUUUCUUUUGUUAGAACUUGAUCCUGUUAGUGUCUAAGCUCUGAAUUUAUAUUAUGUAAGCUUCAACUUGAUGGCUGAUAUUGUAUUGCCUUGAACUUGGUAUAUGUAAGGCUUGAACUGGCCAUUAACGUUGCUAUAUUGUUGAUGAACUUGGUGUAUGUAUGUAAGGCUUGAACUUGGUAUAUGCUGUUAUUUUCAUCCAUCAUUUGGAAUAUCUUUCUUCUUUUCAAAUGAUUUAUGUCCUAUGUGUUUAUAACCAGAAAGCAAAUGAGCAUCAAAUCCUGUUAAGAAGCCCCUGAGUUGAUGAUAUUAUAUUAUUUUUAAAUUAACCAGUAGCAUGUAUUUAAAUUAACGGCAAUUUUUCACAAGAAAAUAACAGUGCUAGAAUGGGAGCAGUACCAAGUUGAUGUCUAUAUUGUUGAUGAAUUGGUAUGGCAGCUAGGGUAAUCUCACCAAGAAGGUGAGCAUAUUCAUUGUCAAACCCGCAUCCUCAAACCAAACAAGAGAUGGAACCACUCCAACCCACUUUAUCCCACUAAUCAAACAAAAAACUGGGUCCAACCCAUCCCUGCAACCAAACAAGAACUGGGUUCACUCCAACCCAGAAAACUGGGUUGGCUCCAACCCAACCCGCAUGGUCCCAAAACCAAACGCACGCUAAGUGUGUGACCCUAUGGGUUCGGAUACGUAUAGACAUGGCCCGAGUACUCCUACUCAGCCCAAUAGUCGGUAGCGGCCUCUAGCAAGACGUGCCAACUCCUAUACACACACGAAGAUCAUAUCAGACGAACCGUCACAACAUCACGUACAUGCUAUUCCCUUUGCCUCACGAUAUUUGGUCGAGCUCCAAGCCGACCACUCUUUCUCGAUCCUGUGAUUCGGAAUCCCUUUGUAGGUUAACUCUUAACCGUACGUAGCAUGGCCAUGCAUUUUCGGAUCCGAUCACUUGAGGGGCCCAGAGAUAUCACUCUCAAUCAGAGAGGGGCAAAUCCCAUCUUGAUUGACCAUGCCUCAUAGCAUGCUUCUUGACAAACCAAAAAGCUACCUUUUUAACUACCCUGUCACGGUGUAGCGUUUGAUAGCCCCUAAGUAAGUCGAUCCACAUCUUGAGUACAUGCGACAAUCUCAGGUCUAAGGACAAAGCGUACAUGUUGUGUAAAGAGAGAACUAUUUUUCGUGUUGGGUCAGUCCUAGCACAUGUCUCCACAUGUGCCCACAUUAUUAGUUUAACAUCUUCAUGUCCAUGACUCAUGAAACAUAGUCAUCAACUAAUACGUGUGCUAGUCUAAUAUUCAUGUGUGUCCUCACAUGAACUCUAACUAGGGACAACUUUAGAAUAACCAUACAAGUAAAGAGUUUCACAUACAAUUCACAUAAUUGCAAAUCAAUUCAAGUAGCCUUUAAUGGAUAUUCAAGGAACACAAUAUAAAUCAUGGAUACAAAUGGAAUAUCAUCAUCUCUAUGAUUGCCUCUAGGGCAUACCUCCAAUAGUCUCCCACUUGCACUAGAGUCAAUCUAGAAGGUACCUAUUGACACCGAAUUAUCGGACUUCUAUAGUUAGUUUCCGAACAUGAAGCCUUCAUACUCCGAAGCUGGGGUCCUGUGUUGACACCGAAUGUAGGAAAUAUGCUCUGAAAGGAAGGAAUCGGCACAUGAUGCAAAAGUUCCAACAGAUUGGCAUCCAAGGGAAGCCCACGUAUGGGAGGUUGCUUUAUAGAAUAAAAUAUUCUGGAGAUAGAGUUGGUUAGGGAUAAGAUUGAUUAGAGAUAGAGUUGGUUUAGUUAGAGAUAGAAUUUUGAUUAGAAAAGAUUGUGUACGUAACUUGCCUUGUACAUGGUUAGAUGCCAAUUAUGUAACGUCAAAGGCCAUCCGUCCUAUAAAUAUAAAGGGUCCCGGUCAUUGUAAUAAUCAUCACACGAUCAAUAAACAAACAUAUUUACCUUUACCUUUCGGCUUCACGCCAUUGCAUUAGGAGUAGGAGUAAUGUAGCUUCUCGACGAGUUCCUUCUAGCAAGCUGGGCUGCAUCGACCUCGAUCUCCGGCGAGCUGCAAGUUCCGUCACCAGGUGUUCUAGGCUUUAACCACCGGGCGCAUCGCUGUGGUUUCUUCUAGUUUCAUCUACCAGUUAUCUAGUAUCUUCGAUCUUUGACUUGCGGCGCAUCGCUUCUGUCUUGAUCUAUGGUAUUCACCAGUUAUCCCGCCUUGAUUAAGCUUGCAUCGACUGAUAGUUAUCUAUUCUAUCGUCUUGCUCUGACCCCUAGAGCUGGGCUGCAGCAAAGUCGAGGUUACCGCAAGACCUUAGCCACCUUUCUAGCGCUACAGCACCGCUCAGCGUGCUGCUCUGCGCAGACCCACCGCCGUUACAUGCUGCCACUCUACUCCAGCCAUCGUGUGACCCGGAAAAGCAUCACAGGUACUCCCAUGGUGCUGCCCGAGGCUUUGCAUAAGCUUUCCACCCCUUCCGGUCGUGCCUCCCUUUUUCUCGGCCCACCGCUAUAACUCUGGCUAGCCACCAUGAGCCUCGACUCGCCCCAAGACCUACCGCGAUAGCUCCACCAUAACAGCCGGCACCAUUAGUGUAGGGAUACGAGGUAGGCUAUGCUAGCGCAAAUCAAAAAUUUCUACCACAUAAACCAGGAAAACUGCCGUAUAUGGAUCAUGGGAUUACCACUCGACGCACUGGUGCGGAAGAUGUAGAUUCGCGUCGAUGUAGCGAAGUCGAUCAGCGUAGUCGAACACGUAGUCGAUCACGUCGACGUCGAGCAGCUCCUCAACAGCUCGUCCAUAUGCAGCAAGAUCGUCCUCGUGCCGUGGCUUGUCGUCGGCUCAUCGUGCCUCGUCGGCGGCUCGUCAUGGCUCGUCGGCGGCUUGUCAUGGCUCGUCGGCAGCUCGUUGUGGCCAAAUGAGUAUUCAUCGGCUUGUUGGAGUUAAUUCAAAUCAAUAUAAUAUUCCAACCAGAAGAGCCGAUGGUAUAGAAAGCUGAUCUUAAUUUCAAUCGGCUGCACGUUGUAUAGAUAAAUUUGAUGCCAGAUUAAUUAUGGAGGAAACCGAUACAACAUCGACACCAUCAUUCCUUAAUGAUGUUAUAUAUCGGCCAGUUCAGAGGAAACAAGUAUCGGCUGGGCACAUAGUAGCUGAUGGAGUUUUUUUUUUAUCAGCAAAAGGAAACAAGCAUCGGCCGAUGGAAUAUAAUCGGCAAGCAUAGUGGCUGAUGGAAAAAAAUUUUUGGCCAAUGGAACAUUUUUUUCAGCCGAUAGAAAUAUUUUUCAGCUGAUGCAACAUUUUUUCAGCCGAUAGGAAAAGCUCCAGCGGGUGGACAAGAGAGAAAUAAAAAAAUGCAUCGGCAGAUUGACAGUUGUAUCGGCUAAUUGGAAAAAUUAAAAGGGAUCGGCUGAUUGGAAAUUGCAUCAGAUAAUGGAAAAUGGGAUCGGCCGAUUGGAGUUGUAUCGGCUGAUUAAGGAAAAAAAAAUCGGCCCGAUUGGAGGUGUAUCGGCUGAUUAAGGAAAAAAAAUAGCGGUCGGCCAAUUAGCAUCAACCUGUUAGAAUUAAAAGAAAAAAACAGAGAGAGACAUCGGCUGAUUAGUGUCAGCCUGUUGGAAUUAAAAGAAAAAAAAUAGAGAGAGGCAUCGGCUGAUUAGCGUCAGCCUGUUGGAAUUAAAAAAAAUAGAGAGAGGCAUCGGCCAAUUAGCGUCAGCGUGUUGGAAUUAAAAGAAAAAAAACAGAGAGGCAUCAGCCGGUUAGCAUCGGCCAGUUGGAAAUAAAAAAAAGAAGGAAGCAGCCAGCCGAUGGAAGUUCCAGCCGAUUGGCAAAUGAAUAAAUGAAAGAAGAAAAAAAAAGAAGGAAGAGCAGCCGAAGGGCACCUCAGCCGACAGGCAGGAAAUAGAUAAAAGUAGACAAGGAAGAGCGGCCGAUAUCUGUGAUCUCCUGCUUGGUUCAAAAAAAAAUCAGCUGCUGGUUCAAGCGAAAUGGUAUCAAUGGCUUGGUUCAAAAUAAUAUCGGCCAACUAUAUACAUAUCGGCCUCCGAGCCAAUGGCCAAUAAAAAAAAUAGUAUCAGCCGAUUGACUGCUUGGCAAAUAAAGAAAAUUGCAUCGGCUGAUUGGUUCAAGAAAAAUAGUAUCAGCUGCUCAUAGAAUUUAUCGGAUAUUAAUUUCGAAGCAUGAAAUAUUCAUACUUCAAAACUGGGGGGCCUGUGUUGACAACAAAAGCUUGCUGAUUACUGCACCAAGUUUUGGUAUCAAUAGACUAAUCUGUUUCUACUGCCGGCGAAUUUAUCAGCUCAGAGUGGGAUCAAGGCAUCAAGCCGUUGAGGUUCUUUAUAUUUCAAGAGGAGUCGAUGUGGCUUUGAAUAUGGCAAUCAGACGUCAUUGGCUCUAAACGCAAGCGUCAGACUUCUAUAAUUAGUUUCAGAACAUGAAGCAUUCAUACUCCGAAACUGGGAGGCCUGUGUUGACACUGAAUUAUCGGACUUCUAUAGUUAGUUUCCGAACAUGAAGCCUUCAUACUCCAAAACUGGAGGGCCUGUGUUGACACCGAAUGUAGAAAAUAUGCUCUGAAAGGAAGGAAUCGACCGAUGAUGCAAAAGUUCCAACAGUUUGGCAUCCAAGGGAAGCCCACGUAUGGGAGGUUGCUUUAUAGAAUAAAAUAUUCUGGAGAUAGAGUUGGUUAGGGAUAAGAUUGAUUAGAGAUAGAGUUGGUUUAGUUAGAGAUACAAUUUUGAUUAGAAAAGAUUGUGUACGUAACUUGCCUUGUACGUGGUUAGAUGCCAAUUAUGUAACGUCAAAGGCCAUCCGCCCUAUAAAUAUAAUGGGUCCUGAUUAUUGUAAUUUUUACCACACGAUCAAUAUACAACACAUUUAUCUUUUAUUUACCUUUUCGGCUUCACAUCAUUGCAUUAGGAGUAGGAGUAAUGUAGCUUCUCGACGAGUUCCUUCUAGCAAGCUGGGUUGCAUCGACCUCGAUCUCCAACGAGCUGCAAGUUCUGUCACCAGGUGUUCUAGGCUUUAACCACCGGGCGCAUCGCUGUGGUUUCGUCUAGUUUCAUCUACCAGUUAUCGAGUAUCUUGGAUCUUUGACUUACGUCGCAUCGCUUCUGUCUGGAUCUACGGUAUUCACCAGUUAUCCCACGUUGAUUAAGCUUGCAUCGGCUGAUAUUUAUCUGUUCUAUCGUCUUGCCGUUUACGACAUAUUAAUUGUUAUUAAUUCUGUUGGAAUAGACGAUAGAUCUAUUUUUAAUAGCCUGUUGCAUCUUGAUCUUGGCCAUCCUUCGAGUGUUGUUGGGAGUAAGUCCCGUUGUGAUUGGAUCCAUCGGCUAGCAGGGUUCAGAUUAACGUCCUGCUAAAUAUUUCUAGACUGCAACUACCGGGCGUAUCGCUAUAGUUUCACCUAGAGAUAUUGGUGGUGACGUUAGUUUAGAUCUCAUCGGCUUGUGGCUCUAGCUAUGGUGGGGCAACAACUCAACAGCAUCCUAUUUUCUAUCGGCCGUCUGGCGGAUAGUUAUUGUAAAUUAUAUUAAAUUGGCUCGAUGGCUGAUAAAUGACUCACAUUCAUCAAGGUACUGGAAUCGGCUUCACAGCCGAUAUAUUUGUCAUGAUUUAUUUUGUUGCACCAUUAUCGCUACUGUGCCAGGAUUAUAUCGGCCUUAUCAGUCAGUUGCCUCGGACUUCACAACGAGUAUCAUCUCCUUGUCAGCUGAAUGGUCAAACUGACUGGCACGCCCGCGCACACCACGUGCGCCGAUUUGGAUUCUGCACUGGAGUUAAGCAGAUCUCCCAAGUCCUCAUGUGCUGAUGCAGGGUCCACCACCGCCAGGAUUUUGCGUCAACACAUUUGAUACCCAUAACUGGAGUAACCAGCAAGCUUUUGUUGUCAACAGUACCUAAUACCCAUAGCUCUUACAUGCGCAUCAUGCUUAGCCUGUGGGAGUAGUUUUGUCAAUGAAUCAGAAAUGUUCAAAUCCGUGUGUAUUUUGCAUAUCUUGAUCUCACCCCAGUUAACGAAGUCUCGAAUGAGAUGAAAUCGCCGCAUUACGUGUUUAUUCUUCUGGUGGUUCCUUGGCUCCUUUGCUUACGCAAUUGCCCCAUUGUUAUUACAGUAGAGAUUCAAUGGGCUGGACGCAUUCGAGAACACACCAAGCUCAAUGAAGAAAUUCCUUAUCCAAACACCCUCCUUCGUGGCUUCGGAAGCCACGAUGUACUUGGCUUCUGUCGUAGAAUCGGCCACUAUCUCCUACUUGGAACUCUUCCAACUAACAGCACCACCAUUUAGCGUGAACACAAAUCUUGAUUGUGACUUUGAAUCAUCUCUAUCGGUUUGGAAAACUAGCAUCGGUGUAACCUGUUACAACGAGCUCCUCCUCACUUCCAUAGAUGAGGAACAUAUCUUUAGUCCUUCUCAAGUACUUAAGAAUGUUUUUCACCGCUGUCAAGUGACUCUCACCUGGAUCAGACUGGUGUCUCCUUGUCAUACUUAGCGCAUAUGAAACAUCUGGGCGAGUACUUAUCAUUGCAUACAUGAUAGAUCCAAUAGUCGAGGCAUAUGGCACUCUACUCAUGCAAUCCCGCUCAUCAGCAGUCGAAGGACACUAAGUCUUACUGAGAUGUAUGCCAUGUGACAUAGGCAAGAACCCUUUCUUCACCUCUUCCAUGUUGAACUGUUUCAACACUUUGUCAAUGUAAGUAUCUUGGCUUAAUCCUAUAAGCCUUCUCGAUCUAUCUCUAUAGAUUUUGAUGCCAAGAAUAUAUGCCGCUUCCCCUAUGUCCUUCAUCGAAAAACUACUUUGUCAAUGUUAUUUCCAAUCAGCAAUAUGUCAUCCACAUAUAAGAUGAGAAAUACUACAAAGCUCCCACUAACCUUCUUGUAAAUGCAAGACUCUUCUUCGUUCUUGGUGAAGUCAAACCCUUUGACCACUUCAUCAAAAUGAAUGUUCCAACUCCUAGAUGCUUGCUUCAAUCCAUAAAUGGAUCUCCGAAGCUUGCAUACUUUUCUAGCAUUUUUCGGAUCGACAAAACCCUCGGGCUGUAUCAUAUACACGUCCUUAGCUAGGUUUCCAUUCAGGAAAGCUGUCUUGACAUCCAUCUGCCAUAUCUCAUAAUCGAAAUAUGCAGCUAUAGCUAGAAUAAUCCGAAUGGACUUAAGCAUCACUACGGGCGAGAAGGCCUUGUCGUAGUCAACUCCUUGAACUUGUCCAAAACCUUUUGCGACAAGCCGUGCUUUAUAGAUGUGAAAAUUUCCAUCCAUGUCCUUUUUCUUCUUAUAGAUCCACUUGCACUCUAUGGCUUUAACACCAUCAGGCAGGUCAACCAAGUUCCAAACUUGAUUGUCUCCCAUGGACUCUAUUUCGGAUUGCAUGGCACUUUGCCAUUUUUCGGAGUCUGGGUCCAUCAUUGCUUCUGCAUAUGUCGCAGGCUCAUCAUUGUCCAACAAUAAUAUUUUCCGCAUUUUGUGGAGCCUUACUGACCUUCGUGGUUGUGGCGGUGCUUCUCUUGCCAUGGGUAUCUCAACUUUUUCUGCUACGUUAGCAUCAACCAUUGAUUCUUGCCCGAUCAGCUCAUCUUGAACUUCUUCAAGAUGCACUGUCUUUCCACUCUUUUCUCCUUUGAGAAACUCUUUCUCUAGGAAAACCCCGCUCCGAGUGACAAACACUUUGCCCUCUGAUCAGUUGUGGAAAUAAUAUCCUAAAGUUUCCUUUGGAUAUCCCAUAAAAAUGCACUUCACAUCCGAUUACGUCACUUGACAAACACUUCACAUCCCCAAAGCUUUAGAAAAGACAAACUGGGAACUUUUCCGGUCCACAUCUCAUAUGGUGUCUUAACUACGGAUUUAGAUGGUACCCUAUUAAGUGUGAAAGCUGCUGUUUCCAGAGCAUAUCCCCAAAACGAUAACGGUAGGUCUGACUGGCUCAUCAUUGAUCAAACCAUGUCUAACAAAGUUCAAUUACGUCGCUCGGAUACACCGUUUCUCUGAGGUGGUCCAGGCAGCGUAAGUUGUGGAACAAUUCCGCAACUCUUUAGAUGAUUGCUAAACUCGUGGCUCAAAUACUCGCCUCCACGAUCAGAUCGUAAGGCCUUAAUUUUCUUGUCACGCUGAUUUUCAACAUCAUUCUGAAAUUCCUUGAACUUUUCAAAGAUUUCAGACUUGUGCCUCAUCAAGUAGACAUAGCCAUAUCUACUAAAAUCAUCAGUGAAAGUUAUGAAGUAUUGGAGCUUCUUCAUGCGCUUUUCACUUAUAUGACCCAAACGACAAUGCCAUAAGUAGGUAGGACUCAAAUCAUUAGGCCGAGGCCUUUUAGCACUUACGUUACAGACAGGUGAACCAUCAAGAUUCAAAACAAACAAUCCAUUCACAAUGGGUGCAAAAGCCAUAAACAUAUCAUUCUUAGAGAUCACACAACCAUUGUUUUCACUCGCAAAUGAAUAACCAUCCUUCAUCAAGCAUGAAGGAGACAAAAUGUUUCAACUUAAACUAGGAACGAAAUAACAAUUAUUCAACUCCAUAAUAAAUCCUGACGGGAGGUGGAGUUGCAUCGUCCCGACGGUCAACGCAGCAACUCUUGCAUUAUUGCCCAUGCGGAAAUCAACUUCUCCUCUUUCCACGCUUCUACUUCUUAUCAUUCCCUGCAUCGAAUUGCAAAUAUGAGCAACCGAUCUGGUAUCAAAUACCCAAGAAUUAAUAAUUGUAUCAGCGAGAAAUAUGUUGUCUAUAACAUUAAUAACAAGCGUACCUGAGGUGGAAGUACUCUUACUUCCGCCAUUCUUCAACGAAGCUAGGUACUGCUUGCAAUUUCUCUUCCAGUGACCACGUUCAUGACAGUAAAAGCACUCUUUGUCUGGAGCAGGUCUAGGUCUAGCUUUAACCUUGGGCACUGGGUUUGGCUUGGACGUUCCAGCCUUGCCCUUCUUCUUAAAUCUAGGCUUGUUUUGUAUAUCCAUCCCAUGUCUACUACUAGCGCUUUUCUUAAUGUCAGCCUCUACUGUUUUAAGCAUGCCACACAGCUCAUUCAGACCCUUCUCCGUCCCAUGCAUAUGGUAGUUUGAGAUGAAGUUCCCAUAGCUGGAUGGAAGAGAUGAAAGAAUGAAAUUAGUGGCCAACUCUUGGCCCAGUGGGAAGCCCAGCUUCUCCAACCGUUGAGUGUAACCAACCAUCUUGAUUACGUGUGGUCCUACUGCUACGCCUUCUGCUAGCUUGCUCUCCACAAAGGCCUUAGACACAUUGAACCUUUCAGUCCUGGCCUGUGUUUUGGAACAUGUCUCUAAGAGCCACGAUCAUAUCGUGCGCCUCAUGGUUUGUUUCGAACUGCAUCUGCAGCUCGUGUUCCAUGCAAGCAAGCAUGAGGCAGCUUACUUCGAGGUUAGCAUCACAUGCUUUCUUGUAAGCAUUCUUAACAACAGCAGGUGCAUCAUCAGCAGGUUCUUCUUGUAAUGGGUUGUUUAGAACAUCUUCCUUUUUCUCAGCCCUGAGAACUAUUCUUAGGUUUCGGAUCCAAUCCGAGUAAUUUGUUCCAUUCAACUUGUCCUUCUCAAGGACCGAACGCAAAGCAAUCGGUGUGGUGCUGCUAGGUGCCAUUUAAUCUACAACAAAAGUAAUGCAAAAUACACUAAGACAAACGUAUCCUUGAUAGAGCAAAUGACAUUAAACUAUUUAACAGAAUCUACUCCCACUAAAAUCAAUAUCCCUCUAUUGAUACUUAGUGAUUCAGGAUCCACAACUAACAAGUCUACUAGUGAGCUUUAGCAUCACCGCUAGCAAACAAGGUAGAUCGGUAAGCAACUCUUUACAAAUCAUAUAUCAUAUGACUCCUGUUGUUGGGUGACAUCUCUAUGUCUCGGCUCCCAACCUUUGUGCCCCAAGGUCUUAACCAUUAAGAUAACCUUGUUAAGCAAACCAACCCUUAUGUGUGUAAGUGUCCGACACAAACCCGUCUAGUCAAGGAAAACUAGUGGCACCCUAAUUUCAUAGACCCACCACUAAUUGUACAAGACAUGGGAUGGUGCAAGUUUUAGUUGGGAGGGCAUACUAACUUAAACUUUGUGAGGGAUCAUUCUACUUCUAACAUCACAGCAUGCAGAAAGUAAAACAUAAAGAAUAACAUGCACACAAUUGUGACACAGUAUGGCCCGUUUUCUUAUCGCGGUCUCCAUCUCCACAGAACCUGUUCACCAUGGUGAUCUCCAUCUCCAUGUUCCAUGUGCGCCAUCCUCCUGGUGAUGAGUCCUCCAAGAACUAGAACAAGCUAUGAAGAUUACAUAGUUGCUUGGAUCAUCACAGAUUGGUACGCAGACCAUUAAAUACAUUAAAGUGACAACACAUAUGGCUCCAACCGUGUUGCCGUACGUGCGACACGAAGGUCACAAAUGAGUUACACACAUGCAUCACAUACACAAAGGGCCAUACAUCCUGCAAAACAGAAUUACGCGUUCUAACGUUCCAAACUUCAGACGCCCAAAACUCCAUCUUCCAAGAUGAAUUUGGGAAAUCUAAUUUUGCCGAAAACGGCAAAGCCAUUGAAUUUCAUGUGUAACUUUUUCUAUAGAUCAAUUUUUAUAUAAAAUUCGCCCUGAUCCGAGAUCGUACCGAAAACUUACGGCUGUUUUACUGAAGCACACGCACACGGCAAAAUUCCGACCCGACAGUAGAUCCAAUCUACUAUUGUGCAUCUCAUGCGCCUGGCGUAUGAACCUGGAUUUUGAUUCAACCAAUCACAUUGAUCUUCGCUCGCUGCAACUGGCAUUACGUGUAUCACUUAACUUCGAUGGCGGAAAUCCGACCGGUAGGAGUAUGUCGUUACACAACCAUUGCAGCAAGAACACGAAAACAGGAUAUAGAUCAAACUGAAAACUAGCAUACCUCCAUAUGCACACAUCCUGAAUCCAAAGCAAAACAGCUACGGCUCUAAUACCACUGUAGUGAUACGAGGUAGGCUACGCUAGCGCAAAUCAAAAAUUUCUACCGCGUAAACUAGGAAAACUGCUGUAUAUGGAUCACGGGAUUACCACUCGACACACUGGUGCGGAAGAUGUAGAUUCGCGUCGAUGCAGCGAAGUCGAUCAGUGUCGUAAAACAUGUAGUCGAUCACGUCGAUGUCGAGCAGCUCGUCCAUGUGCAGCAAGAUCAUCCUCGUGCCGCGGCUCGUCGUCGGCUCGUCGUGCCACGUCGGCGGCUUGUCGUGGCUCGUCUGCGGCUUGUUGUGGCUCAUCGGCGGCUCAUCCAAGUGCAGCAGGCGCAACACCUCCAAGGUAUCCACACAUGCAGGAAGGAAGCGUCGCAAGCCGAACUCCUAGGUCCGCGAGUUGCAACAGGCGAGGGCAUGGGAGGCGCGGUAGAUGUGUUUCGCCAAAAGGUGUAAACCCUAGGGCGCCCCCACCCCUCUAUUUAUACAGGUUCCUGACGGGCCUCUGGGUCCGAGGCCUAUUAGUACUUCUAAACCUAAUCCAACUCGGAUCACAUCCGAAUUGGGCUUCGAGCCCCUUAAGUGUGUGACCCUAUGGGUUCGGAUACGUAUAGACAUAGCCCGAGUACUCCUACUCGGCCCAACAGUCGGUAGCGGCCUCUAGCAAGACGUGCCAACUCCUAUACGCACACGAAGAUCAUAUCAGACGAACCAUCACAAUGUCACGUACAUGCUAUUCCCUUUGCCUCACGAUAUUUGGUCUAACUCCAAGCCAACCACUCUUUCUCGAUCCUGUGAUUCGGAAUCCCUAUGUAGGUUAACUCUUAACCGUACGUAGCAUGACCAUGCAUUUUCGGAUCCGAUCACUCGAGGGGCCCAGAGAUAUGACUCUCAAUCAGAGAGGGGCAAAUCCCAUCUUGAUUGACCAUGCCUCAUAGCAUGCUUCUUGACAAACCCGAAAGCUACCUUUUUAACUACCCUGUCAUGGUGUAGCGUUUGAUAGCCCCUAAGUAAGUCGAUCCACAUCUUAAGUACAUGCGACAAUCUCAGGUCCAAGGACAAAGCGUAUAUGUUGUGUAAAUAGAGAACUACUUUUCGUGUUGGGUCAGUCCUAGCACAUGUCUCCACAUGUGCCCACAUUAUUAGUUUAACAUCUCCAUGUCCAUGACUCGUGAAACAUAGUCAUCAACUAAUACAUGUGCUAGUCUAAUAUUCAUGUGUGUCCUCACAUGAACUCCGACUAGGGACAACUUUAGAAUAACCAUACAAGUAAAGAGUUUCACAUACAAUUCACAUAAUUGCAAAUCAAUUCAAGUAUCCUUUAAUGGAUAUUCAAGGCACACAAUAUAAAUCAUGGAUACAAAUGGAAUAUCAUGAUCUCUAUGAUUGCCUCUAGGACAUACCUUCAACAAUUAGGGCUACUUCCUACCCUGCAUGCCACCCCAUAAUGGCCGGCGGUGACGACUCUGGCGAAGUCCUCUUGUAACGACUGACCCCUAAACCUUCCCAGUUAGUCUUGAUCAGAGCCCUUGAUCCUAGUCAUCUACCUUGCUUUUCCCGCGCCGAGUGCUCAGCCUUCAGCCGAUUCCGACCCCGGAGACCCGACCCCUCCCCGCUUCGCUUCUCUCCCGACCCCGGCGAGCUCAGCCCACCGUAGGAUCCUUCUAAUCCUCCUCAACCAUCCGUUCUAUCCACCGGUGGACCCGCAAGAUCUUUUCCCAGAUCCUCCGCGACAGUCGCACUCGAGUUGCAUGCCCGCUUCAGAGUCUUCCUGCCGCGUGGCUCGUCUUCUCCGACGCCCGCUGCUUAGUUUUGUCUCUGGCAAGCGACCAAGUGGGUUCUCGCACUCCCUUCUCCAAUGGCAGCGGAGCCCGAUGUCGCCCGUCUUUCCCGUCCCUUCAGCCACAGUCGCGUCGCCUGGUCGCCGCUACCCGACGAUUGCUCCAUCGCCAACCCCGACCGCGGUCGCGACAGCUCCUUUCCCCCGCCCCGUCAGAAGCCGCCCGACAACCUGUUGUUCCGCGCUCUCGCCCGCGCCCGCAGCUGCCUGUCCUCUCACCUGUGCGCCCUCGAUUCUAGCGCCGUUAAACUGGUCGCUUCUAUCAAAUCUUCUGCACGGCGACGCCCGCUUUCCGCCAAAUCUCAACCACCGGUCUACCCGCUCCUACGCCGCCCUGACGGCAGAGCGCAAUGAUCGCUGGCAUCACCCCCGGAGUUCUGCACCACCGCCCUCUUCGCUCAAUCGCCGCCCCGGCAGAGCACUCCAUUGCUUCUCCCCGGCCUUCGCGCCGCUCCCCUUCUCUCUCUCCCACGCCGCUUUCUUUCCUCUGUUCCAGCAGCUAUAAAAGGAAUGCCCCCGUCGCCGGAGUUCCCUCCGCCAUUGUUGCCUUCAGCCUUCUCUCGCUCUCUGCUCAAGCUCCUAGAGCCGCACACCAAGUUCUUGAGGAGUUCUUCUCUCAGGUUCUCUCUCAGUUUUCUCCAAGUCACCCAGCAGCUUGCUCCUCCGUGCUGCGUAAAAGCUCUCUUGUAAUCUGCAAGAAGCACCUCCGCCGCCGUAGCAUUCCCAGUCUUAGCCCUUGUUCGAAGCUUUAGUCCCUCCGCCCAAGUCUGCUUCUUCCCGACCCCAAGCUUUCCUUUCAGGAAGAAGGUGAGUUGCCGACCACAGUCCGCCUCGCCCGACCCCUCCUAUCCGCCCGACCCCGGCUCCGUCUCGCCCGACCCUGUCUGUUCCACUGACCCUUAUAUCCGCCUCACCCGAGGGCUUGGCUGUGAUCUUUUCUUCAACCCGAGGGUGUAUGUGUAAAACUUAGGAACCCUUCAGCGCUUGCGUCUGAGGAUCCCUAGUUUUCCCACAUCCUCUAGUUCAAGGAUCAGAUCAUGAGUUCC